AGUUUCUUCCUUCCUCCUCCUUUCCUUUUUUUUUUGCAAGUACCUGAGCGGUUUUUCCAUUGAUUUCUUUCUUGAUCUCCAAGCCCAAACGUGUCUCCCUUUUUAUUUUUCUGUGUUUCAAGAGCGUCAUCGCUGACCAAUCUGUGCCUUUUCAUUGACCACUUUGCCCCUUGAUACGUGGCUUCCUUUUCCUCAUGCACUUGGUGAUAUCUGUUGCUUCUAAACAUGGUCCAAGCAUCGGGCUUUCUUUUCACUUUGCUUCUCCGCUGUGCCCUCAUCCUAUAAUUACAUGUGACAGGUCUUGAUCUUCCCCAUACACAAAGCGGGAUAGAGCCAUGGAUCAUGAGAUGGAGCUCAAGGGGUGUUUUCGCCGGAUCAAGAGCUGCGCUGUUGAACUCUUCUCGACAAUGGAGGAGGACCUGGAGAUCGACGACGAGGACUCAUGGGACCUUGUGGGGAGGGACAUCCGGCUGAAGGCCACCUUCCUGUACAUUGACCUCAGCCGUGUGAUCGCCUGCUGCGAGGGCGAAGAGCACAAGAAGGCACUCAACGUCCUCGCCAACCGGUUCUUCUACUCCAUGGAUGAGGUGAGGAUCCCCUUCUCCCUGUUUGGCAUAGUUCUUGGCAAAUUCAGAUUACAACUUGUGUAUAUACCAAUUGACACUUGAGUUUAUGGAUGCCUCGAUUUGUUGAGUUUAAAUGCUAUAUAUGGUACUGUAAAGGCAAUUAGGUACUUGCAGCAGUUUAUAUUGACUAUUUGGGUCUUCUUGAUAUUUGACGACAUCUUCAUGAUAUUUCAAUUCCUUUGCCACCUUAAGCAAGCCGUCUAUGUCUUUCCUUUCCGUUUUUGUCUUGUUGUUCCCGUGGAAGCUGUAGUGGUUACUGACUGGGCCUUAGCCAAUAGAAUGCCUGUUCUCUUUUGGAAUGUACAGUUUUUGGUCAACCUUAUCAAAUCAAUGUUUGGUGUUCUUUAUACAUGUACUCAGUAGCAAUCUGACGAGUAGGCAAUCAGCACACGCUUGGUUUUGUUGAUAAAUGUUGGGUGCCUUUGUGAUUAACGAGAUUCCCUUGCACAAAAUGGGCAGCUGGGCGACGCGGUGGAGAGCAGGAGCCUCCCCCUGACGCAGGUGCGCUACAGCGACACGGCCGACGCGCUCCGCGAGGUGGUCGCCGUCCUCGCGCCGUCCCUGCAGCUCGGCCCCUGCGGCGAUCCGGAGGAAUAGAGAAACCAUGUCAGGUGCGAACGCGUUGCCGCGUCGUGACGCGGGCGAGGCGCUGGAUCAGCGGAUCUUCAUUCCAAUGAUAGGAUAGCUUGGCAUCUUCUCUAGAAGGAAAGGAAGGAUGGGAUGAGAGCCAGCCAGGAGCCCAGUGCGGCUUUGAUAUGUGGCAUGCGAUCACCUGUGUGGCUGUGUACAUAUCUUUGGAUUGGGCUGUUAGCGUCUUCUCGCUUCCGUUUCGCGUGCUGCUGAUGCUCUCUUCUCUGAUCCUGCGUGAGCGUGCAACGCGCUCUAGACAGGCAGCCAAUUAGGGAUGUCCUGAAUCCUGCUGCUGCUGCAGAUUAGAUCAGAAGGCGCCACAUGGAUUUGACAGGUCUUAAUGACGAGCCCAUGCUGCGUUUCGCCUUUCGGCACCCAUCACCAGCAGCUGAAGCUCCCGGGUUUUCUUUUGAAGCGGUUGUUGGUAGAGCCAGGGCUUUAGGCUUUGCCGAGCCGGGAGCGAUCGCAGCAGGUGCGUCGUCCCCGCGCAAGCAAGCAGUCAAAGUGAGGCGUCCCAUCAUCGGGCGCGUUAGCUGGCGGUGUGUGCUAGCCUGAAACCUGUGCUAAUGUAAAGCCCGGACCGGACACGUAUCGGGAGCAGAGUAGCCUGAGCCCUGUUCACCCUCAACUCCCAACUUUAACACUAUAAAAAAGAAGAUUCCCAUCACAUCAAACUUACGGUACAUGCAUGGAGUACAAAAUGUAGAUGAAAUUAAAAACUAAUUGCACAAUUUUGUUGUACUUUGCGAGACGAAUCUUUUGAGCCUAAUUAGUUAAUGUUUGGAUAAUAAUUCAUAAAUACAAACGAAACGCUACAGUGUGUGCUUUUGAUACCUCCAAACUUUAGCAACUAAACAAGACCUGAAUGCCUCUGAUCCGGGGGCGCUUGUUUGUGUGGAAGUCACGAAACCAUGUAGCGAGACGACAACGUUGCCUGGCGCUGCUACGGUGCCAGCGUAUCAUGUGCGUGUCUGUCUGUUCCAACAUCCUAUUCCAAGUGGACGUCACGGCCACCCCCCACGUCAAAAGCGAACCGCGCUGCCACGCUGAUGCGCCGGCCGGGGGGAGCCGAGCCGUUUCCUUUCCCCGCUGUGCCGCGAAACAUGGGGCAUCGCGGGCCGAGGGCCUGGGAGGGCACGACGACGACGAGCCUGCUGGACUGGAUUGGGCUUUCAAAAUUCAAAUGCAGCCGGUCUAGUGACUGACUGUGCAUCUAACGGGCUGAUCCGCCGCGGGGCCCUGCCGGUCCGGCCUUGUCCAGCAAAGGUCCAAUUUUGAUCCACGAACAUUCUUUGAAUGUUCCCUCUUCGAGUCCUGAAUGCGGCUGACAAAGCUCUGCGGGGGAUCACGCGUGCGACCGUAAGCAGUCUAGUCGUAGAAAUCACUUCCGGCGCCGGGGGCUCUCCCCGCCUUGCCCUUUGGCCAUCGGUGUCGCCAGAGUACCCGCCACCGCCAGUCCGCCUCAGCCAGUCGAAGGCGCGAUAAGUCGUUAACUCCGUCGUUGCAGGCCGGGGCUCCCCCGUCGUACCCCUGAUCCGCCUGUGUGUUUUUUUGGCGCAGUUGUCUUACCGGCGCUGUAAAAUCGCAUGUUAAUCUAGCACAACAUCGCACAAUACUGGCAAUUACCUGUAUCUGGGUCCUUCUAAAAGACAAUACCUGUAUCUGCGGGGAUACGAAAACUCGCUAGAGUAUCCAGUGAGUUUUGGUCAUCCUCAUGAUGGAAGGAAGUAAGAAAACUUUCUGCCCCGCGGUCUGAUCAUUCCCUCUAACAAGCUACGUAGUUCUAAAGAAGCUGUCGAAUUUUAAAGCGAAAGACCAUCUAGGUAGAGGAAUAUCGUAACGGCGAUAUAGGUAGAGUAGAGGGCCGACCCAGCCGAAUCUCCUUUUUCUUCCAUCACACAAGGUGUCAGCAACAUCAAUCAGAAAAGGUCUAUCAAGUAAUCUUUCAGAACCACCGCGUCUGAUGUGGUGCAGAGCAACUGGUAACGUUCAGGCAGGAACAUCACCAUGUCGACCAUUACACUUGUCCGCUGCGUUAUCCGAAAUACCUGGCCGAGCACACCUUACCCCGUCGAGAACCCAAAGCAGGGCUACGCUGCACAACGGUUCCCGAGCACGGCAAUGGCAUCGCGGCUCGCCGUCCGGGCGCCCUCCGCGACCCUGUCACGGGCCGAAAACACGUCCCCGGGCCCCAAGCCACCGAGCAACAGCGGGCAGAAGCACCAGAGAUCAGCCACCACCAGCCGGAGGCUUGCAACGACGGCGGCGGCGCUCCUGGCGUCCCGGCUGCUGGCGCCCGCGGCGAGCAUCGCCGCCGGCGCGUUCGACCUGCGGCUCACGCUGCCGGAGCAGUCCAGCGAGGAGGCCGAGGCCGUGGUGCGGACCCACGCGCGGAACCUGCUGCAGGUGAAGCAGUUCGUCGACGCCGGGGCGUGGCGGGAGCUGCAGGCGGCGCUGCGCGCCAGCGCGUCCAACCUCAAGCAGGACCUGUACGCCAUCAUCCAGGCCAGGCCCGCGGACCAGCGCCCCGAGCUCCGCAGGCUCUACUCCGACCUCUUCAACAGCGUCACCAGCGUCAGUAAACCACAUCGCCAUCAAGAUUUGAGGUGACCAACUGAACUGACCAUGGCAAUACGGCAUUGCUCAUCUUGUUCUGCUGUUUGUGUACGCAGCUGGACUACGCGGCCAGAGACAAGGACGAGGUCCAGGUGCGGCAAUACUACGGCAACAUCGUCUCCGCCCUCGACGAGAUUUUCGCCAAGAUCAUGUAGUUGCUCAUACCUUUAUCUAGGAUAGAUGGAGAAUGGAUUUUUUUUUCAAAAAAGGAAAACUUGGAACCUGUACUGGAAGUACAUUCACACGCAGAGAGCAACAAAUGGCGACCAGCAAAAAGGGCUUUCAUUCUUGCUAAUUGCUAUGUAGCUAGUUCUUCUGAAGGAACUGUUUAGCUAGUUCUUGUGAACUUCCUCUGCUACAUCUAUUUACCCUACCAUCUUAAGGAGGAACACAAAAGAAUCGAAGUUAUUUACAGGUGCAGCAAUGCCAGAAAAACUGCAGUUCCUGAAACCCACGUCUGUCCAGCCACCAAUGUUUAAGGCAUGUUGCAGAGGGCAGUUUGGAGGCCGGGGCAGCAGAAUGGUUUCAGUGACCUCUCCUUUUGCUUCCAGAUAGAGAAAGCAGGGAUCCUGGCUGAAUGGCGGCCCUAUCGAUCGCCAUUUGGUGAGCAAAAUGAAGCAGUACUUCUCCAUAUGGUCCAUCGAUCUACUGAUAAAAGUCUGCCUAAACUGAAACUUGCUGGCAGUGACCUACCAUCCUCUUGGCUCCUCCUUCAAAUGGUUGCUUCCAAGAACUUGGUCCUAAGAAGGAAUCAUAAAUUGGGUAGUCCGUCAACAACAGCACAAGUGUAUUUUGACGUUUGAAACAAUUAAUGAAAGAACCUGAUAUCACAACUUCACAAGGCCAAAGGUGCUUCAAAUUCUCACCAUUGAAAUGCCAGGAAGCACGAAGCUAGCAAGACUUUCAUUCACUGAGACGCGAAGCGGAGGCAUCUUGGUACUCAUUCCAGGCAGUUGGGUAGUGCUGUUUAUAGAAAAGGCAUCAUUAGCAGCAGGAGCAGCAGCUGUAUCACAAAAGCAAACCUUUCCAAGCAUUACUUAAUCUUCUCGCAACUGAACUGCAAAGGCAUUUGAGAUCGAUAAUGCUUACAUAUGUUGAAGAUCAUUAAUGUUCCUCUUUGCCCGAUGGAAGAGAUCAAUGUUGUUCUGAGCCUGCAAGGGAGAACAAAAGAUAUAACUAUAAAUAAUGCUAGGGAUAUAUUAUAUGGGGGAAAAUGCUCCAGAUGCAGUCUAACUAAAAUUGAGGGGGUUAUGCUAUACUAAAAAAAUUAUGCUUUUCUAAUCAGAUGUGCAUUUCAUCCUAAUAUAGAAGAAUAGGAAUGAUGAACUGUAAAUGGAGUAAAGUAGCAAAGAACCAUACAAACCUGAAAUGUCAGAAUAUUUGUUUCUAUUUGAUUAAGAAGCCAAUUAUUUUCCUCCAGUAGAUGCUGCACUGGACGGUCUAUCUCAGAGGCUACAUGAAGGAAAAUAUGGCAUGGUCAUAUUAUAUUACAAACAAGCAUCGUCUAAAUCUUGCCAAACUUCAGGACAUGAAUCUGCUAUAGCGCACUACUGAAAAUUACAAGGAUCUCAAGUGCAAUUUAUAUGAUAAAACUCUGCAGAUCACAUGAAAUCAAUUGAUUUACAGUAUGUUAAGCCAGGGCGAAAUGGCACGUUACACGUUGGAAUGUAAUUUCAAGUGAAUUCAGGGAAGUCCACUGAACAUUAUGACAGGAUCAAUAUGUGCAGUUAUCUUUGCAGUUUAAUGGAAAAAUGGUUCUUAGUACUAGAAAGCUGUGUAGUCCCAAAUUUGUUCUAAUAAGUUUCACAUAUCCCAAUCUACUCUCAUGCAUGUUCUUGAAACAGUAAAUAUCCGAAGUGUCAAGUUUUUUAAGCCUUUCUGUCACUUGACACAAGAAACUGCUACAAUAUAUACGACAAUAUGCAUCCAAGACUUACAGGCAAAAAGAUAUGCAUUCAACAUUAUAUUAAAUAUCAAGCUCCAAUGGAGUUCCUACCUGCGAUAAACUUAGCAAUGGAGUCAAUAAGAAGUCAAAUAGUUCAGUCACUCUAGUAUUUAGGAGUAGUAUUUACCCUCAAAGUGAAAAUUUUAAACACCAGAGUAUAAUACUGAUAAUGGCACGUGGCCAUUAACAGCAGAUAACAACGAGAUAAAUGGAAGCAAUCAAUUAGACUUGAUACUCAAGUGACCUACCAACCUCCAGAUACAAACAGAUUGUUUUGAACAUUAUGCGGCACAAAUGAAUUGGCUCUCAUGCCAGUUUGAAGAGGACGAUUUGCUCCCCAUAGUGCAGGCUCUACAAAUUUAUCCUGAUAAACAACAAUAACUGGCACCAGUUAAAAAUAUACGAACACAGGUAGUAUAUGAAUAGAACCGAUAAAUAACUGAAAUCGUGUAUAUUAACAUUUCUUAUACUUUCAAUCCCCUCAAAAAUUGUUUUUUGAAAAGCACCUUAACUUCUCAAAGUGAAUUAUUGUAUUCUUUUAUCUAAUCAUUGGCGGUAAAUAAAAGGAGCACAAUAAGGAACAAAGUUCAUCAAACAGAAAAGGAUAAUGGUACCUUUCUUUCUUUUAUAUUUCUGCCUGUAUGGUGUUCUUGGGGCUUCCUUCGCCUUGUAUUUACUUUCUUCUACAAGAUUUCCAAAUUAUUGAUAUUAAAUAAAAUAAGGAAAAUAAUUAAGUCAGAUACAAAGUGCACAUUUAAGAAAAUACAUAUUGGUCCAGAAAUGCAUCUGUCUUUGUUGUUUAGCUACAGAUGUUUCUGAUGGAACUUAAAGAUUUAAAACUGAUUUUAGUUCAAUGCAAAAUAUACAUUGAACGAACAAGUUAUCCUACCUUAGUUUUGGGAUCUGAAUUGUACAAUAUCCAUUAUAUCAAUCAAAAGGAAUAUGUAAGUUAGGGGCCUGUUUAUGUUAGGAAUAGAGCUAUUGCAACUAAUAUAGAACCAAAAAGACGGAAUACUGCCAACUAAGAGAUGCAUGCUUUAUCAUGAAAUAAGGACAUCCUGUCUCCUGAUAGCUCGUCUUUUUUCUUCAAAAAUACAAAACAACAGCAAUUUAAUAAUAGAUCAAAAUGAUACAGUGAUUGCCAACUCAGGUCUCACUAUGAUCAUGGUCCAAAACGCACAAAUCCUAUUGUUUAUAUAUAGAUUGAGAAUAAGUUUGUCUAUCAUUCAUACUAGUAUAUGCACACAUGAUUAUUGGAAUUCUAUUCAGAUCAAUCUUCAGAUGUAGUGUAAGUUUUGGCAUGCUAACUCAAAAAACAGAUCAAGGAAGAAAGGAACCAUGCAUGUUUAUACCCACGAAAGUGAUUGAUUAUUUAUGAACUUUUUGCACAGGUUGCAUAUAUUCAGUGUUCAGGCAGAUAGCAUACUUAUAAUCAGAAAAGAAAAGAAAAGGGUAGCAUCUUUAUAAUCAACAACAACAACAUAGCCUUUUAGUCCCAAGCAAGUUGGGGUAGGCUAGAGUUGAAACCCAACAAGAGCCACAAACCAGGGUUCGAGCACAUUAAUAGCUGUUUUCCAAGCACUCCUAUCUAGGGCUAAAUCUUUGGGUAGCAUAUUUAUAAUCAGAAGAAAGAAAGAAAAAAGACAUUUUUCAGUACAAGGAAUAACAUUGUACAAAAAUCUGUAGAGAUUAGAGGCUGCUUACCCCUACCCAUUGGCACCUCAUUGCAACGUCUCUUACUGUCUUGUUUGGUAAUGAUGCUGCUAUCUUUAUAUACUUCAUGAUGCCUUGUUCAUGAACAUAUCUGAGAGUUUUUCAUGGUUGUACACCCAGAAAAAAACAAAGGGAUAGCAAUGAAUCAAUGGUCCCAAACUCCAAAAAAAUAUUAAAAAAAAUCUGUGGAAGCAUUGUUCGGAUCAUCUGAAUCCAUUGGACACAGCAGUAAGAUAAAAUUAAACAAUAGAGGCCAAAAGUUAUGAAAGGAACAGAGUUGUAAAACAGUAGAUAUGCAUGUGAUAGUUGAGAAAGCUUACUUCUCCAGGCCAUCUCUCAGAAUUUGAAGCUCAAGAUGUGUCCAAUCCGCAGCCAGCGGCGCUCCGUAUUUGAGGUUGGGUCCGGGAUCAGCUGGCAAAUUAGAUGAACCAGUAGAAACAACCACUGAAGGUGUGCUGCUCAACAUCCCCACGCUGGCAUCCAUUCCAGUGGAACAAUCCAGGUACGCUGGCAUGCUUCCUGACCCACUAGUGGUUGGGCUUGGCUGAAAUGAAACUACAUGCUGGUUGCAGAGUGAUUGGGAAAACGCCCCAAAAUUCAUAUUAGGAUCGUCUGCCAUUUGCAAGCAGAGCAAAUUUUCCAGAACAGAUUUAGGAAUUUCCAGCCUAUAAGAAAGCUCUCUGAGCUCCAAACAACUUAUGAAAUGGCAGUAUCAGAUGAGAGGUCAGUUUAACUAGCUACAGGUUGCACUGCAUUUUCACACAAUCUGAACGAGUUUUGGCUAGUGCACCAAGAACCUGCAGAUGACAUUAAAUAUGUUAAAAGAAAGUUAGCCUUCCAAACAAAUAGAUUAGAAUUAAGAAGAAGAAACUAAAAAUUUCUCUGCUGAGACUGCCAGGGAAUAAAGAGGCUCAGAAACAGAUCUUUCACUUUGCAAAUACCCAAUUGAAAACUGCAACCCUCUGUCAGUUUUGUAACCAAAGGAAUUCUCAUAACGUACGAGGAACACAACAUUAGAACAUGGAAGAAUCAAACCGGUAGGGAAAAUCAGGCAUAAAUGAGUAGCCUGCAUGCAAAUCCUCGAAACAACAAAGGUAAGACCAUCAAAGAAACAAAUCAAAAAAGGAAAUUGUGGACAGGGACCUGGCCAACCUACCCCCCUGCAGUUCGUAAGUACUAGAAAAUGACCUAGAAAAUCCAAAUCUAGAAGCGAUAAUGAUUAGUUGUACAUAAAGUCGGACCCCGCCAAUCAACUGCGGCCGUACAAUAUCCAUGCAAAACCCUGUCAACGAACUGAAUUUUCACGCCGAGAGUUCAUGCCAAACCCAAAACUUUUUAACCGCGCACGAUUCCGGCGAGGGUACCAAUCCAAGAAAAACGACGGCGGCCCCGAUCCUACGGGAACCAGAUCAAGCAGCAGGAAGCACAGGCGCAGCAAGAAUCCGGGUCGACAAACUUACCCAGGCCAAAUCCGAUCUACUAUCUGCUCUCGCCCGGCAGCAGGCAGGGACCCCCACCGGAGAAGCCAAGCUCCAGCCGGUUUGAUCCUCGCCUGCCUCCCUCACCAGGUGCGCGUUGGAUCGUGUGGUGCGGCGGUGUGCUUGGUGGCGAUGGUGGUGGUGGUGGUGGAAUGCAGUUUGCUUCUUUAAAUGGUGCCGCCCAGCUUUGCGCGCUCCAAUGGGAGGGACGGGGAGAGGCCACAGCCGAAAAAGCGGCGGCCCCGCCGCACCAGUAAACCGUAUAUGCCUCUCACUCUGGCCUCUCCAAAAGCAGAGGUCGUGUGCCAAUUUAACAACUUGCGCACGCAAAAAGAAUCUGAGAUCGAGGGAAGGAAGCGGUCUCUCUGUUGGGAUGGAAUUCACCAGAGCAGCUGCCUGGUGCUCUGCUAGUACGGGGAAGGGGCCGGCACCGGCAAUGGCCUCCGAACAAUAAUUGCCACUAUUGGGUUGUAGCCUAGGUUCCCCCCUCGUCUUCCCCCUUUCCUCUCUCGGUUAGUUCCAGCUCUCUCGUGCCAGGAAAGCAACACGCCCAUCCUAUUUUAGGGGGUGUUUGGCCAGGAGGGGCUAAAUUUUAGCCCCUGUCACAUCGGAUGUUUGGACACUAAUUAGGAGUAUUAAACAUAGUCUAAUUACAAAACUAAUUGCACAACCCCUAGACUAAAUCGCGAGACGAAUCUAUUAAGCCUAAUUAGUCCAUGAUUUGAUAAUGUGGUGCUACAGUAACCAUUCGCUAAUGAUGGAUUAAUUAGGCUUAAUAGAUUCGUCUCGCGAUUUAGCCUAGGGGUUCUGCUAUUAGUUUUAUAAUUAGCUCAUAUUUAAUCCUCCUAAUUAGCAUUCGAACGUGUGAUGUGACAGGGCUAAAGUUUAGCCCGUGGCAUCCAAACGCCCCCUAAAAACCCAAGCUUUUCCCAUUAAAAAAAACAAGCUUUUUCUCAGUUUUGCACUUCCAACUCAGCCUGAUAAAGUUGCAUUGCGGUUGUUAUGUGUUUGUUUUCAUCCGCCUUCCGUCCAAACCAAGAGCAUAAAAGGUGAAGGCAAAACAAAGAAGCAAAAAUAUACAUCAUUUUUAUUUUUUUUUAAAAAGAUCAUUUUUAUUAAUUAGACUUCCCUUUUAUCAAUAUACGAAUUUCAACUAGAAUUAUGCCCCCUGCGGCUUGGUAGCUCCAAGCUUUUAUGAAAGGCGAGUUGCAAGAGGGCGUUUAUUCCAUUAAAAUUCAUGAAGUCUUAUUUUGUAGUUUGUUUAUUACAUGAAUGGAAUUUUCUCUCUUUCGAAGAGCAAAUUCAACUGAAUGAUAUAACUCCUAUGGUUUGGUACCGCUAAAAUAUGUAGGAAACUUCCUAGUCAAUUUGUGGUUUUUUAGUUACGGGACAAAACUUUCAAAUGCAUGACAACAAACUAGAAAAGCCAAAAAAUUCUACUAUAAAAUUCAAAUGUCAACUAAACUUUUAAAAUUGUACCACUGCUGCCCUCCCUCCUCCCUUGCAAGGAAAAAUUUGACAAAAAAGGAUUUGUGGCUAGGUGUCUUUAAAUCUUCAAUCGGGGGAAGAGUAGACGUGCUUAUGUCAAAUGGGUUGUAUGGAUUCUACUGGGAAGAGAGAGGGAUAGCCCAAUGAUGAAAAAAAAGACAUGAGCUCCAAUGAAAUCUGGAUGAUCGACGUUUUGAUAUAAGAGAUCGUUUUGGUUGUUGCUUCAUUUUUCCGGACUUUUAUCAGGCAAUCACGGUAAAUGUUGGAUACGGAAUACAUUGGUCUGGCACACCCUCUAGAAUCCAAUUCUCUCAGCUUGGUCCAAAGAUAUCAGUGACUAUAUUUUUCUUCAAAAAAAUAUGAUAAUAGUGUAAUACCUGCAUGGUAUCAUAUCAGAUACCUUGGGAGUGGAAGAUGGACCCAUAUCUCCAAAAAGACUUUUAACUAUCAGCUAAAAGUAGUUUUUAUUUUAAUAUAGUCACAAGGGUGAAGCCUUUGAGCUCUCUCUUCCUCUUCCUAAAUUUGCAUGUCCUUUCUUCUCCAGUGACCCAACCUAAAAUCUGCAAGCCCCUCUUUUAAAAAUCCCCUUUUGUUGUUUUUUCUAGUGCAACCUGAGACUGAGUGGCCGUUCCAUUCCCCCGCAGAACCUCGCCUUUUGAUCUGAAUGUGGACUUGGAAUCGGAUCCUACUAAUUUUCUGAGAACCAAAACUAAGAUCGCGUUCGCUAUUUGGGCGUGACUCAGCGACUCCAAUUACCAUUGAGCAGGCGGAAUCUGCCCCCGGGCCCCAUCUGCCACGCACGAAGAUUCACUGCGAUCGAUCGCGGCCGUGCGAAAGCCGAGCCCCCAGUGAUCCCACGGACGGGGGCCUCCGAAAGUUGAGACAAACUGGCUCUUGGCGAUACCACCCACAGUAACCAAAAGUUUUAGCCGCGUCAUGUCAGGCAAAGGCCUGGGCCAUGUGACCGUGUGUGUAUGGAAUCAGUUCGGUGGAGCAAUCGAGUGCAUCAGGGAGUAAGUGGCCCGUGUUAUUGGCUAGUCGUAUUGUAGCUGGAAUAUAUGGGAUGUGAAUCGAUCGACAGCCUCCUUCAGAUUUUUGCUGGGAGGGAGGGAGGGAUCUGGUUCGCGCUCCGUCGGCACGUGUCAAAGCUCGGACCUGUGGCUCCGGAAUCCGGGCAGCUCGUUCGUCCGUCCCCCGCAACCCGCCGGUGUGGCGUCCGGCGCGUUUCCGUCUGGAAUUCGCGUGGGCAUCGUUCGUCGACGGUCCUCGCCCACCUCAAAAGCUUCGGAGCAGGGGCGGGGCGGCGCCCGCGGGCAGGGAACCCAGCGGCCGGGCGACGCGCGUGACCGUUGGUGCCGCGCGCACGCGUGCAUUUCCCCUCAAGGAGCGGGGCGCGGGCACGGGAUCACGCGGCCACCCUCGCCCCGGGUCCCUGGACGAGGCGAUCGAGCCGGGGGUUGGUUUCUGGCAAUAAUUGGUCGCGAGCGCGCCGGCGGGCGGCGGCUGGAGAAAACGGCGAGGGGGGAUCCACCACCCCACUCCACCUCGUUUCGGGCGGGUGGUGGCAUGUAUAAAUUUGGAUCGCCGGGCCAGCACACCAACCCCGCGCGCUCCGGUCCGGCGGCGCGCGCGCGACCGCAAGCGACAGCGGGGGGGCGUUCACACACACGCCGCCACGGGCGCGUGCAGCGCACACGGCAAGUGGCCCGUGCCCGCGCGCGAUGGGAGAGCGCGGAAAGCGGCCGGCCGUUCCAUUCCGUGCCAUGACCUCUUUUUUUUGGAGAGAGAUGUUGGAUGUGCAAUGCGUCUGGUCGCGCGCAUUAUUGUGAGGAGACCGGAGAGCCUGGCCGGGCCGGGCGGUCCCAGCUUGGCGUGGCGGUGGCGGUGGCCGGUAAAGAAUUAUUAGCGUUCGUCGUCCUUGGCUGGCACUGGCAGAGGGUGCGCCGUGGAUCGAUGGAUAAGGCUCGACAGGAGGAGGAGGCUGCUGCUGCACAGUGCACGCUGGCUUUUUAAGUGGCAAACCUGGCCGUUUUGGCGGCUGCAGAUCUCCGGUACGUGAUGAGGCCAACGUGUUAAACGUUGGCGCAUGGCUCGUGACGCAUGGCGUGCGGCACCGUCACGUGUCGCCGAGAUCUGGUCUCUCCAGCCUUUUUCUCCGUAUGGUCUGGGCUGGAACACGUCGUGUUUUGUCCCAGGAGUUGUAGCGUACAGCAGAUUCGUGCAACGAAGUCAUGUUGCUCUCUGCCUCUCUGGUCACCCUGGAUUUGAGAAUUGAAUUUCAGAUGCUCGACCCGGAACGCAAAUAUUGCUCGUGCUAAUUCGUACUAGCUGUAGCUGACUAGCUGAGUGCCAACUUCCUUGCAGAAUCUUCAGUUCCAGCUGAAAGGGCUUGGACUACUUUACAGAUCUGCCCAUACUUCCCCUUUAUUUUCCUUCUCGGAGAGGCCACGAUGUGUGUGCGUGCGUGUUUUCUUUCUUUCUUUACUACUAGUAUACUUCCUUUUGCUCUACCGGAAAUUCGACCUCUCUUUCCCCACAAAAGAAAAUCUGGGCGAUCGUGGGAAACGUACGGGCGCAUAUUAAACUGCGGCGGGCCCCAACUCAACUCGCCGGAAUUGCAAUGCAGCGCUGGUUGUCACUAACCAAGCAGCAGCUGCUGCUGCACAGGCACAACACUCGCCAGUGACUGAAAGAAAGGUGCAGUGCAGUAGACUACUACUACUGGUAAGUAGCCCUGGCCCAGCAUUGUUUCGGCCUGCCUUUUUUCGGGGUGGUCCCUCCGAGGUGGGAGCUCGGGCCCACCAACCCGUCCUCUUCCCCCCGAAAUGGCGAGGCGGCCCAUCAGCCCAUCGCACCCACUAGCACUAAGCAAGCAGCAGUCACGCGCAUGUGUGCUGCUGUUCCUUCCCCCACAGCCACAUCCACUUCGUCGCAAGGCACCGUCCCCAGUUCACCACCCUCUCGUCUCGACCGAAGAACAACACGGCUCGGGCAACGGCAACGACGUUUCCAUAUUCGACCUGCGCCGUCUUCCUCGGCAACGCAUCAUCAGAUGACGACGACGAUCCACGCGAGCCCGCAGGAGGCACCACUGCAGGCAGCGAUGUAGUUGCAGACUCAGCGAUCAGCGUCACCGCCCCUGUGGCACCGAGCCGGGGCAGGGCAGGACGGCGACCGAACGAGCGAGCCACGAGUCAAGUCGCCGGCGACAGGCCGGACCCGAUCGACGCACACUAUGCCUUACGCGCAAAGCAAAGCACAUCACUAACCAUAGGCCGUAGCCAACGCAACAGAGGGAAAAGAACAGGAAAAAGAUUAGAGAAGAAAAAAUCGCUUUUGCACAUCGAGGCCACCUGAGAGGCCGGCGGCCGGCGCCGAUAUUAUACUUGGCGCCUCGCUGGCUUUAUCCAACCGGGACGAACGGGGGGAGCAGCGAGCAGAUAGAGGGGGAGCGAGUGAAAACUGAAAAGAGGGAGCAGGAGCCACCACCGAUCCGACGCCUGAAGCUGGCCAGGAUCCGGCGGCUUUAUUCGGUCCGGCCCACCGCCAAAAAGACGCGGAGCAAAUCUUAUAUUCCGGCAACACGAGGCUGAACCCCAACUUGCCGCGGAAUCUAACGGCUCCUUCCUCCCCUUUCAGAUCCCUCCAAGAGUCAAAACCACGCAAAAGCCGCGGGGAUGGAUGGAUGGAUGCACAGGCGCGCGAUCGGCCGAGGAGGAGCACAUCAGAUUCCUUGGAGGAGGACGGGAAAAGGAGAGGAAAAGGCUCUGGCCUGCGGGGGUUGGGCGCGAGUGACACCGUGACAGAAUCCACUCCGGGGCGCGGAGAUUCCAGAGGCCACCCAGAUACUAUUCGCUUCCUCCCUUUACCGGCAGUGGCCCUGGUGCUCCCGCAACUAUGGAUGGCAGGCCUUCCUCCCUGCCCCGGCAACUUGCUCGCCGUCGCUGUGCCAGUCCCUGGAUCCCUUGCCCCUGCAGCUAUGGAUGAUGAUGAUGAUGCGGGUGAGGGGCGUUGCCGCCGGCAUGGAUCCGAUCCGCCGAGCCGGGAGCUCUGGCGAUUCCUCCAUAUCCGGGUAAAGGAGGCGUCGAGAUCGAUUCCGUUGGGGUGUUUCUCCAUCCGGGGGCGGGGUCGGCAUUGUAUUCGCUUCUUCUUGAACCAACGACAGGGCUCUUGCACUUAUCCGGAAACACAGAGAGGCUGAUUCUCCUUAGGAUCUAGGCGCUGAGGCCACUUGGUGCUCGUGCAGGUCCGAAGAACAGGGGCCACGAGCUCACGAAGCGCGGUGGAUUCCAGGCGGCAAUCAUGGGAUGGGCGCGUCGCGAGAUGCCCUUUCAUGUGCUUCCACAGGCGCCGGACGUAACGUCCGGCACGGGCGCACGGCGCAGCGGGUUCGUGCGCGCUGCGGUGGGCGACGCCCGGGCAAUUUGGGCACUGCCGCGCGACCCCAUUGGGCGAGACCGGCUGGCAUCGGGCUCGUCUCUCCCGGUCAGCCGGGUGCCCUCGCUUUGCAAUUGCUGGGCGCGCGCAGAGGAGCUCGAGCUCAUGGCAGACAUGCACGGAUUGCAGUAUACAGGGAAAAGCCAAUCAUGGAGCGGGAGAAAGGGUAGGGGAAUAAACGAGCUGGAAUGAUAGGAGGCACCGGGAGCAUGUGCAGCGUAAAUGGGUAAAAGGGCACUGAGAAGCGACCGGAGUUGAAAAUGUACUAGGAUUCUCGCGCUCAGAUCUUGCGCCCAUAAACCAUCCUGACACCUGACAUCGAGAGCAAACAUACAAGUCAACUGUUCAAGGUGCAAGGUCACGUUCUAAAAGCUCACCACUCGCCAGGUCCAGGUUUCCAUUGCCAGGUAGCAGUUGAGCGCCUGGAUACGCGCUUACCAGAUCUCAGGUAGUGAAAACGUCUUAUGUACAUGCAAAGCUAACCCUUUGUUACGGAGAUAACACUGACUUAACAUACCACCACCAUCCUGAAGGGUGCAACUACUAAGGCAAUCAUUUUCGCGUCAUCGACUAAAUACUAUAUACCGUCUUAGGUUAGAGGUGGAGAGCUUGGAUCGAUCGAGCAGUUCCACAUUUAUGGGAUGGUAUUGCGGCAACAAACUAUGAACGAUGAAUGCAGUGCCAUGCUCACCUUCUUCCAUAGCCACGGUAGAACCCACCAGCAACCCAGUAGUGCCGCCGAACGCCUCCAACUCUGUUUGGACCAACCCAGCUAACACGCCCCGGCCAUCCAGCAAGAGGCAUGUUGCCGCUUCCUCCUUGGUCCCAGUCCCCGCCUUGCAGCGACCCUGCGUCCAGCUCUUCCUCCCUUUCGUUGUACUCAAGAAUUUUCCGCUUGAUGUUCUGCAUCUCCUCGAGCUCAGCAGCACUCUGCUGCUUCGUGCUCUGCACGAGUGGGCAGUCCCCGGGGAUGAGCAUUUGCUUCGUCUGCUGCUUAUGCCCUCUCUUCACAAGCACCUUGACGCGCACGUCGCCGAGAUCACCAGGUUUGCCAAUCUCACCGUCACCACACACAUUUUCUUUGUCCGCUGCUUCAAUGGCCAUCAAGUCCUUUGACCCCUCAAAGGCAUUCAUUGGUAUCGUCAUGUUCACAGUGGGCCUAGCCAGCUCCAACUUACGUGACUCCAAGCUUUCCUGAAGAAUGGCUUUCAGUUCUCUGUCAAAGUCUUCUUGUUCCUUAGCAUCAACUUGCACCACCUUCCGUCGAACCUCAACAGUUCCUUCUUCAUCUGAACCAACAGGUGCAUCAAUGUCCUCACUGUGGUCUUCAUUUUCCAACCUGUCAUCUAAUGUUUCCUCGUACGGAAAACUUUCCCCGUCUUCAUGUCCACUCCGGUAUCUGCUUCUGCUAUCUGAAGAGCUCUCACUAUCUCCUAUGUCUUCAUGGCUCUUAACAUUUUUCUUAGGUCUAUUUGCUACCCUCUUGCCAUUUGUAUCAAAAGCAGCAUUUUCAGAUUGUUUCAACUGCGAUUCACUGUCCAAGUGCCUUUUGUCUCCACCUUUCUCAACUGCCAUCACACGCUCAUUUUCUUCAAGCUCAACAAGCGCAUCAUUUAAUCCUUCUAUGGAUGAAUGCCUCGUCAUUUUGGGUCGUAACUCAGCAAACAUAUCCUGCAGCACAUAUAAAUAAUUUUAGAAGUCAUGCCUGACUUUUCAGUGAGUCAAGACAAAACUAUUGUGGAGCCUAGACCCUACUUAUCAUGCCUUGGAUUUGCAACCUUAACAAGUUCCUGACGUUUAUAGUUAGAACUAACCUGAACAUCAAAUUCUACAUCAAGUGGUAACGGCCCUUUUCUGAGAGCAUAUCUUUGAAAAAGUAGCAAAAAUCUGUCGAGCCUUCUUUUUGAAGAGCCUCUAGAAAAAUGGUGACCACAAGUCUGUAGAAGUGUAACGAUCAGCCUGAUCCUGAAACAAUCUUCCGGGGGAUCCAGCAGAUCUUGCUGCACAAGAUACAAACGAAGUACAUUUUUAUACAAAUAAAUAAUAAAUGAGGAUGUAUAGAUUUUAUUUUAAAACAUAUACACCCAUAAAGCCUUAGAGAUGAGGAACGAGAAAUAAAAUUCAGCACCAUUUUUUAACUACGCAAAAUGCAAAACCAGAAUUCUAGACCUCAAGCAUGCAAAGGAAAAAUGUGUGUCUUAUAUACAGUUUUGGGAGAAAACAAAAAAAUAUGCAUAUAAAGUGCUUAAGAAUGCCACAACCAAAAUUCAAUUUUUUCAAUAAUUGUAUCUUAACAAGUGUGUGCAGUUUUUUUCUUAAAAAAUAUUAAAUCAGGUAAAAUGCUGGCACUUCCAAACUUCAUAAGCAAAUCUCCAAAUUAUUGAAAGAGUGAUACCAAUGGCAAGUUGUAUAGGGUUUUAUUAAGUAUUAUUUACCUCAGGUGUUCCAUGACCAAAUAUAGUAAGAAGGUUUAGUGUCUCAAAUAUAACUGAUGAAUCAAUAUACUCAUAGUUAUAUAGCUCCCCAAGAAACCGCAUAUGGGCAAGGCGUUGCUGCUGCAUUGCAUAGUCGUUUAGCUCAAGUCCAACUCUAAUCUCCUCUAGAACCUGCAUCGGGAUAAAAAGGUAGUAAAUCUUGAGUAAGUUUGCAAAUGAAUUAAAUGAAGUUCACAUCAUGUUUCAAGUUGUUGCAUAUGCAGAUACCAGAUUAUUUAAGAGAGACUAGACUAUCAAUAUGCUUUUAAGCUCGAAUAUAGAUGAUAACUAAUGCUGAAUCAGGACAUGGAUGAAGAAAGUGUACAUCUACUAAGAUUUGUUUUGAGACAGAUUACACACAAUGAAGCAAUAAAUAAGUCAAGCGCCAAACUCAGAGAGUACAAAUAAAGAGAUUUUGUAACAGUAGAAACGUGCAUGAUUCCCUUCCACUACUACUUUCUACUGGAUGUUUGGAAGAGUUUGCCAUUUCAACUAAAGUAACUCACCUCAUCUACCACUGUCACAGCAAAGUCAUGAUGAUAGUGACUAAGACUAGCAGUGAGUAAAGCAAUCAGGUGAACAUGGCUAUACUUUCCCUUGUGAACCUUUAGAAAACACUUCACAAGGUACUGUUCACAGUCUGCCCAAGACAACUUGAGCAAUUGAAGAAGAACAUGUUGAACAGUAGAUUUGUCAAGAUCGGAGAAAAGUAACCUCCUUAUGUACUGCAUGCAUUGAAAAUAAUUAGUAUAUUAUGCAUCGAAGUUUAUGUACAAGUAGCCAGAAUUUAAAGACUCUGGAGGAAAACAAAUCAGAUAAGAAAUGAUAAUCUUACUUGAUGUAGAUGUGGCCGAAGUUUAGAGACUCUGGAAGAUCUUUCUGGAGGUUUACAUAGGUAAUAGGCAUUUUCUACAAGUGUGCUAUGGUGUGCAUCCAAAUUCUUGACAUUUUUCAAUCUCUUCAGUAUCUCCAACAUGUUUGACAUGCGAAUUGUAGUUUCUGGCAAGCGAUAAAGAAAGCGUCCACAGGUCUCAAGAAGAUUGCAGGCCACAUCAAUGUUAUGAUGUGUGAAAUCAUCUAAGCAAGCCUGAAGAUACAGAAGGAUUGCAAGACUAAGUUAAGUUCAUAGUAAUUCAACAUAAUAAAAACAUAAAACAGUUAGCUUAUGUGAAGUAAAACAUAAACAAAACCACAAGAAAAUUUAAGAAUUCCAGUGAAGUAAACAGGCAAAUACUAAUUCCAUAUUGAUCUAUAUGUAGAUGUGUAUACCUUCAAACAGCCAAAAACAAGGCAUGAAGGCGCAAUUUUGAAUUUGCACAACUCCCCAAUAAAUCGAAUGUUUCUAAUUUUAGUUUCAAUUUUGAUCUGAUCCUGAAAAGGAAACACAGACGAUAAGCAAAGUUAUUCUUGACUCUAGAACUGUAAGAUGUAUUAUCAUGGACCAAAGCAAGCUAUAUCAUGGUAUCAAAUGAUAGUGUGCUAUUAAUAUGAACAAACCUUCUUAUUUAUCAAAAAAUUAAACUCCUCUUCAAGCAUUGACAAUAGCAUACUCGGAAGAUUCUUCAUAAAUGGCGACAAGGUGGCAACUAAUCGGGAAUAGUAAGGUAGCAGUUCCAAAGAAGUCCUUGGAACACUGAAUAAGGCCCGCACAAGUUUCUUCCUGUUUGCUUUAGAAUUCAGGUAGCAAAACUCUACCUGGAAAAAGGUAAACGAGUUUAAGAAUAAGGAGGGCAUAAUUGUCUCAUGUGUGCAGACAUACAAAACAAAGCAUCUGUUCUUACUGCCAAUUGAUCAACUAGAUCACGGCUACCACAUCUUGGCAACUUCUGCAGCAGGCUAUCCAAGCUUGCACCAUCUACGCCUCGUACUUUCUCUCUUUCAGUAUCUCCUUUCCUGCCAACAAUCAUUUCUUCAGAUGUUUCUUUAUCCACUCUUUCUUUUUCAGUGUUCACUCUAUUCUUGUGCUCCACAUUUGUUUUUCCACCGGAUUGAUGUUCAGUAUCUUGUACUUCAGUCUCUGACUGCAUGGUACACUCCUAAUGAAACAAAAUCAGUAAGCUUAGUAGUUAGUAAAGACAAAAACUGGGUAAAAACAAGUUGGGGGUGGUGUCAAAUAAUAGAAAUAUUCACCCCCUCUUCAAACAAAAAUGUUGAAAGAGGGAACAUAAUUACAAAACAUGGUAGUUAUAAAAGUGAAUGGAAAUACCCCCAAAAAGAUCAUGCAGUGGAGGAGUGUGCGAGGGCCUAGAAAAUAGUAUUAAGGAAGUAAGGGAAAGAACUGAAAGACAAAGGACUGUCUGUGCUACCAAAGAGGCAAAACCUAAAAUGGGGGGAAAAAGGAAAAGGUGAGAAGAAAGAAGAUCGAUAGCAGCAAAAUGAGAAGUCACCAUGACAAUGUUUGAAAGUUCAGCUUAUCAAGCCAAAAUCAAACCUUGAAUUAAUUCCUGAAAAUAGAUACAAGUGCAAAGUAUGAGAGAUUUACAUUAGAUUGCUGGUGAACCUUUCCAUGCUGCUCUGCCAAUGUUGGUUCAGCUUGUCCCAGUAGUACAGCAGGCACAAAUGCUCUGCUCAAAAUAUAUGGGUUACGCAGGUGAAAAUUAAAAUCACAUGAUGGAAUUACUAACAAUUCUGUACCCUGUAGAGGGAUGUAAAAUAUGAUUUAGUCCAAGGAAAAACCUGAGAUCAGGUAAAGAUUCAUAGAAAGCCUUGGUGUCCUCAUCAUCCCAUAUAUGUUGUACCACAGAGGAUUCUUUCUCAGAAGUGGUUAAGUCAGUGCCUGUGGUAAUCCUUGUUGUAUGUCCAUCUUCCGGCAUAACAGGAGGCUGCAUACCAAGAGCUUCAGCUAAGCUACAAGACAGUAUAUUCAAAAUAUUUGUCAGCAAUAUGCACAGGGAUGUAUAUGAUCCUACCACUGACUAUUCUAGCAAUGAGGUAAAAACAAAAGUGGACUACUUGCAAAGAUAUAGUUUGUUUCUUUCUUUACUUCAUGUAAUAACUAGAAAUAAUAUUCUUUAAGAGAAUAUGAACUAAGAUGACCCCCAAAAGGUGCUAUCAUAUGUAGACUACCAUGGUGGCAACUAUGCUGAUCUCCCAAAAAUGCAAGUAGUUCAGAAAUCCAGAUUUUUGUUUUCUUAAUACUUGCAGACUGAAAAGUAUGAUAAUUAUUUUUCAAUUCAGUGAACUAAAUAAAGGGAUACUUGUGAAAAUACAUAACCAAUUAUUAUUAAUUAAUAAAGGAAUGAAACAAGCUGCUGUUGCUCAGGAGGAUAACUCACGAGGAAACACAGUGCAAUAACUGAUCAAAAGAUCUUCGCAGAUUCUCAUAUGAGGCAGUAUUCUCAUCGCUGAGUUCUCCUUUGGCAUUCAAAAUUUUUGCAUUUUCCAAUUCCAUCACACGAAGAGACUGUAGAAUUGAGUUGGUUGUUAAUGUAAUGAGAUGGUAGAGUAACACAUGCACUGAAAAAUACAGUAGGUUCCCCCUGCUGUAUUUCUCUAAAACUACCAAGUUAACAAAGAAAAUGUAAUUACCGCAUGUUCUGACAAGAGAAGUUCGCUUGCUGCAUCAUAGUAAGAGCAAAAGGCUUUCUUAAAGAAUAUCUUCUGAUCAAAAGUAAUAUUGAGGCCGGUAAAGAACUGCAGCGAACAAAAUAAAUGUAAUCAGUAGCCAUAACUCAAAAGAACUGUUCCAGGUGGUAGUAAUAAACCUAAGAUAUGGAAAGCAUGGUGCCUUGAUGGUAUUCAGGCACAAUACUUCAGUAUAUCACUUUGCAUACAUCAUUGUGCCACAAAUAAAAGUCUAGGUGAAUGAAUGAGAAUUUUUUUCCAUGACUACGGACAUAGAGAGACAUUAAUCAAAUUAUCUUCCAGUAUAAUUUCAUGGAAUUCCCCAAAACUCGGCAUGUUAGCAUUUUCCCUCCUGGCCUCCAGAAUAUUACUAGAAAAUACGCUGCUAAGUUGCUACAGGUAGAGAUCUCCUGUGCCAUCUUUUUGUAUGAUCAGCAAACAGGUGAUAGUGAAACACGGGGGCCUCCCCCGCUGUAUAGUUUUUUUAAAAAAAAAGACAAUAGUGAAACUACAAUUUCCAAACCUCAUCAUAAGCAUCUUGCUCAUGUUGUUGCAGUCCAAGAAAAGAUUUUCCUUGACGAGCAAAACUAGCAAGGAGAGACAAAUUUGUCUGCGUUGUUUCCCGAUCCUUCAAAUGCUCCAGUGAUGUAAGACCCUUUAUAAUGGUUGUGAAAGUACUAACAUCUUCAAAAAUUCCAACAAAAUACAGUUCCAUUAGAAGUUUAAGAGUGCUUCUCUUCUUCAUGGCUCUUGCAUUCUUGUCUAAAUCUGGUUCUCCAGACAUCUCAGGAUAGAAGGUCUUCAAGAGUCCUUGAAUAAGGCAAGGAGAGAAGUCCAUGUAUCUUUGAUGGAGUAGCGAGCAAAUCUACAUUACAUGAGAUUCACUAUAAGAUUAAUAGUAUGCAGAUAAGUACAAUAUCGCUAAGGAAUUAAAGUAUAUAACAAAAUGUGUAAUGCUGCACACUGCACAAGCACAGUGCAGCAACAUGCUUCACUUAUACAGAACAAAUAGCUAAUCCAUGUAUGGAAAUAAACCUUAUGCAGGAAUAUAUGAUGAGCAGGGCUGAAAGCCUGAACUAAGUGUAUAUUUUGAGAAUUGGUAUUGACUAAGUAAAUCAGAUAUUCAUACUGGAGUACUGUACAUACCUGAACUGCAGCUUGUAUGUCAGUAGAACGGAGCUUGGCAGUACAAAUGUAAGAAACUGCUUCACCGACAAAUUUGCUCAAGUUUACAGUUUUCAGUUCUUCCAUUAACCCGUCCUUUACUUCAUCAUUUAUCACUUUGAGUUUCUUGAUGAUUGUUGUAUUGCGUUUAAUACUGGAAUCAAGAGUCCUUAUGUGAUUUGCAUCUGAAAUGAAAAAUUAGUUCACAUCAUCAUCCAUGUAUGUCAGAUGUCAAGAUUGAUUAAUCAAAACAGUAACCAUCAUCUCUGGUACAAAAAAAAAAAGAGUUUUAGAAUAGAUAAACAAGCAAGCAUGCAACUAUCAGGCCAAGUUCCAAUAGCAAUACACUGGGGAGUUGUUUGGUUGCUGAAAUAGAGGUGGGAAUGGGAAAUGUUGACUGAGGUUAACUAAAUCCAUUGUUUGGUUGAAGGUUUAGUCAUAUCAAGUUCUUUGUUACCAAAAAAAUUAAAAAAAAAGAAAUGAAAUAAAGGGUGCUGUUGGAUAGUAGACUAGCAUUUUUGUGUCUAUCCUCAGGCAAAGUGAUUAACAUAGCAAUCUAGUGUGCCAAAGCAAGAAAUAUGUUUUAGAAUUUUUCUCCCCUGACAAAAGAGCAAAGAAACCAACCAAGAAGCUAGGUUCCCUGGUCUACAGUCCAAAUGUCCAAUUUUCCCCUAAGAAAUGCUGGAGAAAGAUUUAAGCAGAUCCUAUUUAACUACACAAGUGAAGCAGCUGCUUUGAUGUGAUUAGAUGAGCAAGGGCAGCCUCUUUUAUCAAUGUGGCUAGCACUUCUAGUCCUUUAAAAUUUACAGGGAACAUAGAGCUUCUUUACGGUCCUUGGAAAGGUACCUAGAGGUCCAAAAGUAUAGCUUGAGAUUGGUACCUCAGAUACCAAAAGUUGUAUGGUACCUAAGGUGCCAAAUUAUGGUACACCAUAAGUUACAAUUAGCAGUACCUCUUCGUAGUUGGUACUUGGGACCUCUACAAGGAUAGUAAAAAAAAAAAAGCUCAGGUACAUGUGAAACAAACAAUACAAAUAUUGCCUUAUAUACCCUCAGUAAGGACUCUGCUUAGUUCCUUUAGGUACCAGCUCAACAUUUUCACAGAUAUGCAUCGAUGUACUGCACAUAAAAAGGACUAUGAUACCAAUUAGGCCUUGAAAAGAUUCAUGUGUCAAGCAAAGGUGAACAUUUUAGAGCUGCACAUAAUGUAGACUUCUUAGGAAGACAAAGGAAUGCGUGCAUGAAACAUGUUUGUUCUGAAAAGACAUCCAAGUGCACCUUAAGCUUGAGAGUAAUUGGCUAAUUGCAAGUCUAAGCCAAAAGAAUAGUUUGAAGCAAACAGAUCUCCAUAGACAGAAAAUGAUUAAAACCUAGACUUAUAAAGAAACAGCCAGAUGGCGCUAGAAGAUGACAGAAGGAGCAAGUGGCCCAGACGACCUGCACCAGAUAGUGUUGUAUUAAUGAAGAAAGGUAUGAUGUAGGGAAAUUAAAUCCAUAACUAUGAGAUAAACGUGCACUGACAGUUGUACAAGCAAAAAAAAAAUACAUUGGCAGUUCAUUUAAGUGGUAUUUGGUGAAUGACUUAAACAAGGACUUGCUUAGUUGCAUAUCAGUUUGGCCUUGUUGAAAACUAUUAGAGACAUAAACACACAUUGCAGCAAUUUCCAUAAAAUGAGUCACUGCUCAAAGAAAACGGAUAAUACCAGGCCUUUCAGGGUUUAGGUUACUCUGGCGAAGAGCAGCCUUUAAAUCAAUAAGCCUUUUGUAUUCUUCAAGACGGGCCUUCUGCAGACAAUCAGUUAUUACUUAUUAGGAUAAAUAGAACAUCUUGAUCCAAGGCACACAGUAGAAUGGUAAAGUAUCAUGAACUUUUCGAUAAAUUUAAAACCAGUCAAUUCAUGUUGCCACUUGAGAUAUAUCAGAGUCACCUCAUCCUCUUGAUUACUGCGAUGCUCCUCUUCAUCUUGCUUGCUUCCCGUGCAGCUCUCCUCUUCUGUAUUCUCCAUUUAUUCCACCAGCCAAACGUCAACAAUCAUGCAAAGCUGCCAACCAAACACAUUAACACCCCAGUACUUCUCCUGAAGUUAUCGGUUACGCAAUCGGUACGUAGAGCUCUGUUAUAAAUAAGGUAACUAUGGACACUAAAAAAUGCCACAAAUGAAAACAAAAUCCCCUGUGUUAAAGCAAACAGAAGCAUUUCAAAACUAUAAGAACUGCCAAGUGUUCGAAUAUUUAUGAAUCCUCCCAACAGUACAGCACAUGUCACCCGACUAAUCGAACUGGAACGAGGAAACUGGAGCAAAGGAUCAACUGCCUGCACUCGUGCAUAUUACAGUUUACAGUAGCGCCGCACAAUUCUGAACUGUGAGAGGCGAAGGAUUCGCUAGGUUUAGGUAAGCCCAGUUUAAACCACCGCGAAUCAAAAUAACACGCGCUGGUUUAAGCGGCGUCGCCGCGACCUAAAAUUUUUUCGCAAAACCGCGCAAAAAAUCCGAAGGGGAAAGGUGAUCAUAGCAAGUGGGAGCGCCUGAACCUAGCGGGGAAAAGCUGUCAGAAUGGCGCUACAUUCCGAGGCCAGCCAAUGCGUCGAACCCGACGCCGGAGUUCGAGCGAUUAGCCCGAGAAACAAGGAGGGGGCGGAUGCUUACCGUCGGGGUGGCGGUUGCCGGCGACGAGCGCGACGCUGCGAGGGCUCGGCCGGGUCGGAGUCGGACAGUAGGAGGAAAGGGGAGAACUGUAGAACCGCGGAGCGGUGCCUUUUUUAUUUUUUAAGCCCGAUUCUCACGGAUACCUACGGCGGAACCAAUUCUAAAAAUAGAUUCUUAGCUUGGCGUUAUCCACGCUGGCACCAACCAAUUCUAAAAAUAGAUCCUUAGCUUGGUGUUAUCCACGCUGGCACCAAGCUUACACGUCUCGUCACCAGGCCACGCCUAGAUCCAUACGCAGCUNNNNNNNNNNNNNNNNNNNNNNNNNNNNNNNNNNNNNNNNNNNNNNNNNNNNNNNNNNNNNNNNNNNNNNNNNNNNNNNNNNNNNNNNNNNNNNNNNNNNAGAUAGACAGUAUUGAGCUCUCUGCCAAUUAAUAUAAUGGAGAAAGGAGGUAAUUGGAUGACACUAUCGCUCUGAUUGCUGCUUAGCUCUUCACUGUUUCUAUUGCUUCUCUGCAUCUCUCUCUUCUGCAUGCAAAUCACAGGCUAGAGUUGCUAGGUGCGGCGACCAAACUGAUUUCUCUGGGUUCUCUUUCUUUCUCUGUUGAACCGGCACAACCAAGCAAAGCUAAAGGAACAGACAGGCACAUUGCAUGAGUCCAUAUCUACUGGCUAAAUCCUCGGAUGUCUUGUCUUCAGUUCUUCUUUGUUCAUCCCAUUUGAGCGCUUUCGCAGGACUGGCGUGAAUUGGAGAAGGGCGCCGCUAGUUUCCAUAGCCGUCGUCGCUGGCUGAGCACCGGUGUCGGAGCGUGUGCUAGUGCUUUUGGUUCCUUAUCUGCAAUUCAGACAGUUCAAUCCGGAUAUCUAAUUCUGAAAAGGAGUGAUUUGAGUAGAAUGAACCAAGGUAGGGGAGUCACCAGCCGUGAAUACAGACGGAGAUGUCUAGUGUCGGUGAGGAAGCUGUUUCGUCGGCCAGGCCUAGCUGUUCCUGCUAACCCCCGAGAUAUUGGGCCCCGGAGCCUUGGCAUCCGGACCUCACGUCCAAAGCCAAAACGGCCUAAGGCGAAAGUGCUCGGCCCCAGUCAGUCGGCAUCCAUAUCAGCAGCUGCGCAUGGAUCUUGGCGCCAUCAUGAAUGGUGCCGAGCAAUUUUGCCUCCUGACGUUUUGACUUAGGACAUGAACUUCUUAUCCCAAGAUCCGAGUUCAAACCCUAAGUAGCAUUUAGUUAACCUCAAUAUCAGAUAUCCCAACAACAGAACGGCAAGAACUAUGCUAUGCGGAGUUCAGUUCAGAACUUGCUUUGGACAAAAAGAAAAGGAAAUGCUCAAUUCAGAAGGAGAAGUCAUAAAAUUCACGAAAAAUGAGAAUACUUGCGCAGGUUUGAACGGACCUCAAUCUCAAGGAUCUGCGGCCCAAUCAGCAGCCGAGAAGAUCAGCAGUACGUAACGUGGUGGCUGGUUUCUUCACUACGUUUGUUUGGACCUGCUUGGACCAUGAUUGAUUACAUCGUAGUCCAUCGAAGCCCUUUCACCACUAAUUUCACGGCAAAUUAAUGUGGUGUUUGGUUCUUUAGUCCGAACUAAAAUUCAUUUCAUGUCAUAUCAAAUAUUCGGACGUUACACGUCCUAACCAGUUGAACUAAAGUGUAGUUUGUUGCACACUCCUCGGAAUAAUUAUACUUGUUUCUCGUUCGAAACACCAGGAGGUAAAAUUGCUCGGCGCCAUCCAUGAUGGCGCCGAGAUCUACGGCGCCAAGCCCCCACCACGUCGGCAUCUGCGUCAGCAGCUGCGCAUGGACCUUAGCGUCAGGAUGGCUAGCGCCGAGACGUAUAAGCUUGGCGCCAGUAUGGAUGGCGCCAAGCUAAGGGUCCAUUUUUGGAAUUGGUUCCGUCGGGAGCGUAUUUGUUAGAAUUUUUCGGAAAAAGGCUAAAAAAACAAAAAAAAAAAGUCAGCCGCGGAGCGUAGUAGUGGAAUGAGACUAAUGGGCCUUGGUAGGCUUCGAUUUAUCUGACUGGAAACUCUUGGGCUUAUGCUUAACACAUCAAGGGGCCCAGUCUUUUCAUGCUUCGUCCGGCUGCCCGCGCGACGUCGUUAGCAUUCUCGCGGGCCGUGCGGCCCAGCAUGGCGAUGGUGUGUGUUACUCCCUUCAUUUCAAAUUGGAGAGGUCGUUUUAGUUCUUCAGGUUCAUAUAAGUAUAUAUAAAUAUUUAUGCACCUAGAAAAGUCAAACGACCUGCAAUUUGGAACAGAGGGAGUAGCAUAUUUAAAGCUCCCCCGGUAGUUAAAAAUUGGCGCCACGGUAUCGAAUACCACUUCUCAGUUCUCACCCAGAAAUGGACUUCUUGUCUUCUUAUUUUCUUCAUUGAAUCUGACACAGAAUUUGUUUAACUCCAAGGUGAAAAAGUUCGUUCAUUCUUAAAGAUCGAGUUAAAGUUGCAAGUGGUUGGCUUGAGCUCAAGGUGUUUAGCCGCCGGUCUUUACUUGAAAGCGCUAAUCUCCACUUGAAACUGCAGAAUUCUCUAGUUGAAAGUGACCCAAAGUUGGUGAGAGCUUGGAGCACCCUGAGCUCACCAAUUAUAUUGAAGUCCUCUAAAUAAAGGGCUUCUUUUGGGCUGAUUAAGUGUACCUAUCAGACUGGAUAUGCAAUUGUCAGUUACAAAUAACUAUUAGAUACGGUGAUGUCAUCACAGGCGCAGGUGACAAUAGCAUCAAUAUCACAUUAUGGCUCUGCUCUAUUGACAUCUAAAAGGAUGUCGCAGCCCUGUCCACAUUGUUAGGGAGCUCAUUUAGGCUACUACUCGUUCGCAAACGCUUGCAAUUGCAAUCACUUUUCUUUGGUAUAAUAUCCUCUCUCUCUCUCUCUCUCUCUCUCUCUCUCUCUCUCUCUCUCUCUCUCUCUCUCUCUCUCUUUCCCUCCCCCCCCCCCCCCCCCCCUCCCUCCCUCCCUUGAGACACUACCGUUCUCUCUUGAGUUUAUGCAAUUUUUUCCCUCUAACCUGAUAUCUUCUCAAUUAUACAAUGAGAAAGCCUUUGUUUUGGAAUUAAGUGUAGGUCAUUAGUUGGACAAUUAUUGUUGGUCCCCGAAUGAGGCAGAAUUGGACUAGUGACCUAACAAGAUCUGUCAUCUGGAAUUAUAAGAAGUAUAUGGCGCAUCAAUACGCAAGCAUGCAAAUCUAGUACAAGAUCCGCUGAAAAAGGAUCAUUACCGCUAACGUUCAUAAACGACAAUUGCAUCCGAAUUAUGCUGACCAGUAUCGAUCAGCCACCAUGGACAUCAUGCGUUACUUUAUGUAGAUGGAUGAAGUAAACUCCAGAGCUGGUGAAAGUUUUCAUGGCUAAGUGACCAAAUAAUUACAUAACAGUGUGUCAAACUUGAGGACGCAUGAAUUCCUAAUACAAAUUCAGUUCCUCACACUACCUUGGAUCGAGUGAUCUAGAACAAAUUUUUAUCUGUCUGGGCAAAACUGUUGUCAGAGAUGGUUUAACGACCACGAAUCGUUUCGACCUCUUUCCCAAUUCUCAUAGAUAGUCUUCUCUAUGGUGGUACUGUGGCGUCUUUAUUCAGUAGCUCCAGUAGAACAUCUAGAUUCAUACCUCCUUAAUUGGAACACAUGAGCAGCAAGUAGAAAAUUGAAAUUGGAAAGCAAAGCCGAUUUCAAUAUGAAUGCAUGCAUCAACAGAUGGUACAUGUCAUCCAAAGCGAUCGCACUCGGUUGAAGGCUUGAAGGUAUAGUGAUACAAGAACUCUACUUGGUGUCUGAUGUGCUAAUCUUUCAUACUUUAUUUUUCACUUUUUGAGCAAAGAAGGUCUGCAUAUACGACGCAGGCUCUCUCUUUUGCAAGUCAAUCUAAGCAAGUAACCGCGAGCAUAUACCAAGAAUAUUGCUCUUAGGCUUACGCUAGGAUAAGGCUGGGAUACAAAUAUUUCUAUGUUGGCACUAACAUGACAAGCUAGAAAAGAUCGUGAUUCAACUACCAUCUGAUCGAUGAAGGACCAGCAUGUUUUGUCAACCAGCUGCAAUCAUCAGAGAUUCAGAGAUCAAAACAAUGACGCUGAUGAACAUCAGGGUGACGAUACGCAGCGCUAUCAACCUUCCAGCAUACCAUGAGCUCAUCAGCAUAUAAACACUGUACGCACGCGAGAGAGACGUAUAGAGAGAUGGGCCAAUGCGGCGGCAUGAACAUGGGCGCCUUUGCUUUACACAGAACACAGCUGCAUAUAUAUACAGCUGAAUUCGGCGGCUUCUACCUACUCGUGGGCCCAGGCUCCCGAGGCAAGGGCGCCAGCCCAAUCCCUGCGCAAAGAUCGCGAGCCCCCAUGGGCGCAUGUCUCCUAGCUCGCGGUCCAGUCCAGAGGUUCAUGGAAUCCUGCGGUUGUCCAGCGGGGAAGCAAGGCGAGGCGACAGCCUGCGACGACGACAGAUAUCAUCGCCAGCGAACGCGGUCGUCGUCAGCGAGAUCAUUGGCCAGGGCCGGCCUUAUGCCAACCAGAGUACCAGACCAAGAAAUCUAGCAGCCAUACUGUGCUGGUCACCACUCACCAGUUUGCUUUGUACUGCAUGUCACGUAAAACUAAGACAGUGGCAGAGAGUACUGGCACGAGUGAAGAGACAUGCAUGUGUGGUGAGGUGUGGGUGUGGCCGUGGUCCGUGGGGGGCCUGCUGACCGGGUGGAUGAACUGGAACCUCUGCAGAAGCAGAAUUGCUCGUGUGAACGAACACAGAACAACAAUGUUCUGUUGAACGCGUACCGCCGAGCAGGGAGGACGGGAGGAGGCAGCCGUAAUGCCAGCGGCACAUGCAUGGAAAGCGUCGAUUUGGAGCGGGUGUGCCCCGGCGGAGGUGUUGAAAACUGUCAGCUGUUCUGAUGGAUUUGAGGAUAUGGCGCCACGUAGUAGAAAGAGAAAAUGCAAUGGAUUUGAGGAUAUGACGCCACGAAAUAGAAAGAGAAAAUGCAAUGGAUUUGAGGAUAUGGCGCCACGUAGUAGCUUAUAAGUCGGUUGAAAAGCUGAAACGGCUGAUUUGUUGUGAGAGGAAAACACUGUUUGGUAGCUGAUAAGUCGGCUGAAUAAGCUGAAGCGAACAGACCAGCUGUCAGGUGCUACAGAAACCUAUUGCAGAGAGAAAAAAGGACGCAAUUUGAUUAAUAAAGAGGAAUGGGGUGAGUAGUAUUUUUUUUAAUAAGAAGGACCACGGAACAUUCACAACAUUUUCUUUUCACCAUUCUUAUUUCUUUUUUUGACGGAAACCAUUCUUAUUUCUUACCAAUCUUAUUCCUUACCAACAGAAAUUUCAAAAAUCAUCACAAACUUUUACAUACUUUUUCAUUUAUUCACAUGACAUGUACAACAUGUAAGACAUAGAUUCUCUCAUAUAAAAAAUCGAACAAAUUACCCUCAAAGUAUGAGCAUACACAAAACCAAAAAAAGGAUCGGUUCCUUUUUUGUACAUUGCAAAAAAUAAAAAAAAUGUCCACAUGUAAACAGAACUUUAAUUCCAAAUCCGCGCAAAUUCAAUCCUUCCCACACAUCCAAAUUGAACACAACAAGCAUCACAAAUAUUUUUUCACCAGCCAUGGUUCUCAUUCUGCAUAAAUAGCUAUUUACUCUGAGAUCCCCCCGCACGGGCAAACACGGCCCGGCACGAGCGCCUGUCCUUGCGAGUUCCUGCGUCUUCCCGGUAGAUUUCCUGUGAUCCUGCCGGAUCUUGACUACAUUGCACGGGCGGAGAGGUGCCUGCCCAAACUGGGGCGCCUGAUCCGACGCGAAGGGGUUGCUUCGCCGCGCGUGCGUGCACGGUGUACGUACAGGGGCUCGGUCGGCACUGUGCCGCCAUGCAUUGCCUGAUCGAUCGAGCCUGUUUGACACGAUGAGCACUGUUUGUGCUGGGAUCUUGAUCUGAGCCGUGCAUUGCUGAUCUACCUCGGGCUACUACACAGGAUCGGCUACAACAGUGUUGCUGUUUGCUCGUGAAACGGUGUCAGCAAAAAAGUUCCUGGGAAGUACGCAAGCAGUGAUAGUCGAGCCACACGGUGCGUCAGUCUCAGUCAGCGAGUACAGCGCAGCGAGACCAGUGGCGGACACCGGACACGAACUAGUGGUUCACAGGAGCACUGCCAAAGGCUAAAACGGUAAAACCCAUGGCGUCGAGGACGUGUGCCAUCUUGAACGAAGCAGGCGAUAUCCGGACAAGAGAGACAGUGUGGCUUGUGGAUUCCGAAGGGAUUUCCACGUCCAUACAACGCCGUCUGCUACCGAUGUUUUUUGUUUUUUAGCUCUUUUCCCCGAUAGAUUACGCGGAACCAAUUCCAAAAAUAGAUCCUUAGCUUGGCGCCAUCCAACUUGGGUCUUUGGGAUAACAAGUCCACGUCCUAACCAGUUGAACUAGAGCAUAGUUUGUUGCACACUUUUCAAAAUAAUUAUAGUUGUUUCGUUCGAAACGCAAGGAAGCAUGGGGUAAAUUGCUCGGCGCCAAGAUGCACGGCGCCAAGCCCCCACCACGUCAGCAACUGCGCAUGGAUCUUGGCGCCAGGAUGGCUGGCGCCGAGACGUGUAAGCUUGGCGCCAGCGUGGAUGGCGUCAAGCUAAGGGUCCAUUUUUGGAAUUGGUUCCGCCAGGGGUGUAUUUGUGAGAAUCUUUCGGGGAAAAGGGCUAAAAAACAAAAAAGUCGGCCAUCUGCUACAAGAUCCGGCCUUUGCUCUGCCUGUAUGUAUGCACGCCUGCAUGCAUCAUGCUCGUGGCCGGCUAGAUUGAGGGGGCGCCAUCACGACAGUCAAACUUGACGUACGCUAGCUUGCGCCGACUACCGAUCGAGAGAGUACAGCCGCUCAUGCUGCGAAGCGGAUCGCCGUGCAUGACCCGCUGCUAGACCAUUCAUCUCGAGGUUCAGUACCGAUUGGUACCGGAUCUAGUUUCCGAUGAGGCACCCCAUAAACCCCUUUAGUACCGGGUGGAGGCUUCACCCGAUACUAAAGAUUGCACAUUAGUACCGGUUGAAGCUUGCACCCGAUACUAAUUUGGACUUCACUGGAUUGAAGUCCACCGCACGCAUCCGCUCCUCACCAUCUUAUCCGCGCACCUCCCUCUCUAUCCCGAACGGCCCUCCUCUCUCUCUUCUCCCCCGCGGCGGCCUCGCUUCUCUUCCUUCCAUUCUUCCAAGCGCGCCACUCCCCUCCCCUCACGGCUGCCCCUCUCCUCUCCCUUCCACGUGCCCCUCACUGCGACGCCGGUAAUGAGCGGCGGUGGGGCGAGGUGAGGCGACAGCACGAUGGUGGGGGAGCGCAGAGGCGGAGUGGCAGGCAAUGGCACGGGGAGCUGCAACGGGCGACGGCGCGUGGAGCAGUAGCGGGCGAUGGCGCGUGGAGCAGCAGGAUCUGCAGGCUAGCACGGUGGGAGGGCGUUAAGACGCGGUAGGGGCAGCGGGAUCUAAGGGGUGGCGGCGCGGCAGGAUAAGGUGUGUGACCUCACCUCUCUCUCUCUGGGCGAGGGCGGCCGGCGCGCGAGGGGGCUAGCGGAUGCCUGAACUAUCCAACUGGACUCCAGCUAUGCGGAUUGCUUUCUUCAUUUAAGUUGGAUAAUUCGACCGUCCACCUCCCAUACAACUUAAGUUGGCUUUGAUUGAUUGCUUGGUGUCACGCUAUUUACUACUACAGUUAGCGAAAUUCAUUUAUGACACCGAUUCAUUUCUAGUUGAUCCAUUUUGUAAGGUCGUUCAGAAGCAAAGGCCUACUGCUCUACUAUACAAGUAAGCUGGUCAAGUCAAAAGAAGGUUCGUGACUAUCUAGUAAUUGGAUGCACGAAGAAAGGGAAUGGCAUGUUCACAAACGGGUACUUUUAUCCCGGUAGGUAUAUUUUACAAUAGGCAUGUGCCUUGAAGCAAGAAAAGGAAACAUGUAGAUAAUGUUCUAACGUGCCGCUAUUUACGACGAGAAUGGAUCCAAGAAAGAGAAAAUGCAAAUGCUGUUGUCACCCUACACUGGAGAAUAGAAAGGCAAGAUAGACUAUAUGUAUGCGGUUGGCUAUGUCCCUUCUAGAACUGCUAUUUUUAGCAAUUUCAAGGUGGGGAAAUCGCUCAGUUAGCUCAGUUCGAGGGAGGGUGGAAAAGUACAUUCUUACUUGUUCUAACAAAUUGAAUUGAGGGGAUAAACUAUCUUAGAGUUGAGUUAUCAUGCCUAUAAAAUCAUGGUACCCUACCUAUAAUAUAAGAGUAGUUAGAGCCGCCUCUCACCCAUCGGGAGUAGAUCAAGUAGUUCAGGAAGUCGUUUUUUAUAGUAUAGGAAAUGGAAAAAUCUCGUAGAAUGGUGAUGGAGAUUAGUUGAGUGAGGAAAAUUGUCUUUUUCGGGGAAUAGGCUGAUUAUUCAGCACUGGACAGGAGAAAGGGCAAUUGAAGGAAAGGAAAGUUGGGAACCAACGGAAAAUCAAGUCUCAUCUCAUGUUGCUCCUCUGAAAAUGCGUAUAGAAAUGGUGUGGUGGAGAAUACGCGUUAGCGCAACUUUCGCGCUAGUUGCUCAAAAAAUCGUAUAAAAAUCAAGCAAGAAAAUGGUUCUUGCAGGGCAGUGGGCGUGGGACUGUAAAUCCUCUUUCGUUCGCUGGGCCUGGGCCCUUUGGAUUGUAAAUCCAAACGAAGUAAGUUGUUCGAUUCCACUCAUGAACGAGAGCGAGACUGAACGAAAGAAAAUGCAAGUGAAACGAGACGAGAAUCAAAGAUUGGGAACAUGCAUUUGAACCUUCCGAAACCGGUAUUGGACAGUGUUCAGUGACCCAAUAUCAAUAUAAUAUAUAGUACUAUAGUAAGUACUAUAGUGUUGUCCCUUUCGUCUAGCAGUUCAAGAUCUCGUCUUUUCAUGUCGAAGACACGGGUUCGAUUCCCGUAAGGGAUCUGAUUGCUGAGUUCAUGUUGUCUAUCUGUCUUUGGUCCGUCAGCUUCCUCUCUCAAAGCAAGACGAGAUGAAAUCACCCCUGAUCUAAUUGAACAGGUUCAGAGGGUAUUCCCAGAUGCUAGCAGCCUCACCUCACUGCUGCUGAGGAAUGGAAGAGAUUGUACCAAGUCCAUAAUGGUCAAGAUUCCACACAGAAGGGUAAAAUCAAGGGCCUUAGCUUGGAAUCUCCUGACUUACCUUAGCACUAUUUUCUCACUGAGGGAGGUGAGGCGGCGGGCAACGAGGGUCGGGACCAGGCUCGGCGACGAGGAGGAAGGGCGACCGGUGGUGACGAGAAGGAAGGGCAGCGACGGUGAUGAGUCGGAAGGGCAGCUCUCUCUCUCUUCGGUGCGGGGCUCAAGUGUUGUACGCUCGGAGCUCCGGCACUCGGGCGGACGACGGCAAGGUGCGGCCGGGGCUCCGGUCAGCGGAAUUUUUUUUUAAUUUUUUAAUACCCCUUUAAUACCAGUUAUUUAUUGCAUAAUCAGUUACUGAAAGUGGAUUUUCCAGCUGUGACAGUUGCAAAGAUUGCACUGCACUGCAGAUUUGCAAUGUAUCCGGCGUUUAGUUCUCAUCUGCACGCAGCUUGGAAUGGCACAGGAGCGAGGGCGAUAACGACGAGGACCAGGCGUAGGGCAGCUAAAGCUACGUGCAAGUUGAUCGCGCUCUUGUAGUCUUGUCCGCUCGCUCAAAGACCUGGACUACUGUGCCCAGGAUCUCCUUGGGGCCCCUGCCUGGAAAAAAGUUCAGGAUCUACCUUUUCGACCUGUCCUUUCACAAGGGUAGAAUUAAUUUUUUUAUUUAUUGAAUGCAAAAGAUAAAAGAAUAGCUAGAAGUGAAGAGAUGAUCUCGCUUAUUUCCCAAUACACUUAUCCUUCGCUGUACAAUAUUCAAGAUUGGCUACUGCACACUUUCUCUCUUCUAAAUUCAUUGACUUAGAGCUAGUGCUAGCUCGUACCAUUGGAGACGCUACGAGCCACUGCUGCGGCUGUUCCUCAAUAAAUGGUAGCAGUUUAUGCAGAUCCCCGUGUUAAUUAUGUUGCUGCAGCACUGGUCCUGUGCUGAUUGUUCUUUUUAUACGAACUUAUUUGAGCUAAAGAAUGUUGUGGUUAUUUUUAAAGUUUUCAUGACUGUAGCUUGUUAGGAACAACUCCUCCUCUUCUUCUUUUUGAAAAGAUAACUCCUCUUCUUUAAACAGGUAAGAACAAAUCGUUGAGCCUGACCUACCAUGUGUCUCUGCAGCGGCUAUGCAACCAGGAAUCAUAAGAAGCACCAAUUAGCUAGUAAUAUCUUUUACAAUGUAAUAAUAUAUAGGCAAACACUAACUUUGAAACCAAAUUGGAGCAUGGGAGGAGAGCAUAGUGUCUGUUAAGUUUAUGAGAAGUGAAAAUAUCCUACCUGCUAGAGCUCCUAGGAGGCUGCACGGCUUUGCUCUUGUUCAGUGUCCUUAAUCAAUCCCUUGAGCCGGAAGAAAGCGAGUAGAGCGUUGAACCUUUAAGCUAAAUAAUUGGGAGACUCUCUAUUGGCUCUUUCCCUGUUCUUUUCCUUAUUUUUGUUUUUUUUUGGCGAAAACUUUAUUUUUGGGUUUGGUAGACAAGAUGAAUUGAAAGCUGGAGAGAGGGAUAGAAAAAACAUGUGGAUCGAACCAAGCGGCAAGAGGUGAUAGCUUGUGUUGGAGGAGAGACGCGAGGGACCAGGGAAAAUUGUGGCGAUGCACACCAGCACAGCACGAUGGAUUCGAUGGAUCCUCGUGGGCACUAAUUAACAUGAGAGACAGAGAGAGGGAAACGGAAAGAAACCUUGUGAAAAGCAUUGUCAAACACACAAACUCAAACAUCGUUCGAGGUGUCGCAAGGACAGUGUUUUCCACGAUGAUCACGCACGCCCAUGAAACACACCCAAUUCGAUCUAGAAAUCCUGCCCCGGUUGCUUCUGGGCUUGCGUUUGGGAAGGGGUGACUAAUGAACAUGCGUGGUGUACGGUAUACCAUAUAUCUCGUGUUGGGGUCGCGUUGGCUUUGUCAUUUGUGUCCACAACGACGACAGUGAAAGGAGGAACGAUAAACGGUCAAAGCUCGCCGUCACAUGUCACAACGCUCACAGGUCGUGGUCCGGCGUCGGAGCUCGAUGCCUGUUCGCACAGGAGCUAGCGCGCGGGGGUCCUAUCGCCGGGAUCUCGUGGGAUUCGGACGCUAGCUAGUGCCCCGCAUGGCGCCAAGCCGCGGCCGACGUGUCAGCUCCGCGAUGCUGGACGGACGCCGUAGGCCUGAGCUGUAAAAUCACGUGCGGAUUGUGUACGCCUCUCGUCUGCCCAUCGGCGACGCCGCGGCAGCUAGCGUACUCCCAGCGAGAGCUACUGCUUACUCGAAAGCCUAGAACGCACGGCCGUCCUGUGCUCCUGCCGCGACGGAUACAACAGAUAGUAUGUACACGGUCGAGCACUUUGUGCCUUGGACUUGAUUAUUACGCAAGCCGUCGUAAUUCCGAUCCGGCACCUGCUGGCUGGCGCAAGACGACUGAGCCAUGCCGCGAGCAACACGACGGCCGCGUGUAGCCAAGUGCACAACAUGUCGCAGCAGCAGGCAUGGCGCCCGAGCGCGAUACGCAACGUGCGGCCUGCGAAUCGACCGAACACGGCUGCAGUCCCAUCGGUCGGGCCGCGUACGCUCGAUUGGCAUCUCGGCAGGAUAGCAGCCCUAGCCGACGAGGCGCGCGUGGGUGCGUGCCUGCAUUGAUCCUGGAAGACUAGCUAGGCACGGCCAGCACCUGUCGGGGCGAGACUCGAGAGGAGAAGCCCAGCCAGCGCCCGGCGGCGUCGAAGCGCAUGAACGCAGACCGCAGGCGCCGCAGACGGGCGCGCAGACUGUGUGUGUAGUGACCCCCGUGGCCGUGUCGACCACCACUUAAGUUUGAUCAAGAUCGUCCUCCUCGUGUCGCGCGCAGUCCAACGCCGAAGAUACCGCGCAGAUCGGAUGGCAAUCGAUCGAUGGCGCUGCCGCGGCCGUAGCGUCUUCGUCAGGAUUCAGAAACCGGGCGGUCGAUCGCAUUCAUCCCGUCGAUCCAAGGUGAUGACCAUGUCCAAAUAAAAGGUAGCUCGCCACGCGCCAUUAAUGUCGCCGCAGCAUCAGCGGCAGCGACGACCGCCGACCGGAUCGCAAUGAUCUCGGCUUCGUAGCCGUGAAGGUCGCUACUUGCUCCGAUCGGCGUCGGACAUUAAAGACGCGCACUGUCUGUAAGCAGCGCAGCAGCCAGGCAGCAGGCAGCACCACGACGAAACGGGAGCAGACGUUACACGAGUGGUCUGCACCAGCACUUGACUGAGUGGCCGGCGGAUCCCGAGGGAGACAGGGAGAUCUCAAGUGCAUCCUCUUGGGAGGGCGGGGGCCAAUCGGCCGCCGGCUGCCGUGGAGGCGUGGCCGGUCGCGUGGAGCCAGUCAGACUGCCACAGGCGGAGCGGAGGCAUGCUUCAUCAGCCUUCAGCCGAGAGGUGGUCAGUGCUUGGACGGCCGGAAUACGCACGACAGGCAUUUGCAGCGACCCUUUUAUUUCCUUUUUUUACACUGUACGGAAUAAAGAGGGUUCAUCUUCAUCCCAUGGGAGCAUUUACUAGCUAUAUAGCACCAUGGUCUCUGGUCUCCUAACGUUACAACACCAGGACCCAACUCCAACUGUGUCUUUUUUUUAACUUCUUGUGUACUUAGCAACACAUCGUAGCCCAUGGAUCCCUCGACUCCUCUUUGUUAAAUAAAAAAUGAGGAUGCUUUAAAAAUUGCAACAUUCUUUUUGAAAGAAAUCAAAAUAUCUUUUUGUCACGCAAAGUGUACGCCGAAGCUAAUAAGGUUUCAUCUUUUGGCUGUGCCAUUCUCCUUCAAAGGGAGUAUAUAGUUCAAGCUAUUCGAGUUAGUUUAUUCUUUUUUUUCCGUGAGUGCCUAAGCACCUUUUGAUUAAGAAGAAAGCAGUUUAUAGACACAAUAUCAAUGAAGCUAAGCAGAGUUUGACCAGCACGAGAGCACAAAGGAUCAAAGAAAAAGAAACACUGAAAAAACACACAAACAACCACCACAUGACGUGAAGCGCUUUCUUCUUCUGACGUCUCUAAAGAGCUUUCUUCUCCUCCUCCAAUACAAACUCCUCCAAUACAAAGUUGCACAAGUCUUUUGCGUAUAGUCGAGAAAAGGCACACAACUCGUUGUUGGAUGCGGAUACCAUAUUUGAAAAGGAUUGUCUUACCACAAUUAUACGAAAUAAUGCACCUCAACACAUAAUCGUUUACGCCAUCCGUCGGAUUGAAAUUCAGGAGUCUUGUUCAUCUUUUAUCUUAUGAUUGGUUUUUUUUAUUCCAUUUCUAGCCUCUCAUGUAGAUCCAUUUAUCUGAUUCAAUCUCUCUUGCCGAUGAUAUUCAUUUGUUGUCAUCGGAUCUUCCACCAUGCGCUCCUUGAUUAACAAUGCUCUCAUGAUAAUAUCUUUUAAACGAUGCAUUUUACUUGCAAUCAAUUUGCUCCGAAAUAUUCUUCUCAUAUUUUUGUAAACAAAAUAAAAUCCACGGUGGAUAUCUAUUAGCAAAAAAGAAAACUUACCACAAUUUUAACAAAGUUUGUCGUUCAUGGUAGCAAUCCAAAUACCAUUUUUUCCUCUCUAUAUUUUGGCACUGCCAGGAAUUCGUUUGGCCAUGAUGAAGCACCAUUCUUUUGCUCCAUUUUAGCUUUGAUCAGAUUUUUUCAUCACCAAAAAUUUAGUUUGGCUCACUCAUGUCAUAAAUCAAACAUGCCCCUUGGAUCACAUUGGCGGAUACUGCUUCUUUUAUGAUUCUGAUUCGUAUCUCGAAUCAUUUACAUGGUUUUUAUGACCGUGAUUCGCAUCUCAAAUUAUUUACAUGCUUUAUGACGCUGACUGAUUCGUAUCUCGCAUCCUUCAACAAUGAGACGAGAAGCUGUUGAAGAAAAAUAAAAGAGGUCCAAGAGUGGCUGCUACUAAAGAGUUUUCUUCUACUCCUCCAAUACAAAGUUGCACAAGUCUUUUGUGCACAGUUGGCACCUAACUCAUUGCUGGAUGCGGAUGUGGAUAUCAUCUUCAAAGGAAUUGUCUUACCACAACGAUACGAAAUAAUGCACUCAACACAUAGUCGUUUACGCCGUCCAUCGGGUUGAAAUCCAGGAGUCUUGUUCAUCUUUUAUCCUAGGAUUGGUUUUCUUUAUUCCAUUUCUAGCCUCUCAUGUAUAUUCCUUAUGUGAUUCAAUAUCUGUUGCCGAUGAUAUUGUUUGUUGUCAUCUGAUCUGCCACCGCGCGUUCCUUGAUUAACAACGCUCUCAUGAUAAUAUCUUUUAAACUAUGCAUCUGAUUUGCAAUCAAUUUGCUCUGAAAUAUUCUCCUCAUAUUUUUGUAAACAAAACAAAAUUCAUGGUGGAUAUCUAUUGACAAAAAGAAAACUUACGGACCUGAUGUCAUACCCGCAAUUUUAACAUAGUUUGUCGUGCAUGGACAGCAUGGUAGCAAUCUGAAUACCAUUUUUUUCCUCUAGAUUUUGGCAUUGCCCAGAAUUUGAUUUCGCCAUGAUUCAAGCACCAUUCUUUACAUCAAUUUCAGGUUUCAUCGGAUUUUUUCAUUACCAAAUUUUAGUUUGGCUCACACUAUGUCAUAAAAUCAAACAUGCCCCUCGGAGGGUCGGCAUCGGCUGCUCAAACAAUAGUUGCCAUGAGCAAAGAAGAGACUAGUCUGCGCAGUAAUUAAGGACACGUCGCACGAGCGCAUACAUUUCAACCACUCAUUAAAUACCACUAAUCCACAUGAGGUAGAGCCCAUCUGCAUGAGCGUUCCACUGAUUGCAUGGCAAAUCGCUCCAAGAUUGAAGGACGCGUUUCGUGUUUAUCUCCUGACCAGUGAUCAGACGCAGGCAGGCGCGGGCCCGCGUGGAUCCCCCGUGCCCCGACCCCGGUUUCCAUUAGAUCCUCGGCCCCGCCGUGGCAGCGACAACACCACCGGCUAUAUAUAAACGCGCACCCGUCUGUGAGCUUCAUGCCUUUGGCCCUGUCACCCCCUGCUCUCUUAUCUCCGUCGCCUCUCGCUGCUUCUCCCUUCCCGUUCCAUCCAUCCACAGUUCCUGUGGGAACCCAGGGAUCGAUCUUGACGGAGACGUCAAUCACCGAUCAGGACAGCACGACGCCUUAUUCUUCGGUCUCGUCUCGGCCCCGAGCACCGGCAAAUGCGCUUGCUUCCUUCCGUGAGCUGAGCUGUCCCGGGUUGCUAGGUAUCGAGCAAGAAGCUUGCUAAGCCAUGGUGCUCAAGGCGCUGUACCUGUACGCCGCCGUCGUGGUCCUGCUGCUCUGCUCCUCCGCGAACUUCAUCCAGAGCCCGAGCGACGUGUUCGGCCCCGUAGCGCUCCUGGAGCCGACGCCAUCCGCGGCCCGCGACUUCGGCGCCGUGGUAUCCGAGGCGCCCGUCGCGGUCAUGCGGCCCGGGUCCGCCGCCGACGUCGCGCGGCUGCUGGGCGCGCUGUCCUCGGCGCCGGCGGGGCCCGGGCGGCGGCCGAGGGCGUCCGUGGCGGCGCGCGGCGCGGGGCACUCGCUCCACGGUCAGGCGCAGGCGCGCGGCGGCAUUGUGGUGGAGACGCGCGCCCUGCCGCGCGCCGUGGAGGUCGGCGGCGGCGGCGCGUACGCGGACGUGGGCGCCGGCGCGCUGUGGGUGGAGGUGCUGGAGGAGUGCCUGAGGGCCGGGCUCGCGCCGCGGUCGUGGACGGACUACCUGUACCUCACCGUGGGCGGGACGUUGUCCAAUGGCGGCAUCAGCGGGCAGGCGUUCAAGCACGGCCCGCAGAUCAGCAACGUCCUGCAGUUGGAGGUCGUCACAGGUACACGCUCUGCCGCACGGGCACGGCCCCGCUGCGCGCAUGCAGCUUCUGCCAAUUUUCUUUUCGCUCCCUUUUGUUUGGUGGAAGAAGAGGGAGAAGAAAGCAAGGAUACGGGUGAUCAGUGGCCUUUGUUUCUUUCCGUUUGUUUUUGAGUUGUUUGUCCCGUCGGUUGCAGGCACAGGCGAGGUGGUGACAUGCUCACCCACCCAGAGCCCGGAGCUUUUCUUCGCCGUCCUUGGUGGCCUUGGCCAGUUCGGUAUCAUAACCAGGGCAAGGAUUCCGCUGCAAGUUGCUCCCCCCAAGGUACAUACAUGCACGCAAUCUAGAAAUAGAAAUAUGGAAAUCUUCUUCAUCGAUCUCCUCCACACGCCUUUUUGUAAAUCUCAAGCAGCAGGUCCGGCCGAUAAUUUUCUAUGGUUGCUGUCCUGGUCGAUCAUUAGGUGAGAUGGGUGAGGGCCUUCUACGACAGCUUCGAGACCUUCACCGGGGACCAGGAGCUCCUGGUCUCAAUGCCGGAGCUGGUGGACUACGUGGAGGGGUUCAUGGUCCUGAACGAGCAGUCCCUCCGGAGCUCCUCCGUCGCCUUCCCCGCCGAGGUCAACUUCACCCCGGACUUCGGCUCCGACGGCGUCGGCGGAGGAAAGAAGGUCUACUACUGCAUCGAGUUCGCGGUGCACGACUUCCAGCGGCAAGACUCCGCCGCCGCCGCCGACGGCGACCAUGUCAGUCUCCCUUUUCGUCACUGCAGCUACCACUCAUCAGCACACGCCAUGUUAACAUCUUUCACCAGUAACGGCGAGAAGGACCGCCGGUCGAUUAUUGAACGCUGAACCGGCCUUGUGGCUCUCGAAAUUCUUGUGUCGUCUGUGCAGGUUGUGGAGCUGGUCUCCGGGAAGCUGAGCUUUCUGCGGCCCCACGCGUACAGCGUGGAGGUGGCCUACUUCGAUUUCCUCAACAGGGUGAGGAUGGAGGAGGAGAGCCUCAGGAGCCGGGGCCUCUGGGACGUGCCGCACCCCUGGCUCAACGUGUUCGUGCCCAGGCACGGCGCCGCGGCGUUCAAGGACCUGCUCAUGGGUACCGUCACGCGGGGGGAGUUCGAGGGGCCCGUCCUCGUCUACCCCCUCCUCACUGACAGGUUCGGCCCGCUUCCCACUCUUUGCAAACAAAAAAAAGGCCAUGUACGCCUAGUUCCAUGCUAAAUUAAGUAGAGUACUGGCUUUAGAUAGCUUUAGCCAUGAAUAAAAGCUGCUCGUACUUCAUAUACUAGCAAAAAGGAUUCACUAAUAAAGGGGUCCCUUUCGCAAUAUUAAUUUGCAAGAUUUGGCUGCGCAAAAGAAAAAAAAUCGUUUGGAUGAGGUGGCGUGAUCGGCCUUUCACCCGCAGGGAAUCUCAAAGUAUUCCAAAAAUAAAAAAACAAAGCGCAGGCCUUUUUCUGGGUGAUUUAUUAUAUGCAGAACAGAUUGCACAUCGAGUGCAGUCUUGUAGGCUUGAGGCUUUUGUUAGCUUAGCAUUUUUUUUCUUUCUCGUGCUGCUUUCCCGUUGUUGUUAUCAUCCCAGAAAUGGUUUGCCAACCCUAGGCGCAACAUGUUGGCCCAAUUGUGACAACGCCAUGGCAUCUCUCCCUCACAGUCACAGCCUCACAGGGGCCCUGUUAGCCGUCACCUCAUGCCCUCCCUCCUUUCUCAGCACUCAGCAGCCAAGCCAUCGACAAUUCACCUUGCACCUUUUGCAUCGGCUGGGACGCUGGAUCACACUAACCUGCUGGCUGCUGCAUCUUCAGUCAAUCAGGCACAGUGCAAACUAGUCCCCCCCCCCCCCCCCCCCCCCCCAUUCCUGUAGUGUUUGGCAGCGCACGAUCGGUCUUGGCCUUGCCUGUUUACACAAGAGUCAAGGGUCGGCUGUCAACAGCUAGCUUUUAGCUUGGGGUCUCCUGAAUCUCUCUCUAGCUGUGACUGUGUGAGAAAGACAAACAGAAGGGGGGCAACGCCAGCAGGGAGAUGGAGAUUCCACGAGAUGAUCGGACGUGCCUUUUGCAAGUUGCAGUGCUUGCUUGCAGCAGCUGGUGUAGACUGUGUAAACAGUGUGAGCACCGAGCACUGAGCAGUGCCUUUUAAAAAAAUAAAAAAUAAAAACAGCGUUAGCAAUCGCUUGGGCUUGUUUAGCCAGGCCUGCUGCAAGUCGCGACUGGCGGGGGUAUUCAGUGCAGUGCAGUCUCCGCAAAUAACAGCGCCAGUACCCGGUAUGGCGCAUUGGUGGCGCUGGGCGCUGGCGCCUUGGGCCUCUUCUCUUCCAGUCUUCCUCCUUUCCGGGUCAUGGUCAUUGGUCAAUCCCUAUCUGACUGACUUUGACCUCUCAUAGCUCCCUACGUACAGCUUAAAAAUACUACGCUGCACUGUACAGCUGAGCCGAGCUACUGUUGCUAGCAGGAUCACUGUAGUAUACUGUAUCCACGGCGUUGCUUCUUUUUAUUGUUUUUUUUUCAGUUCCUGAAAACAUCGUUUCUUUUCAGCUCUGUUUGCUUGUACGCAGCAUGUGUUCAAGGACUCUGAACAUGCCUGCCCGUGAAUCCGUGAUGUUCAGAACUCGGGAUUAGCGGACCAGGGCCAGUCAUGUUCGCAGCAGGCUUUGCCGCUCUGCUCCCCGCAGAGGAUGCUUGCACGGCCAACCUUUCUGCCGGUCAAAUAGAUUCUCUGCUUUAGGCCGUGUUUAGUUGGGGAAUUUGGGAGGUGCAAAAUUACUGUUACAGCACUGUAGCACACUGUAGCGUUUCGUUUGUAUUUGUGAAUUAUUGUCCAAAUAUUGACUAAUUAGGCUCAAAAGAUUCGUCUCGCAAAGUACAACAAAACUGUGCAAUUAGUUUUUAAUUUCAUCUACAUUUAGUACUCCAUGCAUGUACCGCAAGUUUGAUGUGAUGGGGAAUCUUCUUUUUGCAUAGUGUCAAAGUUGGGAGUUGGGAGUAACUAAACAUGGCCUUACUAAUUUUCUUCAAAGAAAAAUGAAAAGAUUCUCCGCACUCAAAACCCUUCAGAGCUGACAUGAUCCAGGAUCUGAAAUAAUGUCCUGCUUUUCCCGGACACCCUAUUCACAUCCUCCUGCCAUGCCAGGCCGGGGGGCCUCCACCCUGUCACGGGCUCACGGUCCCAUGCCCCCCUCCUCCUCCUUGCCAUUUUAGGAAGGAGUUCGGAGUUACAGGGCGCCACCACCGUCCAUUAGAGCGUCUCGUAAAAUGGAUCGCUGUCCUUAAAACUAUAGGAUAAAAAACAGUAAAAAUAAACCACUUCAACAGUGUUAUUCCUAAAUUUUUUAGUUAUAACCUAUAUUCAAAUAUACCAGUUGGAUUGCUAAAUCCUCCUCCUCCUGCUGGUGGGAGAGCCGACCGUCCCGCACUGAAGCUUCAUCGCCGCCUCCAUCACUUCCGCCCUCACGCCGCUGGCGUCCUUCCCACCUCCGACCACCGGCGCCACCAUGGAGACCCUUCCCGCAGCCUCUUCACCACUCGUCCCAUGCUCUACUGACCUCGAAUCGGCGGCGAGAACGAAGGCAAGGUGGAGCUAAGGUGCCGGCGGAGCUCCGCCGGCUCAACUUCGGCGCGGCCGAUGCUCGUCGAUUCGGUCGCGAGGGGAGCUCGCGGGGCCAGCGGCUCGUCGAUUUGGCCGUCGGGGGACCUCGCCGCCGUCUUCCCUCACCUCUCCGCCCAUCGCGGCCCCACACAGCGCCGGCCGUCGCGCAACCCCACAUCAAGCCGCCGGCCGCCGUGCUGCUCGUUCGCAUGCCGGCGCGCUCUGCCCUUCGCAAGGCCACGCGUCGAGCCACCGGCCACGGCCUCGCACGGCGUUGCCCGCGCAGCGCCGCCCGCCGCGCCGGCGCACAUCCGUCCCGACCUCUGGCGGCCUCCCUCGCGGAGGCGGAGCUGGGGCCGGCGCCGAUUCGAGUAGACGGCGGCGGAGGAGAAGAGGGCGGUGGCGGGAGGAGCGGAGGGCGGCGACGGGAGGAGCAGGGGGCGGCGGGGGAUCUGUGGAGGAGACGGGAAGGAAGAGGAUAAGAAGAGAAGAAGGUUGAUUUUGCAUAUUACUCCUAAAAAAAUAUUCCACUCUCGGAUUAGUCCCUGGAAGAAUCAUAGGUAUCCAAUUUUAUCAAAGUUGUUGGAGAGAGCGCAAGAGUUAUCUACUAAAAUAAAUUGUAGGUCACCAGUUUUACAAACCUGUUGGAGAUGCUCUUAGCGUAUAGUCAUGUUGGAUUUAGCAAACGCAUCAAUGCCGUGUCCACUGCCGGAUCCUCCGAACGUCUUUUAUGAACUCUGAUGAUUCUGGUCGCAGGCAGAUCGGGGUACAUACAGGAAUAUACGAUGCUCCGCACUGACCGAUUGGUUCGCUGCGACGUUUUUUUCAGGUGGGACGGCAACACGUCGGCGGUGGUGCCGGCGGUGCCGGACGGGGUGGUGUACGUCUUCAGCGUGCUGCGGUCGACGGACCCGGCGCGGUGCGGCGGCGCCUGCGUCGAGGGGAUCCUGGAGGAGCACCGACGGGUGGCCGACGAGGCCUGCCGCCGCCUCGGCGCCAAGCAGUACCUGGCCCGGCAGCCGUCGCGGGCGCACUGGCAAGAUCACUUCGGGUCCAGCUGGGACCGGUUCGUGGCCCGCAAGGCCCGCUUCGACCCCAUGCGCAUUCUUGGGCCGGGCCAGGGGAUUUUCCCCAGGACGGACGAUGUGACGGCGGUGGUGAUGUAACUCACUCACUCACGUAGUUUAGGCUGAUGAGUAGUUGAUGCUAGCUCAGAUGGGAGAUUAUUCAUUCACGUUGCUAGGUACUUUGUUGGCAGAGGCUCAAGGGAGAGUGUUUGUUUUUUCUUUUUUGGCACUGUUUAGAGUAUUUGUGGGUUGUGGCCUCGUAAAAGGUGUUGGGCGGGAGGGGAAAAGGAAUUUUUCGUCAGUAUCUUCAUUAUAUUUCAAUCGUGACAAUGCCCAUCGUUUUUUCUUCUUGCCAAUGCCAGGGAAUGUUCGGUUCAAAAAAGUAUCACUUGAGGAUUAGUAAUUUUCGCAGAAAAAAACACUGAUGGCCUUAGUGGAAAACAAAGAACAAGAGAUAGGUAACGGGGCACAAUGUGUUUGGCCCAAGGACAUCUUCCGAUAACUAGACCCACUAACAGGCUCUUUUCAAGGAACUGCUUCAUGGUUUGUUGGCAGGGGAGAGAAGCAAGAAAUCUCUAUCGCAAAAUGUAAAUGUGAUCUAAUGCCCUAAUCAGAGAUACCGAUCUUAGCUUGUACACGAAAUGCACAGCUCAAGCAAGAAGCCAAUCGUCGAACACUCCAAAAUUUAUUAGGCACCCAUGCAGAAAUUGACUGAUUUACGAACGCAAACUUUAUCCACAUUCAAGCUACAAAGUAGAUCAACUUCUCCAUGUUCAUAUACGAUGAUCCCCCGUUCUCCAACGCAGCUUUUGCUUUGGCCUUCAGCUCCUGAGCCUUGCUCCUCCUACCCUCCCCGUCGAUUCCUCCAUCCAUCAGCUUGUUCAGGGCCCUCUUCACUUGCUCUGUUCCCACCUCCGGCUUCGUCUCCUCAACGCCUUGGACUCUGUUCAGCAGGCCUUUCGUGGGCUUUGUGGCGCCGACGGACACGCCGGUACCCAGCACGUCAACGAUCAGCUUCUCGUUCAGAAACUGCUCGGCGUAGAAUGGCCAGGUGGCCAUGGGCACGCCCGCGGCCACGCUCUCCAGCGUCGAGCCCCACCCGCAGUGCGUCAGAAAUCCGCCGACGGCCUGGUGCUCUAGGAUGGCCACCUGCGGCGCCCACCCGCGAACCGCAAGGCACUGGCUCCCUGAGACGCCGUCGGCGUCGGUGUUGUGCUGUAGCCACUUGUUGACGUCGUCGGGCAACGUGUCCGCACCCUUGAUGACCCAGAGCACAGGCCAUGGGCAGGAGACGAGUGCCAGCCCGAGCUGCAUCAGCUGCGCCGGUGGCAUGCGCCCGUUGCUGCCGAAGCUGACGUAGAGCACGGAGUUGGCUUUCUUGGCGUCGAGCCACGCCAUGCACCGCCUGGCCUCAUCCGAGCCGGCCCGCGAGUCGAGGAGGCCAGGUGCGCCGCAAAGCGAGACCGGGCCGACGGCGAACACGACCUUGCCCGUGGCCUCCGCGAGGCGCGCGGCCGAGCCGUGUUCCAGCUCCUCGAAGCUGUUGACGACGAUGCCAUCCACGGCCAUCUCGAACUCCCGGAACUCUCGAAAAGUGUCCUCUUUGACGUUUGAGGACGGCUGGAACUGCACCGGCAGCUGCCUCCGCGUGAACUUGCACUCAAAAGGUGGCAGGACCGGAAGAUCGAAGCGCUCGUCCAGUGACGCGACCGCUUCUUGCGGCCUGUGCGUGUGCAGGUACUCAGAGCACAGCAAGCCGAACGCACCGAACCCGUGGAAGACGAAACAAGGCGCGCCGAGUUCACGCGCCACGCCGUGCGCCCACGUGUUGCAUAUCCCGGCGACGAUGGCGCUCGGCCGGCGCGGCGCCAUGAGGCGGCAGUGCCGCGCCACGGCCUCACCGAACAGCAUGGCGGCGUCGAAGAAUCUCGGCACGAGGUCAACCGAGGGGACGUGGUCGAGCCUCUCGCAGCCAUCCGGGAGGCCGGCCUCCGCGGCCGGGAACGGGAUCGCGGCGACCGUGAUGACCGCCGAGGAGGCUUCCCUGGCGCGUUCCACGCGGCGCUGGACGAGCUGCGCGCUGGCGGGCAUGGUGAUGACGGUGACCGGCGCGCCGUGCGCGGCGAGGAGGCAGGCGACGUCGACGAUGGGGAUUAUGUGGCUGGUGCCUGGCCAUGGGAUGACCACGAAGUGAGGCUUCGGGCACUGGGUGAUCUCCAUUUCCUUUUCCUAACACUCUGUCGAGACUCUGCAACAACUCUGUCCCGGUUGUGAGUUUGCUUGUAAGGAUUCGGAGAGUGGCAGUUGGAGCAAGAGUGCAAGACAAUGGUGACGAAGAUUGAUGGCGACAUAUGGGCUGUAGUUUUAGCGUGCCGAAUGUUAAAUUAGCCUCUUCUUGUUAACCGAUAAGGACUGGCUGGAUCUGUCCAGAUUCCACAAAAUAGAAAAUAAGAUUCGCAUCAAUUUGAUUUGAUUUGCCAAGUGCAGCAGCACGAAAUUCACGAAAUCUCCGGGGCUAUCUCCUCCACCUUGACCUCUGAUAGAUGGAAUGGCCCAGUAGUAGGAAUGGGCCUAAAAGGGCCUUUUUCCACCAAUGGCGCCGGCUCAGCUGCUCUUCUGGUGGCCCACCCAAGCCCACGUCAAUUAAUCAGUAGUCGUGUUCGUGUCUGGUUCGGGCGGGCCGCGGGCGCAUCCACAGCAGCAUCAGCGUCAGCUCGAACUUUGCUGCAGCACAGCAGGCAGUAGCUGUGUCCCAUGCUGCAAUGGCCAAUACUUCUGUCAAGGGAUUCCUUGCCUGCUGCCGGUGCUUGCCAAGCAACUUCACCUGCAUUUUUUUCGCUCUACGUUUUGCGAGUUUUGUUUUCUAAAGGGGCACUGAAUUAAUGCAGAUGGAGCUUAUAAAGAGAAGUUGAGAAUUGGGAGGUUGGGGAUUUGCAGUUCGUAAUUCUCAAAAGGCUCAGGUUCUCACUUUUGCUGUGCAAGCAGUGACGAUAACGGUGAAAUUCAAAAGGAGAAGUAAGUAAUCUAGAGACAGUUUUUUUUAAACAUAGUCAAUCACAUGUACGCAUAAAGUUACCAUAGCCGCCUCGUUGUUGAUUGCACGUCGCCUACCGAAAAUACGAGUACACAUGCACAAAUUUUGUAUAAACAUAUAUACUCCCUCCAUUCCAAAUUACUAUUCGUUUUGGUUUUUCUAGAUACAUAUUUUUUCUAGGUAUCUAAACAUACAUACAUCUAGAUAUAUAUCAAAAGUUUUAUAUCUAGAAAACUCAAAACGAAUAGUAAUUUGGGAUGGAGGGAUUACAUGAUUGCGUGCUACGUUCAUCUAUAUUUUUGUUAAAAUCUUUUGUGACGAGGGGGCGCGAUAGCUUUCUAUGACUAGAGUGUUGAGUGCUAUGCAUGCAUUCAUGUGUACAGACGUUUGCGCAUGGAGCAAUCGUCAAAGCAAUAGGAGCGGAGGGAAGUGAGAAGUGCUCGUGCAAGAAGAGAGAACGGAGAAGCAGUUCAGCGUAGUCUGGCUCGUACGAGGGAGCCAGGCCGGUCAGGGAUAGGCUCAACACGUGUAAAGAGACGUAUGAUCAGGGGCGGAGCUAGGAAAUGUCACAUCCGAUUUUUAAAGGCAAAAUCAGAUGAAUAAAUUGUAUAUGCGUCAGGAUCAAAUUUCACAUAUGCAACGACUUCAUUAAAUACCAUAAACAGUGCCAUAACGUAAAGAGAGUAUUAAAUUUAUUACAUGACCGAAAGUCUUUAAUUCCAAUAGCAAAACGAGUCUUUAUUCUAGCAGCGGAACUCUAACGAGGACGACGACUCCACAGGUAGUUGAUUGGGGGCACACGUACACCUAGAACUCCUCGAAGUCUUCAAGAACCUCCUCAAAGUUAUCUUGGUCUAAGAAGCAGUUUUAGCAAGGGUGAUUACACUUACGGUUGGUACUCAGCAAGCGUGAGGAAUGUGUAGUGUAAGGCUAUGCAAGGAUUGGCUAUGGUUUAACAACUAUUCAACAUUUUAAUUGGUUGGUCAAAUUUUAUUAGCAAUUACUAAGUAUAAGUUUAUACCACCCACAUUAAGCAUGAUCAUAGAUAAAAGAUAACAAUAAUAAAUAAUAUCAAUUUAAUUCAACUUUCGAUAAAUUAAUCAUGUGAGGGUCCAACCCACUCUUGAUCGUAAGCACGGCUGUUAUAACAGUUUUACACUCUGCAGAGGUUGUACACCUUUGCACACAAGUCGCAUAAAAGUUCAAAAGGAUUUUAGAUCCAGCCAUGCUGUACGGGCCAGACACAGUACCCCACUUAUGAGGUGUGAUUUCAUAGAGACGCUACGAGGCCUUUACAAAGAUUUCCUAGUAAGUAGUAAAAUGCUAAGGUUUCAGGUCGAAGCAGAGCAUAAACCUCUCUCAAGACUACGAAGCUACCAUAGAGCAGAUUAGCCUGAGGGCCGAGCUAUACCCCAUCAACACCUCCCCUCUUGCCCUUUCGGUAAGAGUACCCUAGACUAGAGUCUCUAAUUAAUUAGUCAAGACCAGAGCCAUAUAGUUCUUAUAGUUGUACUGUUUUCCUAGGUGGUCGCUCCAUGUUUCAAUUAAGCAUGGUAAUCUUGUAUUAAUGGAAGGUAUAGCAUAAAUAAAACAAGUUUAAGCAUUGGUUCAUUAAUACCACCAUACCUAGUUAGUGCAACUAAGUAAGAACUACCCAACAUUAAAGUAAACCCAGGUUGAUCAAGGUGCAGGGAUAAAACUAGGCACACCUUAAAUAGGAUCCAUCAUGUUUCUAUACUUAAAGUGCAUGUUUCUAUACUUAAAGUGCAUAGCAUAUGUGUAAUGAACAUGAAAGUGAAGGUUGCAUAGGAUCAAAUUAUGAUCAAGGGCACGACUUGCCUUCCUGAACUUGCUCUUGCUGCUCAAAGUCUUCAAAGCCUUGCUCUUCGAACCUCUCGAACUGCAAUCCUUCUAUGCACACCAAACAAGUACAUACAAGCAAACAAAGAACUAAAAUAAGAAAAUAUUACAUCAAACAGUAGCAACAUAGCAAAAUAAGACCAUAAAACUAAUCUAUGUGUUAACACGAACUCACUUAAAACAGAUUUAAAACGCUAAAGAUAUGAACUAAACAAGGUUUAGGGGCUUAACUGCGAGAAAACUAAACUUUCAGGGGUUAAACUUAAAGAAACUGAGGGCUAAAACCUAAUUAACCAUAUAAACAGACGAUCUAACACAUAAAAGAACCGAACCAGAUGGUGGAUGGAAUUUUAUAAAAGAGCAGGGGCUAAAACAGAAGAAAAAGGACUUAGAUUGAAAUACUUUUGAACUGGAUGGAUCUCGGAUGUAAAAAGAGAAAACAGCGAGGGCCUUUUUGCAAAAGCAGCACGGGCGGCUUGGGUUGACCAGUAUUAACCCGGGUCAGAUUCGAUCUGUGCCGUCGGUUCCCGAUCGGAUGGUUGCGGACGACCAGGAGGAAGCGGCGGUGCGCGGGCGGCGGCAAGCACAACGGCGAGCGGCGGUGCUGCAUAGGACCUCGCUGAAAUCGAGCGUAGCUCGAGUGGCGGUCCACGAUCUUCGACGAGGACUGGCUCGGGACGAAGUUGGCGGCGUAGCAAACCGAUCUAGGCGGAACCCGUGGCGGCCGAGGUGACGACGGUGCAAGGCGACGCGGCGGAGCGGCUCGAUGCGGUAGCGCGUGACUUCGGCAAGCUCAUGUGUGCGAGAGAGGGCACGGGAGCGCACGUGAUCUUCACGGGCGGCUUCCUUACCACGACACGAAGCUCCAGGCGGUGUUCUUGUUGACGGCAAGGCGACGGCGGCGUGGAUAAAUGGCGGCGGGUUCGAGCUCUAGUGUGGCGGCGCUAGGGCUCAAGGCGGUGGGCGGUAGGGUUUGGUGAGGUCGAGGGGGGUGCGGCGGCUCGUUUUAUAGCCCGGGAGGCGGCCUUGGCAUGCAGGCCUAAGGCUGGAGCCGAACGCAGACCCGGAGCGGGGGCGGCACGGACUCGAGCUCGAGUUCGGCUCAGGCGCGGGCGCGAGGAGGGAGAUGACGGGUGGGCCCCGGGCGUCAACGGGAGAGGUGGAGAAAGCGGGCUACUGCUAGGCUGGCCUGGGCUACGAGCCGCUGCUGUUGGCGCUAGCUGGCUGCUAUUGCGAGCUGGGUCAAAAGAGAAAACAGGCCAAAAGGAAGGAAGAAAAUAGAAAGAAAAAGGAAAGGUUUUCCUAUUUUUUGAAAAGGGAUUCAAACAUGAAUUCAAAUAAAAAUUUGAAUUCAAGCAACCAAAAUCAAUGCACCAGUAUGAAUGCAACAAUGAACUCUUAUGAUUCAUUAACUUGUUUUAGAAAAGAUUUAAAUGCUUAAGAAAUUAAAUAAAGUCUUAGAAAAUCCUUAAAUCUUUAAACAAAAGCAAUUAAAUUCUAUCAAAUUCUAACAAAUUCUAUUAAUUUGCAAAAAAUGAAAAUUAGGGUGUUACAAAUCCUACCCCCUUAAGAUGAAUUUUGUCCUCGAGAUUCGAAUGGAUUAACAAAGAGUAGUGGAGAUUCUGCCUUCAGUUCAUCCUCUCUUUCCCAUGUUGCCUCAUCCUCUGCACGGUGACUCCACUGUACCUUGCACAUCUUGAUCACUCUGUUCCUGGUGACUUGUACUAAGGUAUCCAAGAUUUUGAUAGGAUAUUCGGUGUAAGUGAGAUCAUCCUAUACAUUCAACUCCUCCAUAGGUAAUUGUUCCUCCGGAACUUUAAGGCACUUCUUCAACUAAGAGAUAUGGAAUACAUCAUGCACAUCUGAGAGUCUUCUCCCAUUCUCUAUAGAACUUUGAAAGGUCCAAUAAAGCGAGGUUACAACUUCCCUUUAACCUUGAAUCUGCGUAUACCCCUGAUAGGUGAUACUUAAAUAUAUAUGUAAUCACAUUUCGCAAAAGUCAAUUCUCUCCAUCUAGUAUCAGCAUAACACUUCUACCUGGAUUGAGCUGCCCUUAGGUUCUCUCUAAUGAUCUGAACCUGUCUUUCAGCUUCCUAGAUGAUCUUUGGUCCAAACAAAUGACUCUCUCCUGUCUCACUCUAAUACAGAGGAGUUCUGCACUUCCUUCCAUAUAAAGCCUCAAAUGGUACCAUCUUGAGACUAGCUUGGAAGAUGUUGUUAUAGGAGAACUCAAUAUAGGGCAAGCUUUUAUCCCAACUACCUCCAUGUUUUAGAGUGCAGGCUCUCAACAUGUCCUCUAAAAGCUGAUUUGUCCUCUCAGUCUGUCCAUCUGUCUGAGGAUGGUAGGCUAAACUGAAAUUCAAUUUAGUACCCAUGGAUUCAUGAAGUUUCUGCCAGAAGCGAGAUGUGAACUGAGUACCUCUAUCAGACACUAUCUUCUUGGGCACAUCGUGCAGACACACAAUCCUUGAUAUAUACAAUUCUGCCAACCUAGCUCCAGAGUGAGUGGUCUUCACAGGAAUAAAGUGAGCUACUUUAGUCAACCUAUCCACAAUUACCCAUAUAGAGUCAUAACCAGCUUGAGUACAGGGUAAUCCCACUAUGAAGUCGAUACUGAUCUCUUCCCACUUCCAUUCUAGCACCCUUAAUGGUUGAAGUAUCCACCUGGUCUUUGGUGUUCAGCUACAUGUGCGGCCACAUCCCUCUUCAAUUCAUACCACCAAUACUUGUUCUUGAGGUCUUGGUACAUCUUGGUGCUUCUAGAAUGAAUAGAGUAGGCUGAAUCAUGAGCUUCCCUUAAGAUGGUGUCUCGAAGAUUUCCCACAUCUGGCACGCAAAUCCUUUCCCUAAACCAUAUAGGCCCUUGGUCAUCCUUUGUGAAAUCUGGAGCUUUUCCUUCUUCCAUAAGUUCCUUGAUCUUAGCACUAGAGUCGGUUCUACUUCCAUAGUUACUCCUUCAGUACGAGCAACUAUCCCUAAGUUGUUUCUCAAACUCCCUCAUCAAUUCAUCAUGCAUCUAAAAUACUAGAGCCAUGUUGGCAUGACUCUUCCGACUCAAGGCAUCUGCAACCAAAUUUUCUUUACCAUGGUGAUAGUGAAUCUCUAUAUCAUAAUCUUCGAUCAGCUCCAACCAAUGGCGCUGCCUCAGAUUAAGGUCCUUUUAAGUGAAGAUGUACUUCGUACUCUUGUGAUCAGUAUAGAUCUGGCACUUGGUUCCAAGAAUAUAAUGCCUCCAAAUCUUCAAGGCAUGCACUAUUGCUGCUAACUCCAAAUCAUGAGUAGGAUAAUUCUGCUCAUGUUUCCUCAAUUGCUUGGAUGCAUAGGCUAUAACAUGCCCCUCCUGCAUAAGAACGCAGCCUAAGUCCUGUCGAGACGCAUCACAUAGAUAUCGAAACUCUUUUGCAGAUCUAGCAUCACUAGCACUGGAGCUGUAGUCAACCUCUUCUUCAACUCCUCAAAGCUGGCUUGGCAGGCUUCAGUCCACUUGAAUUCCUUUCCCUUCUCCAAUAGUGAUGUGAGAGGCUUCACUAUUUUAGAGAAUCCUUCAAUGGACCUACGGUAGUAUUCUGCAAGUCUAAGAAAACUCCUAAUUUCUGUAACUGUUUGUGGCGGCAUCCAUUUCAGAACAUCCCUAACUUUGCUUGGAUCCACUAGCAACCAAUCAAAACCAGGUAACCAAUCAAAACCUUUCUAUGCUUGAACUCUUUUUGCAUGCUGUGGGUCAGACCCAGUACCUAAACCAGGUAACCAAUGAUGGAAAGUGGGGCGAUUCUUCUUCCUGUAAAAUUUCAUUUCAUGCUCACAUCCAGUCUUCUUUGUAUACUAGUGUUGCUUCCAGUUCUAUGCUAUGUAUGGUAGUCGUUUGAUUCGGGAAUCCUUGAGCCAAGCUUUUAGUCCAUGCCUGGCAGUUUCAGCCGUGGUCCAGUCCAGCAGCCUCUUUUCGAUCCAAGAGUCGCACGAGAGAAAGCAGCUUCCGGUUAGCUUCAGUUAGUUUUAGUUAAAUAGAACGGGAACCUCGUAACUAUGCCAAGCUCGAUCUUGCCUGGAGCCUCGACGAGGGGGCAUGCAGCGAACCAAUAGUUAUUGUUGUUUGCAUGGGAAGGGAAGAGAGACGGAGAUAUGCACGUGUCGCCGCUUGUGCAAAAGAACAGAAAGGCCGCGUGCACGUAUAUCUUCAGGUUCAACCCCGAAAUUAAAAUUAAGGAAAGCCGGUUCGUUGUGAUGCCAAGUUGAAAGGAGGCGUUGGCGCAGUUUGUCGGAGGGGAAGUGGAUGCGAACGCAAGGCUUAUCGUUGCGGAGUCUCGUAUGUGCACCGUGCACGGAUGGAGAUGGCCUGCGUGCCAAUUUUGGCCGAGCACCACAUGGUCUCGAUUGUACGGGUGGCUCACCUAGGUCUAUAGUAUAAGGUGGGUGCGUGCGCGAGUUUUGCACCUAGUACUGAUAAUUUGUGAGCUUGCUAUCGUACGUGCUAGUUGUGUGGAUUGAACCAUUAAUUGAGAGCGAAGGGCAUUCCGACCCGACGUCUAUUGCUAUUGUAGUAGUCGUGUGUUCUUGAGUUGCCUUCGUCGUGUUGUAUGGUCAUCAUCAUGAGAUGGAGCCGAGUAUCUGCGUAACAGUACCAACUUCAAAUUGAAUACAUAUAUGAAUAAAUAAAAGUAGGCAACCUUAACUAUGAGGCCACGCAUAGGAUAAUAUUUCGCUACAUUUACAACAUGCAUUUUUUUGGUUAUGAUAAGACUUUGACUAACAAAUACUCCACUAAUAUUUCAUUUGUGUGAUACAAGAUUAUGAUCAUAAGUAUUCUGCAUAUGACUCUAAUACAAUUUUUGUGUCACAAAAAUUAUGUAUCGAUAGAGUAAAUUUUUGGGUAAAAACUUGUCUAGGUUUUAUAAUAUCAAACAGAGGGAGUAACAAGAAAAAGCAACAACCUAAACAUAGAACAAUCAUCCAACAACUAGCAAAAUACAACUAGAAAUUGGCAUGCGAGGACCUUGACACGAUUAUUGGUGUAGUUCAGCCCCACCGCAAACACUCAUGUUGCCAUCACAACUCUUUUGUCCAAAAAGUCUUAAAUAGCUUGUAGCAGGCUGCUUUUGAAUUUAAGCAACGCGAUCAUAGAACUUACGCAACCAUUUAUCCAUACAGGAGCAUGUUAUAAAAUAACACAGCAGGUACAUCAGGAUCAGGUUGGACAUAUCUCGUGAACAAAUUGUUUCUUGGUAAGAAGAACGAAACCACUAUUGCAUAUCUUAGAUGUGAUUUCACAUACUACGGAGAGCAAUCAAACUGAACUUUGUAACAGAUUGAAAUUGCACCAUGCAUGUACUAGUUUAUUUUAUUCUUCCUGCCCAGCAGGAACAAGCACACAUGCAAGAGUUCAAGGAAAAAGCCAAUCUCAAAAUACAUUUGAGAACCAAACAAUGCAAACUAUUACGCAGAAACAAACUGGUUCCCGAGCUGAUACUGAUCCAUUUUCAUUUUCAACCAGCAAACUGUAUCAACUUCUCUAGAUUCAUAAAUGACGAUCCUCCAUGCUCCAAAGCAGCCUUUGCUUUGGCCUUCAGCUCCUCGGCUUUCGUCCUCCUAGCCUCCCCAUCCUCUCCUCCAUCCAUCAGAAUGUCCAAUGCUUUCUUCACCUGUUCCAUUCCCACAUCUGCCUUCGCCCUGCCGGCACCAUUUUUGUCACCAGUCAGCACGCCCUCCGUGGGCUUCGUCACGCCGACGGACACACCGAUCCGAAGCACGUCGACGAUCAGCUUCUCGUUCAGGAACUGCUCGGCGGUGAACGGCCAUGUGGCCAUGGGAACGCCCGCGGCCACACUCUCCAGCGUCGAUCCCCAGCCGCAGUGAGUCAGAAAGCCGCCGACGCCCGGGUGCUCCAAGAUGGCAACCUGCGGCGCCCAGCCUCGAACAGCAAGGCACUGGGUCUCUGGGAGACCGUCAUCAUUGGUGUUGUGCUGUAACCACUCGUGGACGUCGUCUGGCAAUGAGUCUGCACCCUUAAUUACCCAGAUGACAGGCCAGGGGCACGACACGAGCGCCAGCCCAAGCUGCAUCAGCUGCUCCGGUGGCAUGCGCCCGGCGCUGCCAAAGCUGACGUACAGCACAGAGUUAGCUUUCUUGGCGUCCAGCCACGCCAUGCACCGUCUGGCGUCAUCCGAGCAGGCCCGAGAAUCGACGAGGCCAGGUGCGCCGCAAAGCGAGACGGGGCCGACGGCGAACACGGCCUUGCCCGUGACCGCCGCGAGGCGCGCGGCCGAGCCGUGUUCCAGCUCUUCGAAGCUGUUCACGACGAUGCCGUCCACGGCCAUCUCGAAUUCCCGGAGCUCUCGGAGGCGACCCUCCGGAAUGGAGCAGGAAGGCAGGAACUGCAGCGGCAGCUGCCUCCUGGCGAACUUGAAUUCGAAAGGCGGCAGGACCGGGACGUCGAAGAGCUCGUCCAGCGACGCGACGGCCUCGUGCGGCUUGUGCGUGUUCAGGUACUCGCAGCACAGGAGGGCGAACGCGCAGAACCCGUGGAAGAUGAAGCAGGGCGCGCCGAGUUCACGCGCCAGGCCGUGCGCCCACGUGUUGCACAUCCCGGCGAUGAUGCAGCUCGGCCGGCGCGUCGCCGUGAGGACGCGGCAGUGCUGCGCCACGGCGUCGCCGUACCGCAUGGUGGCGUCGAAGAAGUUGGGAACGAGGUCGAACGAGGGGGUGUGGUCGAGCCUCUCGCAGCCGUCCGGCAGGCCGGCCUCCACCGCCGGGAACGGGAUCGCGGUAACCGUGAUGCCCGCCGAGGAGGCUUGCCCGGCGCGUUCCACGCGGCCCUGGACGAGCUGCGCGCUGGCGGGCGUGGUGAUGACGGUGACCGGCGCGCCGUGCGCGGCGAGGAGGCAGGCGAUGUCGACUAUGGGGAUCAUGUGGCUGGUGGCUGGCCAUGGGAUGACCACGAAGUGAGGCUUCGGGCACAGGGUGGCCUCCAUUUGCUGUGUUCCUGUCACCUUGUCUAGAUUGCGAGAACUUUGUGCACUUGUUGGCUUGUUGCAAGGAAUCUUAUAAUUGUUGCGGCAGCCUUGCAGACUUGCAGUGCACAAAGCGAAGCGAGACAAGACUGGUGCCGGCACAUGCAUUGUCGUUUCUGCGUAGCCUGAACUAACUGACAGGGACUGGCUGGAUCAGUGCAAACGUUGCUAUAUCCUGGGGCGGAGGAGUAGAAGAUAAGAUUCACAUCGACCUGAUACCCGAAGUGCAGUAGCAUGAAAUAUUUUGCCUGUGUGUGGUACUCUAAUGUGGGAGGAAAACAUCAGUAAAUUGUUCUUUUGAACUGCGGUGAUUAAUGCCUCAUUUUCCAAAACUCCAUCGAUGAUCUCUGUAUACUAUGCUCGGAACAGGAAGGAAUAUAUCUUCAUUCUGUGGCAUCCAGAGGAGCACGAUCCAAAGAGCAGCAUUAUCGUCACGCACCUCAAGUAACACUAUCACAGAAAUGACUCUACAACGUACUUAAUCACUCACGAAACAUAUGAUAUGAUACUAUGCUCUAUGCAUUAGGGUGAUUGUAUCUUUUAUAGUUUCACGUGACUCGAGCUUCGGACUUCGGAGAGUGUGACAAGACAUACUCCCUCCGUCCCAUUUUAACUGCAAUCAUGAAAUUAAAAAAACGUCCCAUAUUAAACGUGCUCAUCAGCCAAAUCUCAAAUGUACCAGGCUGUGCGAGUACACGUGGGUCUCGUUUGCAAAAAAAAAAAAUUCCAAACACCCAGCGGGUUCAGCCAUCCACCGCAUGAGGAGUCUGACAUGUUCUCGUUUCUUCCGCACUCUGCUGUGCAUGUUGCUUCCCUAAUUCAUUUUAAAGUAUAUAAUGCUGCAAUGAUUACUGCUAUCUAUUCCAUGUACAUAGGGACAAUAUCAUUUCCUAUCCAUACUAAUUUCAUGUUCAAAUCCUUAAAGUCCACUUAUAUUAGGACGAGGGAGUACAAAAGAUAGUGGUUAGCCUAACCACAUCGCGGGGGUGUCCAUCUCCUGGAGUGACUCUCUGUCUCAACUUACGUAAUCGAUGACGCCAAUGAACAUAUGAGAUUUUCACUAAUCAGCGAUUGAUCAAGUGAAAGGGACCGAUUACACAGGAACGUGCACGCGAACUGUGAGUCUGCGUGAUCGCUAAUGUGUCUGGUCAUUUAGGCUCGGAACGCCCAUUUUGGCUGGACAUUCAGCUCCACAGAGAGCCAUUUAUGGUCCUUGGAGUACUACCCUACAACGCAUCGCCAAACGAGAAGUAGAAAGAUAUACGAUUUCAAAUUUGAUUCUUAGGUGAAGAUUUUGUAUAUCCUACAGUAAACUAUUGGUUAACAUAAACAAGUUAUGACACUCAAACUUCCUUUUAUUGGAAUUUCACAGAAAUACCAAGGCAGAAUCUCAAAUCCCCCUUCUCUUUUAUUGUCAUACUCCCUCCAAUCUCUAAAUGUUUGUCGUAAUCAACACAUUUUAGCUUCGACCAUCAAUAUUACUUUAAAUAUUUAUGCUUAUUUUUAAAAUAGUACGACUAGAUUCGUCUUUAACAAUAGUUUAAAAUAGGAAAAAGUCUAUUUUGGACCAUCCAACUAAUGCCUCGGUUUGAUUUCAUCCAACUAUUUGAUUCCAUCCAACUCGAAAAUCAUGAAUCUUCUGUUAAAACCGCUCAUGUUUGACCAUCUAGCAGUUUUGAUUGGUGGUUUCGCUGACGUGGAUGACACAUUUGCAGUGGGACCCACAUAUCAGUUUUAUCUUCUUCCCCUCCCUCUCCCUUUCUCCAUCUUACCACUCUAAGGCACCCAGUAGCACCAGCAGCCGGAGGAGCAGCUCAUGUGCCUGUCAUCAUCACCUGCCGCAUGUUGGCCACCAGCCGCGCCUCGGCCCCUCAUUACGUCGGGUGCCCCCAGCCGCCCCUCGGCUCCGGGGAGGCGGAGGCUGGUGAGUUCCUGGAGGAGGAGGCUUAGGCAGAGGUGGGUGCCAAGGAGGCGGUAGAGGAGGGGGCGGACUCCGUUGCGGUGGAGGAGAUGGUGUAGGCUGGUGGCGGUGCGUGGGUGCUAUUAGGGAGAAGAGGGUUGGUUGGCAGCGAUGGCGGGGCUGUUUCAGAUGCAGCCUUUUUUUCAUUUUGAAGAGUGGCAUCCUAUGUUCACUAUCUCGAUCGAGGUAUGGAGGUCAAAAUAAAUAGAAUAAUGAUGAAUGGAAAAAAGAGAAAAUCCUUUAGCUGGAUAAGAGGCGGAUAUAGCUAAGUGGAUCAAGGCAGUGGAUUGUGAAACCACCAUGCGGGUUCAAUUCUCGUCGUUCGCCCAUCACAUUAUUGCAAAUUCCAAAAAUACAAUUUUCCAUAUUGCUAGUUACGUAUUUACUUACGGCGACGAAGAAUAAAACUAUCACUAUAUUUUUUCCUUUUCCUAGUUCUUCUUCCAAGCGCAGGAUAACCCUUGCGGAGGAGCUCGUGGGGUCAGGAGGUGAUGCGGAGGUGGAAAGCGGGACGCAACACAGGAGGAGGCGGAUGAGGUGGUGGCGGUGACAAAGGGGCUGGCCCGUCGUUCGGGGAACUCGCACGUUCUGUGGCCGACGGUCGGGGCUCGGUGCGCCUUCGCUGCGCCUGGGGUCGUCCGCGCCCGGUGUUGCCCGUCGCCGAGCCACCAGCCCACGGUGCCUCGGUGCGGGCGUGAGGACCGGGAGAGCACCAGCAGCGGCGGCGCCAAGAAGAGGAAGUGGCUGGAGGGAGAGAAAGGGGAGGGAGGGGAAGAAGAUUAAACUGACAUGUGGGUCCCACUACCAUGUGUCAUUCACGUCAGCGAAACCACCGACUAAAACCACUAGAUGGUCAAGCAUGAAUGGUUUUAACAGUUAGGUGGUUAAAGAUUCCUGGUUUUCGAGUUCGAUGAUCUAAACCAAACCGAGGCAUUAUUUGUAUGGUCAAAAAUGAACUUUUUCCUUCAAAAUAUGACACAUUUGCUAGAUUUUGAAUGCGUUCAUUCGAACCAACGAAGGAUUUCAAGGGCAAUAUACUAUUAAUUUAUGGUCAAAACAUGUCUUGCUGACUAUAUCGCUUCAUGAAACGACAAUUAUUUGAAGGUUGAAGGGAGUACAAGUACAACGUGUAUUCCAAACACACACCUAUCAUAGCGGUACAACAACUUUAUCCGACAAAAGAAAUCAUAGCAAAUAACCAAGGGGUGUUUGAUGUUGGAUUUAGGAGUAUUAAACAUAGUCUAAUUAUAAAACUAUUUGCACAGAUGGAGUCUAAUUCUCGAGACGAAUCUAUUAAGCUUAAUUAGUUCAUGAUUUGACAAUAUGAUGCUACAGUAACCAUUUGCUAAUGAUGCAUUAAUUAGUCUUAAUAAAUUCAUCUCGCGAAUUAGACUUCAUCUGUGCAAUUAGUUUUGUAAUUAGUUCAUAUUUAAUCCUCCUAAUUAGCAUCCAAACAUCCAAUGUUGGAUGUUUCCCUGAUAAAGUUUAGCACCUCGUAUCCAAACACCCCCUAAAUGUUCUGCGGUAACAGUUCGGCGGACGAGUGUGUUAAAACCCAUGUGUUAGUUAGAGGCAUCCAGCUUCAAACAAAAGAUUGGAUCAAAUUCUCCAGAUUAACGUAGGACGAUCCUCCCUCCUCCAGAGCACCCUUCGCCUUCGCCUUCAGCUCCUGAGCCUUCCUCCUCCUUUCCUCCGCUUCAGCACCCUGAUCCAUCAGCCUCUCCAAUGCCUUCAUCACCUGUUCCAUCCCCACCUCCGCCUCCGCCUCUGCUUUGCUGCCAUCGGUUUUACUAGCGCUCAGGAUGUUUUCCGUUGGCUUCGUCACGCCUACGGACACCCCGACACCAAGCACGUCCACGAUGAGCCUCUCGUUGAUGAACUGCUCGGCGAACAGCGGCCAGGUGGCCAUGGGCAUGCCGGCGGCGACGGCCUCCAGAGUCGAACCCCACCCGCAGUGCGUCAAGAAGCCGCCGACGGCCGGGUGGGCCAGGAUGGCCACCUGCGGCGCCCACCCGCGCACCACCAGGCACUUGGUGUCCGCCACGCCGUCAGCGUCGUCGGUGUUCUCGCGCAGCCACUUGUUGACAUCGUCGGGCAGGGAGUCAGCGCCCUUGACAACCCAGAGGACAGGCCAGGGGCACGAGACCAGAGCCAUGCCGAGCUGCAUGACCUGCGCGGGUGGCAUGCACCCGGCGCUGCCGAAGCUGACGUACGCCACGGACCUGGACGCCUUGGUGUCCAGCCACGCCAUGCAUCGCCUCGCGUCUUCCGACAUGGUCUCUGGAUCCAGACUAGGCGAGUGGCUCAGCGAGACGGGGCCGACGGCGAGCACCUUUCUGCCCGUGGCCGCCGCAAGGAGCGCGGCGGAGCCGUGCUCCAGCUCCUCGAACGUGUUCACCACAACGCCGUCCACGGCCACGUCGAAAUCCCGUAUCUCCUGCAGCGGCCCUCCGCCCAUGGAAGUCGACGGCGAGAAAUGCGGCGGCAGCUGCCUUCGCGAGACCCUGCACUCGAACGACGGCAAGACCGGGACGUCGAAGGGCUCGUCGGGGGACGCCACCGCCUCGUGCGGCCUGUGCUUGAAGAGGUGCUCGAUGCAGAGCAGCGCGAACGCGCCGAACCCGUGGAAGAUGUAGCACGGCACGCCGAGCUCGCGCGCCAAGCCUAGCGCCCACGAGUGGCACAUCCCGGCGACGAUGCAGGUCGGCCGGCAGGGCGGCAUGGAGGCGCCGCCGAGGCAGUGCCGCGCCACCGCCUCGCCGAACCGUUUGUUGGCGGCGAAGAAGCGGGGCACGUCGGCGGGGGACCGGAGGAGGUCCAGCCUCUCGCGGCCCUCGGGAAGGCCGGCCUCCGCGCCCGGGAACGGGAUCGCGGUGACCGUGAUCCCCACGCCGCCGCGCGGCGGCGUGGCACGGUCGUCGACGCGGCUCUGCACGACUGGCGCGUUGGCGGGCGUCGUGAUGAUGGUGACCGCCGCGCCGUGGGACGCGAGUAGGAUGCCGAUGUCGGUCAUGGGGAUGAUGUGGCUGAUGCUUCCCUGCCAUGGGAUGAGCACGAGGUGAGGCUUCGUGGUUCCCUCCAUCUAUGGCGUUACUCUUUGCAGUCGAUGUAGCUAGCUUUCUUCUUGUGCCAAACUGACAGUUUGCUGGGCAUUGUAUAGCAGGUUGUCUUAUGGCCGGUGCACUUUGUAUGCUGGAAGUGUCGACAUACGAGGUUCAUGUAGGGGGGCGGGUCAUGAUUGAUGACUACACUUUCUAGGUGUUUUCUGCCUGUAACCUCACGCCAGGAACAGCACACAUGACACAGCAUGGAGAAGUCCAAGAUUUUGAAAGAUACAAACUUUUACUAGCUAAUCGGAAGGGCAGCAUAGUCAAUCCCGUGAUGUGUUCAGCGAUGAUUUCGUUUGUUCAGCAAGACUGUCGCAUACGCUUUUGCUGUCUAGCCAUCUCUCGAGCGACUUUUCUCUACACGACUUAUGUUUGACUUUGCAUAGAUUUGUGAGGACAUCAUGCACACAUAUAAUCGGCACAUAAUAUCGGCUCAUUCUAUAUCUUUGACUCGGGGAAAAGUCGCUACUCAAAACUGACGGCAACGAAUCUGGAAGGGUUAAGGAGAAUCGUACGAACGUUGUAAGGCAUGACAAUUGAAAAUGUUUUCAUCUUAUCUCUAGAAUGUUUCAUUUGUAGCAUCCACAAACUUGCGACGAUGAUUACCACGUCAGCUGCGAUUGUAGCUUUUGCAGGUUUGAAGAGUAGGGUAGCCAUUACGUGUGUCGAUGAUCGAUGAUACGUGUGAUGCUUGAUGAAGUGAGAAGUGGAUACUGGAUAAGAACUGAAGAAUUGUACUUGCGCUUGCGCACGGCGCACGACUUUCCGCAUACAGCAGCACACAGGUAACCAUCGUGGGGCUUUGGUUUCCCGACCUCCCUGGACUACUGACUCUUGUUUUCAGUCGUAUAAAAAAAUGCUCUUGUUUUCAGAUAUACGUCAUCGAUGACGCCAAUGACCAUGUGUGACAACUUUAGUGGAUGAAAAUUCCGUAACCAUAGGAUUGGGAUUUCACGCGCCACAGAAAAAUUCCAUGCAGCGAUAUCUUACUGUUUGGCAAGUUCUAAUUUCAGAACUUUUUUGAAUCAAUUGGAGCUAGUUAUUGGUGGUUCCAAAAAAUAUCUAGACUAAAACUGCAUGUAUAUCAGGAGCAUCUAGACUAAUCAUUUGAACAUACCUUAGACUAAAUACAUAUAUUAGGACCUAUGUUGGAGUUAGCUUGCUAGGAUUUUUAUUUAUUUUUUUAAAAAGAAAAUCCACAAUCUUCUAUUUUAGAAAUUACAAGGGAAAGCUAACUUGGGCUUCCUAGAACCCGAUUUUUCUGCUCCGUAACACCCUAUUAUUGGACCCUCCAGCCAUCUUUCUCACCACAGCAAGGCUCCAGCCAUCUUCAUCAACCACAACGACUCCACGACGACCCUAGUUAGUGUUUGGAGGUUUGGAUUGGUUGGGGGCCGGGGGCGGAGGGAGUAUCGAUUCAAGAAGGAGGCCGCGGGCAGUGGAGAGGCAAGGUGGCGGUGGCACAUUCAGCCAAGCAAUGCUGGACAACCAGUAGGUGGGCCUGAGUGGUAGAGGUUGCUGCGGGCUACGUAGGAUCUCGUCCGAGCUCGAUGGCGGUGGACUGCUGGCAUUGAGAGCUCUAGCCAGACCCUAUCCAGCCACAAUGGGGCGGUGGCACGUGGGGGGGGGCAGUGGGGCAUGUGUGCUCGUGAAGAAGAACGGUGUCAGGUGUGACUUUGUUGCUCAAUAAGACAGGCAAAGCAUGACAGUCAUUGGAUCUUGAUCUAAUGGUCGAAAUCGAGUACUAAUGUGCUAUCUUGCCUUAAAACACCCAAAUGUCCUGUAGACACUCCCAAAUUGUUGGAAGGGCAUCUUCAAUAGCGCCACGUCAGCAAAUAAGUUUUACAGUGAACUUCUAAAAACUUAUAGAAUUUUUUUAAAUUUUUUGAAAAAUAAGGUGAUCCUAGAGUAUAACUUGUUUACAAUGAGCGAGAGAAAAAUUGAAAAAAUAAGGAGAUCCUACAGUAUAACUUUUUUACAAGUAUGUGUGUUGGGGGGUGGGGGGAGAAAGAGUUUGGAGGGGAAUGUUGAAGAGCCGAGCGAGUGACCAUAUUACCUUUUUCUUCACAAUUUACACACUUUUCAGUAUAACACAAGCGAUACAGAUUUUAAGCGCAUUGCACCUUAGUACAAAAUUCAUAUCUCAUAUUAAAUUCUUGUAAAUUGUCGGGUUUCAUGGCAUACCCCUCUUCUUACUUAUAUUUUAUGACACUCACGCUGAAACAGAUACUUGUGCUGGUCCCACGCGUCAGUAAGACAUGUCGAGCUUCAAACAAAAGAUUGGAUCAAAAUUUCCAAAUUAUUGUAGGAUGAUCCUCCCUCCUCCAAAGCACCCUUCGCCUUCAGUUUUAGCUCAUGAGCCUUCCUCCUCCUCUCCUCUCCUUCAGGUCCUUGAUCCAUCAGCAUCUCCAAUGCCUUCUUCACUUGUUCCAUCCCCAUCUCGGCCUCGGCCUCCGCUUCGCUGCCGCCGGCGCUAAAUGCGGUGAAGAUAUUUUCGGUUGGCUUUGUCACGCCGAUGGACACCCCAAUGCCAAGCACGUCCACGAUGAGCCGCUCGUUGAUAAACUGCUCGGCGAAAAAGGGCCAGGUGGCCAUGGGCACGCCGGCGGCGACGGCCUCAAGAGUCGAGCCCCAGCCACAGUGCGUCAUGAAGCCGCCGACGGCCGGGUGGGCCAGGAUGGCCACCUGGGGCGCCCACCCACGCACCACCAAGCACUUGCUGCUCGCCACGCCAUCAGCGUCGGUGUUCUCGCAGAGCCACUCCUUGACGUCGCCGGGCAGGGAGUCGGCGCCCUUGAUGAGCCAGAGGACAGGCGAGGGGCACGAGACCAGAGCCAUGCCGAGCUGCAUUAGCUGCGCAGGCGCCAUGCGCCCGCCGCUGCCGAAGCUCACGUACACCACGGACCUGGGCUCCUUGGCGUCCAGCCACUCCAUGCACCGCCUCGCGUCACCCGACGUGGACUGAAGAUCGAGACCCCGCGAGCGGCAAAGCGAGACGGGCCCGACGGCGAACACCUUCUUGCCGUUGCCGGUGGCCUCCGCGAGGAGCGCCGCGGAGCCGCGCUCCAGCUCCUCGAAGGUGUUCACGACGACGCCGUCCGCGGCCACGUCAAACUCCCGCAUCCCCUGCAGUGCCUUGCCGCCGACGGAGGCGGGCGGCAAGAAGUGCGGCGGCAGCUGCCUGGUCGACAGCCGGCACCGGAACUGCGGAAGGGCGGGGACGUCGAACGGCUCGUCGUCCGACGCGGCCGCCUCGUGCGGCCGGUGCUCGUACAGGUACUCGAUGCAGAGCAGCGCGAAGGCGCCGAACCCGUGGAAGACGUAGCACGGCACGCCGAGCUCGCGCGCCAGGCCCAGCGCCCACGUCUGGCACAUCCCGGAGAUGACGCAGCUCGGCUGCCGGCGGGGCGCCUCAUGGAGGCAGUGCCGCGCCACGGCCUCGCCGUGCCCCUUGUUGGCCACGAAGAAGCGGGGCACGUCGGCGGGGGACCGGAGCAGGUCCAGCCUCUCGCAGCCCUCGGGCAGGCCGGCGUCCGCGGCCGGGAACGGGAUCGAGGUGACCGUGAUCGCGGCGCGGGCGCGGUCGACGCGGCUCCGCGCGAUCGCGGCGUUGACGGGCGUCGUGACGAUGGUGACCUCGGCCCCGUGCGAGGCGAGGAGGCAGCCGAGGUCGGUCAUGGGGAUGACGUGGCUGAUGGUUCCUGUCCAUGGGAAGAGCACGAAGUGUGCCUUGGUGGCGCUCUCCAUUUCCCGCGCAGCCAAGAGUUUAAGCCGGAUGCUCGAUGACUGCGCGCGAAAUGGCUAGCUUUGCUGUGUGUCUGUGGGCUAUGGCCUACGGCAAGCUGCUGACCUCUUUGCCACUAUAUAUGCAGGUCCAGUGUGGCUUCGCACGCUGCGUACGCAUACACGGCAUGAGGAUGAGUUUAGUACUGGUCCAGAGACAAUGCCAGCAUGACAGAUGCACAUGCACGACGACGGUCGACGGGGAGAAGAAGAAACGGAACUAGUCAUCUAGUCGCUAAACUCCUCAGGAAAAAGAUGGUUUGUUCGUACAGCAGAGCCGAACUGAGCAUUGUCCAUUCUGGACGAGAAGGAAAUUGCUGAUGACUAGGCCACUGGCUACCAGGCCCUGGACUAAGCACCGGAUCGCCUUUUCUUUUUCGUAAGAAACCAAGGACGCGGCUGAACGGCCUGCCCCGGCUCCAAUUUUACUGCAACUGGUUCAACCCAUACUUUAUUUUCAGCUUUUUUGGUUCAUAGAUUUCAUUCACAAGCCUCCUUCUCAAACAACACGUACGGGCAAAUCAGUCCACAUCACCUUGCAGCCACAGCAUCUGUAGAAUAAAUGAGCAGUCGUUACGGCUCAUUUUCAUUGCAGCGGACGUGUUCCGGGGAUCUGGGCAAAUGAACGUUGAUCGUCGAGACAAGGGACGUUUUAGUAUGUGUGGAAUUCUCCUUCGUUUUCCUAUUUUGAACAGUUGCGAGUUGUCUUGCAGGAGGGCGGAGCUAUCGCAUGACGUAAUGACUUGCAUCAGUUGGAGUCGCGCAUGUCAUUGGUGACGUCGAAAAGGUUUCUGUACGCGACUCUGUAAUCGUAUGUGGGACCAGAUGUGCUGCAAUUCAUGCGGCCGGGAAUAUGGAGCUCUGCCGCGAAAAUGCUUCCACGCCGAAUUCGGCAAUGAGAACUGCGGCAACAAGUGCUGGGCCGGGUGCCACUACAGCGUAUGCGACUACGCGGUGUUCCACUAUGUAGUAAGGGUAAGGUUCCGAUGUAAAUAUGUGUAUGGAAUAUAGAAAUAAGAUGAAAACGUUUUGAAAAUGUUCCUUGCUCGGCAUAUAAUUCGCUUUAGUGUCAUGUGAUGUCAUCGCUAUACGCACUUAGGUCGAUAGCCAACAUAAAAAACAUCGGCCCAACAAAAAAAAAAGCACAAUUUUGUUUGUAUGGAGUGUUUUAUCUAGGCCCGGCCCAAGCAUAAGAGCGUCCGGUGCGGCACGCGUGCAGGCCCAGGUACGGCCCGUACCCCCUUCUCAACCCACGCCGGCACGCAGCCACCUCAUUUUUUCCCUCCCCAGUUCCCCAGCCGCCGCCGCGCGCUGGCUCCUUCCGGCUCUCCCCCUUCCAUUGCCGCCGCCGCCGCUCCCCUCGGCCGAGUUUGACGGCGGUCGGCGAUUCCUCCUCUCCCCUCCCGCCCCUGGCCCCCCUUUUACCGCCGGGUGCCGGCAUCACCGCCGCGGCCACCCGAACAGCGCAGCGCGUGCCUGGCUGCCUGCUAGGCGUUCACGGUUCACCCCUGCCCCUCAUCUCAGUUUCUCUCCCCGUCUCUCUUCUCUCUUCGUCUUCCUUUCCUGGCGGCGACUACUGGGCGAGCGGCGGCGCUAUUUGGUCUUCGCAGCCGCAGGGCCCUUUGCCGGCGACGAACAACCAUCAGGUAUGCCCUCCCUUCUCUUCCAUUCCUGCUGUGCGAUAAGGAGCAACGCUAUUGUUCUAAAAAAACCAUAAGCUAUUGGAAGCUAUUUAUAUUCCCAUUGUAUUACUAUUACCUAUAAGAGCUUCGAUUUUGUUUGCAAAAAUAUCGGGUGUACAUGUGUACACCUAUGUCCUAUGCUGGGUCCGCCCGCUGCAUGAUACCUUUACUAAUCCAAUCCAUGGUUAUCCUUCCUCAGUGCGCAAGAUUGAUAUUACUUGGUUACUAAUCGAGGCGCGGGUGCAAUCGUUUGUGUGUUUAUCCAGCUGAGCGGCCAUGCGCCAACCAAGGUCCGGGCCAGGGAAGAGGCGGGGCCGCGGGCCGCGGAUCCCCGCGACGACGCUUCGCAAGCAGCAGGCCGCGUUGGCGAAUGUCGACCAGAUCACGGGUGCCAAGAUCCCCAAGAGCUUCGUUUUCUCCCGUGGCAAGCUCCCCUCCACGCUCCGCCACCUCCAACAGGACCUCCGCAAGGUCAUGCUCCCCUACACUGCUCUCAAUCUCAAGGUCCAUCCCUAUCCCUAUUGCCUACUCAGCAAUUGACAAGUGACUGAGGUUGUUCUGGUGCUCACAAGCUGUAAUUGGUGUUCCCGCUUGAAACAAUUGGCAGGAGAAGAAGCGGAAUAACCUCAAGGACUUCGUCAAUGUUGCCGGUCCGUUGGGAGUGACACAUUUCUUGAUCCUCUCGAACCCCAAGAGCCUGCCACAUUUGCGCUUUUCCAAUUCGCCACAGGGCCCAACCUUCACUUUCCAGAUAGAGGAGUACGCACUCGCGGCAGACAUUGCAAACUCCCAGAAGCGGCCAAGGUGCCCACCAGGGAUAUUCAAGAACUCACCACUGGUAUAUGCCACUAAUGUGGAAAAUUGUAUUUGGAUAGUUUUUGAUGAAGAUAUCGGUCGCUGAUACCUUGUUUUAAUGUUAAAUUCAUGGAUUGAGCAGGUCGUGCUGAGCGGGUUUUCAGGUCUUGGCAACCCUUUUGAGAGUUUGGUCGAAUACUUUCAGCAUAUGGUCCCUGCCGUUGACCCAAGCACUGUAAGUAUCGGGUGAUAAUGUCAACUUAAUGUCUCAGUAUUGCAAUAUUUUGAUAAUAAUACUGUACUGUGCAUAAUAGGUCAAACUGGCAGAAUGUCAAAGGAUUCUGUUAUUAAAAUAUGAUAAAGAGAAGGAGGUUGUCGAUUUCCGGCAUUACUCCAUCAAGCUCCAGCCUGUUGGGGUCAGUCGCAGGAUUAGAAAGCUCAUGCAGAACAAUCAAGUUCCUGAUCUAAGAGACCUUAAAGAUGUUAGUGAUUAUGUGACAAAGUAAGUGCUGCUUUGCCGUUUAUUGCAAUUAGAUUUUUUUUUUCAAUUUUUCAGGAACGAUGAACUGCAUAGAAAACCAUGAGAGCGAACAACACAAAUUUGAACUUGUAUAUGGGUGCACUAAACUAAUGUGAUAAAUUUAAGUAGGUUUUUUGCAAACACCAUAGAGGGUGCACAUAAAAGCUGCCAGAUGUACAAAUGGUUUAGUGAAAUAACAUGAAACAACCCUUUUUAUGUCAAAAUCAUUUUUCAGAUAAUCUUUUUCAAAAUUCAUGUUUGCCAUCUCAGAAUUCGCAAUAUUCCCUGUGAAGGUUUGGGAGACAUGCUGUGUAAUUUUGUAUUGUCAUAUGCCUCUAUCGAAGUGCAACCAAAUCUGAUGUGGGUGCUUUAUUUUUGCUGCGGGCUUAUCCAAAUAAUAUUGAUAAUAUUUUCAUAUUAUACAUUAGUUACUAAUGUUCAUGAGGGUCAACGUAGUUAAUUAAGUGCAAAAAGGAAGGUUAUUGAAAGGAAGUGUUUGUGGAGGGAAGUGUAGUGAACUGAUAGAACUAGUAGCAUAACUGACUCUAUGGAGACUGAUGGCAUUGCAACCAGCAACUACAGCUACAGGUAACUAUUGUCAUUUAGGUUACAAGUUAUAAUAGGGCAAGAAGGAUUGCAUAGUAGUAUGGAACUAUCUUGACAGUGUGCAAACAGAUUUUGAUCAAGUUAUAUGCUUCCGCUAUAUCCAACAUGUUAAUAUUUUACUAGCAUACACUAAGCUCUUCAUGUAAGAAGAGGCUCCUCGUCAAUAGUCUCAAAUCACUAUGGUCCAAGCAGGCCACCCAUCCAGUAACUAUAGUGGUGGCAUGUUAAGCUGAACAUGUGAAGCUACAGCCUACAGAUGCUCUCAAUGGUGGCAUAGCAUAGGCAUAAAAGCUUCAGGCUGAAAUGCUAAAUUGUGUCAACUACUGUGAAGAAAACCAUCAAGCAUAUAAAAUUAGUGAGACUUCCAUAAUCUGAGCUUAUGACCAGAGAUAAACUAGCUGUAACCACCUACGUGGAUAUCCUAGAACUAUAUAUUGCACGCAUUGCCUAUACUUUCAGUAAAUGUGAUAUUUGUUUUCAGCAAAGAACAGAGGAAUAGUAAAGCACAGAGAAGAAACAAAAAUUAUGACCAACAUGAUUCAGAAUAGUAAAGUUUUAGGAGUUACUCCAUUCUUUGUGUUUUGAGUGUGUGAGUCUUCAAUGCACCCUCUCAAAAUAGAUAGUUAAUAUUUAGAUUAGAGACGUCAUGACAUUUUGAGACCCUGCCAGUGUAUAUGAUGGUGACUAUCUGGUAAUCACAGCGGCUCAUAAACUAAGUACAAUGUUUAAGCACCCAUGGACAAGAAAACAAAGUGAAAAGACAUAAUCCUAAGAAAAAAUAAAGACUAAAACUCAACACUUAGCAGGCUGCCGUGGAAUGUCUUAUUUUUCACCUGAAAUGAUCCCGUCGCUCUCAACUUCUGAUUUGUUAGUUUGCUGCGUCCAGAUUAUUUUAAUUAAAAAAACUGUUUGCUUUAAUGAUUAGGUAACUGUGCUGACCAAAUAUUAGUGCCUGCUAUUGUGUUUUUAUAAGUAAUGCACCUUCUGUUGCUUGGAUUUAAUUUUGUAUAAUAAACCCUUGUGUUCACAUUCACCAGAGCUGGAUAUGGAUCUGAAAGUGAAGUAGAUGAUGAAGCAGCAACGGUAAGCCUACCAAGUGAUGUUGACAAAUUAAACCGGGCAUCAAGAAAAAGCGCUGUUAGACUCCAGGAGAUCGGACCACGGAUGACUAUGCGCCUUGUUAAAGUUGAGGCUGGGCUAUGCUCGGGAGAUGUCUUAUACCCUUGGCCUGGUGAGUUUCCUCCGAUGCUGUAAUCUCCACCUCAAGUUAUUUUUUAGUGUCGGUUGCAUUUCUUUUCUGAUUUUCUUUUAUGUUACAGUGGCAAAGGAAUCUGUGGGAGAGAAAGGGAAAGUAACUGAGGAAGAGAUAGAAGGACAAGAAGAAACUGAGGAUGAGCUGGAGGAUGGGUCAGAGGACGAGAUGGAGGAAUAGCAAUUUCGAUGAGCUCAUCAAAGCACUUAUCACCCAGCAUCUGCCUACAAGGAUAGUCCACAGUGUGAAGCCACCACUCUCCUUCAACACUAAGGAGAACUUGGCUCAUCCCCAGAUGAAAACAAAUGUGGUAUAUGCAGAAGCAGGUGUAGUGACAGUCCUAGAUGUUUCAUGCCGAAUUAAACGGGCUCUGAGUGUUGUAGCAUGAUGCAUUCAUGCCAGUUUUGUGACUCAAGGUGUCUAGGUUUGGCUCACUAGUGUUAAAGUUUAACACCCGUCACAUCGGAUGUUUGAAUGCUAAUUAGGAGUAUUAAACAUAGGCUAAUUACAAAACUAAUUGCACAGAUAGAGUGUAAUUCGCGAGAUGAAUCUAUUAAGCCUAAUUAUUACAUGAUUUGACAAUGUGGUGCUACAGUAACCAUUUGCUAAUGAUGGAUUAAUUAGGCUUAAUAGAUUCGUCUCGUGAAUUAGCAUAGGGUUCUGCAAUUAGUUUUAUAAUUAGCUCAUAUUUAGUUCUCCUAAUUAGCAACCGAACAUUCGAUGUGACACUGUUAAAGUUUAACACCUCGUAUCUAAACACCCCCUCCAGUUAAAGGCCUGCCUACUUGCAACAAGGUUGAACACUAAUCUGCGGUAGUUACAGAUUAUAAAGAUUUAUGAGUUCUUGUUGCAACAAAGCUAUGACUCCCCUGUCCCCUCAAAGCUUGGUCACUAUAGAAUGGAAAAAUAGCAUCAUUUAAGCAACCGGCAAAAUGGGACAAUGUCAUCCACAAUGCUGCUGACCGGCCUGGCGUCCCGUACGACGAUGCUCCCUCGUCCUCGCCUGGCAUCACCUCUGGCGCCGCACCAUUAGACGCCCUUGCGCCGCCUGCCGGCCCGUUGACCUGCCAGGCUCCCAGGCCUGAAGCUGCAUCGAGUGGCGCGUAUCUCCACCGCCUCCCGGUGCGUGCCCCGCUCGCCGCGCGAUGUCGGCGGUGGCCUCCACGCAGACGCGCUCCCGCUCCACCUCCAUCGACCGCUCCGCGCCCGCGCCCACGGCGUGCUCCGGUCUCGCCACCACCGUGUCCGCGGCCGUCACGUUGACGUCCGCGCCACCCGCCGCGUCUCGGUAGCCGCAUGCCACUCCGAUCAGAGUCGUCUCGCCUCCGUGGCGUCAUCCGCUCUUGGAACAGCCAAGGACUGCAAGAAGCGUAGCUCCUCGUCCGCGUAGAGCUCGCCGGCGGCGACCGAAGCGGCGCGGCCGUCGUCGUCAAUUCGGCUCUCGUAGCGGCCGGACCUUACGGCGCUAAUGCCAACUCCAGCAUGGAGGCAAGCAAUACGAACACGCGCCUCCUGCACGACGACGGAGAGCAGCCCGCCGAUGCACUGUGCGAACACGUCCUUGAUGACCGCCUCGUCCUCCAUGAACGAGAACGUCCCGCCCGUCGCCUCCCUCGCCUCGGCAACGACGUGCAUCGCCGCCGCGUCGUGGUUGUUGCCGAAGCCGAACGUGUGGAUUGGCGCGGACCAGUCGCCGGUGUCGGCGCGCGCGAAGGGCGCGAAGGAUGGCGGCACGAGAGCCCCGUAGUUGGGCCCGGCCGCCGCCCUGCGCCUGCCGUGGCACGGUGUACGUGUCCUGGCCGUCGGAGAGGAGAAUGACGCUGGAGACGGCGUUCCUUUGGCGGCGCUCGUCGAGCACCUUGGCGGCUUUGCGGAUCCCCUCCGCGAUAUCGGUGCCGCCGCGCGCGGCGAGGGACGCCACGGCCCUCGUGGUGGGACCCUUCCCUGUGUCCGACAUGCGCGGGAGCCUGGUGCUCCGCGCCGUGUCCGAGAAGGACACGACGCAGAGGCAGUCGUGGGGGCCGAGGUUGUCGAUGACGAACCCCACAUGGCCUGCUUCAGCAGCGCGAGCUUUGCCCCCCUCAUGCUGCCGCUGACGUCGAGCACCGUCACGAGGUCCAGAGGCGCGCGUGGCGCGUCCCCGCCCGCCCGUUCGUGGCUUCGCCGCCGAUCAUCCCUGGAGCCCUGACGUGCACGAGAACGUCUAAGUUGUCGUGAGAUGAGUUCCUGGCGAUAGCAGAGCACUCUGUGUGCGUCUUCACGACCAAUGUUCCACUGGAUACAGAAACUUCGAGCCUAUUCGCUUCAGCUUAUUGAGCCGGCUUAUCAGUCACCAAAUAGUGUUUUUCUCUCAUAACAAAUCAGCCGUUUCAGCUUUUCAGCCGGAUUAUAAGCUGAAGCGAACAGACUCAAUAUCGGCGGCCGUCGUGGACAGGGCUGCCAUCUCCACCUGCUAGUCGUCGUCGAACACUUGUGGCUCCGCGAGAAGGAAUGGUCGCUGGACCGCAUGGUGUUGGAUCGGCUGCCACCAAGCCUGCUGUGGACUACCGCCAUGGUAUGUAGCGGCUGCUCUGGUGGCGUCAGUAACGGCGUCUGUGUCGGGCGCACGAAGGGCAGCUCCGCCACGGCGCGUUGCAGAGCGGGCAGACGAAGUGGCCGUGCGCCACGCUCGCGGACUCCAUGGCGCAGAAGGAUUCGCGGUCAGAUAUCACCGCUUCCUCCGGGAGCAGAUGAGCGCCGAUCUUUUUGAGCGGGGAGAUUUCUGGGUCAAAUGGGUGGGGCUAUGCACUUCCGGUGGGGGAGGAGGACGGCCCAGGCGGCGGCGGCAGCGGCAGCCGGCGUCGGAGGAGCGGGAGCCGGGAGGAGACCCGAUCUGAACCAGGGGGCUAUAUUAAAAUAUUAGGGGUCAUUUUGCAAAUAAUCGGAUCGCGACCAAUAGUCGCGAACCAAAGUAGGGGGUUAAAAUAGUAAGGGGGUAUUUUGCAAAUAAUCGGAUCGCGAUCGAUAAUCGCAAUCCAAUCCAGGGGGUCUUGUGCAAAGUUUGCGAUCUGAUCCUCCUCCGCGGCUCGUCGGAACUUCGCCUCAAGCCGCGCGUCCCUUCCCUUGGGUCAGUUGGGUGCUUCUUCUACCUCUUGCUCUUGCCUGUCUCGCGUCAGCCCUUGAUAUCGUGGAUCAAAGGGUUUUCGGAUCCCCCAAGGUUUGGUCGGUGUCCUGGCGGACAGGAAACGCCGUCUCUGAACCUGACGCCGCACGCGCGGGGUUCGCAGAAGCGGCGCGUACGUGGAGAUGCACCGGAAGUGGAACGUGGGGGAGCACUCGGCCAUGAAGAUGGCCUGCGCAUCGCCUGACGCCCCAUGCCGCCGAAGCAUAAGCCAUAUGGCGCAAGGAUUGCUCUGCAAUCGAGCGAAGUAUACGCAUUCAAAUUUCGAAUGACUUGUUUCCACGAUGAACAGGGACUCGAAUCGUCCGAAGUCACCAGGAAAUUGGCACUAAGUUAUCUCAAAAGCAAAAUGGUCAGGAUUCCGGAAAAAGAAAAGUUAAUCCCCAAUCUGCGUUCUACCACCACCUCCUACUUCUGGAUCAAAUUUCAGAUGGGAGAAUUGCAGAAUUGCUUCACCUGAUCAUGACCUUCCAUCUCUGUGGGAAGCUCUGGCCUGUGGGAAACUGGGAAUGGAUAUGAGCAACAUAGCGAGCCAGCAGUGGUAGUAUUUAUAUUAACAGAGAGCGAGGUGUAUGCUUCGUCCAGAACGCAAUGCCAGGAUGCAGGAUGUAUUCGUUGCUAAGAAAGGGAUGAUUAAGAUUUACUUGGUAAAAAUGGGUAUCCUUUUCCUUGAUAACAAGUGAAUUUAGGGUUCCUAUAUGACUUCCGUGUGCUGAAUAAGCAACGUGGCUUUAAAACCCAUUAAAUCCAAAUUAGAAGAUUCAACAUUGUGUAUCAGAUUCAACAUUUUAGCAUAUCAGAUUCAACAUUUGCAAAAUACUUGAUUCAACAUUUUAUAAAAGAUACAUCAACAUUUCGGAACACAAAUUUCAACAUCUUGAAAAAACAUAUUCAACAUUUUCUAAACCUACAUCAACAUUUUUUUAAGAAAAUAUCCAUGUUCCUUUUUCUCCGGUGCUAGCAGGGCAGCAGCCGGGGAGGUCUGACGGCACGCGGCGGUGGGGUUGGUGGGUGCGGGCCAGUGCGGCGGCGCUGGCGGGUGCGGCAGCGACGCGUGGCCCGGUGGAGACAACGGCGGGGGUCGGGGGCGGGGGCGGCGGCGGCAUAGCUAGGAAGAAGCUGGGAUUGAGGAAGAUAGGCACAUCCAAUGGGAGGAAUUGCUUUGCACAAAUCGAAGCCAUAUAGAUAAAUGGCUACCGGAAGCCAGAUAGGAAUAGUGGCGAAUUUAUCACUUAUCAGCCCAACAACACUCACGGCAAAUAAUCUAUCUGAUGAAAGCCCAAGCCCACUUCCCGGUGCCUCCCAACCCAAAACUAUUGGACCAAAAUAGCCUGUAGCCAAAUUUGGGCGAAGCACUACGGUAUGGUGGGAAGUGGGGGAUGGACCAGCGGAGGGAUUUAGGCAGUGCACCCAAAGCAGACAGGAAGUCUUCUCGUCACCUCUUAGGGUUUGUUUGGAUCCCCAGAGCUAAAUUUUGAGCUAAACUUUUAGCUCUUGGGAUCCAAACAUGUGGGCAAAAAGUGGCAAAGAGCUAAAAUUUGGACUAAAAAUUUUAGCUUCCAAAGAGACCCUAAAAGGGGCUAAAAGUGUUCCUCCCCACCAUUUUCCGCCCUCUGCCCCCCUUCCUCUCUCUCCUCCGCCUCCCACCCGCCGACACCCUCCCGUCCAUCGCCGCCCGCCCCUACCCACCGGCCUCCCUCGCCGCCCGACACCGUCACCACCCGUCCCCUCCCUCACGCAGAUAUCUGUCGACGCUGGCCCCCAGAUCUCGCCGCAGCGGGCAGCGGUGAGUCCGCGGGAGACCCCGGCCUCCGCCGCAGUCGCCGGCGACAACGAUGACAGCGCCGCCACCUCCUCCUCCGCCUCCAACAGCCACCUCCUCCUCCGCCUCCACCUCGCCCCCGCCGCUGCCUCCUCCACCGCCUCCACCUCGACCUCGCCACCGCCGGCCUCGAUGCCGCCGGUCGCCGGAUCUGGGGGCCGCGGCCGCCGACAGGAGGGAGGACGACGAGGACAAGCUCACCGCCCCUCUCGCUGCCCGAUCUCACUGGAGGUGAUGCCAGCAGCCUCCCGCCCGGCCCCACCGCCUUCGCCGUCGCUGCCCCUUUCCCUCGCCCGACUCUCGCCGCCGGCCGAGGAGAGGGCCGCGGCUGGAGGAGCGAGUGGACGAGGGAGCGCAUAAUGAUGAAGGCUAGAGAGGGGUGGAGUGGGGUCACUAAUGAAGGGGCAAAUCAGUCAUUGUUUGAUGAGAGACUAAAGUUUAGUUCAUGGAUCCAAACAUCCCAGUAGAACUAAAGUUUAGAAGCUAAAUUUUAGGAGCUAAAAUUGCAAGAACUAGUGAUCCAAACACCACCUUAGUCCCAGGACAAAUUUGAUCGCAACGAUCUCGGGGGACGGAGGGAGUCACACACCACACACACCCUCGCACUGCACACCUUCGCCGUCGCCGGCACACCACUCGCCCAAGUUCACGACCUCACUGUUGAUAUGCCCGCGCUCGAACGGUUGACGCGCCGUCCUCUCUGCCUGCGCUUUCACUCGAUCGAUGUGCGAGCGGCGAGAGGAUCGGAGCAUGCAGGCUCGCCGCCGGUCGUCGUCGUCGUUUCGUCGUCUAGGGCCGUGUAGGCUGUUAGUACCAAGUACUAGUAGGACUGUAGCCAUAGGGGUGGCUAAACAAGGGGACAAUCUGGGUCCAAUCUAAACCGUCGCCAGGGAUGCGUUGCGUGUGAACUGAUCAGACACAUGCAAUGCUGUACUGUGCAGUCGUUGCAGUAUCCAACACGGGAUCCUGCAGGCGGCGGCUGCUGCUGCGCUGCAUGCCGUCAGCGUCGAAAGAUCUGCUCCCUGUGUAGGGCGCCUGCCACUGGCCAGGCCAUCAUUUCCAAAUUUCUAUUUGCUAUCAGGCUAUGGACGCAGGUCAUCAAGUCUACGAGUCAAACCUAUAGUAAAUGAGCUGCAUACGCUCCAAGCUACCUUAGCUUUAUACACCAAGGCCAUGCUUAGUUCCCUAAAAUCCCAACUUUGACACUAUGCAAAAAAAAGAUUUCCCAUCACAUCAAACUUGCGGUACAUGCAUGGAGUACUGAAUGUAGACAAAAUCAAAAACUAAUUGCACAGUUUUGUUGUACUUUGCGAGACGAAUCUUUUGAGCCUAAUUAGUCAAUAUUUGGACAAUAAUUCAUAAAUACAAACGAAAUGCUACAGUUGCGCUACAGUAAUUUUGGUUGUCCAAAGUUGGGCAACUAAACAAGGCCCAAGCAAGGUCAUUCUUAGGACAUGAUUGAAUACCUUUGCUAAACUUUAGCAGCUAAAAGUUGCUAAACUGUAGUUGCUAAACUUUAACCAUGGCUAUUUGGAUCCAUGAGCUAAACAACAUUUAAUGAGAUGGAGAAAGACAUAUUUACCCCUAAUCAUUGCUACCCCUCUCUUCUCUCCCUCCUCCCAGGCUGCUUCACUCCCGCUAGAAGUCCGAGACGCUUGGCACCAUCUUGCUCCUGGCACCAUUUCCUUCAUGCCGCCAUCUUCCAGCACGGAACGGUCCCGGAGCGCGACUCCGCCAGCGGGGCAAGGGGGGUUCUCGACGUCGAGCGCCCGGCCCGCCGCCUCUGGAUCCGCUGCUGUCGCCGGCCGCGGGGACGAGGGUGGGGCACAGCCUCCAGCGCCUGACGCGGAGGAAGGGGAGGGGCUGCUAGCACGCAGAUUUGAGGCCGUCGGUGCAGAGGAAGGGGAUUCGAGGCCACCGACGCGGAGAAAGCUGAGGGGCCGCCGGCGCAUAGAUGGAGGAAGGGGAUUCGAGGUCGCCGGCGCGCAGAUGGAGGAAGGGGAUUCAAGGCCGCCGGCGCGGAGGAAGGGGCAUGCCGUUGACGAGGGGGGAGAGAGAGAAUGGUGCGCACCAGACAAGCAAUAAUGAGGGGAAUGGGUGUCCAGCCCCAAGUUUGACAAGGUUUAGCAACCAAAAAGUUGCUAAAUGGCUAAACUUUAGCAACCAUAGUUUAGCAAAGUUUAGCAAGGGUGUUUAGUAAAAUUGUUGCUAAACUUUAGCAAUAAUGAAACAAAAGUUUUACAAGUAUUAAAUUGUAUGUUAUAUCAACAGACUUGAUAAUGUCAUUAUGACAGGAAAGAAGGAGAAGUCUCAUACUUCGGUCACCGACCGACUUUAGAAGAGUUUUAUCUUUUGAUAUAUUUAGUGGGAGUAAUCUUUCUUAACAUAUUUUGUCCCGUAGAAAAGCAAUGUUUUGACAGAUUUUGUUUAAAUGAGUAAGAGACACACUCAUGUGACAAUGCCUUAGCACGAUAUAUUUUUUUGUGAGUUGAGCGUAGCUCUGCUGUUACGGUGGAAUCCGGCCCUCUAAGAUCUCGUAUUCUCGAUCCUACGAAUACAUGCACGUAACCCUAUUGCUAUGAUCACCUCCGAAAGAUCGAACCGUCAAAUCCUCGAGAUUGACGAAGUCACCGUUGGCGCCUCACUGUCGACGGGCACGUCGCCAACCACUAAAAAAAUAGUGCUGGUUAAAUCCUUAAAAUACGAGCAUCAAUGCCAAGUUGAGGAUUCGGACCCUGGUGGGCACAUUUCAACACAAGGAACCUUACUAGCUAAGCUACACUUUGUUCGCAUAUUAUAUAUUCUUUUGCUAGUUCCCAAGCAACGUCUUUUGGGAAAAAACAUAAUGCGACUUUCCCUUGCCUAGCCGGUAUAUUGUUUUAGUGGUUUUUACUAUUGUUGAAUAAGCUGCAAAAUUUAGGGAAAAAGAAGGCAAGGAGUAGGAGGAAAAUGAAGGAAGAAGGAAGCCACGAUCAUUGUAUUCCCACAUAAGAAUUUUGACUGCUUUAUGAAAAUAACAAUAAUAUUUAGGAUAUCGCAUUGUUAGGUAAUUUAAUGUGGUAGAUAUUAAUGCUUUUCUCUACCCAGUUAGUCAAAUUUAUGCUUGUUUGACGACUUAGGAUAAAUUAGAAAUCCUUAUAUUCUAGGAUUGGUGGACUACAAACUUGAGAGUGCUGCAAAGGGUAAAAAAACAAAGAGCAUAGUUGGGCACGAGUAAAUGGCCAGUUGUUUACUCACAGCACAGUUUGCUCAAUUUGGAGCCAGUACGAUCUUGAAGAGUCAAGUGCGUUACACUCUACACGCACUGCCUACGCCUAGAGCCCUAGACAACUAUAGACCCGUAGAGCUGUAAUCUGUGAUGCGCUCUGCAAAUCUUCAUCGUUAUUCGUUUUGCUCCCUAGUUUGCUUGUGCUUUUAUGGUAUGGCCAUUGACCAAUGUUUACCUCUUCCCUGAUCGCUGGCCAGCUGGCAGCUGAAACGCUGAAAUGUCAGCAUUCCAAUCUUUUGCCGGCUGCAAGCUCUGCCGCAAAAUCUUUCACAGUUUCGUCCCACCCAAGACCUGCAUCGCUGCCAUUAUCUUCACUCAGUUUAAUUCAGUUAAAGAAUCUGAGUCAACCAUUUCCUUCAAAGGCCCUAUACAGAUUCAGAUACACUCCAAGGUGAGCACUUCUCCAGCAUUUCCAUCACUUCCCCUGUUCCCCACUCCCCCUGCCAGUGCCAUAGGCUCAAGUCAAGGGAAAGGACUCAGGAGACCAUGCUGGCAAUGGCAAUGGCAGCUCAGCGUCAGCUCACACGCCAUGAUGUCACGAGAGCGACGGCAGCAUGCAGCGCACGGAAGAUUUCCCUCGGAACUCGCCCAGCUCCAAGAUCCGCCCAUGCCAGCGGAGCCAGGCGGUGCAGACUGCAGAGCGCCAGAGCUCGCCGCUAACGUACGCGGUGCGCCUGCAGCAGCCAAGCGGGGCGCAGGACACAGCAACAACCAUAAAUGGGUCCCCCAAAUCGGUGCAAGAAGGCCGAAGUCAAUGGCGUGCAGCCGUGGAGCUAUUCUCCUUUCUCCGACGGGAUAGACUGGGGGGAGAGAGGUACUCUGGCAUGGAUGAGGAUGACAGCAUCAGCAGAGCGUGAUGCACGACAGAUGACACCCGGAAAAGCCUAGGCAGGCUGCAGGCAAGCAGGGUUGGCUUCCAUGCCGAUACCGGUGCCUCCGGGCCUGCGUGGAGCUAAUAGAGCCUUGUUUAGUUGCUAAAAUAGGGGAAUUACUGUGCCGGCACUGUAGCACACUGUAGCGUUUCAUUUGUAUUUGUGAAUUAUUAUCCAAACAUUGACUAAUUAGGCUCAAAAGAUUCGUCUCGCAAAGUAUAACAAAAGUGUGCAAUUAGUUUUUUAAUUUUAUCUACAUUUAGUACUCCAUGCAUGUACCGCAAGUUUUAUGUGAUGGGGAAUCUUCUUUUUGCAUAGUGCCAAAGUUGGGAGUUAGGGCUGAAGUAAACAAGGGCUAGGUUAGGGCUCGAGCUCCAGACUUCUGCUGCAGUUCCAGCUGAAACUCUACGUUUGGUUAAAAACGGUUCCACUCUUGUAACAUUAGAGGAGCUGGUUUGGUCAAAAACGAUUCCACUCCUGGAACAUUAGAGGAGCUGGAGAUAUUUUAUACGAAGAAGUGGGAGCUAAAAAAAUAACUCCUCUGGCUCCUUCUUAUUUUAGGAGGAGCUGAAUCCUACCAAACUGUCUCAUAGAAGACGUGCUAUGGGACAGAGUAGUAUGUUGUGCUAUCAUUGCUACCGUGGUCAUAAAAAUUAUAUUUUAUUUUUUAAGAAAAUAUUUCCACUGCCUCAACGCAUAUUGUUGGAGACGCUCUCUCUCCUGGGCACACUGAUUUAUGAUUUACCUCUGCCAUCCACAUUGGUCUCACACAAGCAUUCUGGUCAACCCAAACCAGUACUCUAGGAGUAAACCUCGUCAGGAGGGAGUAUCAUUUUUGUAUCUAGGAGAUUUGUCCCUACAGGGUGUAGAGGAUAAAUUUAGACUCCUUUUACUGAUUAACGUGCUUGCUUCUUUUUUCCGGCCUCAUAUCUCUCGGUCAUAUCAUGAGAUUGGCAAAGUUAUAUUUUCGGUAACAAAAUACGCUAAUGGCCUAAGUAAACGAUCAAUUAAUCCCGUAAGUUGCGCCAAUCAAAACUUUACGUAGUGUAUUGUAACGAUUAGUAUAUGCUAUUUUUCUCAUUUCUUUUAAAUUACCAUAAAAGUCCUAAAAUCCCUUAUCAAUAGAGACAGAGGGAGCAGUUUUCUAAACUUUUUUUUUUACAUGUCUUCUUAUUUAAGAAGCAAGGAUUAUGGUGUUGCGUAUCAUUGUCCUGAAUAAGUUCCUUUUUGUUGACGUGGGUACAAAUCAGUUUGGAGGAAGUACAGUGUUUGUAGCUGUACAUGUAUACGCGAGUAAAGGAAGCACUCGUGAGGUUACUGCUGUACCGAGCCCUAUUAAGUGAAGAGUUGAUGGUGCAUGGACGCCAGAACCGAUACACGCACGUACUAGUACGUAUCCAAAUCCAAGUAGUGAAGAUGCACUACAGUUAUACAGUACAGUGUCAUCUCGGUUUGGAAGUAAAUGGUGGCACAAAUCAGCCCUUCAAUGGUGUUAAUGACGGGAAGAUGCAUGGAGAUACAGCACAUAAAUAACUACCUAGGUACUACUCCAGCGUACGCGUACCGUGAUUGCCGAGAUUUGUGAGCUUAAUAACGUGCCAUCAAUGUAUCACGGCGGUGUACAUCGUAUCCUCACGUGCUGUAGUUUGUCUUCGAGCCUUCGCUGGAUGGCUGUACUCCAUCGAUCAGUCGCUCUGUACAGUCCAUACUCCAUACUGAACUGUGAACUGGCCAGUACAACAUUUAUACGGAGAGAGAGAAUAGAGGGAGUAUGCUGCAAUGCAACGCAUUGAAGAGGAAAGAUCCGGUGCGUGCCGACGCUGCUCGCCAAUGGCCAUGGCAGCGACAAAAGAUUUCUUCGUUUCGGGGCGGGCCGCCUCGCCUCGCCUCGCCUCUGGGAUAUGCAUGCGCCGCGCCAGCUUUUGCCCGGCCCGGCCGGCCGUGCCGGAUGCCACCGCCCCCCGGAUCCACUGCGCCGGACCGCCCGCUGGCGCGUCGCGCUUUACCCUCUGGGAUGGAUAGGGCAGCACUGGAUCCGGCCGUACCCGAUCAGCCGAGACCCCUGGCCCCGCGCGCGAUAUCUCUCGGUCGCCGCACCGCCGCUGCGUCGUGAUCUCCUGGUAUCUUCCUUUGGCUCGCCUCCCCGCCUCGGCUUCGGCUCCUCCUCUGUGUCUCUUACAAUCUCUCUAGCUAGCCCCCACCUCCCAACCGUCCUGUGUGACGGCUGGCCUACUGGCCUCGCCUCGCCUCGCCUUUAUAUAACCGCACCCCGCCGAAGGGCUCUGACGUGCUCACAUCGAUCGGUGUCCUAGUGCCAUCAUACUCAGUCCAGAGGCCAUUUUGAGGAGAGAUCCUAGGUAGCGGUGCUCGAUCGGCAGAGAGGUAGAGGAAAGGGAGUGCCUGAGAGGGAGGAGAUGGCGAGCUGCAAGGGUCUCGGCGGGGAGGGGAGCGCGGCGGCGCCGCACGUCCUCGCGGUGGACGACAGCUCGGUCGACCGCGCCGUCAUCGCCAGCAUCCUCAGGAGCUCGCGGUUCCGCGGUGAGUCAUUAGUCUCCUGGAAAUGCUGCUGCUUCUGUCUUCUCUGUUGUGGUUUUUGUUGUGUAACCUGAAGGCUUCGAGUUCUGCAUGCAGUGACGGCCGUGGACAGCGGGAAGAGGGCGCUGGAGCUGCUGGGCUCGGUACAGAACUGAAUCUCUUCCUCAUUCUGUUUCAGAUUCCACUUCUUUCUAUGGGUUUUUCAUGAGAAGAUAACGUGUUGUUGGGUUGCAGGAGCCCAAUGUGAGCAUGAUCAUCACGGACUACUGGAUGCCGGAGAUGACUGGGUACGAGCUCCUCAAGAAGGUCAAGGUGCGUACGCGCAUGGUUGAGCCGCAUUUCUUUUCUUCCGAUUUCAGCAUCCGCAGUAUAUCGUCAUAGAUGCAGAUCACUGAAUGGCUUUCCUGCAUGCAGGAGUCGUCCAGGCUGAAGGAGAUCCCCGUGGUGAUCAUGUCCUCAGAGAACGUCCCAACCAGGAUCAACAGGUUAGCAUCAUAUGCCCAAGCACUGAAGCCAUUCAUGUCUGUUGGUUUAGUCCCUAUAUUCUUUUCUGCUGCUUGUUGACAUGCUUUUGGUGGCGAUGGUUUUGUCAGGUGCCUGGAGGAAGGCGCCGAGGAUUUCCUGCUGAAGCCCGUCCGCCCCUCCGACGUGUCGCGCCUCUGCAGCCGCGUCCUCCGGUGAGCACGGCGACGGCGGCACGGCGCGUCCCGGCAUGCGUGCUCGGAGUCUUUUGGGGUGGGGGCAUAUGGAGUGGUAGUAGCAGUAGCGUUCCAAGUAGUAGCAGUACAAGUUGUUAGAUAUGGCCUGGUGCCGUUUGUGUAUGUUGCUCCCCUCGAUCUCUUGCUUCUCUUAGCCUUUUGUCGUGCCAGUAGAACUCGCAGAAUUCAGGCAACACAUCUUGCCAGUAAUGUUCUGUAACCCUGCAUGUUCAGCUAAUCAGUUAGGUAAAGAAAAUAGUUGUGUUCCCUGCAAGUUUUCAGUUGGCUUGAGUUCAUACGGUAAAGCCGUAACUUUGCAUUGGUUCAUGUGUCGGCAACGGCACGUUAUGCCCGCUUCGUUUACAUUGAAAGCAGCAGUCGAGAAGAUGUUGUACAGCAACUUUCUAGCACAGCACACAUUCAAGCAUGUACUGAUACCGAUCUCAAGUGACGUGCUUGCACACGUACUAUGGGACGGUGGGAGGUGGGGCUGCGGGAGUAAACUAGCAAGAUCUGCAUCCGCUGCUGAAGGAAUAGGAUAUCAGAUUGUACUUUUGGGUGGCACAGUGAGUUCCAAGGGCUUUUUGGUUAGUACUUGGAGGGUAGUACUGCAGUGUAUGUCCUGUGCUCAUUAUGGUCACGGUUGCAGAUUAACUGUCGGUUCAAUUUUGGGUUUGAAAACUUUUACAUUUCUCGCCUCCUGAAGAUGCGAGGUAAAAGAACGUAAUCUUAAAACAGCGUACAGCUGCUAAGGAAGCUAACUGUUCUUUUUGAAGAGGAGUCACCUGACGUUGUGCUCUUUUUUAUCUGCUCUGGGGUUCAUUUUCAACCAAGCAGUGCGAAACUUCCUAGCGUUUUCCUUCGAAAAAAACUUCCUAGCGUUAACCUUUCUUUUUUUUUUGAAAAACUUUAAUCAAACCUUUCUAGCAGUGAGAGUAGGCUUCGACUGUUCAACUUUCUUUGGCUUAGUUUCAACAACCUAUUAUGAAUAGCAAACUUUUGAAUUUGUGACGCACCUAUUCUGAAUAGUAGGUUCUACACUGACGUCUGGCCCAUCUACUUCCACAAAACAAAAGUACAUUGCUGGCCUCGUAUGGCCUACCUUGGCCCAGUGACUGGAAGAAACUGUCCCUUUCUCCGGCCUGCUAGGGGAAGUGCUCGUGUCCGGGUGAAUUGAAAUAAUCGAUCACUCAACUUUAGUCUUCAGACCUCCUCUCAAAAAAAAAAAAACUUUAGACCUACCAUCAUUGUUGAACUUGAGAGUUCAUUUAUCUUGUUUCAAAAAUAGAAACAAAAUAAAGAGUGUGUUUGAUCUUUGAUGAUGUGAUGCAAUUGAAUUUUGCACUACAAUCGCGAAGUAAUACUCUUUCUGUUAGCUACUACUAGCUCUUUACAUUUACAAACUAGCACCAGUCACGUUGCACAAAGUCGCCAUCGAUCGGACAAACAGAACGCAGCUCAUGGUGACAUGAACGCCGAAACAAAUCCGUCAAAUUUUCUGGAGUUUUGUUCCUGACAAAUCAUUUCUUUCUUGAAAAACAAAAGGGAGAAAAAGUUCCUUUUUCAAAAAAGAAGAGAAAAAAAAAAAGGCUAGAACAGCCAAAACUCAAAAACCUAAACCCUUCCGCGCACCGCCGACUGCCGUCUGUCCCUCACGCACACCAUGGCCUUCGCCGCCUCCCCAUCCCUCUCCUCCCUCACUUCCUCCACAUCCUCCGCCGCCGGCGCCGCCGCAUCCGCGGCCUCCUCUUCGACCUCUUCUUGCAACGCCUUUCACGCGCCGAGGCCCCUCCACCUCUCGCUCAAGCCCGUCUCCCCGCAACCCAAGCCCCAGUCGCUCUCCUGCUCCGCGCCGCACGUCCCCUGCGCCGCCGCCGGCGACGGAUCGGGCACCGGGAACCGCGGGGAUGGCUCCGGAGGGAACGGCGGCAAGGAUGGAGGAGGCGGCGGGGCCGGCGAGGAUGACGACGACUACGAGGAGGCCGAGUUCGGCCCGCUGCUCGGCUUCGACGAGGUGCUGCGCCUCGCCGCGGCGCGCGGCGUUGCGCUCCCGGGCGACAUGAUGGAGGCGGCUAAGGACGCCGGCAUCCGCGAAGUCUUGUUGCUCCGCUACUUCGAUCUGCAGGUACUCGAAUUGCAGGGGAUUUGUGUACGGAAGGUGUGAGCGUGGCCGUUUUUCCUCAUUCCUUUCGAUGUUGAUCUGUGCAGGCUGCGCCGUGGCCGCUGGGCGCGAUGAUCCGGGCCUUCUCGAUGCUCCGCAACCGGAUGCUUGCGGACCCGUCGUUCCUCUUCAAAGUUGGAACAGAGGUGGGUGUGAUUGCUUAGUUAUUUCUUAAGUGAUCGGAUUAUGAGGGGUUUCAGUUUCAGUUACAGUUCUGUAGUUGCUUAAUUGAGUUUUGGUUUUGGUGCAGAUUGUAAUUGACUCUUGCUGCGCCACAUUCGCGGAGGUGCAGAAGAGGGGAAAGGAUUUCUGGGCAGAGUUUGAGCUGUAUGCUGCUGAUCUUUUGGUCGGGGUGGCUGUUGAUAUUGCGCUCGUGGGGCUAUUGGCUCCUUAUGUGAGAUUCGGGAAGCCAUCUGCUUCGACAGGGCUCUUGGGAAGGUUCAACAGGAUGGCUGUGUCUUUGCCAAGCAGGUGAAAUUUCAUUUCAGUUGUUUUCUUUGGAUAUUGGUAGCAACACCAUGAGAACGGCUUGAAUUUGAAAGUCUGUUCAAUUUGUAUUAUAUUGUUCUCAUGACCACUUCUUGAUCUAAUAAAGUGAAGGUGAUGGUGUAGAUGUGGCAAAUCAACAGUAGUGUAUUAGAGCUUGACUUCAAACAUUCUCCUGUAUGAUACUAUGAUUUUGAAACUGCAGCGUUUUUGAAGCUGAAAGGCCAGGCAGCAGGUUUACAGUUCAGCAAAGAAUUGGAACGUAUUUUUACAAGGUAACCAAUCUUACAUGGGAAGGUUGCUCUAAAUUUGGAGCUAUAGUUGAUGUUUAGCUCUAAUUGCUGGACCACUAUUCUGUUGUUUGGACAGUCUUUAAAACAUGUCUGUUUGAAUUGCAGGGUGUCCUGUAUGGCUCAGUUGGAUUUGUCUGUGGUAUAAUUGGUCAAGGGAUUGCUAACAUGAUAAUGACUGCCAAGAGGUAAUGGCCAAUUGUUAUUAGUGCUUCUGCCCGUCAAAUUCCAGAAUAUUGUUAUGCAAUUGGACGACUAAUUUCAUAGUUUGCUUCUGAAUUUAUUGGUUGCUGAUCCUAUUGAACUAGUGUAUUUUGUUUCCAUAUACAGUUUAUUUUUUCUUAUUGAUAUCAAUCUAUCAUGUUUAUAUGUUUUGUUCUCUCCGUAACUAAUGUCGGUUAAUGUAUUAUCUGAUCCUCCCCCCUCCCCCCUACUUUGACUUGUGUGCUGAUGCUUGUUCCUUGUUCAGGAGUGUAAAAAAAUCAGAUGAAGAUAUUCCUGUUCCACCUCUCGUUAAAAGUGCUGCACUUUGGGGUAUGCUUAUCAUCUGUUGCCUUUUAUUAUCACAUUUACCUGGUCUGAGAUACAUUUUUCGUGAUUGCAAAUAGCUAAGUAUUGGUUUGAUGUCUACUGAGACAGUGAGACAUCAAGAUGCAGCAGGGCAUAUUUCAGUGUUGAAUGCUUGGCACUUUGCUAAUCUUACUAAUAUUGUCAUCAUUGUUCAUAUAACUAUAUUGGAUCAGAUGAUCUCAGAAAUGAAAGUUCAUUUUAGUUAUGUUGCACAUCUUCUGGUACCUUUGCUUAUGCUACUUUUAUGCAGCUAACUGUGUCAUUUGUGUGUUCAGCUAGGAUAUAAUUUAUGUUGUUCCUAUUCAACUGACAAACUGUGUUGGCAUGUAGGUGUGUUCCUUGCUGUAUCAUCUAACACGCGCUACCAGAUUAUCAAUGGUCUGGAGCGGGUAGUGGAAGCAUCGCCUGUCGCAAAGCGCGUUCCACCUGUUGCUAUGGCUUUCACCAUUGGUGUUCGUUUUGCCAACAAUAUCUAUGGUGGAAUGCAGUUUGUGGACUGGGCUCGCUGGAGUGGUGUUCAGUAAUGGUGGGUACUCUUAGCUGUUGCAGUCACCAAAACAUCAUUAGGUUUAGGUGGUGGAGCUUUGUUGUUUGUUUCCUUAGAUUUCAUGAUAAGUAGUGGGGGCUGGAGCUCUGUGAAAGUUAGGAACUAUUGCUUGGAGAAACCAGGAAGCGCAUCACAUCAUUUGGUUGGCAUGCAUGAACUGAAAACAAGAAAUCCAUUUCUAUUGCUGUUGGGGGCAAAUGUUGUAGUGUGCGUUCGAAAUUGAUCAUCUGCACUUUUGCCAGACUGAAUGAAUAAAGGCGACCUGAAUUACCCCUAGAUCUCUGUCUUGUGUUGUUAAGCUCUAAGCUGAAUUCUUGCGGCUGCAGCACCAGUUACUCUAAGCUGCUGUAGCUUUGAUGGCUAGCGGCUGCUGCCGCCAGCUGCAGCAAUCUUUGCCGAUCAGGUGCUUCAGUGUCAAUUCUUCACGGAGAUGUCAAGUGCAUGAACAUACUUUUGAAUGAAAGCUAGACGGUAAAGGUCUCAGAUUUUGGUGCGUCGAGGUCGAUCCCAAUUGAUCAGACCCAUCUAGUCACAGCCGUGCAAGGAACAUUCGGAUACUUGGACCCGGAAUGCUACCACACUGGCCAACUCAACGAGAAGAGCGACGUUUACAGCUUUGGAGUGAUACUUCUCGAGCUAUUAGUAAGGAAGAAGCCAAUCUUUGAGAAUGAGAACGGCGAGAAGCAGAACCUGUCGAACUAUUUCCUAUGGGCGAUAGGUGAAAGGCCCCUCGAGGAGAUAGUGGACGACCAGAUUCUAGGGGAAGCAAGCGAGGAAGCGAUCGAGGGCACAGCUCGGCUGGCACAGGAGUGCCUCAGCCUGACGCGAGGGGAGCGGCCUACCAUGAAAGAAGUGGAGAUGAGGCUGCAGAUGCUGAGGACCAGCCACGCCGUUGCUCCAAGGUCGAGGAUGGACGAGGCGGUCCGUCCUCAAAUCAACGGGAUUAUUGGUGCUGUUCUGGUGGCUGCUGGUCACCACGGCUCACGGCAGUACAGCCUAGAGCAGGAGUUGUAGAUUAAUUGCUGGCAGUGCGUCUCGCUGCUGUGUGCAUUUUCUAAAUAAAUUGCUUGUCGUGCCGCUAUAAUUUUGUACCGCAAACCUCAUACAGAGGAACAUGUACCCCCUUCAAAACAUUUUCGAGCAAGUAUCCUCUUCAGAACUGAUAUGAUCAGGAACAGGAUACGGCUGCCGGAGUGUAAUCUGUGGAUGCUAAUUGGUAAUUGCUACAUGUCUUGGAUUGAAAAGAAUGGAAAUGAUCAUCUGGACCAUAGCUUGAUUUCCGUUGCCCUACCCCUACUUGGGCAGGCUUUUGUAAAUGCUACUCAGGGUGUCUGGAUACUAGGUGCUAAACUUUAGCAGUGUCACAUCGGAUGUUCGGACUAAAUAUGAGCUAAUUAUAAAAAUAAUUGCAGAACCUGAGCUAAUUCGCGAAACGAAUCCAUUAAUCCAUCAUUAGUAAAUAGUUACCAUAGCACCAUGUUAUCAAGUCAUGGACUAAUUACACUUAAUAGAUUCGUCUUGCGAAUUAGACUCUGCAAUUAGUUUUGUAAUUAAUCUAUGUUUAAUACUCUAAUUAGUAUCAAACAUCCGGUGCUGAACUUUAGCGCAUGUGGUAUCAAACAUCCCCUCAAGAUACCUGAGGUACCCGGCGGCGGCCACGCCAGGCAAGAGGUACUCCGGCGGCGGGUGGUCUCUGAUGACCUUGGCGUACCUCCUCUUCCAGAGGUCCAUGUCGAUCUCGGCGGGGUCCGGCUCGCGCCCGGCCGCCUUGUCCUCCUCGACCUCCCUCAGCGUCUCCUCCAUGAAGCGGUCGACGUCGGCGUGCAUCGCGGCCAGGUGCUCCCGGGCGGCCCUCCGCUCCUCCCGCGUUGGCCACCUCUUUCUUCCCCUUCCCCUUGGUCUGCGACGUCGCCCAUGACGAGACGAGGGCUCGGCUGAUCAGCGGUGCUCCGUCCUGGUAACGAACACGCGUCGGUUAUCUCCCUCCAUGCGUGGCGCGGCGUGCCAUAUUUGUAGCGCUUUUGGAGUUCGGACGGACCGCCCCCCAGUCGAAUCGAAUCGGACCCCGAUGGCGGCGAGCCCUCAUCGGACUCCGGACUCCGCGUUGCACGCUCCGCGCGACGAGAUUUGGGCCGGUUACUUUUGGUUGGGCCAGUUUGUUAAAAAAAAGUUUGGUUGGGUCCCUUUCUCCCGUCUAAACAAGAAGCCCAAAUGCCGGUCACUUGAGCUCCAGCCUUCUUUGUCCUCGAGCGCUGUGAAAACUGGGCCGUAUAGCUAUAUUCAUCCUGUAUAUAUACGAUAGUUGAAGAACAUUCACUCAAAAGAAAGUAAUAACAGCUUUUUUUUCUUCAAAAAAAGGGUGAGAACAGAACAGUCCCUAACUGUCCAACUUCCUCCUCGCUCAUAUGAAAUGUAUCACACUUAAUAGACCAACAGGAAUACUACAGCUUUUCAUCAACCUGUACAUAUUUUUUCAUCUGAUAUUAAUCUCAGAAUAUUGUCCUCUCUCUGACAUACGGAUUCACAACGGAAAAGACUAUUCCCCACUACACGCACAGCAGAUGAGAAGCAGGCGGAACAUGAACUUCACAAGUCACAACUAUUAACAUUUCAUCUCCAGAAAACAUUCUACGAUAGCGUUGUAAGGAAAGCAUCCACCUUGUCGUUCAUCGUCCUCGACAGGAACUUCAUGCAGAUCGGAGGCUUCACCUUGGCAAGAGCCAGCAGCGACUGAGGCAGGACCCAUAUCCCAUCGCCACAGAUCAUGCCGGACGCGACCGCAGGCGCGAACGCGUCCGCCUUGGCUCUGUCCAGCCUCUGCCACACGAACAGUAUCACCGUCCCGACGAACAUGUCCACUGCGAAGUACGCCCCGAUGUAGAAAGGGAUGGCCAUUGCCAUCGGGAUCGGGAUGAACCGCGACACCUUCUUGGGCACCAGGUCCCUGAUCAGGUUGAUGACGAUCGCCGCGGCGAAGAACACGUAGCAGAGUGUGAGGCAGUUCUUCGGGAGCGAGGAGAAGCCGUCCACGCCCAGGAUCGCCAUGCUACGGAACACGGCGGCGUUUGGCGCGGGGUACUCGCUGCGGUCGACGCCAAUGUUGCCGAAGGCCUUGUAGAAUAGCCAGAACACGCAGGGUGCGAUGACGCAGCCCAUCGCCGUGCCUAUGACUUGGCUGAUGAACAUUGACCUCGGUGAGGCCAGUGUCAGGUAUCCGGUUUUGAAGUCCCCCAUCAGGUCAGCAGCUGUGCCCACAAUGUUCAUCAUCACGCCACAGGCAGCCAGCCCAGCAAGGACGCCACCAUGCGAGGCGCCUACCCAUGCACCGAAUGCAAAGAUCGCAAGCUUUCCGUAGGUGGUAACUAGAGACCAGUCAGUGAGACCAGAUCCAUAGGCAUUGCAGAAGGCAAGUAGAGGAGCAAAAAUGUAGGCUACCAGGAUGUGGUACCACUUCAGCUGUGGAAAUAUCUGCGGCACAGUACCGAUAGAUAUGGCAGCAAUAACAACAUAGCCUCCAAGUGCAACAUACCAAGGAAUUUGGUCUUUGGUGAAGAGUUCAUUGCGCCGCUCUUCGUCGUAUGAGACAGGGGCGGUGUCGGUAACUAUGGCAUCAUCAGAGAUAGGAAGUGUACUAGCAUUACUUUUCUUGAGUUGAGAUCUUAAUGAAACUGCUGUGAGAAUGGAUAUCUUUAGUACGUUGUAUAUACCAUCUCCAAGAAUCAAGGCAAUGGCCAUGAAGACCUGCAAUACCGACAGAAUUUAGUGGCUGAAAGGAAAACUGAGUCCUCAGGGAAAGAACACACAACAUAUCCUUACCCGGUAACCUUGCAUUCCAUGAAGAUUGGUGUCAGCGAGAUCAGCAGAGAACCAAAUUCCCUUUUUCUUGGCUAUGAGGGGCCACAUUAUUCCCCAGGAGAGAAUGGCACCCAGGAGAAUAGAUACAUUGACAAUAUGUGAGCAAAUCAUUCCCACUCCAACAUACGUAGGAGAGAAGUCAAAGUAAAACCUUGGAAAAUAAAAAGAAUGUUCGAUUAAUGAAGAACAUAGAAAAAAAUGUGAUCUGCAGAAGAAAGAAACAUCAAAUGUUGACAUGUCGUAGUUGGAUGGACAAUAAUUCUUACCUGUUGUCAAAAGCUUGCAUGCCUAAUGAUGGAAAUUUUUGGAAUCCACAUUCUUCUAUGUUAGCAGUAUAGAACCACUGAAAGAAACCCCAAACAAAGCUAAGGACAAAGAAUGUGCCCAAUUUCUUCACUUGCUUCCUGUAAACAACAAGAAACACAAAUGAACUUCUCAGCUCUUGUGCCCUACUAGAAUAUAAAUGAAUACUAUUCUGUAUUCACCUUGCAAGCUUGGCACCCUGGGGCGUGUGAAAGCCGUUUAUGAGGUAGGCUGUUGCAGUGCCACUGGGAUAUGUCAGCUUGUAGUCGACGAUCAUAACCUGAAUAAUCCAUAGUAAUUUUUGUUAAAAUGGUGCUGACGGGAUUAACCAACAAAGAGGGUUGGUCAGUUGGAUAUAGAAAUUGACCUUUCUCAGUGGCACAAGCCCAAAGAGCCCAAUGAAGCUGACAAGGAACAAGAAACCAAUUAUCCAUCCAAGUUGUGGAUUUUUUAUAUUUUGAGCAUCGUUUGCCUCAGUUGACAUGGCAGCAAUUUUAUCACUCAUGGCCAAUAGGUAGCUACCAAAGCCCCCUGGAAAGUCAGCAUGUGAAAACUAAGAAUGCCAGCCUAUAACUACUUUAAUUUAGGAUUUUUGCAAUAUCAUCUGUAAAUAAUUUAUUGGUGGACAGCUACAACAUAUUAAAGGUAAGUACCAUGCAGCCCCUUAUUUGCCAACAUAAUAAGGUAUUAAGGUUACACUUUGCCACUGUAGAGUCUGUAGGAAGAAAAAAGUUUUCACUAUUCUACCAGCUUGCCACUAGUUAUGAAUAGAAAAGCAACAUGCAACAAAAGUGCUGUUAUGUUUUUCUUACAUUUUUCUCCAUCCUAACUGGAUAAGCUGUGUUGCCGCAUGUUGAUAUCAACCUAACUUUUUAAUUCUAAGAGAUAGGAAGUCUUUACAGCAAAAAAGGAUGGGUUGUUCUGAGAUUGUGACAGCUAGAUGGGAGCUUGGGUUGUCUAGAAGUUGCCUAUCACUGUCAUGAGCGGUAGCUUACAGAGUCCAGCUGACUGUUUAGAAUUAUCAAUUGCAUUAGCAAAUUAAACCAGUUAAAUAAUCUCUGGUAGUUUAAGUAAUAGUAGCUGUAAACCAGACGUUUCCUCUCAUUCUCUUGAGAAAUUAAUAAACCAAGAAAAUGCAGGCUCCUUCUAAAGUAUCCUAAUACAGAGAGCAACCCAGCUAGGCACUUCUGAAUCGCGUCACUUCCAAGCAUGUUCUUCCAAAUUUGUCCUGCACUAUGCUUCCACACUAUUUUCUUUAUUCAGCCAUUGACAGAUUCGUCGAAAACUUGUAGCUAUAUUGGUACAAGGACAUUUGUUUGUAUCCAGGGACAGACCUAGGGCAAGGCGACCCUGGGCGCCCACCCAGGCUCCACAUCUGCCAAAACCAUGAGCUUAUUUAGUGUUUAGCUGUUGGGUAGCACGAUUUAUAGAGCUGUAGAGUGGAGACGCCCAAGCUCAUCGAAGUUACUGGGUCCGCCACUGUUUGUAUGUAUGGUCUAUGGAUCAGAAUACGGUGCAAGGAAAGCAACAGCCUUGACAAGAAUCACAUUUCUGAUAGCCUUAGCUCUCAACUGGGUUCCCAGGUUGCUCCCACAAAACACACACACACAAACACAGUGGAUUGUUGCUGCUGGAACGACUGCAGCUUAUCUGGUUCUCUUCUACUCCAUAUAUAGCUGAAUAAGAGCUACAGUAUUUGAUAUGGAAAAUAACUGCUCUAAUUUGCCUACUACUGCCAUUAUUCUGUGCUGAAAAUUAGCUAGCUCUAAAGACUAUGCAUCUAAACAACAUCACGAACCUGGACAUGCAGGAUUAUUUUCCAAUAAUUUCAUAACAAUAUCAAGACACACAAGGUACAGUGCGCGUGGGCCAAUAAUACGAAACCACAAGCAGAUAAAUUCAGUAGACUUGGCUUUUGUACCCUGCAAUCUUAGCGAGAACUAACACAGAGGAGAAGGAAACCAGGCUACUGAUCUACUGCAAGCAUAGUUGCAAAGAAUUAUCCAGUCGAUUAUUUCUUUUUCUGUAUGAUGCAUAACGAAAUCACGAGUUCACGACCAUAAUACCAGAAACAUGCCAAGAGAUUAUGAUGACUGUAAACUUAGACUGUUUGUCCCUAGAUUAUAUAGGCUGGAUUAUGGUCCAAGGAUAAUAGGGUAAAUAUCUAUCUUGGGAUCACUUGGGGACCACAAAUAAUUCAGAUUAGUUGUGGUCCCAGGGUGAUCCUCAAGUGUUCUUUUACCAUAAUAUCCAUAACCCAUAAUCUAGAUUUAUAAUCCGAAACUAACAGGACUUAAUAGAUGGGAAAAAGACGAUCACCGCUAAAGGCGAGGCCGUAGGAGGCGACAACGCAGGUCUGAAUGACGGUGUUCUCCUGGCGCGUGAAGGGCUGCUUGAGCAAGCCCACGCUCUCGAUGGCCUUGGUCCAGAGGCGGACGAAGAAGAAUCCGAGGAGCCCCGCGGAGAUGUUGAGCGAGGGGAUGAUCCCCGUGGUGAGGUUGAGCUUCAUGACGAUGAUGCUGAACAGGACGGCGAGGAAGAAGCUGACCACGAAGGCGCGCACCGUCAGCUGCUCCCGCCACGACGGCACGGGCUGGCCCGCGAACGCGCGCUCCACGGAAGGCGCCCCCGCCGCCGCCUCGUCCUCCUCCGCGCCCGCGCCCGCGCCCGCCCCCGCCCCGUCGCGGGCCGGCGACGCCGCCGAGGCCGCGCGGCCGUCGCCGGGCUUGCCCCGCCGCCGGAGCUCGUUCGCCUCCACCAUCUCGACGCCCUCGGCGCCGUUCGAGCCCGGGGCCUCGCCGUGCGUCGCGGUGGCCAUCUGGACGGGGACCCGCCGCGGCAGCCGGCAGCGGAACUUGGGGGAGGUGGAGGUGCGCACGUGCGGGAACUGCUAUGCGCCCCUGUUGGGCAGAGCACGCGCAGGCCAGAAUAUUUAUGGAGGGUUCUGGCUGGCAACCGGUUCGAGGUGACGUGGCCGUUGGCUAGGCGGCUCUUGGCUGGAAGUUUUGACUGGUGCAUGACGUCACAGCCGGGUCGAGUAUGACGCCCGUUGCAUGGUACUGUCUCUCAGUCAGCCUGUCACCAGCGUAGCACUCGUACAAAAUCAGGCCGGCGGGGUGAACUGUCUCCGGCGAGCCGUUAGGCAAAAUUAGGUUCCAGAUUCCAUGGAGUAAAGUCCAUGAAUUAAAUAUGCUUAACAGGCGAAUUAGCCUCCAUAUGUUAAUUGGUUUUAUAAUUAGCUCAUAUUUAGUCCUCCCGAUUAGCAUCCGAAGAUUCGAUGUGAUAAGUACUAAACUUUAACUCAAGGAUCCAAACACAGGUCCAAAACGUAUAUUUAGCCCAUGUACUAAACUUUAGUCCCCACCCUGUUUGGAUUCAUGGACUAAAGUCCAUUAAUGCAGAUGAACAAAGACGAUAUUACUCUUGUUUUGAAGAUGGAAACUCCUUGCUCACCAUCUUCUCACUCGACACCACCCGAACCGCCUCCUUGGCCUCCUCCAAUUUCUCCGCUAGCUCACCCUUCUCUCCGAAGAGCUCAGAGUUCUUGCCCUCCAACUCCGCCACUAGGGCCUCCAAUCUCGCGACUUUGCUGGACACGGCCGCCACCUCCGCCUUCUUCUCCCAGAGCAACUUCUGCGACCGAGCCCUCACCAUGACAGCUUCCUUGAGCCGCGUGUAGACCUCACCCUUGGCGCUCGCCUUCCGCGCCGCCCGCCCCUCUGCAUCCUGGAGCAACCCCUGAAUGGCGGCGAGGCGGGUACGGAGUGCGGCGACCUCGUCGGCGGCAGCGCGGAGCGGCACCGUGAGGGCGGCCUGCGCCACCGCGCGCUUGGUGGUGGACAGCACGUUGGCAUCGGCGGAGAGCUCAUCGAGGCGCGCCGUGAGUGCCGCCACCUGCCCCCGCCGCUCCAUCACCUCCUUGAGCAGCAUGGUGUUGAGCGCCUUCAGCUGCUCCGCCUUCCGAUCCCGCGCCUCUUGCGCCGGCGCGUCCUCCGCGGCCUUCACCGGUGGCACCUCCUCCGCCAUGGCAUGGUUUCCAUUGCCAUUGGUGGCGGCGUGGUUGCCGUUGCCAUUGGCUGCAGCGGGAGGGAGGCCGGCGGUGACGGCGGCGGGGGCCGUGCAGGAGGGAGGCAAUAAAUGAGGGGUAAGGGUGUCUUCCAUGACUUUUAGUCCACUUUAGUCCACCCCCUUGGACUAGAGGACUAAACCCUUUAGUCCAUAUUUUAGUCCACCUGUUUGCCACUUUAGGGACUAAAAGGGGCUAAAAUGGGUGGAUUAAACUUUAGUCCAGGUAACCAAACAGACCCUAAGAAAAUGUAUUUGUUUUGGACUUCAAAUUUAAGCGGUGACAAAAAGAAAGAGCAGGCAUUUAGGUUUGAUAAUUUCAGCAGUGUUUUAGAGAUAGGUUUUUUUUUCUUAAAAUGUAUUCGAUCUGCUUGUUUGUUAAGAUCAGCAGCGGAAAUGAGUCAUGAUGCCUUCUUGAGGCACGGAAGAGGUGAGGAGUGAUGCGAAGCGCUCCUGCCUUCUUGGAUCUUGAAGAUGAGCCCCCCUCCUAAAUUUGUGUGGGGCCGCCAAUGACUAGGCUAGGAGAUAGUAGACCAAAGUGUCAUCAGCAUCAUCAACUAGGAUCGUGGAGACAAUUGGGCACUCCUAGUUGUGAGCUUAAAUAUCGAGUGACUAACCAAUGUAUAUAGUUUUUUAAUGGUAAAAUAGCUAAAUUUGUCCUUGAACUUUCGAGUUCGAAGGUCAACUUCACCUCCAGUUCUUGAAAGGUCCAGUUUAGUCCUCAAAGUUCUAUUUUUGAGUCAAUCUCGUCCUCCAUAUGUUGAGGAUAGAUCCCCAGGACCCGCAAGGAAGGAAAAAGAUAGACUCCUAUUAGGAUUCCUCCUACUAGGACUCAUACCAUGUAAUCCUAUUAGGACUCCUUCUUGUAACCGACUAGUAAUAUCCCACCCCCUGAGUAUAUAAAGGAGGGUAGGUGUACCUAGAUCGACAGGCUCAGAACCAUCAUCAAUAGCCAACAACCAGGCUACAGAACACACAAGCGCAAGGUGCAAUAUACAACACCCCAAACAGGACGUAGGGUAGUACGCUACUUUGGCGGUCCGAACCUGUAUAAAUCCGUGUCUUAUGUCCUCGCUUUUACCUUCGAGUACCAGGUCCGACGAUUCCACACCAACAAAUCUACUACCUCGGGAUACCCAUCAUUAGGUUGUCGGGAAUAAAACACCGACAUCUGGCGCGCCAGGUAAGGGUGAUCGUCAAGAUCAUCGGGUGAGCUUGAAAGACCUCAUCAUCAAAAUCAAUCUACUCGACAAGAAGAAAGUCACCGAGUCAAAGUCCCGAGCAGACAAAUCUACGUCGAGAUAUAAUUGAUGCGCUCCGUGUUCCAAUCAAAGACCGAGUCGAUUUCCGUUGUAGGCUGCUACGUACGGCUCAUCGAUCAAGUCACAUGCAUAUUGAGGCAAAUAAUCAAGUCGCCAAUGACUACUUCAACUACUCAUCUCGACUACUCGUCUCGACUAGAAACUAGUCGAGGGCGGGUUCCAUGUGAUCAACAACUAGUCAUAAUCGACUCCGACUAGUUGGCUUCAUCAAUGAUCGACACGGCUUCGUCGGCAAUCGUCCACAAAUCAAGGUAAGUUAUUUUUUUAUUAUUUUAUAUAAAUUUUCCGACUUGUUUUUCGCAUGCAAGACAACGCACCGACUACCUAUCUGUGUAUGUCUCUCGAUGGUAAUUACCCUCUAGAGCUAAACUUUACCAACUAUUUCAAGGCAUGUUGACCGACAACCACGGGCUUGGUACACCGAAUUAUGGAUGCUACAACCAUGGGUUUGGUGCACUGAGUUUUGGAGGCACUGCCACGGGUUUGGUACAUUGAAUUUUGGAGGCAAUAAUCAUAGAUUUGAUGCAUUGAAUACUAGAGGCUCACAACAGCUACACCCUAAAAAGACACAAAUCCUAUGCGCACAACAUGCACUCUUCUCGCUAAAAUUCAGAAACGUCUCAACGAUUACUUUAAGCGCAAUCGCUCUCUCUUUUGUCGCAAUGCCGACUACUCAUUUUCAAUGUCUUCUCUUAGUGGUCGCCAAUAUUCUUAAGCAGAACACGCCUUAAAUUCGUGGUAGCCUUAGAUCUUCUAGCCUAAAUGCUAGCACGCACACACAAGACAAAAAGAUCUUAGACGUGCAAACAGUAGUGCCAGUACGUGUACAUGACACACAAAGAUCUAACACACGUAAUGGCAAUAGCUAAAUAGGAACUGAGAGCCUAAACGUAACAGGCUAACUAUUCGGGAGAAAUAUGGCCGAAAUAAGAGCAUGACACACAACAUUUACAUGACAUUCAUCACUGAAUAAAAUUCAGUAGUUCCAAAAUCUACAAAUAUACUACAUAAUGUAUGCAUCUCUUUUUACAAGUCAAGCUUCGGCGAGGACUCUCAUGGAUGCUCAGUGUACCAACAAUGGCUCUGCUAGCUCUCAAACUCGAGGGCUAAGCGUCAAUAACUACUCGACGUGGCUCCUAUGACUCACCUAGCGCAUAAGCUCGAGGGCUGGACGUCGCAAAACUACUCGACGUGGCUCAUACGGCUCACCUGGCACAUAAGCUCGAGGGCUAAAUGCUGCAAAACUACUCUGAUGAUGACUUAUGUGAAGACUAAAGACCCUCGAAUUGAUUAUUUAAUUAUUCCAAGGCUCGAGAGCUCAUAAGCUACACCCAAGAUUUUUCAAGAUGAAAGAAGAAGAUUUAAGAUUGUAUUAACCCUCAGCUUGAUUCUUCAAUUCAACCUAAGGAUCAGAGGCAACUCCAUAUGAAGUGUGACUUAUGUCGCCCUCCAUAUCACAUUCCAAAGAUGAAGAUUACAAAAUUAAGAUGAUCAAGGGCUUGAGCACACCAUAGUCUCAUGCCAUAGUCUCAUGGUAACUUUGAGAAACUUUGAAAAUUCAACAAGACAAAGUACUCGAAGAGCACCAAAACUACUCGGCGAGGAUCUGAAAAGUACUCAAGGCUACUGCAUUUGACUAUGAAGCGCUCGGGGGCUUGUUGGGGAUAGAUCCCCAGUACCUGCAAGGAAGGAAGAAAACGGACUCCUACUAGAAUUUCUCUAUAAUCCUACUAGGACUCAUACCAUGUAAUCCUAUUAGGACUCUUCCUUGUAACCGACUAGUAAUCCCGCCCCCUGAGUAUAUAAAGGAGGGCAAAGGUAUCUAGAUCGGUAGGCUCAAAACCAUCAUCAAUAGCCAACAACCAGGCUACACAACACCCAAGCGCAGAGCGCAAUAUACAACACCCCAAACAGGAUGUAGGGUAUUACGCUACUCUGACAGCUCGAACCUGUAUAAAUCCGUGUCUUGUGUCCUCGCUUUUACCUUUGAGUUCCAAGUCCGAUGAUUCCCCACCAACAAAUCUACUACCUCUGGAUACCCCUCGGUAGGUUGCUAGGUAUAAAACACCGACACCAUCCGACCUGGACCUCCAUGUAGGCGCGCCACAUCAUCCAACCGGAUCUUAGGAUUUUGCUAGAUAGGUCAAAAGUCUAAAUUACCCUCCAUUUCCUUCUAUAUCCAAUUGCUCUUCUUCUUUUUUUCUCUCUCACAGCUGGCUCUCCCUUAUCCCUUCCUUCUCCAUCGCAGCUCCACCUCCAAAUCGACAGCGCUGAUGGCGCGUGGUGGAUGGCAUAGGAACGGAAUGACAAUAUGAAUGGAAGGAAGAACCCUCAGCGAUGAUGAAUUGGAGCGCGCACGUGUAGAGAUGGAGGUAGGCACCAAUUUUUCCUCAAACUGGAAUUCUGGGAAUUUGGUGUUCAAAUUGGUUCAUUCCUACAACUUGUCUACUGAUACAUGGCGAUUUUGAUUGUUUCUGGCAGCUCGAAUGUUUACUCGAUGACAGAAGGCAUGUUCGCAUGUUCUUACCGCGAUGGUCAGUACCCGAGAUUUCACACAAAUGGACCAAGAGAGGAGAAGCCAAAUGAAAGAAGGGCAUAUAGGAUGUUUGGUAAUUUGCUAUAGUGGACCAUGUGCUUAGGUGACGUAGAAUGCCUAGUUGGCUAUCCAGCUCGGAUUAUGGAUAGAAUUGAACCUAAAAACUAAAGUUUGAGGACUAAAUUGGACCUUGCAAAAGUUGGGAGACCAAGUUGAUCUAUUGACAGAAGUUCAGGGAUGAAUUUGACUAUUUUACCUUUUUAUCGAGUGGCCAUGUGUUUUAUAGUCUAAUUUAAACAAUCUCCGACAGGGAAACGAGUUAUUAACCAAGAACCCCCAACCGACAUUUUCAAAAAAAAACAACCACCUAAAAAAAUAACUCUCAGAAAAUGUCCUAAUUAGACUAAAACCCUUUUGGUAAUUGAAGAAAUUCUAAAAACAUCGCUAAUCAUCAAACACUCGCAAAAAAGCACUUUGGAAUAAGGUUGUUAGGAUUGGAAUUCUAGGCGUACAAUGGAUCAUAGGGCAUACGUUAUCACAUUUUGCAAAAUAUACAUUUUUAUGUAAAAAUGAAAAAUGUACAAUAUGUCAUAAAAAUGGCCUAUAAUUUGAUUUUGAUAAAUUAAAUUUAUUUCUAAAAACUCAAUUGGGCUUUUCACAUUAUUUUCAAUCCUCCUUAAUUGUAAACAAUAUUUUAUCACAAAUAAUCAUUUAAAAGCUCUCAUAUAACAAUUAUUACAUUACUAGUAUUGUAUGACAACACGAUAAAUGAGUAUCAAUGUGUAAGGAUAUAAUAAACCUACUGACAAAGCUCAAUUUCUUAUAAAUGUGUAAUUUUAGAUGUCGAUAAUUUUUUCCCGUUGGGAUCGUGAUCUGUAUAGGAUCCUACCAAUCUCAUGGGAUCAUGUAGAACUCAUAGCAUCGUGAUACUAUGAAAAUUAAGAUGCACAAGGUGGGAUCGGAACCAUUUCGGUUAUGUAGCUAACCAUUUCGGUUAUGUAGCUAAGAUCACAGUAUCUUAAGAUUAUCUGAUCCGGAUCAGGAUUUCUGAGAAAUGUUGAAACGUGGUAAAUCUUGGUAGUGUCUAGUAAACUCCAGGGAAUCUUAAUCAACAAGCUGGACGACGUACACGCACGCAAGAAAGAUUCUAUUGUAGAUGAGUCUAAUAUAAAGUUAUCCUAAAGAAAAGAACCCAAUAAUAAUAUGAUCUAUACCGGCUUAGUAGUCAAAGUCUCCGCAUUCGAAUCUAGGGAAUCUCGGCAAAGGAUAAGAGCAAGUAUAAUAAGGGGCUGUAAGCUGGCUGAAUGCUGACGUGGAGGAGAGAGAAGAGGUGAGAGAGGAGAAGCGGGCUAUAAACUUACAGCCGACUUGAGCACUGGAACCAAGAAAUUUUGUGAGAAUGACUUGUGGACCAUGUAUUAAUAAUGAAGAGCUAAUCAUUGUACGAGUGGGCUAGGAAAAGGCUGAGAGAAAUCUUACAGCCCGCUUGCUAGCUGCAUUACAAAACUUGCUCUAAGAGAUACACGAUACGCAUUACCUAGCGAUGUCAUCACCGGUGCGUGUCCACACUUAAUUCCACUCAUAGGAGAUCGCUAUCAGUGGUAGUGUAGAUAGCCCACGUCAUCAUCCCUGAUUUCCAAUUAUCGCCGCUGCUGCUUUCACACGUACGCUGGCUGUCGCCGUACGCGUGCGUGCCUUCACACGGGGACACAGACAACUCGAGGAAACCCAGAGAUCGAAGCUAACGGUUUUCAGAGCUGUUGCGUGGAUUUUUGGCAUCCUAUAGGCCCAAAUCGUAUCUCGAGUCAACGCGGGCGUGUGAUGGUUUAAUUUCAGCAUGCUCUGCAUUGCCUCCUAAAUCAACAUGAUCUCUGCAUAAAUAUAAUCAACAGCUCUCCUGCUCAGUUCAUUUAAAAAGAAUAAUUUUGAUCAGCGAAGACGACUUGAACUGUACGUCCUCGGAAUUGUAUUCCUACUAGAGGUAUAAUCUGAAUUGUAUUCCUGCUAAAGGUAUGAACGCCGACUAGCCGUGCCGCUCCGUACCAAACGCCUAGUAGUAUUAUUCAACGGUAACCGUAUAGCGAUGUGAUGGGAAUCUACGUUCAGCUUGACUUUGAGUAAAACAUAAACCACAGGCUAGGCAGGGAAUAACGAUCGAGAUUUUCGGCUGACGCGGAGGGAUGAUCCUGUCGUACUCUCAUUAAUCCAGUAAUUCGAUUAACAUUUUUAAAGGGCUGGCAUGUUGAAUGGGAAUUCUUCUUCAUGUCGAUCUGCUGCACAUUGCAUGUACACUCGUAAGGUGAUCUUCAUGGACAGCAAUGCCGUGAAGCCGUGACAGUGUCACAGUGAUUCUUUGGAGGGAGCUCUCCGUCCUCUCAAUCAGAAGUUUAGCAACUCAGGGCAUGUUUGGUAUGGCUCUGGAGCUAAACUCCAACAACUUCAGCUAAUUUUGCAGUCAAAUAUCUUAGCUUUAAAAUUUCAUGGAGCUGCCAACUCCAUAGAGCUGCAGUGCAAAUGGAGGUGGAGUUUUGAAGCCCCCUCUUUUGCAGCUCCAAAACCACCCAAUAUGAUACCACUGAUUAAAAAAGCAGUUCACUUCUUUCUCCCGAGACCUCCCGCGCCUGUUCCUCACGCCCUCCCCUCCUCCCCCCCACUGUCUAGGGUUUGGCCGCCGCCGGCCGUCGUCGUCCACCCGACCCUUCCAUCAACACACCAUCGGCCGGCCCCUCCUGCUGCCCCUCCCUACCAUCGCCGGCCGUCCACCCCCCUCCCCCGGCCGCCAACCCAUCCUCUCUGCCCCGCCGCAUCCCACCAUGCCGUUGUGCCUAUCCCACCGCGCUGCCACCCCAACCACACCGCUGGCACCCAUCCAGCAACACUAGCAAACCCAUCCCACGGGCCGCAGCCUUGUGCUAGCUCGGCUGGGGCCUAGCAUUGGCGCGAGGAGGUCCUGUCCUGCGUGAGCUGCUUGGCUACCUGAGAAAGAAGAAGAGGGGAAUAAGUGGAUGAUAGGUGGGACCAUGAGUUGGGGGCAAGAAUGACAAUUCACCUUCAAACUCCUUUUUUCUGGAGCUGGGGAUACCCUUCCAGCCAAACACCUCCAUCAGACAGCUCCAACUCUACCUAGAGCUAGCUCCACCUUGAGUUCUGAAGUGGAGCAGCUCCACCUAAAGUUAGAGCCAUAUCAAACAGGACCUCAGAAACCGUGGCCACUUGAUUAUUCAAAACGCCUAGCCUAACUAGCACCACUUGGAACCUUGUUAGGAUCAAGCUCCAUGGCCGGCGACAGAAAACAACAUCCAACUAAACGAAAAACAAACACUUCUAGAAUCGAAUAGUAAUAUCAAGGGAGGAAAAAGAAAACAAAUGCAUGGCCGGAGAGCAAGUGUGAGUAGCAUCCAAUCAGAACGGUCAGCAAGUCAACGGGCGCCGUAAAGAGACAGCCUGUCUCACACUCCCAACGCCGGGAUGGCAUCCCCGCCGUCCGGUUCGAAACGAACGGCAGCGAGGUUGCCCCUCUCUGUGGGCACUCCUCCUCAGAGCCGCACGCGCGCGCAGCCAUGCCAACGUUCCAACCGCGAUAAAUACUGACACGACCUCAAAGGCCGCGCUCCAGUCAGUCCACACACAGAGACAGACGAACUCAGACUCGGAACAGUGCGGCGUCGGCCAUUGGCCAACCCGAGAUGGCGCCGCAGACCACCGCAGCCGGCGGCGAGGAGACGGUGGAGGAGGCGACGACGCUGCGCCACCGGCACAACGCGGCCAAGGGUGGCGGCGGCGGCGGCGGCGGCGAGGAGGGGCAGGCCACCCACCAGCAGGUGGAGGACGAGGCGGCGGCGGCGGCGGGGGCGCUGUCGGUGGAGCGCGCGUUCGAGGGCCAGCCCGUGCCGUCGUGGCGGGAGCAGCUGACGGUGCGCGCCUUCGUGGUCAGCUUCUUCCUGUCCGUCAUGUUCAGCGUCAUCGUCAUGAAGCUCAACCUCACCACGGGGAUCAUCCCCUCGCUCAACGUCUCCGCGGGGCUCCUCAGCUUCUUCUUCGUGCGCCUCUGGACCAAGGCCAUCGAGAGCAUGGGCCUGCUCAGGCAGCCCUUCACGCGCCAGGAGAACACCGUCAUCCAGACCUGCGUCGUCGCCGCCUACGACAUCGCCUUCAGCGGUACGGUACCUUACCUCUUCUCUGCAACCUGCUGGCUUGCUGCAGAGCACUUUUGGUCUUUUAGACGGUUUUGCAUUGGAUUCUUUGGUUACUGAUAAUUGUAAGCAUGAAGUCACGAACACAACUAACAAUUUAAUUAUUAAAGUCAACUUCGAAAGGAAAAAUCUCGCAGUCAGUCAUUAAGAAACUGUUUAUGGAGUACGUUGAUUCUUAUGUAACUAGCUACCAAGAUGGUACACGCAAGUUGCAACUUGAAGCACGUCUGAAUACUGGCGACCUCGAGCUGAAAUAGAUGACCUAAAAUCCGGAUGGGCUAGACUCUGUAUAGCUUUGAAUUAUUUGAAUACUUGCUUGACAUGAUGGGGUGAGUCCCAGGGAUGUGACGCUGCUAACUUGGUAGAAGCAUUUUCGCCUAAUACUAACUCAAGCCUAAUCACAAUCAACCGUUGCGGUUGCUUUCUGCUUAGCACGUUCAGGAAAAUAUUAGAUUGUUCAGCUGCAUAAUUAAUUUCCUAUAAAAAAGAUGCAUAAUGAAUUUCAAGUAACAAGUGCAAUAUUGCUUGUUACAAGGGGGACAGUGAUGCCUUGCUUUUCUUCUUCUUCUUCUUCCUCCUCCUUUUCUUUUAGUUUUUUUUUUAAAAAAAGGGAGUCAGGAGCACUGUCGCUAUCACUUAUCCCGUCGUUUGUGUGGAAAGUUAUGUAUGUGAUAAAAUUGUGUACUGAUCCAUUCUGACUGAUAGGUGGGUUUGGCACUUACUUGUUUGGGAUGAGCGAAACCAUCGCCAAGCAAGCAACGGAGGCUAACAAUCCUCAAAAUGUCAAGAAUCCUCACAUCGGGUGGAUGAUAGGAUUUCUCUUCCUUGUCAGUUUUAUCGGCCUAUUUGCUCUUGUGCCUCUAAGAAAGGUGAAUCUUUUACUUAUUUCUGCGCCUAAUGCUCUUGCUCAUUACUAAAUAGUAACAUUAUACACCAACAUAAUCGGCAACUGUUAUCGUUGGUACAGAUUAUGAUUGUCGACUACAAGCUCACAUAUCCAAGUGGCACAGCGACUGCUUAUCUCAUCAAUGGUUUCCACACGCCAGAGGGUGCCAAGCUUGCAAAGUAAAUUAUCUGAGUGUCGUUUUCUUCUCUGUUGUAGUUAUUGUGUGCGGUGUAAUCAAUGUUACUGACUGCAUAAAUUAUAUGUUCAAGGAAACAAGUGAAAGCACUAGGAAAAUUCUUCUUGUUUAGCUUCCUUUGGGGCUUUUUCCAGUGGUUCUACACUGGUGGAGACAGUUGCGGGUUUCAGAACUUCCCUACAUUAGGCCUCCAAGCUUAUAAGAACAGGUCAGAGCAUUACAUUAUCUUGGUAAUAGUGCUCUAAAUCUGAAAACGAUUUUGCUAGUUUAUGACACUAAUGGCUUUGAGUAUAUACAUGUCUGAUAUCUGAAACCAGCCUAUUGUAAACUUAUUGGUUUGGUUAGCAGAAUGAAAUCAGCUUCCCUUACUGAACCUGAACUUCGUAUUUCAACUUUCAGGUUUUACUUUGAUUUCUCUCCUACCUAUGUUGGAGUUGGGAUGAUUUGCCCACACAUUGUGAACGUGUCUGUUCUACUGGGAGGCAUCCUUUCCUGGGGAAUAAUGUGGCCUCUAAUACGCAACAAGAAGGGGAGUUGGUAUCCUGCCUCUCUACAAGAAAGCAGUCUUCAUGGACUGCAGGGUUACAGGGUAAACAUCAACAGUCAACACUAUCACCCAUCUUCUGUUUCACUGCUGACCUUUUUCGCUACUUGCAACCAAGCAGCUAAUCUGCUGAACAAUGCAGGUUUUCAUUUCCAUCGCUAUAAUUCUUGGAGACGGCCUGUACAACUUCGUGAAGGUGCUCAUUCGCACCACUGCCGGCUUUAUAUCCAUGAUGAAGAAAGACAGCACCCUUCCAGUUUCAAACGAUAGCAGCCCCAUCACUGAAUCUGUUUCAUUCGACGACGAACGCCGCACCGAGCUGUUCCUGAAAGAUCAAAUCCCCAAAUCAGUCGCCUAUGGAGGGUACGUCGCCGUCGCCGCCAUCUCCAUCGGCACCCUUCCUCAGGUCUUCCCGCAGCUCAAGUGGUACUACAUCCUGGUCGCCUACAUCUUUGCACCGGUGCUGGCCUUCUGCAACGCCUACGGGACCGGCCUCACCGACUGGUCCCUCGCGUCCACCUACGGCAAGCUCGCCAUCUUCAUCUUCGGCGCGUGGGCCGGCGCGUCCCACGGCGGCGUCCUGGUGGGGCUCGCCGCCUGCGGUGUGAUGAUGAGCAUCGUGUCGACGGCCGCCGACCUGAUGCAGGACUUCAAGACCGGGUACCUGACGCUGGCGUCGCCGCGGUCCAUGUUCAUCAGCCAGGUGAUCGGCACGGCGAUGGGCUGCGUCAUCGCGCCCUGCGUGUUCUGGCUCUUCUACAAGGCCUUCGCCGACAUCGGCCUGAGCGGCAGCGAGUACCCGGCGCCCUACGCCAUCGUGUACCGGAACAUGGCCAUCCUCGGCGUGGACGGCUUCUCCUCGCUCCCCAAGAACUGCCUCACGCUCUGCUACGUCUUCUUCGCGGCGGCGAUCGCCGUCAACCUGGUCCGGGACCUGGUGCCGAAGAAGGUGGCGAGGUUCAUCCCGCUCCCGAUGGCCAUGGCGAUACCGUUCUACAUCGGGUCCUACUUCGCCAUUGACAUGUUCAUCGGCACCGUGAUCCUCUUCGCGUGGGAGGUGAUGAACAAGGCCAAGGCCGACGCGUUCGCGCCCGCGGUCGCGUCCGGGUUGAUCUGCGGCGACGGCAUCUGGACGCUGCCGCAGUCGGUGCUCGCGCUCGCCAAGGUGAAGCCGCCGAUCUGCAUGAAGUUCUUGUCCAGGUCGGUGAAUGCCCAAGUGGACACUUUCCUGGGAAAUUAGCUCAGUUGGGGAGUUCGGCUAGGAAAGGGAAUUUCCUGGCUAGCCUGAACCCACGAACUUGUUUGCUGCUGCUGUGAAAUGUAACUGAUGCUGUAUCAUCAUCAACCUUGUACUAUCUGCUUUGCUGUAUGUUAGUAGGUCUGUGCCACAGUAAAGGUUGCCAGCGUAUACGCGUACUUGAGCAAGGGUAAUUACAUCUCGGUUCAGAUUUCGUAACCACCUGUAUCUCGUCAUCUCGUCUCUAUCCGAAGGCUAAACCAAAACGUAUUUGACCCGAAUUUGCCUUCUCCAAGCGAGAGAACAUCUGGGCCGUGCAAAUCCAAUCGGAGGGCCGGUAAACCAGAGCUCCCCGGCCUCGGUUAACAACCAGCGCCAGCCCCGGCAGCCCACCAGACCAUAUCGUUCAGGAUUCUACCAACUGGCUUCCAAUAAAUACGCCGGCUCCCAAGUCCCAACAAUCUACCAAGUCACGAACAGAGAGAGGUCACCAUGGCGACGCCGGCCAGCGCUCCCGGCGGCUCAGCCGCCAAUGACGCCGCCGACUCCAUGGAGCUGGGCUCCAACCUUCUCCGCCGCCGCCACGGCGGCGGCGGCGGCGGCGGCGGGGCCGGCAAUGCCGAGGAGGAGACGGUCUCGGUGGAGCAGGCGUUCGCGGGCAAGCCCGUGCCGUCGUGGCGGGAGCAGCUGACGGUGCGCGCCUUCGUGGUGGGGGCCCUCCUCUCCGUCCUGUUCAGCGUCAUCGUCAUGAAGCUCAACCUCACCACCGGCAUCAUCCCCUCGCUCAACGUCUCCGCCAGCCUACUCAGCUACUUCCUCGUCAGCCUCUGGACAAAGGCAAUCGAGAGCAUGGGCCUGCUCAAGCAGCCCUUCACGCGCCAGGAGAACACCGUCAUCCAGACCUGCGUCGUCUCCGCCUAUGGCAUCGCCUUCAGUGGUAAUUAAAAAGCCCAAACCAAAGCGCUUGCGGUCAUUAAUUUCUCUUUCUGUGCUGUCUUGCUUGUAAGAUUUCUAAGAAGGAACAACGAUUUUGGUGCAUCACCAGUGGAAAGGCGCACUCUUGUUUAUUUUUGGCUCUUAGCUUAGACUAAAUCUAGAUUAGAUCUAUGGCACGAUAGUACUCACAAAUUGUAUUUAUCAGAAAACAACUUUUCACCAAACAGUCUUCAGCUAUCAAUAAACCUGGUGGAUAUUUCAGAGUUCAGAAAUUAAUUGUGAGUGUGGGCAAGACACUAUUCCCUGCUAACACUUUAGAUUUACAUUGCCUGAUGAUGAUCCCUACAACUUUUCUUUACUUUCAGAAUGGCAAGAUAGUAAAAUAACAUGAAAUCUCUUGAUUUGUAAUUCACAAAUUUCAAUUGAGCAGGUGGGUUUGGCAGCUACCUAUUCGGUAUGAGUAGCACUAUUGCUAAACAGGCAACAGAGGCCAAUGAUGCUCUGAAUAUCAAGGACCCUCACCUAGGAUGGAUGAUAGGGUUUAUGUUCCUCGUCAGUUUUGUCGGCCUUUUCGCUCUGGUUCCUCUGAGAAAGGUAGAUGCUUCCUUUCCCAUUCUAGUUCUCGAAUCUUGAGGGGCAAUUAUAUGUUCAAACAAACUUCUAUUGUUUUAUCAACUGAGAGUCUGAAAUAAAUGUUUUCAGAUUAUGAUUGUGGAUUACAAACUGACUUACCCUAGUGGAACUGCGACCGCAUACCUCAUCAAUGGAUUCCACACACCCGAGGGUGCCGAGCUUGCAAAGUAGGCAACAUGAACUCAGCUGGCCAGUGAUUGUGAAAUCAAUAUGUGUUUACUGAUAAUACCAAUAACCUAUUUCAGGAAGCAAGUUCGAACAUUGGGCAAGUACUUCUCACUCAGUUUCCUAUGGGCCUUCUUCCAGUGGUUCUACACAGCUGGGGAUGACUGCGGAUUCAGCUCCUUCCCAACACUCGGCCUUGAAGCUUACAAAAACAAGUUAGUACCACUACACACUGGUCUCACAUUAACAGUGCUAAAUUGCCACACGGUUAUUGACUAAUGCAUGCAAUAUUAUUAAUAUCUCUAGCUUAGUAGUUGUCUGCUGGUUAUUUGAUCUUAUGAUAAUGUUCUCCUGUUUUCUAGGUUCUAUUUUGAUUUCUCAGCUACUUAUGUUGGUGUUGGAAUGAUAUGCCCAUAUAUCGUAAAUGUGUCUCUUCUUCUUGGAGGCAUCAUCUCGUGGGGAGUAAUGUGGCCACUGAUCAGCACAAAGAAAGGAAGCUGGUACUCUGAAUCUCUUCCGGAUAGUAGUCUACAUGGACUUAAUGGUUAUAAGGUAAAUUGUAAUUGGUCGUAUUAUCAUGCAAACUUUUGCUUUUCACAACUACACACAUAGAACUGACAGUGUAACACUGCAGGUGUUUAUAACCAUAGCAGUAAUUCUUGGUGAUGGCCUGUACAACUUCUUGAAAGUAUUUAUCCGCUCAGUAUGUGCAAUCAUAUCAGUGUACAAGAAUAAAAAUGCAAACACUCUUCCGGUAUCCGAUGAUGGCACCCCUAUCCCUACGAUUGAAACCGAGUCAUUUGAUGACAAGCGUCGCGUUGAGCUAUUCUUGAAGGAUCAAAUUCCCAAGGUAGUUGCACUUGGAGGCUAUGUCGUUCUGGCAGCUAUAACUAUUGGUUGCCUCCCUCUCAUUAUCCCACAGCUCAAGUGGUACCAUAUUUUGGCUGCAUACAUCCUUGCACCUAUACUGGCCUUCUGCAAUGCCUAUGGAUGUGGCCUAACAGAUUGGUCCCUCGCCAGCACCUACGGUAAGCUUGCUAUUUUUAUCAUUGGUGCGUGGGCAGGUGCUUCGCAUGGUGGUGUGCUUGUAGGAUUAGCUGCAUGUGGUGUCAUGAUGAGCAUUGUGGGAACAGCCUCUGAUCUGAUGCAAGACUUCAAGACGGGGUACCUUACUCUGGCCUCGCCAAGGUCAAUGUUCAUCAGCCAAGUGAUAGGCACAGCCAUGGGCUGUGUUAUUGCACCCUGUGUCUUCUGGUUGUUUUACAAGUCCUUUGACAUUGGUGCAAGUGAUGGCGCUUAUCCAGCACCUUACACCAUCAUGUAUCGUAAUAUGGCGAUCCUUGGCGUGGAUGGCUUGUCCUUGCUUCCAAAGCACUGCCUCACACUGUGCUACAUUUUCUUCGCCAUUUCCUUUGCCAUCAAUUUGAUCAAGGAUCAAGUGCCAGAGAAGGUUGCGAAGUUCAUCCCCAUCCCCAUGGCAGCAGCAAUUCCUUUCUACCUUGGCCCGUACUUCGCAAUUGAUAUGUUCUUGGGCAGUGUGAUACUCUUCUUUUGGGAAUGGAAGAACAAAGCUGAAGCCACAUCGUUCGGACCAGCAGUUGCGUCGGGCUUGAUGUGCGGUGAUGGGCUGUGGGCACUGCCCCAGGCUGUUCUUUCUCUUGCCAAUGUGAAUCCUCCCAUUUGCAUGAAGUUCUUGUCAAGGUCUGUGAAUGCCAAGGUGGACUCCUUCCUUGGGAACUAGAUGAUGGUUAGAUAGAGUAAUUUUUUUUUUGUUUCGUAGUUGAAGCGGUUAAAUAAUUCUAGUCAUGUAAAUUUAUUAGUCUCAUUGGGCAGUGGUCGUUUUUUUAGUAAUCAAGCACAAUUGGAGAAGCUGUCUGAGUUGUUUAGUGCUGCUUGUCUGGUUGCUCUCUCUGAAAUGAAUUUAUCAUGGUCGAGAUUAUCUCCAGAUUUCUGUUUAUACUGAACCUUUUCUUUUGCUCAGAUACAGUUGAUAAAUAAUCACGAGAAGCAAGAUUGCAAAUUUUCUUUUUUGGCUAAGCCAGGUCUCUUGGUAGAGGGUCUAAUCUUAUAGAAUUCAGACUUCGUUAUAAUAAAUGAGAGUUUGGGGGCCGAGUCUUAAACAGGAACAGCCAUCAGGUAGGUUCAGUUACGUAACCGGAGGACAGACUCAGCUUCAGGGCAUCUCUUGCUUGAAAUUGCCCUCGCCGCUGCCUGCCCAUCGGUGGCGGUACCUUUGGGGGCUGUGAUGGGCUGUUUUUUCACUGGGUCUAACAAAAGGCAGAAAUGGACGCUCAUCAAGUAAGAACAGACUGCAAACUUUUAAAUAUAUAUUUAGUUUUUAUAAGUAAAGGACAAAGGAUAGAAGUGGUUUCGGAGAAACGAAAGUACUAGUACACUCCAAAAUCGCAAAACCUUGGCAAGUGUGACAGUGAUAAAAGAUAGGCAGCCAGUAUGCCUGCAUUCUACUUCUUUCUGUGUCUUUGCAGUGUUGGUGGCUGUUGCAGAAUUGCUUGUCAUUGUUUGACAAUGUCUGAUCUCCGUGAUGCUAAUUAGUACUCUUGACAAUGCUGCAUAUUGUGAAGGCAUCCUCUUCUGGGAACAACGUGGCCUCUGGUAGGCAACAAGAAUCUCCUAGAAACUAGAGUGCCCGGAUUCUAUGCGUUGGAUUGAACCAAACAUGGGGAUGGCUGAAAACUAACCAGAUGAGCGAGCCGAUUCAACCCCCAUUCAGUUGUUCAACCACCCCUAAAAUUAGAACAGCAAUGCAUCUGGGAAACGGAAAGCAUGCAUGAAUCUCGACCGGCAAACAUCUGAUCCUAGAAGCACGCAUGAAUCUCGAAUCUUGACCAGAAUCUCCCUGCCCCCAGCGACACUGACAUCUGUCCCCGCCACCAGAUCAUAUCAAACGCACGCCAGCGAUCCCUAGUUCCCUACUGCCAGUGCCAAGUGCCACAAGCAUCAGCCCAAGUGACGCGCACUGAGACGGCAUGGCGCCGGCCACCGCCACCGCCAGCGCCUCCGGCGGCUCAGCCGUCCACGACAGCGCCGACGCCCUGGAACAAGGCACCAGCACCCAGCUCCGCCGCCGCUACACCGGCGGCCAGACGGGCGAGCUGGCCGACGACGGGAUCGUCAGGAGCAGGGCGGGCAAGCAGGAGCCCGCGCCGCCGUCGGUGGAGGAGGCGUUCGCGGACCUCCCCGUGCCGUCGUGGCGGGAGCAGCUGACGGUGCGCGCCUUCGUGGUGGGGUCCCUCCUCGCCGUCGUGUUCAACGUCAUCCUCAUGAAGAUCGACCUCACCACGGGCAUCAACCCCUCGCUCAACGUCUGCGCCAGCCUCCUCAGCUACUUCCUCGUCCGCGUCUGGACCAAGGCCAUCGAGGGCAUGGGCCUGCUCAGGCAGCCCUUCACGCGCCAGGAGAACACCAUGAUCCAGACCUGCGUCGUCUCCGCCUACGGCAUCACCUUCACCGGUAAAAGACCAGACCCCAGCGCUUCCCUUUCGUUUGUUUCGAGUUCGUUGUGCAUUUCCCGGCUCUCGUUAAUUACUUUUCAAUUCCAGACUAUAUCCAUAUUAAAUCUAUGGUAGAAUGGUAUUCGAUAUUCAUAACUUUAUAUAUGUUUGAAGAUGAUUUGGAAGCCAACGCAACAAAAUUCUAUUAGCCCUCCAGGGCAGGAUCUAUACAGUGUACAAGACACGUCGAUCGUGAGCCAAUAGUUAUCUAACUAACUAACUCCUAGUCAAUUGGAUCUGUUCCUAAGGGUGGAUCUGAUCGUGUUAACAAUAUUCAUCAGAAAGUAAAUAGUCAAACUACAGAAGAUUAGUGCAUGGUUGGUUCUUUUGCAGCAUUUCAGGCGAUCUGUCAAAAUAUGUUCCAGUUGAUUUCCUCAUUAUCAUUUCAGUCUCCAGCUCUAUAGCAACAUCUGUUUGCAAUUUGCAUGAUGGAGUUGGCUUGUCCUCCAGUUUUGAGAUGACUAGCAUGCAUACAGUUCUUGGUCUGCCCAACCAAAUCAAACCAGCAAUGAAUAAAUUGAGAAAAUUGAACACCAUGUGAAAGGAUUUGCAACUGCAGAAUGCCACCAACUUGAAGCAAAAGAAGCCUCAAUUUACAUAAACAUACAGAGAACCCUAUACUAGGAGUUAAAUCCAAGUAAAAUGGAAUCAACAUAAACAAAAAUAACAUCAGAUCAAGAACAUAGAAGUCACUGAACAAAGCAUAAUUGCCGACUCACAGAUAACAUGCACCGUCACCAUUUUGAUUGAAACAAUCAAAACAUGCACUGUCGCCAUUUUUACUGCAAACAUCUCCGGUGAAGGCUUCUCAAAUAAAAUCAUCACCAAAAACACACAUGAAUUAUUAGAUGCUGACCAAAGUGAAAGAUGUUACUGCCUGAGGCUGAACGAGAAUUCAUACCGACAUCACGUUCUCUAGUGCUCCCAUCUCGGCACCUCACACUCCCUGUCAAGCACCCUAGCUUGUUUAGAUAGGCGAGUAUACAUGGAAUCAAUAACAACUACCAGAACGGAAAAAAGAAAGGAAAAGGGUGAAGGGAUAACAGGUCAUAAAAUCGCUAGUCCAAGAGCUCAUAAAACAAUAACAGUACAGAUACAAUGGACACUGGAUUGACUAUCGCAAAAAAUUAUCUGACUGUUGUGUAGUAAAAAUGCAAAAUCGUGUGCAUGUGGUGAUAUGCGUACAAAUGAAGGGGGUGGAGGGAGACCAAAGGAACAAUUGUCUUUAAUGCUACGCAGGAAUCAGCAGCUUCAUUGAAGACAACAUGGGUUUGGCAGGAAAAGGAAGAGGAAUAUCGUGCGGGGGAAACAGUGUUCAAACUUGCGACUUCUGGCAAAAUUAGGCUUAGAGGGAGGGCCCCAUGUCUUGCGUAGAAGAAAUCAUCAUUUGAACACGCCACGAUUUAUUGGGAUGGGUCGAACCAUGUGAAUGAAUGAAAAGAGCCCUCACCUUCUUUGGCUGGAUCUUCAAAGCUUUAGAAAACCAGUUCGCCACACCCCCUACCCCUGUUAUCAGUCCUGUGUUGCCUAUGCUAGCACCCCAAAAUGAUCCCUGACUUUGUACAAUUCCGUAGGGCACACUACAGAAACACAACCUAUGCUUGUUUGCUUGUCUUCUUUUCGACCACCCAAUCCACAACAAAUCUAACGGAACCACUUGAAAUAUCGAUAAACAUGGAAAUUUUAGAAAUUAACUCUGACUAGGCAAGGCAUUGUUCCCUGGAACAAGGACCAUGCGUGUAUUUUGGGAUAAAAUCCCGGAAGAAGAUUAUGGAUGCUAUACUGACACAGAAAAUACAUUUAGAUUUGACAUUGCAUGAUGAUUCCUACAAUUUAUUUUGUGGUACUUUAGCAUGGUGAGAUACUGAAACAAUAUAAUCAUAUCAUAUAGUUACGAUUCACACAUUCUAAUUGAACAGGCGGGUUUAGCAGUUAUCUGUUUGGUAUGAGCGGAACUAUUGCUAACAAAGCAACAGAGGCAAAUGAUGCUCAGAAUAUCAAGGAACCCCACCUUGGAUGGAUGAUAGGGUUUAUGUUCCUCGUCAGUUUUGUUGGCCUUUUUGCUCUGGUGCCUCUGAGAAAGGUACAUGAUUCACUUUCCCACUCUAUUCUCCAGUGACAUUUUGCAAAAACAAACUUUCUGUGAUUAUCAACAGGAAUACUUGUUUUCAGGUUAUGAUUGUGGAUUACAAACUAACUUACCCAAGUGGCACUGCGACCGCUUACCUCAUCAAUGGAUUCCACGCACCCCAUGGUUCCGAGCGUGCAAAGUAGGCAACAUGAACUCUGAUAGCCUGUCAUUGCUAAAAAAAUCAAACAUUGUUGUUGAUAAGAUUCAUAUUCUAUUUCAGGAAGCAAGUUCGGACGUUGGGCAAGUAUUUCUCACUUAGUUUCCUAUGGGCAUUCUUCCAGUGGUUCUACACAGCCGGGGAUCACUGCGGAUUCGGCUCCUUCCCAACACUCGGUCUUGAAGCUUAUAAAAACAGGUCAGCAUAAAUGUGUCCUCAACAAUAAGUAAUUCCAAUGCCAGAAAGAGUAGCUCCCAACUUAUUUAUAGAGUGAUUAUCACGCAGUCAUGGACUAAUGCGUGCUGUCUUCAGAUGCAUCAACUAAUCCCUUUAGCUGAGUUGUCUGCUGGCCAUUCUCAAUUCUAUGAUCAUUCUCUCCUGUAUGAUUAGUCAUCGUCCUUGUUCUUAACUCGGUUAGCAUUUUCCAGGUUCUUUUUUGAUUUCUCACCGACUUAUAUUGGUGUUGGAAUGAUCUGCCCAUAUAUCGUAAAUGUGUCUCUUCUCCUUGGAGGCAUCAUCUCGUGGGGAGUAAUGUGGCCAUUGAUCAGCACAAAGAAAGGAAGUUGGUACCCUGAGACUCUACCAGAUAAUAGUCUACAUGGACUGCAGGGUUACAGGGUAAACUAUAAUCUGGUCCUACUAGCAUGCAACCUUUUGCUUUCCGCAACCAAAUGUAUUACCCAGAACUGACGACGCAACACUGCAGGUGUUUAUAACCGUAGCAGUAAUUCUUGGAGACGGCCUGUACAAUAUCUUGAAGGUACUUGGUCGCAUGAUAGAAGCCUUUGUAUCAAGGUACAGAAACAGAAAUACAAACACACUUCCUGUGUCUCACGAUGGCACCCCUGUCACUACCACUGAAACUGAGUCAUUUGAUGACAAGCGUCGUCUUGAGCUAUUCGUGAAGGAUCAAAUUCCCAAGACAGUUGCAUUUGGAGGCUAUGUCGUUCUGGCAGCUAUAACGAUAGGUUGUCUCCCUCUCAUUAUCCCACAGCUCAAGUGGUACCAUAUUUUGGCUGCAUAUAUCCUUGCACCUGCACUAGCCUUCUGCAAUGCCUAUGGAUGUGGCCUAACAAAUUGGUCCUUCGCUAGCGCCUAUGGUAAGCUUGCAAUCUUUAGCUUUGGUGCGUGGGCUGGUGCUUCGCAUGGUGGUGUACUUGUGGGAUUAGCUGCAUGCGGUGUGAUGAUGAGCAUCGUGGGAACAGCUGCUGAUCUGAUGCAAGACUUCAAGACUGGGUACCUGACUCUGGCCUCGCCAAGGUCAAUGUUCAUCAGCCAAGUGAUAGGCACAGCCAUGGGCUGUGUUAUUGCACCCUGUGUCUUCUGGCUGUUUUACAAGUCAUUUGAUAUUGGAGCAAGCAAUAGCGCUUACCCAGCACCUUACACCAUUAUGUACCGUAACAUGGCGAUUAUGGGCGUGGAUGGCUUGUCCCUUCCAAAGCACUGCCUCACACUAUGCUACAUUUUCUUUGCUGCAUCCUUCGCCAUCAAUUUGAUCAAGGACCUGAUGCCGAAGAAGGUGGCGAAGUUCAUCCCCAUCCCCAUGGCAGUAGCAAUUCCUUUCUACGUCGGAGCAUACUUCACUAUUGAUAUGUUCUUGGGCUGCGUGAUACUAUUCAUAUGGGAAUGGAAGAACAAAGCUGAAGCAGACUCAUUGGGACCAGCAGUUGCAUCCGGUUUCAUGUGCGGUGACGGGCUCUGGGCACUGCCAGAGGCUGUUCUUUCUCUUGCAAAUGUGAAACCUCCCAUUUGCAUGAAGUUUUUGUCGAGGUCUGUGAAUGCCAAAGUGGACUCCUUCCUUGCGAAGGAGUGACUUCUAGUUUGGUAGAAUAGAAUUAGCUUCCUUCCAUAGUAGAGGUGGUUAAAUAAUUAUAGUUAUGUAAGAGAGUGUCAUGGGGCAGAGUCAUAUUUUGUUUUUGUAAUCAAGCAGAUAAGAGAAGUUGUCUGAUUGGCUGCUAGCUAGUUUGAUAGAAUAGAAUUAUCUUCCUUCCAUAUUAGAGGUGGUUAAAUAAUUCUAGUUAUGUAAAUUAAGAGUGUCAUGGGGCAGCAGUCAUAUUUUGUUUUAGUAAUCAAGCAGAUAAGAGAAGUCUGAUUUGCUUAGUGCUGCAAUUGUCUGGUUGCUAACUCUAGAAUUGAAUUUCAUGGUCCAGAUUAUCUCUUGUGAAGCAAGAUUUCAAAAUCUCUCUUGCUAAGCCAGAAUCUUUAUGUAUGGUCGAAUGCGAUAAAAUUCGGACAUCUGAAGGAACACUUACACAGGAACGUCCAUCAGGUUCAGGUAUGGAAUCGGAGGAUGAAUGCCUGACGCUUGAAACGAGAUGCAGAAUGCAAGCUUACCUCGUUCCUGUCGAGCUCGUGCUUCCCGAAAACCACCGCGUCCCGCAGGUUCGCCCCCUCCCCUUCCCAUCGCCCAUCGCCACUGCUUCCGCGCAUCUCUUCUUCGAAACUGCCAUUGCAGGCAGUCAGGCACCAAAUCCGGGAGCGGACAGUACGGCGAAGCGGACAUAGCCUGAAUGCGAGAGGUGGAGUCCGGAAGGGGUCCGGAGAUUCGCCGGUGUUGGUCGCCGAGCCAGAAGACAUCGCCGCUGCGGCGCGUAGGGCGGCCACCGGCGGUUUGGUGCCUGAAGAAGGGGCGCGCGCGUCCUACAGUAUCAGAUCCAGAGCCGCGGCUGAGUGCGCUCUGUUGACGGUGCGGCGGCGCGGGAUGCAUCACGGCACCCGCCGCUGGCAGCGCGGGCUCGUCGGCCGGCGUGGAGUUUGCAAGGAACCCCCAAUUUGCGAUCCGGUAUUUUAAAAAAAACCCUAAUUUGGAUCGCGAUUAAUAGUCACGAUCCAAAUUAGGGGGUUUAAUGUAAAAUAUAGAUUCAGUAUUUUAAAAAAAACCUUAUUUUGGAUCGAGAUUAAUAGUCGCGAUCCAAAUUAGGGGGUUUUAUGUAAAAUAUCGAUCCAAUAUUUUGCGUUCUACCCCUUACUAUUUACAGACAUACCCCUCCUUCAUAUUGGCGAUCGCCGCCGCCGACGACCUGGCCCGAGCCAUCCAUGCCCUCCCCCUCUUCAAACCCUAGCACCGGCUAUCCACUCCUCCGCCCCGGCGCCGAGGACCGCGCGCGAUUCGCUUCAUCCGAGCCGAGGUACGCGCGCGCCUGCGCCUCGCCGAUCCGCCGCGCUGCUUUGAUCUAUGAUGCGUGCUUGGACGAGGUGUGACCUCCGGUGCUGUCGUGCCAGCGAUGACCGGCGGCGGCGGGUCGCGAUGGUGGGGGCACUCCCUGGUGCCCUAUGUAUAGCAGUGCAGACUUGUGCUCUUGCAUUCAAUCAGAAUCUUAAUUUGCUUCACUCGAAGUUGCAGACAUUUGUCUAGACCAAAAUUGCUACAUUGACUUUUUUCUCCAAUGCUGUUUUGUGAGAUUAUCAAAUGGCCGCAGCAAUUCCAUCUUAAGAUAGUUGGCUACUUGGAUUUACACAUCCUGUGCAUAUCCGCCUUACAGUCCGAACAGUUGCUGUAAAGAUUCCUCAUUAGAUCGGAUGCAAGUUCAGUUGCAGGCAUUGCAGUUAGAACUGCCGAAGUAUGUCCGGCACAGGAUUCUGAAUCAUGAUGUCUGUCACUAUUUCUGAAUUCUGGCGAAGCACUACUCUUUUCACGAAGACAGGCGUGACUUUUCCUACCGUCCUCGCUGCGAUCCAGGAAAGGUCGCCGAUCAUCCAAGAUGUCUGUUUUUGAGCCUUCUCGCUGGAUCACGGGUGGGCAAUACUGAUCCGUUCAGGGUCCUGAACAACUGCCGCCUGCCCAGCCCCUCCAUCAACGCCCGUGUUCUCGUCGAUAAGCUUGUGCUCUGCUGCCGCGUCCGCAGUGCCGGUAUCACUGACGCGCCAUUUCAGCUCCAGUGCCGCGCCAUCUGCCGGAAGGCGCCGUCUAACCGCUUCGCCGGCACGGAGAUGCAAAGAUUUCGUUGUUGCGAAUGGAAAACUUGCCAUUUCAAGCGUUCAGUCCUGCCAAACUAGCAUAGCAAGAGCCGAGCCACGGGCGCACCGCCAAAUCGCCAUCAGCCGGGCGCACCACACCCCCACGCGAACUGGAUCGCUCCGAGGCUCCAGUGCAUAUAUGUUGGUGGCCGUCUUGCAGGAAGGUCGAAGGAGACUGAUCGGUGAUCGCUGACGUUCUGGUGACUGAAGAUACGCGCAUAGGUUUCGAUCGUAGCAGAGUGGAAAUCGCGAAGCCAUGGCGUCCGCUUACGUACCCGCGCAAGGUGGCGCCGCCCAAAUUGCGACGAGCCCAGUGUGUGGUUGGGUUCUUUUUUUUUUUGGAGUUGGAGUUGUGUGCUUCACCGACAAGGCUGGGCUUUUGUUUGGUUCAAUUGACAGUUCAGCCUGAACGGAUCCCAGUCUGCACUCUGCAGCUACAGCAAAUGAACGAGCUGAUGAAAACAACCUCGCUGUAAUCCUCGCCCCGGCGUCUCGGUUCCUCAGCUGCUUUGUUGCUUCUUGCGAGACCAAGAGUUGCAGCAUUUGUCUUCACGUAGCUAUGGUCCGCGUUUCACGAUGCAUAGCUCGCCGAAACUACUGGAUGCUGCGGCCGGCUGACAAUUAUCAAAGCUUCAGGCUUCAGCUGUCAGGAUUCCUGUAAUUACGCACGAAAGGUGUCAGCGACAGCCGCGAUGCGCCCAUGGAAGGACAAGAACGUAUGUCUUCCUUGCUGCAGCUAGCCAUUUCCAGGCUCCUGGGUUGUUUGCUCCGAGGCUCCAGCAUAUAUGUUGGCGGCCGUCUAGUGCGUUGCAGGAAGAGGCUGACGUACUAGUUACUGAAGAUCAAUCAGCUCUUAGCAGAGUGGAACUCGCGAAGCCAUGGCGUCCGCCUACGAGCCGGCGCACGGUGACGCCGCCGGUACCGGCGGCGACGUGGACCGGGGCGAGGUGAGGCAGAGGAGCAGCAAGCCGCAGAAGAAGCCGGGCACGGACAUGGAGGCGGACGACGGCGACGAGGGGAGGGGCGCGGAGGCGGCGGGCGGCGGCUGCGAGGUCACGGACUCGAUCGAGUGGGUGUUCGAGUCGGAGCCCGUGCCGUCGUGGCGGGAGCAGGUGACGCCCCGGGCCCUGGCGGUGAGCCUCCUCCUGGCCGUCGUGUUCAGCCUCAUCGUCAUGAAGCUCAGCCUCACCACGGGCAUCAUCCCCUCGCUCAACGUCUCCGCCGGCCUCCUCGGCUUCUUCUUCCUCCGCGUCUGGACGGCGCCAGUCAAGAACCCCGGCAGGCGGCCGUUCACGCGCCAGGAGAAUACCGUCGUGCAGACAUGCGUCGUCGCCGCCUACGGCAUCGCCUUCAGCGGUAACGAUACACCGCCAGCUCUGCUCGGAUCAAAGCUUAAAUUUUGGCUUUCACUUUCCGCCUUUGUACGCUGGGAUCAGGUGGAUUUGGGAGCUACCUGUUUGGCAUGAGCGAGACGAUCGCCGCCCAGGCAGCUGAAGAAAACAACGCGGAUAACGUGAAGGAGCCCAGGCUGAGCUGGAUGAUCGGGUUCCUCUUCCUCGUCAGCUUCGUCGGUCUCUUCGCUCUCGUUCCCCUGAGGAAGGUGGCUUUGAAUCUAUUAGUAGCUAAUCUUCCGAUGCAAAUGUUUUCUUGGAUCACUGAUCGGAUCUGAAUCUGAGAAAGCGACUGAUUUUACUUCAGGUGAUGAUUGUUGACUACAAGCUCACGUAUCCGAGCGGCACCGCUACUGCGCACCUGAUCAACGGUUUCCAUACACCAGACGGCUCUGAACGCGCCGAGUAAGGCCCAGUUUAGUUCCUUUUAGUCCAUGGAUCCAUGAUUGGAUCCAUGAUUAAAGGUGGACUAAAGUGCUAUUUGGUUCUUGAACUAAAAUGAACUGAAGGCAUUAAAUGUUGUGGAAGGAUUACCCUUUUGCCUUUGCUGCCCCUGGCGCCAAACUGGUGCUCUAGAGCCAAAAACUUGUAACUUAACUAGAAGCCCCUAGAACAUCUUAAUCAUUGGACUUUCGCUCUUCUUAUUUGGAAUUGUGGUUGUGUCUAUAGUACUGCUUGUUCUCUUGCGACUGUUACUGCUCAAAGGACUUGCUAUGAAGCCUUCUUCAUCUGGUUCUUCACCCUCCUCAUCACCCAAGCCCCUCAUCACCCAAGCCUUGAGGUGUAGAACCUAGGAUGCAAGAAGCUUGUCCAUCCACUGUAACCCCUCCGAACAUCUCUAUAAGUUGUCCAACAUAUGUAGGCACAUGCAUGAACUUCUUGCAUUCCUGAAAACCACAAACAAGUGGUCAGUUACAUAACAAUAAUAAGAAAGACAUAGAGCAGUACAUUACAUAUAACAGAAAAGUAAUUCGGUUACCUUUAACUCCCUUUUCCACCAUGUUGUAGAUGUUAUGAUACUACCAUCAAGUCUUCAGCCUAGAGCGAUACUAGUUUUCAACAUAUUCCAGAACAAGUACAAAGUCUUGUAUUGUGUCCAUCUCUUCAGUUGCCUAACAGAAAGGUUGAGUCCAGUCUUAAAAGAGACCUUGUCUCAUGUUAUUAUAACUUUUACAUAACAUUGUUCCAUUAGAACAAUUCACUGCCCUUAUUUGCUCAACAGCAAGUUUACAGUAAAUAUGUGUGUUUUCCUCGAACCAAUCGGUCCUAUCAUGAAGAUUCUAUUAUAGAAAAUGAAGUGUCACACUAGGCAUUGCAAUGACAAUCUACUGGAGAAAAAUGGAAUGACAGAAUUAAAAUGGACCUAACAGGCAAUCAUCUACAAUUUCAUCUAUCAUAUCAUGACAUGGUCAAAAUGGAUUCACAUGAUCAUAGUGUUAUUGAUUCACAAGCAUUCACUGGCUUCACAAGUAUACACACAUGGAUUCAUAAGGAUACAUACCCAAUUACAGGAUACAAAGCCAAUUACCUGGGAGGAUGUUUCAGAGGCGUCAUCUUCUUCUUCAUCACCGGCGUCAACAUCCAGUGGAUGCUCAUAGCCGUGGUCUCCAGAGGAGGAUGCACCACGUCCUUCUCCCAAUCUUCCUCCCCCACGGCUCCCCCCUGAGCCCCCUCUGCCUCCACGCGUAGCGAUGGCUCCUCCAUGUCCUCCGCCCACUCUCCCUUCACCGGAUGAGGCGGACCUGGACCGGCCACCAUGCCCUCCGCCACCACGUGCUCCCACCCUGCCUCCAAGGGCCCGAGGAGGAAGAUGAUGCUCCAGUCCAACUUCCCCCCUAUAGGAACUCCUGGUACGAGCCGAGAUUGGGGAAGACGCCAGCCUCAGAGUUGAGGUCCAGGUAUUCCAUGUGGCGGCGGGGAGCGGAGAGGGAGGGGGCCAGCGGCGAGGCGAAAGGGCCGAAGUCAUCUUCGUCCACAUCGUCUGGGGGAGUGCGGAAGCUUCGGGUAGCGGAUGAAGACGCCUGAGACAGGAACUCCCGGUAGUUGUCCAUGGGUGCGGUGGUGGGGAGGGCCGGGUGCGGUGGUGGGGAGUGCCGGGACCGGCAGCGUGGGGACAAGAGGGAGGGGGCGGAUUCGGCGUGGGGAGGUUCAGAACUGGUGGAUCCGGCGUGUGGAGGUUCGGGGGUGGCGGAUCCGGUAGGGGGAAGGGAACGAGCGGUGGUGGCGGUCGGAACCGGGAAUGGAGGUGGCGAGCGGCGGGCGGCAUUCGAGAGGGAGCAAGCGAGGAGGAGACUGGUGGCAGGGGUGGGAGGGCGCGGCCGUCGGCAUCGGGGAGGAGCCAGCGGGCGGGCGGCGUCAUGGGGGAGGGAGCGAGCGGUGGAUGGGUGGCGUUCAAGGGGAGACUGGCGGCGGGGGUGGGAGGGCGCGGGGGGUGGGCAGUAAGGAGUGUCAACCAAAGAUUUUAGUCCAUUUCAGCUGGGGUAUGGUGGGCUAGAGGAUUUUAGUCACCUUUUAGUCCUGGUGUCUGGGACUUUAGUCCACCUAAAGUGCUCAUAUUAGUCCAGAUUUUAGUCCAAAAGUAACCAAACAUCCCUAGGUACUAGUACGGUGACAUAUGCUUAGACUGAUUAUUGCAGCCAUCAUCAGCUUCGUUCAACGAUCACAAUUUAUUGCAGGAGCCAAGUGCGCACACUGAUCAAGUGCUCCGUGGCCAGCUUCCUUUGGGGCUUCUUCCAGUGGUUCUACACGGCCGGGGAGGGCUGCGGAUUCGGGCAGUUCCCUGCACUAGGCCUGACAGCUUAUCAGAACCGGUAUCUGAAAAUUCACUGAAAACACGCCGCUGUUUUCCUUGUUUCUUUUUGUUUCGAAACCAGCGACUUACCCCUGUAUUCAGCUCCUUCGAUUCAGUUGUCACAUGAAACCUUUUUAGAUAUAAAGGAGUUGUCACAUGAAACUGAACUACUACACUAUCUUCGUCUUGUCAGGUUUUACUUUGAUUUCUCGACGACCUACAUCGGUGCAGGAAUGAUCUGCCCGCACAUUGUGAACAUCUCAGUCCUGCUCGGAGGAAUCCUAUCGUGGGGAGUCAUGUGGCCUCUGAUAGCCGAGAAAAGAGGGAGCUGGUUUGGUGCUGAACUUUCAGACAGUUCACUCGAAGGAAUGCAAGGCUAUCGGGUACUAGUGUGCCUAUUUGUCAUCAUCUGUUGAAUAUAUCCUGAUUCCUGAUCAUGUUAAAGAAAACAGGACUUCAAGGUGAUGUUCGAAUCUGAUUUAAGCUAGGCUAUCUGAACUGUUGCAGGUGUUCAUUGCCAUUGCCAUCAUACUAGGGGAUGGCCUCUACAAGUUCGCCAUGGUGCUCACGUGCACUGUCGCCGCGAUAGCAGCGUCAACCGAGAAGAGGAAAUUCUUCGGCGCGCUCCCCGUGAACAGCGACGACAGAACGAUCUCCGGCAGCGGCGCCGCUCCCGAGACGCCGCCCUCGUUCGACGACGCUCGCAGGACCGAGUUCUUCCUCAAGGACCAGAUCCCGACGCCGGUGGCGAUCGGUGGCUACGUCGCCGUCGCCGCCGUCUCCAUCAUCGCCGUGCCUCACCUCAUCUUCCCGCAGCUCAAGUGGCACCACGUCCUGGCGGUCUACCUGAUGGCGCCCGUGCUGGCCUUCUGCAACGCCUACGGGAUGGGCCUCACGGACUGGUCCCUCGCGUCCACGUACGGCAAGCUCGCCAUCUUCGUCUUCGGCGCGUGGGCCGGCAAGCCCCACAGCGGCGUGCUGGUGGGGCUCGCCGCGUGCGGCAUCAUGAUGAGCAUCGUGUCCACAGCGGCGGACCUGAUGCAGGACUUCAAGACCGGCUACAUGACGCUGGCCUCGCCGCGGUCCAUGUUCGUCAGCCAGGUGGUCGGCACCGCCAUGGGCUGCGUCGUCGGGCCCAGCGUCUUCUGGCUCUUCUACCGCGCGUUCGACGGCGUCGGCACGGAAAGGAGCGCGUACCCGGCGCCCUACGCCAUCGUGUACCGGAACAUGGCCAUCCUCGGCGUCGACGGCUUCUCCAAGCUGCCGAAGCACUGCCUCACGCUCUGCUGCGUCUUCUUCGUCGGAGCCAUCGCCCUCAACAUGGCCAAGGACCUGGCGCCGAGGAAGGUGGCGAGGCUCAUACCGCUCCCCAUGGCGAUGGGGAUCCCGUUCUACAUCGGCUCCUACUUCGCCAUCGACAUGUUCCUGGGGAGCGUGAUACUGUUCGCGUGGGAAUGGGUGGACAAGGCGCAGGCGGACGCGUUUGGCUAUGCCGUCGCGUCCGGAUUGAUCUGCGGCGACGGGGUGUGGACUCUGCCGCAGGCCGUGCUGUCGCUUUUCAACGUGAAGCCGCCGAUCUGCAUGAAGUUUCUGUCAAGAGGUGUUAAUUACAAAGUGGAUGACUUCAUUGGAACAUUGUCUUAGAAACUCGGGGAAGAAGCCACCUUUCCUGCUUUCCACCAGCACACACUCUGUUCUGCAUUGUCAUGCUCCAAGUAAGACUGAAACUGUUCUAGUACUACCCUGCAUUGAGUAUCAUGCUCUAAUUAAGACUGAAACUAUUAUACCCUGCAAUGUGAAGCCAGUAAAUGAAAAAUUGUUAUGGUGAACCACUUGGCAGUGGAAACGAUACUGUAGUACAGGAUUGUGCCAACAAGUAUUUGUUUCAACUUUCAACGAAAACUAGAUAUCUUCACAUUUAUUAUCUGAACUGGGUACAGUAAAUUGUGUUACCCUGUAUUUGAGUUAUGAACAUGACCGGUCAAUGGCAAAUCAUACCCAUUGAUGUUUAUUCUUUACAUUACAAAUGACUAUCUUAGUUUCACAGAUAUACCAUUCAGAUCAGAUAGCCAGUAGGUUACAAACCAUCAAUCUAUCUUCUGAUCGAAACAAGUGGUUGCAACUUUCAACUUGAAUUCCAGCAUCAUUUUGGCAGUAGUACCCGGCAUAUGGAAUGCACUGUAUGUAGCAUUGCAGGAUGAAGCUCCAUCUGUAAUUCAGUAAUGCACAGUACUAAUUCACUUAGGAGCUUUAUCCAGGGUUUUCUUUAGAUCAAGGAGUUUUGACCACCUUUGGCUGGAAAUCUUCUUUCUCUGGUUACUACCAUCUGUGAUUUUUGAAGAUAAACAUUAUUGACAAGGAUCUCUACAAUUUCAGCAUCACCAACUGAAAAUAAGUGCGCUUAAUUUGAGCAAGCGCUUACUUUGCCAUACGACCGUAGACUUUUCGCAGGCCUCUGAACAGGAGCUCUGCAUAUGAUGUAAACAUACUAAUCAGCAACAUAGCAGGUAGUUUCAUUCCAAAAGGAAAAGGGGUAACAUAGCAGGUAGUAAUCCUUAAUCAACAUGGCAUGCUGUAGGGUUGUUGUUAGGGCCAUUGUUUCACCUUAGCCGAUGCCGUUAAUCGUACGGUCUCUUGGAUUACCGAAUCAAGAUCAACUUCCUCUCCCGGUCUCACAUAGAUGACCUGUUAAAGGAUGAAAGAAGCUGUAACAAUAUCCUCAUACUGAUGUGUGGAUGCAGCUUCUGAAAUUGAGUAACAAAUACAGAAAUGUGAGUAGUGCUGCUUCAGAAAUCAGAACUCAUACCGACGGAUCACUAUCGCCGAGAUAAGGCAGCCCGCUCUGAUCUCUUCUAGAUGACGACAGAACCGUGAGAUUGAACUGCUCAUCGAUCUGCAGAGUGCAGAGCAAUAGCAUGUCAGCGGUUCUAUAAUGUGAUCUAAUGCUGCUCCGGGUUAUUGCAGUAUUUUAAAUCGUGUCAUAAAACGAAGAAGAUUUCAAGUGAGAGUACAGUACGUUUGUGCAGUAGGGCGAGGAGCAGGAAUCGCAAUUUUUUCUGAACGAUGUCAGGACUCGCCCUUUUAUUGACAUCCCAAACUGAGUGUGCUGAAAAUCAGGCAGCACAAAUAUCAGUUCCUCGUCUGCAUACCUGCUGGACCUCCCUCACAUCAUGUUCUUCAGACACAGACACUGCAGGCUUCAGGAGAGAAAGAGCACUCACGCCAUAAGCCAAGGCGAUUUACCUGCUGAACUACAAGGUGCACGAGCACAUCGGCGUCCCUCUGCCCGUCCUCGAUAAGAUCGUCCAGGUGCAGCUGCCGCAUCGUCAGGUCGAAGUCGCUGCUCCACUGAUCCCCUCCGCCGCGUGCCGUUCCCACGGAGACCAGGCUCUGCCGCGCGCCGCCGGUUCCCCUCCGGCGGCUCCUUCGGACGCCCUGGGAUCGAGUCAAGCAGCACGGAAUGAGCUGCGGCGGGAUCAUCCGAACAAACUGCCGUGGAUGGACGCUACGCUAUGCACCUGCGUGAUUUGCACUUUCUUCAAUGGCUCGUCGUCUUCAGUCGAGAGCUGCGCGUGAACGGCGAGGUUUCUGCAUCGGGCGCCGCGGCUUCGGCUGCCUGGGAGCGGCGUCGUGGCCGGAUUCGGCAGCAGCCUCAGCGCGUGGUUGCAAGCUCUCGCCAUGAUUUCCAGGCUUCGCAGUUCAGCAGAGCUGUGCCUAGGCUGCGCUGGCGCUCAAGGCCUGAAGCUGAAGAUACUACUGUUAGCUUAUCAGCUUAUCGUUUGCUCCACCGUGGCCUCAGUGACAUGUGGCGCUGGUUCAUCAGUAUGUUGGUUUUACGGCUUUACUCCUAGACGUAACGUAAGGCACUGAACUACACGGCGUCAUAAAUAUCAUUUUUGCGUCAAAAAUAUAACAAUGAUAAUACAUGGCAAAAUUAUUUUUCUAUAAAGGUACAAAUUGUUACAGCUUGAGUUUUACACCCAACUUCUCAACAAAAAAAAAAGAGUUUUGCACCCAACCAUCCGUUAUUACAAGUUUAGCCAGUAGUUGAACGAUAGUUGGGGGGAGAGAAGAUGGAAAACAAUUAAGCACAAAUCCUAUUAAUAAGCAUCCACCAAAAAGAUUCCAGAAGACCUCCACAAUGUGCAACACACCCGCUUCAUCUUUUCCAGGACACUCUCAGGCUAAUCUUUUCCUUCUUCUUCCUUCUCAUUUUCUUCUUUCUCCUCUUCAUGUCUCUCAAUUAAGUUAUAAUCUUCACAAUUAUCACACGGCCAUGUCUUUCUGCACUGUGCAAAGAGUACUUACUGCAAUCACUUAUGCACAAUGCUCUAUGCUCAUAUACGCAUCACUCUUACAGCCUUACCUGAUGAGUUCUGUCAAUAUCUUCACGAAAUCUUCUCUGACAUUAUACACAAAUUUCAGCUAUCACCACUAACAUAUCCUCUGCUGACCAUAAAAGGAAUAUCCCUUCUGCUGACUUUGUGUACAACCCUCAUUUGCUAUUGAAUUUCUUGAUUCAAAUUUUCAGAGUCGACUGUAACUGUGUUUGCUGCUGUACCAAGUCAUGGCUGACCAGCAAAACCAAAAUCUGAACAACAAAGAGGCCAGAACUGAAGAUAUCGUGUGAGGAUGAUAUGCAAGAAUUUAUCACCAUAUCAUUCUUCAGUCUUCACUUACAAUUGUCAAUCACUUAGAGCAUGCGGCUUGUUUGUGACAUCUGUUGCUGUCAUGAGAUACCGUUUGUUAUCUUUUGUUCAUCACUUCUUGUACCCUGGUAAUUCGACACAGACAAACCUGAAAGUUCACUUGGUUGCCUGAAUUUCAUACAUCUUCUGAAUUCUGAUCAUCAGUAACUCGGUACUGAAACUCUCGCUUGCACCAAAAGGAAGGCAUGGCAUUUGCGUAUGAGAAUUCUUUAGUAAAUCCGGCAUCUUAAAUCCAAACUACUAUCUGAAUAUUGACCCAUCACAUAUUUUAUUGCUCUCACAUAGCCUUAUAUCCUCAACUCUGAAUAUUUGAGGAACUUCUUCUGAACCUCUUUAGUCUUUACACAUGACCUCUGAAAUCUACAGCCCAAACUCACAUUUGCAAACCUGCACUUGGCGAGUAGUUCAUAGGAGAAACAUUUUAUCCAAGUAUCCAACGAAAUACUAGCAUCUCAUCCAAGGAUGAAACCUGACAAUCUGUUGCAGUAGGGGUUUGUGAUCAGGACAGCUUAGUUUGCUUCAGAAAUAGUGAUUAAGUUUACCGCGCGACAAUGCAUUGCCCGGUCGCCGCCUCGUCGUUCGUCGAGCUACGCCGGUUUCAAUGCGCCAUCACGUUCUCCAGGCGUCGCUUGCUCUCGACGCGCCGGCCUUGGGCAGCAUCUCAUCUCCCAACGAGGCAGGGCCGUUAGCGGUGGCGCAUGAGGGGGUCAGAUGGCGGCGGCUAGGCGCGUGAAUUUCGAUUGGGGCUGGCGGCGUGUCAAGGGAUGUAUGACGGCGCGGCGCGGGGGUCGCGGAGGAACGCAGUGGCGGCGCGGGGGUUGCGGAGGACGGCGGUGGCGGCGCAACCUCGUCAGCGCCUCAGAGGCUGACCGCCAAUAUUUGCAAAAUACACCCCGGUUUUGGAUCGCGAUAAUCGCCAUCCGAUUAUUCACAUAUAAAUAUAUAAUCCUCUCAUUUAGAUCGCGAUUAAUAGUCGCGACCGAAUAUUUUAAAAAAGAAAUCGGUAAUUUGCACGGGACCUCCAAAUUUACUAAUAGACCUUGAUAUUUUUCAAAACAACCCUCUAAUUCGGAUCGGGUCGUCCCGUCCGGCAACAGCCGCCGUUGGCGGCCUGCCGCCAUCCUCGCUACCUGAAUCCGCAAUCCCCAUUCACCCUCCAUCCAGCGGUUUGCCUCCCUUCGAGCGGAGAGGAGCGGAGCGAGCAGCUGCGAGGUUUGAUUUCACAUCGGGAGCCUGAGCAUGACAACGGUCCGUAGCUGUUUGGCAUGCGAUCUGACUGAUAUGGUUGCACAAAGCUAAAUUUCAAUUCGACCGUCACGUCUCGACCACACGGUCGAUCUGAUCACCAGGCACCAGCUGCCCACCCACCUGCACAUGGUAGUGCCCGCUGGUCCUUUAUCUCUUCAGCAAGCAAAAAAGAACUCCCGUUCUCUUCUCCCUCUCCGUCAGCCCCACUGGAGCGGCGGCCCGAUGGAUGGGAGAGCGCGGCCAUGCGGGUCGACUCCGCUCCGGAUCAGCAACAUGUGGCACAGCGUGGCGAGCGGCGAGCUCCCGUCGGGAGUCAGUUGCGCGAGGAGCGAGCUCCCCGUGGAAGGUCCCCGUCGGGAGCCGGCGGCGACAGCACCAAGCUACCCGUCAGGAGCCAGCGGCACAAGGGCGAGCUCCCCAUCGGGAGCGGCCCAACCUGUGCGAGAGCCGGUGAAUCUGCUCAUCUGGAGCAACAGAUUUUUUUUUCCUUUUUCCCUAUCCCCUAGUUUUUGUCCUAAAUUUUGCUUCAAAUAUUUUCUUCACAAUUUUUUCCUAGAGUUUGCUUCAAAAUUUUUGUUGCACAACUUUACUUCAAAAUAUUUGUAAGUUUGGUUGCAAAUUUUUGUUGAAAACAUUUUGUUAAAGUUUUUUAAUAACUUUUUCUCCGUAAACUUUUUUAAUAACUUUUCUUAAUUUUUUUGCAAAUUUUGCUACUACAAAAGUUUCAUUUGCAAAUCUGUACGUCUGAAUAAAUUUAUUCAAAAUAUUUGUCAUAAAUUUUGUAUGUAAAAGUUUGUAUAUAUUUUUCUUGUGAUUUUAAAAAUAAAAUGACGACCUGUGUUGCAUGUAGGCCUGGGGCAACGCGUCGGUUCGGACCGUUUGUCGGAGAUCGACUUCCUCACAGGCGAUCGUAAACUUGCGGUGACCAUGUGGUUGCUACUCCAUACCUCUAUAUUUAGGCUGAAACUGCUUGGUCUGGGAAUUGGAAUAAUUGACUUUUUUUGUUGCUGGAAUUUCAUCUAGGGUAGGCGAGAUAGCAAACAUGGAGUGCGACUCUGUUUGGUGUUGUACUGCUGUACCAACUCCGGCGAUGAGCCGGUGCCCGGUGAUCGACCAUGGCUGCUUCGAGUUGCUGCUGCGGCAUGGCAAGCGAGGUAGGAGGAGGUGCAGCGAACGGCGUCAGUGGGGCACGGGCGGGUGGCCGAGAUUCAGGGUGAGCCGCAUGGAUUGACCUGGUGUGCAUGCCGCCUCACGCCGGCCAGUGCAGGGGAAGCCGUGAGCCCACUCGUGAUGGUAGCUUUUUCAGGAAUUCCGAGUUGAGCAUCAAUGUGGCAGUAAGCAGAGUUUCAAAUAGAACUAGGGAGUUGUUGUUGGCUGGUCUCACAAAAUGCUGCAACUGAUUGAAUGACAUCUCAAAAAUGAGUCCCAGUGCAAGCACAGCAACUGAACAAAUUCCUGAAAACUGCCUACCCUCACAGAUUGAGAAAACACAGCUACAGAGUGCCUUUUUUCUAACCAGAAUUUGAAAAUUUGUGUGGGAAAUUAGCUCGUGUAAUUUAGGCUGAAACUGCUUGGUUGGGGAGCUGGAAUAAUUCACUUAUUUUGUUGCUGGAAUUUCAUUCGGAGUAUACAAGAUAGCAGACAUGCAAUGCGACUCUGUUUGGUGCUCUACUGCUGUACCAACACCGCGAUGAGCCGGUGACCGACCAUGGUUGCUCCGAGUUGCUGCUGCGGCAUGGCAAGCGAGGUAAGAGGAGGUGCAGCGCAUGGCAUCAGUGGGGUGCGGGCGCGUGGCCAAGGUCCAGGGCGAGUCGCGUGGAUCAGGGCCAGUGUGCAUGCCGGCUAGUGCAGGGGAAGCCAUGAGUCCACUGCCAUUGCAAGUCGAAGUCCUUGUGUUUGUGUAAGCCGUGAUGGUAGCUUUUUCAGGAAUUCCAAGUUGGGAAUCAACGUGGCAGUAAGCAGAGUUUCAGAUAGAACAGUUGUGUUAGCUGGCCUCACAGAUUGCUGCAACUGAUUGAGUGACAUGUGAAAAAUGAGUCCCAGUAUAAGCACAGCAACUGAAUAAUUUUUGAAAACUGCCUACCCUCACAGAUUCAGAAAACACAACUGCAGAGUUCCUUUCUUCUAACCUGUGUGUGGAAAUUAGCUCGUGCGGAGCACUGCAAAUCAGAAACACAUGUUGCUGUAAUGCUCAGUUGUACUCAGGGAAUUUGGUAUAGACAAACCUGAAGGUUAAGGAAUGGGCAUGCGCUUAUGAGAAUUCUUUAGGAUCUCCAGCAUCUCUAAUCUAAAUUAGGACGAGCUGACUGUUGAUCACACGCAUCACAAUUUUUUCUGCUCCCAUAUCCUCAACUAUAUAAGGAACUUCUUCACACGCAUCACCAUCCAAAUUAUUUACAAAUAGAUCCCGGAUUGCAAAGUGCUCCCUGGUUCGGAUCGGCAAGGACUGGAUAGACCGUCGCCAUCCUCAGCGAGGAUUCCUCGUCACGAAAUCAUCAUUCUCCGUUCGAUCCCCUCCGAUCGGUCCUCCGAUCCGCUGCCUAGAGCAAGGACUAACAGGAAAAGAAAUAAGAUGUGUGGUUCUUCGCCCUCCAAGCGGAGCUGAGCGAGCAGCAGCGAGUUUUUUUAGUUGGAAUGUUGCGAUCCAUUAAUCACGUCCAUCCAAAUCGAUGGGACAGUAAAACAGUUAGACUCGAAUACAUGGUCUAAAAAUGCAUUUCUGUCCAUAUACAUCAAUCUAUACCUACUAUUAAGUGAGAAACGUUUCUGCCCACUUUUUUUAGUUCGGUCCAACUUCUAUCAUUGACGGAAAAAGUUCAGUCCAACUUCUAUCAUUGACGGGUGGACCCUUCCAGAUGAAUUAUCGGUCCGCUGCCUCCCGUGCCCGUCGCUGCCCCUCCUCUCUUUUUCAUCCAUCCUGACACUCUCCCUCUCUCGUCCGCCGCCUGUUGCUCUGUUAGCCGUGCACCGUUGCUCCACCCCGUGCCGGCAACCUAGCAUCGGCCACCCCUGUCUCCGGCUGCGCCAGGGCUGGCACCUGCAACCUCGCCAGCUUGCCCUGUCUUUAGCCCGCGCCGGUGACCUAGCACCGGACACCCCUGCCUCAGCCAGGGACCAGGUGGCCUCGCCUCGCCUAGCCUCACGCUAGCCGGGCGAGCCCCACCGUCAUGUCCAUCCGCCUCCCUAUGUACGAGCAUCUUGAUGGGGGUGGCGGUGGCCUCGAUGCGGCCUGAGGAGGUGGUGGUGGCCUCGAUCCUCCCUGUGUAGGAAGUUGGAGGGGGGAAUUGUUGAUCUGGUGCUUUAAUUUGGAGGAAGGAUGGAGUAGCUAUCGAUCUGCAGCUCUGCUCAUGGAGAAAAUGGAAGGAGCAGACAAAAAUUGCAGGUGGCUUGCAUCUCGCAAGGAAGAAGAAAGAGGGGAAAAAAGAGAUAUGGGCGUAUAUGGGCGGUCUCACACAGCUUUUGCCCCAACAACGAAGUAUCGGUAAUGAGAUAUUAGGAAUCUGCGGAAGGAGAUAAAGAAUACGUGGAAACUAGAAUGUAAAUAAUAAUAAAAUAUAUGUAGAUUCAGGCAAAGAAAAAAAAUCACAUGUUAAGCACGUUUCGCCAUAGCAACGCACGGACAUCUUGCUAGUAAAUUAGAAAUGUAGUCUUCUCGGGACGGAGGGAGUAUCCAUUUCUACAACUAAGCGCCAUAGCAGCUAAAGUAUGAGCAGCCAUAUUACACUCCGGGGUAGAAAGUUACAUGACAUACAUUAAAAUCAGAGUACGAUUUGGAUCUAAUUUCUCUGAACGUAGUGCCCAGGCCCCAGAUAUUUGUCGGCCUAUCAAUCCCUGGCCAAGCCGGGGCAACGAUGGAUGGUACGACACAAUUCAACAGACCAGCAGGCUGUACUGUCCAGACGGUACUUUUGUUUUUAGAUAUAAAACUCAGGCCGGUACUGGACGGCCCAGCCCGACGUAAGUAGUACAUAACAGUCGAGAGCACGCGGCGUCUCAAGUCUAAUCCCGAGCCCAAGUCGUGUCAAUCAAAACGGUGGGAAAGCUGGAUCGUACGGCCACGAUCUAGAUUGGGAUUCCUGACCGCUCCUGCCUCCUGGCGGAUGCCGGCUGCUGCGCUGCCUGAUGCCUGGCAACAAAUCUCGCUUCUGGCCGGUUGGCUUGGCGAGCACAUGGAAAACGCCAGGCACCCUGGAAUCCCUCGCCGUCGUGUCAGCGCAGCAGCUGGCCGCAUCAGGCAUCACGCAUUCUAUCCUAGUAGUCCGCGGCGAGCACUAGCGGCCGGCCGUCGCUGCCUUUUGGCGCCCGGGUGCUCUCAGGUCUCGGUCAGUCGGUCACAACUCACAACUUCACAAAUAAACAAGUGCGGAAGUGAAGUGCCCCUUCAAUCUAUUCGUAGUCCUUUACGCUUUUCGGCCUUCAGUAACAGCAGGAUACACCCCACUCCGGCGAUUCUUUUUUCUUGAGCAUUUGGACGCGUCGGCCAAUCCCCGUCUGAUCUUUCUCCCGGAGGAUAUGGGAUCAUCAUCAUCAUGCCCUAGCGAGUUACGUGCACGAGCCAUGUCUAUUUGUUGCCAGCACUUGUAAAAAGCGUGUGCAUGCGUAGAAAUCACGUUGCGACGGCGCCCAGGUUCCAGUUUCAACCACGUCGGAACGCCGGCCGCUGCUGCGAUCCUAUCCUGCGCGCACUGGACGAGCACUGUAGUUUUCACGGCCGGUUCUUUCCGAUCUGCGUGCGUGGAGGAGUGGAAAUGCACGCACCUUCCGGCCAUCGGCGGCCGAACUUUCUGUCGGGGAGGCGACGGGUGAACGAAUCCGGUUGCGGCGAUACACGUUGCAGGAACCAGGCACUCCGGAUGUGGAGGGAGCGAAUUGAGAGUUUUGCAUUGGCUCGUGUUCUUUCAGGGAUGAUGACAGUAUAUUUGCAUCAGCAGCGGGUGCUCCCUCCUGACCUCGUCCACGAACGACCCGACGUUCCGGUCCGCCGCGCGCCUCGCCUCCGCCGCCACGACGCGCUCCCUCAGCGCCCGGACCUUCUCCCGCAGGCGCCUCCCCUCGCCGGCGUCGUCCAUGACCCUCCCGAUGCUGCCGCUCACGUCGCCCCACGUCAUGCCGCCGGCUAGCCUGAGCCCGAUCCCCCACGGCCCCGUGAUGUAGGCGCAGUUGAUGAACUGGUCCCCGGACACCGGGUAGCACAGCAGGGGCACCCCGUGCCGGAUCGCCUCCAGCGUGGAGUUCCAGCCGCAGUGGGUGAGGUAGCACCCGACGGCGCCGUGCCGGAGCACGUCCUCCUGCGGCGCCCAGUCCACCAACUUGCCCCGCCCGGCAGCGGCCACGCGCUCCGCGAAGUCCUCGGGGAGCCCCGCGCGCCAGGAGGGGUCGCGCUUGAGCGCCCACAGGAAGGGCCGGCCCGUGGCCUCCAGCCCCAGCGCCAGCUCCCGGACCUUGUCCGGGCCGAUCGACCCCACCCAGCUGCCGAACGAGACGUACACCACCGACCCCGCGCGCUGCGCGUCCAGCCACCCGAUGCACGUCGAGUCCGCGCGCCACAUGCUGGGGUUCUUGCCGUCGUUGUUGUUGCCGCACGGCGGCUGCUGCUGCUGAUGCUUCGUGCCGCCGGGAAGCAGCGCCGGCCCAACCGGGAGGACCUGCGGACUCUGCCGCGCGAGGCGGUGCACGUCAUCACCGGCGGCAACGCCGGCCUCGCCCGGGAAGGAGUUGACGAGGACCCAGCGGAAGCUCCUGGCGCGGUGCAAGUUCUGGAGCCAGAAGGCGAACCGCGACCUCUGGGUGGCCGAGUCGCCGACGAGCCACGGUAGCUCCCCGGCGCGGAGCUCCACCUGCGCAGGGAGGAUCUUGAGGCCCCGGAUCAUCUGGUCGCCGGCGUCCUGCUGCUCAUCGUCGCCGUCGGACGAGUCGCUCGACGAGAUCGGUGUACCUUCACGUCACGAAAAGAAAAAUAACACGAGCUGUUAGUUCAGGGGAACAGAAAAGACGGCGAUAAAGUACAUGGUAACCGUGCAAGGUUCCUAGGUACUAUGCGACGACGUGCUCGAUCGCGACGAUCUCCGCGCGUGUCGCGAGGCACCGGCCGCCGCCCCGUCACCUUCGGUUCCGCACCGCACGUGUUCAGUUCUGGGCCAAUCGCAUGGGGAGUUGAGGACCAGAACGUGUUCAGCUGUCUUCUUCCGUCCGUCCAGAAUCCAGAUGCCCGAGUGCUUGCAAUUCCCGGACUGAUACUGUGCCAUUAGACUACUACUAGUAGGAAGAUUAUACAUCUAGAACUCCGAUCAUGUCGUGCAGAUCAGGGUCAGGACCACACUUUGCUCCUCGUGGCACGGCUAACUCCGAUCCGUUUCUUUCUGCAUCAUGGCCACCGAAGCACCGAGAAUCGUGCUGGCUCCAAAGGGGACGUGGAGAUACUCCUAUUUGGCAUCCUCUUUUUUGUCUGUGACCGAAUUAUUCUUCGCUAUCCACUCCGAGACGCAUUGCAGGAGAUCGUGCCGGAACAGAAUAUUUUUCAAAAUCUCAGCACAAAAAGGAGUACUUUUAAAAACGAAAAAAAAUCAUGCUGGACCUGUAAGGAAAGGUAGGAGCACAUCACGUGUCGACUAGCGCUGAGGGAGAUGAGUCAACUUUUUUGCGAGAUGUGGAUGUGAUCCUGCUGGGCCAAAACUGAGCCGGAGGCGCACCUCAAAAAUGGCAGAAAAGAACGUGGGUCUGGCCCAGCCAGUCAGAUGGAUGGAUGGACCGGAUCGGAUCCAGAGUGAGUGGUUGGGUGGAUGGGGCCGACGCCAAAAGGAUGACGGAAAAGGAAAGAUCGGGCCCCUCACUCUCUCGCCCGGCUCGGCUGUCGCAAGUCGCAACGCCUGAGCUCAAGGAGGAGAAGGUAACAAGCUUGGCAAGUCUAAUCAUGCGACGUGCCACUCCACAUCAGCUUUAAAGCUAGCGAGUGAUUGGGUGAGCAGCUGGCAGGAACAUUGUAAGCGUACGAGUGGUACUUCGUACUUCUAUUGUCACAUGCUCCAGUUGGACGUACCACUCAAAACUUUUUGAAAUUUUAUAAGACGAAAAAAGUGCUACCCUCCUAUCUGAGUUUAAAAUACUGGGUAUAGGACAAGUUAAUUAGUUUGUUUUUCUUUGCUCCUUUAACAAGAUAAUAAGUCUACUUUUGAACUAAUUAGCUUGCCCUAGGCAUAGAUUUUAAAAAGAGUUAGACUGUUAUGGUGUGUGUGUGUAAUGACAUGCAUUUGCUCACAUUAUUCUUUUGCUAACAUUACUCUCUAGAACAAAACUGCAGGCUCGCAUGCCUAGGGUUAACAAAGAAGCAAACCUUUUUUUUAGAAAAAGACAGACUUGCUUUGUUCAUUUUUGUUAAAGCUUAUACCAAUUUCCACUUGUUCCGUGGUGGAUAUACACUUCUGAUUCUUUAUAUUACUUUGCGAUGUCGGGCAGAUUAUGUUAGUGAGUGGAAAUCCCAGGUGAAAAUAAAGGAAAGAGGGAACACUUUUAUCCGAGGAAAGUUAUGUGGCAACUACCUGAGAUGGAGUUUGCGCAAAAAUUAAAACGAGGGGGUUUCUCCUAGACAAUGCAUGGAAAACUUUCUACGUUCCUAGGAAGCCUUUGUAUAGCACUAGUCGGAGCCUAUGAUUCAGGAUCGUGCCUCCCGGCGGCACAAUCCAGAUUCCAGAAGGAUCUCAACCAACAGUUGUUUCAUGCAUGAAGCUAGCCCUGUGGUCAGCUCGCUACCAUGCCAAGCAUAUGCACAGGUGAACGAAGGAACUCAAUUGUUUUUAGUUUCCUCCAUCGCAAGGUCAACUCUAGCAUGUUACAUGUCCGGUGCAACUCGGAACAAGGAAGCUGUAAGGCGCGUGCGUGCGGGACUGCGAGUAUGCGUGUUAUUAUAUCGUACCAGAUUCCGAGAUGAGGCCCUUCUCGAUGAGCUCCGGGAUGGCGGCGACGAUGCGGUAGCUGGCGAGCAUCGCGGGCCAGAACCCGACCGCCGGGACGCCGCAGCGCGCGGCGACGGGGACGGCCCACGACGCGAGCACGUCGACGACGACGCAGGCGACCGGCGGCCUGCUGCGGGGCGGCGAAGUGAGCAUGCGCUCCAGGUGCGCGGGCAUGUGGUGCUCCAUGGCGUGCACGAUGACGGCGAACCCCGGGGCGGCGUCGGAGCCGGAGCCGUCCUCGGCGAUGCCGCUGGGGAUGGACGCGAGCGCCACCCCGCCGCAGGCUGCUGCCGCGCAGCCGCCGCCGGAGAUGCGGCGGUGGAUGAAGUCCGGGACGGCGACGGUGGCCGCGACGCCGUGCGCGGCGAGCGCGCGCGCCAGCUGCAGCAUGGGCGUGACGUGGCCCUGCGCCGGGAACGGCACGAGCAGCACGCCCGGGUGGGUAGUCACCGCCUCGGCCCCCAUGCGGACGUCUCGAUCGAUCAGCCUCGUCCGUGAACGAAGGCUACGGCCUACGGAGGGGGGUUUCCUUGGCUGGCUUCACCGUGGUCUGGGAUUGGCGAGGCACCGAGCGCAGCGUGCGCGAGGUUUUAUAGCCGCCGCGCCACUGUCCGGGUGGCUCGCUCACCUUCCCGUUUGUUUAGUGGGGGCUUAGGGGCUUUCCAACCUCUUCUAUCCGAGGCAGGUUACGCUAACGAGUUGGCGUACAUCUCAUCAGGUAUGGUAGUGUGUCGUAUAGCGCGGCCUCCCGCCCGUGUCGCCCCCAGGUGAUUCGAAGAUUCGUCGCGGGCUUUUUUGGUGCAUAGAAAAUAAAACGAAACCAAGCAUAAGGAACUCGGUCGCGCUCGCGUUCCCUCCCGUGUCCGGCGGCGACCACGGCGAGCGCUAGCUAGUCGCCGGGCGGUAGCUCGCAGCACGCGCGCGCGUGGCUCGCCGAGGGCGUGAAGCAUGUGUGCCGACUGCCGAGUUGUAAAUUACUGCUCCUUUAUAUUAGAAAUUUAGGCAUUUUAGGGUAUAUAUUAAUUCCGAAUAUUAUUAAGUAAAUCACGAUUAUUGUGAUUGGCCCAGAACAUGUGCAAGUGUUCAUGUUUAACAUAAUUUUAAUCAUGAACAGAAUGGAACAAAAGAACCAGAAAAGGUUCGGAGUGUACUGAGGGGUAGGACCAUUGUCGGAGGCAAUGGAUGUGUCGUUCCCAGAACUGGAAGUAUCAAACAUUGUGCUUUUCUGAAACUUCGGUUCAAGCUGUUCGAUAUAGUCGAUCAAAGUCGAUGCAGUGAUGAUUUGGUGCAGCGCAGUCCCUCGAACGGCCUUCAAGAAGUAGUAGGAUAUAGUCGUUCGCAGCGAGCAGUCGCGCAGAAGAUGCGCUCUCUCGCAAGCUUUGUGCGCGCAAAGGCUUGCGACGGAGAUGCGAAAGUAGCAACGGGCAACAGCAAAAAGGGAAGAGAGAGUGGUUUAUCUCAUGUGCGUCAAUCAGGGGGUGUUUGGAUCCUCAGGCUUUAGUUCCUGUCACAUCGAAUGUUUAGCUACUAAUUAUGAGUAUUAAACAUAGACUAUUUACAAAACCAAUUGCAGGCUAAAAAUCUAUUAAGCCUAAUUAGUCCAUGAUUUGAUAAUGUGUUGCUACAGUAAUCAUUUGCUAAUGAUGGAUUAAUUAGGCUUAAUAGAUUCAUCUCGUCGUUUAGCCUCCAUUUGUGUAAUUAGUUUUAUAAUUAACUCAUAUUUAGUCAUUCUCAUUAGCCUCCGAAUAUUCGAUGUGACACGGACUAAACUUUAGCUCCAGAAUCCAAACACCCCCUCAGAGUAUGAGCAUCUUUUUAUAGACAUAAUUCAACAAACUUGGACACGGUUACAGGUGAUUGAUAGCCAUUAACCAGCCAUCACUUACCAGUAACCUCCAACCGUUACUAGUCAUUGGUGACACAACAUCAAUUAUUAGUUAUCAACUCGUGAUUAAAAACUGCAAAACCGAACCAAAUUCAGCCCACACAUCACUGCGCCGCGCUGCAGCACGGCGAGCGAGCGUGCGUGUGUGGCACCCUUUCUCUCUUCCUCAACUUCUCAAUUAGUGGACAGAUAGUCCACCUAUUUAAGUGGGUUAAGAUACUCCUUAAUCUAUUUAUGAUUAACCAAUUUAACCACCUAGCAUUAAUCGUGGGUGUUGAGAUUAAAUGAAAUAUAUAGAUCUAGCUCAAAUAUUCCGACACUCGAUUAUAUAUGUCAGCUGUUUGAAUCGGACAUGGCUUGAUUCUUACUCAAAGAAAUUCGUACUCGUCUUGUCGUGGAAAUUGCACGGACGCGGGGAUGUUAGGUGGUCAGAAGCACCUGGCCUGACCCCCGGCGGCAGAAAUCGAUCAAAAUACAAACACUGCCUGUUACUGCCUAUUUACGCAAGUGUACAGAUCCCCGGGCGUGUUCGGAUCCACGGUUUGCAGUGUUCAUGCUGUGUUAGUACUGGCCAAUCACGUCUCUGUUCUGCAUUUACGCGGGGCAAUGCAAUUUGCCACGAGGAGGACAGGCGGCUGAUCAUGACCAGCGGGGAGCUCGAUGUGUCAACUUAAAAUAGCAAGCCACUACAUGCGUGCCAUAUCGAAAGGACCACAGGCCCGGUGGAAUUGCGCUCGUGCCAGACUGCAAGAUGAGCCUUUCCGCUUUGCCGAUGGGACCGGGGUACGGGAAAUUGCCAGAUUAUGUGGUCGGAGCUCGGUCUGUGCUCCCUUGCUCAGGCGCCACUGUGUGCCGACCACCGCAGCGUCAUCCCCAUGCAAAAUCCUGCUUAUAUAACUCGCUUUUUGCCGUAGGUCUGGCUGUAGGCUAGCUCUGUGCAGUGUACGUAGCCUUUGGAGAAAAAGAUCGAAACGUGCUUAAACGAAGCGGACUUUUCGAAGGGAGUGUAUGUGGACGUAUGGUUAAGCAUAUGCAUCGAGACAGAUAAGGCUGUUUCCGGAAAGGAAAAGGGGCUAGCGCGACAGAUAAGGCCGUGCAGCGUGCAUGAAAACACACGUGUGAACAUGACCGGCUCACAGUCUCGGUGAACUGGAUGCUAGCACGCUGCUGUCAUACUCAUACGGUUGAGUUCAAACCCUCACUUUCGCAUCCGUAAGGAAUAUACUGUGUCAGGUUUCUUCUUAUUAAAGCUCUGAGCAUGUGUACAUGUCGUCAGGAAGUUCUUUUCUCCUUUCACGGACGUGUCCGUGUCCAAAUCCGGUCAUGAAACGAGGCGAUAUGUGCUGAUCACUACUAUUGCACGCUGUACUACACUACUAGCACCGGCGACGUAGCGCGAACACAAACACCGGAAAAAUUAACAGGCGAGAGCCGACUAGUUAAGGCGGACGGCUAUGUUCAUCCGUUUGAUGAAUUGAUUGGACGAUCGUUCUCGUUCACUAGCUUAAAAGACGUCACUGAAACUGCUAGACAAAUGUAAAGCGUUCUCUUCCAUAAAAUGGCAAUCGGGCAGAGAUGCGCCUGCCCAGUGCCCACUUUCAUCGUGCUGCUACAUUUGCAGCAGUGGGCAUUGGCCCGUUGCUGUGCAGCAGUACAAAGGCCCUUUUUCCUCAAGGAGAGAACCAUAUUGGCCACUUGUUAGCAAACACGUACAUUACAAGUGUGCGCAGACAUCCUUGAGCCUAUGGAGCUGAGAAAUAUAUUUGCCUAAGGUGUUUGGUUCACGCCACACUUAGCAAACUCUAUCCCAUAUGCAAUACACUUUAUUUACAAUACCUUACAUAAGGCAUGGUUAAUAAAUUGCUAGCCACACCUUAAUUGAAGUACGGCAAAAGUUAUGGUAACUAGCCAAACACGGUGGGUCUACUAGUUCUGUAUCCCUCAACUUGGGAGCCGCCAAGACCACAACUCUCAACUUUUGAAAGUGUCGCGAUACACUGUAUUCACCCACAUCAUAGCGAUUUUGACUGAUGUGGCAAGGUUUUUGAGCACACAUCGUGAUAUGGACAUCUAACUUCAGCGUUAGUGAGCACUCAUCACACCAUGAAUGUCAUGUCAUGAUCGAUGUAGAAUUGUAUAUGGAAACCCUCUUUCAUCUCUGCCUCAUCUUUUUAAUGCCAUAUAUAUCAACAAUUUAUUCGGCAAAAACUAUUUGAUUGAAGAUCAUUUAUCACUUGUUCACUGUUCACAUGCCUCGUCCAACAAGUUUGGCCGGCCCAGAUCCGACUGGACCAACCAACCUCGCUCGAAGCGACCGAGAGAGGCCCAAUCUCUUUUCCCAAAGGGCCCAAUCUUCUCCUAUGGGCCCAACCUCUCUAGCGAGGGAACCGAAAAGGCCCAGCCCACGAAAAAACCCAAACCAAUGACAGCCUCACCCACCUCCCUCAUUCCGGUCAUUCUCUCCCCCUACCUUGCGGUUGCGGUUAUGUGAAUAGUGCCCACAAGAUUUGAUCCUCCACCGUCUCACUCUCACCUUGUCCUCCCCCCGCUCCCCACCAUGGCUCCUUUUGGAUCCCACCCUACCCCACCAUGCGCCCCCCUGGCCCCACUCGUCUGACUCUACCCCCUACCUUCCCGUCCCGGCCUCGCCUGGUCACCGCCGCGCCCAAACCCAAUCCCCUAAACCCUAGCGCCGCCGCCGCCAUGCUGCGCCGCCUCGCCGCCGUCGCCCCGCGGGCCUUCUCCUCCUCCUCCUCCCCGCACGCGCCGCCUGCGGCGGCGUCGGGCUACACCCCGCGCCGCGAGUACGGGCUGGUGCCCAUGGUGAUCGAGCACACCUCCCGCGGGGAGCGCGCCUACGACAUCUUCUCCCGCCUGCUCAAGGAGCGCAUCGUCUGCAUCCACGGCCCCAUCUCCGACGACACGGCCUCGCUCGUCGUCGCGCAGUUGCUCUUCCUCGAGUCCGAGAACCCCGCCAAGCCCGUCCACCUCUACAUCAAUUCCCCCGGCGGGGUCGUCACCGCGGGCCUCGCCAUCUACGACACCAUGCAGUACAUCCGCUCCCCCGUCACCACGCUCUGCAUCGGCCAGGCGGCCUCCAUGGCCUCGCUCCUCCUCGCCGCGGGGGCGCGCGGGGAGAGGCGGGCGCUGCCGAACGCGCGGGUCAUGAUCCACCAGCCCUCCGGCGGCGCGUCGGGGCAGGCCUCCGACAUCGCCAUCCACGCCAAGGAGAUCCUCAAGGUGCGGGACCGGCUCAACAAGAUCUACGCAAAGCACACGGGACAGGCCAUCGACCGCAUCGAGCAGUGCAUGGAGCGGGACAUGUUCAUGGACCCGGAGGAGGCGCACGAUUGGGGGCUCAUCGACGAGGUCAUCGAGCACCGCCCUGUCUCGCUUGUGUCUGAUGCUGUUGGCGGUGAUCCGCCGAACCUCGGUGGAGGCGGAAAUGGGGAGAAUAAGGGAGCGGAGGAGCCAUCAUCGGCGUGAUGGAUUGUCACAAGGUGCAAUCCUUUUUGCGUUUCCUUUAGCUGUCCUGUUGGAUUUAAGGUUUCAUUCAUACAUGAGGUGAAUAACUUAAUUUCCUGGCUGCUUGGGCUUAUCCAGUAGCUACACUGUUGUUUUGCUACUUGGAUUAAUCUGUUGCUGAUAACGAAUGCUACGUGGUUUUAGCCUUCAUCUGUGGAAAACUGAUGAUAGAUGCAUUGUUAAAGGCUUAAAGUGUUUGUCUGGAUUCAAUCAGUUCUGUUUAUAAAGGAUAAAAAUCAGUAAUCACAACCUCGCAACAUUGGGUUGCAUUUUGUACUGGCCCUGAUUUGGAGUACCAUUUCAUGAUUAUCAUUGCACAUUCCCUGGUGUUUCUAGUUGUGUUUUGACUUUGAGCAUUAUGCGAUGUUAGUAUUUCAAGUAAGUUCUAUAAUUCAUCAGUACUCUGUCAUCCUCUAGAGUUUUUCUUCCACUUGUUUGGUGCAUGUCACUUGAUAGUUUUUUUUUUGAGGGGCUGAGUUCAAAUACAGUUUUCUAUCUAUAACUGAGUGAGCCUCUCAUUUAAUUUCUUCUGGUAGCACAACUGGAUACUCAAUUUUCUAUGUUAGAAACUGGAAGUGACCCCGACAUAUAAUAGUAGUCAACCUUUAAACUGAAUCUCCUAUGUACGAAUAUUUCUGUGCUGUCCUUGUGAUAUGCCAGUAUGACACAUGAAGCUGAGCGUAGUGCUGUUAUAUCGACCAAAUGGUUAAAGUCAUCCAAUAUUUUGAUAAACUGGAAUGGAGCUAAUGCAUGUGUGUACUUUGAGUAUAGUUUCCCUGUUGCCUACAAUGCCUGUAUUAGUGUAACAGACUAUAACAGGUUUUGGCAGUUUUAGGCUUAGUAGGGCCUCCUUGUUCCUAGGACCUUGCACUGAUAAAACUGCAUAUCACUGAACGAACAAUCUGAGGUACUGACAGCAAUAUUUGUUUCAUUUAGGGCUUAGAUCGUGUCCAAUAGUUCCAUCUAAUCCUGAUGUUCAUAGCAAGACUCAAGGACAUUUCUAAGAGCUCUUUUAAAGAGCAUCCUUUAGCUCAUGUAUGUCUUCAUAGCAGCCUGCAUUUUAAGUUACCUUUCUUUUGCUUAGUCUUCUCAUUACAACUACUAUGAGCUCCCUUAUCAGUUGACAUGUGUACAUUUGGAUUCAUAAUACAUGAACACCACAUCCUUUAAAAAUCUGAAAUUACUAUCUUUUAAUAUCAUUAAUGUCUUGCCUUCUUGUUUGCUUUUACCUUUUUGUAAGGACUAAGUGCUGUUUGGCAGAUAGAACAGUUGAACUAAAACACAUCAACUCCAUGAUGUUAUUGCAGGAAUAUCUGAGCACCCAACUAGAUGUUCAAUUCGAUUGAUGAUUUAUGCCUAGAGUUCCAGAUGGAUGAUGUGUGCUUGAUUCUGGUCUUGUGAGCUGGAGAUUUUAAUGGGAGUUUUCAGCGGUCAAUAUAACAUAAAAGCUGAAUCCUGACCACUGAUAGGAAGCAUAGUACAUUUUAAAUCUGCCAUUUCUGAUUCUGUUUUGAGCGCCAGGGCCUACAUUACUGCUUGCUGCUUUGUUGUUCCUGAGCACCUAGUCUGAACAAUCUUUUCCUUUUUUAGCCUCUAAUGCUUUGAUUUCUGAAUCUGUACUUUGUUUUGACAUUCAUCACGCAACCCAAAAAUUGAGUGCAUCGCUUGUUUGUGUUGCUUCGAUCUUCUGUUGGGGCAGUUUUCCACACUGUUCUGUGGAUGAUGAGACAUUUGUAUCUUUUGGUUAACUACCCAAUUCAACAGUCUUCAAAGAAGAAUAUUGCUGAUAGUUGGCAGUUCUGGGUUGAAGAUGCUGCUUUGGUGAGUGGUGGUUUUCUGUGUUUAUUUUCAGAAAAAAAAUGCAGUGAGCUGCUUGAGUAGAAAUCGUCAGAGGCAGCCCUCAGACCGUGUAACUACAGCAAAACGUGUUCCUUGCCCUGUUCUGUGUCAGCACUUGCUACACUGCCAGCUUGCAGUAGAUUUGAUCAACUAGAUCUAGAUGGGGGCUUGUUGCAACACAGCGCAAUGGUGGUACUGCUAUGUCGAGUUAAUUCAUCAGUACCGAGUCAUUCUUCUGUACUUCAUAGUUUUUUCUUCCACUUGUUUGGUGCAUGGCACUUGAUAGUGAGGGGCUGACUUCAAAUACCGUUUUCUAUCUAUAACUGAGUGAGGCUUUCGUUUCAUUUCUUCUGGGGCCUGGGGGAACAACCGGAUACUCAAUUUUCUAUACUAGAAACUGGAAGAGACCUUGACAUAUAUUAGUAGUCAACCUUUUAACCGGAUCUAUUAUGUAUGAAUAUUUUUGUAUAGUCUUUAUGAUGUGUCAAUAUGGCACAUGAAACUGAGGGUAGUCCUGCUAUACAGACCAAAUCGUUAAAAUAAUCUAAUAUUUUGAUAAACUGAAAAUUGAGCUAACGCAUGUUUGUACUCCUGAGUACAAUGCCUGAAUUAGUAUAAGGCCAGUCUCAGUGCACAGUUACCAAGAUUGAGAAUUAGGUAACUGUGCCUGUUGAGUGUCAUUGGGAUGAAACUUCUCUCACAUAUGAUGAAACUCCUCAUUCUCUCUCCUCAUAAAUACCUUGCCAAGUCAGCAAAAUUGGUGAUGUGGCAUGGAAAUUAAUGCUCAUGAAACCCUCUAUGAAACUCCCAUUGACACUAGCCUAGCAGAUCGACAGGUUGUGCCAGUUUUGGGCUCAAUUGGAGCUUUCUAGGAUCCAAGACUAGAAAUAGUGUAAUACUGCAUAUGGGACAGUCUGAGAUGCUGGCAGCAGUAUUUGUUCUAUUUAGGGCUUAGAUACUUAGAUCAGAUCCAAUAAUUCCAUAUAAGGCCCAAGGAUAUAUCUAAGAGCUCUUUUAAGGAGCAUCCUUUGACUCAUGUAUGGCUUCAUAGAUGACGCCUGCGGCGUGCAUUUUAAGCUUCCUUUCUUUUCCCUAGUCUCAUUGCAACUAUUAUCAGCUCCCUAAUCGUUUGGCUUGUGUACAUGUGGAUUUGUGGUAUAUAGACACUGAAUCCUUUAAAAAUCUGAAACUACUGUCUACUUAUAUCACUAACGUCUUACCUUCUUGUUUGCCUUUAUCUUUGAGUAUGGGACAGACUAUGUGCUGCUUGUCAGGUAAAACAGCUGAAAUAAGACACAUCAACUCCAUGAUGCUCUUGCAGUUCAGGAAUAUCUGAGCACCCAACUAGAUGUUCGAAUUGACCGUUGAUUUAUGCCUAGAGUUCCAGAUGGAUGAUGUGCUCUUGAUUUUGGUUCCUUGAGCUGGAGACUUUCAUGGACUUUUCAUCGAUCGGUAUGACAUAAAUGAUGAAUCAUGAACAUCGAUAGGAUAUUACAUUUAAAUCUGUCAUUGCUGAUUUUAGUUUGAGCUCCAGGGCUUACAUUUAUGUUCUUGUACGACAGUUUGGAAUUUGGAGCCCAUACCAUAGUCUGAACGAUAUUUCUUUUUCUGUUUUAGCCUCUAACACCAGUUUUGGAUUCUGGUACCUUGAGUGCGCUGCUUGCUGUUUGUGUUUCAGUUUUCUAAUUGGAAGUUUUCCAUGCUCUGUUCUGCGGAUGAAGAAACAUCUGUAGCUUGAGGUUAAACUACUUAAUUUAACUCCCUUGUAAUUAGAGUAUUUGUUGAUAGUUGAUACCCUUCAAAUAUGCUACAUGCUAUUUGGCAGACAGAAUAGUUGAACUAAAACGCAUCGACUCCACGAUGUUAUUGCAGAAGCGCCCAACUUGUUGUUCAAUUCAACCAAUGAUCUAUGCCUUGAGUUCCAGAUGGAUGGUCGUGUGAGCUGGAGAUUUUAAUGAAGUUUGCACCGGUCUAACAUAAAAGAUGAAUCAUGAACUCUAAUAGGAAGCAUGUUACAUUUUAAACCUGUUAUUUCUGAUUGUUAUUUUGAGCACCAGGGCUUACAUUACUGCCUUCUUCUUUGUUGUUCUACAACAGUUUGGACAUCUUUUUUUUUUCUUUUUUAGCCUCAAAUGCUUUUGACUGGAAUCUGGUGCUUGUUUGAUGUGUGUCACGCAGCCAAAGAUUCUGAAUGGAUAGCUUAUAUCUAUUUUUCACCAGUUUUCCAUUGGGCAAUUUUCCACUCCGUUAUAGGGAUGACGAAACAUAUGUACCUUGUGGUUAAACUACCCAAUUUUAACACCCUUCAAAGGAGAGUAUUUGUUGAUAGGUUGGCGCACAAUUCUUGGUUCUGUGCUUCAGAUGCUGCUCUGGGAGAGUGGCUGUUUUCUGUGUUUAUAAUUGAUCAGAGAAACAUGCCGCGAGCCGCCUGCCUAGAAAAUCGGCAGAGGCGGCCAAGACGUGUAACUACAGCUGACACGUACAAGACGUAUUCCCUGCCCCUUCUCUCAGUGAGGGCUUGGUAUACAGCCUGCUUGCAGCAAGAUUCGAUCAAAGAUCAAGAUGGCUACUUUGUCGCCUUGUUGCAUAUUGGAGCUAGGAGGGGAUUCCAUGGAACGUUUACAUCUGCCUUCCCGUUGAAGAUUUGCAGGGGAAUACAGUCACGCAACACAUAACCCAUUCAAGCUCAAGCUUCGUAGCUAAGCAAAACGAUCUACUCCUGCUACUUCAGCAGCUGGCGCAGCGAGUGGGCCGGAGAGCUCGCUCCCCGGCGGCUAGCGGGUGCGCGCGGCCGGGAGGUCCUGGCCCCGGAGGAAGUGGUAGAGCAUGGCGAGCGAGCGGGCCGGCGCGAAGAGCGGCACCUGGUGGCCCGCGCCGCGCACCGUCACCAGCGUGAGACCCUCUUCGUACUCCACCGCCCACCCGGCCACCUGCUGCCGGUAGUACCACGCCCGCCACCCGCCCCACUGCGCCACCGCGUCGGCGGACGCGUUCGCCCUCAGCCUCUCCCGCGGCCGCAGCCCCAUGGCGUUGAUGCUGUACCGCGUCGACGUCACCGGCACCCGCCCGUCCGUGUCGCCGCUGCAAAACGUGCCAUGCCAUGCCAUCGCGGGGUUUUCAGUUCAUCAGUGACAUGGCUCACCGUCAGUAGUAUGGCAGAAAAAGGAAAUGCUCGAAGUCAUGUACCUGUAGACCCAGACGCGCAGCCCGGCGGCCAUGAGCUUCUUGAGGAUGGGCAGUAUGGUGGCCGGCGAGUCGUUCCAUUUCCUUAUCACCUCACUGCAGCACAGGCACGCAAUAAACAACCGUUACGUUCCGUCAGAGCGGAUGCUGAAACCGUGCAGCAGCUUCGCAGGAGACGAAAAAUACGCUACAGCCGGUGCAAAGCAGAGGAGUCAAUGCGCGUGCAAGUUGCAACCGCGCCAGAUCUGAGAAGGAACUGGCCGGUGCUGCACUGCUGCUGAUAAACGUAUUCAUGGCGGCUGGUGGAUGAGUAAUUGGUGGACCGUGGACGACAAGGUAAACAGUGCACGCGCGCUGGAAGGGCCGGACGUAGGCUGGCAGCAUAUGCAGAGAGGGAAGAACAGUGACUGCGGAAGCCGGGCGUGCGGACCUGCAGGGCGAGUACGGGUAGGGCAGGCCUGUCCGGUUGGCGUGCAGCGCGCGCUGCACGUCCCCGCGGUUGAAGUACUUGGUCACGUACGCCUCCGUGCACGGGUCGUAUCCCGCCGGCACACGCUUCAGCCUGUGCCACGCAUCCUGCAGGUGCCCCAACGUCACGGGCAGCCAGGCAGACGAGAGAAAACCAAUCAGCCAGUCACAUCUUAACUUGUGCCCUGUCGUGUUCAAGGACAGUGGGGAGAGAGAGCAGCGUACAUGCUUGGAGAGGAGGCGCGGCGCGGCGACGAGACUCGCCGGGCGCCGGGGCUUGGCGGCGGCGGCUGGCAGCAGGCACGUCGGCGUGUAGAUGCUGUAGAUGUCGAUGUCGUCGUAGGCGCCCAGGAAGGCGCGGAGCGCCGGGGAGCAGCCCUUGCCGGGCCGCCCGCCGUCGGCCUCCUCCUUGAAGGAGUCGCACUCGCGGCGCACCGCCGAGUAGAGCUCGUCGGAGAUGAUGGCGUGGCUCCAAGCGUACUCCACCAUGCCCAGCUGGUCCGUCGCGUCGUUCAGCACCGCGUUCCCGAUCUGCCACACCAUCGCCCCGUCAGCAGCAGAAAUGGUUUUGCUUUUCCGACAGAGCGGCGAACAAUGCACGCAUGAAAUUACUUUUAUUUUUUUACUAGAGUUCUAGGGAGCAUGCGUGAAAUUAUUACUGCCAGAGCAGGCGCAAAAGGGUUUGUCACGAACCACGCUUUUUUUUUUUUACCAUGCUGGUUAUUGGAGGAUUAUUAAAACUAAAGCGGUAAAGCUCCCAGGGCGGGGUAUAUCCGCAUGCACGCUUAUGUCUGCCAUCUACUUUUACUACAGCGCAGCAGCACUGAUUCACUUCUCUCUCUCUUUUCCUUUCCGUCUCCGCUUUAUCUUUCUAGAAUACUAACUGAUGGCCGAUUUGCUGAGCUAAGGCUGCUUAGUAGUAAUCCUAAUGGCAUGAUUGCAGGCUUAAGGGGCCCCAGCUUUGCUGUCAAGUUUCCUCGUAAGGGGAGCUCAGGCCUUAGGCAAAGCUUACCAUGAAACCUUUGAUGUUGAUGGCUCUUUCCCUGCUCGCCCCUUUCCUCCCGUCGUAGAUGAGCUCCGCGAGCUGGGGAACAUAAUGCCCUGAAAAAAGCGCGAUGCAGAGGCGUGUCACUGUUUUUUCUUUUUAUCGCAGAUUAUGAUGCAGCUUAAGAAAAAAACUGAGGUUUUGGGCCGUCUGAUUUACCGGCGUAGCUCUCCCCGGCGAUGUAGAAGUCCCGGGUCUUGAACUCGGGGAACUUGUCGAGCCAGUUGAGGAGGAAGCUGUACGAGUCCUGCGCCGUCACGCGGUCGCCGAGCCGCCGCAGGUCCGCCGUCCGGUUCGUGUAGGAGAACCCGACCCCCACCGGCGCCUCCAGGAACAGCAGGUUCACGGCUGAGAAACCAUUGCAAUCGAAAGGACCCAGUCACACAAGAUUCAUCCAAAAUUCAGAAUUCAAAUGAGCAGCAGAAAACUUAAAACUGUGCUUUGAUGUUGCUUGCUUGCCUUUGUUCCACGCGUAGGCGUUGCGGGUGAGGUUAGCGCCGUAGCUCCUGACCAGGAACGGGCCCAGCUCCUGGGCGGCGCCGUAGGCAACAGAGGAGCAUCCAGGCCCUGCAAUGGCACGUCGCGUUCUUCAGACCAUCACAGGCAUCAGUCAGAACGGAAAAUCAUCGUCCGAUCACGCGCUUGCUACAGUGCAUUCGUAGCGAUCGAGUGUUUCGCCACAAGGGCAGCCUUAUGUGUCCUUAUCCGUUCCUCCAUUGGUUGCUACUGCAGUUCUCAGAGGCGCCUAUGGGAAUUGUUUACAGGCUAGAUGCGUAGGCUUUUUGGGCACUGUCUAUACCGAGGCCUUGGCCUUGCAGGAGAAAAGAAAUGCAAAGGUGAGGACAGAGCGGAGAGCGGGGCGACGAGACAGCUGAUUUGCCAAUCAGAAAGGCCGCUCUGCCCUUCCCUGGCGGUCAAAGCGUCAAAGACUCGUACUUCCGUGCAAUCAGUAAUGCCUACUACCCUUUCUUUUCGGACUAUAACAAAUUAUCAACUGCAGAUAAGAAGAUUAUCACUGAAGUCAGGAGAUAUAGCAAGUAAUAACUCUGACUGACUGACAGAGUCUGAGACUGAAUGAUACGCGUGAAGCGUCAUGACAAAAGACUUGGAUUCUCUAGUUUGGUUUCAGACGAACACAUGCUCACGUGCAUUGGUAUCAACUUUAAAUCAUAUAAUAUAAUCUAGGAUUACGGCUCAUAAUCCCUCUUUUUAUCUUUACUGUGCCGUCCUUUGGUGGUGGUGGUGCCCCAUUGGCCCCCCUAGAGCUACAGCCAUGUGAAGGAAUGCUAAAGGACAAGUCGAAAGAGAGAGAACAAUAUCUGGUCGCCUGAUGGCUUAACAGUGUCGCCAGUGCUGCUGCAGCGCAGGUGCGGGGGCGAGAAACUGCAUCGCACUCGCAAUGUCCCUCCGUGGUCGCCGGCCGGCCGGAACAGCGAAGCUUUCUCUCUUCCAGGACCAGGGCGCAGGGCCCUGCUUACCGCUCGUACGGCGGCGUCGAGCCUUCUUUUGCUCUUUCGCAGCGUCUUUUCUCCUGCGCCGGGAGGGAAGGCUUUGCUCUCUGCAGCCUGCCCCGAGAUCCGAACGCAUGCUCUCGGCUCCUCUCGUCCUCUCCCCCUGUGGAUCCUGGUGCUUUGCUUUGGGGAGCUUUUGCUGCCGGAAAGCAUCGUUCUUCCGGUGCAGCACGGUGACCACCACACGGGGGGCCACGGCCUGUGCUUUCCGACUUGCCGACGCAUUUUUCGUUGGUGGAAAGAACAAACAUGAAUGCGAGAACAUCACUGAUCCUACAGUUUUUACUUGGAUUCGUGUCAUCUACCGCUAUAUGUGACGGUUUCUGUUUAUCCUAUAUUACUAUCACGUUUUUUGAGGAAUCAUAUUCCUAUGUCACUGCCUAGAGAUGCAACUAUAUUUGCAAACAAACAAACGUUUCAUUGAAAUGUCACUGCCUUUCGUUUGUGAAAUGAGAAGCAAAUGGAAGAAUCAGAGAUGGGCAACAAUCACGGGAUCUACAGAGCUAGGGAAGAAACAACCCCAGAGGCCAGAGGCUCAAGUCGUGCGUACCUCCGUUGAGCCAGAGCAAGAGCGGCUUCUUCUCCGGCUCGCGCUCAGCCUCGAAGAACCAGUAGAAGAGCGCCUUGCCGCUGCCGCCGCCGCCCGAGCCGACGUCGACGUAGCCGGCGUAAUGCCUGAACCCGACGGCCGGCUGUCCGGGCAGCCCGGUCACGAGGUCCGCCUCCGGCCGCGGGCUCCUCGGGGACACUCCGGUGGCCGAGUCCGGCGCCGUGGCCAGCGCGAGCAUGAGCACCGCCAUGGCCGUAGCCACAGCCAUGGUCGUUUCUACGGGCAAGCGUGGCGUGUGGCGAUGUGCUCUGCCUCUGCGCGUUUGAGGGGGGAGUGGUGAAAUGGGGGAGGGAAGGGCGGUUUUAAGGGCACGUUUGGUUGGUUACCAAUUGUGACCCUUCCAAAAAAUUGGCGCGCCCUCAAAAUUUGGCCUGGGUUUGGUUGCCUGCCGAUCAUUGGCUGCCAACUUCCUCCUUUUUUUUUUUUGAUAAAAGCUGCCAACUUCCUCCUAGUUGCACCACAGAACCAACGCGCGCAAAAACACAGGCGGCCAAAUCGCUCGCCAACAAUUUGGCAGCCAACGGAAGCUCCAAGAGCUAUGUGGCAGCAGCUUAUUAGCUGCACGAAUACCCAAAAACAAGGAUUAAUAGGCUUUGAUCGAUAAUAUCUCCUAAACGGUAAAUCUAAUUCACAAUAUGUUUGCGUAUUAAUACUUAUUACAAUUAAAUCUACAAAACAAAAUCUUAGUUGACUACAUUUAGAGGUAAAAAAAUUCAAGACAUGUGAACCCCACAUGUCAUGCUUACAUUAUAUACAAUAUUUGACAACUACCAGUAAGGUCACAAUCCAAACAUUACUGUGCCCCGGUUUUGGCAUCGCCCAUGAUUUAAUCGUAACCAAUAUUUGGCGCGGUAAACCUGGCACGAACCAAACAUGCCUUAAAAGCAGAGGAGGACGUGUGGGGGUGGGGAUAAAGUGGAGGCGAGGGGGUUGGCAGUAAAUGUUUUUCAUUUUUAAGUUGCCGUAGCGGGGGCAGUUAGGAAAUGAAUUUGCUAACCACAGUGGGUGAUUGGAGGUACCUUCUUGGUUAUCUGGCUCACAUCCAAACUUUUGAUUCCUACUAACUGCGUGUCAGAGCAGUUGUUUAUACUACUAUGUACGUGGGGUUUUAUAGGAUUUCUAGGAUUCUAUCACGUGACCAGGUUCUGAAUUCAGAUUGUAAGAGAAUGCAAUUUGGUUUUGUCAUUGUCUUGCAUUGAGCGCUCCUACAUUAAAAAAUGCCAACCGAUUUAGCGACUGAAGUUUAGUUGGCAGUUCGUGCGUCAAUGGGAUUGGGCGUAGUGGCGGGAUGUCAGCGGCUUGUAACUGCCAGGCGCAGCAGCCGGCAGUCUGAGGCACUGCUGCCAGGAACAGUUACGGACAUGAUAGUAUGCCAAAAACGGGACGGUUUCAGCGUUGAAUAGCAUCUCCGUGUUCAUUCUGGAGAACUUGCAUGCCUACAUUGAGCACUACUAGUAAUGCUAAACGACCAAGAUGGCUAGCUACAAAAGUGAACAAUGCUGCAGCACAGAUUGAUCAAACGCAUUACUCCGAGAUGUACAUCCUGCACCUGCAACGUCACGCUCCAAGCUCACUCUCUGAUCGCCCAAGCUUCAGCGAGAUCACGGCACCCUUCCAGCUAUUCUCCUCGGAGAAAAACGCGUUCAGGUCGAUCUCGUCAAGAAGCCUCUUCCUCGCCUCCUCCACUCUCCGGCUGCACGCGAGCCGCUCCUGGGCCUGCUGCUCCCGCCCAUCCGGCGGAUGCGGCGCGCUGCUGCUGCCUUGGGCCUGCAGCUCCUGCCCAUCCGCCUGCGCCGCGCGCUUGCGCUUCUUCCUCGGCCUCUUGGGCUUGUACUGGCCGAACCUGGCCUCCAGCUCCUGGGGGCUCCACCGAUGCCCGAACGCUUCGAAUCUCCUGAGAAGGGGGAUUGAGAGCAGAACACAGGAGGGACGUAAACCAUGAUGAACGCAGCAGCGAUUGCCAUUGUUAGGGGGCGUUUGGAUGCCACGGGCUAAACUUUAGCCCUGUCACAUCACACGUUCGAAUGCUAAUUAGGAGGAUUAAAUAUGAGCUAAUUAUAAAACUAAUAGCAGAACCCCUAGGCUAAAUCGCGAGACGAAUCUAUUAAGCCUAAUUAAUCCAUCAUUAGCGAAUGGUUACUGUAGCACCACAUUAUCAAAUCAUGGACUAAUUAGGCUUAAUAGAUUCGUCUCGCGAUUUAGCCUAGGGGUUGUGCAAUUAGUUUUGUAAUUAGACUAUGUUUAAUACUCCUAAUUAGUGUCCAAACAUCCGAUGUGACAGGGGCUAAAAUUUAGCCCCUCCUGGCCAAACACCCCCGGAACGCGUACGUACCUGGAUAUUUCCUCCCAGAGUCCCACCUUGCCGAGCGCGUUGGCGAGCCGGAAAGUCUCGUCCAUGCUUCCUCUGAUGCUGUAGAACAGCUGCGUCUCUUCUUCGCUGAAGGGUGUCGACGACGAGGAGCUCUGCUGCCCAGGAUCCAUUGUGACUUUGACCGUGAAUAGUUCCUCUUAGCUUGAAGCUGCAUAACGAAAAGGCAAGAGCCGUUAAAUUGCACUGUGACAAGUUGAAAGCUUCGUGUGAGCAACUGAAAUAAGUGUCCUCGCUUAGAUCAGUUAGACAUCUGAAAAAAAAACAAAUCAAUGGUCGAACAUAAAAACAAUUUCAACCUCAAGUGCAUUUCCUUGAUCGCUUGCACGCACACGUAUAGUUGUAAUUUAAGAAAGGUGCCUUCAAAAUUUCUUCCAACAACCUCGAAUAUUGCUGAAGGCACCUCUGAGAAACACAUUCAAACUAAGCAUCGAGGCAGAGUUAGCUACAAAAUCAAAAUCCACCGAAUUGUUUUUGGAACUAACAAACGAAACCACACUGGAAGCAAUAUUUGUAACCAGGCACAAUAGAAUCAGCUCAUGAUCAGCUGCAAGUAAUGUUCCAAUUAGUUCCAUUGCUUUAUCAAUCGACCGUAGGAGUAGAUAUGAUCCAUAUGCAGGAAUGCAGGAUGCGGAUACUGGUAGCGCACGAAAGUUUUAUGGAGUGAGCAUAGAAAUGUUCCCGCCCAUCCAAUUCGCACUAUAGGUACAGACAGAAAUAUAGUACCAAACAAUUCCUGAAACGGGUAUAUCCAUUUAGGAGCUACUCGCGAAAUUACAUAAGAAAUGGGAGAUCAUACAUUCAAGAUCUGAUUAAUAGCAAAAUUAGUACAUAAAAGAUGAGAGAUAAAAGAUCGAAUCUGGAGAUACUAUCACAGGAGUACUAAAUUAGUGCGCAUGUCAUAUUGUAGUGGCAAACGAAAUGAUUGUGCUAGCGCAGAACAGUUAGACAUCUGAGAAAAUUCCUGCUCUAAAACGUCACAACUGAAACCGAUUUGAACCUCAACAAGUGCAACGACAUUUCCUUGAUCAACUGCACAUAUGUUGCUAAUCUCUUGUAGGGACUGAUCAAGCAUGGCGCUACUCGUUGAAUAGAAUUCUUGCAAAAAAAAAAAAAGGAACAAUCCGGCCGCGGCUUUAAAAUCGAGGGCCAUCUCAACAGAGAAGUCGGUGAACGGGUGCUGCGCGAGGACUGAGGAUUACCUGGAUCGCCUGGUUGGUUGUAGGCUUGUAGCAGUAAGCAUUCGCGCGCUUGGGGCCGCGCAGGCGGAGCUCGGCGAUGGUGGCGUAGCCGCGUAGGAGCUUUCGGCGAAGCGCAGUGGAGGAUUCGUACCGGGGCUCGGCGACGGCGUCACCAACCGGUGCAGCGUGCAGGCAGGACUGGCGAUUGAGGGGCUCGGCGGAGGUGGAAGCUCGGCGACAGCGGCGUGGGUGGUCGAAAUGCCGGAGGCGCGGCUGCGUGAUGGCAGUGCUCAAGGGGGGAGGAGCUCCGCGGCAGCGCGCUGGCGAGCCCUAGCGGCAGCUCAAAGUGAUGGCUGGCUGGUGGCUAGCUCGCUGCUUCUCCCCAUAUAUCUCCGUGUGUGAAUUGACCUGCGAUCCAGUUGGAGGGUGCACAAUGACGGUGGUCGGCCGGCCAGGAAGGUUAGGCAGGCGUUAACGUCAUUUUCCCAAUGCAAGAACGAACAAACCGGGAGUAAAAAGUUGAUUCGCGCAAAGUGGGUUUGCGCGCCCUGUUUCCGUGUAUCCACGGCUCCACGCCAACCCAACUCGCGCUAGCCCAUGUGACAGGUGCGUGUUGUCUGAUUAUGGGAGCAGUCAAUUUGUUACCACUAUUAGGACAAGGUCUACCUCGUAGGCUCGUCGUAGCUACACUACCAGCGCAGUAGAGUACAUCCUUGCAUUUGCAUUUAGCCCCGAUUUGAUUUUAAGGAGUUCCUAAAAUUCCUAAAUUCCUAUCGAAUGUGUAGAUACUAAUUAGAAGUAUCAAAUAUAGACUAAUUAUAAAAUCAAUUGCACAGAUGGAGACUAAUUUGCAAGAAGAAUCUAUUAAGCCUAAUUAGUUCAUAAUUUGACAAUGUGGUGCUACAUUAAACAUGUGCUAAUGAUGGAUUAAUUAAACAUGUGCUAAUGAUGGAUUAAUUAGGUUUAAUAGAUUCAUCUCAGGAAUUAGUCUCCAUCCAUGUAAUUAGUUUUAUAAUUAACUCAUAUUUGAUCCACAUAUUUGAUGUGACAUGAAUUUUAAUCCAGAGUAAAAAUCCAAACACUCCUCAAACCCAAACCCCCAGAUUCUGUAUUGCACUGUGUGACAUCGAUCUCUCUAUUAGGCCGUCACACGAUGGCACCGUGACAACGACCUCAAGUUACCGGGGAGUGACAGCCGAGUUGCUGUGGUUUGGGAGCCCCGACAACCAAUGGUCCAGUGGCACGAGAACACCAUGUCCAUGUCACCUUUGUAUACGUGUCUUACUUGCUGUUGACCAUGAGUUUGAUUUUUUUUUUUGGUAUGUGCACGCAAUGUGAUCGGUCACGACUCACGACGCAAUGUAGGUGGAGUGACACGGCCGAGCUCAAAAUAUUUUGGAAGCUGUAUCUAUGACUGUAAUCAGCUCUUUGCUUUGCGCGGCGUUGAUGCAAGUGCAUCAGGCUACAAAACCAGAUGGCUGCAUGCACACGCACUGGACCAGUUUUGAGAUAUAGUCCUUGCAGAUAACAAGAGAUAAACUCUAUUUUAGUAAUAUUUUGUAAGGGCCAAACGACAUGGUUGCACACGCAUAAGACCAAUGAGAUAAACUCCACUUUAGUGACAUUUGUAAGAAGGGCCAAACCUGGGCUGUUCACAAGAGAUAAACCACAUGAUGUGCUAUGGGUCAUGGGCCUUGCUAAAGGUUUGUUGGGCCGGUGCGGACAUGAGCUGCUGUUGUGCGUGUGCGGUGUGCCACUGUGCCCAGCAAAUACGUCAUGACGCGGCGCCAAAUUUCACCUCUAACUACAGCUUUCUUAAUCAAAUCAGCAUUCAACGCAACAAAACUGAUAGGAAAAGAACACACAGGUAGUCCGCACAUCAUUCUCCACAUACCUUUUACAUUAUUUGGGCAGAUAAUAGCACAAUAUCAGAGUUCUGAACAAGUUUUUUUUUGGGUUGCAAAGAGAUAUCUGAACAGUGAACAAGUAACAAGCACUGCAUAAUCGGAUCUGCAGAAAGGAGGAAACACAGAUAGCAUAAUCUGAACAAGUACAUAAUGUUGGCCGAUCCAACGAAGACUUGGUGUUCAAAAAGCAUACACACAAGGGACCCAAUCACUAGGAUGCAUUGGGCACGCACACGAACGCGAUGCAGAAGCCAGAAGCGCAUGCAGUUCAACUGACACAGAGUCACAGAUAAAGGCGCGGAGAGCACCCGGAUCACCUCACUUGGCCACCUUCCCCAGCGCCGCCUCGAACCGCAUGCAGUCGACGAUGUAGGCGAAGCCGUAGGCCAUGUUGGCGAGCGUGGCCUCGUGCAGGUCCCGGCUGGCCGUGGCGGUGGCGUCGGCGGAGAAGAACACGCGGAACCCCCUCACGAACGCGUCCCGCGCGGUGGUCUCGCAGCACAGGUUGGUCAUCACGCCACACACGACCACCUCCUCGGCGCCCGCCCGCCGCAGCGCCUCCUCCAGCCCCGUGCCGGCGAAGGCGCUGUACGUGCUCUUCUCCACCACGAGGUCCCCCUCGGCGCGCCCGGCGCCCGGGAGCAGCUCGGCCGCCGGCGUGCCGGCGUCGAUGCGGUCCCCGGGCCACCACUCGCGGAGCGGGCGGCUGCGCGGGACGUCGUCUCGGUCGACGUGGCGGGUGUGCACGACGGGCAUCCCCGCGCUGCGGCAGAGCGCGACGGUGGAGGCGAUCGCCGGCAUGAUCGGAGCGGCGAGCGAGGCGAAGUGGCCCUGCACGUCGAUCACGAGGAGAGCCGCCUUGCGGGGGUCCGGGUCGCGCCGGCGCGUCUCGUACCUGGUGUACGUGGGCGCUGGAGGCGGCAUGGCGGGCGGGGGACGCCGGCGGUAGUGGAAGGUGGGAUCCUGGCUGCGUGCGCGGAUCAGGGAGAUCUCGAGGGAAUCAGGAGGGGUUUGGGCUGUGGGCUGUGCUGGUUGGUUGGUGCCGACUGCCGCCGAGUGGGGAACGAGAGGGAGGGAGCUAGGACUCCGGAGACUUCCAGACGCGACAGAUACACCCGGACACCCCCCACCCGGGCAGCAGGAGCGCGAGUUGGAGCGAGCGGCCCAGGCCUCCCGUUGCCGGUUUCGCAUGCAGAUCGACUCGCGACGACCGUAAGGCAAGGCACGCAGCAGGUGGCCAUAAAGGGCCGUUCCUGGCCUCUGAACAGUAGGAACAUAGCGCAUGGUAGGCUGUAAUUUUGUAAUCUAUUAGAUAUACUAAAGUGGCUGGCUUCGGGGUGACAUCCAUGUAUUGUGGGACCCACAAACUGUUUAGUGGGAUCCAUGAUGGACCCAUGUACUAUUCAGGUGGGACUCGUGCACAUUGAUGAUGCUACGAUCCUAUCGAGUGAGUUCCAUUAUUAAAAAAUUAUAUUUUUUCCAUUAUUUGAAAGUAUAAAAUAUAUUUAAUUAUUUCUUGCAUAUAAAACCAAUAACUAACCUUUGUAUACCGCAUUCACAUGUGGUAGCCUACUACUUUUUGCACUGCUUUUACUUCAUAAACUUGUAAAUUAUGAUUGAAUUAUUCGUUCAUUGCUAAUUUUAUCUUUUGUCCCUACAAAACCAAUAAUCAAUGUAAAUCAAUCCGUCAGCUAUACCUACUAGCACCCAAAAGUUAGUGAAUUCCUAAGUAAAAAAGUUAUUUGUACCUCUAUAUCAAAAUGUUUGGGAUUGGCGCGUUCUCAGAUUAUGAGCUACUGUGCCACCGAUUUAAUGUAGCUUUUGAAUUUGAUUCAAUACAUCGUAUGAUGUUGUUUUGAGUAUAGUAGAAGACAAUAUUUUUUCAUUAUUACUUUAGAUUAAUCUUUUUUUAUGCGGGCCUGGCUAGUUUAUUUUUCAAAUAAGUGGCAAUUGUAGCAGUAAUGGGCUGCUCCCCGUAACCUUUUUAGACGAUAAUGCAGACUUUGUCGUAUUCUGCGGUAUGUAGACGCACCCGCGUCCUCUGGGGUCUGGGAAGUGGGAACGGCUCCACGCUCUCGUCUGCUGGGAGAGCAAGAUGCCGCUCUCGUCGGUUCAUCCUGGGCUCCUGGCGCCCUGGCGGCGAGUCAGUUCUGUACCUCAGGAAGGAACUACUCGCCCCCGCCCGGGUACGCCAUUCUCCGGCUUCGACGAGGAGCCCGCGCCGGGCGCUGUUGUCUCCCGCCGGGGCAGUGUGUCGUCGUCUUGCCGUCCAGGACUGGACCGUCCUCGCGGUGCCCAAGUACGACGGCGAGGGACUCCCCACAGCCGAUCUAGGUGCGUACUGCAUUAUUUAAGAGGAAACGUGUCGUUGUGCAUCUCCUGGCGCUGACACGUUUGCUCUGUGCGUAAGCCUGCUAAUUGGAUUACUCUGACCCACACCAAUCCACAGCAAACUCAGCUAUAUUUGUAUUAUCUAAAUACAAACCAAUCCACAUACUAGUGGAUAUAACUAUGAGUUUGUUAUAAAAAAACUAUGAAAAACGCGCAUAUAUUUGAAAUAAAUAUGAGUCCGACAUGUAGCUCCUACAUCAAGAGCCGGACUCUAAAACUAAAACGUCGUGUUCAUACUGAAAUUGAUCGAAAUUUGUUGAAGAUGACAGAGUUUGAGUGCCCGCUACUUUAUGCUAAAUAGUAUGGCUAAACAUAUAUUUGGGUCCCGCAUUAAGAGCCGGACUUUAGAAUUAAAAUCUCACGUUCACACCUUAAAAUUUUAGCAAAAUUCAUCAAAAUUUGUUGGAGAUGGCUCAAUUUGACUGCCCACUACUUUGUGUAAAAUAGUAUGGCUAAACAUACGUGUGGGUCCCACGUCAAGAGCCGGAUACUAGAAUUAAAACCUCGCGUUCACACUUUAAAAUUUUAGCAAAAUUGAUUGAAAUUUGUUGGAGAUGACUCAAUUUAAGUGCCCGCUAUUUUGUGCAAAAUAGUAUAAUUGGAUAUAUAUGUGGGUCCCAUGUCAAGAGUUGGACCCUUGAACUACAACUUCUCUUUCACACUUAAAAAUUUUAACGAAAUUGAUUGAAAUUUGUUGGAGACGAUUUAGUUUAAUAAUUAGCUACUUCAUGCACAGUUGGACUUAUAGGUGGGCCCACAUCAAGAAUCGGAUUCUUAAAUUGUUUUGUGAAUCAAAAUAAUAUAACCCACUCUAAACCACUUCCAAACUAUUUCUUCUUAGGAGAAAUCUAAACCAAACCAACCAUUCGAUGAAUCGGCCUAUUAAUAACCAAUCUAAAAAACUUAAAAAAACCAAUCCAAUUAAACUAUUAAACCCGAUCCAAAUAGCAGUGCUAUCUGUGCGUGACUUCAGCGAAAUCGUUCCGGCCAAGUUCGAUUUCGACGUGGUUGGACACUCCUUGAGACUUUGGGGUACGGUUCCGGUGUUCGACUUCGACUUCCACUUCCACUUCCGGAAGGGCUUCACCUGCAGUCCUUGUCCUGCAUAAUACGGAGUGCAAUCACUAUUCGAAGUCCUGAAGGCAUGAACGGCUCAAACUCAUCGAUGGACAACGGACUCCCGGUGAAUAUAGCAGGCUUAUGCCAGCGUGUGAAUAAAUCUCACAAAACGUGUCAAUCUUGUCAAGAAAAUAUUGCAUCAACGAAUCGUUGUAGGAAGAGUAUGUAUAUACGUAAUAUAAUUCUACAAUAGUUGAUCGCACCGUGCAAUUGCGCGUGCGGCGUGGCUUAUCUGCGACGUGGUUAUGUACAUUCUGCUCGCGUGCAUCGCAAACUUGCGUGUCAACCCGGGCAGGAACAGCUCCGAUUCUUUUCCUCUGAUCGCUAGCUACAGACUACAGUGUUUGCCCAAUGCUCCAAGGCAUAGGGAUCAGAGUUCUGCAGCACUCCUGCAGAUUCGGUAGACCUGAUCUCACCUUUCAUGUAGAGUCGACCACUAGCUCAUUGCAAUAAAAUUUAGCAUAAGAUACAACUUAUCCAAUGGUCUAACUGUAAACACGUAAUUCAAAAUAUAAAUAGACCCACGUACCAGCCCAACAUAAUCUUAGAAUAUAUAUACGAGACUAUCUCUUGAUUAAGAGAUAUCUCUUCUUUCUUCUUUCUUUCUCCCUCUUCCACUAGAUAAAAUAUUAUAUUUUAAUCUUAUGAGCUAGCUGACAAGACCUUGACCCUGUUUGUAUUCGCUUAUUUCUCGCUUAUCGGUGGAAAUAAGCUAUAAACCCACCCAAACGGCUUGCCUAUUUUUCGCUUACCACAUAAGCCGCUUCUCCCACAGUCCAGAAUACAACUAGCCCCCCGCUUUUCCCCUAAACAGCCUCGGAGGCGCUUCUUGUGCAAGCGAGCCGAUUUUCCCGCAUCCCCCUCACCCCCACGCCAUCUCGAUACCGCAUCCGCUGCUGGCCCCGUCCGCCGAUAGCUUCGUCUGCCACCAGCUGGCCCCGUCCGCCACCGGCUCCAUCCGCUGCUGCCGGCCCCGUCCGCCGCCGGCUCCGUCCGCCGCCCGCCGCCCUCCAUCGGCUCCCUUCCCUCUGAUGGGCGGCUCUGUCCUCCACCGGCCACGCCGCCGCAGCUCCCGCUAGCCCCCUUCGCGGCCACCCACGCCGCCGUCGCUCCCGCCGACCCCCUCCGCGGCUAGCAGGUCCCGCAGCCCUGGCAAGCCCCUCUGCGACUAUCCCACGCCGCCUGUUUGCGAACAAGCAGGAGGAAGAAGAUAAACCCGAAAAAAAAUAAAGGAAAAGAAAAAAUAAGUGGAUGACAUUAGAAUUCACUUAUUAUCAGCCUAAAAUGAGCUUACCAGCCUAAAAUAAGUGGAUGACAUUAGAACUAUCUUCUCCUUGUAUUCACAAUAAAAAUGAGCUAUUAUCAGUCUCAGGGGCAUUUAGGUCAUUUUAUCGGUCAGGACAAACAAUCGACACAUAAUAAUCAGGAUUGCCAAACACCCAGCUUAUUCAGACAUCAAAUUCUCCAGACAACAUACUUAUCAGAUAAGCGAGUUCUAUAAAAAGCGUAUGCAAACAGUGCCUUAGCUUGUGAUGAUGCCAUGGAACCAAAACAGGCCUGCUCGCUCGUCAGCACUGUCAUGGGCCAGGCAAAAACAAACAGGUCUUUUUACUAGUAAGGCCCAAGUGUGGCCUGGCCCCGAAACGCGCGGUCUGACAAAAAAAAAAAAACAAGAAGAAGCAAGGGCGGUCCUGGGUGGCUCGUGUACUCGUGAUGAUCCGUGAUCAAUCACCAGAACUAAACUGGACCAUCUCUCAAAUUCUCAACAAGUUAGGUUAAGAAAAGCACACGAUUUGGUGAAGUGGAGUAGAAGACUAAACAAACCUCAACAGGUAGCGUAGGUAGCUUUGGCGUGACUCCUGGAGCACGGCGGCUACAAUUUUACGUCGCCCCACGCUGAGACUGUGACGGUGCGAGCGCAUGGUUUUCUAAGGGAAGAUCACGGCAAACAUCUUUCGUGUCCAGAGCACGUAUCUUUAGUGCAACGAUCCUAUGCGGCUAAAAGCAACAUCCCACCACACCGGCGAUAAUCUUUGGAGACGCCCUCUUUGCUCCUUUGCCCGUCCUCAUCAAAGUGCUGUGGCACGCCUUUCAAACUUUAAAACCGAACAUUGACGGCACGGUCCAGAGGCUAAGCACGAUCUGUAACGGAAGUGUGGCACGCCUUUCAAACUUUAGACUGAACAUUGACGGCACGGUGCAGGCCUAAAGGCGCGGCCUAGCUAGGCACGGUCCGAACGGAACGCAGGAGAUUGUUCAGCGACGUAGCAACCUCGAGCCGCGUACUGACUGACAGCACUGAAAAAGCUGUGCUUCAGGUACUGCGGUUCUUCAGUACGGUAAACUGAAUUUUCUGAGAAAAAGGACACUCGAACACGUUCGAUUGACAGAGCAAUCGCCCAAAUAAUUGGAACUUGGAAGACAGCGACAAGGGGGAAAGGACGGUCAGCUACUGUUGCCUGUUGGCAGCACGAAGCCGCGAGGAAGAUCCCGAUUUGAUGCCUGGAGGGAUGAUUGGAUUGGGAAUAAUUGUAGCCAUGACCGCGUACGGCUGGCAUCAGGCUAAUCCUAGUGGUGGCAUCGUCAACAAGAAGGUGAAAGAAGGUGAAAUUAUGUUUGAAACUACCCCUCCAACUCACAAUUUCAUGACACAUUCAGAGUGAGUUUUUUUACCAGAAGAGUUUCAUCUAGAUGAAACUAGUUCCUUCUCUUCCCUCUUAAAUUUCCUGCUAUAUCAUCAGAUUAGCUGAUGUGGCACUAUAUUUAAUGUGUAUGAAACUCCUGUAAAACUACCACGAGAAAUAGCCUUACAACCUCACCCAUCAGCUAGCUACAUCUAGAUGAAACUAGUUCCUUCUCUUCCCUCUUAAAUUUCCUACCAUAUCAUUAGAUUAGCUGAUGUGGCAUGUGUAUGAAACUCCUGUAAAACUACCACGGGAAAUAGCCUUGCAGCCUCGACCAACAGCUAGCUAAUCUCCCCUGUCGAUCGAUGGUCCAAGGUUUUGCAGGUAAAUAAAUACGAUAAAGCCCGGCAAAGAAAGAAAAAGCGACACAAAGGUAGGAUGGAUGUUGGUGGUGCCCCAAGCGCCACCUUUGCGAGCGAGGCCCACCAGGCCGCGCUAAAUACUUCCAAAACACAAGCUCGACGGGCGCGGCUGCAUGCACAGUAGACACACAAGAUGACACUGUGACAGUCCAAUUGAUAAUCAUUGCACCAGAUGGGAAACACUGCUGCUACUACUCGAUGCCUAGGCAAAUACUGUUAGGCUGUUCGGUGUGUUCGGCGUUUGAAAAUUUUAGUGUGCAAGAAAUGGAAACGAUCGUCCAGGUUUUGGUGUUUUCGGUACGGUGUUCGGUUUUACUGAAGUCAAACCGAAGUCCAUACCUCAUCUUUGUUGUGGCUGUCCCAGUCCAAGCCUAGCAGGGAGACGGAGAUCGCACCAUGCCGCCCUGCAAGCGCCUGCCCUGCGGUCGUGCCCACACCGCCAUUGCUUGGGACGUGCACCGUGGUCGGCGGCCGAUCGCCCGCACUGCCGCUGCUCCAUGCAUGCGUAGCGCUGCAGCGGCCGCUCGCUGUGCCCCCACCGCCACGUGCUAGGCCAGUGGCCGCUCGCCCGCACCGCAAGCUCAUAAAGCCGCACCAGCCACUCGUCUUGCUGCCUCGCGCGCCUCGAGGAUGGGAUCCCGCGAAGCUGUGGUGGAUAGGGUGGGAGGCGCCGAUGCGGGAGCAAGACGGGGAAGAAGAGUCCGAUGGAGGGAUGGCGAAAGGAGGAUCGAUGGUGAGACGAUAGGGCGGUGUGGCCUUGGGCUGAGAUAGGCCAAAGUCCCUAUGCGCCCUGAGAGUAAGGAUUGAACGGAUGCCAGUAGUACAUCGGUGAUUCGGCUCGGCUCGGCUCGGAGCUGAAACCGACACCGAUGCAAAGGAUCGAUUUGGGAAAAAAUCAAAACCGACACCGACACGAAAACCAAAAAAGCCAACAUUUUAGUUCGGUCGGUUCAAUUCGGUGUUUUUUCUAUUUUGGUUUAAAAGUGCCCACCCCUAAAUACUAUCGCAGCCUGUCACAUGAUCCGGGAACGAGAUGGAAUGGGAUCUAUGUGGGAACGAGAUGGAAUGGAAUCUAUCUUAAUAGGAAUAGUUCUCCUUUUGACCGCUAGCAGGGAUGUUUGGAUCCAUGGACUAAUUUUUAGUUCGGAUCACAUCGGAUAUUUGAUACCAAUUAGAAAGACUAAACGUGAACUAACUAUAAAACUAAUUGCAUAAGUCGUGGCUAAUUCGCGAGAUGAAUCUAUUAAACCUAAUUAAUUCAUGAUUAACGUAUAUUUACUAUAGCAUCACAUGGUCAAAUCAUAGACUAAUUAGAUUUAAUAGAUUCGUUUCGCGAAUUAACCUUCAUUUAUGCAAUUGGUUUUAUAAUUAACCUAUAUUAAUACUCGUAAUUAACAUCUAAACAUUCGAUGUGACGUGAACUAAUUAAAACGUGGACCGUACUUUAGUCGCUGUAACCAAACGGGCUGAAUCCACAAUCACCACCUGUUCCCAGCUACUGACUGACGCGCUGCAAGUAUUUGCGAGCGUAUUUAAAAAGCGUCCGAGUAGAUACAGCUAUUAAACUCCCAGCUACCCGCCAGAAUCGCGCAUUUAAAAAGCGUCCGAGUAGUAGAGCUACCACGGCCAGAUAAGCCGCCGGUCCAUCAUGAGCCUGGUCCACGCGCCGCGUGCCCCCGCACGUCCACUAGCGCCGGUCUCCCUCCCUCGUUCCCCGUCGACACGCCGCCGCCGGGGAGCCGAGGGCAGCGUGCGGUGCGAAGCCGUGAAGAGGACGAGCUCAGCUCGGGGGAGAGGAAGGAAUCUCUCCCUACCAGCCAGCACCCAGCAGCCAGCAUCCGUGCUCCCGCAACCUACCUCCCCUCCCCUUCCCUUCCAUUCCCCAACAGCCCCACGGCCGCGUCGCCUUCCCCUUCCGGCCGAAACCACCCGCUUCCUCAUAUCAAUAUAUUCACCGAAUAUUCAGCUCGGCUGAUCCGCUAUAAAACGAACCAAACCAAAAACCAAGACCAACCCGCCCGCCCGCGCGACAUUUUAUCCGUUCCGGUUGGACCCAUGAGAUAUUUCGUUGGGAUCCCGACGGCGCACGGGAGGAAUUCCGUGUGGUGGUAACCGAUUACAAACUCUCCAGAGUCAAUUCAUCAGCCCAUAAAAAAUUUUAUGGGCGGAUCACCCGUCGCCGCCCAGGAAGCGAGCGACGACGACGCCGCCCGGGUCGUGGUGCCAGUUGCGGGAUCCCACGUCGAGUCCGCCUCCAACCCCCUCCCUGCUGCGCCGGGUUCGGUGACCCCUGUGGCGGAGGGCGACCAGGAGCACUCCAAGCGGGAGGCACCGGCGGCGGCGGCGGCGGCGGCUUCGGUGGAGGCUAAGAAGGAGGCGGCGCCAGCAGCAGCAGCAGGCGUGGAGGCCAUGGCGGUCACCGUGGUGCGGGACGUCGAGACGGGCCUGGCCGCGAGCACCAGCGACCAGGGCGGGGACAAGCCUUCCUGGUUCACGCCUAAGAGGUAACCCAACCCCGUAGCAGAGCUCGAUUGAGCACCAUCGUCUUGUCGUGGAACUCGGUUGUGGUGGGUUUGAUCUGUUUUCGUUGCAUCUGGUUUUCUGGGAGCUCUGUGGCGGUGCUGGCCUCCGCCGAUGGUUCGAGGACCUUGGGUUCUCUGGAGGUCCAAUUGAACGCGCUGGAAUUUAGCUGUUUGCUUGGUCUGGGAAAUUUGGGUUCUCCGGAGCUCCAAUUGGACGUGUCGGGCCGUAGCUCGUGGUGCGAGAGAUUUGGGUUCUCCGGAGCUCCAAUUGGAUUGCUGCUUGGCAAUGGCUCGGACUGUGUAUUUUUGAGCUUCUGGCGAUGUUCAAGUUGCGGUGGGAUCUAAGCAGGCCAACGGAGAUAGCCAUUAAUUCAGUAGUUCGAUGGGACUAACAAAUCAUCGGGGAUGGCGUGUAACGAUGUUCCGUUAGUUUAAUCCGAAUUUGCUUAACGCGCUGGUUGUUCCAUUCGUGGCUUGGAGUUUUCGAAUUUCUACGUUUCUCCUUGUUUGCUUGCUUUCGUGGUAUGGAUCUGCGUUUUUAAUUCAGUGUUGGUUCGAUCGAUGGGCUUUGUUUUAUUAGGCAACAGCUGGCGACCUUUUCCAGUGAGUAUAAGGUUGCAUUUACUUUGAUGUGCAUCGAAAUUGGAAGGGGCCUGGAGUUUGGUUUGAUCAGCUUUUAUUGCCUGUAUUCUGCUGGGGCAUGGAAGCGCUUUGGAUCUCAGUGUUAGCGAGAUGGGAGCUGGAGAGAAAGUUUGUUAUUUGGCUGUCCUCUGGUCAUGUGAACAUCUGAUAUGAAAAUGAGGUUUCUGCUGUAUGGUCACAGACUCACAGUUAAUACUUUUAGUACAUCAUCAUGUGCUCAGCAUUCCACUGAAUUAACCUCAAGUUUCAUGCUCCUUUUAUCUCACUUUAGAGAGAGGGGAGGUUGUAGAGAGAGAGAGAGAGAGAGAGCUGUUCACAUGAUUUAUUGUCACAAUCAGCUUGUAAUAUAGUAGUCUACAAAUUCUUCUUUAUGUAGAUUGCAUUGGCAUGGUGUAUCCGGGUAUAUAUGUAUCUUCAAGUUAUAUAUUUUGCUUGAGUUUUAUUAUUUUUCUACUCGUGCAGAUUACUUGUCAUGUUCUGCAUUAUCAACAUGCUAAACUAUGUUGAUCGAGGAGCAAUAGCAAGUAAUGGUGUCAAUGGUAGCCGCAAAAAUUGUUCUGGUGGCACGUGCACCUCAGGCUCAGGAAUUCAGUAAGUUUUAUGAGAAUUUUUUCUUAAACUGUUUUUAAUUGAUCUUUAACAUAUAUAUCAAAUAGAAUUAAAGCUGGAAACUCCAGAAAAGUUUUAUUCAACUUUCUUUUGCUGAUGUGAUCCCCUCCGUAUUUUUUAUUAAUAUAAGUCGCCACUUGUCUACUUUCUUAAGAUGCAAUAUGUUGGCCACACUCUUUCCAUUUACUCACUAUCUGUCUUACCAUGCUUGGCCUCUGUAGGGGAGACUUUAAUCUUAGUAAUGCUGAAGAUGGUGUGCUGUCCUCAGCAUUUAUGGUUGGAUUGUUGGUGGCUUCACUGAUAUUUGCUUCCCUGGCAAAAAGGUUAGCUCUCUCUUCAUUCUUGUGUUUAGGGCUAUGGACGUCCAAGUUGUCUGUUUGGUGUAGGGUGGAUGGGAUAAGCCAAUUUUUUGUGUGGUUGCAGGGAUGAAGUGGAUGGAAUUAGAAUAUAGUUAACUAAGAUAUAUAUUCUUAGCUCUAUUUAGAGGUUUCUAUGCAAGUUCUCAAAAGUAACAGUAUAGUAUUAGAAACUGGAUAAUGAAAUGUUUACUAAUGGAGCUCUAGCUCAUACUUAUUGAUAUAGUUAUAUUAAUUAUGGAAAAGCAAGAAGUAUUACCAAUAAGAAGAGGAAUGUUCUAAUACAUACUGCAGAUUAACAAAUAAUAACAAGUAUGUAUUGCGAAUUGCGAUGGAGGUGAAUGCUGUAAUUCAUGUUUCAUGUCCCCCAAUAUGAAGCGCUAUUCAUUUUCCAUUUGUGACCAAUUUCCCUUCCUUGCAGACAUAAUCCUUUCAGGCUUAUUGGUGUUGGCUUGUUAGUAUGGACUAUCGCAACAGCUGGUUGUGGGGUCUCUUUUGAUUUCUGGUCAAUUACUAUAUGCCGCAUGUAAGUGCUUUUUCAUCUCUUUCAAGUAUCUGUUAAGAAAGAUUCAAUGCCAAUCAUCUAAUUGCAUGGUCAUUAUCCAAAUUUUUGUUACUCAGGUUAGUUGGUGUUGGUGAAGCUUCAUUUAUAAGUCUGGCAGCUCCAUUCAUAGAUGACAAUGCACCAGUAGCUCAGGUUCUGUUAUUGUACUGCCUUUGAGAUUGCUUUACUGUAAACAUCUGUCCAAAAUUAAUAGCUACCUCUGUGUGUAGUUGUGGAGAGUUUAGUCCCACACUGGAUAGUGCUAGCACACACUUGGGAUCCAAACUUGGUAAUUCUGGGUUAGCUCCUUUUGGAUGAAAACUAGGACAAAUGUCCAAGGGAGCUAGUAUGUUUGCAUAGGCCUGCCCCAAGUCGGGAUUGGGCCUUAGCAUACAAGGAUUCGUGGGGCAUGGCAUUUACACCAUAACACCAAGCUGUGCGCAUAUUCAAGCAAUUCUCUCAUCAAGCUAUGCUAUACAUUGUUUUUAAUGGUUACUGCUAUUUACAGUUCUUCAUGUCUUUAAUCAGCCAAUAACUUCCUGCUGCUAAUGUUACCAGAAAACAGGAUGGCUUGCUAUGUUCUACAUGUGCAUACCAACUGGAAUAGCAUUAGGCUAUGUUUAUGGUGGACUGGUAAGUCUUAUCAUAAGUUCUGGUUUUCUUCCUAUUCAGUUUUGACUUGAGUUACAGUUUGAGUAAUACGCUUUUUCAGCAUUAUUUACAUGAAGCACCUGAUCCUUGCAAUCUUAUCUCUAGCAUCUCUGCACAUUACCCAUCAAAUGGCUAUUUCUUUCCCUUUGCUAAGGCUUCUUUGUUUAAGGCAGUGUAAAUGAAUAUCCACCGUGGAAUAAUUUUUGGGGUCAAACGAUACCAUAAAUUCUCUCUUGUUUAUGAUUUAAAUGAUGGAACUCCUUCAUUAUUGAGCUUGUUUUUGUACAAGUGUGCUAUCAAUUUGUAUGAACAGGCUAAACAAAUUAUGUUAUUCUCACCAGGUUGGGAAAAUACUGAACUGGCGUGCUGCUUUCUGGGGAGAGUCAAUUUUGAUGAUUCCUUUUGUUAUUCUAGGCUUUGUGAUAAAGCCACUAGAGCUGAAAGGUAUGCCUUUCUUUUCUUACAGUUAUUGUUAACUAAGCAAACAGCUCACUAUACAGCAUUUUGUAAUUGUCAUCCUGUGGUACCUGAUGUUUUUCACUUUUUGUGCCUCUUUGGGGGCUGGGAUUUUGUUUACCAGGAUUUUCUCAGAACAGAACAAAAGAAUACGGCCAGAUGCUUAAUCCUGAGGUUCAAGAUCAGAUAAGUAUGUGCCUUGUAUCAAUAUUUAUCCUCCCAUUGGACAACUAACAGUUUUUUUUUGUUGCAAUUUUGCUUUUUGGUAGAGCAUAGAAGAAUAGUCUCCAUUGGAGCCAGUUGUUCUUUAUAUGCUGAGAUUCUUCUGGUUUCUGAUGUUCUUGUGCUUCUGUUCAUCUUUGUAAAACAAACAAUUCUGAGCCGCAGAUCUAAUUUUAUGAUGAAAUUGAACUAGCUUGGCUUUUAUAAGCAUCUCAAAUAGUUUGUAAGAUAAAUAUUUUAAGACUAGCUUGGCAUUCAUAAGCAUCUCAAAUGAUUCAUAAGAUAAGUAAUUUAAGAAGUAAGGCAGGUGUUUUGCUAAGGAUGUUAGCUUAUUUUGAAUUUCCUUCUAUUUAAAAUUCAGAGCGGCGACCAAGUACUUUUGGGGAAGUUAGCAACUAAGUUAUAGAUAUGUCUUUGGUGGCCCUCAUGCAUAGAGCUUGUGGCCUUCAUGCUAAGUAGAAGCUGCCUCUUGACUUAUGGCUAAUGCUCCCUUAUUUUUGCUUUUCUGUUUAUUUCUGUCUGAUCCAGAUAAUAAUGGGACAAAGCGUGUUAUGCCUGGUGGAAUCGAUGAUCUUGCAGGAAAGGUCCCACAAAAGUUAUCCUUGUAAGCACUUCUAGACAUUUUUUUUUUGCAAUUGUCAAAUAUUGAUUUGUUUUAAUGUUUAUUGCCUUUAUGUAAUGUAUUUCAAUGCAAUAUGAUGAUUUAUCUCAGUUGUUCAAGCAGGUAUAACUAAAUGUUUUAGAUAUUUAAAGUGAUCAUUGGAGCUAUAUGUACAUGUGCUUACUAGACUUUUCUGGACCUUUUAAUGAUCUAUCUUAAGGCUCAUUACACAUCUCUGUUUUGAUCCUGCAGCUCCAGGUUUGGCCAGAGUCUCAUGACUGAAAUUGGUCGUUUCGGCAAAGAUAUGAAAGAACUACUACAAGAGAUGCCUUUUUUCAUCGUUGUCUUAGGUCAGAUUAUCCUCUCAAUGUCUUGUGUGUUCCACACUUUUUGUACAUCUAUUUAUGAUUCUGAAGUUUCCUUUCCCUAUAUUAUUUCAGGUUACAUCUCCUAUAACUUUGUCAUCGGUGCUUAUUCCUACUGGGGCCCCAAGGCGGGCAAACAGAUCUACAAUAUGGUAGAAGUCCUGUCUUUCACUCACAUGUGGCAAUAUCUUUGCAUAUUACAUACAAUCAUAUAUUAGAUGUGUGACCAUUAUACAUUUCUUAUUUAAAAAAGACUGUUCAAUCUCGAUGGACCACAAUUUAAGUCCAGUUUAGCACUGAUCUAGAUUAAUACUCUAUUUCAUAAUAUCCAACUGACUACAUUUCUCAUUGAAUUUUUUAAUCAGGCGAGCGCAGAUCUUAUGUUUGGUGGAAUAACUAUAGUAUGUGGAAUCCUUGGAACUCUAUCAGGAGGUAUCAUCCUUGACAAGAUAGGGGCUACAAUUCCUAAUGCUUUCAAGGUAAGAAAAUACAAUACCUAAUCCUUGACAAUAUAGCAGUCGAAAUGCAGUUUGUUAUUUUCAUAACCAAAUUAUCUGUGUUUUUGUUUUGUUUUUCCUUCCGAAGUGAGCUGCAAGCUAACAUUCUGCAGUCCUUAUUAAUAAGCUUGAGUAAAAUACACCCAUGGUCCUUCAACUUGUGUUGCGAUGUCAUCUCCCUAAACUGCUAAAAUACGUAUGAUCCCCUAAUUUUGUUUUCAUUCUUUUUCCUAUUUGGUUUCUUUCUUUCUCUCGAACACGCAGAAGAGUUGUGUCAUUCCAUUAAGAAGAAGAAAGUAUACGAUGCAAGGAAGUGUGUAAACCCUACCAAAACAAACACACCCACACAGAGAACUAGAUUACGGCAGUGCCGAUUACAAAAGUGUAACGACCAGCCUGCACUGCCUAUUUGGUUUCUUAUCAUCAUGAUUACAGUAACAUUAAGGGCAUGUUUGGUUGGACACUAAUUUUACACAACUGUAUAUGAAUCACUAAACCCUCAGAACAUUGAGUUGCUUGCGUCUGGGUUGUUAUUUUCUUCCUUUGUUGUAUUCCCCAAUCUGGGUUUUCAUCUUCCUUUUAAUAUAAUCGGCAACUCUCCUGCCUGGUAAAAAAAAGAGAAAGUUUAUGUGUGAAUUAUUUGGGGGCAAUAAAGCUUAACUAAGUCAUUUCAUGUAUCGCUUUCAACGAUCAUAACUAGUCAUAUUAUGUUUACUUCCAUGGAUUCACGGGACUUCCCUUGCAGCUUCUCUCUAGCGCAACAUUUCUAGGGGCAAUAUUCUGCUUUGGCGCCUUUUGUUUCAAGAGCCUAUAUGGAUUCAUAUUCUUCUUUGCAAUUGGGGAGAUUUUGGUUUUUGCAACUCAGGUAAUUCCUUUUCUUCUGUUCAACAUUUAUACUACUUCAAGUCCUAGAUUUGUUGCCAUUAUUGCCUACCAUGGUAAUUGCUGCAUGGGUAUUGUAUGCAACUAUUGCUUUAUUUUGCAAAAUCGCCUCUAUCUUGAUUUGCUUUUCACGCCAUUGAGCAAAUAAGCAUUUCUUCAGUGUAUUUAGAUGAAUGCACCUAGCUAACAUCUGCGUAUGCUUAAUUCUUUUGACUUGCAGGCACCAGUAAAUUUUGUAUGCCUUCAUACUGUGAAGCCACAUUUGCGGCCAUUGGCAAUGGCUGUAUCCACUGUUUCAAUCCAUAUAUUUGGUGAUGUGCCUUCUUCACCUCUUGUUGGGCUUCUUCAGGUACUUGUCCGUUAUUGUUGUUGGUGUUGUAUUCUAGUCAGUCAAAACAGACUGCCUCAGCAAACUUGCCAUUUUCCUUCUACGUGAUUAAAAUAUAGAUCCAUCAUGUAUAUGAGAUUGGCCCAUGUAGUGCAAAUAAUUGCUGAAAAUUUGGUAUAUUGGAUUCUGUGUGAAAUACGUUACUUCACAUCUCAGUACUUCUAAGCUCUGGUCUCAGCUCAAUGCAUUUACAAGUUGCAUAUAGGUUGUUGUGUUCUUUAAGUUUUUUCCCCUGAGAGAUGCUUUUUGAACCUUGAUGCAGGACAAAAUCAAUAACUGGAGGUCCACGGCUCUUAUAUUGACAUCCAUCCUUUUCAUUGCAGCUGUGUUCUGGUUUAUUGGUGAGUUUAAAACCCUACAGUGUCACAAAGUCUAUGUGCUCCCUUUUUUUGCCUUCACAUGCUUCAGAGAAGCCUGUAUGAAGCAUGAUCCCACUGUAGGAUCAUUUACAUGUUCUGAACACUUGUGACUUAGCAUCAAUCCACCCAAAAAAAAAUCGCAUGCUUAUUUGUUUGGUUUGAAUAUUCCUUUUCUAUCGAGUAAAAUUUUAAGCCUGGAAAUUCCUCUGAUUUCCAUGAACAAAAUAAAAUUUCCCACAUAGAACAAGGGCCUGAUGCACCUUUUAGUUGCCCCUUUCUUCUUGAUUUUUUUAGCCUUUUUAAUAUAAUAAUAACCAGUGACUUUGCAGCUCCAGCAGAUGAUCCCCCUCAGUUUAACAUCAUCGUCCACAAUGCUCAGUAGUCAGUAGUACACUGAUGUCUGGAUUUGGAUUUUGUGAUAAUUCAACUGAAGUUGAGAUGAUCUUCUCGUUGCAGGCAUAUUCGUCCCCAGCGUGGAUCGGUUCAAGGAAGAGAGCGAGGAUGCUGUUCCUGCCGCCGAGAGGUCAAAUCUCAGGCCACUGCUUGAUGACAACGAGGGGGCACGGACAUCUGACUAAAAUCCGUGCAAGUGCGGGUCAUAACCCUUUUCUUUUUUGGAGGGUGAUCUUAGUCGGAUUAUUUACCAUGUGCUAGCAAACAUGCGAAAUGUAAAUUUGCACGUCAGUUGGCUAUACCCUGUACAUAUGAUAGGCCCGUUUGGUUUGCGUUCUUUUCUACUCCCUCCAUCCCAAAUUAUAAGUCGCUUUGACUUUUUUUUACGUCCACUUUGCUAUGCAUAGACAUAUUGUUAUAUUUAUAUACAUAGCAAAGUGAAUGUAUCAAAAAAAGUCAAAGCGACUUAUAAUUUGGGAUGGAGGGAGUACUUUAGUGUACAUACUACAGAAACAGGCAAGUGAAUGUCAGUUUUUUUUUCUUUAUUUACAAAUGUGAAACAUUUCAGCAGCUUGGUGCCACGAUCUAGCUUCUGAUUAGAAUUCAACAAUGCUGGUUUGCUCUGCCCGUUUCACUGUUGAUAUGCGUUCGAAUACCAAAAUCUGGCGUUGGAGUUGUCUUGUAAAUUGUAAUUGUAAUAGUCGAAAGGCUUGGGAGAAGUAUGCUUCCCAUGAUCCAGCAGAAGAAUCAAUGGAGGCUAUACAGCUGGUGAUGCCAUGAAAUGCCAUAGAUGGAUAUGCAACCGAUCUCUUUCGCAAGUGGCAUAACGGAGCAUGCCCAGCAUUUGUCUAUAUGAAAAUAAAAAAAAUGAAUUUGUUGAUGCAUAGCAGAGGUCGACACCCAGCCAUGGUCCCUAUCAUUUCAGUACAGCUAGUACAUCCCGGUAGGUCACUGGAAUAAAAACGCGGCGUCAAUUCCUGACUGGAAUGUGGCGUGUACCCUACACAAACGCAAGCCGGUGCUCGCGCGGGCACGACGAGGCGCAGCUCAGCGCAGCGCAGAACCGCAGAAGCGAGAAACCACACCAGGUGGUCCAGGCUGGGCUCAACUGCGACCUGUUGCGUUGCGUCAGGGCCAGGAGGUGAGCCGUCAAUCCUCCCGAUGAUCCAGCCGCUCGGCGCUCUCGGCCCCGGGCUCCACGCCACACGCAGCUACCGUCCCGUAGCAGCGCAGGGUGAGGCUGUGACAUGUCUGCAUCUCAGCUCUGCAUCCACUACGAAGGGGCUCACCGUUCGCUGGAUCGAGCUCCUGAUUCAGAUUCAGUAGGGGGCUAUCCCUUCUUGGACUAUCGCCGGCAGUAUCUCGCCCCUCGCUGCACGCGUCUCCCGGCCCUUUUCUGUUUGAAAAUGACCUGUGACGGUUUGGCCCUUUUUGAGCGAAAAUGACCGCUAUUUAUUAAGCUCCGUCGCCAUCCAUAGCCAUCGAUGCGGAUCUUUGCUCUCGGCUUCUCUGCAUAUGGUAUAGGAGUAGGGCUAGACUGAAAUUUGAAAAACAGCUCCAGCUUAAACUGAGGCCUGAAACUUCCUCUCUGCGUCCAAUUAUCAAAUACUUCAUCACCUAGAAUUAUGACCUUAUCUAUAAUGCCAUGGUCGAUGUCACGCUAAGGGUGUUUGAUACUACAUGCUAAACUUUAGCAGUGUCAUAUCAGAUGUUUGGAUGCUAAUGAGGAGGACUAAACAUGAGCUAAUUAUAAAACUAAUUGCAGAACCUCUAUGCUAAUUCACGAGAUGAAUCUAUUAAGCCUAAUUAAUCCAUCAUUAGCAAAUGGUUACUGUAGCACCACAUCGUCAAAUAAUGGAUUCAUUAGGCUUAAUAGAUUCAUCUCGUGAAUUAGAAUCUAUCUGUGCAAUUAGUUUUGUAAUUAACCUAUAUUUAAUACUCCUACUUAGCAUCCAAACACCCAAUGUGAUAGGUGCUAAACUUUAGCAGGGUAUCCAAACGGGGCCUAAGUACAGUAAGGAUACGAAGCAAGAUGAGAUCAUGAGAUUUGAGAUCACGUGCCAAUUAGGUCUGCUAAGGGUUGAAACCCGCACCAAACCCACCCUAACCCGCAAUAAAUUAACUCAUUCACCCACCCACCCCACUUCAUAAUUCUACUGUGUAAACCCAACCCAACCCGCCCCACAAAUUGAUAUAACCCGUAGGUUUGGUACAUGAACCCCAUAAAUUUAUACAAACCUCAUGUUCACACCUUAAAAGUUUAGAGAAAUUGUUUGAAAUUCGAUGCAGGUAAAUUAAUUUGACAGUCCGCUACUUUGUGCAAAGUAAUACGACUAGACUUAUAUGUGGGUCCCGCGUCAAGAGUCGGACCCUAAAACUAAAACUUCGUGUUCACACCUUAAAAUUUUAGAGAAAUUAACUGAAAUUUGUUGCAGUUGAAUUAGUUUGACAGCUCACUACCUUGUGCAAAGUAAUGCGGCUGGACUUAUAUGUAUACCCCGCGUCAAGAGUCAAAUCCUAAAACUAAAACCUCGCGUUCACACCUUAAAAUUUUAGAGAAAUUGACCGAAAUUUGUUGCAGAUGAAUUAGUGUGAUAGUCCGCUACUUUGUGCAAAGUAGUGCGGCUGGACUUAUAUGUGAGCUCCACGUUAAGAGUUCACACCUUAAAAUUUUGAAGAAAUUGACCAAAAUUUGUUGCACUUGACAGUCCACUACCUUGUACAAAGUAGUGCUGGUGAACUUAUAUGUGGACCCUGCGUCAAGAGUUGGACCUUAAAACUAAAAUCUUACAUCUGAUCGAAAUUUGUUGCAGAUGAAUUAGUUUGACAGUCCGCUACUUUGUGCAAAGUAGUGGCUGGACUUAUAUCGUGACCCAUGCUAAGAGCCGGACCCUAAAACUAAAUCACUUCCAACCUGUCCCGUAUUUGUGAUCUACCCGACCCAUCCCAAUGUUAAAAUUUAACCAAUUCAAACACACACCGUCACCCCCAUAAUGCAGGCUGGAACGUGGGAAUUCGAGGUCUCAUGAACGAAAAACCUAUUUCAACCGCCCCACUAGCAGCCCUAGUGCCAAUUGCGAGAAGCCGGCCCUGCGGGGUUACAGGCUUACAGCAAAGUGAGAGCCACCACAGCAGGGCCGGCGGACCCAGGCACCCCAGCGUCCCCAUGUGCCCUGCCCGCGCCCCCCCGGCCCCAGCGUUGUACAGUGCACAGCGCUGCGUGCCUGUCCCUGCAUCGCCACUUUGUAGACUCUAGUCUAGUCUAGAGACGGACGACAACGUCCAGUCAGGGCUGAGGCGCCUGCAACUCUUUACUUCCUUCCUCCCCAUCAAUAAUUGCGUAAAAGGAACCCCCCCUGAAAAGACCGAAAUAAAAAAUAACAGAUCCAGCGUAUAUGCGGAUAUACGUAUCAGCCAAAAAUAAUGAAGGUAGAGCUUCCAAAUUCCAAAUCGUGGUUCUAUGGGAUAAUUGCAAGCCGGACUGUAAGAUCUGGGCUUCUUUUCAGCAAAAGUACUGAACUGAAAUUUCUUCAGAUGUUGCAUCCUUCCAUAACUGCAAACAUUUACCAAAUCCAUAUGUUAACGCGCUCCCUAAUCCCUAUGUUACCAAAUACGUACACAUUUUAUCAGAAAACGGAGCACAUUUGUGUUCCAUCAAAUUUACCGACUCUAAGUGAAAAAAAUAGUUUUUAAUGUAACUUUUUAAUUUUCUUUUCGCUAAUGUUCAGAGCACCCUAUGUCAGCAAGCUACUAAGCUCAACUCCUCAUGUACCUGAUAUCCAAAUAUCAAGUAAUUAUCAGUGUUUAUUAGAAAUGGAUACUAACUUUUUUUUAGGAUCAAUACUAUAACUGAGCAUACUGGCGGCCAAAAAGAAAGGAAAGAAUUAGAUAAAAUUGGCAUAAAAAAUCAAGCCGCUUUAUAAAUGGUUCCACCCGGGGGCCAAGGGCCUGGCACGGCCCUAUCCCUAUCCGGCUAUCCCCAUCACUACUCCCCACAAGCCCUGUCCACCACCAACAAACUCGUUGUACGACGAGAGAGAGCGCUGCCAUGGCUUCUCGUGACGCCGCCACCUUCCAAGUCUACCGGCCCAUGCCCGCGCCGUCCCCGGCGCCGGCGCCGAUGUCGCUGGCGGCCGCCGCGCCCGCCUCCGACGUCGCGGCGCCCGCGCCGAAGAAGGCGAGCCCGGGCGCCGGCAAGGACCGGCACAGCAAGGUGAACGGGCGCGGGCGGCGCGUGCGGAUGCCGAUCGUGUGCGCGGCGCGCGUGUUCCAACUCACCCGCGAGCUGGGGCUCAAGUCCGACGGCCAGACCAUCGAGUGGCUGCUCCGCCAGGCCGAGCCCUCCAUCCUCGCGGCCACGGGGUCCGGCACCACCCCCGCCGUCUUCUCCUGCUCCUCGGCGCCGUCCACCUCCCCCGCCGCCGCCCACCCGCUCCUCGGCAAGCGCCCGCGCGAGGACCACGAGCCGGCGCCCGCGCCCGCGCCGUUCUGGGCGACCCUGCAGGCGCGACCCGUGGCGUGGGGCCUUUCGCCGGCGCAGGAGGCCGCGGCGCAGGCGUACGCGUCGGUGGCGGCGGCGCAGCAGGGCCACCACCUCAACCUCCUCUCCGUGCUCUCCGGCGCCACGAGGCCGUCCGAGGAGGAGUCCCGGUGACCGCCGCCGCAGCAUUGCUACGUUAAUUGCAUGCGUGGACGCGUGGGCAUGCCGCGUGCUGUGCUUUUGGGUCUCGUUUCGUGCAUCUCCGGGGUGCAUUCCGUGUGUUUUUCCUGUGAUCUGCGGUGUGAGAAGAAGGUUGAUCUGAACCGAAAGGUCAAGAAUGCGCGAUCGGAUCGGGGGGUAGCGGUUGUAGAUAGCAUUCGUCAGGGUUUGUGCUUGUGAUGAGCUUGUUCGUUGUCUUGGGUUUGUGCCGUGGUUCUGUGCUGUGAUCAGUGGUCAGUGCUCUGCAUGCCGAAUUGUCAACUGAUCUGAAUUCUAACACAAUGCCGGCGUGUUACUCUGUAUGUCACUGCUCGCUCGCUGUUUCAAUAGAAACCUUGUCCUGAGAAUUCAGAAGCUGUUCGUUCUCUUGAUGCGCGGAGGUCGAUAAUGGCUGGUGAGAUUGGCUUCUCCUGCGACUGUGAAACAAUGAUGAAGUGCUUUUAAAAGGAAAAAGAAACAGCGAUGAAGCACCUCCACAUUAUUCACCCUCUCAUAUUCUCAUCUCAAUCUCAUGGUAGCUUGCUGCACCUUGCCUUUCCUGCAAUUCUGCAAACCCAGGCCACAUGCUGUGUAGUCGUUGGCAGGGAACAGGGCAGCCCAUGCUAUCCCCUCCUUUUUCUUCUCGACUAGGAGUACGUGAAUUGCUUUGUCUCUGCACUGGAGCAAAAGCUGCAGCUGCAGCUCCAGCCCUGCCCUGCGUCUGUCGAUGGCGUCUGCACUUUGCCUCUGAAAGGUUCAGGCUGUUUCGCCGGACAUGAUUCGUGUCAAGCUGUAGGCCAUUCGCUCUGUAAAAGGCGCCCUGCCUUGUACUACAGACCAUGCUCGCUCGCAGACUUUUUGCACAGUAUCAAGUAUAUCAACGGUUCACUGGUACCAGUACAAGUGUACAACUACAGCUACUGCAGGUGCAGGUUGUACUCCGUGCAGAAUUGCAAGAAGUACUGGCUCCAUUUUCUCGGCGGAUGAAAAACGUGCAGAGGCUGAUCGAGAUUGAAGAAGAUGAAUGAUGGGUGGCCAUGGCAAUGGACCUCAGGCGCAGACUGGCCCAUCUGGUAGUAGGUUGGUGCCUUGGUGGCGGCCAGCUAGCGAGCUGCUAUGGAUAUUCCUUCCAGUGGCUGUUGGCGCUGGUCCUACGCGACAUGUCAGUAAUGUGUACUGGGAGGGGUCCCGUUUGGUUUGAGGUGAAAACAAAAGAUCUGACUCCUGCUUCGGUGUGCCAUGCAGCGAUUGGUACAUUACGUGUCCACAUCUGGUGAAAACAAACUGUUAGAGAUCUAUAGUUAUAUAAAAUAAUUAUGAGAAUUCCUUCACUUAGCGGGGAUAGCUCAGUUGGGAGAGCGUCAGACUGAAGAUCUGAAGGUCGCGUGUUCGAUCCACGCUCACCGCAUAUUUUUCAUGCUCUGAUUUGUUAUUCCUUUUUACCUCUCGCCAUUUUCCUCUCUGAAUCUAUUUGUUAUACCUUUUUUCCCUCCCACCAUCCUCCCUGGAAUGCCUGCUACCAGUCUCUCUGCAAAAUAAACAGAAGAGGGAUAUGCAGCCCUCCACUGGAGAUUUUUUUACCCUCUUCUUUUUGUCAUAUUUCCCCUGCUACCUCCUCUCUGCAAUACAAACAGAGGGAUAUAUUUUUUUUAGCGAAGAAACAGAGGAGGGAUAUAGGGCGCUCCACUGAACAAUUCAUUUGCAUGCUCUAAGAUCAGAUAUUUAGAUGUAUUUCCUUUGAGUUGUACAGUUCAUAUUGCUACCGUCAGUUCAGUCCGCCGAGCCUUUUAUUUUGGUGCGAAAAAUGUCCAUUUUACUCCCUUUGUCUAUUUACUUUGUCCGCUUAAUCCUCUGAACAAAAUUUAGGCUCACUUUGCUCUCCCGAACUAUUUCAUUUGGUUCAAUCUACCCCUAAUUAGAUUUUUCUUUUUUGUUUCUUCACGUACAAGUUAAGUUUUAAUUUUAGAUUUUGUCAGUUGACUUCUAACAUGAUGCUCUACGUUAGAAAAUACAUUAGAAUUUCUUCAUGAUUACUUUUCUUACAACUUUAUAUAUCUAAGAUCAAUUUCAUAUUAAAUAUUCCUAACCUAUAAAAAUAACCAUGAAAAAUUCUUGUAUAAUUUUUUAACAUAAAGCAUCAUGUUUUGUAUGUACUCACAAAAUUUGAACUCAAAAUUCAACUCAUACAGAGAGAAAAAAAAAAGAGAAAUCUAAUUAGGGGUAGAUUGAACCAAAUGAAAUAAUUCAGGGGAGUACAAUAAGCUAAAAUUUUGUUCAGGGGGUUAAGGGGACAGAGUGGAUAGGUGAGGGGAGUAAAAUGAUUUUUUUCCUUUUGUGCUUUGUUAGGCGAACGCUGAGCUAGUCUGAGCAACAGUUUAUGCCAAUGACAUUCCUCAUGCAUUUGUAAGAGUUAUCGACAGAUCUUGCUCCUGAGUCUUGACCCUGUUAGAUUAAUCUAGCACUCUACUACUAUACUUGCUGGCUAGCUGAUACUGUGCGCAUGUCAACGACGGCUUGCUUUGUUCAGUGAUGAUAGUAUAGUAUAACCGCAUACAUUUCUCCCUGACGGUACGGAUUAGUGGGCUGAAUUAUUGGAGCUCAACCUUGGUCUGGCUUGCUUAGAUGCGCGAUACAGUUCUACGGUAACUUAGAAUGUGAUUGCAGUAUGUGUGACAAAAAUAUAGGAUUUGUAUCUUAGGGGGUGUUUGGAUACUAGGUGCUAAACUUUAGCAGUGUCACAUCGGAUGUUCAGAUGCUAAUUAGAAGGACUAAACAUGAGCUAAUUACAAAACUAAUUGCAGAACCCCUGUGCUAAUUCGCGAGACGAAUCUAUUAAGCCUAAUUAAUCCAUCAUUAGCAAAUGGUUACUGUAGCACCAUGUUGUCAAAUCAUGGACUAAUUAGGCUUAAUAGAUUCGUCUCGCGAAUUAGACUCCAUCUGUGUAAUUAGUUUUGUAAUUAGUCUAUGUUUAAUACUCCUAAUUAGCAUCCAAACAUCCGAUGUGACAGGUGCUAAACUUUAGCACGGGGUAUCCAAACACCCCUUUAGAAGAGGAAAGGCAAAAAGGAGAAAAAGAGUCUUCACUCAGGACAGAAAACUGCAAAAGGGUAAAAUAAAAAAAAAACAUGAGAAGUAAACUACAAAAAGGGGGAAAUAGCAAAAGUACAUGAAAACUAAACUGCAAGAGUGAUAUUUUUAAAAAACUAUGCCCCCAUGCAGGAUCGAACUACAGACCUUCAGUUUACAAGACUGACGCUCUACCACUGAGCUAUAGGGGCUAACGUGAAAUUUGAUUUAUUGGUACUUUUUUAAUUAUUUAUUGCCGCCAGUUAGACCAACCACCACGACCGAUUAGAUUAGUCCCGCCACGGGCUAUCCACUCCCACUCCUAAAUCCACAUCCAUUUCAAAUGCGGAGGAUUUGGAUAGAAAAUUAUAUACCCAUUAGAAAUGAGGAGGUAUAAUUAAUCAAUUGGAUAUAUAUAUAUAUAUAUAUAUAUAUAUAUAUAUAUAUAUAUAUUAUAACAAAGUUAAUUAUUUCUGGAUGGGAUUGUUGAGGGUAAGGAGUGGAUGAUAAUUAUUUGGAUUUGGUUGUGAACGAGUGGUUUGCCUAUCGUUGGACUAAGGCCCCGUUUGUAUCCGCUUAUAAGUGGCUUAUCGGUGGAAAGAAGUGAGAAUCCCGCCAAACGCUUUGCUUAUUUCCACCGAUUCUCGCUUAUGUGGUAAGCCGCUUCAACGAUUUGAACUACGAGAAGCGAGAAGCGAGAAAAUCUUCGUUUAGAUUAUAAUCCAAGCGUGGCUAGGAAAAGCGUAUACAAACAGGGUCUAAGAUUAGUGGCAUCGCCUUUAGCACUCCGAUCGUUGGACUUUGGACCUGGGCCGAUGUGUUGCCGAUUUGGCCACCGCGUCUUGUUUUUUCUCGGCCGUUGAUGCCGCCGGACCCCGGAUGGAAGGUGCGAGCAUCGACCUGAUGGUGCUGAUGCUGAUGGGAGUAAUCUCGGUGGGGUUCGUGGGAUACAACGGGGAGGAGAUGGCCAGAGGCGCCGAGGCGGCAGCGGCAUUGAAGAGCAUACUUUGGCGGCGCCAUUACUCUUGGAAUCGUGAACAGCUUCGAAAUGAAGGUCAUGUUGGCCGGGGUGACUUCAUCAUCGGUGCAGCCAUAGCGGUGUGAUCCAGGUGCUGGAAGAUGCGAACAGGACGUCUGGAAAUGAAGGUGCUUGCGGAAUUGAUGUGUAUAUAUCUAGGAUAGUGAAGAAUUAAGCAUACAGAAUCAUCAGAAAUCAAAUGCGGAAGGGAGGGCUAAUGCUGGAGGAGGAGUGGGGAUCCAUUUGCCGUGGCGAGCGCGGCCGUCGCCGUCGCCGGAGGAGGAUAGGGAGGUAAGCCACUAAAUUGGGGGGCUUUCUAAAAAAGUUGGAUCGAGAUUAUUAAUCACGAUCCGAUUUUGGAGGUUAAUUGAACAUAUUUGGAUCGUGAUUAUUCAUCGCUAUCCAUUUCAAGGGGUUUAUAUAAAUAUCCGGUUUCAAGGGGUUUAUAUAAAUAUCCGGAUCGCGAUUAUUUUUCACGAUCCAAUUGAGGGGUCAUUUGUAAAAUUCUCUAACCGCAGUCAAGUAGUCCGCACGCAGCACGCCCCUCCUCCCUUCCAGGCUUCCACCCCUUCGCCGCCUCUAUCGUCGCGGCUUUAUCCCGGCCGCCUCUCUGCUCCCGCGUCGGCGACGAGCGGCCACCGGGCUGCGUCUCGGCCACCGCGAGGCCCCACCACCCUGAUCUUCUAUCCCGGUGGCGCGGCCCUGGCAGACGUUGUGGUCCCCCGGCGCACCGUACCAGGUCCCGGCUGCCGCCCGUUGCCCCUUGGCGGCCGCCGGUAGACACGGUCCUCCCAGCUGCCGCCCUGCGCUGGUGCCGGCGCUCUGUGCCCUGGUCGUGGAUCCCACCUCCCGGCCGUCGGCCUGCACCCCCACCCAAGCCGCCGCCCCACGCCUCUCCCGGCCACAGUCCGGCGGCCUGCGGUAGUAGUGGUCAAGGUAAGCAGGGCCCUGCAUCCCCACCCGAGGCACCAGACUCCAAUUGGUAGGUCAGCCUGCUCUCCGAUUAGCAUAUGCACUCCUAUUUGUUCAAGAUAUAUAGCACAUACACUCCGAUUUGUGGAUAUCAGUUCACCCCCAUCAGUUGAACAACCGCUGCAGCUUGUGAGAUUCCACAGGCUUUUCCUAGAAUUAAAUGCUAAUUUGUCUCAUCUUAGUGAACUUACUAGAGAUAACCUAAAUGAGGAGGGUUGUAUAGGUUUUUUAGCUGUGUCAGUUAAUUAUUCUUUUGUGCACCCUCCUCCUUGACAAGUGUAGUUUUUUUUGUGUGCAUUGCCAAACCGGGAAAAAAAGGAAUAUCAAGUGUCUUUUCACCUUGACUCCUUGCUGUACCAUGAUUUUUUGUUUAACCAUUGUCCAUGUACUUCUGCCUGUGCGAACUGUGUAAAUGGUACUAAUAUAAGUAUAGCUUUAUGAACUUUGUUCAACUAGAAUAAUUAGAUAUAUCAGCUUACCUGGCCUGACUACAGAAAAACAUCUUUGUUCUUUUCCAAAGAUAUUGUUAUUUAAAAAAUGCUUACUUUUUGUUGACACAUGAGCAGUGAACUGCAGAUUGUAUAAUUUUGGCACCCCCAUUGCCAUUUGAUUUACCCUGUGCUUAUCCUUUGCCAGUUGACAUUUAUCCUAUGCCUUAUCCUUUUCUCAUGCAGUGCCCUCAAUUUGCCACAUGUUUUGUUUAUAAAAUAUUCCAAGCACGAAUAGAAAUUGAAGAAGUUUUUCCCAUUAGGAACAAUCACAUUGUAUUCUAUAAUGAAAAGAUUGUACAUUGUAACUAAACCAAAUAAUUCUACUUGGAGAUGCCAGUUUUUAGGAAUUGUAACAUUUUUAAUAUAUUCGACUUUUUUAUGAGCAAACCUAUAUGUUUGAGCUUGCUAACCUGUGCAACUGCGCGGGGGUUCCUAUUAGUGUUUCACUAUUGCCUGUUUGUCUUGUUCGUAGAUUUGUAUGUAUGGAAAUUCGAUGCACUUUCUAACAUUAGCCUUUUCAUUUUCAUAUUGCACGCGCUCUAUUUUUAUCUUGGUUUUGCCACUGCUAAUCUGCUUACGUUGAAUUGCAGAGAUGAACGUGGCAGUGCCACCACCACCACCACCACAUCUUCGGCUAUAUGAAUUUGCCAAGACCGCCCUCAUCAAAAUUUUUUCCUUUCCUUAUGCUACGGUCUGUUAUUUGCUGCUCUCUUUUAUGAUUUACAAUUUGUUCCAAAUCAGCGAGAAACUCUGCAGCAGAAUCCUGAAACUAAUAUUGCAUUUGCUGGUUGUAAAUGUGUUAGGUCUGUGACUUGUAUUGCGAUGGUGGAGUUGAUACUGACAAGUGGUGUGAUGCCCAGGUUGGCCACUACAUAGGAAUCGGUAGGCUGCCUCCACUAGCCUGUGCCCUCCAAUGUCUAUUAUCAGAUGUCAACAAGUUAAUUUGAUCAUCAGACCAAUUUCUGUAACAGAUGCCUCUGCAUCGGGUGUCAGUGAUGCCCGUGAGCUAUGGGAGAACAAGAGGAAACCUUUCACUGCUGAGUUCAUCGAGUUGGAUCCUUCUGAUGUGCACCCUCCAUCCAUGCCUUCCAAGAUCUUAUUCCUACACAUACAAUUGCACUAAAGUGCUGACAGUUAGCUUUUGUUACAUUUACCUGGCAGGAUGAUUUUGAAGCUCAAGUGCAGGAAAAGGGCAUCCAAGCAGAUAUAGUUUGUUGUAUGCAGCACUUGCAGGCGAGUUGGUGGUUCUCUAGAGUCUAGAGUUCUGGAAUAUGAUAUACUUGUGAGCUUUGCUAAUCUUCAUAGUUUAUCCUUUUUGAAAGAUAGUUAUGCUUCGAGAGUGAAGAACGGGCAAAGAAGCUUCUGAAUAAUGUAUCAUCACUUCUCAAACCUGGAGGCUACUUUUUUGGCAUGACUCCUGAUUCAUCUACAAUAUGGUAUAGUCACGGCCUUUUUCUUCUUAUGUUUUAAUGUCUUCUCUUUUUUCUUUAAGCUAUUAUUCAGAAAAAACGUCUUAUAAGCUUGGGUGGUCAUCCACCAACCAAGUAAAAUAUGUAGGCUGACAUUUAUGCUUCACUGCAAGUAAAGCUUAAUUCACCUUCUCUUAUACAAAUUUAGCGUUCAAUGUUCUUGAGAAAAACUCCGCCUAUGUUGUCUCAACAUAGCAGGUCCCAAGCCCUGGUAAAGGAGGAGGGUUGUGAUAGGUUUGGUGAGCCAACGUUAAACCUAGCCAUUCUAAUGGAGAUGAAACCCAAGAGGCUCUUGUUGGGUUUCAACUCUAGCCUACCCCAACUUGCUUGGGACUAAAAGGCUAUGUUGUUGUCGUAAUGUUCUUGAGAAAACUCUUUUCUUUUUCUAAGUUGAUUUGUAUUUUCUUUUUAUUCUGUAGGACAAAAUAUCAAAAGAAUGUUGAGGCUUCACAUAACAAAGGUCUGAAGACUGUUCCAAAUAGCAUUCGCUCGGAGAAUUAUACCAUUACCUUUGAAGUUGAGGAAGAAAAGUAUGAAUUUAAAUUGUAUCCUAAAUGUACCUGAAACUUUGUUCAUAUUGACUUCCUGAGGGAAUCCUUUGUGUAUGGUGCAGGUUUCCUUUCUUCGGGAAAAAGUACCAACUCAAAUUUGCGAGUGAAGCAGUAUUUGAAAAUCACUGCCUGGUCCACUUUCCCAGCCUUAUGAGGUCAUAUUUUCCUAAUUUAUUUUCAACAUUUUUUUGCAUAGCUUCAUUGUCAUGGUAGCAAAAUCUCUAGAAAUUUGAGCAGAUCGGAUGAUAAGAGUUUUCACGAUGGUUGGUUGUGUUGAAACAGAUUAGCAAGGGAGGCUGGACUUGAAUAUGUGGAGAUCCAGAAUUUAACUGAGUUUUAUGAUGAUAACAGGUAGCUAUAUCUAUGUCAAGACCUUUAUUAUUUUCAUGGAGUCAUUUUCUUGUUGGUUAUUCAUUUGUAUCUUUUGAGUUACUCCAUUCAUAACCUGCUGUCCAAAGAAUUGUAAUGUGGUGACUACCAACAACGUGGGAUGUCCAAACUGUAUUUGACUUCUGGUUCUGAAUGAUUCAGAAUACAAUUUGCUCCAAUGCUUGGUGGUUACAGUGCAAGUUUUUUGGAUGCUCGUGGAAAGCUUGUUACUCGUUCCUAUGACAUUUUAGGUGGUGUAAAAUUCUUCUUUUUUGCUGCAUCAGAUUGUAAGGUCCCAGUUUACUCACUUUUUUCACCUGGUUUCUACAGGCUUGUAUUCAACUUUUGUAUUUCAGAAGCCUGACCCAGAUGCAAUACCACCUAUUGUAACACCCGACUUGCAUGAUACUGAUAAUGCUCACGAAGAGGUAUGUUUCUUCUGCUUAGUAGCUAGAUGUAGUUUUUUUUUCUGUCUCAUUGGAGAAUAUUGUUGGUCUCACACUUUGUUUGAAACAAUAGGAAUGGCUCCGACGGCAGCAGGCAUCAGCAGAUGAUGGGAGGCGCUCCCAUACGGAUGUGCUUCCCUUGGAUCAUGAGAAAGGCAUCCUGGGUCCUGGACCUGCAGAUAUGAGGCUUUGAUGGUGGUAAUUCAAAUCCUGCUUGAACUCGGGUGAUGAUGCUUUUAGUAUUUGUUUUUCCUCCCACUGAGGACAAUUUCUGGUGUGUGCACUAAGAGUUCACGAAAAUAUCAAACAACAUUAGGAGGCUCCCAAUCCUGGCAGAGACGGGUUUUCUAGCUCUUCGAGUUUGUCCAACUUUCAAGGCCCCAAGGUGCCUUGAAACCCUUCCGAUGUAAGCCUUCAUCUUCAGAGACAACAACAUAUUCUGGUUGCAAGGGGUUAUCAAGCGUAAGUAUCAGGCUGUUAGUUGUUAACAAUGGCCAACAGCAAGGAAUCUCUUCUUCAUCAGAUCCUUUUGCUUCCAUAAUUUCUUGCCACUAUAUAUCACUUGAACCGUGUUGGUCCAUCUGCUCCACUGUAUGAGUAGUAAAAUGCACCCAAAGCAGACAGGAAGUCUUCUCGUCAGCUCUUAAUCACUGUGAUGAAGAGGAUGUCACUGAAUUUAAUUGCCGUGUCGGCUCAGAUUUAGCAAGUGCCUCCAGAACGUCAACUCAUACUGAUCACUCGACACAACACAGUAUGUCUAUCUAUGCGAGUAUAUUGCGGUUGCGGGUGUCGUCGUCCUUCUGUAUAUGGUUGGUUACUCGGCACUCGGCAGCUAGUAUAAAUGAUGUUACAACACUGGUAGCUCGCCCCGUCACCCAUCCCUAAGCUUGGUCGAUGUCUCUGCACCCUCCAAACUCCAAGCAAACCUUGUGUACAGGAGCGAAUGGGCUAUUCCAAAAGAUCCUGAUAUGCUCCAUAAUCUCAGUUGACUGUUCUUUUCUUUCUCGAAAGUAAAAACCAUAACAUGCAGAAGAGCCAAGGCACGGCAACUUAAUGAGAUUCUGAGUGUCUGUCUCGACGAUAACUUAAUCUAUGGCUGAAGCCAAACCAUCCUUCCAUUAUUGUUCUUUUUUUUUUCCUGAGAUAAUGGGGAAAAAAAAGUAGCUGUCUGGCCGUCAGGAAAUCUGAUACAUGCAUCUGGUUGAUGGAGCUAGGUGACGUCGUUCUGUAUGUGCGGACUAUCAAGAUGCAUGCAACUGCCAUGAGGCAAUCACAUAAUCGGAUGUUCCUGGGAAAUUUGUUCAUGUGCAUGCCAUUUCUCAAACUAAACACCCUACACCCCUAUGUUUAUACUAAUCAGGUUAAUAUGAGAAAUGUUGUGAUGAUAGAUGAGAUAACCCAUUCUAUUUCUCAAACCAAACAAGAAUAUGGGUGACAAGACAAUGAAUCAAUACACCCUCAAACGAAACAUCCCCGAGGACACUGAACUCCAACAAUUAAUUUGCAUCCCUCAACUUCGUCUGGAAAAACAAGACUCCCCCCGUGUCCAAUUCUUGACCUGGCUCCUUGUCCAGGAGCGCAUUCAGUGCCGGUCCAACUUGCUUGUGAAGAACGUGAUCGACGACGCUACCCUUUGCCUGGCAGCGGAAGAAGACUGCAACCACCUAAUGCUCACCUGCAGUUUUGCUUCACGGGUCUGGCUACAUCUUGGGAUCGACAUAUCUGGAAAAACUGUCACCGAGCUUUGGGAGCUUCGACGCCCAACAACGAUGCCAGCAAAACAUUUUUUUAGGAACAGGAGGGGGAGUCCCUGCUGGAUAUAUAUUAUAAAAAAAAUAGAUCGUAUAAAGCAAGUUAACAAACAAAGAAAGAAACAAAGAAAAUCCAUUGAGACAUGGGUUUUUUCCAAUCCUCUUUUACUCUAUGGAUAACCUGAGUAAAGAUAAAUUUGAAGUGGAGCAAAACACUCUGAACUGAUGGGGCAAUUCCCUUAAAGAUCCAGUCAUUUCUGACCAUCCAUAUACACCAACUCAUGAGAAUUAUGAUUUCCAUAAAAAAAUGAACAUGGAGCUGAAUUUUGAAACUAUUGAGGAUUGUGUAAGGUUCAUCUGGUAGAUUAGGAAACAAACCUAAGCGUAUCCAACAUUCAAAUGCAAAGGGGCACUCCAGCAAAAGGUGAAGUAAGGUUUCUUCAUUGUUAUGCUGACACAAGAUACAAUCAUAGGAAGGAAGAUUCAUUUGCUUUCUUCUGAGAAUAUUUCUUGUGCUUAGCCUGUCCUUGAGAACUAGCCAAAAGAAUACCUUGUGUUUAUUUUGACAUUUUGAUUUCCACAGCUAUUUAAAUACAUGAUGCACCUGUCUAUGCCCAGUGAGGAAGUGAUAAGCUUUUGCCGAUGAAAAAUAUAGACUACCCCAGAUGUAUGUCCAAAUAUCUUGUUCAUCAUUAAGAUUCAGGCCUUCCAAGUUGGCAACCAACUGGUGGAGUUGGUCAAAAGCUUGAAAUGAAAGGGGUAAGUGAAAUAAUUGGUGAAUAUCAGCAACUUCGUAUGCUCUUUGAAUUGAGAUAUCCUACUUCUUGGUGAAAGAGAAAAGCUGGGGAUAUGCUCGGGCUGGGACCUGAUUUCCCACAAAUCAUGCCAUAGGGAGCAUGUACUGCCAUUUUUUACUGUUACUAUUGCCAACCCUUUAUAUUUAUCGAACAACUUCACAACAUCUCUCCAUCAGAAAGAACCCCUUUCACCUGUCCUAUGCCAGCAAAACAUUUUGAUAGUUUCCUUCACCUCAUCUGUUGGCACUUGUGGAAGCACAGGAAUGAUGUUGUGUUUAACCAGCCGCUGGCUGCUCAUACCGGUUCUGGAUGGCUUGGAAGGAGGAUGCCCAUAUGUGGAGCUGCCGGUGGCCAGCAGAGGAACGCAUCAUUGCUGAGUCUUGGUGUUUAUUGUUUCCCAAUAUGUAAUAGAUAGAUAACUGUUAUUUUCUCCCAUGAAUCCCUUUACCUGCUACAAGCACCUUUACCGGCGUUUUGGCUUUCCAACAGCCUUAAUAUAAUCUUAGGUGCUCCUCCCCCCUACAUUUAGAUUAGGGCAUGCGGCCCUUCCGUAAUCUAUGUCAGCGACGGGUUCCUAUACCAGAGGCAUCUCUACGGGAGGAACUAAUGACUCCUAACGUAUAAAGAGGCCUAAGGCCUAAAAGCUCGGAGCACCCCAAAGCAGCCCAUAUGUCGCCACGGCCCAUCUCCCGACCUCCCAAGGUCGGUUGCGAUAGACCACGACCCACCGAGCCACCCAACUCGGGGGUGGGACCCGCGUGGGGCCUGGAGUGCUCCACCUACCUGCGUGGGGCUAGCGCAUUAAUUGCGAGCCAUGGUAUCCUGACCGUUCCACGCCAGCUUGAGUACGGGGACGUGACCGGGCCAGGGGGCCGACCUCUAACCAGGGGUCUAAGGGUGAGGCCGCAUCCUUCGGACCGUACUAGGAGGAACCGAGGGAAGAGGCCACGCGGCCCGUACACGCACAAAGGGCACCUGAAUGUCAUCAUGAUCCUCCCCUGUGUAAUGGCCCAUCGGGGUCAGGACAAGGCAGCCACGGCAUGCCUGGUGCGGGCCCGACGUACGAGGUGGGGCUCAGGACUAGACCUUACGGCGUUGAGUAGCCGUGAGGGCGCCCAACAGGUCGGGAAAAGACGGGGUGAGUGGCACGCCUCAUCCAGCUGUUGACCCGGAGCCCGCCUACUCGCUCCAGGUACGGAUGUCAGCAACAGUAUCCGUCCUGUUCUCUGGCGCGGGGUUGGCAGACGGGACGGAGGCAUGCCCCGGUACAGGCCACAUUGCGCGUAAGCGCUCCAUGCCGCACAGGGGCUACCGUGCUGACCGUACGGGCCCAAGACCGACGAAGGAGAACAAGACAAGCGGGCCCCGCAGGGAGGGUCCCACAUCGCCUGCUCAGGCCGUACUCUUCCGACCAUCCAACGACUUCGGAGCUCUGAGGUCAGAAGACCCCCUCCUUUCUUCAAAAUGUUGCCCAGUCCCUAGCCUGUAUAAAGGGAACCGGGCCUUCUCUCUCGCUCUCUCGAUUCCACGACUCACAAACCCUCACACACGCUCAUCGCAUGAACUAGACGUAAGGAUCUUUUUGAACCAGUAUAAACCCCGUUGUAAACUCCAGUGUACUUGAAUCCAAGGAACACGACUCCUGCUGAAAACUGAGUAUAAACCUCUUGUUCUUGUGUACUAGCCACCAUAAGUGAGGAAGAUGUGGCGUAUAAUCACUAGUCGGCGGUAUAAAACACCGACACAUAGAUGCAUCUUUUACUCUCGGAGUCGCUCCAUGUUCUUAAGUUUUUCUCUGCAUCAUAACGACUUAACGAGCGAUUCGAGAUUGAGGGAUACUUAAGCCUAUCUUUCUAAUAAUGGAGUAGCUAAGAGCUAUAAAGAAGCGCUAGUUGCCUAGUUGCAUCUCUGUUUACGUGCACACCAGGUGCAUCAUACGGAGAUAGCGACCGUGGAGUUCGUUGACUGCAUCUCGUAUGUGAUCACCUAUAAAGAAGCUGUUUUGCUAAGGGUUCCCAUGCCCAAACUAACCAUCUGCGAGGCCUUGUCUUCCUCCAUGAAAACCUCUCCCUUGCAAACCGAGACAGAAACAGACGCGGAAGCCCAAAAUAAUCCAGAACUCUACCAGCACUUUGCCAACUUGGUCUCCUCCUUGCCGACCUCAGAAGGCUUGUCCAGCAACCAAUUCCACCGCCAUGACCAACGUUGGUAUUGCAGCCUGGUGCCCAUAGUCGGCGCCAUGGUCGCCGACGCGUGCUUCACCGCGCGGCCAUCGGGAAUCAUCAUCGCCACCCUGCCCAAGUCCGGCACCACGGGAUCAAAUCGCUCCUGUACUCCACCGUGCACCGGAGAGAGCACCCCGUGGACGCCGCCGACCACCCUCUAAUCUCCUUCGGCCCCCACGGGUGCAUCAAGUUCUUCGAGUACCAGCUCUACACGAGGAACAAGAUCCCCGACCUCGACAAGCUCCCGGACCCAAGGCUCUUCGCCACGCACCUCCCGAUCGUGUCACUGCCGAGGGCCAUCGCGACAUCGGGCUGCAAGAUCGUGUACGUGUGCCGCGACCCCAAGGACCACCUGAUCUCGCAGUGGGACUUUGCGAACAAGUUCCGGGCCAUGAACCAGCUCGAGCCACUCUCGGUGGAGACUGCCGCCGACCUGUUCUGCAGCGGCUUGUCGCCGUUCGGGCCGUACUGGGACCACGUGCUCGGGUACUGGCACGAGCACUUAGCGGGGCCCGAGCAGGUGCUCUUCUUGAGGUACGAGGAGAUGCAGAGGGACCCUGCAGCACACGUCCGGAGGCUGGCGGAGUUCGUGGGUCAUCCGUUCAGCGCUGGGGAGGAGGAGGCCGGCGUGGUGGAUGCCAUUGUGAGGCUGUGUUCUUUUGAGCACAUGAGCACGAUGGAGGUGACCAAGAGCGGCAAGACUGAUCUUGUCAUCGGCACGGUGGAGAACAGCUCGUUCUUCCGGCGUGGCGUGGUGGGGGAUUGGGCGAACCAUCUGUCGCCGGAGAUAGAUAAUACUAAAAAAAAGGGUAAAUAAUACUAACAAAACAUUACGAAAGCCAACCUUCUAACCUAGACUUUGUGGUGAAAAAUUCCCUUACUGAUAUAUAUCAAUAUUGCGUACGGUGUUUUUUUUUUUAAAAAAUGUUUGUUAUACGUCAAAGACGGGGUUUGAUGGACGUUCAAAUGAAUAAUUAGCUAAGUGGGGCAUAUGAGACCAGCAUACGACAACUAACAUUUCGCAAUCUCUUAUUAGCAAUCUCGUGCAUCACGCGAACAGCGACCCAAUGUAUUCGGUAGACUUCGUUCCAUUAGAGCACCCGCAGCGGCGGACCUCGAUGCCGAGCAGAAAACGUCCCAUCGAUGCCCAGCAGCAAACGAUGCCCAGCAUGCUGCAACGUGCAAGCAUCGGUGCUAGGUCCCUGCGCACGGAGAAAAGAUAUUUUACUUUGUGGCAUCGACAAUCGAGGUAUGUACGGGCGUCGAGGUUAGAAAAUUUUUCGGCUCUCACAGUGUGCAAUCAUCGGUGAUUCAUCUUCUCUUUCCAAACGGAGCAUCGCCUUUCUUCAACAAUGCGGGUGCUCUUAGUAGUAACCUCAAAGAUUCUACCUCACCAAAAAGACACAAAAACAAGACUACAAAGAUGCUGCUGACAUACGAAUCCCCAUUUCACUGCAUAGCCAUGUCUUCCUCCUUCAAGCAACCCUUUCUCUCACAAGACGAGGAAAAAACGAACGCGGAAACAAAAACCAACCACCAAGAACUCUACCAGCAUUACGCCAACUCGGUCUCCUCCUCGCCAAGCGCGGAAGGCCUGUCCCACCUCAUACUCCACCGCCACCACCAAGGAUGGCAUGGCAGCCGAAUGUGCAUAGCCGGUGCCAUGGCCGCGGAUGCGUGCUUCACCGCGCGCCCCUCGGACAUCGUCGUCGCCACCCUGCCCAAGUCCGGCACCACGUGGAUCAAGUCGCUUCUGUACGCCACCGUGCACCGCCGAAAAUAUCCUGCUGAUGCCGCCGACCACCCUUUCAACUCCUUCGGCCCCCACGAAUGCGUCAAGUUCUUGGAGUACCAAAUCUACACCGGCAAGGAGACCAAAGACAACCUCGACGAGCUCCCGGACCCAAGGCUCCUUGCCACGCACGUCCCGUUCGUGGCGCUACCGGCUGCCGUGGUCGCGUCGGGAUGCUAGAUCGUGUACAUGUGCCGCGACCCCAAGGACACCAUGGUCUCGCUCUGGCACUUUGCGAACAAGCUCAGGGCCAGCGAAGGCCUCGAGCCUCUCCCGGUGGAGACCGCCGCCGGGUUGUACUGCUACGGCAUGUCGGCGUUAGGGCCCUACUGGGACCACGUCCUCGGGUACUGGCGCGCUCACCUGGCGCGUCCCGAGCAGGUGCUCUUCUUCAAGUACGAGGAGGUCUGGAGGGACCCUCCGGCGCACGUCCGGAGGCUGGCCGCGUUCGUGGGCCUCCCGUUCGACGUCGAGGAGGAGGAGAACGGCGCGAUGGACGCCAUCGUGAGGCUGUGCUCGUUCGAGCACAUGCGCGGGCUGGAGGUGGCCAAGAGCGGCAAGACGGAGUUUGUGGUUGGCGCGGUGGAGAACAGGUCGUUCUUCCGGCCCGGAGGGGUCGGGGACUGAGCGAACCAUUUGUCGCCGGAGGCAGCGCGGCGCAUCGACGCUAUUACUGAGGCCAGGUUCAAGGGUUCCGGUCUCAGUGUUUAGCCAGGGAUCAAUAGCAUUACGCGUAUGAAUUGUCUGUUGUUCAAUAACAAGCAUGAUAACUGGCUAGCCGGCUGUAACACAUCUUUAUCAAUGAAAUAGGCACAAUCUCGUGCCCUUUUCCUUUCAAAAAAAAAAUAACAAGCAUGAUAGGCGCGCUUCGCGCCGCUCUCGUAGAAAUUAUAUAAGAAAAAAUAUGUAAAUAAUAUGUAAGAAGUUUGUAUAAAAAAAUUGUAUAGAAAAGAAGUAUUGAAAGCAUGUUUGUUUUGGAAAAUAAAAAUCUUCAAACAUUUCAACAGAAAAAUUGCAAAACAAAUUAGAGAACAUACGGGAAAGCAACAUUUUGAAAAUUUAAAGAAAAAUUCAAAGAAAAAUAUUCGAGACAAAAAUUGAAAAAAGAAAUCGGAAACAAAAGAAUAGGAACACAGCUUUUGCAAAAAAAAAAAGAAAAGAAAAAAACGUCGGAAGCGGAGGCCCUCGUCGCUCUGCCGCCCCGUGUCGGCUUCGCCUGGCUGGGGCCGCACCUUCGCAUGGGCUACAGGCCCAAAGUUCAUCCGCGCGGCUCCUCGACGGUCGUUGGGCCGCCGCACCGCCCGCUUGUCGUCGCCUGGACGGCUGGGCGCGCUCGGCGGGGCCGCCGCGUCCUCGCCGGGGCUGCAGGCGCUCGACGAGGCCGCCAUGUGCUGGCUUGGUGGUGCCGCCGCGCCCUCAGCUCGGCUGACGGCCAGACCGGCUCGCGCACCAUGUCGUUGCUGAGAACAGCCCUCGUCUCCGUCGGUCGUCUGAUUUUUGGAGCAGGUGAAAAGGUGAAGGUAAAAAAUCUGAGGAAAGAAAGGAAAACGUGAGGGUCUUGUGUUGGGAGGUCGAGGGGUUUUGGGUUCUUGUCAGCUCUCGUGACUCGUCCAUUCCAGAUGCAACAGUUCCGACUUGGCCCAUCUGUUAGUGUCUCAGAAAUCGGCAAAUCGCCCAGGCCAGCAACUUUAAUAUAAAAAGUAGUACAUGCCGUGCUCGUAUUGCUGUAUACGUUAGCUAGGUCACUCACAUUAUUCAUCCAUAAUACCCCACACGCAUUAUUCGGCAUGCACACGCACGCUACAAGCACCCCCAUCACAUUCACGCAGGUGUGGGUGGCGCCUUCUUGAACACGACCACAUGAGGCUCGUCGGACACGGCGAGCCACGCGCGGUCCCUCUCGUCCCUGAACACGCCCAGUUCCUCGCACUCGGUGGGCACCCCGCACCACACCAGAAUGUACCCGUGGCUGUGCCUCUCGACGCGGAACACCCUCUCCCUGCCGCCCGCGGUCGGGGCCAGCACCGGGCCGGUGACGACGUGCCGGGGGCCGGACGCGAAAGGCUCGUCGCCGCGGCCGGCGACGUGCCACUCGGUGGUCUGCACGCACGUCGUCACCGCGGCGAAGUGGAUGGCCACGUCGAAGGAGACGCGCACGGUCCGGUCGCCGCCGUGGCCGUGCAGCGGCGUGAAGCGCACGGGGAAGCCCCUGCGGAGCGGGUCGUCCUCCUGCGCGACGAAGAGCGGGCACCGGAACGUGUGGGGGGCCAUGGUGAGCCCGCCGCCACCCCCGCCGCCGCUCCCGCGAGGGGCCGGGAGGACGUAGUAGUCCGCGUCGGCGCUCAGCUCGUGCCCGUCCAUGUCGUACACCGGCGACGGGGCCGCGGCGACGCGCGAGAGGGAGGCGGCUAGGACGGAGAGGAGGAGGAGGAGGAGGCGCACGGCGCCGGCCGGGCCGCCCAUGGCUGAAACCGUGGGCGAGUUUGCUUGGAUUUGCGUUGGAGGCCGAGGAGGCCGGUGUGAAUCUGCCUGCGACUUCGAAGCUAGUUUGCGGUUUUGCACGAGUACCUCGGGUGAGUAUUUAUACUGUUCCGGAGUGGAGUCGCCAGCUUUCCUUCCUCCUGGAUUUGUACGUGGCGUGAAGUCAUUUUCUUGUCGCCCGUGCACGUACCUGGCCAGCAGUAGUCGGCCCGUCAAGUCACACCGCACAUGCAUACGGCGGUGCCGAUCUGUACAACGCUACCAGCGACUGGGAAACUGUAGCAAUGUGAAACUUGUACGUGUGCCUUUUCUGAAAACAACGCAGCAUUUGUGCUCUGGGAAACAGUGAGCCUGAGCCCCGAAUGAAGGAAACCUUUGACUACCCCCACUCCGUCGACUCUCCAAUCGUAGUAAACGUAUUGCGUAGCAGUGUGGAGUAAGAGAGUUACUGUGAACAAGUAGAGAUAGAGUGGACUUGCGAGACGUUUUAUCUUAGCCGAACGCGGGACACGGAUUGCGGUGGUGUGUCAUCUGGAUUGGCUUCCCAACCAACCUAUUUUGGCUCCUCCGGCGCGGUUCGGCGCUGCAAGAGAUUGUGAUCGAUCUGGACACGGGGUCGACGCCGAUCAAGCUCGCAUGCGCCGACCGCGUACACGGUAUAUGGGACGCUAGGCUUUGCUGGGAUCAACUUUGUUUGCAUCACCGACCGCUUGGCCGCUCGAGCCUCCUUCCAUUCCAUGUGGUUUUCGAGGGGAAAAUCCGCCGCAGCGAGUACCUUCUUCGCGGCACACCGCCACGUUUUUCGCUUUGGUCGACAACGUGGAACUCUCUUGUCCUGUGCCUCGCAAAGCAGCCAACCUAUUUGGGAUUCGGGUUCAGCCCAGCACAAACAUGUCCGAUGCUGUCCCAAAGGCCGAAGCCCAGCUUUGAACCACGCAAUGAUAUUCGGCCUCAUCCCCCUUCCAAUUUUAGCAGUUUAGUCGGCCUGGUCUGGCUUGGGCUGCCUUGUGGUAGCGGAUGUCUUAGAGCAGUUAUCGCUAUAUGAGCCCAAAUAGUAACUGGCAGUGUUAAUAUCCGUACUAUUUUACCUCUAAAAAUUAUUUUAUUUUUUUGCCAGUAAACUUUGUUUUUCUUGCGAAGGUCGUGCGAGUAAACGUGAACACGCAGAUCGGCAAAAAAGAGCAUGAACAAAUUUGUCUUGAAUAAUAGUUUCACAACAUUUUCAGGUUAUAAAUCCCUAAAUCUUCUGAUACAUACUAGUGCAAGAUCAUAAAGGCACAACUGGAAACAAUUCGAAAAGGUGAGCUCUUCCAUUCAAGAACAUGCACAAAAUGGUUAAUUUCUCGGUCCGUGCUACAAAGCAACCACUUGGAGCAACACAAAGUUGAUCCAAAUCGUACGCGGAAGGAACUAAAUUGCGCCGAUCCGGGAUUAGAUGGGGCAAUCCUAGCUACGGCUACUUCGCAACAAAAGAUGGCGAAGCAACCCGUAACAUCCUCUUCUCAUCGUGCCGACAGGGCAGCCACUAGCACUGCACCGGACCUCCUCAUCAACCAGGCCCCAGGCCGGCCGUGCAAGUCAUUGCAGCUCCGAGACGGCCUGCUGCAUGUACUUGAACGACCGCUGGUAGCUGACGAACCCCAUGAACCAGAACUCGAAGCCGUCCACCGUGGCGACGUGGAUGUACUUCUCCUCCGGCCUGUCGGCGUUCUCGCUGGGCCGCACCUUGCCGAUCCUCCGGAGCGGGAUCACCACCUUGUAGGUCACCCGCGCCGUGUCACCCUUGGGAGAGGCCACCGUGAUGGGGCGGUCGCUGCGGAAGGCGACCUUCUUGGUGGACACGAAGAGCAUCCCGGCGAUGGGGCCGCCGGUGGUGUAGAGGUAGCACUGCAGCGCCUUGACCAGCCGCUCGCCCUUCUCGGCGGAGAACGCCUGCCGGAACACGCGCUCCACCCCGCCGGCCUGCAGGAUCCGCGCGCCCAGGCUCAGCUUUCCCUUAACCGUCUCCGACAGCUUUGGGCCCAGGGUCACUGCAACAUGAUCGAUCGCACACGGAUUAGGGUUUAAUUAAUUAGUAGGACAUGGUGUUCACGUGAUCUUGACUGAUCAACGGUCCUCGGAAUGAAGCAGCCACGGAACUGAAUGCUAACUCACCAUGCUCCCUGAAGCCUUGCGCCCGCCUGCUCAGCUUGCUCACCCAGCGGAUCACCUGAUGAUCUUUGCUGCCUGCAGGAAAACAUUAGCCAUAAACCACAUCAGUAUCAAAUGAUUUAACAGUAAAAACACAUGUUUUCAGUUAGAAAUCCCAUGGCAUGAAUGCAUGAUCACGAUCAACACUUACUGUGCUUGUAGUCGAAAGACGCGUAAGGGCUGGGGUGCGUCAACGAGACAGCAAGGUGAUCGCCGUCGCUCUUCCUGCACGUUCCCUCCUCUAUCCCAUACGCCUUGGAGGUGACCGGAACUCCGAUGACAUGGCCGCUGCUGCCCGACUUCCUCAUGGCUGUUAGGAGUGCUGGCCGACUAGUGACCACAACACAAGCUAAGCAGAGAGAGAGCAGAGAGCUCGGCGCCGAUCUAGCCUGCUUCGCGCUGAAUGAAGCGAAGAGCCGAAGAGGAUGCCUUAGCGUGUAAGGAAUUGCGGAUUGGUACCGGAGUGCAGCUGCCGAGGACGCCAUUUAUAGGCGCCGCGCGGUUGUGGAAUAUCCUUUGAGCUUUGUUGAAUUGGCGAAAGGCAAGUGGAUUUGCGGAGUCAGCAACCGGUCCGGCCGAGUCACCAGCGGCUCAGAAAAGGCGCGGUCCACGUUCGCCUAAAGCAGGCGUAGACCCCCUCCUCCCGCCUACUGCUUCGCUCGCAGCCGCUCGCUUCGUGAUGUGCGGCCGCGUCGGCCACCCCGGCCGGCCUAGAAACGGAGCUCCGCCCCCCGCCAUGUGAAGGCCAGGUGCGUGCGGUAUAUUCAUUUGCUCCCAAAGGCAAAGGAUUCUGGAUUUCUCUAUGGGAUCCGGACCCCGGUGGCGGUGGGGCUCGCCUCGCUGCCGCUUUCCGAGAAGCGCCCCAUGUGCCCGCACAUUCUCGCUCGCACCGGGCUACAUGGAAAAAAGGGUGGCGUGGUGUCGGGGGGAGCAAGGGCCCCGGUGCGCUGACUGCUGAGGCCGCGCCUUUCUUUAGAAGGGGCCACUAGUGUUUCGCGUAGGGUAGAGGUCGUUCGUGCGUUGCCCUGGGACAGUACAGGAGUAACAUGCGUGGCCGAUCGAGUGAUGUUGACGGCCUAAAUCACGUAGGGGAGGGACACAAACCACUGUUCCCGAGAUCGCGUCCUCAGGCGAUCGAUCGGGCAGACAUGGCCCAUGACCCACCGGUGAUGUGGAGCCGUGGAGGCAGGGCUCCAACCCGACGUGUAAAACGGCCAGCUUUUCCAGAGGCGAUGGAUCCGGCAAGGCAACAGCUGCAUGCGUCCCUCCUCACGUCGAAGUCGCCAUUCCCGCCUGCGCCCCCCGCGAGUCCAGCCGUCCUGGUCACCUCCCACGCAGCGCCGAGUCGGACGAACCGCGACCGCGCAUCACCAACCGACGCAACCGUCGAGUACGAGCGCGCGUGCGUGUCCAUCCGGUUGUGGCGCGGCGGCAUCGGGCAGGCACUGUGGCAUGGGCGCCGCGCCGUCCCUGUCUCCCGCAAUAAACCCGGCAGCCGGGAGGGGCGUUGCCACGCGAGGCCGGCGGGUUUGCCGUUCGUGGACGCGGCGGGGGCAUGGCGCGGGGCGCGUGUGCGUAGCCGUGUUAAUUGGGUUGUAACCCAUGUUGUAACCACACCAAUCUAUUCUUAUAAGAAAAUAAAUAUAAUCCACCCUAAACCAAACCUCCACUAUCACACACCACACCACCCCAAACUUACCAUUGCAUAAGUUAUACAAAUUACUUGCCAAAUAUGGUUACAACCCAAUAAGAACCCAUUAGGUACCCAAUAAAAACCCAUUAGUUAACUUUUUUUUUGAGUUUGUAUGUGACUCUCAACGUGGGGCCCACAUGUAAGUCUAGCCAUACUACUUUGCACAAAGUAGCGGACUGUCAAGCUAAUGCAUCUGCAACAAGUUUCGGUCAAUUCAUCCAAAAUUUUAAGGUGUGAACACGAGGUUUUAGUUUUAGGGUCCGACUCUUGACGCGGGCCCCACAUGUAAGUCCAGCCGUACUACUUUGCAUACAGUAGCGGACUGUUAAACUAAUUCAUCUGUAACAAGUUUCGAUCAAUUUAUCCAAAAUUUUAAGGUGUGAACGCGAGGUUUUAUUUUUAGGGUCCGACUCUUGAUAGAUGAGGCUCCAGGCUUUUGGGUUCUUAAUGGGUCUCAACCCACGGGUUGAGAGUCUUUUAGAUCCAAAAAUAAUACCACACACCCCAAACACCUUCCAAACUAUUUAUUUGUAAAACCCAAACCAAACCAAACCAUCUAGCAGGCCAACUCAUUAUAAACCAAUUCAAAUGAGCUUAUUAUAUAAACCAAACCAUUAAAACCAAUAAACCCAACCCAAUUAACAGGGCUGCGCUGCGUCCCGGCCCGUGGCUUUGUGCGCGGUGCGUUGUCAGAUGGAGGAGGAAAGCCUCGCAGCUACCCACUCUGAAAUCAGAAUGAAGGGGAUCCGCGGGGUGGGCUCCUCCUCUCGUUUCAGCGUCGCGAUCGGCGUAUCUCCGCCGUGCCAUACGUGUCGAUGCACAGAAGCAUGAGGAUGUCGCCGACCCGCCGGGUGGAACGGAAUCGUUUUCUCGCCGACCAUUUGUCCUUCCAAGAAAAGGGGAAUGGCAUGGAACGAAUACAAAUGCGAUAUCCCCAGUUUUGGAUUUUUUUUAAAAAAAAACUUUUGUUUGCUCUACAUUACUAGAAGCUAAGCCAAAAAUGCACCUUUGUAAGAUUGCAACUCAAGUGGUUCGAUUUUUACUGCAGCGUGCACUGUGCACGCACAAGUGGUCCCAUAGCCGAACCAGCUAGAGUGUGGCUUCAUUCAUGAAAAACUAACAGAAUUGUAAUUCUUUCGAUUAUUGUUUCAAAAGGAAAAUAUUCCAGUGACGAAUAUAAAAUAUAAAAGUAUGCACUCCCUGUAUUCCAAAUUGUAGGUUGUUUUGGUUCUUUUAGAUUGAUAGGUAUUAUUAUGCAUCUAGAUAUAGUGUAUAUCUAGAUGCAUAAUAAUAUCUAUGAACUAAAAAAAUCAAAACAACCUACAAAUAUAACGAAGGAAGUAUAUACCGAAUGAUACAAGUAUUUCAUGAUUCGAAAAGUAGAACACCGGCGCCAACCAAUCAUUCCAAUAUUGGUUGAAAACGGACCGAAAAUGAACCUAAAAUCUUGGGUGCAAAGCACUAUACUAACAAAGUAGCAUCAUCACUUUUCUUUACGCCCACAGGCCAAUUAACAUAGCUGGUGCUUCGCUGUUAAGGCCAAGCGCUGUGCUGUCUCUGUGCUAUUGAUUGGAUUCUGAGGUUCACUUUCUACUAACUAGUGAGACUGCUUAAAAGUGGUAUUUCCAAAAAAAAAAGACUGCUUAAAAGUGGCAAAAGAAAAAGGCACCAGUUAUACUUCUCGCGGAAUCAUAGAUUGCAACUUAAUCAUACAUCAAAAAAUAUUGGUGUAAUGUGUCAUAAAACAUAAAGUUAAUUAUAGAUUUUUGUGUGUUACGCCUGCAAGAUCUCGGUAGUUUAGUUUAGGUGCGACAACGCGCCGCCCGCAGCCUGCAUUUGAUCCCGAUCAGCGACUGCACUCUUUCACUAAAAAGAAACUUUUACUUCAUCCUUUCGAAAUUACAAUGCGUAUUUCAUUUCAUUAUAUGAGACUUUGACCAACAAUAAUUACUCUGUUAAAAUAUUUUUUCACAAGCUUGAUGUUAUUAGAUUUGUAUUACAAAAUACUUACGUUAUUAUGAUUUGUAUCACAUAAAUGACAUACUAGUAGAAUAAUUGUUAGUCAAAACCUAGUCAUAAAAAGAAUGUCUUAGUAGUUUCAAAUGGAUUGAGUAUUAGUAUCUGAUGCUUUUCCAGACUUUCAUUUCUCAGAAAAUGUUGCUAAGCAUCAUGUUAGGGCUUUUUAGCCUAAUCUGUGAAUUGUGACAUGUCUAUAUAUUAGACCAAAUAAGUGCAAACUUCUUGGUGCGAAACUUGGCAGAACUAAAUGCGGGAGUCUGUAUAAUUUAUUACCAACUAUUCUCCGAUGCCAGAAGACGAAUAUUUGCAUGAGCAUGCAAAUAUAAGGCCACUACAUUUGGGAAAACGAAUAUAAGCAAAUAAAUAAAGGAAAUCACUACGCUGAUAUAAAGCUUUCUUCUAGUAUAUAUUUAUCCGCAAUACAAUCAAGUUGAAUGUUUGCUAGUAGUAAAAUUUUGCAUAGUCUUGUACUCUUGUAACAUAGUCCACCUGUACAUCCACAGUCAACCUGGUAAUCUUGAAAAAAACACUGAUCUUAGGGCAGCCGCAGUGUAGCGAAAAGCCGAUGCCCCAUCAAGAAAGAGAAGGUCCAAGCAUCGAGUUCAACGUUGCAGGGGGCGAUGCUUGAAAGAAAUUGAUGCUCCGUCCGUAAAAAAUUGAUUGCUCAGCUGCAUAUGAGGGGCAGCUGUACUUUGUUUACUCCCAACUCCACCAUGAGUGGGCCCAGUGGGUCCCAUGUUGAUGCUUGCACGCUGCGGUCUUCAGAGCUCGAUGCUCACUUCUCUGAUGCAGGGCUCAAAAAUUUCAAGCAUCGGCCUCCACACUGCGGGUGCUCUUAUGAGAGAACCUCCCUCGAUCGUAAUAGUUCUUCAGAUUCCAUUUUGGUACCAUAGCUUUAGUUGGCCGGAGUAAAAUAAGAAAGGGGAACUAAGUAACUAACAUUCAUCUGUCCAGAUUUGCAAAACAGCAAACCGACAAGUAGGAUCAGUACUAGAAAUAAAAGUGUGAUCAGAAUUCAGUUCACAAUCUAGAAAUUUCACAAACAUUUUUUGUUUCUUUAUUCCAUUUGUAAACCGCAUAAGCGCCACUUCGCCCGUGGCACCAUAGCAGAAUUACCCAACAUCACAAAUCUCUUUGACCUAAAUUUCCUCCUAUCAUGUAUAUCGGACUUGCUCCACUGCCAAAAACGCCAAGCAAUCCACCAAGAAUUUUAAGCCUACUACUGCGUAUGCACAACAGAUUAACCAAGACUUCAAACACGCGACGCCCGACCGAACUGAGCCGACCGACGGACCACAAAGGCCUCAGGUCAUUGCGACUGCGCGAUGGCCUUCUCCAGUUCCUGCAGGGACACCUGGUACCUGACGAACCCCAUGAACCAGAACUCGAAUCCGUCGUCCGUCACGACCUGCACGUACUUCUGCUCCGGCCGGUGCUUGUUCUCGCUGGGCUUGGCCGUCUUGACCCUCCUCAGCGGGAUGGCGACCUUGUACGGCACCCGCACCGUGUCGCCCCUGGCAGAGGUCAGCGCCAGCGACCGGUCGCUCCGGAAGGCGAUCUUCUCCGUGGAUAUGAAGAGCAUGCCGGCGAUCGGGCCGGCGGUGGUGGAGAGGUAGCACUGCGAGGCCUUGAGGAGCUUCUCGCCCUUCUCGACGGAGAACCACCGCCGGAAGACCUUCUCCACGCCGCCUGCCUGGAGGAUCCUCGCCCCCAGCGACAGCUUGCCCUUCACGAUCUCGUAGAGUUUUGGCCCGAGGGUCACUGCAAAUCAGGCAAGAACACGGUCAGACUGAAUUCGCGAUGGCAAAGGAUGAAAGGAGACAUCAGCCAUCCGAUCCAAAAUUAGUUGGAGAGAAGAACUUACCAUGUUCUUUCAGGCCUUGGGCGACCCUGUCUCCCGUCCUGCCGAAUUUUCCAGCCCGCCCAAAAUUGGUUGGGUUCUUGGCGUCGCCGUGAUAGGCGCCCCCUUUGCUCGGGAAAUCCGCCGGCUCCUCAAUGCCGAACGCCCUGUUGCUCACUGGGAUGCCGAUCACAUGCUCGCGCCUGGCCUUCUCCAUCUCUUCUUGAUCGACGCGACGACCGAGGAACACCGAAGACUUCUCUUUUCUUUGUUGCUUGCUGAAUCCGCGGCUGAGCUCCCGGACUCUGCGGUGAGGUGGUUGCUGGUGAGCGGGUGGGUGGCCUGUUGGUGCGUGCGUGGGUUGUUGCUGCUCGAGCUCCGUGCUCCAAAUGGGAAGAGGAGGGUGUCUUUUAUAAGCCUGGAACCUGUCAAUUAGCCAGUAGCAAUAUUUUUAUUAUUUUUUUUUUUGCCGUUCACGACGUUCAAAAGCUGGGGGCCUAUCCAACUCGCUUUCGGAUGGAACAGUCAUCCUCCUCCAUGAGGAGUUGAGGAAGUAAAGAAGAUUUCCAAUGUGCAGUUGGAUUGGACCCCUACCUAAUGCCCCGUCCUCCUGCAUGUGCAAGGCCCCCCCUGCAGCUCUCUGUUCUUGUGCCAUGAGUGGCAUCCACGCAUGCACCGGGCCGUGGUGUAUAUCCAUGUUCAUCCAACCUGUUACGUGCAUGCAUGCAGUUCGGGGCCCGAAAUAUCUACGCAUUAUACGACCUAAAAAAAUGUCAUGGUUCCGAAUUGCCAGCAUAAACAAAAAAAGAGACAAAGUACUAUCUGAUGCAGACGAAAUCGUUUGGAUUAGUAGUUUGCGUCUUUGCGAUCACUUUGCAUUAUUCAGGCCAAAGAAUGAAAUUAAUGAAACGAAAUGCACACUGCACUACCGCUAUUGCCAGUAAGCGUCCGGUAGAAUCUGCACGUUGCGGGAGCUUAUUUGACGCCGGGGAUGACGUGGAGACAGAUAGAAGGAUCCAUUGAGCGGCAGAAGCAUGUCCCACUACGACGUUCUGGAUGACCACGAAAGAAGGUUCGCGCGCGUGUAUGGAAGACACCGUCACACGUUCGGUCACAACUCGCAACACAGCACGAGCAAGGAAGGGUUUUCUCCUCUGCUUUCCACCUUUCCCCCCGCUUUUCUUCGAGCCCACGGCGGCCCUGAGUCAGCGUCGCGUCCGACUCGGCGCCGAGUCACGCCCGCGAGCGCGAGCGCUGUGCCGGUCGCCAGAAUCGACAGCACCGAUCCGGUCGUGGGUUGGUCGCCGGUGCCGAUCGAGCCAGCCGGGCGAGACGAGACACAGCUCGCUCGCCCCUGGGCCCUGGCCCCCUGUCAUUUUCUAUCACAAAAUCGCGAGCUCAUUCGUAGGUGGAACUCCAUGCCUCCAUGCGCUGGCUGGUUCAAGCGCGUGCGCGUGUGUCGAGCCUUUAACCUGCGUUGUCAGCGGUGAUGCGAUCCGGCACGGACGCCAGCUUUGGUUGGGUCUAUGCGUGUCUUGGCCGAUCGGGAUUCGUGGUGGUUGCAGCCUUGCUGGUUGGGGUUUCGGAAGGUCAAAAUGGAUAAGGUCGACUUGGCUUUAUUUGCAUUGACCCCAACUAAAGCUGUUGCGGCGAAAAGGUCGCGAGCGCACAAGGAAAAGGGCGAGAAAUCGGGGUCUGUACUCUCGACUCGAGAGCCCAUGGAAUAUAGUAUUUUCGUUGCUAUAUACCUGGUGAGUAGAUAAGGAUUCGGAUAUAUGAAAACGUGCUUACACAUAGUAGCCCCCUAGUGUUCAGUACUUUAUUGGUGCCGGAGAUGAAAGCAGCGUGUGUAUGGUGCCAAAUUGGUCCUUGCAUGCGUCGGUGUCUCAAAUAAGCACAAUACCGUCAUUGGAUAAACUACCACGUUUAGUGUAAUGUGUGUAGUGCAUAAAUGACGUGCGGGUGUUAAAUUCAAAUAAUAAUACUUUAGGAAACACAAAAGGAAAUGUACGUAGUGUAUAAGUAACCUUAAAACUUAGGUUUUUGAAACAUUUGUGUACGUACAGGAGGUAAUAUAAGCUAAGGUCCUGUUUGGAUCUACCCAUCUAAAGUUUAGCUCGCUAAAGUUUAGAGACUUCUUUUUAGCUGGCUAAACUUUAGCAAGGGAUGUUUGGAUCCACUAACUAGUUAUUAAAAAUAAAUUACUAUGAUACCCUUCAUUAAUUGUAGCGGGGACUUUUACCGAGAUAAUGGAGGGGUAGAAUUGUCUUUAAACAUCUUUACUUGGGUUUAGCUGGUUUAGCAAGUUGGAAGCUAGGCUAAAUUUAGUGGUCUUUAUAUUAGCUACCCUGUUUGGAUCCAAAUGAGCUAAAUUUAGCUAGCUAAAGUUUAGAUGAUGGAUCCAAACAGGGUCUAAGAGGUGAACGCUGCAUAGUUCAUUGAAUUGCAAUGCAAUGCACUAUUUAACUGUUACCUUUCAUUGGUAGUGUUGAUAAUCCGCUACUACUGCUAUUGCGGGGGACAAUUGCGGCGGCUAGCUAUUCAGCGCCUUUGGUUAAGGUCAAGGGAUGGAUAAGCUUUCACUAUUACCCCAUGACUAAUCCGAUGAUCAAAUAUCAAUAUGGUUGCACACACGAAAUGCAUUCAGCUUGUACUUAGCCGCAGGUGCGAGUGCUCUGCUUCUUUUUUUUUUAUACCUUUUGCGUGCCGUGAAGUGUAAACUCCGAUCCUGGCCCCACUAGUGUAGUAGUGUUCCUUCCCGCUAGUGAGGUGGUCACCAAAAUGAAUCAAACCAGUGGAUGUAUUGAACAUUUAAACUUACCUGUGGAGCUGACGACAGGACACACAUGAUCGAUUCUCGUUGCCGAUUCAAACACUGAGGAGCUCUCUUACCGUUCUCUUUUCCUAAUCUGCGAGCUCAGAUACUAGGCUUUAGUGAGCAACUACGCAACCAAACCACUGCGUUCUUUUAUCUCCGCCAUUUGAAUAUUUUUCACGUCUUCUCCUCUUCGCUUAACGGGGGCGCAUGGUAAUAAAGACAGGGGCAGUGUAAAGUUGCAAUGGAAGGGGCAAAAUACUCCAAUGGGCUCGACCGUCAUGUCACAUGGAAACUUUACAAUCAGAAAAGCAAUGGAACAGUAUAGAUUAUGACAUGGCCGUAAUCAAGAAGUUUAAUUAAGGAUGGGGCCUCCACCAUGUGGCAGAUGAUCAGGAACAGCAACUCCGCGCAUCAUGCUGCAAAGGCUUGCACGCAUUACGAGCGCAUGAGGCUUUUUGUUUAAGUUGAUGUAAAGAAAAGGGCUUUUUGUUAGGUUAUGCUCUGCGUGUUUGCUUCCCAAUCAAGAGCUUAAUUGCUUGAAGUGGCUGAUGAGUGGUGAUGGCCUAAAACAAAUCAGAUCAAACGGAUCAAGGCGAAAGGGUGUUGUUCGCUGCCGGCACGGCCUGGCCUGGUGGUUCAGGUUCAGGUCCCGCGCGCCUUGUUUGGUUUCCUGUUGCAGUGUUGUGUCACCGAUGAAUCAGCUAGUACUUACUUCUUAACCAACUCUUUGAUUUGCUCCCGUCUUCUCACAUCAGUGGCCCUGUGUGCCUGUAUGGGAUCUUCUCCGGAGGACAGGAUUAUAUUUCAUAUUUCUUUGUUGUCUCAAAUAUGAGCUGAAAUCGUAUUCAGUACGUAAACAAAUACUUAACUGUCCUCCGUACUGCAUUUUAUUACGUUUAGUGCAAAUUCCUGCUCUCCGCAAAACAGAAGUAACCAAACUAGCAAAUGUAACGGGGAAGGGUUUAUUAAUUCAUCUAUUUAAGAUCAUUUUAAAGCUAGUACAUACGUGUGAAGACACACUAGUAUCACAAUAAGACGCAACGGUUUUCCCUAAUUUUUUUUGUGUGUAUAGUAUGGUCGACGAAACUGAUAAAGACCAGCAUGACAGCAAAAUUCCAACCAGAAAGGUCCUUCCUCACACUUUGGAGUACAAAGAUGAUAACUAAACAAAACAAGGCCAAUCAGUGAGCCGAGCUGUCACAACGAUGCUCAUUCCAAAUCCAUAAAAGUCGCAAAUCUCGUGCACCGACUGGACUGGACUGACGAAGCAUACUACGCGGCAACCAAGUUAAUGGCGAUUAGAAAGCUCCCAACUUAAGCCGUGUUCCCCUUAAUUUUGUUCUGGCCGGCGGCCGGUCAUGGGCCUCGUGGCCUCGCGGUGCACCGGCGUGGCGACACUUGUGGCGCUCUCCGGCUUUGCUGCACGGAGAUGGGAGUAGGACGAGGAAAAAGAAGGAUCUGCGGUGAUGUUGAUCGCGGAAAUCCUUCGCUCCAUUACAAGGAAUCUGCCGAGCUCGUUCCGUGGUGGCGUGAUCAGUUAAACAAAGUCAAGAAGUAGUCCUACUAUCGCGGAAGAAUCUGGAUGGAUGGUUCAUUGCUUUUUUUUUUUUUUGAGAUGGCUCUUUCCUGGAACGAAAUUGUGGCAGUGCUGCUGACGGAUCAUGAAGUCAGUGUUUACGUUGGCGAAUCAUGAGUACUGUUACCCAAAAAUGGAUAUUUGCCAAUUAGUGAUAGUUCACCAGAUGGUUUUAACUAUUAUUAUAUGGUUUUAAACGCUACUGAUAGACCCUGCUUAGAUCCACUCAGUUAAUCUAUUAGCGGGCUGGUUAGAAUUAGUCAUUGGACUAAGCAAAGAGUUUCUCUGUUCCAAACUAUAGGUGAUUUUAACUUUUUUUAAUUAAUAGAUUUUGCUACGCACUUAGAUAUAACUUAUAUCCAAAUGCAUAAUAAUAUUUAUGAAUUAAAAAAAUCUAUAAUUGAGGAGGGGGGAGUAUUAGCCAGUGCGUCUAGAUCCACCCUAGCUAAGAUUAGCCGGACUGAAAUGGAUUCACAGAUCGUUACCUGGUUUUCAAUAUUCGUUGAAUUUCUAAAAUAGUUGGUACUUGGUAGGUCUUACGAAUGCUGAUGGGUAGUGGAAAUGGACUUGGAAGUUGUACCGCAAGAAUUUCCAAGGAAGAGAGAGAGUGGGCGGCAUAUGGCCCAUCAUUUGGCAAGGAGGGGAAGCCCGGGAACAACAUCGGCCCAUGUGGGAACAGAGUACCCACUAUUGGGAAAUAUGAUUAGGCCCAUGUGAGAUCAGAUUAUAUAUAGAUAUCAAUAAUUAAUAUGGAUCUAACGCUAGGGGAUGUAGCUCAAAUGGUAGAGCGCUCGCUUUGCAUGCGAGAGGCACGGGGUUCGAUCCCCCGCAUCUCCAGAGUUUUUUUUUUUGCUUCUGCACUGAAUUAGGAGUAUACUGACUAAGUAAAAGCACAAACGAGCAUGUAAGACCAUGGGCCUCAAAGUUAAUCCCAGAUCAUGCGCUUCCUACCCCACAAAAAAAUUUGCUGGUUGACGGUGUACAUUCAUAAGUAAUUUGUUGCUCUGUCGUGCAUGCAGCAAGCAAAUGGCAACACCCUUGAUUGAACUAUGCUGCAUCAGAUUACCUCUGUCUGAAGCUCUACAGAGUACAGACUUCCGAGGAUAAUUUCAGACGGGAACAUUACAAGGUUUUGAGUUCAUCGGGCAACAGAAGUUCCAUGCCAUGUUAGUAUGUUACGCUCUUGCGCUUCUCGGCAGGCAGAUCGCGAUGUAAAAGGAAAAUGUGAAAGUAAAAAAUCAGAGAGGAGAAAGGGGACAGUGACGAGGGGACCUUUCGCUUUUACUCCUUUUGCCCUUUCGUGAGAUGGAAUGGAAUUCCCCAGAUUCAACCACCACCUAAGCUUUGCCCGCGCCCCGAAGAGAUCACGAUUCGCGUCGUGGUCGUCACCUUUGACUAUGGUGCGAACGCAUGAGAUCAUCCGAAGAUGGGCGAACUCGCUGGUACGUUGUUCUUGUUCCCACUGCAAUCUGCACAGUCGUUUCCCACGAGAGCGAAAGCGGUACUCAGGCGCUGUGUACGCAAUUUUUUUCCGGACUGAUGAUACUUGACUACUGUUCAAAGAAGCCGACGUAGGAGGGUUCGGAGCCUUCAGUCUUCAGUCUCAACUCAUUUCUUUCGCUGGAACUGGUUGCUAGGAGUAUCGUCUAAUGAUCGUGCCGUCAAAUCCGAUUUUCUUACUCUCUGCUUCCUGUUCGCACGAUAGCCCUUUGUAUAAACUCAUCGUGUUCUCUAAUCCUCUCAUAUGCAUCUUGACAUCAUGACAUGCAACAAUGGAAUGACCAGACCUGCUAUAUAUAAUAAACAGCACGGCGCAACAGAAGCUACAAGAAUCAAGAACGGAUGCAUCGUUUGACACCGUCGACUCGAAAAAAGAAAUGCCCAUUAAGCAGCUAGAAAACGGCGACGCACCUCCGACCCACUCCUUUGAUCGAUUGGCUUUUGCCUAAACUGGCUAAGAAAUCCAACACCGUUAGCUAGCUAGUAGUACCCCGAGGCGAUCCGCAGCAAGGUCAGCCUGUCACCGCACGAAGUCAGCGGAGCCGUGGCCGUCGUCGAAGUUGAGGGCGUAGCUGAGGGCGUCGUAGUGGAACCGGCUGCCGCCCCUGCGCCACCUCCCCGCCCGCUCCGAGUGCAGCCUCCGCAGCCCGGCGCGCAGCCUCCAGUAGAGGCUCCUCACCAGGUACGACGACCUGCCCUUGCAGGCCCCGCUCGCCACCGCGGCCUCCACGGCGACCACCACCGCAGCCAUCCGCGUCCGAGACUCGGAGAGCAGGAGAUGGUGCCAAGAGCAAACGGUGCGCAGCUGCAGCUCUCCUUUGCUUGGUGGCGCAGCCCUGCAGCGUUGGUUUGUGUGGAGAUUGCGAUGCGGGCAAAGUGCCGCGAGGGCGGUGGAAUAUAUAACUCGUCUCUCCGUCCGAUCGGACGGAGCUUUUCCCCGUCCGGUUACGCCCAGCGCUGCGUGCGCCCACGAGCUGGGGAAUGGAUCGGUCCGAUCGGCGGGGGGUGGUCUGUCUUGGUGGACUACUGGGUGCCUGCUGGGCCGUGUGGAUCCAGCUCGCGAUGGGUCGCAGCACUGCCACACCCCACCAUGUGGGCGGCUGAGGAAUUUUUGGCAUGGCUAUUUCGGCCGCCGCCGCAUCGGGCGCGGAAUGUUGGGCGCGCGCGCGGAUCUCCGUGCCGGUCACGGAGACGGCAUGGACUCGUGCCGCAGCUACAGCGGACCGCCUGCGCCGCUGCACGCGCGCUCCGGGGGGCGGUGUGCCUGCCUUCGGGGUGCGAGACCGUGGAAAGGCGCGAGCGGCCUUGCGGCUCUUGGACGAGCGUCAGCGGCGCACAUUUUCUCCAUGUUUUGCGUUCCGCCUGCAGCCUGCGUCUUUGCCUCUUUGGUUGGCUGCAGCCUGCAGCAGUGAGCGGCAGCGGCUGACCCACUGCUGCAUUUGCAUCUGCAGCGAGCGCUGAGAGGUUGCACAAGGUCGGAUGAUGCAGAUAGCGUCCUGGCUAGCAAAACACACUGGAGCUGGAUAUACAUGUACCCUUGGCAACUUGGUCCAAGCACAGUACAACAUCGAGCCUCGACUAGUAGUACUUCUGUACCGGGAAGUCGAUCAUGUACGUGCAUGUCAGCAGACAGUAGUCCUUGUGUCCUUCCUUCAGGCAUCAGUGCUAUCCCGCGUCAGCUCGUUGUGUAGACUUUUGGAUGCAGGCAUCCGAACUUUUGUGAUUGUUCGACGCCAGCUCGCGACGCGAAGUAGCGUCACAUCGAUCGCCCCAGUCGCCUCGCCUGGCCACUGGCCUCCCCCAAAGCAGGAUUUUUUUUUUAUUUUUAACCCUUUUUUUUCUUUAUUUUUAAAAAUAAUCUCAGCGGGGGUUUAUUCGCGCGGGGUAACCCUUUUGGCCGCGCCAGACCGCCUGGCGCGGCAGGAACAUGCUGCCGCGCCACAUGCACUGGCGCGGCGGCCCCCUGCCACGCUGACGCGGCGAGUCGCGGCGCCAGGUGGGCGCUGCAGGGCCAAUACUAACUUCACGCGCCGGCUCCCUUCCUCCUCCCUCCCUCCUUUCUUCCUCCUCCAGACACACCACACAGUAGCACCUUGCAGCGCCGGCCCCCGCCACCCCACCCCCAAAUCCACCAAAAAUCCGGCGUUUUUGGUGGGGGAAAGUAGUGGGAAUCGAUCCCUGCUUCGUGUGGAAGGUAUUCCCCUACGUAUUCUCGUGUUUUACCGUUGCAUUUGGUAGAUCGGAGGAUGUUUAGGUGACUUAGGGUUAGGUUAGUGAUUUGAAAUUUCAAUGAAAUGCAAUGGUGUUUUGUGUUAGAUGAUACGUAGUUCAUACGCAAUUGAGUCUCUGCCCGCGAUAUUGACGUGUAGAACUUGUUGAAUACUUCGAUUUAGGUAUAUAUUCAUCCAAUUGUGUGGUUUACAUGACAUGUAUUUUUUUAUAUGUUCAAUUAAUUAGUCUCAUUUUUGUUUCAGUGUUUGUAUUUUGUAAAUCGAGUGUUUACAUUUUAUCAAAAUGAUGUAUAUAGCUAGUAUGGAUUACGUGUGUAAAGUUUGUUUGUGUAUUAAAUUUGUUGCACUUGAUUUCCAGGUGAGAUGGCGUCGUUUGGUUGUGAAUACAAACAGCGUAGGUGGUAUGUGCGUUAUGUGGGCGAGUCCAAUGUUGCUAGUCCCGUACCUCCUGCUCUUCAGGUACCACUUUGUAGAUGUGGCGCGCAAGCAGAGGUGAAACAAUCAAGGCAUCCAAAGACAGCCGGAAGAGCCUUCUAUGUAUGCAAAUGGACUUUUGAUCCAUUGCCUGCCGCACCAUGCGAUUUCUUUCAGUGGAUCGAUGGACCCGACAAAUAUGAUCCUAGGAUCCGCCUAUUCCCAUAUCAUAGCACAGAGCUUAAACCGUACCAUCAGUUUAGGCGUUGGGUUCCUCCUCCACCAAACCCACCUAGGAUGACCGAUGAGGAGAAGCAGGAGGCUGCUUGUAGGCGUGUGAGGGAUCCUCCCAUGUGCAAGUGUGGUGUUCCUGCUAAGCUUAUGCGUCCUAACUUAGGGGAUCCACCUAAGUUUACUCCAUUCUUUCGAUGCUCCCUAAAGACUCAUGUAAGUAUAUUACGAGAAUAUUAGUAUGUCGUUUAGCUAGCAGUUAUAAUUUUGCAGUAUUUUGUUCAUACUUUAACUUGAUGUUAUUGCUUGGAAGUUGGAGCAGCGUUUUGUAGUUACUUUACAUAUGAGUAGUUCACGUCAUGGGUUUUUUGCAGGAUGGGUGGCCGUUGUGUGAUUUCAAUGAGUAUAUAUACGGCCCAAUGGCAAUAUGGCCAACAGAGGAGGAAGUGCGGGAGUUUGAAAGUGAAAAUGCACCAUGGCCAUGUUUGUCCUCUUCUAGUGAUAGAUGCAAGUGUGGUAUAUUAGCAACAGAAGGUGUGGUGCCUUCUGAACUUGGAUAUGGUUCGUUCUGUGGAAAUGCACAUGGCGAUUACUGGGUUAGUAACUACUUGUGUCUUAUGUUUUAUGAAGGUUGUAACUUGAUUCAAAUUUGUAAGAAUAUUUAAUUGUUGUUGCAGGAGGGAAGGACAUGUGAUUGGGAAGAUUUUUGUGGUCGAUAUGAUUUGUUAUUAAAGUUGGGAAAUACAUCGGAACCAUGGAAGUGAAGGAAACAACAAGAAAUUAAAGAAAAGAUUAGGAAGAAGUAUGAUGUGCCUAUUCCUGACGACGACUUGCUUUGGGGAAAAAUAUAUCAAGAUAUGGUGCAUGAGACUGGAGUGAAACCUAAAGGACUUUAUGCAAGGGAAACUAUUAUUAAGUAUUGGAGACAAAAUAGAUCCAAGUAUCCACGACCUCUAACCGAAAAUGAGAAGAGAGAAAAUAGGAGGAAGUUGCAGGAGGAGAGGGAGUUGGAGAAACAAAGGUUGAUGGAGGAAAGAGAUCGCUUAGGUUAUGUGGUUGAUCCGAAUAUGAAAUACCUUGAGGGUUCAUGGGAACAAUAUUUGCAGCAAGUUAGGGCAAGAAAAAGAAAGCUUGAAAUGGAAGAGUUACAACAAAAAGCGGAAGAGGCACAGAUGGAGACGAUGAAGGCUCUUGUUGCCGAUUUACCUGUUGGUAAGGUUAAUGUCGAUAAGAAAGGCAAGAGAGUUGUUGUUGCCGGAGAUGAUGAUGAUGACGAUGAUGACGACGAGUUACUAUAUGAAGGUGACUCGGACUAGAUGAACGUGUUGAUGUAGCUGGAUCAUGUUUCUCUGUAGCUGUGAAAACUAUGUAGAACAUUAUGUUUAUGUUUAUUCUGGGAACUACAAUUAGUUGUCAAAAAACUAUUUUCAUUUCCGAGAGAACUAUGUUCAAACGCAUCAAAGUUUGCCGUGACAUGACUGGCUUCUUGUGGUUUUGGCGUGCUGUUUUCCUGACCUCCUGUCCACGGAUCACCGUAGUCAAUCUCCAUGCAUCUUCCCGACCCGGAAGGAAUAAGGUAGACCUGAAUGGAAACAAAGGCAAACCGAUAAAACAUCCCGACUAGACGACGACGUCGUGAACUAUGCGAGAGAGGCCAGGCCGUGCACAGGCCGUGCACAGACCAGCGUCCAAUUUGCUACCUACUCCUAGUAUUCUGUACUACUAGCUGAUCGAGUGCGUAGAGAGUGAGGUAGUGGAGUGAGAAUAAAUGUAAACGUGUCGAACGUUUCGUAACCCCCUAAUUUUCAACUUUUGCAAAUUAAUAAAAUUUGUUAGAAUUUACAAGAAUUUAAUUACUUUUGCUUAAAGAUUUAAGGAUUUUCUAAGGUUUUAUUUAAUUUCUUGGGCAUUUAAAUCUUUUCUAAAAUGAAUCAUAGGAGUUAAUUAUUGCAUUCAGGCGCAUUGAUUUUGGUCGUUUGAAUUCAAAUUAGUAUUUGAAUUGAUGUUUGAAUCCUUUUCAACCAAUAGGAAAAUCCUUAGGUUUCGGGGGGGGGGGGGGGUUUGGCCUUGCCGCGCCACGCCUCCUAGCGCGGCAGAAGGCAGCUGCCGCGCCAAUUGCAAUAGACUUUCAGUAGGUUUCGCCGGGGGGGUGGCCGGUCUUGCCGCGCCAGGCGGCCUGGCGCGGCAGGGGUGAGCUGCCGCGCCAAAUGCAAUCCACUUUCAGUAGGUUUCGCGGGGGGCGGUGGCCGGUCUUGCCGCGCCAAGCGGCCUGGCGCGGCAAGGGUGAGCUGCCGCGCCAAUUUUAGUGAACUUUCAGUAGGUUUCACCAGGGGGGGGUGUGUCUUGCCGCGCCAGGCGGCCUGGCGCGGCAGGGGUGAGCUGCCGCGCCAAGUGCAAUCCACUUUCAGUAGGUUUCGCGGGGGGCGGUGGCCGGUCGUGCCGCGCCAGGCGGCCUGGCGCGGCAGGGGUGAGCUGCCGCGCCAAUUGCAAUCCACUUUCAGUAGGUUUCGCCGGGGGGGUGGUGGCGGCAGGGGUGCGCUGCCGCGCCAAUUUUAGUAAACUGUCAGUAGGUUUCGGCCCAGGGGGGUGGGACGUCAGUAGCGCGCUGCACAAUCCGAAACGUAUUUUUGUUCUAAACAUUUACGAAAAAAUACACGAACUACAAGUAUAUCAUGGAGCAAACAUAUAACAUUGUACGGACAUAAAAAAACGUAACAACCAACUUAGUCUUUUACAAACGUGACAUGAAUAAACCUAACAACCAACUUAUGGAAUAAUUGGGCACAUGCUAGGUUCAGUGGCGUGACCGCCGCUCAUCCGGAGGGCUAAAAGGAUCUCUUGGGCGACGCUCCCUCCUUGGAUGCGUGGGCAGGACAUUGACGCUGCCAACGUCGGUGUGGUCCCGGGAACGACGACGCCGGCGUGGCAACCGGGUAUGAGUUACAAGUUCCUAUUGAAUAAUUGGGCACAAAUCAUAAAAUUUGUAUGACACUUCGGGAGCGAACAUUAAAAUGUAUAAUUGAAUUUGGAGGAACUUGUGAAUAUACCUGGCUGGACUCUCCCUGCGUCUGAGUCACAGGUGGAGCAUCGUGAGAAAUCUAGAGUUCCUCACCAUACGUAGGGUCAUCAUCCUCAGACUGCUCACCUUCCGAGUCCUCGCUUUCCUGAGGGGAUGCGGGUUCCUUACCUCGCGAUCUCCUGCUAGGACCUGUCGCAGUGGACGGUGUUGCAGCCCUGGGGGUAGUCACCAAUGCAGUCCGACGUGAUCCUGAAGAAGUACCCUGGACAUUGCCCCCGUCGUGCGCAUCUGAGGAUGUCAUGCAGUUCAUCCUCUGCGCCAUUCGCUUGCAACUUUUACGAACCCUCUGCCAUAUAUUCACGACUAUGUUAUUGAUGGUUACAAAGAUAGUACGAGUAUAAGUGAAAAUUAGUUUGGGCUUCUACCUCUGCAAAAGCACGAAGCAGACUAUCACCUUCCCCAACAGCGUGCUCCAUAAUCACGCCCGCCUCGUUAGAGAGCCUUGCAAGCUGCUGUCCCUGCACGCAGGAGUUUUCAUUCCAUAAGUGAUCAAUGUGACGAUACUAUAAUUACAAACCGAAAGCUUACCAUGUAGUCGUGGAGAGGUGCACGCUCAGGCUGUGUCCCAUGGCGUGUCAUGGUGUCGUACGCGUCAGCUAUGUCAGCGUCAUCAUCAGACGGUGCAUCCUCAAUGGGCACAUUAGUCCAAGAUGGUUUCACUUUGGUUCUCGUCGAAGUACAGUACCAUCUUAUGUACUCAUUGUUGGGUCGUCAGUACGGUCCACCUUCAGGAUCGCAUCCUUCCUUGUUCUGCCACAGGUGGAUGUACCGGUCAUGCUUGACCCUCCAAUCAUUCUCCUUGUACCGCUUUCUGCGGUCGAUACUGCAUCAGAAAUUAGUGAAGUAUUAGUAUAACACGUUAAUUGCGUUAAUUGAAUACCCUCCAAUAGCUAUUUAUUCCUGCGUACCUGUGCAGCUGCUGCGAAGUCGAUAAUUCCAAAGGAGGGCACGGUUCCAUCCUCCCAAACUUCCGCAUCACCCUAUGCGGCAUAUGAAACUCUACCACGUAGUACAGUAUCAUUGGGGUCGUGCACCUCCACAGCUCUCUAUCUCUGUAGCACGUCGGUGAAAAGAUGAUAUUGCUAAGCUGCUCACGGUCAUACGGUUUCAAUUCCACCUUCAAAAAUUUUCACGCAAUACUUAUUUCAUCUACCAUUAUACGCAAGUUAGCUUAAAAACUAUUAUGGUUACCAAAUUACCUGGUGCUGCGUGAGAACAUCAAACUCGUUCGUGUAGGCCCUGUAGCGCCUAUCCGGAUUGCCACGAACGGGCCGCACAUGCUUCCACACGUGAUAGAACGUGGGAAGAGCAUCGUCUCGAUGCCAUGGCUGAAAUUGCAAGUAAGUCCAAUUGGUCACAUGAUACAAUAGUUUUUCGAACAUUAACGUAGAAAAAGGAAUUAGCCGUUGUGACUUACAUCGACACGGAGGCGGGAAGGUCGACCCACGGGCAUUCGCUCCCAAAUCCAUAUCUGGAGCAUAUAAGUGCACCCUCCAACAUUGGAAUCUCUCGCUGUGCGCCGGCAAGCCUCACAUAACUGUCUGUACAGCCAGGCAAGAGCCGCUGAGCCCCAACUGUAAGUGGCUAUGUUUUCCCAAACUUGACCUAGAAUGGGGAGAACCAUCCACGAUACUGUGUUCCCAGCUGCAUCUGGAAGGAGGAAUGUACUGACAAAGUGCCAUAGCCACACUCGAGCAAAGCGCUGCACGACCUCGUCAUUUGCUCCCGGAGGACACACCUCGAAGUGCUCCCUCAACCAUGCCGAGCUAACACCGGACGUCUUCUUCGAGCUAUCUCCGCCCUCUGGCUCUGGCGGCCUAAUCCCAAUAUGCAUCUCGACCAUAUCACGCCAAUUCUCAUUCUGGAUAAUACCUGUCACUGGCUGCCCAUGCAGUGGAAGGCCGAGUAUCAUAGCCGCAUCCUGCAUUGUGAUGCUCAUUUCUCCGAAGGGCAUGUGGAACGUGUGAGUCUCCGGACGCCACCUGUCGACCAUAGCGGUCAACAGUGGUCCGUCCAUUGGAGGGAGACCCCCCACGACCUGAACAACGAUAUCCAAGAAACCUGCUCUCUGCAGAUACUGGGCGUACCGCUCAUCCCACCUAAGUGGUGAGUGCACCCUAGCCCUGAGUGGUGUCAAAUUCUGCAAAACAUUUUAAGAUUAUUACCAAAAUGAGAAGUCAAUCCAAUUGUGAAUAACGGGCUUCUAAAGUGGUAAGUAACACAAAUAUGAUACAAAUGACAUUUGCAGUAUGAAAUUGUUUACACUCUACACAAACGAAUAGUAACGAUAGGCACAUCCUUAAUUUAUAAGAACAUUUCAUACGAAAAUCUUGCAAUUCUCAUCCUUAGGUAUGCAUUCAUCAGCAAAAAUUAGCAACCAUUGUUAUACCUCAUUCAGGUCCGCGAGGUGGUGGGUACGGUGGUGCAAGUCGUAAGCAGCCUCAAGAAGAGGGUACCUCGGGGCCGCCAUCCUAAAGAAACAACAUAAAUGGUCGUUAGUAAAAAGCUUCAUUACAUGAUAAGUACGGAAAAUAUGAUAAUGUACUACUAUAAAAAAGAUAAAAUAAUAGCCACGCAUAAUACAAGCAACGCGCAUACCCAAUUGUUCGAAGUACGCGGCCUAUUACUGCUCGGUCUAGAUUUAGUGCCUUUUGAUUUUCUACUGCGGCAUGUGCAAUUCCUGAUGAUCUUGUGGCACUUGGAGCAACGAUUUUCCGACUUGUCAAUAUCAAAAUCACCAGUAUCAUAAUCUGCAGAAAGCCUCCCUUCCGACACGUCCAUCUCGCCUGUGAAACGCUUCUUCUGCCGCCUUCCUACUUUAUUUCUCAUUAAACUGGGGUUAGGCACGUACCCUACCCCUUCAUAUGCCGGCCAUUGUGACGGAUCUAGGUAAGGUUCAAAGCUUGAUUCCCAAAUUUUGAUGGUGUGCUCCCUAGAGUACAACGGUGACAUGUACAUGGGGCUUUCAAAGUUAAGACCUCUUGCCUUGCAAGCUGUAAUGAAGUGUGAACAUGGAAGGUGCAACAAUUGAGGAACAUUGCAGGUGCACGAAACUUCGUGCAGAUCCACUCUAUAGUGUCGGCCUCCAUGACUCUCACCCCCAAUGUUAGUCGUACCGUAACUUCUUAUAGAAUACACCAUCCUUUCUGGCCCGUACGGUUCUGCUAAGUGGUGCACGGAUCUAAGCUCAGCCUCUGAUAAAUAAUUAUCUGCAACUUGCCCAAUUCUAUAGCCUUGAUCUAACAUUUCACGUGCCUUUCCCCAUCGGUUCACAAAGUAGGCGUUGCAUUUUUCGAAUGUGUAUUCAAUAAUUCCAGCGACGGGCCUACUUCGGAUGCCUUUGAAAACUCCGUUGAGUGAUUCCGAGAAGUUCGUGGUCAUAAUACCCCACCGCAUCCCUCCCUCAUCGAAAGCCUGCGCCCAUUUAUCCUUGUCCCCCAUUUCACCCUUCAACCAUUCUUUUGCGUCAUCGUUCAAGUCCUUCACUAAAUCUUCUAACUUCUCACGAAAUUCUCUCUCUGUAUGAACCUUGCAUAAUAAUUUCAAUUUUCCAAUCACACGAUUGCUCUUCUGCCGACGCGACAUGUUGGCAGCAAAGUGCCUCAUGCACCACCUAUGCACAAGCGGUGGAAAACCAUCAAUGUGGUCCUUCGCACAAUUUAGAAGCCCAUGAUGCCUAUCUAAUAUCAUACACACUAUCCGUGAAGGUCCAAUAACAUGUACCCGAACAAGUUUCAUAAACCAUGACCAACUCUCAUUAUUCUCACUCUCGACCAAGGCAAAAGCAAGAGGCACAAUCUGUUGUUCUGGAUCUACAGCAACUGCCAUCAUUAAUGUACCCUUGUACUUGCCAGUCAAGAAUGUACCGUCCACCAAUAUCACAGGACGGCAAUGUUGAAAUGCCUCACUACAUUGAGGGAAGCACCAAAAUACCCUUUGCAGUAUAUGCUUCAACACUCCAUUGUCAGGAAGCAUCAUGCCACAUGAGUCGAUCCACCAUUUAACUCCGGGAUUGUAGUAGGUUAUAGCUGAGAGUACCCUAGGAACCAUGCCGUACGACUCCUUCUAGUCGCCCCAAAGCAGGGCAACAGCGUGUUGCUUCGCCCGCCAAGCCUUCGAAUACUUCACACGGUACCCACUAAAGAUGAAGAUGGACUCCACGAGUGAUGGCACCGAUGUCUCGCUGUCUUUACGGAUAAUGCAUAGGAUACGCCGUCCAAGGUACUUUGCUGUGCACUGUACAUGCUCUCACUUCGGCUGUGACGACCGACAAGUAUGCGGUUGCACAACAUUUGAAAUUCUCCAUUGUCCGGUGCUUGAUAUUAGCCGAGACCAUACACGCCAAUGGCAUCCUUGCUUGCACAUCACAUUGUAUCUUAAGUUCUUGUCAGAAUGAACUACGCUAAAAGGUCUAUGUAACCUCACCGCGUAGUCAGCCAAGAAAAACUUCAGCUCCUCAAGACUAUUGAACUUCAUCCCCUUCUUAAUCACUGGACUCUCACCAAUGGACGUCCCUUCGGCAUUCACCAUACUAGAUUCACAUAUUGCUUUGUGAACCAUACUUAUGUCCUUAUCAUUGGGAACGGAUGGCAGUUCGACAUCACGUUCUUUUAACAUCCGCAACUCACACUGGGUGUAAGAAAAACAAUCGUCCAUACGACGAAUGCCUUCUACAUCAUGUACGGUUGCGGUGUCAAAUUGCAGUCCAUCCUCUUCAUUUUCUACCCCGACGUUCUCAUAUUCAUGCCCACCACUCUCAAAUAGUGAUUCCUCCUCUACCUCCUCACCUACUACCCCAUCUUCCUCCAAUUCACAAUCUUCGGAACCCAUAGAGACAUUAUCAACAUCUAUAUUUGCUUCAUCCCUCUCAAAAAUGUUAUUGGGAAAAUCAUCAUUGGCAAUAGCCAAGUCAAAAUCACGUUCUGUUUCACCUAACACGUGAUGCAACAUUUCUGACUCCUGGGUACCAUUAUGGUUCACUACCGUCACUUCCUCCCUCAUGACAACAUUUGGGCCAGGCAUACGAACAAUUUCGACUAUAACCUCCAAACAUGCAACAUUAGCUUCGUGCACAACAUCCUUAUAGUGCUUCCAAUUCGCAUCGGAUGCUAACUUCAUGAGAACAUAAUAAGCUCUAGCUUUCCCACAAUCAAAACGACCUCUCAAACUGAUCUCAUCCACUCUACAUCCAUACUUCGUCAUUACACGGUCAACUAAAUCACUAAAACUUGGAGGACUAUCAAAUAUUUCAAUUGACUCAUUCAUAUUCUCUAACUCCCCAUUUUGUUUCACAACACCACCAUGAAAAAAUCGAACUAAACGAUCCAUCUACAAAAUACAAACAUAUCACCAUGUCAUAUACACUACACAUUGCACAUAUUCGACAUAUCAACUACACACAUUACAUAUAUUGGACAAAUUGCAAACAAAAAAUACACAUAUACAUUGCACUAUACGAUUCAAUGAAUAUAUCCUUAAAUCAAUAAGUUCUACACGUCAAUAUCGCAGGCAGAGACUCAAUUGCGUAUGAACUACGUAUCAUCUAACACAAAACACCAUUGCAUUUCAUUGAAAUUUCAAAUCACUAACCUAACCCUAAGUCACCUAAACAUCCUCCGAUCUACCAAAUGCAACGGUAAAACACGAGAAUAAGUAGGGGAAUACCUUCCACACGAAGCAGGGAUCGAUUCCCACUACUUUCCCCCACCGAAAACGUCGGAUUUUGGGUGGAUUUGGGGGUGGGGCGGCGGGGGGCGGCGCUGGAGCUUCGGGCUCGGGCGUUUCUGGAGGAGGAAGAAAGGAGGGAGGGAGGAGGAAGGGAGCCGGCGCGUGGAGUUAGUGUUGGCCCUGCCGCGCCAGGCGGGCUGGCGCGGCGAACGCACGCCCACGUCAGCGCCCACCUGGCGCCGCGACUCGCCGCGCCAGUGCAUGUGGCGCGGCAGCAUGUUCCUGCCGCGCCAGGCGGUCUGGCGCGGCCAAAAGGGUUACCCCGCGCGAAUAAACCCCUGCUGAGGUUAUUUUUAAAAAUAAAGAAAAAAAAGGGUUAAAAAUAAAAAAAGGCCAUACCUGCUGCCGGAAAUGUUAGGCUGUUCCUUCAGCUUAUAAGUUACCGAAUAGUAUUUUUCUCUUACAACAAAUCAGCCAUUUCAACUUUUCAGCCGGUUUAUAAGUCCGACUGAACAGGCUCGUAACUUGGUACUUGCCAGUGCAGUUUCUAACUCUCCACAGUAGGAAACACAGUACCGCACUAGCGCGACGUCGGCUCUGCAGAUUUGUCUGCUGGUUCGACGCGACAACUCGGCCCUUCCCCAGUAUCCUGUAUCCGAUCCCGUUGCGGGGGGAGAGGCGCGGAUGCACGGAUUGAAAACGCUUGUCUUUGGUGAGCCCAGCCCUGGAGCUGACGAACUCUGAUGGGGGCGCCUGAAUUGAUACUUCGAUCGAUUCUCACGAUGCUUCGCUUGCCUUUUACCCCCUUGCCGGACCCCGGAAGCUGCGAGAUGCACGCUGAAACAGUGAGGUUGGGCCGUGCAGAGCUGGUGGCUGUGAUGGCGUACGGUACCAUUUUUUUUUUAUUUGACGGAACCUAUCACUUUCCCUCGUCUGAUGCAUCGUGCAUUCCCUGGCACCAGCAAAUCAAAGAAUGUGUUUUUUUUUUUCCUUUGAGAACACAACAAACCGUUCGUCAUUCUGAUCGGCUAAUACUAAUACUCGCCUCCAAACCUGUUGGUAAGUGGGCUUUGCUGAAGGCCCAAAAGGCUUGGUUUGGUACUUCGUUCGUUCUCGGAAAUCUAGGCCUGCAUGCACGCGCGGGUGGGGGGAUUUUUGGGCCACCUGGAUGGGCCAUGCCCAUGCCUCCCAUUCACUUCGCACGGCACGGCCCAAAUCAGUGCAAAUAUCCUGGACCUUCCUCCGUCCUCUAAUUCCUCAGUCAUUUUCGGGGGCCGUAGGCCGUAGCAUUGCUCCUCCACAACCACAAGAACCAACACGGCAACCUCCUCACGAGUGACAGCGAUGGACGGACUAACAACAAGCUGCGUCACGCUUGACAGAUGGCAACUGACAAUGAUACGUGAGGAAGAGCCGAAGAAACAACUUUUCAUAUUCACCAUAGUUCAGUAUAGAACAGGGUUGUGGCCUGUGGAAGGGUCGAAAGUCGAAUAUCAGUCAAACUCCAUCUGUAUCCAUGUCCUUCAAGUCGAAUAGAUUUUAAUUGAUGUUCUUUUCUCACUUUAUUCUUAAAAAAAAUUAUAGAUCCACACAAAAUUGCGCCAUCCAUUCUCCUUUUUGUUUCAAUAAAACAUGGUUAUGACCUCAAGCUCUAAGGAGAUAACCUAUAAUGGAACGAAGAAAUGCUUCAAACACCCCAACAGAGUUUGUGAUGAGAGAAACUAUUAGCUGAUCUUAAUGCCAAAAUUACAUCCGCGUGAGGUCGUAUCCAAUGUACAGCAUGCAACAACACCAUAUCCUUAUAAGGUGAAAAGGAGGUAUGAUGCAGCGCAGUAGAGGAUACUUUAAAGUGAAACGACUGUUAUAGUUCGGCGUUCAUAGUGCCUUGUUUCAACAACAGGAAAACAUAGUGCCUUGUUUCAACAACAGGAAAACAGUUUGUGUGAGGAUAUUUCCUUUGAGAUAGUGAAGGUGAACUAGAUUUGCACCACGCCAGGUUCUCAUUCUUGGACCCUUCCAACUAGCUUUCACAUCCGACCCUUCCAACUAGCCCACUCAAGGAAACAAAAAUCCUAGCUUGCCUACCAUAGUACCACUCAUGGCAUCAGAUAUACGUCACACCUUUUCGCCAUAAACAGUUUGAUCAUGUCACAUACUCAUAGCGUCUCAAAUAUCGAUUUGCAAAACAACAAGAGUAAACAACUAGUGUCUUGCGCGCGCCCCUGCGCGAAUUAGGUAGUACAGAAGAACAGGCGAUUAAUAUUAACAUGACAUAUAUUGAUACAUGUUGUACCCCACAUUGUGCAGGGUGAUCUAACAUAGACAGGCAUAAAAAAAAGGCAGUUCCGCCUUUAAUUACUAAGGGUGUGUUUGGUUGCAUGCAUCAUAUGAUGCAUGCAUGGAUGAUCCUGGAUGGGGUGGUUCAACCAAUUUGCUUGUACCAUAUGGUUCAUUAUAAUUAGUAAUAAUGAAUUAAUAGAAUAAUGUAUUAAGUGGGAUGGCCUCAUCCUGGAUGAGUUGGUCCAAUUCACCCAACCAAAUAAAAGGAUCAUUAUUAUUUUGAAUCAUUUCAUACAUGAAUCAAAUGAUACAAUUAACCAAACACACCCUAACAAACUAUAUCCCACAGAUACCAUGGUGGGAGCUGGUACAAAGGAAAAGGUUGAGAAAACUAACAUCAAUUAAUGAGAGCUCCGUGUAGGGAUGAGUGAACUGGAAAACGAGACGGGAAGAUAAAGUAGUAAACAUACUUAAUUACAACAGUCUGAAACGUGAGAAAAAUGUUUUUUAUGCCACAAAGGUCAGCAGCUCUCGCAAAUUAGUUGGGGUUCAUUUAAUUUGCCCAUAACCUGCACAAACAGGAGCGAGGAAGCACCAUUAGUUAGGGUUAUGAAGAAUAAUCAGGUGGUAAAUGUCGAUCCCAUGGCAGGAUGUACAAAUCGAGGCUCCAAAUCCAAUCCAAAUAGAAAAAUGAAUAUAUAUAUAUAUAUAAUUAUUUAAUCUCUAACUCACAACAAACACCUUCAGUAACAUCAGCCCAAAACCAGAAGCAGGGAAAGAGGAGUCGGAGGGGAGCAACACAACGCGGCAACUGCUACACAUCGUCGCCGUCGCGGCGCUAAGGGGCAGCAGGCGACAGCAGGAGGUGGCGCUGCACUUUGGGGCGAAGCUGAGCAAGCGAGGGUAUCUCGAGUCUUCCGAGCCUAGAUUUUUUUACCGAUUGAAUCACCGUUUCACGUGUGGGCCGCACGGUGAGGCGGAGUCCGCAACGUAGACUAGCUAUCGACGUGGGUAGCGCGGUUACGCGCCGCGUUUGUUAUAUUCUAAUGGCGUGGACUGGGACGAGGCAAUUCGGAGCUUACCUGCCCCGUCGGGUAUCUUUUUACGACUGACACGUAGCGGAGAGAGAAGAGGAAGGAUGUGUUGUGCGGUACUAAACUUUAUUCCCACGUUACAUGAACUAAACUAAAUUAAAAUAAAAAUCCUUUUACCUUCUUCCCUACCCUCCUGCUACCCCAGCACCUACUACCGCUGGAACUCCAACUACCGCUGGUUGAAGCUUCUGCCCACUGUCCGCCGCACCUAAUCUCCAUCUCCGACGACGGUGGAGCAUCGCCCGGACGUGCCCAACCUACCCGCCACAUGCGAACUCUUGCGCGGUGCAGGUAAGAUCCUUCGUGCGUCGGCGAGUAACGGAGCGAGCGGAGGAUUGGCCCGAACAGAGGAGCCUUGAAUCGGCGACGAGACGGAGGCUCGUCGAUUCGACCGCAAGGUGAGCUCAAGCGGGUGGCGUCGCGUUGAUUUGGACGCUGGGAGGCUCAACGAGGUGGCGGAGCGUCGAUUUGACCGUUGAAGGACCCCGAUGGGGUGGCGGCAGUCCUUCUCGUCGCCUCUACCCUAUGGUGGGCGAGCACCGUCGCACGUUGAAGCUCCGCCGACCUAGCUGCGGGGCAAGCGAGCUCCGACAGUGCAGCCGAGCGCCGCUGCGCAGGUGAGGGGAAGGAGCAGCGGUGGACCCGCAUAGGUAGGCAGCGACGGCGAGGGGAGGGGACCCGAUAGGUAGGCAGGGACGGCGAGGGGAGGGGAGCAGCGAUGGGUAGGCGCAAGCGGAGGAGCGGCUGCAUGGGGAGGCGAGCAAAAGGACGACGAUGGCGACGUGCGGGAGGGAGCCGGUGGGAGAGAGCGGUAAAUGAGGAGCAAGAUGUCCAGCACACCUUAGUCCAAUUUUAUGAAUUAUUAGAGGACCAAAGGGUGUAAUCCGAACUUUAAUCCACCUGAGGAGCAAGGAUGUCCCAGCACACCUUAGCCCAAUUUUAUGAAUUAUUAGAGGACCAAAGGGUGUAAUCCGAACUUUAAUCCACCUGUUUGGGGUGCUUAGAACUAAAAGUGCAAAUUUUAGUCAAAAAAUCUUUAGUCUGCGCGGAACGUUUCAUGGAGAUAAUGGUACCGGCGGGACCAAAGAACUAUCAUAUAUUUUUUCAGUAUAUAUUGUAGAAAUUACUCCGAUAAUUUAUUUUCAACUACUUCCAUAAAAAAUUAAAAAAAUGAAUGCUACUUUUUUUAAAAAAGGACAGUUUCUACGUAUUAUUGCGCACAUUUUCUGAACAAAAGAAAAUCAAAAUAUUCAUAUGCAAACCAAUUUUCUUUUCAACAUACAUGAACCACGCGAAUGUUGCUGCAAACAUCUUCCAUCUAUUUUUUCCGCAAAUGUUACAUAAGGGCAAUUUCAUAACAAAGUUACAGGCAUAUAAAAAUCAUAAAAAUACUUUAUUGUAUUAGAAAGCAUGAGCUUGCAAGAAAAAUAAAAAAAACAACUACUUUCAGAUCUUCAAAAAUAGUGGAAGGCAUAAUUUCAGAUCUUGUGCUCUUCUCAAGAUGUUUUCGAGUGAUGUCCAGACACACAACAUCCACAUCUUCCAAUCUCGCAAGAAACACCAAGCAAUAACAUGUUUGUCGCCGCAUUACUUGCUGUAGUUGUACGCGUGGGGAAGGUUAGGGUCUUGGGGGAUCCACAAAGACCGUAGCGGGACCCUACCUCCUCCUACUGGCACAUGCCUUCUCCGGCGAUGUCGAGCCGUGCGCCGCCGUGGGGAGGCUAGCGGGGGAGGGGGAGCACCUAUGGUGGAGGAUCCGAAAGUCGGUGGCCUUACCUUUCAAGGAUUGCACCGGAUCUGGGCUCCAAGCGCGUGGCGCCGCCGGCCUCCCCAGCGAGCUCCUCACUGUAGUAGCUCGACGCACGGGGAGAAAUCUUCCAUGGAGGCCGCCGGCGGCCGAGGGGAUCCUGGCGCCUCCUCCAUGGAUCAGGUGCGGCUACGUCGUUGCCGCCCGAUGGAUCCGCUGGAGCAUUGUCAUGACCCGCCUGCCCCACCGCCUCCGGCCUCCGCACCUUGGCCACCUCGCCGGAUUAGGGACUCGGUAGAAACUGAGAAAGGAAGAGAUGAGGAGAGAAACGGAGGGGAAAAUGAGGAGGAGAGAGAAUACCGGCAGUAAGGGUGCGUUUGGUUGCGAGGACGAAGUGGGACGGGACGGGACGAUCCCACUUCGUCCCGCGUUUGGUUGGAGGACAGGUGGGACGGGGACAUCCCUACGAGGGAAUAUACCCUCCAGAUGCGGGAUGCCCCCGUCCCACCAAAACGAGCGGACGGGGGCAUCCCACUUCGCCCCCGUCACGCGCCGUCUGCACCGGUGGGGCUCCGCCCCAGCCGGCGGGCGAGCCGCAGGCGGAGGGGCCGGCGCGGGCGAGCUCCGCCCCGGCGGCGGGCGAGCCGCCGGCGGAGGGGCCGGCGCGGGCGAGCUCCGCCCCGGCCGGCGGACGAGCUGCGGGCGGAGGGGCCGGCGCGGGCGAGCUCCGCCCCGGCGGCGGGCGAGCCGCCGGCGGAGGGGCCGGCGCGGGCGAGCUCCGCCCCGGCCGGCGGACGAGCUGUGGGCGGAGGGGCCGGCGCGGGCGAGCUCCGCCCCGGCCGGCGGGCGCGAGAUCCGCCACGGCCGGCACGGGCGAGCUCCGCCGCGGCCCCUGGGGCGAGCGGGGCGAGCGGCCGGCGGGGCGAGCGCCCCCGGUGCCGCGGCCGGUGCCCACGGCCUGGGCGGCAGGGAGCUCCGGCGGGGGCGGUAGGGAGCUCCAGCGGGGGCGGCACGGCUUGGGGCGGCAGGGAGCGUUGGAGAAGAUACGGGUUAGGAGAAAAAAAAAAGAAAAGACGAUGACAUGUGGGCCCAUAUAUGACAUGUGGGUCCCACUAAACACAUGCAGCUAACGGUGUUACCCGAGCCAUCCGUCCCUCGUUUUCAAUCCAUCGUACCAAACAAAAAACUGGGAUGAAUUCAUCCCUCUCAACCAAACAGCAGACGGGAUGAUCCCAUCCCAAAAAAUAGAGACGGCACCGUCCCAUCCCAUCUUGUCUCCAAACCAAACGCACCCUAAAUGGCGGAAGGUGGACACCGGCUCCUUAAUUACUUCCGUAAUCGCUUUCUCUCUCUUCGAAACGUUCGGCCGUUGAUAUUUGAUCCCACGGGGCAGGAAACCACCUCCGCGGUAAAUGCCCUCCGAAGUUGAUUUUCGCGUGGACUGGCAGCAAAUUUUCUAACAAUCCAGCCAAAGCCUGCACCUCUCGUGUGCCCGUGGUACCCCAUGGGCAGAGCGAACACGCUGCCAUCCUCGUGGUCGAGGGUUGAGGCCAGCGGCCCGCGUCGGCUCGUUGUCGAAGCUUUCACAUCCGGCCAGGCGGCCAGUGUCGUCGUGACGGGAUGCGCAGGCAGCCCGAGCCCGCUGGUUCUAUCGUGCCCGGCGUGCAUCCCGACCAGCCUUUCUCAAAACCCACAGCCACGCGGCACCUGUGAACGAGUCGUACCACUGUACUUGUAAAAAAAAUCGUACUACCAAAACUCACCACCAGACGCCAGCCCCACGGCGGCGCGCCAAUGUCAUCGCGCCAUCCGUUUGGCCAGUGCACUACACAAGAAAACGGCAGCUCUGGGCACGCGCGCGCGUCCGCCACCCCUUCUCGCCGGUCGCGGCCACGGUCAGGUUCACGCCCCAUCCGGCUCCGGCCACGGCCAGGCAGCGCGCGCGCGUGCGGCCGAUCGACCGGGCGGUCACCAUUGCCAGCCGCCCCAGGGCGCGCGCGAGUCGCGACGCGAGGACAGCGUCGCGCCACGGCCGCAUGCACGCGCGCGGCAAUCAAUGCGCGACGUCGCGGGCGCCCCCCAGAUGCAGCUGCGCGCGCGGCUACGUGAGGCCCAUCUGCUUUUGGGCGGUAACGACCCGCUGGCCAGCCCCGGCGCUGCCCUGCCGCCGAGGGAACGACGGCGAGCGCGCGCGGCUCACACGUGCUGCGCGCCGGGACCAGCCUGGGCUAGCGGACAAACCGUAGCUUUUUUCCGAUAUUUGUUACCCGGAUUCGGCGGGGUUCCGGCACUCGAUUUGGCUGUCCGACGAAAGCUCGGUUUGGGAAUUUGACCGCAGGUGUAGCCGUGUAGGGUUGGAGCCCUGCUACGCGGCGCGCUGCGGUUCCUCCGCCGGCGGCCUCUUGGAAGCUUGAUCACUUGAUCUCGCCUUCUUCCUCACGGAAAAUAUCCAGAAUCUUCGUGCGGUGCCGUGCAAUCGUGCAUGAAUGCUUGUGCGGUAGUACGACGGUGAAAUUCAUUCAGUCCUUGGAGAGCACCGGCAUACGGAGUACUCCGGCCAUAUAGGUUUGCAGUGAGAAAAAUGGUGCGCUGGUUUGCCUCGCCAAAGAAAGAACACGGCAACCUCUCGUGGCGCAUCCCCCGGAUGCAGCUUUCACCGGUAGAAAACCGACCUUGAGUCCCGGUUGAUAAACCUCAUAUCUCUCGAAAAACUAAUUGGGACUAACUAUUCGGGAUUAAAAAAAGAUUUUUUUCUUUUUACUUUCAAUUCUUUUCCAUAUUAAUGCUAAUUGUUGCUACACAUAUAUAUUACAUAUACGUAUACAUUCUUAGCGUACACUACCUCCACGUAUACGCUCGUAUACAAGUCGUAUAUAUUUUUCAUGAUAGUAUAGGCAUAAUAUUAAUUAUAACUACUAUAUAUACAAUUCUUAGUAUAUUAUACACAUCAAACUAGUAUUUAUACUAUUACUAUAUAUACAAUAAUUUGUCCUCUUCAUUCUUAGGAUCCUCCCAUUGUGGUGUUGCUCCAUUCUGCUACAGAAUGUCCAUCGUAAUAAAAUUCUCAUUUAUGAUUUAUCACCUCGUCCACCAGAAAUCCUAUGAGAGUUUCUUGGAUUGCCAAAAGCCUCUCCUUCUCCAAGAGUUUUUCUCUAAACAAUUAAAUGUAAUGAGCUAGAAAAUAAUUAAUUAUUAAUAGGUUUAUUUUACAUACAGUUAUGUUAUCCGAUAUCACCUUGUCCCUCACAAAAUGGUACAUAUGCUCGCAGACGUACUAUCCACAUAAAUUAUUCCCUUAUUCCUGUCUCAAGCACUUUAGUGGGAAAAAACAAGUUAUGAAAUAUUCGUGUUACAGAAUGUACAAAAUGUGGAAACUUUAUACGUACUAGGAACGGCGGCGCAGAGGGCCGCGAUGGAGGCGGACAGCUGUGCAGGGGCCGGGCGUCGAUGGACGGCUUGUAGAAGACCCGACGCCGGGGAGGGGGCCGGACGAUGGUGGAUGGCGGCGGCGCUGCUGCAGUGGUGCCGGUGUCCGGGUGCUCAGCGCACGACACCGUGCGGUGGGGGAGAAGCCGGCAGGCCGGGGGAGGAAGAGGGAGCCCGACUGGGAGGGCGCCACACCGCGGAGUCGGCUGUGGAGGCGAAGGGGCGGCCGGCGGAGGAGGAGAAUGGGGCGUCGGGGCGUCGAUGGGUGCGCCGUGGAGGAGCUGCCGGCCGGCGGCGUGACGGCUAGGGGGACGAUGAUGAUGCAACGGCCGGGGGGGACAAUGACGACGCAUGGUGAGGUAGCGGCGGGCCGACUAGGCGAGUGGGGGCCGCGUCGCGGCUGUGGAGGAGAAUGGGCGGCGCAGGGAAUGUCGGCGCUGAAUGUCGAUGGGGAGGCGCGGCGGCGGCAGUCGAGGAGGAGAACGGGUGGCGCGAAGAUGUGGGGCAGCGGCGUACGCGGCGGAGCACGAGAGGUGGCGGAUCGGGGGAGUGAAAUGAGGAGGAAGAAGGAGGCGGAGAAGAGGUAGUUGUGUCGCCCCCCCCCCCCCCGCCCCGGGUGUCCUUUGCAACCGAGACUAGGGGGCUUUUCGUUUCAUGCUGGUUUUGUAGUUUUAAUUUAUAUAUGUUUUAAGUUGUUUUGUACUGGUGUUGUUAAAGAAAAAUAAAAAAUUACAUAUUUUGAACAUGCAAAGAUAUAUUAAAUUAGCAAUUAUAUUUAAAAUAAGUUUGAAUUAGUUAUUAAUUCUAUACUAGUUAAAUAAUAAGUUUCUAAAAUAAUUAUUUUAAUGCAUCGAUUGAUCAACAAACUCUUCAAUUAAAUUAUUUCAACGCGCAAAAAUGCAAUUGAUAUAUGUGGUUAAGUUAACAUUGUUUAUAUUUUUCGAAAAAAAGGUUCACCAUAAAAUAUUACGAUAUAAUUAAAAGGUUCUGAUGGCUAUAGAGCAUUACAUAAAGGUGCACCAUAUUUAGUGCAUUACAAUGUAACGUUAGAAAACUUCUAUUACUUGGUCAUGAUCGCGGUGUAAGUAUGGAGCCUCUUGUUUGGCUAGCAUGAUGCUUGGAUCAACUUCGACAGUGAAUGGAGGCAUGCUAUCAAACUGAUCAUAAUCAUCUAACUGGUCAGUUUUGUCCUUGACUCCCACGAUUUUUCUUUUACCUGGAAGAACUAUGUGGCGAUUUGGCUCCCAUGGAUGUGGCGAUUUGGCUCACAUGAUUUUUCUUUAUCUUCUGAAUUUUUCUUAGGUUCGCUAGACAUGUCCUUCACAUAGAAAACAUGAUGCACAUCGUAAGAAAGGACGAAUGGUUAGGCCGGGUCCAUUAUUGUUAUUCCAUACUGAUCUUUUGUUACGCCACCUCCAACUAGCUUCACCCAUUGGUAAUGAAAUAGAGGGAUGUUCAGCGGUCCGUAUUCGAGUUCUUAGAUCUCCUCUAUGAAACCUUAAUACAAGUCCUUGCUCUUGUUGUUGUCUAUGUCAUCUAUAUGGACACCACUAUUUUGAUUAGUGCUUUUUUUUAUCUUGGGCUCUCGUGUAAAAUGUAUAACAUUUAUCUCGUAACCUUGUAACUUCACGAUUGUGCUAGAAGAUCCCCUUGCUAACCAAGCGAGUUGUUUGUAAAUCACGGAGUUACCCGAAAGGUGUUGAUGCAACUAAGAGGGAAAAGUAUCCAUGUGAUGACGUAUAACUAAGGCAUCGAAUUUUGUCGGGUAUUGGAAAAAUAGAAUCUGUUUGUGUUCCUCGAUAUACGAAGCCACAAAUGAUGAUUAUUUCAGAACCGUGAAGUGUGCUUUAUGGAACAAAUCACUAUCAUUACUUAAACUUGAUUUUCUUCCAAGGGUGCCCGUUCCCCAUAACAUCCCCUCGUGGCGUGAUGUUGGAACCCCAAUUGAAUACAAAACUCAAUGAUCUUCUUUGUUCCAUAUCCCUUGGCGAUGCCUCCUUCUGUACAGACACGAUUAAGAACAUAGUUUUUUAGACUAACAUGAACCUCUCGAAAGGCCACAUAUUGUGCAGAAAUACUGGACCAAGAAUAGUACUCUUUGACUAGGUGAUCAAGGAGGUGCGUCAUAAUAUUGAAGAAGGAUGGUGGAAAUACCAAUUUAAAACUGAUAAGACAUUGUACCAUAUCGUUCUGUAGCUUUAGUAGCUUGGUUGGAUUGAUUGCCUUCAGCGAAAUCGCAUUGAGAAACGUGCAUAGCUUUACCAGUGUUAAUUGUACAUUCUCUAGUAGAAUACCACUCAUUGCAACCGGAAGCAACUAGGUCAUCAAAAUAUGACAGUCAUGGGCCUUUAGAUUUAUGAACUUCUUUUUUUCAUAUUAUUAUUCUCUUUGUAUUCGAGGAGUACCCAGACAGAACCUUGAUACUAUUCAUGCAGUCAAACAUGCUAUCCUUAUCUUCCCUACUGAGAGGGUAACUGGUAGGAUGUAAGUAGUGCCGUUCUUUAUCUCUGUUUUCCAGAUGUAGAUCAUCUCGUUGAUUUAUACAUUUCAGGUCCUAUCAUGCUUCCAAUGUAUCUUUUGAGUUCCCACAAAGCCUAGCACGUUCAUGCAAAGAUUCUUCAUCAGGUGUAUCAUGUCUAUUGCAUCGUGGACCUCUAGGAUUUCCCAACAAGAUAGCUCCCGAAAUAUAGACUUUUUCUUCCACAUGGGUGCACGUCCGUUAUUGUCGUUCGGAACAGGUUCGCUACCAAGACCCAUUUCAUUACCAUGUGCAGGUCUUUUACGAUGGUCUAAUGCCCCUUUGAAAUGCAUCCCUUUUCUUUCUUAACUGGUGGUUAGCAGGAAGAAAUCGAUAAUAACCCAUAUAAACGAUCUUCCUAAAGUGUUUCAAAUACAUAUUGUCUAUGUCUUCUAAACAGUGGGUGCAUGCCCGAUAUCUCUUAUUUAUCUGUCCUGAAAGUUUCGUCAACGUAGGCCAAUCAUUAAUGAUUAUGAACAAUAAUACUCGUAGGUGAAAACUCUCCUGUUUAUUCUCAUCCCACACAUGUACACCUUCUUCCUUCCAGAGCAUAAAGGUUCAUCAACCAACGGAUUUAAGUACACGUUAAUGUCGUUGCCAGGUUAUUUUGGGCCUUGGAUAAGUACCGGCAUUAUAAUGAAUUUCCGCUUCAUGUACAACCAAGGAGGAAGGUUGAACAUACAUAGGGUCACAUACCAACUAUUAUGACCACUACUCAACUCACCGAAUGGAUUGAAUCCAUCAGUAAUUAAACCAAACCUUAUGUUCCUUGCAUCACUUUUAAAGUCCGGGAUUGCUCUAUCAAUUGAUCUCCACUGGGCCCCAUCCGCGGGGUGUCUCAACAUCUCAUCUUGCUUACGUUAUUUUUUGUACCAUCACAUCAAUUUAGCAUUCGCCUUAUUUCUGAACAAACAUUUCAAACGUGGUAUUAUAGGGAAAUACCACAUCAUCUUUGCGGGAACUCUCUUCUUGGAAGGAUACCCCUCAACAUCAUCAGGAUCAUCUUGUCUGAUCUUAUACCGCAGUGCUCUGCACACAGGAUAAGUAUCCAAUUUCUCGUAUUCAUCACCACGAUAGAGGAUACAAUCUCUAGGGCAUGCGUGUAUCUUCUGAACCUCCACUCCCAGAGGGCAAACAACCUGUUUAGCUUCAUAUGUUGUGGACGGCAAUUCAUUAUUCCCGGAAAGUAUGUUCUUUACAAUUUUCAAUAUCCCUUGAAAUACCUUAUCGGACACACCAUUUUUUACCAUCCAUUGCAGCAUUUCCAGUGUGGUUCCUAGUUUUUUAUACCCCUGCUUGCAAUAUGUGUAUAAUAAUUUUUUAUGAUCAUCUAUCAUGCGCUGCAACUUUUUUGAUUCCUUCUCAAUUUCGUAGUCUUUUUGCGCAUCCCGUAGCACCUGACUAAGAUCAUCAAUAGGUCCGUCUUCUGCAAACUUUUAUUCAUCAGUCUCGUCCAUUGUAGUAUCUGCAAAAUCUUAGCUUGCAGCCCAGUCCGGAAUGUUGUUAUCAUCCUCCUCUUCUUCGCUAUCUUCCAUUAUAACCCCUCUUUCACCAUGCUUGGUCCAAACCAAAUAGUUAGGCAUGAAACCAUAUCUAAACAAGUGGCUGUGAAGAGUCCCCCAGGAAGAGUAGUCCUUCUUGUUACUGCAUUGGAAGCAUGGACAACAUAUGAAUCCCUUCUCUAGCUUGUUGACUUUUGCUACUUCGAGAAAAUAAUGCAAGCCAUCAAUGAACUUCUUGGUCCGUCUAUCUGCAUUGUACAUCCAUUGCCCGUCCAUCUGCAUUGUAUUACAUGAAAAAUGGACAUAGGUCUUCGUAUCAGAUAAAAAAAUUUGAUCAAUAUUAAUAAUUUACACCAAUCAACCUUCAUAAAGAUAAAAAAUAAUUUACAUGAAAAUUACACCAAUCAACCUUCAUAUCAUUCACUAGGUCAACAAAAAUAAAAUUGGUAAAAUUCUGGAAUAAGACAAUAAAGAUAUAUAUAUUACAUACGCUCUAUAGUGGACUUCAUAUAGUCAAUAAUCCUAAAAUAAUGGUACAACAUAGCAGAAUGUUGGCUCUUCAAACCAUCUCUGCACAUGACUCAAUCUUCUACGAAGUGUAUGGAGAGUCACCUCCACUCCUCCAGUACCAGAAAAUAAUGGUACAACAGAAGAUCUUCGAAUCCAUGUACUCGGAUUGGAUAUCAUAAAAGAAUCUUGAAAUAAUUAUCCAAACGUCUUUUGAAGUGCCACAUUUUCAUAAUAGAAGUAUGAUGGCACACAAUAGCCUGUCAAGGUAAAAGAUUUGUUCACUAAGCAUGGCCCAUUUUAGCAAAUCAAAACUAACUAAAAUUCGAUAGGUCAAGGUCAGUGAACAGUGUCUACCUAAACAGGCUCUUGGGCCACUAUACUUCUAUUAUAAGAAUGUGGCUCCAAAAGUUAUUUGAAAAACUAUUUUAAGAUUCUUUUAUGAUAUUCAGCCUGAGUUUGUGGACUCGAAAUUCUUCUGUUCUACCAUUAUUUUUGGAUUUUUAACUUCGUGAAGUUCACUAUAGAGCGUCUGUAGUCUUUAGUGUAUCUUUGUUGCCCUGUUCCACAAUUGUAGCAUUAAGUUGACCAGUGUAAUUUUCAUGUCACUCUAAUUUAACGUGCAAACUAUCCAGAAAAUUGUAACAAUGACCAAAUUCUAUUUCUUACGCUUACAAUUUAUUUACCUUAAUUUUAUUUCUUACACCUGCAAUUUAUUUGACUAAAUAUUAAAAAUACAUUUACAUUAUUUUUCCCCAUACCUAAUAUUGAUCAGGAUAUUUAUCUAAUACGAAUCAUAUAUAACAAGAAAGCUAUCCAUCAAAUUUUAAUUCAAAAACAUGUAUAAAUAAAAAAUCCUCACCAUUCUUCCUCAUUCUAAAACUCAUUUUUCUCUAUCUCUAAAGCAUAAAACAAAAUAUAAUAACAAUAAAUGAAGGGAGGAUGAAGUAACUAACUUUUACAACACUUUAGAUGAGUGAAAUCCCCAUAAAAAUGAGGAAAAACAUUGGGUAGCACCUCCCUAAGCUUGCUUGCUAACCAUGGAGAAGGAGCCGGAAGCUCGGUCUGAGUGGCUCGGGCUCAAGGAGGAAGAAGCUGAAUUUUAAAGGCGAGGCAUUUAGUCCCGGUUGAAAACACCAACCGUGACUAAAGCUCCUUACCAGGACUAAAUGGGGACCUUUAGUCACGGUUAGUGUUUUUAACUGGGACUAAAAGCUCCACCUGAUUCCCUCAUUCCACUAGCUGUUGCAAUCGGGGCUAAAGAGGUCUCUAGCUCAUCGGUGGCCGUUUGACUGGGAUUAAAAACCUUCUUAUCUCGAGUUCAAAAUCGACCGGAACUUAAAAACGCUGGAUGGAAAUUCUCUAAUUAGUGCUUCGUUUCCCUCAGGCCGCCCGGGGAGCUUGAACGAUCAGCCGACGAGAGUACUCGAGUUCGUUUAGGAGUCCUCAAACUCGGUUACUGCUGAAAACGAGGCCUGAUCAGCGAUCACGUGGUGACGCACGCGUGAGACGGAGACGGACCCCAGCCAGCAACAGCAGGCCGACCUACUACCAACCAGUGACCCGGUUCACGUUACUCAUUGACUAGCAUCUACUCCUACCUGUACCAUAUCAGCUGGCGUGGCCGCCGUCGCAUCCACAUCCGCGCCGAGAUAUUUCCCCGGCCGGGGCGGUGGCCAUGUCAAGCCUCGCCACUUGGGGCCACGCCAUCGGUGUCGCUUGCAAGUCAACAUACGGCCGUGCCGUCGGGGACACUUGUCCGGCCAGAACCGCCCGGCUCCGCAUUGUUUAUGCGCCCGUCACACGUGAAAGCGCGCUCCGGCGAGCGGGAACUCGCCGGGAUCGCGCCACCUGUUGGCUACAGUUCGCCGGCAGGCAGCCUCUCGCCGAGGCAACGCUGCUCCAGUGCAAUCAUGCAACUGUUCAUACCUGACGCGCUGUUGGGUCGCAAUUAUUGGCCAGUGGAAAUUCUAGGCCCGCUGUUGCUUUUUUCGGAAGGUUCUCAGCUUCUGAAUUCUGAUGCUCGGCGAACAGAACCAACAAGUGGAAAAGGCUCUGGGAUGAAGCGACUAAUAACCGCAAGAGGAAAGGAUGCGAUGUCAUCCGCAAUCAUCUCCAGCGAAAAAGCUCUGGAGAAAAAGGCUCUUGUAGCACGCGCGGAUCACUACUUUAUCUGCGCUUUUAGCGAGGGUUUUGGCAAAGCAACGUGGGGGUAUCAGGCGUGUAUCUUUGCUAGCUCUGUUUGCCCUAGAUGGCGUAGUACUUUGUAGCAGACACUCUUGCGUGUGCUGUUAGCACUGUUCACUGGCAUGCCAAUCUCUGCAAAACUUUCAGCGUAAUCCACAGGACAGAUCAAGCUUUACGGGGUCUUACCCAUUUCCGGUAUGAGCUAGAAAGACAAUACACAAAUACAGGGUGACCACAGAGUUCAGAAAGAAAAUGUCAUUGACUGAAGUAGUAUACCAAAGAUCACGUGUCGAAUAGCUUGUGAGAAAUGUGCUCGAGUGUCUUGCUCUGUUAGUUGCUCAUGCUUUUUCUCUAGAUCAUGAGGCCGAAACUUUGUUUUCAAGCUAAGGGUGCAGGCGAUGCUUAUCCAGAAGAGGGGAAGGCUGCCUGAGCACUCAAGCGGCACCGGCGCCUUUCCCCUUUCGGCACGAAAAUGACACACACGUUGAUGUCAACCGCGCGCGGACAAUCUGGGUGCCCAUGCUCAGAUUCCUAACGCUUCUUCCACAUUGCAACAAAAAGCCUCCUCCACAAAUCUUGCUUGGACAGUGGACACGAGCUAGUGUGUAAGCACAGCAUCUGCCGCAGAUACGCAUGGGAUCGGAAGCACAUCAGCAGCGCAUGUGUGAAGAUUUGCUGAAAAUGAAGUGAAAACACAUACUGUUUGGCCUGAAGAAUCCAUGGACCAAAAAACUGGCCACCACACUAGCUGUGCAAAUAAACAAAUGGCAGGAUUACCUCAUCAGAACCAAAGAGGAUUAGAAUCCACUUGCAAUUGAGACCAAGCUUAAUCCAUGACCAAGAGAGGUUAAGUGUAGCUCCAUCAGGAGGCUUUGCUUUAAGCUUUGAUGUUUAGUAAGACCACCAAAACACUCCAAAUGUGUAGCGAUCUGGACCUAACUAUACUAUGAUGAGCGGUGGCAGCCGCUCUUAUUUAAUCUGAUCCAGUGCGUUAAAAUAAGUGCGUGGUGUUUUAUGUCACGCCGUGAUCCAAUCCAACGCUGGAGUUAGUUAUGUCGUGACGUCCGGUAGGCCUGCAACGCAGAGACUAAAAUAUCAGGGUUCCUCAUACAGCAUCAGUGUGUUAUGCACACACAAUUGAAACAGUCGUUAUCUAUGAUAAUUCAAACUUGAAAACCACAAGUUAGAACACGCCACCACUUUCUCUUCCAAAUGGAUAACGAAUCCUCCAUUUCAAUGAGGUAUUUUGGAGUGAAUUCAGCCUGAACCUUGUCUCGACGUCUGCUGUUCCAAAAUUCUCAGAGUGAAGGACCAAAAGGGAAAACGUAGACGAAAUGUCCGCCUGCCUUGACACUCCGGUCAAGCCUUUCUUUCUCCCUUUACACGAGAGUUUCAACAUGUACGAUCAGAUGAUGAUAUUCGCAGCCGGGGGACCGACAUCUGUUAUUCUAUUCCGGACAGGCGACACAGCCAUACAGGUGUCUCGAUACAUUAUUUCAGAGCAAGGAACCCCCCGGUAGUUCACGUGAUAAUCCUCUCCCCAUCGGCCAUCGUUCCGUGCAGGCCGGGGGGAUCACAGGUUCGUCUCGCUCUCGCAGGCACCAGUAGGAGAGAGUCCCCGGCUCGGGAGCCGCAGCCAAUCCAGCCAUGACUCACCAUGAGAUCUUUUCUCCGCGGGUUCCGUGCAGGCUGACCAGCUGUGCGCUUCAUAAUUGAGAGGGCCAGAUUGCAUUCGCAUCAGCGCAAAACCUUGCCCCUUUAAAUAGACACAGGUCAUCUCAGUCUCAACCCUGUAGGCUUCUCUCCUCUCCUCUCUCUCCUCUCUCUGCCUCUCUGACUUCUUCCUCCGGGAGUCCAGCUCACCAGGAGGAAGAAGUUCCAUUGCCUUCUUCGCUCAUCUGCCUGCGUCCACACUCGAACAGUUGAGUCGUUCUUCCCCUCCCAAAUCCCCAUUGUUUUAUCUCCUGGCGUUCUAGAACCGUAAGUACCUGCGCUCGGCGGCAAGAAGCAGCAAGCGCGGGGUGACGUUCCCCGCGUCGUCAAAGGAUUAGGUGGCUCCUCGUUUUCCCCUGGAUUUCGCAGCUCGAUUUCACGAUCUUUGGGAUAGCCUUUUUCAAUGUAUUUUAUCAUUUCAAUAUGGCGGCAGAGGCAUUGCUCGAUCGAUCGCGUACCGGUAGCACUAGCUAGCGCAGGCAUCCCCUGGUGUUUUCUUUUGAGUUUUUUUUUGGGUUUCCGAUGGCACAACUUGCCGCCGAUACACAAAAAAACAACGCCUUUUCGGGGCGAAAAGUAUGCCAAUUUGGCCGUACGUUACGCCAAGUUGCACUCCUGUUCCGAUGUUGAUUACUGGUCCCCCCCUGCGAACGUUUUAAAGGAUAAGAGUUGCUUCGUCUCGCUCACUGGUGUUCGUCGUGGUUUAUUUCUUCGGUUGUGCGCGCGUGCAGAGACUGCAGAGACGGGGAGCGGAGGUAGUAGUGGUGGCGGUGGCCCUUGCUGGGUGGAGGUGGAGGCUUCGAUUCGGGCGGUGGCUCGUGGCCUGACGAAUCCCGGAAAGGCCGCCGGAAAGGGGAGGACAAAGGUGGGAGAGCUUUUAUUGGUUUCUUUCCUGUUCUUGUUCGAUGGUGCUCUCUCUGAUUGGUUUGUGCUCGCGUACAAGUUACAAUCUUCCGCAGUAUCCUUUCUGCCCGAACAUUUCUUUCAAAAAUAUCCCUUUUACUGCAAGAGUUUCCACGAUCCUCGUUUCCGUUUCUGCCGUAGAUUCUUAGUGCAGUUAAUUUCUUUCAUCUUCUUGAAUCCGCGAUGUGGUUUGUUGAAUUGUUGUUGAGUUGCUGAUGUCGUUUUUGUUGCUGGUCGUGAAUUCGCGACGCUCGCAGGUAAACAGGCCGCUGUGAAGCCAUGGGGUGCGGGGCGUCGAGCCAGAAGGACGCCGCCGGCGGGCCCCGGAGACGGCCGGGGAGCGUCGGCGACGUGGUCGUGUUCCUCCCGGGCCUCCGGGUGCCGAGGAGCGUCGACCUCGCCCAGGCGCUCGGCGGGCGCCUGGACAGGAGCAUUGUGGAGCGGCUGUCGGCUCUGAGAGCGCGCGUCGUCGAGAUGGCAAUGCAAGAGUCGGCGGUGGCGCUGAAGCCAAGGCGGAGGGCGGCGGCACGGCACGGUGUGUAGGGGAGGGGGUGGUGGUACAGCGCCUGAAUUGGUAGCUAGUUUUGUCUGCAAGCGGAGAAGACUUCACAGAGCUGACCUGGGUUUGCUUCCCUGCAGGAUCUAGUACAGCCAAUCUCCUACAGGCUCUUGAAGAAUACUUGCCCGUUCUGCUAGGAUUGGUAAAAGAAGGUGAGGAACUGCUGCAGUAAUCUGGUGGUCUGUUCGUGUUUCAGUUCACAAUUUCAUUUUGGUGUUCUGAUUCAUCCAGCAUGCAAAAUGUGCAGGUAGUAUGUUGAGGCACGCCGUGCAAUUCACUUGGACUAACCAAGAGGAUAAUGCUGAGGUAUGUCCAGCCCUGAAUAUCGCGAACUCAUUGCUGUUUUGUUGCUCCUAAGCUGUAUGUUAAAUCAACUUUCCAUAUAUCAGGAGACGGCCAUGGCAGAUGCCUGGUACGAGGUGCUGUCCGUGCUGCAUUUGAUGGCCAUGGUCUGCUUGCUGCAGGCCAACACCCUGCUUCUCCCCAGGUCAUACGGCGAUGGCUAUGCACCAAGAGUUUCUGAAGGUGCUACAACUGUGAACUGUACAUCCGAAGUGUCCUUGUCCUAGAGACUGUUGUUCCAAGUUUGUGCUUUUAAACUAGGUUCAUAGAAAAUAUAACGACCUGUUGUGCAUUGAAGUAUUUCCAUCUAUAGUGUUCAUGUGCUGAUAUGGCGACAAAUUUCCAAUGUGCUACAGAGAGCAGAAGGGUCACUGUUGAUGUUUUCUUGAAGGCAGCUGGAUACUUAGACUGCGCAAUUCGGCAUGUACUUCCACAGAUUCCACCGGAACUAAGGUUCUGUACACCUUGGGUAGCUUUCUGGUAGUGUUAGGCUUCCAUUCGAAUUUUAAAACAUCUGCUGAAACAUUCCCCUUCAAUAUAUGGAUCACAGGAGGCAACUUCCAGUAGACCUCGUUGAAGGAAAUCUCAAAGCUUUAAGCCUGCAAGCUCUGGGUCAGGUAGUGUCUUCUCAACUUGGAAAAUUGGAUUUUUUUUUGAACAACUUCUUAAAUGGUUCCACAAUAUAAAUCUACAGUCCAUUUAAAAAAUAUUUCCGAUGAGAAUACUGGACAUAUGCUUAGAAAGAAAAGAAAAGAAAAGAAAAGAGCACAGAAGAUAUUAUGCCUGCAUGUGAUUUUGAACGAUAUAUUUCCUAUUACUGCUGAAGCAGCAUGUAUUGAAUAGCACAAUUUUAUACUUCUUAAGUUGCAAUUUGUUGCUGGGAACAGCCUAAGAAACCUAGUACUAGCAUUCUAUUUAUCAUGGUUUAUCAAAUCUACACUUUGACAUGUCUGAUACAUUAGUCCUAUUAUUAUCUGUACUCUUGCUAGCCAAUACAUUUGAUAUUAGAUAUUUCAUUUUUUUUUCCUGAACAUUGGUUUCUUUCUACAGGGGGUGGACAUGCAGCUUGGUUUGGCUAUCGAUAGUCCAAAGGCCACUUUAGCAGUAAAACGGCGCUUAGCCUGUGAAAUGAUCAAGUAUUGGCAACAUGUUCAGGAAAGCAUUCCAGAUCUUCCUGGCUCUGAUGGAUGGGGGAAAAAGCACCGGCUGUUUGUCAAGUGGAAAUAUGUUGAAGCAAAGGUAUAUAUCUCGUCUCAAACUCUCAAUCAAAGAGACUAAAUUUCAUCAGAUUACAUAGCUUUUGAUCUCUAAUGUAUGAUAUUUGAAGCAUCCAUACUGUCUGACAUCUAUUUACAUGUUUAUCUCAGCUGCAGCAUACUAUUUUCAUGGUUUGAUUCUUGAUGAGGGAAAUACAGAGAAAUCCCAUGGAAUGGCAAUAGCCGCACUUCAAGCUUCAGAAGAAUUUCUGAAAGAAAGCAAAAGGGUUUCGGAAGCCUUCCAUGCAACUCCUCCAACAUCGAGGUAGAGCAUUGCGCCUGCACCCCCCCCCCCCCCCCCAACACACACACACUGACACACACACACUUCACUCCUCACCAUAUUUUGUUUUUUUUAUUUUAAAAAUUUCACAUUUGCCAAGAUAAGGGUGCUCGAUAAUCUGUUUGAGGAACAGCUGUUGCUGUGAUUUGUAAUAACUAAUAACACAUUCAUAGUAAGGGAGACUGAAGUUCAUACCUGUACUUUGCAGGAGCCCUACUCCAUUCGGAACAGCAAAAUAUAUGUUUGACAAGAUCCCAAAAGAUGCUUCAAGCAAGGUCCGAAUCAACCAGGACCUGUAUACCCAAGAAAAGUAAGAACCAUCAGCACUGAAACAUACUGGAAUUGCGAAUCCCAUGUACUAAUGUGUCAUUAUGGGGAAUUUGCAGGGUCAUAGGAACUCCGCCUCCCUUACCAGAUUUUGCAUUGGCGCUAACACCUGAAGACUAUGAUCUUCCUCCAUUAGAUCCACUUUGGAACAAAGAAGACAGACGUCAUUAGGUGUAUAUGCAACAGAAUGGUUUCUUCAGACGAAAAGCUUGGCGUUAGAGAGAAACAAGAAGCACCAAGAUCUGCCAUGCGAAAGCUGAGCAUGGUAAAAGUGUACAAAGUAUGUUUGAACCAAAUUUCGUAUCAAAAAAAAAUCCAACCAAUUGUUAGGAAGGCCUGAAGAUAAUCUGAAGAGCAUUGUACAGGCGAUUUUUCUUCUGAUAAGGGAAAUGCUUUGUCAAAGGGUUCAUUUAACAUUCUUGAUCCUGAUUCCUGAUGUUCCUGAUGCUUGCAUUUUCUCGACAAGGGCAUAGCUUUGGGCCCGUUCUGAUUUAUGUGUGGUCCCUCAAUAGCUUUGCCAGAUUCAAUGAUAUUUCAAGAACUGUAACCUUCAGAGUUUCAUAAUUUGAUUGGGAACCAGCCUGGGACCAAAAGUGGCAGCUUUCAACUUGUAUUUCAUAAUGUCUGUCAUAAACGUUUGCAUUGGCAUCUUAAAACGUGCCUUGGAACAAUCAGUUCCAAUCAAGCAAAUUUACAUGAUAUGAGCAAGAUUGUCACAUAAUCAGGGUGCCCCAAAGAGUUACCCCUUUCCUAUCAUUUAGGGAACGAAAAUGUCAACAAAUCAUGAUUUUUCAUAUGAAAAAAAAGAUAUCUCAUAUGAUCUAUUCAUGCCAUCUAUGAGAUGUAAUCUACUGCUAGAUAGUAUGACCCGACUAAUACAAAUGAUGCAAUCCCACUAUGGGCCAUUCGUAGUCCGAUGCCACGGAACAGAACAUUCCUAUCAGCAGGAGAUAUCCCUGUCUUUCUCUCUAUCCACGUUCCUGGUGCUUUCCACUUAAGAAACUUCCUCUCCAUUGCGAUAUACUGAAAAAAAAAGGAAAAAUAGGUACAAGGAGAUAACAUAAACAAGGUGUAUCACAAAUAGGAAAGAAUGCAACGUCCAAUUUGGAGGCAAUUACACACACAAAAGGAGGAUAGACUAUACAAAGCACGGACAGCCUGUACCUUAGGCACAACCGUACAUUCUGAACGACUUUUUGCAGUAUCAAACGUAUGUGAAGCAGCAGCUGCAACUGCUCCUGCAAAGCCUGCAGCAACACUAGAAGCAAAAGGGUGUACAGGGCCUGCGUCUUCUAUAUUCCUGAGAAGAGACGGAAGGUUAGAUACUUAGAUAGACUAAAAUGCCAGGGCAUAAAUAUGGUUACCAUGCUAUCCCUAUCUUUACUACAAAUCAAAUAUGCUAACAUGAUUCCAUUACCUAGGUUCAGGUUUCAUAUUAACUGCCUUCCAAGUGAGCAUCGCUGUGUGUAUGAUUUGCCAAGUUGAAAAGAACAUACCACCAAAGACACAGUCUCGAGCUAUCCCUGGUCUAAGCCCUCUCCACAGUGCACCCCAUCCUUCAAGUGAUAUCACUCUAGAAGGUAGCUGCACAGCAGAUGGUAAUGGGGGCUUCCCAGAGCCGGUAAGCAUCCACGGGUGCUGCUUCAGGGCACCCAACAUGUCGGGAUGCUUUGGAGAAAGAUCAGAUAACAGACUCACGGUGCUGCUCCACACCCUCAUGUCAGGAACAUAUCCAGGCAACAGUUUGGAAAGUAGUGGAAACGAUUCUUGUGCAACAUUUGCAGGGCCCAUUGCUCUUGAAGGUAUCACAGAACUAACUUGGUUUCGGAGUUUGAAGAGUUCAAAUGGUGUGCAGAAAACAGCCUCUACAGCACCAGCAGCUAUGCCAGCCAACAUAGCCUCAGAAUAAUAGACAUAGUUGUCCUCCCUUCCAUCUGCCAAUACAUAUACAAGAUGAUAAACAUUCACUAAAUUUCACCACAAGUUGGACAUGGAAAAUUAAACAGGUUAAGCGGUGCUAGUAAAUCAUACGUAGAUUAGGUCAUCAGAAGAUAUAUCGAAUUAUCAAGAAAGGGGUGCAAUUUAAAAACAAACCGACGGUGGUAAUAACAAAACAAAAGAAAAAGCAAUGUAACACAAUGCUUGAGAGAUAGACCGGCAAUAUAAAUAUUGAUAACAAAGUGAACAUAGAGCAAAUUGUCAUAAACAGUGAAUUGUGGGAGAACAUUCUUUACCUUUAUAGAAGGCUGUUAAAAAUUCAUAGGUCCCAAAGCGUGCUCCCAACCCAGGAAGUUUUCCCAUUAUGGACCAACCGAUGCCACUAUAAAACCCUAAAAGGCAUACAAUGACUUAUAAGAUAAUGGAAUUAAUUUCAUACAUGUUAAGUAACACAUAACUAGACAUGAAGCCAUCCGACAUGAACUGGAAAAGUUUAUAUAAAAAUCAGGAUUCAUAUGGCUUUCUACUACAAUUUUCAUUGAAGAAAGUUUUUAAUGGAACAGGCACCCAACGAAACUUGGGGAAAAUUUUGGUUGUGCAUAAAGUGCUGACUCAAAGUUAGGACUUUAGAUCUUCUAACAAUUGGAUUCAUAGUUUCACACAGAAUCCAGCAUAACUAUAUUUAUGUGAGGUCAUUCAUUCUUUCUUUAGAAUUGGUAGCUCUGUCACGUAGGCUCAACAAUCAACCGAUUAAAUCAUGAGACGAUUCUGGCCCUAGUAUAACAUGGAAGCUCAACAUAAUCAGCAUACCAGCCUGCCAAUUUCAACAGUUCACACAUCUCGGUAGCAAUGCAGAUCAGGAUGAAGCACAAGUACUCCAAUCGCAAUACACAGUCCCACUACCAAAGAUAUCUAGCAACUAAGCAGCCAACCCCCAAUCGAACCUGCAGGGCCGGAGGCGGCCAUGAGCCGGUCCACCACCUGGCGGAGCCCCAUCUUCUGCUUCUUCCCCGCCGCGCCCAGCUGCAGAGGCAAGAAAACACCGCGCAGAUGCCAAAUCAGACCUUGAGAAAGCACCGGUACAGCAACACAAGGAGGGGAGGUGGGUGGGCGCGCUCGCCUGGAUGAGGGUCUUGACCGUGUCGAGGGGGUGCACGGCGACGGUGGAGGCGCUGAUCGCCGCCGCGCCGGCGGCCGCGUGGCCCGCGAACACGCUGUCCCCCAGCGGCUUGCCGCCUCCCACCAUCGCGGCGGCCUGGAAGGCUCCUCCCGGAAAUGGCGAAAAGCGGCGACGCGGAGGUUUAGGGGAACAACGGUGUGAGUGGUCUGAGGCCGCGGGUGACUGAAUGGGGCCCAGUCACAAAAGGCAGCCCAUCUCGUUCAUGGGCGGAAUGGCAGCUGGCCCAUUGAGUUCCUGGCCCUGUCCCUCCCCAUGACCCGAAUCUUCGCACGAUCGGACCGUGGGGCGCGCCGACGCGAGUCGAACUCGGGUCCAAGUUUUCUUCCGGCUUGGUGGUGCCGCCGGCUCGACUUGACCAACGCUCCCAGGUUCCAACUGACGCCGCCUCCCGGUCGCUCUCGCUGCCAUUGGCCAUUGCUGGGGUAGAGACCAGGUUGGCCGCCCCCUGCUCCCGCUCCCUCUGCGUAUCUCCAUGGGCCAAGGCCAGAGUCAGUCCGCCCCUCCGGCGGAGGAGCCUUCUCCGCCCGCCGUGGAGCCGUCCUCGCCGUCUCCUGCUCCUGCCCCGGCGUCCUCCUCCCUCGAGGCGCUCGCCGCAGGUAUGAUAUACAUCCGAAGCCCCGAAUCUCAUGUGUCUAUGGCGUUUGCCUCCUCCGUAUACCGUGCUAGUUGAGUUGCAGUUGCGCUGGGUCUUCGCGUUCCUUGGAUUUGUUGGAGCAUUGGUUGAAGUGGGGAGCUCUUGGCUGGUAGCAGACUAGCAGUCGAAUUUGAUGGAAUUUUUGGGUAGCCAGUGACGGGUAGGAUUCUGGUACGAAAGUAGCAGGAUGAGAUCUUUCGUCAGUUCGUGUGAUAUUUUAGUAUGCGAUAAUGUAGACUUUUUACAGAUCACGAUCUCUUAGGCUCGUACCAAAUAAUAUUAGUAUUCAUUCAUGCUGGAAUUAUGCUAAUAUAAACUGUUAUUUAAUGUCAAUGAUGCGGUAAGCUAAAUAAGCAGGGGCCUGAAGCCUGACCCUUACUCUUGAGGAGCAAGCGAGUCAUAGGCUAGGCUGCUAUUCGACCAACGUGGCAAUGUCUGUCCAGAAUGACUAGCCUAAUCGAUUGAUAUUGUAGCUCUCUGAGAAGUUACAAUAUAUACUUUGCUGUGGAAAAGUUGCAAUAGGGCUUAUGCCCAAAACCUAGGCUUCUCGAGGGUAACUGAAAGUAUAUGGUACAAAACCACAGUUCAGACUGUUGGCCCUAGGGUCCUAGUUCCAGGUACAAAACCAUAAUUCAACUCAAAAGGUUACUGCUACUGCAAACUCUAGUUCUCCUUACAGCUAGCAAAUUUUCUUUUAGAUGUGUAUAACAUAAUUUUCUUCAUUUGGGCUCCUUCUUAGCCAUGUACUGCAUUGUUCUAAUUAAGCAUUUUAAAAAUUGUGCAGAGGCAAUGUCAUUUGAUGAGGGUGACACUGCGGAGGUAUGUCACUUCCUCUUGCUUCUAGAUAGAUUCUUAUACAUCAGUCACCUAUUUGUUUCACUAUAUCUUGGCACUCCGAGUGCCAGUGGUCAGUGAAAUAGCAUUUUGCUUGUGCAGUCAAUUGAUGAGAAGGUACAGAAAGCUCUGGAGUGUCCGUGUGUGGCUGAUUUGAAAAAUGGUCCUUGUGGAGGCCCAUUUGUAGCUGCAUUUUCCUGCUUCCUUAGGAGCACAGAAGAAGAGAAGGUUCAUUUCUUUUUAGUUUUCUACAAGUUACUAAGUUGAUUCAACUUAAGUCCACCUUAUGCAAGUUAUAUUAAGUGUGUAUGUAUCAGGAUGGUAGCACUUAAUAAAUGGCCUAUGAUUCAAAAGUUUAUAAAUGAUGUUUUUUUUUUGUUAAAGCCUUAACAUUUAGCUGGUGAAAAUUAAUGGUUAUGAUUUUAUUGUUCUGUUGCUUGACAUGUUUGUUUCUUAUUUUUCCAAUAUCUGUGUGUUGUUUUGGUUUUCUUUCGAAAGUAAUUCAACACAAUUCUCUGUCUGCUAUAGCGUGCGGUUUGAAAUUUGUUGGCAAACUUGAAAGGUGCCCAUGUUAUUAGUUGGCUUAAUUGAGUAGAGGAAGAUGUGUUGUCCAAGGGCGGGUUCUUAUGAUUCAAAAGAUAUAAACUGGUACCAUUGUCAAUUUAGUCAGACUACAAUGCUGAUGUAAGGCAUUGUAAGGUGAUUCUGUUUGAUCAAAAUCACUCAUUGUGGUCUUGUGGAUAUCUCUUUACUUUUACAUCAAUAGAAAAACUAUUUGUUUGCUUGUUCUUUACAUCCAAAGACUUUGAAAACUAUCAAGUGCUAACUGGUUGAACAUAGUUGUUACCUUCAAUUGUUCCUUUUCAAAUUAUGUCUGUUUAUGUGUUUCUGUACUGUCUUACCAAACUUGGAUCCUUCAUUUGAAACUUCAAAUAUCAUGCGUACGGGAAUAACAUUUGACCAUGUGGCACCAUUAACUGUUUGAUUCAUUUAUGUCUCUUCCUAUAAAUUAACUAGCGCUAAAGUUUGCUAUCUCUUCCUUUCCAGGGAUCAGAUUGUGUGAGCCCCUUUAUCGCAUUGCAGGACUGCAUCAAAGCAAAUCCAGAGGCAUUUUCUAAGGAGAUUUUGGAGGAAGAGGAGAAUGAUGAGGAAGCAGAGAAGUCCAACCUGAAAGUUAGAGCUCCAGCAUGGUCUAGAGAAUCCAAGCCCAAGGCUUGAGAUUUCAUGGAAUUAACUGAUGAUACUGAGAUUCAUCCAGUUCAUGCACUUCACCUUAUUCCUUGUUCCUCUGAUAAGUUCUUCAGUAGACAGUUGUAGAUUGAUUUCAGAGAGCAGAGAGCCAAAGAGGCAUCUGAAAUCCAUCCGCAGAAAUACAUAUACUUUGUAUGGUAGAAAUGCUCUGGUGUAUUUCCUUUGCGAAUAUACACGUUACUUUGACCGGAAGCGACAAAUUUGUAAUCUAUAAAUAAUUGGGAGUUGGGAUUUGGAGUGCCAUACGAGCAAGUAAAGUUUUGCGAAGAAUCAGUUCCAUGAUGAUAGUUUAUGUUGAGUUUGUUACUUUGUUUAUUGCUAUGGUUUCGGUAGCAGUUCUGAAGAUCUCGUUUUCAUUUGCAUUUGCUACCCGAUCUCUGAGGCUAUGCCGAUGUAUUUAUGUGCUUUUAGCGCGGUGUUGGUGAUUUUUGCAUAAAGGAGUUGAUGCGAAUUGCAGAUUUUUUUUUAAAAAAAGUAGCGAAUUGCAGAUUUACAGACAUUUCAAACUGUAGUUUUGUCAUUCUUCUUUUUUAUAUGUAUACAUUCUCUUUCUGUGAGGAAAUGCAAAGCACAGCAGCUAUUGUCGGCUUGUAGCGCUGCUGCUUGGCGGAAGAGCUCAAAAGCAAAGAAAACUUGUCUGAACCUGGCCCGUUGCUGCGGGAAUAAUUGAAUGGAUUAAACGCGGAGUUUAAUACAGAAGAUAUGAAAUACUUCGUGUGUCAAGACAGGAUGCAAGUUGGUAGUAAAUAUAGAGGUUGCAGCCAUUGCUUUGUUUGAUAUAAGUUAAAUACAGGAUUUACAUUGCGACAACUGGGACAGAUUAGGUGGGUACUAUGUUCUGUUGUACGAAGCAGAGCCCUGCAAGUAACAGUAGUAGUUCUUUUGAGGAGGACCAUCCAGCAGAGGAAUCUCCGUAGGCCUGUUUGUGCAAACAUGUAGGGAAAAUAAUGUGGGGAAGACAGGAGUGUGUUCAGUUGCUUGGAGGUGCACCAAUAAAUAGUAGCCCAGAUAGUAUAUUUUACGAGAAAGAAAGGGAUAUUCAGGUACGAAAAUUUGAAACAACGCUUGCUGACAUGGUAUUGGCAAAUUUAGUAGGAAGAAGGAUAGCAUGUGCCCUGACAUCAGUUCCAUUAAGUGGUAAUCUAGUAAUAUUAGCAAGAAUUGUUGUUGUAAGGGGUGGCAGGAUAUGCAUGAUAAUAACAUCCAUGGACCAAGUGCGAAGCCCAAAGCACAUGGAGGACAGCAGCACCUUACUAACCUGGAACUGGAGUAGGGGAACCCUGUCUUCUCCUACUACGUGAAUUAGGUGCAGGUGCCUUAGGAAGGUUAGACAUCGUCACAGGUCGAACGUUGUAGGAGUCAUGCGAAUUUCUGUAAAAUAUGAGGCAGUACCAUAUUUUUGGGAAUAGGGUCAACGUGAUUGUAAGUGUGAAUAUGGGAAUUGAAAUAUGAAGAGGUCAAGUAAAUUGGCUAAGGCACAGGGCAUACGAUUAACAAAGCGAACAACAAAACCAGAAUCAAAUAGGCAAUGUACAGUCCUGCAGGAAAAUUAGUGUGACACACAGCAUGUCAUGCACGGAAUCGGCAGCUCGCCGAGUGCAUGUUCAGUUGUAUAAAUAUUAUCCGGAAUCCAGAUGCAUGCAGUACGCAUAAGCUGAGUAGGCAAACUAACUAAGGGGUUUUUGAUACCCCUACUAAACUUUAACACCUGUCACAUUAGAUGUUGGAUACUAAUUAGGAGUAUUAAACAUAGUGUAAUUACAAAACUAAUUGCACAAAUGGAAUCUAAUUCGCGAAACGAAUCUAUUAAGCCUAAUUAGUUCAUGAUUUGACAAUGUUAACCAUUUGCUAAUGAUGGAUUAAUUAGCCUUAAUAGAUUCGUCUCGCGAAUUAGACUCCAUCUGUGCAAUUAGUUUUGUAAUUAGCUCAUGUUUAGUCCUCCUAAUUAGCAUCCAAUGUGACUCUACUAAAGUUUAGCACCUUGUAUCCAAACACCCCUAAACAAAAUGGCAGUAAACAAACGGAUGUGAAAGUAGGACGUAUCCUCGUAGAAAAAGAGAUCAGUGAUCUGUAUUGUACCUGAUCGAGAUCGGUCGCGUUGUAGCCGAGGUGCAUGUGCCGGGGGACCAUGUGGAGGACCCAGAGCAGGAUCCGUACAGAAGCGGCUGAGGUCGACACUAGUAGAACGGGCUCUUCUUCUCCAAAGGUUGUGCGGUCGUGGCGCAUCGAAUGAUAGCGGCCCUGCGUCCCUGCCUAUCGACGGACCCUGCACCGCUGAUCCCUGCGCUAGUUCGGAGGGUUGCCUCCACUCUUCCAGUCCGGCGUUACCGAGGCCAGGUUCGUGGCGAGCAGUAGCGACGGAGCCGCCAAAGGUUGCGGCGCGGAGGACGGUGGCAGGCAGGUUCCGGAAGAGUGGUGAGGAGGCUGAUCUCGGAGGAGGGGGAAGCGGCGAUUGCGGCGGCGUGGGAAUGGGUUGUGGAGAGUCAACGGCGGCGGACUGAGCGAGGAGAAGACCGCGAACUGCGAUUUUGCCCCUUGGUGAUAAGAUGGGAGGCUCGUGGACGAGGGAUAUCUAAUUAAUUGCCACUGUUAGAAUUAGCGCACCUUCGAAAACCACUCUUACAAUUUCGCCUACAUUUUUACCAUUGGAGAGAAAAUUUUGUUACACAUUCACAAUUUUUGCAUCCGUGGAGAGCCAUGUCACGCAUACACGCUAGAUGGGGCACGCGAAAAGACCCGGCUGCCCCUGGCCUUAUCCUUUAGACCGCCCGACCGCCUGUCCCCGUCCCGACAGAGCCAGACCAUCCAUUCGAGCCAGACAAAAUCAUUCCCCACCUGCUCGAACCCGAGGGAGCGGCGACGGUGGAGGCAGCGACGGUAGCAUUGGCUUCGACGAUGACAGCAAUGUCGCACGCUGCAGAGUCUUCCGGCCGAUGGAGGGGACGGGAAGGGGUUGGGGAACAAACGGGCCUUCCUCUAGUGCCCAUAUUGCGGGAAGGCUAGGGUGUUCGAGCGACGGUCGAAAAAGGACAACGUCAACCAUGGCCGCAUGUUCUUAAAAUGCCUAAGGGGCGUAGGUUGGGUGAGAUAGGUUGUUGCUCUCAUGCUGCAUUUGGGGUUCGUUGUUCUUGACUUGAUGCGGUUUUGUCUACAGAUGCGAGAAAAGUGUGACUACUAUCGGUGGCAGAGGGAGUAUCUGAAUGAUUUGGUUGACGCCAAAGUAGUUAAGGUGUUUUAUCAUGAACAUGAGCAUGAAAUCGAAGAAGAGGUACAAUUUGUGGACUUCCAACCCGGGUUGUUGGCGCAAGAACGGGUUCAUGGCAAAGUGCAGAAGCAAGAUCUAGAAGCAAAGUUGGACAAAUUAAUGAAGCUUGUGUUUGUAUUGUGUAUGCUAUUUGUAGCCAUUGUUGGCAUGUUCAUUGGCCAUGUGUUGAAGUAGAAGAUAUGUGUUGUAGUACAUUGGCCAAGGGACAAAUUUGAUGAAUGAAUGAUAGUAUUUGAUAAAUGAACAAUGCAUAUUUGUGUGAUAACUGAAUGAGUUCAAACUGACAUAAUUUUUUUCAAUAGUGACAUAGUUCAACUUGAUAGACAUAGUUCAACCACAACAUAGUUCAACUUGACAGACAUAGUUCAACCACAACAUAGUUCAAACUGACAGACAUAGUUAACACACAUAGUUCAAACUCACACACAUAGUUCAAACUGGACAGACAUAGUUCAACCACAACACAUAGUUCUAACUGACACACAUCACUUCUUAGUUGUCCUUCUCUUUCUUGGACUAAUUUUCUUUGCUACAGAAGGUUUCAAGACCUUGGAUGCCAGCUUCUUCUUUGGAGUCAUCUUGUUUCCUGGAAUUAUCUCUAAAGGUGUUAGCAUUGUCUCUAAAGGCUCCAAAUCAGUUAUGGGCACCAAUUCCAAUGGUCCUUCAAAAUCAAGCCUCCUAUACAAAUUCAGAGUGAUGUUACUUAUUUGUUCACAUAAGAAACACAGUAAAAUGGGGAUCAUACCUCUUGGGUGGAGCUUUAGGUGCUGAUUUUGUUGCUUCACUUGCUUCAGUUGUACCUGCUGGACUUGUUACUUCACUUGCUGCUUCUUGGCUUGCUGCUUCCAUACCUGAUGCUUGGCUUGCUACUGCUUCCUCAUUUGUUGCUGCUUCCCUUACUACCGCUUCCCUUGCUGCUGCUUCCCUUCCUACUGUUGCUCUUGUCCUUGGUGUUGUAGCCUGCACUGUCUCAGUUGUCUUUGAUUUCUUUCUCCCAACCUUAGUCUUUAUCUUCUUGGAUCUCUUCCUUUUCUUGAUCCUUGUCAGUUCACACCUCCAACUCAUCUUCGUGUGACCAAGUUGACCACAACCAUCACAUUUUGUUUGCCUUGUAGCCUUUCCUAACCUCUCCAAGUAAGAAGGUAUCCUGUUCUUUAUCUUCCUUCCCAGACCUAUUUUCUUAGCAUCUGGUGGAUAUAGCUUGAAGCCCUUGUCAACUUGUGGCCACUGACUCCUAUCUGUUAUGUUAGGCCAUCCCAUGUCAUAUGCCUGUCUGAACCUUUGCACUGAAUAAGCCAUGUCCACAUAUUUAUCCCACAUUGGUUGCCUCUCUGUAGUGAUGACAGCCAAAGCAUCUGGGCAAGGCUUUUCUAUGACUUGCCACUGUCUACAUGUGCAAUUAUUCUCAUCGAGAUAGACCACAUGUCUUCUGACCUCCUCAUUCUUGGGAAUCUCUGUUACCUCAGCUUGUUCAAGUUUGCCCUUAGUGACUUUAAGGUAUCCUAACCCCUUUAUGACUGUAUUUAGCCGAUGAAUCACAACUGGUAGUAUGACUCAAUGCAAAGCUCUAGAUAUCCUUAUCCUUUUCUCAAACAAGACCACACCCUUCUCCCUGAUAGCAUCAACCAUAUAAUGCAGUGGCAAGUCCUUGAACUCCUUUAUCCAUGCAUUCCAUGACUCAGCCAAGUUGUUGUUGAUGUAGUCACACUUUAUAUCUGGUGAGAACUUUGAUCUAGCCCAUAGAAGGUUGUGAUGGUCUUCCAUUUCCUAAAAAGUUUAUCUGCUGCCCUCUGUCUACCAUACCAUAUAGUUUGAUACUGAAUCUGAAUCUUAUACUUGUCCUCCAGUUCCCCCUUUAGUACUUUAGCAUCCAACCCAGGCUUCCUCUUCAGUAAAGGGAUGGCUCUCUUAGCACCCCAAGCCUGGUUUGCCAUUCUUCCCAACACUCUACUUGUUGAAGCACACUGAUGAAGAUACUAAUUUAUUUGAACCUGCAGUAAUGCAAACAAACAUUACAGUAGUUAGUCUAACAUGAAGCUAAUAUAUAAUUGCCUAACAGUAAUAAAUUGCAUAAAUAUAACAUGAAAUAGUUAGUAGGUGUACCCUGACACAACCAUCCAAUUGUGUCUUAGCCCUAAUAAUCCAGGGGCAUGCAGUAGCCUUGUAAAAACCUCUGAACCUGGACUUGUUAGACUUCUCGGUGUCUAGCUCAAAUUCAUUCACAAUGGCACACUGCUUAAUUGCUAGUCUGAAUUCACGCAUAGAAGGAUACAUUGUGCCAACAAAUAUCUCUGGAUUAUCCCUAUCCCAAUCCAUAACAGGUUCAAUAGGAUCACUGUCAUCCACAGUACAACCGGCAUCUCUCGUGUCCUCUUCCAUUUCUUCUGGAAUGGGAAUUUCUGUUCUUGCUGCCUGUUCUGCUCUCUCAUGUGCAUCUUUGAAACUCAUAGCCUCAAACACUCUAUCUUCAUCAGCCAGUACAGUUGCUUCACCAUCUUGAUCAGGUUCAGGGAGGAUAACCAGAGAGUCCCAAUCCAUAAUCUCAGGUGCCAAAUUUUCAUGACCUGUCUGAUCUGCCUCUACAUUAGAACUAAAUGUCUCACCUAAACCUUCAGGAACAUUAGGUACUAGUUGUGCUUGGCUGUUGAUACAGAUCCACCUCUAGUUUCACAAUCUUGUUCCUCCUGCUGAUAGCCCUUAUGAACUACUUGCACUAACACAUUAGCCAACCUGUCAUGAAACCUUGACCUAAUCAUCUUCUCAAAAUGCUCAUUCUUUCUGAUCUUCCAUUGAGAACCACUAUCACUAUCAACAGCCCACACGACAAGUAUCUGACUAGGACCCCAAAUGAUCUUACUCACCAUUUCAGUAACAAAUGAAUCAAGAUUGUACCCAUUGCAUCUAUCAAUUCACAGAUCAUGCCAUUGCUCAGCCAUAUCUAAAGCACCAAAGUACUCCAGAAUUGAUUUAAAUUUUUCACAUUUAACCACUAUUCUAAAAGCAUUGCCAGGAUCAAUCCUGACAUAAAUCAUAAACAAUGAAAUAAUUUGAAAGUUAGAAAUACCCAACCCUAGAGAUAUGCAUAUGCGGUGCAGUGACUUCAAGCGUGCUUACCAUGGAGGGCAUUCGCUAGGCUCCAUGUUCAAUCAAUGAAGGAACCUCACAUCUACUAGAAUACCUCCCUACAACGAUGAAAUAAAGCAAAUCAGGGGAGCUCAAGGGAAUCCAGAAGCCACAUCUAGGAGAACAUCAUUCUUGGAGCAAGCGUGGAGCAAUUACCUUCGAUCCGUCACCGUCAACGUUGAAGCCGACUCUGGCGCCACCGGCGCCGUCAGGGUUCAGCUAUGGUUUGAGCAGGUGGGGAAUGGAUGGUCUGGCUCGAUCGGGACGGGAACAAGCGGUCUAAAGGAUAAGGUCAGGGGCAGUCGGGUCUUUUCACGUACCCCGUCCAGCGUGUAUGCGUGACAUGGCGCUACAUGGAUGCAAAAAUGGUGAAUGUGUAACAAAAUCUUCUCUUCGGUGGUAAAAUAUAGACGAAAUUGUAAGAGUGGUUUUCGAAGGUGCGCCGUUUAUAACGGUGGCAAUUGAUUAAAUAUCCCUCUGGAGGAGCCCGGUACGUGGACCGCACGGAUACGGUUCGGUGGGGAUCGGAUGGACUGAACUGGACGGGAACUGUUGUAGGAACUGUCGUACAGUAGCAUCGGUAGGGGCCGUCAGAUGCGGUAUCCAGCGGCUCGUAUGAAGCUAUGGUACUGUAGCACAGAAAGUGUUCUCAGAAACUAAAGAUUUUGAUAUGAUUUGGCCCCGUGAACGCCCCCAAAAAGGCUGUUCCUUACUGGGCCGGUCGGCCCAUAUUCCUUACUCGUCGUCUUCCUCCAAACCUUUCCGAACUCCGGAGUCGCAACAACUCUUCCACCACGAUAAGCCCUAAUCGCCCGCCAGUUAGCCACCACCACCUCCAUGGCGACCACCUCCUUCCAUCCGCUCGCCACCCCGAUUGCCGGCGGCGGCGCUCGCAUCCGUCGCUGCCCGCUCUCCCUACCCGUUCCCGCCCGCACGGCGCCCCGGCGGCCGGCACCGCUCCUCGUCGUCCGCGCCAAGCGCGCCGGCAGCCGGCCCCCCGCCGCCGCCUCGCGGCAGCCCGUGAACCCCAGCGCGGUACCAAAGCGGGAUGCCGAGGAGGAGGUGGAGGAGGUCGAGGAGGAGAUGCCGUGGAUCCAGGACAAGGCGCUGGACCUCGUGGAGUUCACCGGCACCGUCACGCAGGCCAUCCCGGGGCCCCGCGUCGGCUCAAGCCCCGUGCCGUGGCUCCUCGCCGUGCCGCUCGCCUACGUCGGCGUCUCGUUCGUGCUCGCGGUCGUCCGCACCGUGCGCAGGUUCACCUCCCCGCGCUCUAAGAAGAAGCGAAGGGUAAAUGUUCGCGUUAUAAAAUUUUCCGUGGUUCCAUGAACGAAAUUUGAUCUCGUGCUGGGUACUUAAAGUCGGUGUAAAUUUUCCUUCACCUUCGCCGCUGCACUAGCCCUGUGAAUUAGGUACAUUUUGGAACAUAGGUUUGUAGGGAUCAAUCUAGCCCCACAAAUUGUGCUCUUUAGAGAGGUUUGCUCUGUCAAGGCGAUGGGAAAUGAUAAAUUUCGUCCCUUCUUUCAGCAGCUAAUUCUAUUUUUGCAAAAUUAUCUAUCUGUGCUGACUGCAUCGCUGUAUAGCAUCUUGGAAUCACACUAAAAAUCAUUUUACAGCCUUCUUAAAUUCAAAGUAUAAUGAGUUUGCAAUUUCAGUUAUAGAACUGUUAUAAGUUUGUUCCUCUAAAUCAAAUAGAUACCGUUGUAAAUACUUAGAUUGGAAGUGCUAAAACAAAUUUGAGCUUGCUUUCAUUGUUGAUUGCAAGGUUAAUGUUUUGUGAGCUGGUUGCAAUCUUAAUGUCAGCCUACAAUUUGUCAUUUUUUAUCUUUGCAUGUCUUCAGAAUACUGUAACUCCUGUUAAUUUUUUAUUUUUGGUUUCACUUAAGGCCCCGUUUGGAUCCCUUCAUUUUGAAGGAAUUGGAAUCUACUUAAUGGAGUAGGCUAAUUAUCUUGGAAUGUGACAUUCCACAACUUUCCAAAGUUCAGAUAUAACCCUAUCUUAAAUUCAUAGGGGUGGGAGAUGGAAAUUGAUUCUAUAGAUCCUCAUGCUAUGUUUCUAAUGUGCAACUUAUAGCACGCUCUUCGACUCGCUUCCCUAUAGCAGAAGUGCAGCACAUAAGUAUCUCUCCCAUAUGGCCAACAAUAAUAUACAAAUAUUUUCCACAUACAAUUAUAUUAGCUUAGUUAAUUUGUGUCUAAAUUAUGAUUAUUAGAAUGGAAUUCAAUUCCAAGGAUCCAAACGGGGCCUAAUAGUAAACCAGUGUUUCUCUACAGGUGGGUAAGAAUAUAUUCUUGUUGAAGUCACUAGAUGAGCUGUUCCAGAAGGGCAGGGAGGCAGUAGAUUAUCCUUCUCUCCAAGAUCUCAUGCAGAAGGUGUGUGCCGUAACCAACCAUCUAUAUAAUUCUUGAGAAACUAAAUUAGUGGAGUGAUAUGGGAAUGAUGGCAGGUAGAACAUACUUUGCUUAUUUUCUUUUUUGCUUAUUCUAUUCGAGAAGACUUUACUUCGUUAGCUAUCUUAUUCUGACACUGGAGUUAGUGAAUUGAUGCUAUGUUAACUGGUGCUGAAACCUAGAUUGGAAAUUUUGCUGUAUGGUAGAAUAAUAAUGUUCUUAGCAAACUGUUAGUUCUCUACACAGACGAGUCUAUAUCUAUUGCAAUUUGAUGACUAAUUUACUGAGUACAUUGCUACUGGAAAAUAUUUCUUUAUCUUUCAAAAAAAUAUUUCUUUCCAUAGAAAACAGCAAGCUCAUGAAAUUGUAAAUAUGCUGCUUCUAUGUGUAUGCAGACAGGAUUUGACAUGGACGAUGUAGUAAGAAAGUACAUCCGGUACACACUGAAUGAAAAACCCUUCAAUCCUGAUGUGGUUGUGGAUCUUAUACAUCUUAGAAAGGCAUCAAUGCUUGAAGAUGCAGAAGUUGCUGAAAUUUUGAAUGAGAUCUCAAGACGAAUUGUUCGAGAAAAAGGUAUCUGUUGCUGCUUAUUCUAGUUUUUCGAAAGAGCUCAAAAUAUUUCCAGUCACAUGCUCUGGCAGAUUUACCUUUGCGAAUCAAGAUAUAAUUCCUUUUCCUACUUUCCUUCUGCUGAAGUUUGUGCGCCUUUAUGCUUAACUUUCUUUGCGAAGCUACUAAUAUCCAUUUUUCAUCUGCCAUGCCAUGUAAACAACAAAGUUUUAGAUUGGGUCCACAUUUUGUUUAAGAAUGCGUGCAGAGCUGUUUCCUUGGUUAUUAUCAAACUCAAAUAUUUUGUGUAACUUGACAUUUAUGCAUUGAUGAAAAAUUUGAUACCUUGAGAAUUUAUGUCUGGUCAUUACUGCAUGCGAAUGUUCCGACUUUCAAGUCCUUCAAAGCAUAUCCAAAGGAUCAAUGUAAAGGGCAUGGUUGUUGGGGCAAUCACAAGGCAACACAGAUGCAUCCUUCUACAAAUUCGUAGUUCAUACACUCUAUUAACCCACCCCCUGAUGUGGAAUGUACCAUACACUGAUUAUAAUGUGAGAAGAGUGGUAGUAGCUACAUUGUAAUUUUAUUUCUUUCCUAUCAUCAGUUGUCACUAAAUAUCUUAUUAAAUUCAAAAUUUCGGUUUUGUUAUGUCAUUCUUACUCAAUAUGCUUUUGUAUUUACAAUCUUGCAGGGCCAGUAGUUAUGGACUUAUCUGGGUUUACAGAACAAGGUUUUAAGCGGAAGCUUGCUGUACAAGCUUUGUUUGGAAAAAUCCUUUACUUAUCGGAGGUAACUUGUCGAUCCUCCAUUUUUUUUUACUGAUUUUAUAAUUCCAUAUCUGUUUUAAGACAAAUCUUGAUUUGAGCUGUAAUGAAAAAAUAGAAAGGUUUGAUGGCUCACUACUUGCUGUGGAAGUCUAUAAUGAAUGUUCGGUUUGACAAACCAGCUUAUUCUAGACGGGUUUAGAUCGUCAUGGGGACCAUUCAUGGUAAUGAUGGGAUGGCAUCAUUCCCUGUUUUUAUGAUGUAAAUGUGCAAUAUGAUUUUAAAGCAGUCCAUUCCAUUUCUCAGAACAAAUCAGUUGUUUAGGUCCAAAACUAGGAUCGUACGGUCCAUUCACCAUUUCAUUCCUCAUGCAGAAAACCCCAUAAAUGCAUGUGCCUCUUCUUAUUUACCUCUGCUCACUGCUGUCUCUGCUGUGUUAUUGUGUCUAAUCUCUGAAGAUGCAGAUAAUUGAUUACUAGUCUGUGCUUUGUAGGAACAUUUGUCUUUCCAUUCAGUUUGAAAUGUUGCUUUCCAUAAGAUAGUCAUGCCCAUAUUAUUGCUUUCAUUCAAAUUGAUUUAUCUUUCAUCUGGUGCAAGUUUCAAGUUUAUUCUUAUCAUGGUUUGUUACUGAUUAGCCUGUGCACAAGUUAUCAUGAUGGCUCAGAUCUUAAUGGAAAUUGUUUUUGAAUCUCUAUCCAGCUUCCGGAGUUCUGUUCACGGGACAGCUCACUUGUUGUCAAAGAAAUCUUUGGAGUUACAGAGUAUGGCUAAAUUUACUAUAUGGGGAAUUCUUGCUUUCCUUUUACCUCCAUAGCCUUUUGGUAAUUAUUGUUUUGUAAUUUCUUGUGUGUAGUGAGGAUGCAGAAAGUAUUCGAAUUCACACCCUCUCUGCAACCGGUGAUAUCGAAUCUAUACAAAAGAUGGUCGAUGAUCUAGACAUUGGACAGGGUCCCUCGUCAUCAGCUUGAAUGAUGGUGAUGGAAUAAUGCUGAACACCUUCGUUGAUAGUAUUGCAACUUUAGCGUGAUGUGAGUUUCUCCGGCCUUUUUCGUCUAGAUUGUUUUCAGCCGUUGAAGUAGGAGUUGAGCAGAGGACAGGGUACUUUGGCUGGAAGUUUUGUAAAUUGCCUUGCGAUUAGGCCAGUAACGUCUGGCUGUGUCUCAGACCUGCCCAUGACUUUGAGGAAACAAGAAAGUUGAAUUGUAGCAAUGAGUUUAUAGAAAGCGGGAAUGUUAUUGAAAUUUACUCCAUUUUGUUUUUUUUUGUUCUAUCGUGUCACUAAACAACUAAACAUAUACCUGCGGUUAUAAAUUAUCUACUGAUGAAGGAUGGCAAAUUUAGCAUUUGAGUGCGUGGCAUUCUAAAAUAUGUUUGGCCAUAGUGCUGUCAUGUGUAAUAAUAAUGAUAGAAUGAUUCUUCGUUCACCAUCCUAUUACCUCUGAUAUGUACUCCAUCAGUUCUCUUUUGAUAGGCAUUCACGAUUGAUAGGCAUUCAUGGAGCCCUGUAAGGCCAUUCUCAUUUCAUAUUUAUGUUUUCAAAAUGCCACAUAAGUAAGAGAACAUUUUUUUAGUUUAAAUAGUUUCAUACAAUGCAUUAUUGUUAUUUCCUAUGCUAUAUGCAAGACACAAACUGUGUUGGAAAUAGUGUACACAUGGUUUCAUCACCAUGAAACUCAUUUCAUCUCUUUCUUUGUUAACUCUUUACCACCUCAUAAAAAAUGUUACAUGACACCUUAUUUAACGAGAAUGAAACUUCCAUUAAAAAUAGCAUGCUGGGCCUCGAGGCCGGAGGGUCUCUUGUUUUCUUCCAGCAUACAAAACUUGGCUUGCUACUCAUUGUCGCUGAUCUUGAGGCUUCUCAGGGCCGUCGAUCCCCAAACGCCAUCCCUACCACACGUGUCCUUUUGCCCGUGACCACCUGUCACGUCCGGAGCUGCGGCCUCGCCCUGCAAAGAGCUCCCCAGCGAACGCUUCCGGCGCCACGAAAGGCAGAGUGAGCAUCGAAGCUGCAGAAACCAGAGCCAUCAAAACCUGCGGAAAAAGGCAGUACCGUGCCGACGCCGCCGGCACGGGACCCCUCCUGCCGGCCGCCACCCGCGCGGCGGUGGCGGAGUUCGUCGCCACGGGCAUUUUCGUGUUCGCCGCCGAGGGCUCCGUCUACGGCCUCUGUACGCCAACCUCAAGAACACACAUACAUACAAGCAAGCUUUACAUGCAUGCACCCUGCCUAUUUAAAAUUCUUGCUCUUUUUAUUAUGCCAAAUUUCAAAUUCCUGUCACGUGCACGAGGCUUAAGCUUGCAGUUGGUGUUGAUCUCAAGCGCGAGGCUUGAAGAUUUUUUGCGUUGCCGGAUUUUGCAGGGAAGCUGUACAAGGACACGGGGAUGCCGGGCGGCCUCUGGUCGCGGUGGCAAUCGCGCACGCGCUGGCGCUGGCCGCCGCGGUGGCGGUGGCGAGCAACGCGUCGGACGGGCACGUCAACCCGGCCGUCACGUUCGGCGUGCUCGUGGGCCGCCGCAUCUCUUUCGGGCGCGCCGUCGUCUACUACUGGGCCGCGAAGCUGCUCGGCGCCGUGGCCGCCGCGUUCCUUCUCAUGCUCGUCUCCGGAGGCACGGUAAUACGUUUCACCGUGUCAGAUUCUUUUACACUUUGAUUAAACUUCCUAUUAAUAGCUCUGAAAACCAACCUCACUGGAAAGCUCAGAACUGUGGGACAGCUCCAGGUUUGUUUGUUGUACCGUGCCAACGUUGUAAGACUAAGUUCAGAAGCAUCAUGCAUUCAGGUUGCAGAACAGAGCCUUUGUUGUUUUUCCCCUUCCCUGCUGAGAGCCUAGUGUUGCCUACUCCUAGAAAAUUAAAAAAAGAUAUAACCUUUAAACAACGUAACAAACAUAAAGCGGUGGGUAUCUUACUAGAACUGCCAUAGUGCCACACCACACCAGAACUGCACGUCAAUAUCCAGGUCACACUUUUUGUUUCUUUCAUGCUACUAGCAACAAACAAAGUCAGAAAUGGUUGCGCCUGCGCGCGUACUAUGUAUUUUGCCUUUGGCGUACGCUACGUUUGCAAAUUAACACGCGUACGCGACAUGCCCGCCACGUCUCACUCCAUUUUCGCAUGCCUUGUCCUGCAGCGCCCCAUGGGCUUCGGGCUCGGCCAGGGCGUCCACGAGCGGCACGCGCUCCUGCUCGAGGCCGUCAUGACGUUCGGCCUCGUGUACGCCGUGUACGCUACCGCGGUGGACCACCGGAGCCGCGUCGGCUUCGUCCUGGGGGCGAACAUCCUCGCCGGCGGCCCGUUCGACGGCGCGGCGAUGAACCCGGCGCUCGUCGGAUGGAGCUGGCGCCACCAUUGGGUCUACUGGGUCGGGCCGCUGAUCGGCGCCGGGCUGGCUGGUGCGCUGUACGAGUUCGUCAUGGUUGAGCAGCCGCCGUCUGAGGCGCCGGCAGCUGCUGCAGGUCCUCGGAUGCUCGUGGCCGCGGCUGAGGAUUAAUGAUUUGUUUCCAGCGUUUGUAUAUUUGUUGUACGUGACUUGCUUGUGUAUCUAUCUACUAGGACCGAGCUGCUUCAGAGGCUCAUCAGAGUACUAAAAGCUAGGGAAGUUAUUAUUUUGAAGUUAUCAGAAGGCAAUAUUAAAACCCCCAACACCAGUCACCAGAUUGAUGGUGAGCGCGUUCGUUCUACGCUGCUAAAAAAAAAUGCUUGAGCAGGAACAUUACGGUGUAGGGUGUUGCUCAUACUGUCAUACACCUGUAUAUACGUGAAUAUAUUUACUGGGAUAAUUUUGCUGUGUGAGGGAAAGAACAGUGGGAAAUUAUUCAGUACGUGACGAGUCGGAGGACCGGACGAGUAGUCACCGGCACUGCGCCGUCGCUGCCUAGCUUUUUUCCUCGCGUCCGCCGUAGCUCACGGCGGAAGAUCAUCAGGGACUCGCCAGUUAUGCGUUACAGCGUUAGCACGUUGCAGGCUGCCAUCAGGCGCCACCCAGUCAGCCGGACGCCGGACGCCGGACGCGGAGCUGCCUGUCGACGAGUCCACUGAAGACCAGCAUGGAUGCAAGCUCUGACUGCUCUGUGUUGUCUGCUCUCCACUGCUUUAACCUCUUGAUGUUCCGAUGGCCAUAGGGACCUGACGUCCCUGGCAUCGACCCCGGCAAACGAACCGUACCGAUCCCAUUCCUCGAUUUGGGACGAUGACUCCGUGAAGCAGAACCAGGAACUAAUCAAAGGAGGGGUGAUGUGAUUCACGUUUUGUAGUAGUGUAAAUCGUCAAAAUUUAUGCAUAUGUCCCAUAUCUGGCAUUAGGUUUUCCACAUGUACUUAUGCAUGAAUUAAGUCAUAACACAACAUAAGAUGGCAUACAGACAUAGCCAUGUAUAGUUCCAAGAAACAUUAAAUAUUUUAUACUGAAUUGUGAAGUUAUUAUGUAUCAUGGAAAAUCCACCUACAUGAACAAUGACUAGCGGCGCUACUGCCUUGCACGGGCGUGCAGCGUUAGUACCUUCUUUCACGUAGCCAUCGUGCACCAUUCCUGCUCAACCUGCUUGCCGCUUGCCUACCUGCGUCAAUAUCAUCAACUCGCUGGACAAUGACCCUAGCUUGGUCACUUUUCCUAUACAUUUGGUGUUUACCACAAUAUAAUGUUAAAUAUGUGCAUGAGCUAUGGCACCUCGAUAGUGAGCUUGUAGUGAACUAUUCCUGCCUAAUUUAGUUUGUAAUUGAAGUCUUAAUUUGAGAACCAUGAGGACACGAUAGCGUACGAUAGACACUUGAGGAACAUCGAUUACAAAUUUUGUGCAUGUUAGGCGCCAUUUUUAGUACAUUUUAAGUGGAUGUGUUUAACCUUUUGCUUCAAUUCAUUGCUGGUGAUACAUUUGGGGGUUUUCUAUUGACUGCCAUCAAGAGGAGGAAUGAUAACUCAUACCAGUCAAAAGAGCAGUUUCACAUGAUUUUAGGGAAUCGAUUUAGAUGUUUUAAGUUGAUCUCUUACCAGAUUUUAGAACAAUGUUAUUACUUGACCAUAAAUAAAAUCAAUUCAAAAAAAUCUAACUUCAACGGAUUUCUAUGUGAUUCUCAAAUAAAAUCGUUAUAGUAUAUAUUUUAGAUGAUUUUUUAAAUAUAUUGUUUAGUUGAUUGUUCGCCAUAUCUUUAGGGUGUUUAUUAGUUGUAUCAUAAAAAUAAUACAAAUUUAGUGUACUGUAUCUAUCUAAAUUCCCAACAAUUAUAUUUUUAUCUAUCUAUCUAUCUAUCUUUCUAUCUAUCUAUCUAUCUAUCUAUCUAUCUAUCUAAUUUUCUAACAAUUAAAUGUUUCAUGUUCCAUAAAAAAAUAUGUCAACUAUACAUAGAAACAAUUAUUGCAUAUUGUAUACCAUAGGAUGCAUCACAUCAUGAAGAUAAUAAUAGAGAUGCUGAGCAAUCUCAUAAGUUAUUCAAGUCUCACUAAUUGGAAAUGAAUGACUGCUAAUCUAGUGGAGAAUCAUUUAGCAACUUUUUAGGUAAUAUCUUUAGAUUAUAUUCUUGUUUUAGUUGUUUGUUGCUAUAAAUUUGGAUGGUCUUUAGUAGUGUGCCAUCAAGAAAAGGAAUGAUUAACCACACUAAACUGAACAUAACUUGCUGAUGCACAUCAUAUACUAAGCAAAAAGUAAAAUGUUGUGAUGUGUGCUAUCUGAACACAUGAAUACAAUUCUAUAACAUCAUGGUUGAAAGAACUACAUAAAGCUACAACUUCACAAGUAAACAAAAUAAAUAAAUAAAAGAAAAUGAAGAUAAUUAGCUACUACUACAACCUUUCAUUGCACGCGAAGAUGCGCUAAAAACAGCACGCAACACACUUGAGUCAUCAAUGACUAAGAACUUAAUUGUUGAAUGGUCAUGUUCAUGUUAUUCAUGUGAAGGAGCAUCUAUAAGAGAAGUGAUUGAAGUCGUUGUGGUGAAUGUUGUGCUUCUUGAGCCAUGACCGUGCUGCAUCGAAUAGAGAAGAAAUAUACUCUUCGUCAUCGGAGUUUGGACUAGCCCAUACUUUGGUGUCUAGCUUGUAUGUUGCGAGGCCGAAUGGAGCAAGUGCCACAUGAUCAGAGGCAUUCACAUUGUCUAAAGAGACAUCUACAAGGAUAAUCACCAUGUUAUGUUUAAUCAAAAGAAAUUAUUAUAAUUCAUUAUGCUGCUAAAAUAGAAAGGAUUAAUUAAUACUUUCAAUUCCACAUAGGCAUUUCAAAACAAGUAUUUUUACUGUUGUAUGAGAUAUUAGUGAAAAAAAUGAAAAUGUAUAGAUAAAUAUAUGAUAUGUGUUGCUUUUUGGGAACAAAAAUAAGGGAAACAAAACAAUUAUUAGAGGAACUUUUAUGCCUUAGUAUGUACAUUGGUAAUAAAGAAGAAAAAUAUGUGUGAUUGACAGGUAGACACACAAACACACCUAAAAAAUACAUAGAAAUGAAAUGAAAUAAAACUUCCUUACUACCACCUAUUCAUUGUUGCAUACCUUCAGAUGUUGAAAGGCUAUGGUAAGUCAAAAAACAAGUAUUCAUAUCUUUCCGAUUUUUUGCAGGGACAUGACCUGAUGGAUACCUAUAGGAUAAGAGGAGGAAAUAAAAUUAUUAUCAUUGUUUACCUUAGGUGAACAUAUAUGUACCGGUAUAUUUGCAUUUCAAGAUAAAAGUAAGUGAUUAUAAAAAGUUACCAAAAAACCGACAACCAACUUGACGGUGAGAGCUCUGCACUGCUUAGAGAUAUUAGGCCAGGACAGUUAUGGUACAACUCGUACACCUAAACAUAAAAAAGAAAGAAAAUAAGGAAGAUCAUAUAAUUGUAGUGGACCCUAGACAAAUUUAUACUUAAGUCUAACUCACUAAUUAUUAAUUUAGAGGUCCUUUAUUUUUAGGAUUUUACAAAAAAAAUAUAACAAAUAUGUGACCUUUUUCUUUUAAAAAAUAGGUGUAUUUAGUACCCGUAGGAUUAAGAUCCAACGGACUCUUCCUUUGAUCAUUCUCUAUAAAUAGUCUCCUCUCCCACCAUCCCUACCACUAACCCUAUAUCCACUCUAUCGCCGCCUCCACCCCACCUACAUGUUGUGUUCCCAAACUCGCCUCGGCACAAACAAGAUCGAUUGAUGGCUGUCGUUGGUAUGAUGGUGUCAACAUCCCCCCACCCCUCUCCCCCUUGCCGCCGCAUCCCACGAUGAUUAUCGCCUUCUUCACUUGCUCCGGUGAGUCUUCUGUAUCAAUAACCACUGUCCUUAUCAAAUUCACAUAAUCGCAUAGAUGCCCACCUAGGCUCAACCUCUUGUUUCCCCUCACUUAUUAAUUUCUCUUUGUAUCAUCAAAUACAAGCUAUCAACAUAUCUUUUGAUGACGUCCACCUUGAUUCAAACUCUUAUUUACGCCACCAUCCUUUGUUUCCUUUGCACUCACUUGGAUGCAGGUUAGUAACAUCGUGAUCAAUGAUGCUCAACCUUGAUUUAAGUCCCAAUUUCCCCCACAACUCUCUAUUGACUCUACUUUAAUGUAGAUCUAAAGAUACUAACAUCACUGCUAAAGAUGCGCCACCUUGAUUCACUCUCCCGUUUACGCAAUCACCCUACCCUUUUUUUUUCUUUGCACUCCCCCAAGACCCAAUCUACCAACAUCUUUGUUGGUGAUGCCCGACCUUGAUCCAAUCUCUUGCUUCGCUGUCACCCUUUUCUAUCCAUGUACUUCCCAAAAUCCAAGCUAGAAACAACAUUAUUGGACCUUAUCUAAGCACAAAUCAACAUCCUUAUGGGAGAUCUGAUCCCAAAGGCUAAUCCAUUGGCGAGAUAUUUAGACCUAUUCUGGUUUUUUAAAAUAGAUCUUGCAGUAAUAAAUAGAAACAUCUUAGUUUAGCAUUUGUACAUUGAUUCAUCAAAUUAAGUAUGCUAAUGAAUUUAUUUCUUUCCAUCUGAUGAUAUAUGCAGGGAGUGCAAAAGUUUGAAACACAUGGAUGACAGAGAGGCAGCUAGAUCUGACACUACACAAUGUUGGAACUACAUGAUCUGCAAGGGGUUUAUCCUUCGAGUAUUUAGAACCUGACUCAACUUAUGAAUAGGCACCGGACAAGGUAACUUAGGCGAGGUGCACAUAUGUUAAGGUGAAAAAUGGAAAAAAAAUUGCGAAUAGUAGAGAGAAAGUUAGAUUUGAAGCUAUUGGGACUACAUACCUUGUCUACGAAAGGUACCCUUUCAUAAGGGGAGUCAGGUUCAAAGUACUUGAAGAAUAACUCCUCCUUGCUUUCAACUUCAACCUUGGACACGGGUGAUGGUGUUUGACAUCCGUGAGUCCAAUCUAUCGUACCGUGUUGGCUGUACUCAAUGAACCUUUUAUCAUAUACCAUGCUGCAGUUAGUAUGCCAACUGGAACUUUUAGAAAUGAUCAUUGUAACCAACAUUGGUACUAUUUUCUUUCCUUUAAUUUAAUUUCAAUCAUAUACAAAACACAUCUAUAUACACAUACUAUGUGCUUACCUUUGUGAAGUAAGAACAUUUGUCUUGUAGGUGUACAGUUCAAUGGCUGAAAGAUAUGGCACGAAGAAUUGCUCUAAUGUCUCACCCGGAGCGAUGCACACUGAAGUACCAACACCACAUGCGCUCCACUGAUAGAACAAAUUCCAAAGAUCUCCAAGGUAGAAACACUUGACUCCAUUGUCUGCAAUCUUUCCACAAUAGUUGUUUGACUGCAUUCAUCGAUAAAAGAGUUAAAGUUGUUUAGCUAUCUUGCCUUUAGAUAUAAAAUAGUGCAUACAAGUAAUAAAACGUGCAUAAAUAUACCCCGACCUAGCUGGUUUUGAAUACAUUAUCUCCCUAAAAAAUAAUCAUGGGAUUCUCAUAGCUCUAGUGCAUCAAUAUAGAUGAGACCAUGUGAACACAAGUAUGCAAUGGAGUAUUUGUUACUUUGUCCACGACCAGUAUAGAUUUUUAUUUUGGGUGAAUCUAUUUUGGAUGAUCUCUUUUGGAAGGUUCCUAUUAAUUAAGCAAGAAAAGGAAUGCAAUGCAUGUAUAGUCAAAUCUAGAAGAGAUCCUGAUGCAAUGAUGAUUACUUGUUGUCACUUGGGUUCAUAUUGAAUAAAUGCAUAUCUUGUGAAUCAAUUAGCACAUACCUUGUAUCAAGGGAUAUGAUGCAUGAUAACGUGAACAUGUAACUUAAGAAUGAAAGGGACAAUGAUGUGUCAAGUGGGGUCCUUCUAUUUGGAUCUAUCUAUUGUACAGUCUAACCAAGUGUUACUAAUGGUAUGGAAAAAAGGUUAAUUCUAGAUGGAAAAAAAAUCAAAAGCAUUAAAUGCAAAAAGGAAUUGUCGUGGAUUAACCUCGGGGUAAAAAAUCUCAUCAUAACCUCCUAAUUCAAAUGAUUGAGCAAUGAAUGCUCAAACAAUACCUCCACGACACGACAUUCUCAUAAAGGCGUAACGGAUACUAUCUACGGCUAUGUUUCGCGCCUAAAACAUUUUGAAUCUGAACUUUACAUACAGAUCAGAGGAAACAUCAACAAACCCACAAGUAUAUAUAAAAGCAACAUGGAGCAUGAGUAGAGCAUGAUCUUAAAGUGGGAAACAUGGACACUUGCAAUCGAUAAGCUCACAUAUCUAGUUUUAUCCACAUAUCCUUGUAAAUCAUAUGCGAGACCAAAUAAAAGAGGCAAUAUAUCCAGAUCAAAGAUAGUAGGGAGAAUGGGAGUAAGAAAUUCGACAAAAGCAUGAGUUCACAACAUAAGGAGGAGGGGAAUUGUGCAACCAAAAAUUAAUAGAAGUUCGUUCAAGAAAUGCUUACUAGUGGAAGAUAGGGUGCCUUAUGAACCCUAUAUGCCUUAACAACUGGCGUCACACUGUCAAGAAAACACCUCAGAUUGGAAUGGCUCCCGACCGCCCCAUCAAAAACAGCAUUAGCUUCCUCUUGAACGAUAGCACUAGCACCCUCCAUGUCUCUACUCGCCCCUCAAAAUCCUCUAAGCUGAGAGAGCAAUGGCAAACCAAAGCCUAUGCUUAGAGCGCUCUGUUACACCGAAUGGAGGUGUGUGCUCAGGUUUUUGCAGGGGAGGAGGAGGAGCCUCGGACUGGGAAUAUUUGCAUAUCUGCCAUCAAUGCUUUCUAAAAAAAAAAAUCUAUCUCCAGCCUCCACCCCCUCUAAGGAUAUGCUAGCUCUUAAUAACCUGCCAACUUGAUAUAUAGCAUUCCCAAUUGAUUAUCCUUGGCUUGGCCAUGUUAGUCUAGGAUAUUGCUGGAGUGGCUUUUUUGGCCUUUCUUCCAAAUUUAGUUUUUGUUUUUCGUCAUUUUCUGCUGCGAGGAGGCAUGAUGGCCAUUGUGCCUUGCAGACAUGCAUGCCUGAAAUGCGCAGUAACUCCAAAAACGUUUGUUCCACUGGAGUUAAGGCGAUAAGCCUCCAUUUUGGAAGAAAAAAAGGUAUCCAUUUUCGAAGGAGAAAAGAAGGUCGCCAUGGGUAAGGACUUUUUUUCUCUUUGAGGUAGCCAUGGGUAAGGACUAUGACACCGGAUCAGUACGUGUACGGCUUGGUUUUGUUCGCGUGACUUGUGUGUUUCAUGUUUGUGAUAUGCCUGGGCUUGUAUAGGACAGAAAGUAAAAUGCAUGUGCGUAUACGCAUCCAAGGCAGGAUGGAGCCGUCUAAUCGCCGCUUAUGGCCUUGCUUUUUCUGUUUUUAAGGGCAAUCACUUGCUUUUCCUGCUAUUCUGAAACUUUUUGUGCACCAACCCGUUGCUUUUCCAAGGUCUCCAGGUGGUUUGUUCCUCGUUAACUUCAGAUCAAUAAAAAUGGUGCUCUGAACCAUAGUAGAAAUGAAAACUUGCACUCUUCUACGUGUAAAGAAAUACGUGGUGGAAUUAUUAUGCCAUGGGCCAUGGAGUAUGUUGGUGGCAAAGUCAACUUUACACAUCAUCUUGCAGUUGCAGCCCUGAAGCCCCUGAGGAUUGAAAAUUGCGUCAUGCUCAUGCACGAUGCGUGAGCAAGUGGACCCGUAGAACCCGCUGAAGCAAAGGAAUUCCAAUCUCUUUUUUCCUUCAAGAAUGGAAACUGUUGUCUCCGGACGUUCCUCCCGCAUCCGCAGGCGGCUGAUGCGCAAGAAACAGAAACAGGCAGCGUUCAGAAGGUCAGAGCCGGUCGGUCACCCGAUGCAUUAUUUUUAAUUUUUUAAUAAAUAAUAAAAAAUCGAUGCUAUAUCUAUAAAUCAAACCGAUGCUUUAUUUGUUUAAAAAAACUAUGCUUUAUUUUUUUUAAAAGAACUAUGCUUCCUUCCUUCUCAAAUAUCAACAAACAGCCCACAAACCGGCCAUGCCCGGCCCAUUCGUACGGUCCAGCUAGCGGAACACCCCGCCGGGCCCCUCAACAGCUCGGUCUCGCUCGGGCCGAACCUUCGCAAACCACGGCCCGCGCCGGUCCAUUCACCGUCCUCAAUUCCGCGGCUGCAAGAAAAAUAUCCUUCGUCGCCUCCGGCUCCGGGUGAGGAAGACUCCCGAACGGUCGAACACUGGUGGAAGCGUUUGCUUGCCAUCCAUGGCGACUUCUACUGCUGCUGCUGCUCUGCUCCGCCCCUGCCCGGGAGUUCCCGCAGCGGUAAAGCCCUACGCUGGGAAAUGGAAUCCUCGCGUCCUUUCGCACGAGUUUAACUGAGUACAGCUUCGUCUUUGUCGCUUGCAGUUGCAGUUGUCGGAGAGGUGGUCUCCCCGUGCGGUUGCUGGGCGGACGACGAGGAGGAGAAGGGGAGCGGCGGGGGUCGUGCGAGCUUGCUUCAACCCUCUCGGGGACGAGCGCAUCCUCCGAGAAGCCAUCAAGGUAAAUUUCUUGGGUCCUUUUCAGUUUUUUCUUCUUAUAAUCUAUGAUUGGGGAUAGUUCUAGUUUGGUUGAUUGUAUUGUGGUUGAUUUGAGGCUUUAGGUAGCUUCUAGUGGUGGGAAAUGUGAAAUAGACCGUUCAAUCCGACUCUUACACCUAUAUAGCUGGUAGCUGUAGUCUCAGCUUCAUCAAUGCUUGUGGUCUUUUGUACGCUUGUAAAGUUUUUUCCUGGAAGAUGGGACAGUUUAUGCCGCAGUCAUAAUUCAGAUUUGUUUCGAUGUUCAUGAUGUUGGAGAAACUUCAUAUUGAUCUAUGGAGCUAACUCUUCAUUAAACUUUUCAGUGCGUUCUGAACUGUUAUGGUUCCCAUGCUAUCAUCGAUAUAGGCAAAACUAGCAAAAUUGACCCUCAACUUGAUAUGUAGGCGUAUUGUUUCAUACUUCCCUGUUAUUUUAGGUUCCAAUGUCAUCAAUUUUGGUAAUCAAAAUGCAUUCUGGAAAUGGAAAGUUGCAGAUAAUUCAGGAAGAGUAGCUAUACUGUUAGUGACAUUCAUCAAACAAUAAUAAUUAUACGCUCUUUAGUCUGGAACUGACUUCUUUUUCCUGUUGAAGCAAGACCAGAUGAUGAUAUUUUAUCUAUCCUGUCUGUAGGAGCCAGUAGCAUUCAUGGGUGGUGUGUUUGCUGGCCUCUUGAGGCUUGACCUGAAUGAGGAUCCUCUCAAGGAAUGGAUCACUCGGACAGUGGAGGCUUCUGGAAUAGCUGAGGAAAACAGCUCUGAAGAAUCAAGUGAGGCAGAUCAAAAUGAUGCACCUCAACAAAUUGAAAUUGAGUGAGGUGCACUGGCUACCUUUUGCCUGCUUAACAUAUUUUCCCUGUAACUUAUCCUGAAUAUCUGUAAUACCUGAGUCAUGACAUUCUUGCAAAAACUUUUAUGUGCUUAUAUUGUUUUUAAGUCAAACAUUGGAUCAACAUUGAUAAUAUAAAACACUGGGCCCUGGUUUUGUUCUCCCACUCCUAUUUCAUAAAUCAUAAUAUGAGAAAUUUUAGAGUGCUUAAAAAAAUGAGAGCCGUCCAUCUGGUGAAAUCAAACGGUGGAAACAAAGAAAGUACCAUGAAGUACUAAAAGAGAAGUACCAAGAGGUACCAAUUUGGUGGGACCAAGUACCAAAAAUAGUGAGAAAUUACUAUGAUGCCCUUUUAAUUAUGUGUAAAUCUAUUUAAUUCUUUUUUGGUAAGAAGGAUAAGAAAGGAAAGUACCUGCAAGUACCACUGGUACUUUAAAAGCAUUGUAACAAAGCUCAAUAUGAUGUGUCAGUCCUUAAGAUGUGUUCCUUCAAAACUGAACUUUGGCCAUUAGUACAGCUACGGAAUGUAUUACAAGUACAUGAAAGGUUAUAAAAGUGAACCAAAUGCAAAUAUGAUGGUUGUAUUUUUUUUUUGGCGACUAACUCUAAAGAUGAUUGCACCAAUUCAUUUCUCAAAUGUUGCAAACUUUGACUCUCAUGAUGUUUUGGGGCCUAUAUUGUUAAAUGGAGGCAGUUGAUGACCAACAAUAAAAUGAAUUUUACUGAUACAUGUAUUAGGGAGUAUUUGGAUAAUCAAACAUCAUGUCUCCUUUUUAUACUUACUGGUAAGCACCUUCAGUUUCAUUGGAAAAAUAGGAUACUUUUGUCCCUUUUGUUCUAUUCCUGAUAUCAGAACAGUAUAGUGUCAGCAUCAUGUAUUCAUUGGCUUCAAGUGAAGUUUUAUGUGGACAUCAGUUGAAUAUUUGAAUGCAUAAGAGACUACGACCAGGUUACUAACCAUCAGUUCACAUGGAGAAAGGAUCUUGCAGAGGUUUUUUGGUGAAUAGGAUUUGCACAUCUGAAUUGGAGUUUGAAUAUGUAUGUCUUACUGAAAAUGCAGUCUUUUGAUCCAUGAACUCAUAAGUCUUGGACAACGAUUUAUAGAGGACUUAGUUGUGUAUUCAAAUGGACCAGUCUGCUAUACUAACUACCCUUGAAAAAACAUCAUGUUCUUUUUUUCUUGUUUUGCUCCAUAUAAAUUACUUCUAUGGAGCACUGCUGCUUAUUUUUGUAAGAAACAAGGUCUUCCAGCUUUAUUUCAACAAAAAGGCACAAAUAAAACAAAGGGUCACGCAUUAAGCGUAUUCGAGGCGUGCCCGCCAAACACACUCUCAAUGACAGCCGGCACGUUACUGAACUCCACAUGCACUGCUGCUUAUACAUAGUUUUAGUUUGCAUACUACAAGGAAAUAAGAUAUAAAUAAUUUGCUUUGCAAAUAUCGAAUAUAAAUAAAAUUUAAAGAUCCUGGCAUCUCCAUUACAUGGUUUAGAUGGAUUUUGUGAACAAUAUAGCCAAAAAAAUUUCAAGUAAACAACGUGUCCUAGACAGAUUGCUGUGGGUUGAAAAGGGCACGUGUUCUUGUUGACAAAAAGAACCAGAUUUCUUUGGAAUAUAAUAAAGGGUCCAAGAAAAAUAUCAUUUCGUCUCUCUGAUGUAUUGCAUAUUCAUGAGGUAUACUUGGUGAUAAUUUUCCUUUUGAAUGCUAGUAACUGUUUAAUUUGUCUAGAAUGAUGCUACAUAUUGGAGCUACUUCUGUGCUUCAACAGGAACAAUGUUCGUGUCAUGUCUGAUGGCUCCCUGACAUAGUUAAUGCUGAGAAACCUAAGAGUGAGACAGUCAGUAUCUGAUUCAAAAUAUUAUCACUUAAGGAAGGUGUCAUUCUCAUUGUCCAAUUGAAUGAAAGAUCACUAUUUUAGAACAUUUUAGGUUCCGGGAGGAUAAGAUUAUUGAGAAAACUGAAUAUAUUUGUUAAUCAGUCCUCUUUUCUCUUGUUUUCUUGAGCAAGAAAGGUACCAUUCCUUGUGAGCUUGGUGGAUCUUCUCUUGCCUCCCGCUUUCCUGUUUGUGGGACACUCUUUUCAUCCGGUUUUCGCACUGUGAUAAGUAUCCCCGUAUUCUUCUCUUCCUCAUAUUCCUGUGUGUACAUCAGGACAAGAAGUUAGGUGAUGAUAUUUCCCAGUUGUUUGGCUUCUCUCAUUACUGAUUCAUUUAGAAAUACAUCAAUGGUUUUGCACAUUUAUAUAGUUAUAUUUGGUAUUGUAAGUUACUACGUACAGUUACGUGUAUGGUUCCCAAAACAUGCCUUUGGCAUUUUGGCAAGACUUUGGUUAUGGUAUAAAAUUGAAGGUACUUUUCAAGAUAAAUCUGCAUACAUCAUUUUUAUGUGUUCAGUCUACUAAAUGGUUGGUAAUACAUUGAUAAUCAUAUUUAUAAAUUUUGAUCCGUUAUAUUACCACUCUUGUGUGUUCGGAGAGGGUAGGUGUAAACACCAUAUGCACUGGCAAGACUAGUGAGGUAUGCUACAGUGGAGUUUGUUCUGUGUUUGUUGGGAGAUUGGUCAUUUGUGGUUCCAAAUUAAAAUGGAUGGACUCUGUUCUGUUCUAUCGUUUGUAUGUUGGGAGAUUAUUGUGCCAUGCCUAGCGACAGGUGAUAUAUGAAGGUUAGGCAGAUUUCUUUUAAUGCACUGUACCCCACAUGAGACUGACUGAUAAAAAACUAAUUUAUCUUGUCAGUGGAUUUUCGUUCUUUUCCAUUUUAGAAGGUCUCUAUAUAAGUCCACACUUGAGUUUGAACUUUGACUAAUUCUGAUCCGGGUAUUUUUCUUCUACCUGCAUAAUUUAUUACUCAUUGCAAUUUGGUCUCUUCUUUCCUUCCUCUCAACCGUGCAGGGCAAAUCAGACUGUUGGGCGGUGCUUUCCAACUAAUCCAAUGAUGGGCGUGGAUCAAACAGGAAUGGCUAUCAGAAUAUCCUUCGCCUGUAAGUCUCCAGCUCCAACUUGCGAGGCGAGCUGUUAUGGCAUAAUAUGGUUGGCACUCUAGAACCAGAAGUCGUUAUUGUUGAUUUGAUCUCAAGCCACUGACGUGAACUCAGUGAUAUACCAAUGCAACCACUAACUACGUGAUGAUGACUGGAACAUAUUUCUGCUAGAAUGUUUUUGGUUCUCACUUGAUGAUGACUGGAACAUAUUUCCGCUAGACCUUUUAUGCUUCUCAGUGGAAAGGGAUUGCCCUUUAAUGCUGAUGAAGAAACGCCAUGAACUCAAGUUCAGAACAUUUCCCGUAACAUGGGAAAAGUUUCGUAAAUUUUGUCACUUAAUAAUUUGGAAUAUGAUAUUAGUAGAUACUGAAGUGAUGAAAAUAAGUGAAACUAGCAUUAGGAUAGUGUGCUCAACACAGAUUUUUAUUUGCUACUAUUUGAAAAUGGGGGAGAGAAGCAUGGAUAGAGCAUCCAUGAAGCAAGGCAACUUAAAUUCAUUGCACAUCACAUUACUAUUUGUGAAGACAAAGGGUACCAGGAGCAUGUACAGAUAAGAUAACAAUCUUUCGCGCUAGCAUACUGACAUUUCAAUUAUACAUCCUGUCAUGUCGUUGUAAGAAUGGUAUGAUUGGAAGCGCUGCGACACAUGAUACAUCACUGUUGUGUGCUGAUUUACAUUGUUCAGCAGGUCAUAGAACAGACACCUGGCUAAUAAUCAUGAACGAAAUAAUUUGUUCUUUUUGCUAGUAUAAAAUAUGGCGAUUGGUGCCCUGUCACCUGACAUGUCACUUUCUUUCCUUUUCUUUUCUGUUUACAAGUCCAUUUCGAUACACAUAUAUUCCUGGCACGUGGACAGGAAUUGUACAGUCAUGCAUGCAAGUGACUAGACAAAGGGCCUGCAAUCAGCUCAAAUGACCUCAUCGAGUUUGCCAGGAAUUUUACGAGGGAAAAGCAGCAGGGGAGAUUUCCAUUCCAUGCCAUCUUGCGUUUUACCGGCCGGUUUAUCUACUUCGAUCCAACAUCCAACCCGGGCGGCUCACGCUUCACGCCCCGCCUGCUCGUCACCACGCAUUUGACGUUCGCUCGAAUUAGGUAGCUCAUGCAGAUGUUUCCAUGCCAUCCUGAGGACUUUCUCCUAUAUAAGAGUAGAGUUUUAACAGUAUUGAUUAGCGUGAGUUGAUCUGCUGGACAGAUCACGGUCAAGGUGGCCGACACGCCAGCAAGCAUGAAGAGCUCCGGCGUCGUGCUAGUGCUCCUGCUGGCCAUCGCCAUGGCGAGCUGCAGGCUCUCGCUCGCUGCCACCGCCGCCGCCACUCACGAGAGCGGCGCCAGCAUUCCCGCCAUCCUGGGCCGCGAGCUGCGGGAGUUCAUCGCCAGGGCCGGCAACAUGUUCCGGUCGUCGGGGGCUGACGGCUGGCGCGCCGCGGCCACGAACGCCACCGCCGACGCCGACGCCGACGCCGAGGCGAAGAACCUGCGUGCCGUGGCGGCGUCCCGGAGGCGGCGGCCCGCCAGGAAGUCCGCGGGCUGCGUCAGCGCCGCGGCGUGCCGGAAGAGGCGCGUGAUCUGCGCCAAGAGGUGCUACCGCGCCUUGCGCGCCGCCAGCCUGACCCACGUCCCCUCCCGAUGCGUCGUCAAGUGCAGGAAGUGCGUGCCCACCUGCUAGAUCGCGCAUCGCGCCGCGUCGCGUACUCGCGUCGCCGGAGUUGCUACUUCUUGUCGUCGUAGGCUCGGUGGAAUAAAGAUGCAGAACCCUGUUCCGUGCGGUAGUAGGUCGUAGUGAAUAUUGUGAUUUCUAUACUGUACCCCGUCAGCACGUUUUGGAAUUUGGAUUCGGAUUUUUCCACUUGAAUAUCAGUUGUUACGCUCACUUCCAUGGUAGUAGUACAGUACUGUAUGGUACACUGGCAACUUCUGUAGCGGCCAUUUGUUUUGUUUUUUUUUUGGGAGGAAAGUGUAGAAGCCAGCAGUUGUGGGGGUAUGGGAGGUGCGUGUGGGCUUUCAGGGUUGAGCUUCCUGACGACUGACGGGAAAGCUGAACGAACUGCUAACCGUCUGCACUUUUAAUCAAGGAGACGCGUGCCAAGGACGGUGUCAGAUGGGCACGAUCGAUCAUUGCCCGGGGAAUACUAGGGCUUGUUUAGUUGUUCAACUUUGGACAACCAAAAUUACUGUAGCGUAACUGUAGCGUUUCGUUUGUAUUUGUAAAUUAUUGUCCAAAUAUUGACUAAUUAGGCUCAAAAGAUUCGUCUCGCAAAGUACAACAAAAUUGUGCAAUUAGUUUUUGAUUUCGUCUAUAUUCAGUACUCCAUGCAUGUACCGCAAGUUUGAUGUGAAGAGAAAUCUUUUUUUUACAUAGUAUCAAAGUUGAAAUUUGGAGUGCCUAGCUCGCGCGAGCUCAUUCGCCGAAUCCCCCGCCAUCUCACCUAACACGAUUGACCAAGAAACGAAAGAGACCUCGCUAUUACUCUGUGUGGUUUGCGGUUGAGAGUCCUGGCUGUUGGUUGCUGCCUCUGCCUGCCUAAUAACACCCCGGUUUCUCGAGUGCUACGAAGAUUUCGGACAGCCAAAAACCUGCGCGAGCCGUACAGUACAGGGAAAACCCCUGUCUGUUUCAGGCCGCGGCAUGACUCAUGCGUCAUGACCGAUUCGAACCUACCGUGCGCGGACACGCCAUCUUGUAGCCUACUUGCAUGCUCGGCCUUGGCCGGGAGAAAGCUCAUCUUGCCAUCACGAAUUGGUUCAACGGUGGAUCGUCCCAUGCUGCGGUGUUGUCACGUCGAUCGGUAACCGCUGGUCAUGCCAAUUUUUCUACUUACGGAAGUGAAAGCGGCGCACGUCGCGGUGACCGUAUGAUGCUGGGAGAACGCGAAUUUUGGACAGCACUGUAGAUGGAUUUAGACGAGUCCUAGUAGUACUAGUACAACACGUUAUGUCCCGAUUAAUCCAAAAUAAAUCAAUUUGUCCUGACAUAAAUCGAUUUGUAGGCUUAUCCAUCACUAUCACUCCAUCCGUUUUCAAUUUUCAUGUACCACGCUGGCUCCGGCCACCGAAACAUCGAAGACACCUUUUGGAGAGGACAAAAACCGAGGGGGAAGUGGUCUUUCAUUACUGCCUCCUCCGUCUAAAUCUUUAUAUUUAAAAAAUAAUAAUUUUGAAUGGAGGACAUGAUUUGAGACUGAAAACAUGUAGCAUGUGCCCAUGCGGCGAGAGGGUCCAGGGCCCAGCUAGCAGGGAUCCAAGCGGCCGGGGAACAGGUGACGCCGCGCAAGCCGCCAGGAACCGAACAGCGCGAUGCCCACUGCUACGCUAGAACCGCGCGCAGCUGAGUCAGGCCGAGCGCGCUCGUUUCGCACGCGUGGCACCCUCGCUGCCGCGGCUUCCGAUCCGCGACGCGCAUCGCCAUCGCGCGGUUGCGCAUCGCCGUUCCGUCGUAAACCCGGCGGGGCGGGGAAGGAGCGAAGGGAUGGAUAGAUAGAUGCGUGCAGCCGUCGCGGAUCGGUGGACGUGACGUGCGCGAGCGGUUGGAGUUGGAGCGCGCAGCCCCCGGAGGCCGGACGGAGGGCUAGCUAGGCCAGGGCUCUCAUUACUUGCCCGGCGCCGCGAGAUGGACGUGCAACUACACGGCACGGCACGGCACCCCCAAUGCAACGGACAACGCCACCUGCGUGAGUGCGACCACGCGGUGCCCGCCCGGCUGCCCCCGUCCAGCGGUCGCGGCCGCGGCGAGGUUUCCUCCCUCCAGGACGGCAGGGCGGCAGGCAGGACCCGUUCCCAUCGGUCUUUGCCCGCGGCACGGGGUUUUCGUUCUCUGAUUCUCUCGCCCGCGCGCGCCUCGGCUAACGAUGUCAUUAAUGGAUUCCCCGGCCCGGUAGCCAGUAGCACCGGUGCUCUGUAUGUGCAGCUAGCUAGCAGGAUCAGGACUAGCAGUCAGUAGCGUGGUCAAACCCCUGGCGCGGUCUCGUCUACCACUCGUCUUGUUGGGAGGAUGGCAGUUGAGGAGAUCUCAGCUAGUAGCUCUGCCUGGAGUCCGAGUUCUGAACUCGGUCUCCUCCGCUGGUCAGCAUGGAGGCUUCAGUCAUAGGCCGGCGGCCGGCCGGCCGCAGCAACAGCCAACCGUACGUGUCGGUCCGGCCGCCGCGUGAGAGUUUUGAACGGAGUUUUGGAGGCAGCAUGCCGGCAUUCCAUCAGCCGGCGGGUUUGCCAGCCAGCCGUGUCACGCAUGGCUUGCCUGUGUGCCGACGCGAAACUUUCUUGUUUGUGCCAACCGCCCAGGGGUGAGGUGAGAGGUGAGUCGUACGGUACGUUGGCUGCGACUGCGAGGACGGGAACCGAUCGAGCAGCCCGCAGCAAGCGGCCAAGGACGCGUGGGGUCUCGGAAGUUGGAGGCGAUUUGCUGUUGUCAACUUUUUUUUUUGGUCACCAGCCAGCAGCUGCUGGUGCCGGAUCUGAGCUUAAUGAUUCUGGGAGCGGCUCUCUCGGACCGGAGCUUAAUGAUCAACGGAGGUUGACACAUCGCACCAUUUUCUGUGUCCUCUCGCGGUCCAUCAAUUCGAACGUCGAGUACCACCACUAUGUACUCGUACUGGCACCAAUAAUUUUCUUCUGACAAUAUCAGGUUUAGUCCAUCAGCUAUACUACAUCAAAACAUGAACUUAGUUUCUUCCAUCGUUCACCAAGAACUGGGUAACCAUCAUGCGAUGUGAGGUUUGCUACCUUAAUUACAGGUAGAAACCUAACACUCUGGUAUUGUAUUCACGCUCUCCGAAUGAUUGUCUUGCACUGAAACGAUAUACUCAAUCACAGGUUUAUCCCAGGAUUGUCACGCCAUAUUGGCACAACCCAUACGCCCUUUUCAUGACCUACUCAUGGUUAUUAGUAUCUGUCAUGCCAUAUGCUAUCUCGAUCAGUCGAACUGCACGCCAUCGCUCGCUGUCGUCUGCAUCCGUUCCGGGUGCUGGCGAUCUGAAUCCGCUGCGAAACGACUCUCAAUGAGAGAAAAGAAAAGGGAGACGGGCCGGCGGGGCGCGAUUGAAUGCUCGCACAAGAACCGAGAAUUAUGGGGAUAAAAAGGGGGCGGCGAUGAGCCAUCGAGCCGGAAGGUAUGGCGAUGAAGGAAAGUACAACGCCAACGUCCACCAGUACCCGCUAUAAAUGCGGCCUGCAGCUGGCUGGAUCCAUCGAUCUGAUCUCUCACCCGUCUCCUCUCCUCUCGCCUUCAUCAUGUGGCGUGUGCGGCCAUGUGUGCAGUGCCUGUGGACGGCGUCGGGGCCGUAACGUGUUGCCGUCGUGGCCUGCUCGCUCUGGCCCGGCCCCAGCCCUCUUGACUUCCGUGUUCCCUCGCCGGACUCCGACGAUCCGCUCCAGUUCGAUCGUCAACGUCGUUUUUAUACUAGUCGUGUUUUGCUGUAACCUUGCGGCGAUACUGCUGUUGCACGGGUUUGUGCAGUUGACGACGUUAAGUACGAUACAGUUCGUGAAUUGGCAGUGUGCCUCCAAGGCCAUCACAAGGGUUGGAAGCCUAGCCUUCUUUAUAUAAAAAAAAAUCUUGGAAGUCUUAAAAAACAUCAAUUUUCCGUCCAUCGCACGCUUGGUGUGAAUGUGAUGUGAUAAACCUUAUUUGGUUUCAUUGUAUUUUGAGACUGUUAUAGAAAACCACAACUACACAAUCAAAAUAGUGGCAGUACAGUACUCCUACUUAAUAAGAACUGUAGAGAGGAUGCAUGAUGAGGUGAUGAGGCGAUGGAAGGAACCCAAAUGACGGAGACAAUUUGGUUGGCAGUUUAUUAAGUGGUGGCCUCAGUGCAGUGACUCGCUCUCUCACAGCUCCAUUGCUCGCCUCGCUGCUCUCUGAUUGCUCCGUCCAUCCAUUAACUCCUCCCCCCUCUUUAUUGUGCAUGCAUGCUUUCCUCCUUUAUAACUCCUGCCCGCGCUAGCUGCCCUCUCCACUGCAUCGAAACCGGCCGCUCUCUCCAGACGCGCCUCUGGCUCCCGGUCGCCCCACCACUAGCCCUCUUCCUUCCUGACUUCCCAGCCCUCGAAUCCUCGCGCUCGAUCCAGCCAUGAGACCGGGCGGCGGAGACCAGCAGGGCGGCGGCGACGGCACGACGCCGCGGUCCGCGGCGGCCGGGCGGGCCAUGGUGGAGCUGCAGGCCAACGCGUCGGCGGCGGCGGCGGGCGGCGCCAUGGUGGUGGGGCUCAGCCCGCUCAGCGAGACGCUGUGGCGGGACAGCAAGGCGCUGCCCCCCGGCGCCGGCCCCGCCGCGCUCAUCGGCGACGUGUCAGCCAGGCUCACCUGGAAGGACCUCUGCGUCACCGUGGCGCUGGGCCCCGGCAAGACGCAGACGGUGCUGGACGAGCUCACCGGGUACGCCGAGCCCGGCUCGCUCACCGCGCUCAUGGGGCCCUCGGGCUCCGGCAAAUCCACGCUCCUCGACGCCCUCGCCGGCCGCCUCGCCGCCAACGCCUUCCUCUCCGGCAACGUGCUCCUCAACGGCCGCAAGGCCAAGCUCUCCUUCGGCGCCGCGGUACGUACGUGUUGUAUGACUUGUGUCCAACCAUUUUUGCAUGCACCUGCUUCUCGCUUCAUCGCAUGAGCUAUAAGCUUUGAUUCACUACUCUCAUCUGAAAAGAAAUAAAAAAAAUCCACCGUUCUAUUUCUGAGCAUCAAGCGUUCCGUACUACCACUUCAGUUCAGAUCAUACAAAUAUAGCAAGGUAGCAGUUCCAUUAGGGGUUUCUUGAUAGGAUCUGUCCAAGUUCGAAUCUACCGCCCAUAACUGGCACCUGGCAGCAUGCAAAUCGUAUUUGAAAGGGCCAGGAUCUGGUAAUCUGCAUGCAUGGUGUGCUUAAACACAGUGCAGUGGGCAACUUUUAAAAAAAAUCAUCUUGCUAUAUUUGCUAUAAUCGUAUUUGUGCAGUGUGGUCAUAUAUAGGUUUCCCCAAAAAUGAAUAUGUGUAGUUAUACAUACAGUCACUUCACUAGGACUGCUACUUUCCUUUUAGACCUAGAUGCACAGCUACACUUGACUACAUACCAGUGCUACGAGAGAUACAGAACAAACGGUUUAUUUCAUGUCGUGCAAGAGAGAAGCGAGAGAUCGGCUAGCCGGCUCGGUAGUAAUUAGCGACGGAUACACUUCCAAUCCAAUCGAUUCUGGCCGUUUAUUCUCGCAUCCGUCCCAGAUGGCGAGAGCACGGCUACGCGUCGAGCUCUGGUCCGGUCCGGCGUGUAAUGCAGGUAGGUGCGUGGAUUUAAUUCGCCCCGGUGGCUCGAUGGCGCCACACCACUCUCGAUGCCAAAAAUUUCGUACUGCCAUCUCGUGUUAAUUUCGUGAGGUGAAAAGGAGGGAGAGGUCGGCUGUCAAUAUGGCUGCUGUGAGAGCGAGCCUGAACGGCUGAAGCCACCUACACAGCAUAAAUUCUGACAGCUGGGCUUGCUCUCUGAUCCUGCUCUGAAUUUAUGGCGUUACACGGAGAACGCGUCUCUGCAGACGCAAAAGCAGUUGGCUUGCUCGGUUAAUUAGCGCCGAGUUUUUUAGUUAGAGAAACUGGAUGGAUUAAUUUUUGUGUUUAUGCAGGCGUACGUGACGCAGGACGACAACCUGAUCGGGACGCUGACGGUGCGGGAGACGAUCGGCUACUCGGCGCUGCUGCGGCUGCCGGACAAGAUGCCGCGGGAGGACAAGCGCGCGCUCGUGGAGGGCACCAUCAUCGAGAUGGGCCUCCAGGACUGCGCCGACACCGUCAUCGGCAACUGGCACCUCCGCGGGGUCAGCGGCGGCGAGAAGCGCCGCGUCAGCAUCGCGCUCGAGCUCCUCAUGCGCCCGCGCCUCCUCUUCCUCGACGAGCCCACCAGCGGCCUCGACAGGUACCUUAGGUCGUCGGAUAAGAGGACAGGCUGCUAGUAAAUGUUACCGAGUAAACUAACCGUGCGACGGUUGUGUAUUUGUGCAGCUCGUCUGCGUUCUUUGUCACGCAGACGCUGAGGGGCCUGGCCAGGGAUGGCAGGACAGUGAUUGCCUCCAUCCACCAGCCCAGCAGUGAGGUGUUCGAGUUGUUCGACAUGCUCUUCCUGCUGUCCAGUGGCAAAACCGUCUACUUCGGCCAAGCAUCCCAAGCAUGUGAGGUAGUUAUUACUUCCUUGCCCCAUCUCCCUCACUGUUAGCAGUUGGCAGCCGGAACGCAUGCCUCCACAUCACCGUAACUGUAAUUACACACAGCAUAGCAUGAUCAGUCGACUGACUCCUUGCUCACCUGCAGUUCUUUGCUUCAGCCGGUUUCCCUUGCCCGCCUCUGAGGAAUCCGUCUGACCAUUUCCUGAGGUGCGUCAACUCUGACUUCGACAAGGUGAAGGCCACCCUCAAAGGAUCAAUGAAAGCAAGGGUAAGCAGCUAACUGGUCAAUAGACAAAUACAAUAAAAUUUGCAAAUUUUGAUGCUUGUUCUCUGCUGUAAAUAAAUGAUCUAACAUUUCGUGUUCAUGAAAAGAUUGAGAGGUCUGACGACCCCCUGGAUAGGAUGACCACAUCAGAAGCCAUCAGGAAGUUGAUUGCAUCAUACAGCAGGUCCCAGUAUUACUACGCCGCAAGGGAGAAAGUCAAUGAUAUCUCGCGAAUAGUACGUGCUCUGAGUCAUCAAAAGCAACAUUGAUAUGUUGUACCUGUUUUUGGUGUCCAUAAUUAAUAUCAUAUCUGGGGGCAGGAAAUAACCAUCUUGUUCGUUGCAGAAAGGAACGGUGCUGGAUUCAGGCGGCAGCCAGGCCAGCUUCCUGAUGCAGGCUUGCACCCUGACCAAGCGUUCAUUCAUCAACAUGUCACGGGACUUUGGGUAUUACUGGCUCAGGCUCCUGAUCUAUCUCCUUGUGACCGUUUGCAUCGGCACAAUAUACCUGGACGUCGGCACCAAAUACACAUCCAUCCUGGUAAGCAUGAAGAAAAGAAAUAUGAACUUCUGGGCCGGACUGAUAUGAAUGCACAAUAAUGCAGUCACAUGAGCAAUGUCAUGAAACAUAUGAAUGAUUAAUGCAUUCACUACCUUGUCUCUGCAGGCCAGGGCUGCCUGUUCUGCGUUCGUCUUUGGGUUCGUCACAUUCAUGUCCAUUGGAGGGUUCCCUUCAUUUGUCGAAGAAAUGAAGGUGGACUUCAGGCUGUGAUAUUUCACCUGCAAGAUAGAAAUGCUAUGAACUGUCCUCACCUUUUGUUUGCUUCAUUUAUAUAGGUUUUCCAGCGGGAACGGCUCAAUGGGCACUAUGGUGUUGCAUCGUUUGUCAUCAGCAACACUAUCUCAGCAACGCCGUUCCUGAUUCUAAUAUGCUUCUUGUCGGGAACCAUAUGUUACUUUAUGGUGCGCCUUCAUCCUGGUUUUGAACACUACAUCUUUUUCGUGUUGAACCUCUACGCCAGUGUCACCGUGGUGGAAAGCUUAAUGAUGGCAAUUGCCAGUGUCAUUCCCAAUUUUCUCAUGGGUAUCAUCAUAGGAGCUGGAAUUCAGGUAUGGCAUUUUCACCCCCUUUCUCAUGUCAUUUUCCAUGCCCCUACAAUAUGGCACAAGUUGACAUAAACGACCAUGUGACAUUUAAGAUGAAAUCAUGAAUUAUAGAGCCCCUAAACUUGGUAAGGUUUUCUGGGACCACAAUACGAAGGACUUUACCUUGUGCUGAUCCAGUAAGGGUUGUAAGCUUGUAAGGCAUCCAGCUUGUCAUAUAACCACUCCUCACCAGUAUUAUUUGGAGCUUUACUACAUAUUCCAGUACAAGUUCAGCAAUUUACCAUUGAACUUGUAUUUACUAUCUGUGGCAAAAAUAUUUGGCUUGCUUUAGCUAUUACUGCAAAAGAUAUUUAACAGUAGUCCAAUGUUUCAGUUAUGUUGAACAGUUUCAUGCCACCACAAAACAAACAUCAAUUUACUUUCCAUAGAAAGCUCCAGCUCUGGGGCUUAGCAAGAAGAAAUUCUCACAAUUUUCCUUGGACAGGGAAUAUUUAUGCUGGUCUCGGGAUACUUCAGACUUCCGUAUGACAUCCCAAAGCCAUUUUGGAGAUACCCCAUGCAGUACAUCAGCUUCCAUUACUGGGCACUGCAGGUAAAUUCGGUUCCACACAGUAGCAGAUAAAUACAAUGCACACUACACUCCAACCUGAAACUUGACAUCAAACUCUAUACAUCUUACAGGGCCAAUGCCAGAAUGACAUGAAAGGCCUCGUAUUUGACAACCAGUACCCGGAUCAACCCAAAAUCCCUGGUGACUUCAUCCUGAAGUACAUCUUCCAGAUCAAUGUGGAUCGGUCCAAGUGGAUUGAUCUGUCGGUUAUCUUCAGCAUGAUCUUCAUCUACCGCAUCCUGUUCUUCCUCAUGAUCAAGAUCAACGAGGACGUGCUGCCAUGGAUCCGUGGCCACGUCGCCAGGAAAAGGAUGCAGAACAAAGGCCCAAGCGCCACCUUCGGCAAGACACCCUCCCUACGAGGCUAUGUUGUUGAUCCAGAGCUUGGCUCCAACGAGGGCUAGAGGAUAAAGCUGUUGUUUUGGGUGGUAGCAGGAAUAGGGCAUUUCUCCCCCAGCUCUUGGUGUUAUAUUGUACGUAUUUAAGAUGAGGAACUGGUAUCAUACGUUUUGGAACUGAAGCUAAUUUGGGUACAGGUAUACAUACAUGUAAUGUGAGCAAAGUGGCAUCGGAAAAAUGCAGAGUGACACAUAACUGAUUGUUCAGGAUUUAUUGGCUCCUUUUGAAAACAGAUGAAGAAAUGGUUGGCGCCAACAACGCCAGUCUCAGUGGUAGUUUCAUGAAAAUAAAUAAGAUGCUACGUAGAUGAUUAUGAUGACAUGGAACCAUACGAAGAAAGAGAAAACAAUCGUUUCACGGUGAUGAAACGAGCAAGCCCCAGUUACCCAGAUGUUGGAAACCGGACGACACUGCAUUGAGGGGCUUCGUUUCAUCUAGACGCGGCGGCGGGGAUCCCGUGCGAAGCGCGGAGCUCCUCCUGUGAUUAUGUCGAUCUCCCGCGUGGCGCAAGCUUUCCCGCCGGGCUUCCCGCCAAUCUCCAAUCCAUAUCUCGCCUCACUUCUCCCUUCCAAUCUCAUCGAGUGGCCGAUGGCUAUGGUAGGUCUCUGCGACGUUGCCGACGUAGGCCGCGCAGCAGUGCCAUUCGAUGGCGGGCCUAGAGAAGAAUGGCGGCCCCUGCAAACGGACGGCUUCUUCACCGAGAGGUCUAACUUACGCGUCACCACAUCAGGGAUUCGUGAACCUGGAAUCUUCACCAUGACAGCCUCCGCCAAGUGCAGCAUGUUGGCAGCCACGGAGGUCAAUCCUCUUCCACAAAUCCUAGGUAAUUUCCCUCUCGUUCAGUUUGUGCAUCAGUAGAAAACAAAUCCCAAUCAAGGUGUUGUUCGGGUUGCUUUUUUUGACAAAAAAAAUUGUUUGGGUUGCUUGAUUGCUUAAUUGGAUAGCUGAGGAUGCCCUGCUCGUCAGAUUUAUGGGCUGGCCGGGUAUAGGGUCAAGUAGAUCCGGUUCACAAAUGUAAGGUUAGUCAGAUUGAUUAAACUGAAAAACCUAUGUUUCUUUUUAUUCAUGAAGCAGUGCAGAUAAAUUUGGCACUAGCUAUCAUCUGGUGUAGAUGCUAGCCUGUUGUAGAUGCUAGCCCGUCAAUAAUUAUCAGUAGGUAUCAUCUUCCUAUUUCACCAUUCCGAUGUUUUAUUCAGUAAAUAUUAUUUUGCCAUUUUCACUCCCUGUUUUUGUCCAAUUGGUAAUUAUAUGCAUUGGUUCUGAAGUGUGAGACAUAUCUGCUUGUGCUGCUAUAUAUAUGCCAGUUAAAUCUGGCUCUUGAAAAUUUUACUUGUGAACAUAUUAUUAAAUAUUGCCGUCCAUUUUCAGGAGACAAGGUGCCAGUAAAUAGGAUGAUGGAAGGCUUCAGAAGAUGGGAGGCACUAUGUAGGAAAUAAGAAGAUGAAAAUUUGAGUGGCAGUGGGGUUUUUAAGUUUGCCAGAUUCCAUAUUUUGGUCAUUUAUCGCUUUAAUUUGGGUGGCAGCGAGCACUCUAGUCUGAAGGUAAAACUAAUCCAUAUCUGAAUGUUAAACUGCUGCAUAUCUGAAUGUGGAACUUCUUCGUAUCUGAAUGUGGAACUGCUACACCGAGUAACUCUAUAUAUGUCAGCAUAGUACUAUGCUAAUACUUAAUUUAGAUACAAUUGUAGAGGCUACAAAGUUCUCAUGGCACAUUUGAUAUAACUGUAGAGGCUACAAAGUUCUCAUGGCACAUUUGAUCACAACAUCUUAUAAGAAUUAAAUGCUGCAGUCUUUCUAUGAAAUUGUGCAACGAAACUCUGCAUUGAGAGAGAGAGUUUUAUUUCAUUGAAAAGCUGAUGUGGCAGUCUUGGUAACAUUGCGAUCAAACUGUGCACUGAGAUUGGUCUAAGGGCAACCACAAUGUAUGAAAAAAGUAGCCUUAAGCCACUCAUUACUCUGAAAAAGAUAGCAUUAAAACAUUAUGGGGAUGCACCUCAAGGAAAAAAGCUUAAAGGAGCACCUCAAGCUUACGGUUCACCAUAAGGAAAGAAGAAUUAAUUUCUUCUCUCUCCUCUCCCUCCUUUCUCUUUCAUGGCAUGUUUAAACAUGGGGCGGAGAGAUUGACGGAUGGGGAGUUGGAAUGCAGGAUUUUUUUAUCUUGUGUGGACCUCCGGGGUGUUCGCUUCAGCUUAUUCAGCCGGCUUAUCAGCCAUCAAACAGUAUUUUCCUCUCACAACAAAUCAGUCGUUUCAGCUUUUCAGCCAGCUUAUAAGCUGAAGCGAACAGCCCCCUCAUCUUGCGGUCCAAUUUAGACAAUAGCAUUGUGAGUAUGGCUGAAACAAAGAUCAACCGUUUAUGGGCCCACUCUUAAGGUUAUGGUGGACCAGAUACAUUGAGCAUGCCCUAAAGGCUCAAGAGUACGGCUCACAUGGCUACACUGUAUAGUCACAUUGAUUUUGCUGGCUUGAGCGUUACACAAAGUGGUAGUACUACAUAUUAAAGGAAUUGUAAAUGCCCCAUUUGAAUCUAACAAGAUCAAUGUGGUACUAUUUGUGAUUAAAAGUAGGUUGACAAGUUUCAAACAUUUCACAUGGAUUCAUUCAAGUUGUGUUUGUAAUGGUAAUGACCGACACAAUUUCUACAUGACCAUGUUAUAGUUACUGAUCGACCUUAAUUGGUGCAGCCGCCAGUAGCAACAGGAGCUAAGUAUAUGUUUCAAGCCAGAUCAAGAACCCUAGUACAGUUAUUAUGUAAAAAAAAAGACGAUAGUACAGAAUGAUUCAGUUUGGUCCCCUUGUGCCAGGCACAGGACAUGGGUUCAACACUUCAACUUCAAAGCCUAUAUCCCAUUUUCCAUGUUCCAAGCACUAACAAUUCUCCCUAAUUUUUCCUGUGUUCUACAAUGCAACCAACACUAGUAUUUUGGAAUGUUGCUAAUAGGAGAAGAAAAUAAUCAGGGCUGAAUCUAACAUGUUUGUAUUUCUUGGUGCCGUAAAAAUAGAGUAAGAUUUACUAAAAACACGAGUAGAGUCGUAGAGAAAACCUGGGAUCUGAAUGGAGGUGUCGGUCAGAUUGAUAUGUGCUUUGGCCUUCUUAAAUGCCAUGGUAGAUGCAGAAGGUAACUAGGGCAUGUUUUCUUCCACUUGCUAAACUUUAGCACCCGUCACAUCGAAUGUUUAGAUACUAAUUAGAAGUAUUAAACGUAGACUAUUUACAAAACCCAUUACAUAAGACGAAUCUAAACGGCGAGAUGAAUCUAUUAAGCCUAAUUAGUCCAUGAUUUGACAAUGUGUUGCUACAGUAAAUAUUUGCUAAUGAUGGAUUAAUUAGGCUUAAUAGAUUCGUCUCGCCGUUUAGAUUCCACUUAUGUAAUUGGUUUUGUAAAUAGUCUACGUUUACUACUCCUAAUUAGUAUCUAAACAUUCGAUGUGACACGUGCUAAAAAUAAGACACGGGAAGAAAAUAGCACCAGAUAGAGAGGCGCCGUACAGAUAGUCAGAUAUCAUGUGGUAUGCAGGCAGACUCUUGUUCAGAUAAAAACGCAGUAGGAUGGGGGGACACUGUCGAGCGCAUGGGCUCUACAGAAAUCUUCAAGAAAGAUUCGGAGCAUCAACCCUCGGAUCCAUUUUUGGGAAAGCGUUUUCUCUUUUGGAUUUUGCUCAGUUUCUUUUUUUUUCACAACGUUCUAGGCUCAAAGCUAAAUUGAGCAUCAGAAAUAAUCGUAAGUUUUCGUAAACUCUGAAUAGAUCUCACCUCCCUGCAAUUCCCUGUGGCAGUUUGUUGAUAGCAGAUCAUAAACAAUCUAUGAAAACCGGUGUUUGGAUCCCCGAACUAAGUUGAUAGCAGAUCAUAAACAAUCUAUGAAAACCGGUGUUUGGAUUCCCGAACUAAAUUUUAGCUCCUGUCACAUCGAAUGUUUGGACACUAAUUAGGAGUAUUAAAUAUAGACUAAUUACAAAACCAAUUUCACAACCCCUAGGCUAAAUCGCGAGACGAAUCUAUUAAGCCUAAUUAGUUCAUGAUUUGACAAUAUGGUGCUACAGUAAACAUUCGCUAAUGAUGGAUUGAUUAGGCUUAAUAGGUUCGUCUCGUCGAUUUAGCCUAGGGGUUCUACAAUUAGUUUUGUAAUUAACUUAUGUUUAGUCCUCCUAAUUAGCAUCCGAAUAUCCGAUGUGACACGGACUAAAUUUUAACUCCAGGAUCCAAACACGUCAUAAAGAUCCGGACACCCUCUUGUACUCUUCAAAAUGCUGGAGGAUGGAUGACAUAUGCAGCCCGGAUGCGGAUCAGACGCAGUCUGACUUGGCCGAGCCACAUGCUUCGAGGACGCCGGAGUCCCGCCGCUGCUUAGCGCCGGAGGUCAAGCUCAGGAGCUGCUCGCUCCGGCAGUGCAUCCGUGGUGCUAUGCGGGAAACGAAAUGGCCGGGCCGAGCAACGCCUUCUGCGUGCCGCCGCCUUGGGCCGAGCCUUGCCGACGAACGCGUUCCCAGGACUUUGGACCGCCAUGUCUGCGGCGAGCCAUGCUAGCGCAUCGUCGACAGCGAUUGUUGUGGCUCGAUCGAUGCCUGUGCGGAGGACAAGGACGAAGAGAGUCAACGUAUUGCCGCGAAGGCCACCAUGGCGCACGCACUGCAAGUGAAUGUUCCAAGUUUGUAUGCAUUUCUUCGUAUUCCCUGUUGGCUCUUUACACUGCAGCCAGAAUCUUAGGAGUAACUUUUCUGCCUGUCUCAAGGUGCUACUUGAUUUGCUCCAUUCAUGAACCAAACAGAGCAUCCAGGGUUUGACACAUUUUGAACUGGACUAGGCAUUUUUUGCACGGUUUACCUGCACAAGGAAUUGAACCUGGUUAAUUAUGCACACAUCCGGAGCAAUAGAAGCAGGAUGAGUUCUUCGGACCACUGAAGCAGGCGCACUGACGAACCAUGUCACAUCCUGCAGGUGUAGACAAUCAGUCGAUCAGUAGCAACCACGCUCGCGUUCGUACCCGAGGCGCAGUAGUCCGAGGUGCGCAUGCCCAGCCGGCGCGGGCACAACCGCGGCGUGGCCCGGACACGGCGAGCGGUGCCCGCCUCCGGCGUCCGGUCGUAGCUGCGGGAGCAGAGAUACUGCUGGCGCUAGCUGUUGAGCCAGGGAUUGGCCUCACGAUCUCCGCCGGGACCAAGGGCGGAAAUGACGGCAGCGGCCAGCGGUGGCGGACAGCGCCGGACGGAAGCCGAGCCGAAUCAGGGGUGCAUGUGGGCCCACACCAUGGUUUUCUGACAGCUAGGAGCAAGCGGCCUGUUCGCUUCAGAUUAUUCAGCCGGUUUAUCAGCCACCAAACAGUGUUUUCCUCUUACAACAAAUCAGCCAUUUCAACUUUUCAGCUGGCUUAUCAGCUGAAGCAAACAUGAUACGAAGGCGGGUAGCUGCUGGAACGCGGCCGCGCUCUGGCGAGCCGGAGCACCAAGCAGAUGAAGCGCUUGUACCCACGUCGGGUGCUCGGGGGUGGACGGUAUUUCAUUUACCGUCCACCCCUCGAGUCACUGCGGGCCGUUCGAUCGCACACGCGCGGCCCGGAUGCGGCGCGGUCGCGGUCGGAGCCUGACUCGGUCGUUUCCGAUCUCGGGAACCACAUGGCGGAGGCCGGAGGUCGGGUGGCGCUGGCGCCCCUACGACCGCUGCUCGACGUCGCCGGCAGCCUGCGUGCCGCAGUGUCGUCGCCGUCUUGCGCCGAGCCUUGUCGAUCUGCGGCGAGGACGGUCUGGGGCGUUGUGAGCGCGCCGCCGCAGGGCAUCGCCGACAGCCGAUCCAACCUUCAAGGUCUUGGCUCGAUUGAUACAUGCACUGGCUUGAUGCUGAGGACAAGACGAUCAAUGUAUUGAACGAAGCUGUGCGUGGAUCAUCCAUCGGUUGCCGCGCGCGGCCACCAAGACGCGCGAGCUUGCAUUGCCUGGUUUUCCGACCGAGAUUCAAGUGAAAUCGAGCUGCCCGGCCUUGUCCGGGAACGUGUUGCUCACUACGGUCUCAACAGCUUCGACGUCGGCGGCAACAGAUUCCCGUGGAGCAAUGGCAUACCCGAGGAAUUUCCGGGGUUGCUCGAAUGUGGCAAUGCGAAUUCUUUGCUCGUCAUUAAUUUUAAAAAAAAACUUUGCUGCGAACAGGAACUCUGAAUACCCACCCAAACGAGAAGAAACAGGUGCACUACUCAAACCGGAUGUUUAAAGAGAGAUCCAACAACAACAAGAAGAAGAAAGAAACUAGACGUAAGGGUAAGGCUGCCUCUCUCUUCUACGGCGAGCUGGAGCUAGGGGAUGCCCCGGCGAUGAUGAUUGGCCAGCUAGACGCCAGAGGGACCUUCACUUCAGGCCACCUUCUUCAACGAGAUGGGCUUCGGCCUGCUAGAGCUUUGUGGAUACAUGAGCCUUCUCGGGCCAUCUAUAGUAAGUUUUAGGAGCAUUUGUGUUUGUACCCUCCUUUGAAGUAUAACUGUGAUUUUACCCUCAUUUUAUUAACUUUGUGAUUUUACCCUCAACUUUUCACAAGUCAAUACGAUUUUACCCCUAAUCAAUAGUCAAAACAGGGGCAAGUACACAAAAACCAAGGGCAAAAUCGCAUUGACUUGUGAAUAGAUGAGGGCAAAAUCAUAAAGUUCAAAAAAUAAGAGUAAAAAUACAAUUGCACUUCAAAGUAGGAGCAAGAUAAAAAAAAACCUAAGUUUUUACCAGUAGGAACAAAUUAGAAAAGUCAACAGUAGCAAGAAAGGGGGCUUUGAAGCAGGAAGAAAUUGUCAGAAUGAAUCCCAUAGCAUUGAACGAUUCAAACUUGUGAGCCUUGCAUAUAAGAUGUCCAAAAAAUGGCAGUCACGAGUCUAAAGAGGUGUUUGGAUACACCCCACUAAAAUUUAGCACAUGUCACAUCAGAUGUUUAGAUGCUAAUUAGGGGUAUUAAACAUAGGCUAAUUACAAAACUAAUUGCAUAGAUGGAGUCUAAUUCGUGAGACGAAUCUAUUAAGCCUAAUUAGUCCAUGAUUUGACAAUGUGGUGCUACAGUAACCAUUUGCUAAUGACGAAUUAAUUAGUCUUAAUAGAUUCAUCUCGCGAAUUGGCACAUGGUUCUGCAAUUAGUUUUAUAAUUAGCUCAUGUUUAGUCCUCCUAAUUAGCAUCCAAACAUCCGAUGUGAUACUGCUAAAGUUUAGCAUCUAGUAUCCAAACACCCGCAGCCAUGGCUCUACUACGCUGAUGUAAUGCUAUCGUUAAGAUCCAAUGCCAUUAGAAGUUGCCGAUAGGAGUAGAAAUGCUGUUUCUGUAAUUGCAAAGAAAUAGUCUGACACUUGUUUUUUAUUGCCAACAUACUAAAACUAUUGGAGAGUUGUACAUAUAGCUGCUAGGUUAACACAUCCAAGAUCUAUUAACUACAUGCUUGAUAAUUGGUUAAUGGGCAUUGAAAUGAAAGAAAGAGGAUGGCUUUUUGCAGGGGCAACAACCUUUUUAUAGGCAACUUGGUACACUCGCAAUGAUCCAAUAUUUGAGGGGGGAAAAAACGGUUUGCCUGCUUUACACAGGCUACCUUCAUAGGUAUAUCAUCAACAAAGCACACAGCACAGCAAAUCAAAUUAUAAAGAAUCAAUUCAGAGACUCAAAUAGGUAAGUGAAACUUAACAAAUCCAAGCAUAUGUUUACAUGUCAAUUAAAGUGCCAGCAGAUUGCCAAAAUGGCAAUAUGGCCAUUACAACGCACUUUCAAUAUUUUUCACAUAAAGCAGCAGAUCGCUAGCUGUGAAGUCAAUAUAUUGCAGCUACAAACAAGUCAUGAGGUAGGCAAGAAGAAAUAUGCAACAGCUAAGGCACUAAGCUAAUAGUCUCACCUAAAAUUCUUUGCUGAUAUAUAAAGCUAGUUAUGUACAGUAAAUUAUUUAACUGGAUCAAGGGUCGAGGACUGGAAGCCUGCAGUAGAAGCUAAUGGACUUGUCUGCCAAUCUAGUUCCCGGGAUGAAGUACUGGAAUACCACUGUUAAGCAAGCACCACCAGGAGCAAUGCCUAUACAAAUAGUGAGAAAAAUGUAAGGAAAAGAGUCUCUGUUGAACACAACAUGUCACUGAGAUUAGAGCUGAAAACAGACCAUAGAAGGUAUAGUCUGGCUUGGCGAAGUGACAGUGUAGACUCUUAACAAGGUGCUUCAUAUUCACUUGCUGCAAGAACAUAGAAAGAAAAGAAAUCAAUGAAAUAGAUGGCACGAAGAGAAGAGUGGGAGAGUAAAAUAAGUGGAGCUCAGGAACAAUACCACUGAAAGUGCUUCCCCUCUCUCAACCGCCAUAUCCAUACGAGUCGAAGCUGUCAGAUUUUGAUCACCAACAGGUGCAUUUGCUGAAAUGCAGAGCAGUAUGGUGCCAACGGAGUUAAAAAAAGAGGCCGGAACAUGAACAAAUCAAUGCUGAUUGAAACUACCCAGUGCCAUAUCUUACCACGAUCGCCAAUAACCCGAAGCUUCCUGAAUUCAGAGCCAACCGUAACAAGAGAAGUGGAAACUUGAAGAUGGAGAUCGCCAUAUUGCGUAACAGCUACUGUUAGUAGAUCACCAACAUUUUUUAGACGAUCCACUAAGCUUUGCAAUUGUGGCAGAUCAGGAACCUGGACUAGAGUCUGCACAAAGGAUACCCGCCAUGUAUCAUCACCCAUUAGGGCUUCUGUCAGCUAAGCAAAAAGGUCACACUAGUGCUACAAGCCUUUGGACUUAUAAUAACAUAAAAAUGAAUAAAUACAGACCCCUCCAAAUUGCAAGAACACUUCCCCCAGGAAAGUGUAGUUGGAUUGUUUAAAGCUUAAAACUGGUUUGCCGAACAUGUAUUAGAGAGUGUAACUCAAUUUCAGCACAAAGAGAGCAUUUAAUUCUGCUGCAAUUUAUUGACAAUUGCUAUUAUAGGUUGCUCUUGUCCAGUACUGCAGGCAAGUGCAUUUUCACAUAUUUUUUAAGAAUAAAUUCCUGGAUCAAACCCCAUUCUAAGAACCAAAAUAUCUUUCAAUGUUUCAACAGGAGAAAUGAGUUCAGAGUUGAAUCCAUUCACUUCAUGAACCAGUCUUUCAACUAGGAACAUGUAUACCAACAAAAGCACGGUAUUAGUUCAUCCAUCCAACAAGAAUAUAAUCCCACUAAAAAUUGCAUAGUCAGAAUCAUUUCCAUUAGGCUCAAUUGUAACUUUGAAUAGUUAAAUUUGGAUCUUAAUUAAUCGGGUGAACCUGAACCAUAGGACCACCUUUUGGUUUCAAUACAUGAUUAUUGAUUAGGAACCAUAAGAUGCUACAUGAACUGAUGAACGCCACACACCUGAGGGAGAUCCUUGGCGGCGUCAAGGGCGGCCUGCAACCGCUCGACGUCGGAGCGUGAGAGAGGCCGCGAGAUGGGCACAUCCUGCACGACGGCCGCGCGGGAGCCCUUGGUCUCGAAGGUGAGGAACGGCGUGGCGGAUCGUGACCCUGCGGGCAGCUUGUUGACGAGCCUCACCUGUAUCGCGGCGGCGCCGGCAGCGUCCCCGGCGGCCGGCGGCUGCGCGUGGACUGCGAGCACGCUGCGGAGCGCGCGGUGAAGCAGCGCGACCUCGACGGAGAAGGCGAUUUGGUUCCCGUUCCGCGAGGACAGGUUGUACUCCCGGAAGAGGAGAUCCUUGGCGAACUGCGCGACGCACUGCGGGCCGCCGCCGUCGGGCCCCGCGGCCGUGGCGCCGAGGAGGUUGUGGAGGAGCAUGGCGUGCGUGGGCGUGAGGAAGACGUGGCAGACGCGCCCCACCUUGUCCAUGGCAGGUAGGAACCCUGCGCGGCAAAAAUCGCGGGGGACGCAUGAGACGUGCUCGACGAAUUGCGGGAGAGAGGGAGGGGGAGAGGGGAGGCUGUGCUUGUGUAAUAUGGCGCUUACGCUUGUCGAGGAGGGAGAUGCCAUCAUCGGUGAAGAAGGCCUUGAACUUCAUGGCUUGCGCUCCGCGACGGCGGUGGCGGCCUCUGCCUUCGUCUUCUCGUUGUGCGGCGAGGGAGUCGCUGUGCUGGGGGCUUGCCGCUGGGGAAUUUGGCGCGGGUUUGGAAAGGCUUCGCGCCCGUAGAAGAGCCGGCGGCGUCGGGCGUGACUGGUGGUCAGUGGGGUUCCUUCUUCGGCACACUUGGGCCCUUUGUUGCUUUUGCGCCGUGGGCUUAACAAUCAUUUCAUACGGGUCUAUUGUGAUUAUGGGCUGGAAUUGUGUGUGCUGAAUCAAGAAUGAAUUUUCCAAUUCGAAGCUAGAAAUCAGCGAAAACACAUUUACUUGAAUAAAAUGAUUUUUUUAGGACUGAGUAAAAUGAUGUUCUGCGUGUUGGUAAAACACAUUUGUUGGUCUUUCUUGCAGGGCGGGAGAGAUUGGCUUGCGAAAUGUGUAGGUUCGUAUUGGUGCAUGCUGCAUAUAUAUUGAACACGAAACGUAGCACAGUCACGGAGCAUUCGUCAAAGUUCAAACUGAGUUAGGUUAUUAAAAACGCAAAAAUUCAGGAAGGAGUUGCUUUUCGUNNNNNNNNNNNNNNNNNNNNNNNNNNNNNNNNNNNNNNNNNNNNNNNNNNNNNNNNNNNNNNNNNNNNNNNNNNNNNNNNNNNNNNNNNNNNNNNNNNNNNNGGCAGGACCUUUUAAAAUCUUUUUUAUUCUUUCGAAUGUUUUUCUUUCAUUUAAAGUGUAGUUGUAUUGUCCGCAUAAAGACCUGGCCACAGAAUUCGUGCAAUUGGUCGGGAAACAAUUAGAUAGAGUGCCCCCACAGAACCAAAUUCAUUUGACGAGAUGGGAACUUUUUUAUUUUUAAAUUUUUUAAAGUUCUUAAUUUUAUUUGUAGGCCAAGAUCCUUUUGCCGGGCCCGGGCCCCAGGGCGCGGUAGUCAAUUUUUCCCGCCCCAGCCCGGCGCUGAUGGGGGGGGGUUGUCGCCCCAAACCAUGGGGGCGCGCAACCCCCCGGGCCGGCAGGGGGUUUAAUUUCUUGGGGGGGUGGGUUUUUCUUUUUCCCCCCAAAAACCCCCUCCCCCCUUCCCCCCCCCCCCCCCCCCGGGAAAGUGGGGGGCAUCGACCCCGCGUUGUUUGGAAGGUAUCCCUACUUUUUUCCGUCUUUUACCGUUCCAUUUAGUAGAUCGGAGGGUGUUUAGGUGAAAUAGGUUUAGGAUUUCAUUUUAAAAUUUUCAUGAUUUGCAAGUUUGUUAUGUAGUAAUGAAUGCUUAGUUUAUACGCAGUCGACUCUCUGCCCACGAGUUUAACAUGUAGAAGUAGUUGCAUGCAUCGAUUUAUAUAGUUGUUGAUGUAUUUGCGUAGUGUGCACGGUAUGUGUAGGUUUAUUUGUCUAAUAUGUUGAAAAUUAAUGUAGUUUAUUAUUGUUGUUUGUAGUAAAUGAGCUAUAUUUGGUAUGUUAGAGUCUUUGUAUUUUUAGAUGGAUCGUUUAGUUCGUAUGUUUCAUGGUGGGAUUGUAAAAGAAAAUAGGGAGUUUGAGAAUACGAUUGAGGUGGUAGAAUUGUUCGAUGCUCGUCCAAGUUUUAAAGAUUUAGUUGACCGUGCAAUGACAAAAUAUGGAUGUGGAGUGGAUGAGAUGACAUUAAGAUGCCAUUUUGAUUGUGGGAAAGCUAGACUUUAUUAUAUUCUCAUGAAUUUGGCAUCCGAGUCUAAUUGGAAGCGGAGGUAGUUGAGCAUGCAACUGUUGUAUAUUUGGAGGUGCUAGUUGAUAUUUGUCGUAGGCCUAGCGCAAAAGUUGCAAGUCCGGUUAGUGGUUGAGAAUGGUACCCAAGAGUCAACAAUCUUACAGCAUGGUUCAGGUGAAACCCAAUCUGAUUUUGGUUUGGCCAUUGCAAAUGAUGGUUUUCCUAAUGAUACUUUUGAGCGGGAAGAAGCAAACAUAGAUGAUGUUGACAUAUAUCUCUAGGUUCGGAACUUUGAGGAGGAGCAUGGGGUAGAAGAUGUUCAGGCCAACGCACAUGAAGAUGUACUAGUCGGAGAUGGACCCGAAUGUGAGGAGGAGUCACAAUCUGAGAAGGAAGGGCCUGAAUCUGAGGAGGAUGGGCCGCAGGUCAACUCUACAAAUGUACAUGAUGUAGAGGACAUUGAUCUUGUGAACGAAUGUUAUUUUUACACUCCUAAUGAGUUGCAGUUGUUGAAGGAAUGUCACGUUGAACUCCCAACCGUUUCCAAUACUAAGGACAUAAGCAUGGUGUUGCCAAUGAAUAGAUCUAACCACAAUAACAACAACUCUUUGAUUCAUCUAUAUUAUUUAUCUACAUUGCAUGCCUCCAACUAAAUCAUUAUCAAGAUCUCAAAUCAAGCAUAUGUUACAUUUUUUAAACGUCAAAUCCAGAGGCAGAACGAUACCUACAAGUGUACCGCGAGUCUGAUCUAUCAACACGAACUUGCAUUAAUUCAACAUCUUACCCUAACCCUAGCCUAACCUAGUUGUUCAAAUAUCUACUAAAUGCAAUGGUAAAAUAAGGAAAAAAGUGGGCAAGAACGCGGGAUCGAUUCCCCACUUUUCCCACCCCAAAACGUAGGAUUCGGGGGGAAUCAGGGGGUGUGGCGGUCGGCGGUGAGGAGAAGGAGCGGCUCGGGCAGGGACAGCAGCCGAAAGAAAGGAGGGAGAGGAAAGGAGAAGGGCACGUGCUGGCCUGGAUGUAGGCGCUGUCGUGCCAAUUCAUGUGACGCGGUAACGCCUCACCCCGUCAGCGCCGCGCUGUCCCACCACUGCAUGUGGCACGGCAGCGGCUAACUACUGCGCCAUGGAGCAGGCGCAACCAAAAGGAUCAAGCGUGCAAAUAAAGUUGGGGAGGAGUUAUUUUUAAAAAUAUCUUUAAAAAGAGUUAAAAAAAAUAUUCAAGAAAUUGACGCCCCACAAUAAUGCGGCCAAAUACUGGAGCGGCUUGCUUCCAAUCAAUAGUCGAACAAUAAGCAACGAGUGAAAGAAAGAGAUAUACAUUGCCAAUGUCACCGCCUGAUUACAUCUGAACAAUGUAUCACCAAACUAGCAAAGAAUCCAAAACGCUGGAAGACUACUCUGAAACAGCAACCUAUCUUGCCAGAACUUCAAACCAGAAACUACCAUUAACACCUAGAGCAUUACUCCUAAACUGCCCAGUAGCAUCGUUAAACAACCGAAGAGCUCGCCGAAACACCGCGACCAUCGGACCGGCCACUGACGGCACUGCCACGCACGCGUUGAACGUGAACAUUGCUAGUUGAACCACGGCGGCUGGGCUCCUGCGACGCCGCCGCCUUCUGCUUGCUCUGCCAUGACUGCUCCGUGACCUGCUCCACCUCGUCACCAUUGUACUGCCAUGACUGCGAGGCCGUCCUGGUCCGGUCCGUGGAGUCGACGGAAUUGGGCUCCCAGGAGCACGUCCAGGCGUUGCCGGCGAAGCUGUUGCUCCCCGCGGACUCCUGCGGCUCGGUCUCCCCGACCCCGCGGAUGUCACGCACCGAGACGUAUUUGUGCAUGCUCGGCUCCAUGAGGUCGUCCUUCACGCCGACCUCCGACUCGACCACGAGGCUGGGGCCUGGACCCUUGCCACCGUACCUCCCGUUGACCGACUCCUUGUCGUUGACCGACCUCUCCAGCUCGAAGCUCUUGUUCUCGGACGAAGAGGAGUUGAGGUCAGCGACGGCUUCAAGGAUCGAGCAGGCCUUCGACACGCACGCCGGGAGAGCGAAGGUCGGCGCGGCAGUGGCAGUGGCGGCGCUGGUGCUCUGCUGGUGGUAGUUUUGGAUGUCCUCGAGGAGCAGGGACGCGUACGAGUUGCCAUUGUGGUCGAAGUCGCGCGAGGACCGCCUCGACGACCGGCUCCCCGGCUUCAGAUUGGUGACGUUCUCGGCCACGAUGCUCACCGAGUGGGUCGCGUUCAUCCUUGCAGACGAAGCCUUUGUGUCCGACGCCACGGCCUCGUCCACAAUCUCCUUCUCCUUCACAGCUCGGCUGCUGGGGAUCUGAUCCUUUGCCCGCUCCACUGUCUUCUGCGGCAAUGCGACGGCAGCAUCGGCGGAUUUCUGCAAAUCAUAUCGAGAAUUUAGCCAUUUAUUAGGUGGGGAACACUGACGGCUAAAAUGAAGAAAAGUUUGAAGCAUUCGUUCAUCCGUACCUUUUGGAGCUUGCCGUUGUUGCCAUUGUUGUGGUGGUGGUUGUUGUCGAGAGCGUUCUCGUCGAGCUCCGCCAUGGGGUUGCGCCGGAAGGGCGACUGCUCGGCCUUCCUCGAGGAGCUCCGGCUCAGGGACGGCCCGUGCGUCGGCUGCACCAGGGCGUUCUCAUUCCCUGCGGCGGCCGCCCUCGCAGGCGAGUUCGACCUCAGCGUCGGCGAUGGGUACCUCUUCCCAGACGACGCAGCCUUCACCGGCGACGGCGCGCGCCCCUUGUCCCUAGCCGGGACCGACACCAUCUUCCCCGGCUGCUGCCGCGCGCCCCGCUCGCCGGUCCCCGAGCUCCCCGCGGCGGGGGCGACGUCCGCGCGCCGCCCCGGCGACCGGCUCACCCUCCCGCUCCGGCUCCCGCUCCCGCCGCCAGUGCGGCCGUCGUGGCUCGCGGACCGCUUCCGGUCCGGCGUCCGGCGGCGCGGGGAGGGCCUGGACACCGCGGCCCCCUCCCUGCCCCAAUCGCACUCGUCGGCGCCGCCCCCGCCCCUCCUCUCGUGGUCGAAGUCGUAGCUCCGCUUGGAUCCGGCGUACCUCCGGUGCCCGCCGCCGUGCUCCCCCGACGGCGCCUUCCCGGACGCCGACGAGCUCCGGCUGAGGCGGCCGCACUGGAUCAGGAUCGCGUCCACCUCCUCCUUGGUGCAGCUCGACGUGCGCACCGGCGCCCGCACCACCGCGACGGGCCUCGGCUCCUCCUCCUCCGGCGCCGCCCGCUUCACCUCCGCCGCCUCCCCGGACCCGGCCUUCGCGGCUGCAGCGACCUCCGCGGCCGCCGCCGCCGCGGCUGCCUUGACGACGAACACCGUCCUCUUGUCGGCUGCCGGCUCCUCCGGCCUUGCUACGGCCUUCUUGGCCGUCGCCGAAGCCGGCGCCUUUGACUGGGGCGCUUUCUUGGCACCGACGACCGGUGCGGCGUCCCUGCCGGAUUUCCGGCUGCCGCUCUUCUUGGCGUCGUUGCACGGCUGCCCGUCUCGCCGCUUCGCGUGCUGCUUCUUGCUGAAACAGAGCCCCAUGGGAUUCAGACGGGGGGGAAUGGACGGAGUCGGGAGCUAGGUAGGGAGGGAGGUGGGUGAGGACUGACGGUGAGCCGAUGCGGUGGUGGUGUUUGGGAGGGGCAGACGGCAGAGCCUUGGGAGGCGUGGAUUGGAGUCUUGCGUUUUUGUGGUGUGCGCGGAGCAGUGGAGAACAGUUUCAACAGAGACAGGAGAGGGGCGGCGGCGAGGGGGAGCGAGAGGGAUUUCAAAUUUCCUGCUGUUUCAUCGGGGUCUGCGCCCACAGCGGCCGCCGCACGACGCGCACACAGGAUAAAGCCGUUGAGCUCUGCGCACGGGAGAGUGAGCACUGAGCACAGUGAAGACGUGUGCCGUACCACACUUGCCACGCUUCUCAGCUUCUGCCUGAUGUAAAAUCUCAACUCUUUUUUGUAAGAAAAAAAGGUAAAAUAUCUGUUAUUGCGUUGUUAAUCAGAAAUGUACACAUUCAAAAUCCUUUUUAGAAGGUUUCACUACUUUCCUGUCACCACUGUCUAGUGUCUACUAUCACUUGUAGAUUCAGCUCGACAUCCGCUGCAAUCACUGGCUGACAUGACCCCAGGCACGUGUUCGCGUAACGCACUCUGGGUUGGGAGAGACGGUAGACGGAGACGGAGACGGACGGACUAAUAGCUAGAUUCAAAUUGGAGGAGCAGUGCAGGUGCAGGAGAGCUGGAGAGGGACUGUUGAGCUUUUCGCAUUGUUUAUAUUUUUUUAACCCAAAAGAACCGACCGUUGCAGGGGUCAGCAGAGCUGAGCGUAGGAUUGGCAUCUGUCUACACCUCGCAUCACAUCAUCCUAUUGCAUUGGCUCGAGGCCGGAUCAUGUUUUGAGGUUAAUUAGAAAGAUUAAAUAAUAAAAAUAAUUACAUAAAUGAGGGUUAAUUCGUGAGAUGAAUUUAUUAAGCCUAAUUAGGGUCUGUUUGGAUACACUGCGUUAAAAUUUAACAAGUGUUAAAGUUUUAACACUCUCAAAUAGAGUGCUAAAGUUUAACACAUUGGGGUGUUUGGAUGAUAUGUUAAACUUUAACAUCUUUGGUGGAAAAUGACUCCAUUGCCCCCUCAUUUAUGGCCGGCGGAGAGAGAGGGAGGAGAGAGAAGGGGUAAUCUGGGAAAAAGUGGAGAGGGGACCACUUUUAACACCUUUAGCAAGUUUUAACACCUCCUUGAUGUGUUUAUGAAAAAUGGGGUGUUAAACUUUAACACCCCACUUUUAACACAAAUGUUUGGAUAGGAAAGUGUUAAAAAGUGUUAAAAGUAGGGUGUUAAACUUUAACACCUCCUUCCCAAAUAGGGCCUUAAUUCAUGAUUAGCACAUAUUUAUUGUAGCAUCACAUGUUUACUCCGCAUGAAGAGCAUCCAGUAUCCAAUUUCUUUUUUGACGAAUUCACGUGAUAGCAGAUAAGAUUUGUUCAAGCCUUGCAGAGGUGACACCCUUGAUUCUUUGACGCAACACUUUCUUUGUCAACGUAGGAGGGAAGGGAAGCUUGGACCACAUCCAAUGAUGAUGGUAUUGAUGUCAUGGUGAUCCUAUCUUGGACCUUGCAUAGUACAGAUGAGAGUCACUCUUUGCGUAUUGAGAUUGUGGAGUAGUAUUUCAUUAGUCAUUAGAGAUUUUAAGGGCCAGUUUGGUAGGGCUCACUCCGGCUCCAGCCGUGACUUCUGCUAGAGCCCUCCCAAAGGGCAGCGCACGAAAUGGCUCCACGAGCGAAGCACCCAGAGUCGGGGCCCUUUUUGUACCGGCGGGGAGGAGCCAAAAAUAGUGGCUCCUCCUGUCUCCCAAGUACUAAAGGCCGAUGGUACCCUCGGCGUGGAGUGGCGGGGAGCAAGGUAGAGGGCAGGUUGGCACGAACAACUAAUGAGAUGCGGUGGUGCAAAAGAGAAGGGGAACGACGAAGCUAAUGGCGAAGAAAGGGUGAUAUGGGGCCUACCAGUAGGGAACACCUGUGGCGGGGUGGAGAAAUAGUGACAUGGAGCCGCUGCAGCCAUGGAACUGUCGUCUCCCACCAAUUUGCCGUCCAUAAGGUCGCCUGCCAUGCCACCAAUGCCAUGGGGCCACGAGCCUACGGAGGAGAGGAGGAUGGGCGGGAGGAAGAGGAAGGAGAGGUGGAGGACUAGCAAUUGCAUCUUUGGCAUGCCGUGGCUGCAUCCAUGAUGCAGGAAGAAGGGAAUCUGUGAGGACGGAAUUGAGCGACGUGGCGGCAUGCGGAGAAGGCAGCGUUGCGACCUCACUCAUGGAGAAGAUAAGGAAGUAGGAACAGAUAAGGUGGAGAAAAGAAAGGAGAGAAAAAAGAGAGAGAAAAGGAGAGAAAAAAGAAGGGUCACCCGUGUGUCUUUUGGGCCUAAAGCUCAUAAUUACCGUGUAAAGCCUGUUAAACAAUUAUUUGUUAAUCUAGAAUUUAUAUUCAAUGCUUUUUUAAUUUAUAUGAAAUUGCAUUAUAAAAUGAGGGCUACUAUUUGUACAACCAAGUCAAGUAUGCAAGGUACAUUCGACAUUUCAUCUCUUCAUCUACUCAUGAAAACAUAGGUCAAAUGUUUUUCAAAAUGACUUCAGCUCCACUAGAGAAGUCGCUCCACCAAAGAAGCCAGAACCGGAGCUGUUUUUGGAAAAGCCGAAGCCUUGCCAAACAGGCUCUAAUAGUUGAAAUCACCUAGAUCUUUUCAAAAAAAAAAUCACCUACAUCUAAAGCUCAUAAGACCCUGUUUGGAUAGGGGUGUUAAAAUUGAACACCCUACUUUUAACACAUUUUUAUCAUAUUAUCUCCCAAACACAUGUGUUAAAAGGGAUGUGUUAAAGUUUAACACCCCCAAUUUCAUAAACACCUCAAGGGGGUGUUAAAAGUUGUUAAACUUGUUAAAAGUGGUCCCCGUCUCCACUUUUCCCAUUGCCCCCUUCUCUAUCCUCCCUCUCUCUUCGUCGGCCAUAAAUGAGGGAGCAAUGGAGUCAUUUCUCACUGAAGGUGUUAAAGUUUAACACACCAUCCAAACACCCCAAUAUGUUAAACUUUAGCACUCCAUUUGAGCAUGGGGUAUCCAAACAAGCCCUAAAUACGCCAUAUGGCUUAAGAAAGAGCAGAUGCUCAUAAAUACAAAACGGUUGUAUGUGAAUCAUUUCUCAUUUCUUAAGGCGGAAGAGGUAUUUCCACGCUCAAACUUCCCCAAGGCUCAAUUUCAAUCAUUAACUAUCACAUUUUUUUAAAGAUGUGCAUAGCAUGUUUUUCAUUAAGAAAGAGAGAAGUACAACGACGCAACUUCAGGAGAAACCCCAAAUGCAGAGUUACAAGAGACACCACCGGCGACAAACAAUACAAACACGACAACAGAAAAGAAAAAACACCUCACCACCACGACACUGAACACGACCAAGACGACUGAAGCCAACAGGAGAGAUGGACACGCACAUCACCGAUUACCUAACAACUCGGAGCUAGCGGAGGUCGAGUGAGGAGGUCAUGGAAGAUGAUGCCUCCAAGAAGGGAGCGACGCCAACGCCGCCAUCGUCCGUCUGUCCACAGAGGAGUAGACCAAGUUUUCACCUGACAAUUCCACACAGCAUACAGCCAAGGUCUGGAUGAGAGCCAAUGCGAUGGUAUGGCAGCGAGUAAUCCAUGGCGACGACGAUGAGGAUCAUCCGCAGGCACAGCCAAAGAUGACCAAGGAGCGACCAUGCGGCGACCCAAAGACGACCAGUAGGCGAUGGGCGGCGCUAGCAAGAAAAGGCGACCUAGAUUCGUGGCAGACGACCACAAGCAGAAGAACAGAGAACCCCACUCACCCCACAACAACAUCCCUAACUAAUGGGGCGGCCAAAACAACUGAAAAUUACGACCCAAACAACUGACAACCUGUAAGAUUACAAAGAAACAUUGCCUACAGAACUGCCAAACCAAGGUCACCCGAAGUAGUUUAGAGGAGGGAUAUGCAAGACCACGCCUCCAGGGAGGGAACGGUGUCAAAGAUGUAACCAUCGUCCGUCCAUUCAAGAAAAAAUGGACCAAGCUUUCACUUGGUGUAACCAAAGUGUUGUGGAUGACCUCGACAGUGCCCCCAACAGAGUGAGCUACACCCACGGAUGUAGCCACUGCCGGCACCGGAUAACACCGAGCAGAGCUUUCGCUCGCGACAUCCACAGCCAAGCACCGAAAACACAUCUUCGGAGACCUAAGGUUCGGGAAGAGGGCAGCCUGACAAAGGUGGCAGACCAACGCGAAGCCGUUAAUAGAAGAGCACAUGCAGGCGUAGAUGAAGCCCUCCCCCACCCAGCAACACUCGAUGACAACGAUCGGGGAUGACCCGUAGCGGGACGGCCGCCAUGGGAGGCGGCGGCACCCUGAAGGAACAUGGGGAGGACAAAGAUGCAUUCUCCCAACCCUACCAACGAAGAAGACGGCUAGCAGAGGCAUGGCCCCACGAGCGACCACCAUCGGCAACUAAGAGUGGGCGACGGAUUCGGACGGCGACCUUGGGGAUUGGGUACGGUGGGGUGAGGGAGGAGGAGGGAAGGGAAGGGAAGAAGAGAGAGGAGCGCGUGCGGCCUGCUGGCCAGAGGCAGGUGGCAGUGGCAACAACAGGAGGCAACGAAGGUGAGGGUAAGGCCACCCGAAGUGGACACUGCCGCCACCAUAGGCCGCCUUGCUCGGGAAGUAGCAAUGCGGAGGUGACAUCGUUGACAAGGAGCGACCAUCGGAGAAAGGAGCGACCUUUGCGACCUGGGCCAACCUUUGCGACCUGGGCCGACUGGGGGCAGUAGACUGGCGUCAGCUUGGCGUAGUCAUUCCCGGCUGCGGCGUCUUCGGCGUGUCGUCAUUGUAGCUACGCCGGCACGGUGUCCUCGUCCUCACGGCCGUUGUUGUCGUUGGCAGCGCCCCGGCGUGCGGCCGCCGCAGACCACGUUGCCGCCGCCACAGACCACGCUGCCGCCGCUGUAUGCCGCUGCCCACUGCGGACGCUGACGGCCGUGUGAUUACACCACCGCAAUCGCCCAGGCCCGGUACCCCGCCGCCGAGGCCCCAAGACCCCGUACCCGCAGGGGCGCCGCAGCUGGGCGCGCGGGCCGUCGGACACCGCCCAACGCUGCCGCCCGUCGCGCUCGCCACCGACGACGCCGGUGCCGGCAACCUCCAAACACGGCACCGGGAGACCGCGCCACCGGGCAGGAGCCAGUAGAUGCUCAGCACAGCGAGCCUGUCGGUGAGGGUGGCGGCCAGCGCCAGCGGCCGCCGCAGCCGCUGCUCCAUGCGCCAGAUCCAGAAAUUUGGGGCUUGAUUUCGUUCCUCAUAGUCAUACCCAGUGUCACAUUGUCGCGCGCUGUGUGUGGGAACUGGGAACCCUGCUCGAGAUACAUAGCUGCAAAUAGUAUUUCCUGAGGAUUGAAAAGACUGAGAAAGGAAUCAUAGGUAUCUUUCAAUCUUUGCGUUCUAAUGGAAUCCCUGGUUCUCAAAAGCAUCAGCAGAAUGCUGCUGAGUAAAACUGAGGAAAACGAAGGAGGGGUUACACAAAAAAAUGGACUGCUUUUUCUCAUCAAAGAAACAAAGCAAAAGCUGAUUGCAUAACUCCUCACGGUUCUGCUGGGGUGGCCUCGCCGUGGCUAGUUCUUUUUCGAGAGUGAAUUCCCUCGGUGCCAUAAAAAUUAACAUCAAUCCCUUCAGUGUCAUAGAUUUUUACGAAUUUUCUUCGGUGCCAUCGAAAUUUUGAUUUAUGCACUCAGUAUCAUUCCGUCUAUCUUCCCAUCCAUAUGCUGCUAAGUGUGAUUGGAAAAGAUGAUCUUACCCCUCCUAAGUGAGGCCCCACCUGUCGGUGCUCCUCUCAAUAUCCUGUCUUUCUUCUCUUUCUCUUCUGCCCGGUGCUCCUCCACGCCGCUCCAUCCUCCGGCCUGCCAUGGAGCUCCUCACCACCGGCACCUCCGUCCCGCCCCUGAGGUCGCGCCACCUCGAAGCUACUCCGCCCGGCCCGCAGCCGCCUCCCCGCUACGCCGGCCGCUGCAUCCACACCGCUCCUGCACGGGCAUAUUCGCUCGCGCCACGCCAGCCAGCCGCCCCCAUGCCGCGCACUGCAAGCCGCCAUCGUCCGCCCCUGGCUCGGCUCGGCUUGGCUGGCGGGAAGGCGGGGCGCAAUACGGCGCUCAGGCCGGGAUGGCUCGGGCGGCCGGGGACAGGUCGGCGCCAUGGGCGCCAUGGCCGGCACUCGGGCAGGUGGAGGGCGGGGCUGUGGCGUGGGGAAAGGGCGCAGGUGGUGGGGGAGAGCUGCUGCGCGCGUUCGGAGUGCGGCUCAGGGGAGGGGCCGGGGAGAGGAUGGGGGGCGGCCGCAGGUCGAGCAGCUCCAGGGGCCGGUUGCCAUGGCCAGAAUGGCCGGGAUUCGAUGUGGGGCGCGUGGGUGCUGGCCGGCGGCCAAGGUAGGCGGCUGGGGGAGGAAGGCAGGGGCUCGCACAGCUGCGGGAAAGGGGGAAAGGGUGGUCGCCGGGGUUGGGCUGGGCAGAUAGGCGGCGGUAGCGUUUAGGCCGAUCGGCCAUGGCCGCGAGGAGGAGGCCGGGCGGCGCGUCGCUGCAGCGCGCGAGGCGCACGAGGCAGGGCCGGGGACGGGCAGGGGCGCACGGGGAGCCGAGAGUGGGGUGCGCUCAAACGCGAGGAAGGGGGAGGGGAUGGCGCAGAUGGCUCACCAUGGCUGGAUGGGGAAGAAAGAUGGGGGAUACAUCAAAAUUUCAAUGGCGCUGAGGGAAGUUCGCAGAAAUCUGUGGCACUGAGAGGAUUGACGUUAAUUUUUUAACACGGAGGGAAUUCACUCUUCUUUUUCUCAUCAAAGAAACGCAAAGUUGAUAUGAGACCCUCACCAUGUCACUAAUAUGGAAGGAUGGCAAUGGGGUAGGUUCGGAUUGGGUGGAGUGUCUGGGCACCCAAAACCGAAACCUGAAUCCGCCCCAAACACCGAUUCGGGUGAAAAUCCAUCCCGAAACCGAAACCCGCGGAUCCCCGAAACCUGCGAACUGGAGGCGCCGGGUGAAGUGGCGGAGGAGCCGGCGGGCAGCGGGUGGCGGAGGAGCGGGUGGUGGGGCGGAGCGAGCGGCGGAGGAGCGGGCGGUGGGGCGGAGCGAGCGGCGGAGGAGUGGGCUACGGGGCGGAGGAGCAGGAGGCGGGCGCGGCUGGUCGCGGGAGGGCGGGGUGCCUAGGUGCGGGACGACACGACGGAGUGAAGGAUUUCAGGCUUAUAUACCUAGGAUAACCCUAGGUGGACUUCUAGUGGGCUGAAUGUUUCGGGGUCCGAUGGAGCUUCACGGGAGAGUUUAAGAAUCACCCCAAACCCAUAGUAUUUGUAUCCGAAUCCGCAAAUCCGUGGACGAAAACUAGAAACAAAAACCGAACCCGCGGACCUGAAACCCGCAUCCUUACUAAUCUGUUCGCACUCCCACCACUGGAUGGUUCAUGACUCCACCAUGUCAACAACAUUAAAUGGUAUUGUACAGACACUUGCAGUAAGCUGAGUAUAGUAAAAAACCCAUGUUUGGAUCAGAUUCUUUGGAAGGUCUUGACACAAUUCCAUGAUUUAGACAAAUGAGCAGGUUCCAUGCCAAGUAAUGGACAAGUUGGACUGGUUAACUAAAUUCAUCCGAGAAGAAGAAUGUGGUAAUUCUCACAGGAACCAAAUAGAAUUUUAGAAAGAAAUAAUUCCCUAGUCCUCCAUUUGUCGCAUUGUCUGUCACAAUCAGUCAUUCAUGUGAAGUUGCCUAUACAGAAUAGCAGAAAAGCACCCAAAAUAAAAAAAAAAUAUCGAUGGCACAAACACAACCUUACAACUAUAGGAGUAUUCACCAGUCUAUAUAAGCGAACAUUCCAAAGGGAAUCCAGUAUACGAUACAGAAUGAAUCUGAUAGUUAUGCUAAGGUUCAAAAAUCAAAAUCACAUGGUAACAAGAAGUUCCUAAAUAUUUUGAAAUGACUGAAACAUGUGAAUUUCAACAUUUUCAACACACGCAGAAAUUUCCUUUACCAAAGCUGAAGGGUUCUGAAAAGAAUUCAUUUCCAUGAUCUAUCAACCAAAGCAUAUAUGGAUUCUGGACAAGCAGAAUUGUUUACUGAAAUUUCCUUUACCAAAGCUGAAGGGUUCUGAAAAGAAUUCAUUUCCAUGAUCUAUCAACCAAAGCAUAUAUGGAUUCUGGACAAGCAGAAUUGUUUACUGGCAGUUUUCCGGAGCAAUAUAAGGCCUUGUUUAGUUGGGGAAUUUGGGAGGUGCCAAAUUACUGUUACAGCACUGUAGCACACUGUAGCGUUUCGUUUGUAUUUGUGAAUUAUUGUCCAAAUAUUGACUAAUUAGGCUCAAAAGAUUCGUCUCGCAAAAUACAACAAAACUGUGCAAUUAGUUUUUAAUUUCAUCUACAUUUAGUACUCCAUGCAUGUACCGCAAGUUUGAUGUGAUGGGGAAUCUUCUUUUUGCAUAGUGUCAAAGUUGGGAGUUGGGAGUAACUAAACAUGGCCUAAACCUAAAUUUAUAAAUCAGGGAUCCUCUGACCAAUAAAACAGAUAGAAAAUACUAAAGGAAUUCAAUGGUAAUUAUCAAGUACAUAGGAAUUUAUAGAUAAUUCCAAAAAAAAUAACCUACAUGAGCAGAUUUUAGUAUUCAGAUUGAAACAUACUCGAAUAAGACUUAUAGACACUAUGUAAUGUAAUAUUCAUUAGUGAUUGGAUCCUAAAUCUAGAAAAAUUCUUGCCUCGCAUGACAAUGGCGCAAUAUCUACAAGAAGAAAUUGUUAUAGCUCUUAAACAUGUAAUAUCAAGCAUAGCAACUGUGCCAACUGGAACACCCUCUCCAUCAAGCUAAUGUGCCUAGCACACUCAUGCUCAGUAUAGCAUGAGCAAGGAUCAAGAAGCAAAAGCAAAUCCAAGAGGAACUACCAACAUCUAUAGAAAAAAGAGUUGAUCGAUUCGUCAGUUCAUUAGGAGUUCCAGAGCACUAAACUAAAAUCAGUUUGAUAUACAGCAAAGACAAAGGUAAAAUCAUAAAAGCAUUAUAUGCCACUUACCACAGUAUAGCACCCUCCUGCUAGUAUUAACAUUUUCUCUUAACAAUCAAUAUAACAAAAAUGCUGAACACAGUCAGUAAUAGAUUUGUCAGUUCAAUUACUUUGGAUCAUAGAGUACCAACAUUCAAUUAAUUCGUCACAUCUAAAAAAGGACUGCUUUUCUCAUCAAAGAAACAAAGCAAAAGCUGGCCGCAUGACUCAUACUUCAUGGUUCUGCCACAGCAGAGCCUCACCGUGGCUUGGUACUUCUCCCAUCAAAGAAACAAAGCAAAGCUGAUUUGAGACCCUCAUCACCAUGUCACCAAUCUGUUCUCACUCCCAGCACUGGAUGGUUCAUGACUCCACCACCAUGUCAAUGACAUUAAGAAUUUACCCCCAGAAAUAUCUGUGGCAAAUGAUUGAAAGCUUUCAGGUUUUUUCUAAAACCUGUGUAAGUUUGUCUUGGGUUCUAUACCUUUUUCCUUCUUAAUAUAUUGAUACGCAGCUCUCCUGCAUGUUAGAAUUUUUUUUUUUUUACCUUGCCCCCCAGCCCACACCCACCCACCCACAAAAAGCAAAAGCGUGACAUAUUAUAUGAAUGGUUCUUAUAAAGUAGAAUGGGCAAAACAAAUGUUGCCAUAUAGAUGCUUGCAGCACGCUGUAAAAUUAGAGUAGAAAACUAGGUUUGGGUCAGAUAUUCUGAAAUGAAUUUGACAAAUGACCAGGCUCCAUGUCAAUAGGCUAGUAAUGUGCAAGUUGGACUGAUUAACUUAACUCAUCCGAAAAUAAAUAUGGUAAUCAUGUCAGCAUGCACUUCGAAUAGAGUGAAACACCAUGUUAAGUUCACAUAUCCAUGGACAAGUCUUAAGCUGCUGACAGACACAGUUGAAGGACUGAAAACGAUUAGACACCUGAGUUAGUUCUCAUAGGAACCAAAUAGAAUUUUUAGAAAGAGAUAAUUCCUUGUUCUCUAUUUGUCUCAUUGUCUGUCAUACUCACAAUCAUCCAUGUUAAGUUGCCUAUACAGAAUAACAGAAGAGCACCCGAAAUUAAAAGUAUAGAUGGCACCAACACAGCCUUACAACUAGAGUGUUAAGCAGUUACAUAAGCAGAGACCGAUAAACCUAUGAAAUUGAUAUGGAAUCCAUCAUACAAUACAGAACAAAUCUGAUCGCCAUGCUAAGGUUCAAAAACCACAACCACAUGGUACCAAAAAGUUCCUAAAUAUAUUUUAGAAUAAUUGAAACAAGUGAAUUUUGUCAUUUUUACACAAGCAGGAAUUCCCUUUUGCAAAGCCAAAGGGUUCAGAAAUGAAUUCAUUUCCGACCUAUCAACCAAAGCAUAUCUGGGCAAGUACUAUGCAUCACAGAAUUGAUUGCUGGCAGCUUCCAGUGCAAUAUAAACCUAAAUAAAUAGAUACCAGAUAAAAAAAAACUCGACCUGCGGGGGGUAAGAUAGCCCCCGGGUUUUUUGCUAAGAAGGCCUUCUCAGGCAGGCCGAGAAAACCCCCGAACCUCUGCCCCACCCUUACACAAGGGCCCGUAACCCUUGUGAGACUACCACUGGGCUGGCGAUUACUGCAACUACCCCAGGUAGGAGGGCCCAAACCAACCACAGCUACGACCUGGGCCGGGCCUUAAUUCAGCUAGAGACCCUUUCACAUAGAUACCAGAUAUUCAAUGACCAAUAGAACACAACAUCAUAGAAGAGAGCAAUAAGCUAACUCAGAGCUAGAAAAUGAUAAGGGAAUUAGCUGGUAAUUAUCAAGUACAUAGGAACUUUCAGAUGAUUCCAAGAAUGGCCUACAGGAGCAGAUUUUGAGACACGACAUAAUGUAAUAUUCAUUUGCGUCAGAUAAGAAAUCAAGAAAAACCUUGCCUUCCAUGAUAAAGUUGCAAUCUAGAACAGAAUAUUGUUAUAGGUCCAAGAUAUUUAAUAUCAAAAAUAGUAACUGUGCCAACUUCACCAAUCUAAUGUGCCUAGUACACCCAUGCUCGUAUAGGCUGACCAAGGAUCAAGAAGCACAUGCAAAUAAAUCCAAGAGGAAUUGCCAACGUCUAUAAUAAGUGUUGAUGUAUCCACCAGUUCAUUAGAAGCUCCAUAGCACAGAACUAUAAUCAGUUUGGCAUAUAGCAAACACAGAGGUAAAAUCAUAAAGACAUGAUAUGUCAACUUUGCUCUGCGCUGAGUAAAUGAUUUUAGAAGACAAUUACAUAAAUGGCCCCUAUCCAAUUAACAGAAACCAGCAUGCCAAUAACAGUUACAUAAAAAAUAUGCAGAGUUUUCUUAUUUACUGACUUGCCUUCUGUUGUUGUAUAUCUUGAAAGAAUACCCACCACCAAUGUCGUAGCAGCAAUGAAGGAAAUCAAGAAACACCUGAAGAGUAGACUUACAAGUAGAUGCAGCUAAAUUUCAGAACAGAGCUGUUAUGCUGAUAACUUUCGACCAUCCUUAUUCAAUUUGCAUAACUAUCAGCAGACAUGUUGGCUUCUUACUUUACUUUGAAAAAGUAGGCCCCUCUGAGCCAUGAUCAAGCUUAUUCGAUCAUCAAACAGAUUUAACUACUUUCCAUCAUAUACCACAGUACCACACUCCUAGCAGUAACAUUUUGUCUUAAAAGUCAUCAAUAGAACAAAAUUCUGAACACAAUCAGUAACAGAUAUGUCAUUUUAAUCACUUUGGAUCACAAAGUACAACAUUCAAACAAUUCGUCACAUCUGAAAAAAAAAUCGAUGCUGUAGAGGAGAGGGGAGAAGCACACCGCAUACAAGUAAACAAAGAGCAACUUACUUGUAAAGUUGCAAUCUCUUACACCCUCGACGGCCUCCUCUCUCAAAGACUAGAUAGUAUACAGAUGCCUCAGUCGCCGCUGGGAGCGCGUUAUUCUGUAACCAAGAGCUCUACUCGUCUCCGACGAUCUCGAACUCUCGCUCGCGGAGGUGGGCGAUGAACCGUACGGGCUUGUCCUGGCCGUCCAGAUUGAGCUCGAACUCCACCUUGAAGGGGAGAUUAGCCGUGACCCGCUUGCCCUUCCACACGCCGACGUACUGCUUGACUACGCCCUCCAUGCCGCGCAGGUCCAGUCCCGGCGCCUUGGCAACGUGGUGGACGCGGACAGGCGCCGUGACGCGCACGCGCUUCCCGACCUUGGGCGCGGCCGCGGCCUGCUCGGCGGCCACGUCAGGCGACGAGAACACGUCGCUGCCGACGGCCACCCGGGGCGCGAUGUGGAGGCGCGCGCGCCACCGCGGCGGCGUGGGGACGAGGCGGCAGCGGGCGGGCGUGGAGGCCGGAGGGAGGAAGCGGCGGCGGGGGAGGAGGGUAGCUGACGAUGUGGAGGUGGAGGGGGAUGCCACGGCGCUGGCGGUGGCCGCCGUGGUUGGCAUCGGGGACGGGGAGGUUGGUAGGCGAGUGGGGAAUUUCAUCGAUCAGGCGGUGUGCACGUGAUGGAAGCAGAGAUGCGGGGGAGGAAAGCGAAUGGCGUGAAAUCCCAGCGAAAUGGCUUUUGUUUCCUCCCGGAAAGAAGGGCUGCCGACCCACGGGCAUCCCAAGGGCCGAGACCAGCCAACUUUGGCACUUGGGAUCUGUCUGCGUAUAUUUUCCCUUCAAUGCACAAUCACGUACUUCCUCUUUCUUAAAAUACAUGACAUGUUGACUUUUUCUUUUGAAAUUUUGAUUAAUAAUAUUUAUUUAAUUAAUUAGUUAAAUAACUUAAAAUGAGUACCAUCUAUAUCAUCAAAAGUGCUUUAAUUUUAAUUUGUAGAUCCAUUUAUUUGCAUAAUCAUCUGUAAAAAAAGAUGAAAAUCCAAAUGAACUAAAAAAAGCCAAUAGUAUCAUAUAUUUAAAAGCGGAGAUAGUACAUUGAAAACUGAAACACAUGUUUUGUGGCAACAACUUUUAAUAGCUAAAUUUAACUUGAUGGACCAUAAAAUUUUCUUCGAGCAUUUCAGCUUCUUUGUUGUUUCAGUAAACAAAAUGACUGAAUGAGAAUUUUAGUAGAACACAAGUACCUGAUUUUUUUCAUUGUUUUAUUAUCAUUUCUUGAAGUAAGAGCAAUUUCAUUCUUCUCUUUGACCGGCUGUUCUAUCUCCAAAUGGGUGCCAUAUAAAUCUGAGAAACGUUUAGUUCGAAUAUAGUUGGCUUAAGGCUAUUAGGGAUAGACUAAACCCCCAAGACAAACCAUCACAGUCUUUCUCUUAAACUUGGUUGGAUCUACCGUUUUAUCACUACCAGGAUUCGCUAAACACGUUUUAGACCCUAACAACUAAAUCCUUGUUUGUCUACGACAGGAUAAAGCCAGCAUAACAAGAAAAUAGUUUUGCUAAUAGCAACAUUCACCUAAACACUAAACGGUAAUCAUUCGGUCACCCUUUGAGUAGGGCGUUGUGUACACAGGCUACACGUCUUCUAAGAUUGCAAUAAAAUUCAUACUUAUCCAAAUAAAAAUUAGAAAUUUUGAUAUUUCAUCAUCCAAAUAUAAAAAAUUACUAAGCUUAAAAGUCAAAUUGACUAAAGAUCUAAUCAUAUGUUGGUGUUACUAAUUGACAGUUCUAAAAUCAAACAACAAAUGCCAUAUUGAUAUACAAUUAGUUGUAGUUCAUACUUUUCUAUUGCCUAGACGUUGUUUAAAAUGGUCUACUCGCCGUGUAAAAUUGUGUAAUCACCGUUUCGUGUACGUGUAUGACAUUUUUUUACCAUGUAAACGGUUGAACUGUGUAAUCACCGAUUAAGUCCUAAACUGCACUGUUGGCUAUCGAGUAACGUUUACACGGCGUGCAAACAGCACCACGAUCGUGUAGGCGAACACCGGCUAAUAGUCAAAAUACGAGUAUUAUGAAAAACUGCUCCUACUCGACUUUUGACAAAAUCAGUUUUCCGUGGGGCUUCUUCUUAGCAAACUAUACAAGCCGGAUGCCAACGUUACAACGUUGUAUGUUGGCUCAACCAAACAUUGGAUAAGCUGAAUGUUGUUUUUGCUUAGCGCAAGCCAAACAUGAUGGACUACUAAAAAAACCUACUUUUUGAAAAUGAAUUCCUAAUCCAAACAAGGCCUGUGGAGCAGAUAUUUGUUUGGGCCUGAAUCUAUUGACAGCCCAGUCCUUCCCAUCUUAAACUUGUUUGGGUACAGCCCAUGAUUCACUCGGCAAACUCGCCAGCGGCCACACACAGCCGGGCGGGCAGGGAGAUGCAAGAACUCCAGUCUCCAGUCAAGCCUACACCCAGUUUAAAUUCGUAAUGGGCCGCCUAGCCUACAAACAACAUCGACUGAGGUCUCUCUCUCUCUCUCUCUCUCUCUCUCUCUCUCUCUCUCUCUCUCUCUCUCUCUCUCUCUCCCUCCCUCCCUCCCUCCCUCUCUCCCUCUCCCUCUCUCUCUCUCUCACAAAAUCUGAGAUUCUGAUGUCCCUUUUUGACUCUCCAGAAUAUGCAGGAGGUUUGCUGAUGCUGAGCACUGAGCUUAAAUUCGUUUCCACUAUUAGAUCUUGUAAUACGGUUGCACAUGUUUGUUCGAAGCCAAAAUAUGUGGUAGAUUGAAAAGGGCCAAGUGGAUGCCUUUUGGCCUAGAUAUCCAUUGUUUGAAGAUGCUUGAUCUAAAGAAAAGCUUCUUUUGGAUGUUAAAACGGCAAGGGCUGCCAAAUGCCUUGCCUUGUAUGUUAUGCAUGCGCUAAAAUUAUAUUCAUGCUCGUCUAGCUUAUCAAGAGUUAUCAUCAAACCACACCUCACCACCGAAAGUCGAUCCAGUGCCACGAGCUUCAGUAUUUAUCUGUUACACAAUGGUGAACCCUAAACCAAAAUCUUGCGCACAUCGGACCUUCCGCCAAGGAUUUCGUCAGGGUUGGAGAAGAAGAGCCAAGCAUGAAUCAACAAAGAAUGAGUGUGGUAAAAUAUUCUGACACUGAAGGGGAGAUAAAAAUGCCGGUCAAGACUUAGCUUUUCCCCUAGUUUUUGCUUCGCGGCUAUGAUGUCUCAUGGAGUUCUGUGGAGGCCGAAGAAAGGUCAAACAGGCGUCCAUGCUCAUGCUGGAACGAACUGCUCGAUCAUAUAAAAGGGUAAUUUGACGUUUACAUUGCCUUAAUAAAAAUUUUACAAUCAUAAUUCGCGUCUUUAUGGGACAAGAGCAUUGAGAUAAUUAAGUUCAAGAAGGCCGGAAUAUCCCCUCUACAUGUAAGAAGGUUAAGAACUAUGAACAUCGUUACAGCAAUCACAAAACGUGCAUGCACGCACACACUUGAUGCCUGACAUUUCCAAAGCAAUGCAUGGUCAAGGUACAUGAAAAUAAAUCAGAGCACAACAUACACACACAUAUUAAGCUGCUAAACCCAUUUUUACUAACACUAAGAAUCCGCAGCUGAUGAAUCAGUGACCGAACCCAUCUCGCAUGAAACAGUAACAUAAUGUUGCAAACAAACUGAAGAACACUUCCAAGAGUCUAAGAAAUAUCUAAAACACAUGAGUCAUCUGUAGAGGAUGCAUGCUGUUGCACAUCAUGGGAGAGAGAAAUUGACAGGUAGCCCUAGCAGCUGACCUAAAAAUUGCAGCCUAGAGCAGGGUUUCCUGGUGGGUUUCAGAAGAAGUGUUUGAGGAAGAAAAGGCAUGGGUGAAUGGUUCAUGAAUGCUGCUGUGAAAUGAAUCUGUGUGAUGCCGCAAGUUGUCUUUAAAACCUGAACCUGCGUGCAUCUCUAUCCUAGCUAGUGUUAUUACUGCCGUGCAGAUGAAACAAUGGGAUCAGCAAGAUAUCAGGGUGUGCUGUUUAGUCCAUGAAGGAAGGAGAAUGGGGAGACUGCGAGUGAAGUGGGGAAGAAGAAGAAGCAGGUGUUACCGGGACGUGAUCGCAUGACAUGUCCGUCCCGGCUGCCGCUGCCGCUGUGGUUUCUUGUGCGGUGGAGUGCUCCAUGGUGGCCUCAUCGCCGGCGAAGCGACCAUGGAGAAAGAGGCCUGGGUUGCUGUCCAUGUCGUAGUCCCAGAAGGAACUUCCUGGCCCCCACGCGUUGAACCAAGCCUCGUCGGCCGGACCCCACUCGCUGCCAUGAGCCACCGGCGCGUGAAUCAUUUCACCCGAGACUGGCAUGGUUUUAGAGCUGACAUCUUGCUGCCACGAUGUCGCCACCGGAGGCUGUGGCUGCUUGUCCAACGAUCCUUCUGCGUGCGGCGGUGGCGUUUGUUGUGUGCUUGCCUCGUCCGGAGUCUGUGGAGGCGACGAGGAGGAGGAGGAGCCAGACCCCGCGGCAGUGGUCGGGGCGGCUGCGGAGGUGGCGCUGGUGCGGCCGCUGCCCCCGGCGUGGCCCUUGCCGAAGAACCGGUCCGGGAAGUUGAGCCGCGCGUUCUCGCCGCGGAGCUUGAAGGCCUCGCGGUCGUACGCCAUGGCGGCGUCCUCGGCGGAGUCGAACGUGCCGAGCCAGAGCCGCGUGCGGUUCCGCGGCAGCCGGAUCUCGGCCACCCACUUCCCCCAGUGCCGCUGCCGCACGCCGCGGUACAGCUUCUGCGGCGGCGGCGGGGCCCGCACCAGGUGCUGGUACAGCGACGGCAGCACGGCCGCGGCCUGGCCGCCGCGCGGGCUCAGGUUCAGCGCCUCGCUCCAGUACCGCAGCAGAUGCUGCUGCUGGUGCUGCGGCGAGCCAUCCGGCAAAAAGAACUGCGCCUGGAACUGCGGCGGCGCGCCGAACGAUAUCAUCUGCUGACGCUGCAACGGCGCCUGCUGCGGCGACGCCGGUUGCGACGCGCUGGAGUGCUGCCACGGCGGGAGCUGCAGCCGCGGGGCCCCGCCCACCGGCGGCGCCGAGGGCUCGUACGCGAACGGGAAGAUGCGCCGUGCGGAGGGCGGCGACGACUCCGCCGGCGUCGGCGAGGCGGCGCUGGCGCGAGGGGAAGGCGGGGCCGACGACGAAGCCGUCGUCGAGAGCGACGACGCGGACCGCUGGAAGCGGUCCGGCGCCCGCCCGAUCUUCUUGUGCGGGCGCAGCGACGCCGCCGACGCGUCCUCCAUGACCGGCGCCAGCUGCCGCCGCGGCUGUAUGGGCGUGACGCCGCCUUUGCCCUUCCACCUCCUGCCCCCACGACCGCCCCCCGCGCCACCGCCGCCGCCGCUCUCGCCGCUAGCGCUCGACGCAUCCAUGCCGAGGGACCUCGAUGAAGCAGGUAGCUAGCGCGCCGAUGCGAAGACGUGCGCGCGCGACCGAACGAAAGCCCCAGCAAGUGCAGCGCGCCCCGGCGGCGCUACAGCGAUAUAUAGACGACAAGAACCUCGUAAACAAACUGAUCCUGAGACCAACUUGCGGCCCAGACGGACCAACGAACUCCCGGUGAAAUGAUCACUUCGCGGGGUGGCGCGACCGACCGGUGCGGGCUGGCGAGCUGGCGUGCGCGGUGGCGUUUGGUUCCGGAGGUUCCAGACGAGUGGUGACCAACCGGAAAAGUGAGCAUUAGUCCCAGUUGGAGAGACACAUAUGUCUUGAAAAUUCAACCGGAACUGAUCUUUCAAGACUAAAGACCCUCCUCUUUAGUCCGGGUAUUUUACCCAGACUAAAGACCUACUUUACCGGGACUAAAAAGGUUCCAAAAAAUAAUUAAAAAAAUAGGCCACCCAUGCCGUCUUGCCUACUCCCGCCGCUACCCCUUGCAGCUCCAUCUCGACCACCGUCUCCUCGUGCCGGCUCGCCCGCCGGAGGCCGGCCCGCGCCGCUCGUGCCCCCCGCCGCUCCGCCUGGAAGAAAGGGAGAGGAGGAGAAGAGAAGAUAAGAAAGAAGAGAAAGAGCGCUACCUGCACGAGACAAGGGAAAAAGGGAGAGGAAAGAAAAUAAGGUGGAGAGAGAGGGAGGGCCAUGUGAAAAAAGAGUGGAUAUAGUACCGAUUGUUGGUUUCAACCAGGACUAAAUCUUUAGUCCCGGUUGGAAACACCAAUUGAGACUAAAUGAAUGGUUUGUUACUAACCGGGACUAAAUGCCCCACCAAAUUUCCUUGUUGUUCCCAACCAUUACAAUCGGGAUUAAAGGGAGCUCUUUAGUCUUUAGUCUCGUUAGUCUUCAGUCCCGGUUGAUAUUACCGACCGAAAUUAGAAGUCCCAGCCGUCAGAGCUGGUUUUUAAACUUAGGACUAAAGCUUCUUUAAUCUUGGGUUAAAAAUAUCCAGAGUAAAAACACGGUGCGAGACGUUUGGCUUAGUCGAGGGGAUUCAUCCCUCACCUCGGCCAGAACCGACUUUGCCGCGAGCCAGGAAGGAAAAUGAUCUCAAGGUCGGUGGUCGGGCUCCACCUCGCAUUGACUUGUCGCGGACCCUCCGAUGCCGACACGUCACGGCCGCACGGAUCUUGACGCGACGGUCGGGAUCGCGACAUGGUGUUUUCUGUUGCUGUCACCGCGGCGUGGACGGCACUGAUCGUGUGCUAGAUUGACCCCCCUCGGUUGCUUUCCUUGUACUCAAAUCUUCCCCAGCCACUUUGGUGCUUAUAUUCCCCGGAAAGGUAGUAGCGUGACUCGAUUAUAAAUUUGAGUUUCGGCAGUUUCAAACCAAUCCCAUCACGCCCGCAAUAAUUGCCAUGAUGCUUCCAAGUUCCAGUAGACCGUUUGGCAAAGUUGUUAGGGCCAGUUUGGUAGGGCUCCGGCUCCUCUGAAAGUGGCUCCGGCUCUGACGCCUCUAGUGGAGUGGCUUCUCCGGCUCUGGCUCCUCCUUUUGAAAAAACGUUUAGCAAAACGGCUCUUCCUGUGGGCCCUCCACAAGGAAGAGAAGGAGGAGCCGGAGGAGCCACUAUUUUUAGUUCCUCCUCGGCAGUACAAAAAGGGCUCCGGCUCCGUGGGUGCUCCACUCGCGGAGCCGUUUGUGAUGCUGCCCUUUGGUAGGGCUCCAGCAGAAGCCGCGAUUGGAGCCGGAGCUGGAGCCCCACCAAACGAGCCCUCAGUAUUACCAUUCAGAGUAGGUACGAUGGCAUACUGAAAUACUCCUAACAAUAAGAUGUAAUGAUGUAUGAUUAGGUGCCUCUAACGAUAUACAAUCACUCCAUCAAUUCAAGGUGUCAGUGCAUUGGAGGUGUCAGUGCAUUGGCUGAAACUUAUAACUUCUUCAUCGAAAGAUCAAUCCAAGGAGUGUUUUAUUAGAGAAAGUAUUCAAAAGUACUCCCUCCAUUUCAAAUUAUAAGUCAUUCCAACUUUUUUGGAAAGUCAAAGCAUCUCAAGUUUCACCAAAUUUAUACAAUAAAGUGCUAACAUUCAUGAUAUCAAAUAGGUACCAUUAAUUUCUUCGUUAAAUAUAUUUUCAUAGUAUAUCUAUUCGGUGCCAUAAACUUUUGUGAUUUUCUCUAUAAUUUUGGUCAAACAUAAAAUAAUUAUUUGACUCUCCAAGAAAGUUGGAAUGACUUAUAAUUUGAAACGGAGGGAGUUGAUUUUAGCCUUAAUUUAUUUUGCAGUAUAUGUUGUCAGUUGCUAUCAAUUAAUAUCAUCCUAAAAUUUCUUUAGAUAGUGUAAUUAAAAUCAGCGUGAUUAUGAAAUUUCGCAAAACUUGUAAUGUUUUUCAGCAUUUCUUAAAUCAAAAUGCACGUCAGUAGUGAACUGUCCACUGAAAAUAUUGUCCGUUAUCUAUAGGUACAACAAUAGAUAACAACUAAAAAAAUUUUAAGGACUAGCUAUAGCACACUCCAAUUUAAUAUAUCCGCGUUAAUAGGGUAUUAAAUCUACAUAAACCUUGAAGUAUGUUAUUGACUACUUAGUUAGCGGCUAGCAAUCUUCUCUUUUUUUUAACAGAAAAAAAAGGCUAACUAGUAGUCAAUCAAUAAUGUAGGUAUAUGCAGUCUUCUAUUUGCUAGUUUUUUCUCAUCAGUGGGACAAAUUAAUGCUGACAUGGAUCAUCAUAUAUAGCUAGCCGAUCGUACCUUACUAACGUCCGCCCUAAUGCAUUAGGUAAGAGAGCCUACAGAAGCAAUUAGUUUUCUUAAUUGCUAUAGAGAAAAGAUUAGUUUUCUUAAUCGCACGCCAGACGGCUCCAAUCGGAUUUCGUCCCUGCGUGCUUCCCCCCUUGGCAAGUUCGUACGAACUGCCAGAAGGAGAAUGAAUUAACUAGAUCAUCUUCCUUGUUAAAAACUGUAUUAUAGCUUAUCCCCCCGAAUUGGUUAGGCUAGUGGUAGGCUUUGCCGAAUAAACUAGCGUGCUAACCUAAAGCCCUGCUUUGCUGUUAGGGCAGUUUAGGGCCCCCUCCCCACGUGAUUUGUCCUGGGGAUCGCCACGAAUUGCUCGAGGUGGCAUGCCGCACGCUGCUCGGUUUUGCCGUUUCCUUUUCGGAACUAACCGUGAGGUGUGAGCAUGCCCGUUGCCUUGUCGUGAUCAUCCCCUUGUUAUUUACAUGUGCUUCGGUUGGUCACACAGGCUGCUGGUUCAGUUGUUAUACAUGUGGAUGUAAGCAUAUUAGAGCAACUUCAAGAGUACCUCUAUCUCACCCCUAAUACCUUCUUUAGGGGAAAAUUGAAAAAAAAAGUACUCCAACAGUCCUCCCAAACCUUCCCUAAUUUUUUAGCGACGCGAAAAAAUACCCCGUCAUCCCGCAAAUAUUCGCGACGCAUAGCCUCCCCAAUCCGCCCGCCCGACCUCAUCCCGUGGCUGCUCGUUAUUUUUUCCCGUCGGGCCACCUCCGUUCGCCGCCGGCGCGUCCCCAGCCCGGCUGCUCCUCCACGUCAGGCGCGCACAGGGUUGUUUGCUCCGGCGCCAAGGUGUAGCGGCCCAACCGCGAAGCCCGGGAGUGAGAGCUCGCACCGGAUCUUGAUGAGCUCCGGCGCUCGAUCCCCUUGAACAUGUUGACGACAACGCCGGACGUCAAGGAACGGAUGGCGCCAGCGACGCAGGCAAUGAAGCCGCAUAGCGCAUCGGCGUUGCUGCCAUCGACGCGGAUCAGGUCCCGCAUGCGGAGCGGCUCAAGAUCCAGCACCAGCUCAUCGAGCAUCUCCUCUGCAGGAUCAUUAGCUACGAGCUAAUCAGCGACAUGUGCAUUCCAAGAGCAAGAUCUAGAGCGAGCUCAAUGGCCUUGGCUAUGAUGGGAACGUAGCCGGCGUCGCGCAGCCGCGGGAACGCGAGCAUGGUGCGGAACGUGGCGGCACUGUCGGUCCGGAGCACGAGGUGGGAUAGGGACUUGUGCUCUCCAAGUAACCAAUCCAUCCAUCCAGCGCAUCUGCCCGUUCGGAAAUCGAUCCCAACUCGCCGCCGGCUUGAUCCCUGCUCCCACGUCGCCUUUCGCCUGGUGGGCGCUGCCGUGCCCAGCGACCUGGGCGGCCGGCCGGUCCUGGCGAAGCCGCCGUGCCCCGUGGCCUACGCGCGCGGCCUGUGCUGAGGCGGGCGCUACCAAGCCCCGCGACCGCGGGAGGGAGGGGGGCUGUGGCCCCACUAAAGGCCAUCGGCUGCAGGAUGGGUUGCGGCGUGGGAGCUGUGGGCGAGCGGCAGGCCGGUUGGUCGAAGAGAUGCGGUGGUGAGCUGUGUCUCUGGGAAGAAGAUAAGGUCGAAAAGAGAAGGAAUGUAUAUUGGAUGACACGUGAGCCCAAUUAUGAUGACGUGGCUUAUUUUGAAUUAUUGGGGUAGUUUUUAGCGUCCUGCUGUGGGUUGAUAUAUUUUUGGAGGAAAUUUUUUUAGCAUAGCCCCCAAUACAUUAUUUUAGGGGAGAAUUUUUUAGGAGUUGCUCUUAACGAUGGCUAACAUUAAUUCUGCACAUUUCGGUGAGGAUGCACGUCGCCAGAGGCAGGCAUCCUAUCUCUUCUCUGAGGAAGCGAGUUGUAGGUUAGUGGCAGAACACGAAUAUGCUCAGUCUGAUUGCAUGCUUGAUCAUGUCCUAGUCAGGGCAACAACUCAGCCGUACUGUACCACACCACACUACCACCAGCAUCGAUCGGUGGACACCGAUGGAUCUGCAGGAGCCUUGGACCUUGGCAGUUGGCAGUGAUGGCCCGUGGCCAAUAAUCGUGCUUCUCGGCACCAGAUUCUUCCGGAAAAUAUGACAAAAAGGAAGAGAUGGAUCGAAGCGGCGGAGGCAGCCAUUGGACCUCUCUUUUUGGGCGCAUUAGGCUCCGGGGGCACGCGUGCUCGAGGACGUACCUCCCGGCUCCCCCGGCCGCGCGCGUACCUAACUCGCGUGGCAUCGCUUUCGGCACCAACGGGCACAGGCGACCCAACAAAAAGAACCCUCACUUCUCUCCUCGCUUCCCGCGGGGAAAAGCCCACGGCUCCACUCCACCAAGUCACGAACGCGUCCUCCUGCAAAAAUCCGGCCGCUGCUGGGCGGGGGCCCCGCCAUCGAGCGCCGGCCGGCGGCUCGCGGCCACCACGGUCGUACGUGACGGUGGCUCGCCGCCGCCCACCCACUCCGGGUUUGCAUGCAUAUGCGCCCGUGUUUGUGUGGUCGAAGCCGCCGCGACGGCAGCCUUCCAGCGGCCGGGGCCGUUGCGUGUCGCGAGGAAGUGGGGCCCCGGCCGUCAGCGGCGGCCCGGUGGCUUUGGAGCCUUUGACCCGAGCGAGACACGGUUUCGUUCGUGCGUGCCGCGGCGGCACCCAGUUGGCUGGCGGCGGCCGGCCCUGGCCAGGGCGCUGACCUUUGUUGCUACCGGCCUGUGUGCGAGCAAAUCGGGCGAGGAGACUUUUGCUUUGGCCGACGCACCGCACGUACGUCAAGCAAGCUGCACGACGCUGCCGCAAAGGCGGUGUCGAUCGGGUGGCGGCAGCCCGAGUGCGCAUCGAAACGUGGCGCCACUUGCGCCGGAGGAUCUAUCUAUAGCCACUGUCCUACCCGGCGUGUGUUAGCAUAAGUUGAUGAUUACCCAGCCCGGCCGACAAAGAGGUCGUCUUUGACUUAGCUUCUGUUUUGAUUUAGCUGAUGGACGGCUGGCUGCUGACUAUUACUCCCUUCGCCUCAAAUUGUAUAUCGUUUUCUUCUACUGUGUAUCUAGAUAUAAUGUAUAUCUAGAUGUAUGGUAAAAACUAUAAAUAUAAAAAUAUCAAAACGACCUACAAUUUGGGACGGGGAAUAUUAGCACUGAGGUUGGAUAAUUAUUUGUUUAAAUUCACCUACUAUUUUUUACAUGAAUCCACCAAUUAUUAUCAUCUAUUAGCAGUCCCCAAUCAAGUAAUAGACUGCCCUGUUUGGAUACCCAUGAAUUAGCCCGAUGUUAUAUAACUAAUUUUUAGUCCGGGGAUCGUCAGACUAAUUGAUAGUAGGGUAGAGAAGUAAUAGUUAGUGGAUUUAUUUGGAUCCAUUAUGCUAAUUUUAGUUGCUAACUAGACUAUUAGCACUAAUGUAUCAAACAUGAUCUUUCUAGUGCUUAGAACCAGAUAUUAGUUUAAGGAGUAGCAGGUCUGUUUACAGUUUAGUACAGCCACUUACAAAACCGUGGAUCAGAUCGCACUGUCGUGCGGAAUAUUUUCACUUACAAUACAAGGUACGAAAGCAUGAGCAGUGGCUUGUGGUUAUUAUACAAGAUACGGAAGCAUGAGCAGUAGCUUGUGGUUAUUGUGUUGUAUCUGUCGAAAUCUAGCUGCGUAUGAUGACAAAAGAACUGUCCAGAUAGACAUGCAUGCAUAUAUGGCUCUCGUAAGAUUUGUGAGGAGGUACGGCACGUCACCAACCGCAGGUUACAAUCUACGAAUAGUCGAAUAUCUGUAUUUCUUCAGUUUUGCACUUGUCGUACACAGUUGACGCAUUCAAAAGUUUUUUUUUCAUGAAUACGGAUUAAGAAGAUCAUCGAAAUCGAGAAAAUUUGUUAUAUCGCGGCGCAUGGAGUUUAUGCCAAGGCAUUAGGCACAAUUGUGCACUAAGAUUACAACCGACUACUACUAGUACCUACUACUCUCCUCUCAGUUCUUCCAACCUUUUAGCCCCCGCCGCAAUCCAUUGUGAUGCUUCCUGGCGAAUGCUCACCAAGAGCUCAUGCACCGUUGCGGAUCGGCCGUCGAAUAAACGCGCAUUGCGUUCCUUCCAAAAUGCUCCAUAAGAUGAGCAUGAUAGCGUGUUGAUGCCCCGUCUCUUGGGCUGCGGCUGCAGUCGCCUGACGUGCGUCCACCAUUCUUGGAUGGACCGGCCAUUUCGGAAGGUGCAGCACAUCCCAGCCAAGUCAGAGCGCCCCACCAGAUUUGCUUCGUGUAAGAACAGCUCACGACGACAUGGUCUCCAGUUUCAGGCUCUUGAUCACAGAGGAAGCAGGUGUCAUGGGCGUCCAUGUUAUGACGACACCGUCUGUCCGCUGUCCACAACCUACCUUUGCUUGCCAGUCAUGUGAAGAACUUCACCUUCGGCGGAGCCCAGCUCUUCCAAAUGCGUCCGGCGCCUUGCAGUUUGGUGCCUCCUUCGUGCAUUAUCCGGUAUGCUGCGCCGCCGUGUACUUGCCGUCGGCAGUCCAUCUCCACCAGAAAAUGUCCUCCUGGUCAUCCAGCAAGUGUACGUCUGAGAGCCGGUGCCAAAAUUCGAUGUAUUCAACGAUGGCCUGCACUGACAACCCGCCGCGAAUGUCCUGUAUCCAUCGUCGGUCGAUUAUCCCUUGCUGCAUUAUUCUAGUUUUCCUUGUCCUCUUUGAUAUAGCUUGGAACAGGUUUGGUGCAAGUCUGUCCACAGAGGUGCCGUCAAUCCAACAGUCAAGCCAGAACAGGGCCUUGCAUCCAUUGCCAAGUCGAACAAUUACCGACGCAUUGAAGAGGGCUUGCACCUCAGGCUCAAUGUUGAUAUGCAGUGCUGACCAGGCUCGCUCGCUGUCUGUCCUCUGCAACCACAGCCACCGCAUACGCAGAGCAUAGCCGGACAGUUUCAAAUCAAUGACACCGAGGCCUCCCCAAUUUGUCGGACGGCAAAUAGUAGGCCAGGCAACAGCGCUUUUUCCAUAUGUGGUAGUGUCCUUGCCGGUCCAAAGGAAGUUCCACCUGAUGCUGUCCAGUUCUUUGAUCACUCAUGGCGGUAGUUUGUCAGACAUCAUUAUGUAUAUCGGCAUAGCAGAGAGAGCUGAUUUAACCUGUGUCAACCUUCCGCUCUUCUUCAAUAGCGCACCUUGCCAAGUAGGCAACUUUGCCGCUGUCUUCUCAAUCAGAGGUCUGAACUGCGACUUUGGCAAUGCUUUGGUGGAUAGCGGUGCGCCCAAGUACUAGAUUUGAAACUGAUGAACUGGGCAUGCCAGUACAGACAGGAAUUCCUGCAAGACCUCAUCCUCGCCGAAGAUGGGUGCCACCGAGCAAUUAUCCAGAUUGAUAGGUAGGCCUGAAGAAUCUCCGAAGAGCUGCAAAAUUCCUUGGAUUGUCCGAUGUUGUGGAUAGAUCCCCAAUACCCGCAUGGAAGGAAGAAUGCGGACUCCUACUAGAAUUCUCCUAUAAUCUUACUAGUACUCAUACCAUGUAAUCCUACUGGUACUCAUACCUUGUAACCGACUAGUAAUCCCGCCCCCUGAAGUAUAUAAAGGAGCGCAGGGGUACCUAGAUCGGCAGACCAAUAGAGGCGAAGACCUCAUAGAACCACAACAGAGGAUCAAAUCCUCAACACCAAACAACAUCCAAGCGCGGUGUGCAAUAUACAACACCCCAAAUAGGACGUAGGGUAUUACGCUACUCUGACGGCCCGAACCUAUAUAAAUCCGUAUCCUGUAUCCUCGCUUUUACCUUCAAGUUCCACGUCCGGCGAUCCCCGACCAACUAAUCUACUACCUCAGGAUACCCCUCGGUAGGUUGCCGGCUAUAAAACACCGACAUCUGGCACGCAGUAAUGCUUCACUGCCAGUAGGCCCAUAAGCUGCAGCACUGCAUCCUCACUUGCUUUACGGAACAACCGAUUCAUAAUUCAUAACGUCCAUGACGAUGAUGAACAACAUUGGCGAGAGCAGAUCUCCCUGUCGUAGGCCUUGAUGGUGCUCAAUUGGUUCUCCAUGUUGGCCGUUGAUGAGGACCCUUGUUGUUGCCGUGGAUAGCAAGAGGGAAAUCCAGUCGUGCCAUCUAUCCCCAAAUCCCCAGGCUUGCAGUACUUCAAGGAGGAAUUGCCAGGAAACAGUGUCAAAGACCUUUGAGGUAUAAGGGUAUCGACGGAUCCCCACCGAUCAGGAUACUGGUCGUCCCUGACAGGUGGGCUCGCCCGACCACACCAUACGGACCAAGGCAUGAAGAUACGUGGAGCACAAGUCCGAAGACCAGGCGAAUGGAUUCUGCCUGGAUAUCACGGGAUACUUGUUGUAGACCGACUCAGAUUGCUUUCCAUGUAACAACCGACUAGGAUUAGAUCCUAUCUGAUUGUAACCCUAGGUCGUCAACCUAUAUAGGGCGGUUAGGGGCGCCCCUCGAGGGCGACAAAACUCAUCCCACCUCACGUUAACUCUUCGCACCUACAAUCAGCAAUAAAAUCCACUAGAAUACAGGACAUAGGGUAUUACUCUCCGGAGACCCGAACCUGUCUAAACCUUGCGUCCCUAUGUUAUCAUUUAAGUUCUUGGUCUUGCGAUCUCCCCCGCCUACAAACCUACCACCUGGGCAACCCCCUAGUAGACUGUCGGUCACUAAAUCCAAGAGCCUUGGAUAUGUCGAGCUUGAGCAGUAGCUUAGGCACCUUGCAUUUCUGAAGUAGCACUGCGGAUCGCUGCACAUUUUUGAAGUUGUCGAGGAUAGAUCUACCCUUGAUGAAUGCACUCUGAUUGCAUAGCUCAAGAUCACUGAUGGACUUGCUCAACCGGUUGGCAAGUAGCUUGGACAGUAGCUUAGGAAAGCUAUGUAUUAGGCUGAUGGACCUGUAAUCUUUCGGUUGGUGUGCAUCCAUUUUCUUAGGAAUGAGGGUGAGGAGGGCUCCAUUAACACAAGAAAACCUCGCCUGUCAAUUGCGGAGAAGGUGUUGAUCGCCCGGAUCACAUCUUGCUUGAUCACCGACCAAGCAGCUUGGUAGAACGCCGCAGUCAUGUUGUCGGGCCUCAGAGACUUAUCAGGCAACAGGUCCUUGAUCACCAUCCAGAUCUCUUCCUGAGAGAAUGGCGUCUCUAGAGCCAAGAAAUCUUGAGGCCUGAUUCCCAGGCACUCUAGAUCCAGUGCACAGUGUCUGGUCCAUUCAGUUCCAAGCACCUCAUCGAAGUAGUCAAAGAACACCUGCGCCAUCUCAUCUGCCGUAUAGACCAUCCCAUCCCCAGCGUUGAUGCUUGUUAUGUGAUUUUUUCAUCGGCGCUCAUUAGCAUGUAGGUGGAAGAAGCGCGUGUUCACAUCGCCAUCACUAAGAUAUAGUAUUCUUGAAUGUUGCCUCGUGAUGGUGCGUUCCAAUGAUGCAAGGCCAAGUGAGAGACGCUUGAGUUGCUUUCGUAGGUCACUCUCUCUGGUCGAUAGAGUUCUUGUCUCCUAGGCACGAUCCAACUUUAGCACCACCUCCUUGGCCACCAAUAGCUAGAGUUUUACAGAGCCAAUCUUCUUAGUAGCCCAGCUCUAUAACUCUCUGGACACCUUACGGAUGAGACAGUCAAGAUGACUAUAUGCGUUAGUUACCUCAUCCGGGCAAUGCCAUCCCCUUGUUACUGCCUCAAGGAAGUCGUCAAACUUUGGCCAAUAAAUUUCAAAGUGUUUCGGUUUGGUUCUGAUCGACGCAUUAGUUUGGAGCAUCAAGGGGCAAUGAUCAGAAUCCUUUGAAGACAGCGCUCGGAGAAAGAAGCGGGGGUAAAUCUCCUCCUAAUCUACCAAUGCAAGCACACGAUCGAGCUUGACUAAGGUAGGGUUUAGCCUUUCAUUGCUCCACGUGUAGGUGCACCCGUGUAAGUGUAUGUCCCGCAGCUGUAACGACCGACCCCUAAACCUUCCCAGUUAGUCUUGAUCAGAGCCCUUGAUCCUAGUCUUCUACCUUGCUUUUUCCCGCACCGUGUGCUCAGCUAUCCGCCCGGUCCCGACCCCUGAGAUCCGACCCCUCCCCGAUUCGUUUCUCUCCCGACCCCGGCAAGCUCAGCCCACCGUCGGAUCCUGAUAAUCUUCCUCAACCACCGUUCUCUCCACCAGUGGACCCGCAAGAUCUUUUUCCCAGAUCCUCCGCGACAGCCGCACUCGAGUUGCAUGGCCGCCUCAGAGCCUUCCUGCCGCGUGGCUCGUCUUCUCCGACGCCCGCCGCUCAGUUUUGUCUCUGGCAAGCGACCGAGUGGGUUCUCGCGCCCCCUUCCCCAAUGGCAGCGGAAGCCCUCUGCGCCCCUUUCUGCAGAGCCUCGCCUCCCACGCCCAUCAUCACGCCGCCAGAUCCCGGCCCCAGAGCCCGAUGUCGCCCGUCUUUUCCGUCCCUUCAGCCACAGUCGCGCCGCCCGGUCGUCGCUACACGACGAUUCCUCCACCGCCAACCCCGACCGCGGCCGCGACAGCUCCUUCCCCCCCCCCCCCGCUCUGUCAGAAACCGCCCGACAAUCUGUUGUUCCGCGCUCUCGCCCGCGCCCGCGUCCGCCUGUCUUCUCACCUGUGCGCCCUCGAUUCUAGCGCCGUUAAACCGGUCGCUUCUAUCAAAUCUCCCGCACGGCGACGCACGCUUUCCGCCAAAUCUCAACCACCAGUCUACCCGCUCCUACGCCGCCCUGACGGCAGAACGCAAUGAUCGCUGGCGUCACCCCCGGAGUUCUGCACCACCGCCCUCUUCGCUCAAUCGCCGCCACGGCAGAGCACUCCAUUGCCUCUCCCCGGCCUUCGCGCCGCUCCCCUUCUCUCUCUCCCGCGCCGCUUCCUUUCCUCUGCUCCAGCAGCUAUAAAAGGAAUGCCCCCGUCGCCGGAGUUCCUUCCGCCAUUGUUGCCUUCAGCCUUCUCUCGCUCUCUGCUCAAGCUCAUAGCGCCACCCACCAAGUUUUUGAGGAGGUCUCCUCUCAGCUUUCUCCCUUAGUUUUCCCCAAAGCUUGCUCCUCCGUGCUGCGUAAAACCUCUCUUGUGAUCCGCAAGAAGCAGCGCCGCCGCCGGAGCAUCGCCGGUCUUAGCUUCUGUUCAAACCUUAGUCCCUCCGCCCAAGUCUGUCUCUUCCCGACCCCAAGCUUUCCUUUCAGGAAGGAGGUGAGUUGCCGACCCUAGUCCGCCUCGCCCGACCCCUCCUAUCCGCCCGACCCCGGUUCCAUCUCACCCGACCCUAUCUGUUCCGCCGACCCUUAUCCGCCUCGCCCGAGGGUUCGGCUGUGGUCUUUUUCUUCAACUCGAGGGUGUAUGUGUAAAACUUGGGAACCCUUCAGCGCUUGCGUCUAAGGACCCCCAGUUUAUCACAUCCUCUAGUUCAAGAAUCAGAUCAUAAGUUCCUUUCCUACCCUUACCUCUUGAUCAUCAUCAGCUCUCUUGAACCACCGUAACCUCCUGCUCUCUGUCGAAAGUUUCUGGGCUCAGGCGAGCCAGUGUUGCUGUUGAUUAGCUACCUAUGCUAACCCUUGCAUUGCAUUCGUGUAGAGCUGCACCUCGCCGACGGCUUCUACGAGCUUCACCCGGCGCCAGAAGAAGAAGCUGUAGCCGAGCUCCUGUUCUCCGAAGCCGAAGUCGCCCCCGAAGUCGAGCAGUUCUCGUCCUCCUUGCUUGAAGGCAAGCCCCGGUUGCAUGAACAUCCUACGUGUUUUGCCAGACUUGCGCAUGCCUUCUGUAACAUGCUUGUGCAUUUACGUAUAGGAGUUGUGUGAAACCCUAGAUGCAUGACUUAGUUGUCCCAAUGAUCUGAGCACUAGCUGUUGGACCGAGUAGCUGCAUUGCUUAACUAGGAGACGGUAAAAGUCGAGUGAUUUCCUGUCACUCGCGAGUUGUAAGAGUUGCAUGUUUACUCUCCUGUUAUAACUAUAAGGACGAUGGACGGGGCAGGGUUUUGGUAACUCUUUGGUGGUUGGAUGGUCGCCCCGUCUGUCUAUGAAAACUUGCUAAGGCCCGACAUAGGUGGUGUUCGUGAUCAAAUGUUUGAAAGUACUAGCCUCAUACUUAGUAUGGGAUGAGGAAGCCUAGUACCGGAUUGAACCUAGACGUGAGCGGUCGCCCCAUUGUUCUUGGAACGGAGUUUCCUCUGCUGGUUGUCGCACGUGGUGGCAAGCGUGGUCACAGAACGGCAGAGGCCGGGUUUGUGGAACCUUGCACCAAAGGAAAUGGGCCCGACACGGGUUAGGAGAUUGAUGGGGAAGGCCGACACAGGAAGCGACCUCCGGGUGCGCGGAUGUCGUGAGGCUAGGUUCACCAUGCAUGGUUAAAGAACUCGAAUCGGUUCGUCUGCCUCUCACAGUUUGAGAUUGCUUGAUCGCUAUGUCACCCUGAGUAAAUGAGGAAUCUGAUGAUGGCAAUGUUUGGUUGACAUAUCUACACAUCUUGUUUGGCUCUAUGAUUGCUUAGAUUAGGUUGCAAAACCUAGACCGGCUAACGAACUUAGAACCGGAGCUAAAACUUGGAAAAUAGGGUUGUCACUUAGUGCUUUUGGCAAAUAAAACCCCCCAGCCAUAAAGCUUUGCAUGUCUAGAGGUGUGGAGUAGUUUUACUCCGAUCGGUUAAGUCUUGUUGAGCUUAGUAGCUCAGCCUUGUUGUGGCUCCUGUUUUUCAGGUGAAGUUGCUGCUCCCGACCCCUCUCUGGUUGGUGCUUGGCCGCCCCAGCUCCCGCCAGGCUGGACGGUCGAGUGGGAUCCUUCCUCGGACGGCGAGGAGAGGAACCAGUGAUAUCCCGGUUGGCCUCACCAGGGAUGUCCGACCCCGACGAAGUCUUCCGCUAGUGUUUUCUCUGUUGUUCUUUUGAAUCUUGUAAAACUCUGAUGUUGAAUUUUACGAUCGAACUAAAUGGGUAAAUUUGUCUAACUCAGUGGACUCAUUGUAUUCUCUGGAACCACUCACCUUCGCGUGAGUUGCUAAACUCGAUCCUGUUCAAAGUGGUUAAAUCGGAUGAAAUCCGACGGCACUUCGUGUUAACUUGGUUUAGGCAUGGGUGUCGUAUGUUAGGCGACUUGACCCGGUCUAAUCAAGCUAAUCCGAGGUGGAUCCACCACAGCAGCUCCACGGAGUCAACAACAUGAGGGAACCGAGUCAUGUUCCUACAGUUGAUCUAGGUGUUGUUCUUGUCAGUAGGGUCAAGGAUCAGGUUAAAAUCACCUGCAAUCACCGAUGGUCCUGCACAGAUGUCCCUAAUCGCCUCUAGUUCCUCCAGAAAGUGGAGCUCAUCACCCUGUGGCCCAUACACCGUUGUGAGCCACCAUGGUGGCUCACCGGAAUUGGUUGUCACACGUACAGUGACAGAGAAGACGCUGACAUGAGGAUCCGAGAGGGCGGCUACGUCACGGCGGCAAGCAAUUAAAGCGCCUCCACAAGUGUUCACCGCCAAUAAGUACUCAAAGUCACUAAAUUGCUAGCCAAACAUAGAGAGGAUCACAAACCAGCUAACCAAAUUCAGCUUUGUCUCCUGCAGACAAACGAUAGAGGCUCUAGUGUCAUCAACUAAUACUCUAACAACAUCACGCCGCGCUCCUGUAUUAAGCACACGGACAUUCCAUGAGAUCAAUGUGAUCUGAUCCAUUUGUUGGUACAACCAGUUAAACGGAUAGUUCGCUUAAGCCUGCAUCCCUAGGAUAGGGGAGGCAUUCUGCAGUGCAGUAGAUCCCUCACUGCUUCAAAAUGCUUGUUGCCCAUUCCAGCUGAGUAGAGCUUGUCAUAAGCCCUCUGACCCUCGGACGUGAUGGUAACUGUCUCGGGAACAACUGCAAAAUGGCGCAUGAGAACCACCUCCGCCCGCUUGGAUGAUGCAAUGUUUUCCAUGGGGUGAUUCCCCAGGCGCUCGCGUCGCUUUGGUAGCUCCCGCUUCUCGCCAGCUGACGCGGGUUGGGCCACCUGCUUGGUCUUUGCUCGCCGCGGCACCAAUGGUGAUUUGAUUUUGCGCUAGAGCUCCUUGGUGAAAUGCUUUAGCCUUUUAGCUUCCUCGGAUGCCACAGUUUGUGAGAAGCCUGGUGGGGAGUCAAGCUCGAGAGGCCCAUCGUCUUAAUGGUUUGUGUCCAUCGAAUUAGUUGGCCGCUGGUCAUGUUCUUCUUGCGUCCCAUCAGGUUGCAACCCCGUACCGAGGGCCCAUGCAACCGGGUCAAUUGGCGAGGCAGAGCGGUCAAUCGUUGCAGAGACCGCUAGGACCGCAUGCACCGUCUGUGUCACCACAUCAGCAGUGGCGUCCACUAGCGCCUUCGUGGGGGCAGCCGGCAAGCUGGCGCGUAGCCGCAUCAGAUCCGGCUCCAUGCUGGUCCCCCCAGGCCAGCGUUGAUCUGCACGACAAGCCUUCCACAACAAUGUUGGCCUCGGCAUCCCCCCAAGCUGAGAAGACUCAAUCAGCACCAGUCAGACACUGGUGUUGUCCAGAUCAGCAUGUAGUCAGGCACUGGUGUUGUCUAGCUAUCCCUGUGCAGCAACAGCUCGAAAGCAACUACCUACUACAGAGCCAAGGUUGCCCGCACUGGCAACUCGACUGCUAUCUCAGCUUGGUCAAAUGAGCCGGGGACCUCCACUAGGCUUCUUGUGAGCUUUGCCUGGGCCAACACAUCACAGGCCGUUGUCGUGGCCUUCCUAUUUGAAUCCGCUUUUCGAAAGUGCUUUUGCAGCACCUCCCCAAUAGGCUUCUUUUGCAAAGCUUCUUUUGUCAUUGUCAGGGCCGCAGCAUUGCUGGUUCCCACACUCAUCGGUGUUGCGCACGUGACUCCACUGCCACCACCACUGCCACUGCUGCCGCUAUUUCAAUCCCUCCUGCCACCACGCUUGCGGUGGGGGAAGCAGAGAGACGCGACCCUGUUCCUUGCCGGAACCCGUAGGAGUGAUCCGGGUUGCCGUCCAGGCCACUAUCACCAUCGUCGGAAGGGGAGGAGGCGGAGGUUGAAGGCGUUCUUGGCCGGAAGUCUGCAAUGCUGCAGAGGUGAAUGUCGAUGGGGUACUCCAACAUGCGCUUCUCACUGAGGUAGGGCUCCAAGCUACCAAAGAUCAUCUGCAUCUCAUCAUCGGAGUAGAUGACUAGCAUAAGCGGCUUCGUGAUGAGUUUCUCGGAUGUAGGGAUGGAGUGGGGGUCCUUGGUCCAGGCCGUGAGCUUGAAUGUGGACAUGUCCACCUUGCUCGCCGUCGCCUGAUCCAGGUGCUCAACCCAGGCAUGCUUGGCAAGCAACUUGCUCGCCGUGUCAAGGUCCCAGGCGUGCUCCAGUAUGCCGUCGAGCUCGAUUGUGACCUUCUGGAGGAGCACCACCGAGCUUGCUCGGGCUAGCAGCGUCCACGGAUGAAGGGAGAGGCUUUUGGCUGCCACAAGGAUCGGGCUGACUACCAGUACAUGGUCCCGCACCUCCUGGGAGUAGCAGAUCACUAGGAAGCUCUCCAAGAAGGAUAGCAUGAUGGAGAAUGAGGCUGCUUCUAGCCCAGUGGCUCCCGCAAUUCCCUAUAGCACGUCGUCGGUGUUGAGGUUUCUGGAGGCGUUGCCCACCUGGGCGAUCAACGCCCAGUUGAGCCUAUCCUCCUCCUCAGCCAUGGCGUCACUACGCUCCACAUAACAGCACUUCGACUUCGGCACCACAGGGUGGGUUGGAUCCGUUGAGGCAUCCGUGGAGCAAUCCAUCAGUGAAGGUGGCGGGGAUGGGGUGCGGCUAGGUGCUUGGGAGGCCGUGGGCGUCGGAGGGCUAUCCGUCGUGGUGCGGAUGAAGCGUUGCGGCACCACCUGUCGUCGGAAACCACGCUCCUCAGCACCCCGCGAAUCGCACUCCUGUCCUCCAUGUGCCGCCACCUAACUGGAGCGGGGGAAGCGCAGCUGCCAGCAGACACGAGCGGUGGCUAGCUCCUCACGUCGAAGACAACGCCGCAUGGUGCACGACAUGGCCUCCUGGAAACCCUCCACAUCCACCCGGGGUCGGUGGCGUGAAGGGUCGCCUCCCACGUCGAGGUGGUCUGGCGGCUGUCCUGUCGGGGAUCUCCGAGCGUGCGGCGUAGGCUGUCGCGGUGAAGGAGGAUGACGCUUCUGAGCAUGCCGGGAUGGACGACGUCGUGGUCGCCGCCCGGCCUGGGGAACCUCCUCCACCACAGCCACCGGUGUCGCAACGGCAUUCAUGCCAGGCGACCCCAUCGCAGCCGUGGUGGCGAUGGGGGUUGGGGGUGGUGGGCCGCCUUCGAGUAGGUGGACGGCCGUGGAGACGAUGAAAGCAAGGGUGAGAAGCCGUAGUUCACGCACUCGAGCUCGUCGUCGCUUCUGUCCAACCACCGCAUCUCCUUGGGCCGACCAGUAGACACCUAGGUAGAAAGGGCCGCGCUGUCGGGGAGAACGGCAGGGUGUGGCGAGACGUUGCAUAAGGGAGCGGUGAGGUGGUGGUUGUCUAGGGAGGAGUGCCCAUCAGCACGGCCUGGAUCUUUGGUGAGGUGGGCACAGGGGCAGAGUGCCCGACGGCGCAUCUGAGGGCUUGGAGGAGAUGGGCGCCGGAGAUGGAGCGUCACCCCAUGAGGAGGUGGAAGCCGCCAGUGUCUGGGUGAGCGCCGGCGGCGGGAGGGCAGGCUCCCCGGCCGCAAAGGCGGUGGCAGCGGGGGAGGAAGAGGGGGCGGGGGAACUCAUCCCGGACCGACCCCGAACAAUUCUGAUGUCCGGUACCACAAGUAGUUCACUGGAAGUACCACGGAGGAACAAUGCAUUCAAGAGUCUAGUAGCUUACUGGUUUUCCCCAUCCUUUGAAACACAGUGAUUCUCACAUUCACUUCCUAAUUUCCUAUACAUACAAGUACCUAUCAUAUUCGAAUAAAGACUUUUGAGAAACUAGGUUAAGAGAUCUUGAGAUCGAUUAAAAUCACCAUGAAUAUCUCUCUCUCUCUCUCGACGGACAUAUCACCUACUGGUGAAAGCUAAUAAGACCUUCAAGUAAAAUCUUUCACUAAAACUAAAGCAACAUAGAGCAUCAUGCACGGUACUUGGGUAGGUCUUCCUGAUGAUUACUUCAUAAUAACUGCAUCGUAUGUGUACGUACCAGCUAACCAAAGCAUAUAACUAAGUUAUCAGAACAAAUGGUCCAUGGUCUAGGCAUCGUAUAUAUAUGCACACAACUGACAAGAUCAGCUGGAGCUGGUAGAAUCUAGCUAGGGUUCUAGACCUCUAUAUACUAUUUGUAUUUGGAAUUGAAUCAUCAAGAAACCAUAUAUAUACACUCACAAUUUGAAUAGUCGCACUCAAUGGAUUAGCAUGGUAAAUUUGAAAUUCUACGUCUUUGUCAAAGUAAGCUUUCAUUAGCCUCAUUGCGCGUCUUCUUAUCCGAGUCGUCAUCGCUAAUGCUUGCCAUGGGGUGGCGAGAUGAUGUAACGCAGCAAAGCUUCAAGUAGAACUAGUCCCAGCAGACAGUAAAGCGACAAUCUCGAUAAAAACAAGAUUUUUAAUCGAAGGUCGACUGGUUGCGUAACGAAUUGGUCCUUGUUGCAUGUCUUUUGUGUUGGUUUUUUUUAUACGUAGCUAUCAACAUUUAUUUCAUAUCAUAUUGUUGACGUCAGAUUUCGUCAUCAGUAGAAUCGGCGUCAAAGAGGGAAGAAAUCGAAAGAAUACAGUUGGGAAUCGGUCAAAAGGUGCUACAGUGUGGAAUCGGUCAAGUGGCUUUUGCUUCGCUUCAGGUUCCCAAUCGGCAGCCCUUUGCUGAUAAGAAAUCGCCCGACCAGGAAGGAGGACUAAAGUAGGCCUGUAUGGGCCUGGUUAGGUGGAAAGAUAAGGUGGAGUUCAGCCCACGAAGCGUGGGGUAGUUAGUUUAACACGGAUUGUGCUUGUAGAUAUUUGUUUUCUGUUUGAAUUAGAGAUAGAGUCCUACUCGGUUAAGAAAGAUUAUUUGUACGGGGCUAUAAAUAGCUACCUUUGUAAAUCUGUAAGACAUCAAUCAAUCAAUACAACAAGUUACUUUAUUCUUCAUACUACUUUCAAGCAGGCGACUUCGCCAUCGUUUUUUCUUCUCACGAGUUCGUGCGGGUUGGCAGGGCUGCAUCAUCUUGAUCUCCGGCCGAUUCUGUAAGUUCCGCUUAUCGAGUAACGUCUAGGCUUUAACUUCCGGCGUAUCGCUGUCGUUUCGUUUAGAUUUAUUCACCAGUUAUCGAUAUCAACUAGAUUCAUAGGUUUUUUACCUGUUUUUCUAGCUUUUAUCACCAGUUAUCCCGCUAGGAAUCGGUAGUAUCGGCUUUUAUUACCUUCUGUUGUUAGAUCCGUUCGUUGCCGAUUAGAUCUUUUCCUAGUGUUAUUUUCAUAAGCUUUGUACCGAUUGUUUUAGUAGUUUUCUGUCUACAAGGCUAUAAGGAUCGCGCUCUCUCGUAGCCGGUUACUUUACUACAGUAAAUCGGCCGAUCUGCCGAUUUGUCCUCUCGAUCGGAAACUUAGCCGAUCGCAGUUACCGAAUUUGACACGUGUUCUUCCUUGCCAAUCAACAGGUCAGAUUGGCUGGCACGCCGCGCGAACCGCACCAGGGCAUUCACCCGAACAGGAGCUAAGCAGAUUCUCCCGGGUCGUGUGUCGGCCGCUGGACCGAUUUCUAGCGCCAACACAUAUAUUAUAGUCAUUAUAUAUAUUCACCUGUGGAAUUAUUUAUUGAUGCGAGUGAACAGGAAAUUAUUGUUGCGGAAUCUAACUCGAGAAAUUUGUACUCGAAGUGUCGAGGACGUUUGUGCUGGAAUACAAUAGAGGAACAAGUUGAGAUCGACUCUACUGAAAUGUUUAUUAUGUACGUACAUGUUUGACCCGGGUAUAGCAUGACGAAAGAGCUGUGUUUGUUUUGCAGGAUCGGCUCUGCAAGCUGUUAACCCACAUGAUCAAAUUGGAAUUGAUCUCAUAUAUAUAGAACUGAUCAUGGCACAUGACUCACACAUAUGUGCUAGGGACUAAUAUAUUUUAGACUCAUUAAAUUGACAUGUAUGAUCGUGGUUGGUGACAUGGUUCAGGAGUCACACGGAUUUCUCCGGAACACAGAUGGAAUACUUAUUACAUCUGAAAGUGGAGUCUAUUGUCCCUACCCUCUAACCUCAUGAUGCAUUGUGAGCGGCAACACAAAUAAGGCAAAGGAAUAGAAGGUAGACCGCAUAGCCCACAAUUUCCUACAUUUUGUUGUUCUUCAUUGACAACGACUUUGACGUAUAUAUAGUUAUUGAAGGAUCGAGGGCUGCUUAUUCGAAUGGAGCUCUUUUAAAGUACACAAUAUUAGACUAUACUACUAUUCGAAAAGGAUUAGUAUAAAAACAUCCGACAGUUAAGAUUAAUUGUAUACUACUGAAAUCUUUACAUGUGAUAUGGGUAGUAUACACGAGUAGUAUAGGUAGUAUAAGGAUAUCAUGGUAAAAGAACACAAAUGACAUCACUAUAAUUUUAUUUUUGAUACUAACAUAAAGUUUAAAAGACUAUUUCAUUCGAAAUAUCACCUUUUACAAUGUAAUAAUUACUAAAUUAUUCAUAAUAAUAACUAGUUAGAUUUUACAUAAAUAAUGUACCACUAGGUAUUAUUGUGUACUGUAAAAGAGCUCUUUGAAUGAUAGACCUGUUGAAGGCUCUACCAAAUCGCUGAGCAAUUUUUGGUGCAUAAAAGAAGCAUAGAGUAGAGAAUUCAGUGAAGUGAGGAAAAGCACAGACACAUGCCGUUGUGGUUUCUCUGAAUCUGUCCUCUCUGUCCUUCGAAUUUUGCUGCAAAAUGGUUCGUUCGUUCACCACCUGAACUUGCACAGGCGAUGCGUUCAGGUUCAGGAGGCAGAGCUCCCGGGUUACCGCUUACAAAGCCGAUUCAUUUUCUUCGCCAAUCGAUGUUCAAGAAUCAAGACCAAUCCGAGAGGGCAUAGAAAACUAACAUCAUAUCAUCGGAUAAACGGAGGUGAAGUGAUUAGAAUUGGCGUCACCUGUGUGACUUUGGUUGUACGCCAAGCAAGCAAAGUGCGCCAUAUAUAUACUUGAUUGAAGACACUGGUCACUGAGGAUAAUUACUCGCCACGGAGAAAUGGAGGCGUCUCUGCAGGUCCGAAUUGGCUCUAGCUAGCAGAAAAUAUCUCAUGCAGCACUGUCCAAAACAGCCGUCACGCGCUACAAAUUUCUAAGACUCGAGGUCUCGAACGCGCCGUCAUACCUAACCACACGCACUAGCAAAACGGAGGCAGGAAGAGACUGAUUAGCCACUUGAUAGCUAGUAGAGUGAUAUUUUAAAGUUUUUUAGAGUAAAAGUGAUACUUUAAUUUGCAAGCAAACCUUUUGGUUCUCAUCUCUUACAGAACACUAGGGAAAUAUCUUCUGCUAGCUAGCUCCAGGUCAAAGAAAUGGAAACAUGCUGCGAGGUCCGGCCGCCGCUGGUCGUCGUCACUACCUGCAGAAAACUCGGCAGCUAAUCAGCAGAUCCGAUGAAAGUUCAGGCAGAUGAAACAAGAACCGGUGGGUCUUAUAUAUUUGUCUUGGGCUUUCCCGCUGAUGAUUGAGAGUAGAUGAUCUAUGCUAGAUAUGUACCAGCUCGAUCGAUCCUUCCGUCCUCCGGAAGCAGAAGAUAUGAUCGGCAUCAUCAUAUCGCAUGGACCGUAAACAAUGACUUGGCUUGAACGGCACACGUACGAUUGCUGAAUACUAAUUGCGCAAUCACGCAAAAUGAUAAGGAAAUGCGACAUCUCAUCAUGAUUUCCCUUUACCUGCAGGGAUAUCCGCUGAGAGAAGGAUCCUGAUACCCUCAGUCCCUCAGUUCUCGGAGGCUCGGCUGAAAUUCUGUCUGACAAAUAUGCUUGAACGCAUGUUCAAGUACUCUAAUUUUUUGUAGACAUACAGGUAAAUAAAUCACCAAAAUAAAAGAAUGUUUCCUUCAUCCCGGCAGCUUGCGGGCCUUGAGAUCCGUUGGCUCUAAACAAAAAUAUGGGCCAGGUUGUGGCGUUUCUCAUGGAGCGGGCCUAUAUAUCAAGUCCGUCGAAUUGAGCCCGCUACACGAAAGCCACGUCUCCUCCAUUACACAGGGUCCAGGAAAGGGCCCGUGUUCCUUAUUACUAAAGGCCCAUGGAGAAGUAUUUCGGGGAAACGGUUUGUCUAGUCUUCUUCUUCCUCCAGGAUGUACUAAUAUGCACAUAAAAGGACUUCUUUUGAGCAAGCAACCCACAUAAAAUACUCCUUCCGGUCAUGUAAACUGUAAAGCUAGUAGGAAUCCUAAAUUAUGUUAAAAUUUAUUUCACGAGAACAUAUUUCUAGACAAAUAUAAUUCGCGUUUAUGAGUUGGAGUAUUUUGACAUGUGCAAGCAACAGCCCGUCUGCAGAGUGAGUACCCGCAAUUUUCUUGUCUACCUAGUAUAUCUUCUGUUAAAUGCACGUGAAGCUUGAGUGUCGAGGAGUCGAUAGGUUGCGGCCUUCACGACCAUGCAAAUCUCCCAAACAAACCGACAGGAAGUAUGCCAAACAACGGGCGCCACAGUAGCAUGCCAUUCAUUCCAGUUCCGGUUGUAAAUGAACCAUACUCCUUGUGUUUCAAAUUAUAAAUCAUUCCAACUUUCUUAAAAAGUCAAAACAUAUCAAGUUUAAUCAAAUCUAUAUAAAAUACUACUAUUUAUGAUAUCAUUAGUUUGUUCAUUAAAUAUAUUUUCAUAGUAUAUCUAUUCGGUGUCAUGAAUUUUUAUAAUAUUUCAUAUAAUUUUAAUUAAAUAUAAAAUAGUUUAAUUUUAGAAAAUAGAAUGAGCUGUAGUUUGGAACGGCUCUGCUCCUCCGCGUCCGCGCGGUGGUGUCACCUCACUCUGGCGGCUGGGGUCGGGUCCAAGUCCAAGCACCACGCGCCGAGCGGCGCUGCCCCUCACCAACCUGCCAAUACCCGCGAAUCACGACCGGAACCUGUGAACUUUGGACGACAUCCCUCCCUGAUCUCGCUGCGUCGACGACCUCUGUGGCUCUGCGACCUGAGCCACCCAACCUUAAAAAGGCUAAGCCUACAGCUAACCGACGAACGCGCCUAUAGGCUAGCCUAGGAUCCUGCCGCUGGGCGCCCUAUGAGAUCACUGUCCCCUCCCGCAGUUAUCUUCGUUUGUCGCCGCCCGUCUGCGAGGAGGAGCAGUCAAGAACAAAGCACGCACAAUCAUUGAGCUAGCAAACGCAACUGCUCAAUCAUCUCAACUAUGGAGUCACAUCCGAGUAACACGGUCCGCACUGCACGAUUGACGAUUCAAUGCACGCAUGCGUGGUAGAUACGGCUCACUCGGCAUGUUUCGCGUCGCCGAAACGCCCGAGGCUCCAGUGCCUACAGUACUCCGUGGUGAUCAGAGAUGAGCAGGGAUACUCUCUGCUUCAAUUCCCCUGGCGCAGAUGUAUCUACACGGCAAGAAAUUGCCUGGAACUGAUACAAGGGCUCCACGCACGCCUCCACCCUCUUUAGAAAUCGACAAACUAGUACUAGUCCAGUAAUGAUAAAUCAAGUCGUAUUCCCGGGGCAUGCUACUCGGCAUGUUUUCACAGUGGCAACCACCAUCGGCGCAGCCGGCAAGCCCCGCUCUCUGAUUGGGAUCAGAACCCUCGCCGGAGCUAGGAGCCUAAGCCUACCCACGUCACGCAUCACAAGUCUUGUCUCGCAGCCAGAACAGCCUCGGGCAAACCGAAAAACAGGGUUUUCCAACAUACGAGACGCCGUGCAUCCGGUGAAUAGGGGGGUCGAGUCCCUAGCGAGCACAGCACGGCGCACCAGAAACCUGAUUGUCGUUGCGUCCCUACGGACCAUCCUAACAAACAGUUAGCAGCGUAGUACUACUCUCAAACAGUUUGGUUUGCAAGCGCGCAAUAGUACGACGCAAUUGAUGCCAGGACAAUCUUUCACUUUCAGACUGGCACGGUAGUAGUGUUCCGGAGUCCGUCCGAUUUGGUGCGCGUCACUUUCAGGUAUCUUUUCUUCAUACGCACCUAAAGCUGCACCAUCAAAGUAUCUGCUUUGUAAGAACCUCGUAUACUAUACGAGAAGGUUCCUUAAAAAAGCAUGCACAGAAAAGAACCGGCCGCGACAGGCAACAGGAGGAGGCCAAAUCUGAGUGUACCUAGGAUUGCCAACAGUAACAUCAUGAAUUCAUGAUGCUCGAAACGCUAACACAAGUGGCCGCCAGCCCGCCACAGCGCGCGACGUCGGCAACCGCCAACCGGACAUGGGCAACCUGCCCGCCCGCCCGCGGGCGACGCCCACGCCGCCACUGUCGAUUCCCCCCAUCCGGGUUUGUGCCCAUCUCCGCCCCACGCGCCGCUAUCACUCGCGAUAGUGCAGGAGCGUAGCGGCCGGCAGCGGCGGUUGUGGAGUGGCUUUCGGGGCCCUAAACGCACUGACAUGGACGGGCACAGGACAGAACGGUUGGGGAUGGGGGAAGAUCCCCGGCACGAUGCCUCGGCGUCUCUCGAGCGCGCAUCGGUCGACACAUGAUGCCCGAGCGUCGAGCUCGAUCGAGGAGUGGGAAUGGCGGUGCUCCGUGCUCGUGAGCUCGCUGAACAUUAUUGCGUGCUUCUCUGUGUUGUUUCUGCUCCACUGUUUGCCCUUUCUGAAUUUAUGGACGUAUUAAGGAGCUGUUGGUCCAUGUCCAUACAUGCCACAUGCGCGCCAUCAUGCGUGUGCGCUUUCGGAACAGGUUGCCUGUUCUAGAAUGGACGCAGAUGGCCGGACCCCGCGAGUAGUAGCUGGUUGGUUCCGUGGCACGAACAGGUCGAAGAACGCAUGCAUGAGGCAUCCGUCGCUGAUCCCAAUUAUUCGCACGCCGCUUAUCAACAGAGGCCUAUCGAAUGUGGCAAAGCCCUUUUUAAAAGGAGUUUGUUUACGAAACCUUUGUUUCUUUAAAAAAAGGGCUAAUCAAACGAGGAAAACAUGCACCAAUUCGUUUAGUCGCGUAGUAGUAGUUGGCACCAACCAUCCAAAACUUGUUCACCAAGUGCCUGUUUGGUUGGACUAAAGUUUAGAUCCUAUCUUGAAUCUAGAGACUAAAGGCUAAUAAAGCAAAUAAACAAAGAUCAAAAUAUCCCUAAUGAAUGCAUAAAAUUCAAGGAAUAAGGCAAUAAUGAAGGGGUGGGGGUGUCCUCCUAUAUCUUUAACUUUUAGUCAUUCCCAAGGAAGUAGUUCUUCAUUUAGUCCUUCAUUUUGGGAGGUUAGGGAUUAAAAGAGAUCAGGAAUAAACUUUAGUUGCUCGAUUUUUCUCGAAGACCAUCCAUGCAGUGGACCGUACACAUAUGCGCUACUGUGCUCAUGCACCGUUCCUUUUUUUUUUCCUGACACAAAUAGGUGGGCUAAAGGCUAAAGCUGGUACAUACUAGUACCACGUAGCCCAUGGACCGGAACCUACAUAAGCUUAAAGACCUGCCAAAAAAAUUGGGGUCCGAUCUCGUGUAUAGAGUCUACUACGUCUAGCGGUCUAGGACCCCAGUUAAAGGCCCUGUUGAGUGCCGCCGCUGGACUCCAUCAACCGGACCGGUCCUUGGCGCUAGCUGCUAGGAGUAGUACUGGUCGGAUCGGUAGCUGCUCGUGGCUAGCUGAUCGACCACUUCUGACCGAGCGCGCGCGUUAAUGCGAUCGAUGCGCACAGCUGCCCGCCGGCGUCGUGGGCGCACCACCUACGCCUAUGCCCGGUCCACCGGGAACGGACGGCCUCGCUACAGCAGCGCUCCCAUUAUUCUCCUCGAUGGCUUUUACUCGCGCGCACGCGUGCUCUGGAUCGAUCCACGGAUCUGGCUGGCCUCCCUGCCGUGCCACGCCGCAGAGCCGCAGAGGCCCCAUCGCCGCGCGCGGCAGGCAGGGGCCGUGCACGCCCUUGAUCGAUGCCGUGCGAGUGCGGGCUGAGGAGCCCGCGCCAUGCCGCGGAGGCGCGGGCGCGCGACUGUUGGGGGCGCGGCAGUGCCGACUCCGUACCGCUGCUGGGGCGGGCGCUGGCCGAUCGAUGGGGGCGCGUACGGCGCCCCCGCCCAUGCCGUGCCGGAUGAUCUGAUCGCGCAGCGGCGUGGGAGGGGUUUUCGGGAUCGGGCGCAUGCAUGCGCGUGGAUCAGGCGAAUUAUUGGCAGAGUGGUGGCCGGCGGCCGGCCGAUGGAUGCGUCGUCCGUCCGUCCGUUGUUUCCUGGCCACCCUUUAUGAGCGCGGUACGUGAUCCUUCGACCGUACAAUAAUGCGGAGGCGCUCCGUCCGGCCGGCCGGCCCCGGCCCGGGCUAGCCUCUGCGUCCCAUGAAUCCAUGAUGUGCCGUGGCGUUGCUCCUUCCUCGAGGAUGUACCCGGUUCUGCUCUGACACCGAUGUGUAAUAGGGCGGCAUCACGGAGGAGCGGAGUACCAGUGCUAGUCACCGGUCAGAGGGGAUCGAUCGACCAGAUAGCCGCGGAAAGGUCAGACCCGGCGGUCGUUAUGGCCAGAACGAGCAUCGGCUGCAAAGAGACAGAUCUUCGGUGCGGAAGUCAGAGCCUUUUGAGUUUUGAGCUCCACUGUGGUAAGCACAGUACCGCCGGCCGGCGCGGCAGCGCCUAGCUAGCUGCCGGAGUAAAGUUUCGACGUCCUCCGAUCCCACUGCACGUAAUGGUGAUUCUCACAAAAGCUUGCUUUUAGUGUAUGCCAAUAGCGAGCCAACUACUCCGACCCUGAGACCCUGAGUACGUAAACACCUGAUUGCAAAAAAGCCACCUGUGGCACCUGCCAAGUUUCUGGCAGCUAGCUACAAUCGCCCCAACGUGACCAGUUUCUGAAACCACCGCAAACCAGAGUCCAACCACGCCAGGAGAAGUAUACGGCGUGCGCGAGCGACGGUCAUGUACCUAGUGCCGUGCGUGUCAUGCCAUGAUUCGCGACCCAUGAUAAUGACGUAUAUCCUCUCCGGCGAUUUCGUGUGGUAGCUAGUCGGUCAGCUAACCGCCCGGCAGCAGGUAAUAAUAAUCUACGAAGGAUAUAAGCGCGCGGUUCAAUUUCAUCGAGCUGUAAGCGGUCGCUGCCCAUAAAUAUUCCGUUCGUACGCACGCACGGCAUCCAUCAAUAAUAGAAGAGCACAAUUAAGCCAAGGAUCGAGCGAGGCAUCGAUCGAGCUAGCUCCAUCACGCCACCAACCGAGCGCGUCAUGCUCUUCCCAGAUCCCUUUCGUACGUGCCGUCCUUCCUGCCUCACGGUCCAGCUAAUCCCUAGCACACACAAACGCGUGUCCUAGUGUCCCUGUCUCAUAUCUAAACCCUUCUAGCUCUAGACCUUUUGGCUUUGCACGCCCUCUAUAGCUAAAACCCGGACCGCUGAUCUUUCCUUUUUGUUUACACACACAUGCACGGUUGGUGAAACCGGCAGGCAGGCAGGCAGCUGGCGCGCCGGUGGCCUAGCUAGCAACCGAGCGGCAGGACGUACGGCUGGUGAUUGGUAAAGCGCGGUGGUACGAGCGCGUUCAUGGCCCGCGACGUCGCCCUCCCGGGGGCUCCCUCCGCGCGCGUCUCCGAUCCCUGGCGUGGGCGCGCGCGUGGCCCGGCCGGCUCGAGAGGGCGCGACGAGAUCGACCGACGGCGGCCUGUUCCCAGCCGGCCGCGCAUGCACACCAGCACAUGAGCUAGCACCCUGUCGAUCGAGCGACCGCGCCGCCCGCGCGCAAGCGCACGGACCGGCAUGCGGCAAGCGGGAUGUCCAUGGUUCCUGUCGACAAGCCAACACGUCGCGGGGGCGGCUAACCAACGUUCUGCUGGGGGCGGAGGCGAGGCCCAUGAUUCGGUCGGGCAAACGACGACGAGGGCAUCGAUUACCAAAGUGACCGGCCGCUUUAUCCCUACAGUGAUGGAGGCAGGGUGCCUGUUCCGCAUGGUGCAAUAUGCUCGCCCACAGUGGAGCAUGGUGUGCAUGGUCCCGAGAUUCAUAUCGUUCUUACGUACUCUUGUCUCGCGUAAAAUAUUGGCGAUGCAUUGUCCAUGCGUAGGUCAUCACACGAGAUUUUGCUGUGGCGACUGGCGAUAGCUCAUAUAGCUGUUGCCUAAGAUGGAGGCUUCACGCUCUACCGCUAGGAUACCUCUGCGUCUUAAAGCUUAGGAUACCUCUGUUUCUUUUGGUUUUUUCUGUUCUUGUUUACUUAUAAACUAAUUAUUCGCUCGCUUUCUUUCCACACAAAGUGCUGGUAAGCGCACAGCAGAAGGAUUACGCGCAGACUGACACUUACAGGCCACGCCAGAAGGAUCGCCAUCGACAGCAGCGAGCCGGAGCGCCGCCAGCAAGCUUUUCUGUAUCCAUUGCACCUGGUGAUCGAGCGAACGCGCCACGAGCUGGUACAGCGCGCGCACUGACUUGCAAUAGCAGGAUCGAUGCCCCUGCCCGCUCGCGACCGGAGCGUUGGCGGCGACGAUGCCUCCCAGCCCCGGGACAAUCGAAUCGCCGCGGUUCUUCGGCAGGCAGGCACGCCCUGUGCCCGGAUCGCCACGUACCCACGUUUCUCUCUGACACUAAUGCCUGCUUAGCUCGAAAAAUGAUUGUCGGACGAAUAGCCUUUUCAGACAAUGCACUCUCGAAGAGCGCCACUCUGUGGGCGUGCAUCGUCGCUGGACACAGUGCUGCCCGCGCACUGUGGCCGUUCUGUUUAGGCUUUGCACUUUCGGAGUUUCUGUCGUCCGCGUUCGGCCGUCGGUGCGCCAGAGGCAUUGCUGAGGGAUCUGUCGGCUAACCGGAUCGGCCCGGUGAACAGCGCCGUACCCUGUGAAAAACGCAGCUUGGACUUUUUUGGCGUUAAAGCACGGGGCGGGCCGCGGGCGGCCCGGUACGGGCGGCUCGCCCAGCAGUCUCAGGAGGGUUUCUCUCUCUCUCACUCACUCACUGAGGUUCAUGUGGCGUCUGGGCCAGAAGACUUUUAAACCGCAACCGCCGGGCAGCGGCGCUCGGAGUCCGCAGGGACGACGACGACGGCGACGCGGGGCCACUGUUUGGGGAUGGCAACAGGUCACGCGGCAGCCACCUUGGCAUGACAUGCUUUGCGCGGGUGCGUGCUUCUGUUCCAUAUGCGCGCGCGUGGCGUGGCGCGGCGCGGCCGGGCCGUGGACCGCGGUAAAUCCAGCCAUCGGCAGCGUCUGCAGUGAUGGGGACACAUGUUUUCAGUGGGGCUUUUUUCAGGCUUUUCCAGCCGGUACCACCCUCCGCCUACGCGGGGCUACGGCACUAGGCUUUCCCCAGCCUGCCCCCCUAGCAGGGCUACUACUCCAGUACAAGCCUCUAUCUACUUUUGUCAACACGCAAAAGCUGUUAGCAGGAGCAGCAACAGAGUUAGCUGUAAGCUUGUUUCAGUUAAGCACGGCCCUAGCGUUAAUGCUGCUUGGACGUAAGCACCCAUCUUAUCCACUAGCGGCCUUCCCUUGCAAUCCUGGGCAAAACUCUUGUUCACGGGUCACCGGGCCAGUGGGAUUGGACUGGAUUAGAUUAAUUAGAUCUAGUGCGCGCUAAGAAUUACGGUCAUGUCAUCGUCCACCACCUUUAGUUAGUCAAAACCCCCGUGCUCUUAAUUUAUAGUACGAGAUCCCAGGCUAAGAGCUAAAGAGGACUAUAUUUGUAUAGCUAGCACGUUGGAGGGUUGCUUUGCGAGUAAUGUAUUCUCCAGCAUCGUCUUUGUCAUCGUCUUUGGCUUUGCUAGUGCUGACUUUGUCGAUGAGCACAACUCAGCAAGUAUUUUCGUCUGGAUGUUGGGAGAUCAUCAACUUCAGGGAUUUGCUUUUUUAAAAAAACAUUCAAAAAAAAAUUCAGGGAUUUGCUUAGAGCAGCAGAUUCUGGAGAGAAUGCAUAAUUCAAGGAAAGGAAUAUAGGGGACAAGGGGUUUUCAAUAUUCUGGAAUGUAGGGGACAAGGGGUUUUCAAUAUUCUCAGCAGUCUUAACUUGCAGGGAGCUAGCUGUUUAUUUGCUAACACGAUCUUUGACGUUGAAUUCUGUAUACAACUACAUUUCCCUAAUUCGCUAAAAUCCUCAUGCUCGUUUUUUUUUAACAAGAAAAAAAAAACACACUCGCAUUGCAAUACUCUGUACCCUGUUUGCUGCUCGGUCCUUUUCUGGACCUGUACAGAAAGGGAGCCGUAUCGAGGAAGAGAACAUACGAGACAGUAUGGGCUGGCUUUGUUGCGCCGCAAUAAUUCAGCUUUCUACAUCUAUCGUGCUCGCACCAAACCCAUGGACGGUGGAUGUGGAUUCACCGGAAGGAGACCGCCCCGGUCGGCCAUUCCGUGAACAGGAGGCCAUACAUAGGUGGGCAAAACCGCCACGAACACCGCCAUUUGCGUUCACUAACCCUGUUUUCACUUUCACCACGUCGUUUUCCGCCGAGCUGGCUGGACAGACGCUGCGCGCCACGAGUCCACGAGAAGCUAGCUGCUUAAUUAGCUCGGGGGCCCUUAACCUGUCAACCAAAUCAUGUUGGCCAUGCUGCCCAUGCACGAUGAGCAGUAACCAGCGCGUUGGAGACAUGGACACGCGCUGUUGUUUUUUCUUUGGCUGGGCGCCGGGGCGUUCCGGGGAUCGCCUGUAGAAGAGAGAGGCGUGUCGACCAGACGGCCUCUCUGUACGUACGCCAGUAGUACGGUGCAUGUGUAUGCAUAUGGUCCGGAACAGUAAUCCUGGGGGAUAAACGAGCAUCUUUAGCUAGAGCUAGACGGGCUGCAGCAGCUAGAAGCAUGGACAUCCAGCUGCCCCUAGCUGCUCCGACAGCGCGGGUAAUUGCCGCGGGGACCCGGCGCGCGGGGGCGGUGGUCCGCUCGCCUGGCCGCCCGCUGCGGUUCGUCGCCAUCUUUUGGGCGCGCAGGCAGGCAGCCGGGCGGUGGUCUUGCGCUUGCGCCCUCGCCCUGCUCUGCUCAAUUUGUCGCGCGCGCGCGGCUUGCGCAGUGUGCACCCCCGGCGGCCUGCUGCGCCCGCGCGCCGAUCCACCACCCGUCGAUCGCGACCCGCGAUCGGGAGCGCCAGGGACCGAAGGGACACCAGAUGCGUGCGUGCCGCCGCGACCCUGCUGCCCCCGGGACCGCGCGGCGGCAGCUGUACGCUUGCGGGUGCGCGGCACGCGCUUGGGGGUUGGAUUGGGGGUGUUCGCUGUUCGGGGUUCGGAGUCAAUCGUCGCGUCGUGCCGCGCGGAGCGGGACGGGGACGGGGACGGGGAGGGAGCUGCGGAGCUGGGCGUGUCGCCGCCUGGCGACUUUGGGGUUUUCGCUGGCGAGGGGCUUGAGAGGGACGGGAGGGUAGAGCGGAGGCGCGCGGCGUGCUGGUGCUGCUAGCAUCGGAUGCCUGCCGGCAGCCCGGCCGCCGCGGGGAGACUUUGGUGGAUCUCUUGAUGAACUGUUUUGCGCGAUGGUCCUGACUCCUGACACGCACACGCCGCAUGUGGUGCCAAUCUGCUAGCCGUGGCACAUGGUGCGGUGCCUGUACAUGUGUGUUCUUUAAUCUUUACGUGCUUGGGCUCACCGUCUUCUUCUUCUUCUUUUUGGAAAGAUUUGGGCUCACCAUCUUCAUUUUUACGAGUGCGAUUGUGCGAACAACCCUUGCACAGAAGAGGCUUCGUUGAAAAUCUUCACUCGGAUGCUGUCUGACUACGCGGUGUCGCUGUCGUUGUUUCAACUCGCGAAAAAUAAAAGAGAAGUCUUUUCCACCUUGCGGAAAAUAACAAAGACGACAAAUCAAAGCCCGUGGGUGGACAAAAGUACCCGGGUACGAAUGACGUCGCCAAACGUCCGAUGGCACGAGACCUUCACCAGAGAAGCAGAGACCAGAGAGAUGCGAUGCGAUAGGCAUCUUUUUAUUCCUUGCAACCGAAAAGUAAAAAGAACCAGGCGCACGGCAGCCAGACGCCUCCUCAUCGCCCUCCUUUCGCCUCCCGUACUCACCCCGCUGCGCCGACGCCUGGUGUACACGCCACCUCACCUUAAAAAUCCCAAAACACGCCCCCAAAUUGAUGGCCUUUCCUUUUCUCCCUCCCUCCCUCUCUCUCUAAGAAAAAAAGAAGAAGAAAAAAUCGAUGGCCUUCCCGGCAUGCCCCUGGCACUAAUCCACUUCCCCGAAACGGCAGGAGCGGUUACACUUUCCCACUUGUCGCGUCCGAGCACUCCGGCUGAUGGCUGGGCCCCGCGGCCGCCGGGAUUUUAACUUCCCUUCCCUCCCCUCCCCCACCCCCUUCCCGGCCGAGGACGAUUUGUACCGCCUGCCUACCCGACAGUAAACAGUAGCCGCUGGUAAACACCGCCACCACCAACGACGCACGCAGAGGGGGGCAAGGCGCAGCGGGGAGGGGGAUGGCAUCACCACCGCAAUAACAACGACGACGGCACCAGCGCCAACCACCACUUUACGAGGGCAGGCACAGCACAGGCGGGGAGAGGCAGGCGCGCGGCACGGGGCAGGAACCCGUCGCGAUUGGCCCGUCCGACGACGAACCGGUCGCGGGCCUCGUGCUCCUGGUGGAUCUGACGCCACCCGCCCGCGGGCGCGGUCGCUUUGCUUCCCCCUCAGUCCUCGUCGUCGACGCGUCGUCGACGCGUGCCGCCGGCCGGGCAAUUCCCCGCGAGGGGGCGCCGUGCCCAUUCGAUCUGCUGCCCCGGGCUCGGCUGUCAAUGCGGGCGCGGAGAUGAGCGCCGGCGGCGGGGAGGAGGAAGAGGAGGAGGAGGAGGUGUUCUACGAGUCGCGGGAACGCGUGCUCUCCUCCUCCGGCUCCUCCACCUCCGCCUCGGACGACGACGACCACGGCCUCCCGCGACGGCGCCGGGACGGGACCGCCUCCGCUGCCGCGGCGGCCGCAGCCGCUCUCGACGUGUGGAUGUCCGAACCGGCGCCCGUGCAGGAGCGCCGCCGGAGGCUGCUCCAGAUGAUGGGGCUCGCCGGGGACCCCGCCCUCGCGCGCCUGGAGAUGGGCCGAUCGGCCUCCUACGACGGGCCCGUACGACCGGCGGCGGUCUCGCCCAUCUCCCGAUCCAGAUCAGACGGCGCCGCGCCGGUCAAGCCCCCGCUGGGGGGGCGGUCGCGGCAGGCGUCGUCGGGCUCCUCCGAGGCCACGCCCGAGGGGGAGGAGGCCGACCCGAGGUGCCUAAUCCGGAACCUCGACGACGGCAGUGAGUUCGUGGUCAAGGAGGAGUUCGAGCUCCGCGAGGUCGGCACGGGCCGGCAGCUCACCAUGGAGGAGUUUGUUGACCUCUGCGUCGGCCGCUCGCCCAUCGUCCAGGAGCUCAUGCGACGCGAGAAUGUUGCCAACGCUGGCUCGAACAACGACUCGUCCACCCCCAUCCAGAGGUCCAACUCCGACUCCAGCAACGGAGCAACGCGACACCGGCGGCGUAGCAGCUGGCUUCGGAGCAUCCGGAACAUCGCUGGCUCCAUGGUGGUCACCUCCCGCGACCGCCGCAGCAGCGACGAGAAGGACACGUGCUCGGAGAAAGGCGGGCGCCGGUCCAGCUCAGCCACAGAUGACAGCCAGGACAGUGCCAGAGCCGUGCACCAUGGCCCGGUGCGCGUUAAGGUGCGGCAGUAUGGAAAGUCGUACAAGGAGCUCAGUGGUCUGUUCAUGAACCAGGAGAUACAGGCUCACAAUGGGUCCAUCUGGAGCAUCAGGUUUAGUCCAGAUGGCCGGUACCUCGCGAGUGCUGGGGAGGACUGCGUGAUCCAUGUCUGGGAAGUGUCUGAGUUUGAGAGGAAACGCGAGGAAAAUGGGGUGUGCAAUCCUUUUGUUGCAAUGGUGUGCAACGGUUCGCCAGAGCCAACAUUAGCGCUGGCCAGUCUGGAUGGGAGCAAUUCUGAGAAGAAGCGUCGGGCAAGGUUCUUGGAGAGUCGGAGGUCAGUGAGUUCAGACCAGCUCAUGGUGCCAGAACAUGUGUUUGCAUUGUCAGAAAAGCCGAUCCGAACCUUCGUGGGGCAUUCAGAAGAUGUGCUUGAUCUCUGUUGGUCCAAAUCUCAGGUAAUUCUAGCGUACCCAUUUGCUCUGAAGUUGUGUUGGUACUUGAUGAGUAACGAUGAAUGCUGAAAUUUAGAAGCAUGCCACAAAUAGUAUAAAGAUUAUAGACAGUGGUUGCUGAGUCCUUAUUGUUUACUCUGGAAGUGUUAAUGAAAAAAUUGUAUGAAGCUUAUUAUUUCAGCAAUCCAUCCUUGUGGUAAUUGACACCAACCAUGUUAGGGCAGAAUUAUACCUUUGCUCCAAGAACUAACAUAGUUUAAUGCAUUUCCGGUGUAGUGAGCUGCAAAGGCUGAAUUAAUAACUUGUAAUGCAUAAAUGCAAGUGUGUCUGCUACCUAACUUUAGAGUUCUUCCUCCAAAGUUAAUUCUUCCUUGUGUUAUGACAGUAAUAUAGUUUAGGCAUUAAUGUAUGUAUUAUGUGUUUCACAAUACAUUAUGGACUAGGUUUGUGAACUUCUAGAAAUUAGAGAUACCUUGCCUCAUCAUGUGAUUUCAUCUAUCAUCUUUGUUCAGUGCUCACAACUUUAGUAACAACAUGAAACAGCCAAACAGGCCAUAUAAACAAGGCACUAAUCAGGUUGCAUCAAGUGGAGUCUCAAUUUAUGGUCUCUUAGGGCACACGUUUAUCCUUCUUAGUCAGAGUUCAAACAGCUUGUCACUAAGUCACAUUGCAUCAAGCCAUAAGUAGAAUACUACUAUUUAUCAGGUUUUGCAAAAUGCAGUUACCCCUCACUGGUCACACUUAUUUAUGAAGGGGAUUACAAUUACCGACCGACCAACCAGUUGCCUACAAGAGCACAAAUGCAUGAUUGGGCUUAAGUUAGCAGUUCGAGACAUCUAUUCCUAGAUUUACAUUGGCACUCUAUGGGCUAUACUCCAUACCUCUCUACACUGGCUACAUAUCAGAACUUGUGCUCACCAAUAGUGCGUUCAUAAAUUCAUUGCGAACUAUGGUUGCUAAAGUUCUGUCAGCUCCUUACAAAACAAAUUUGAUUGCUAUGCUUAUCCAGUAGUCCUAUGAUUCUGCUGUCAUUACAAAAAUUUCCCAAGUAACACCUUUUUCAAAUGCUUUGCAGUACUUACUUUCAUCUUCAAUGGAUAAAACAGUGAAGUUGUGGCAUAUCUCAAGCACUUCAUGUCUGAAAACAUUCUCACAUAGUGACUACGGUAAGAGUUACCCACCCCUUGCACUAUGUAAUGUUUCUCAGUUCUCACUCAGCCAUCAAUAUCCUAAAUUUUCCUUUGUUGAACUUGUAUCCCAGUGACGUGCAUCCAGUUCAACCCUGUUGAUGAUAGAUACUUCAUUAGUGGUUCACUGGAUGAAAAAGUCCGCAUAUGGAGCACUCAAAACCGUGAGAUUGUUGAUUGGCGUGAUUUGCAUGAAAUGGUCACUGCUGCUUGCUAUACCCCAGAUGGGCAGGUUUUAAUCAUCUAUACUUCAUUCCUUGAUCUAAAUAUCUUCGUGUUAAGGUCUAACAUGUUUCCUUCUUACCUGAAGAGUGCAUUAAUUGGUUCCCAUAAAGGCAGUUGCCAUAUUUAUGAUACAUCUGGUACCUCUCUCCACCUGUCUCAUGAUCAUCAUGUGUCCAUGUUUUUUCUUUGGCUUUGAUCUUACCUUUUCAUUUACUUUUCUGACCAGAUAAUAGGCUUCUUCAGAAGAAACAAAUUGAUCUGCAGAAUAAGAAAAAGAAGUCCAGUCAGAAGAAAAUCACUGGGUUUCAGGUGCUUAGUAGAAACAAAUUUGUGUAUGCUUUACUAGCACACUAAAUUUUUUGUCGUUAGCUCCCUGUCUUACUGAGUAAUAGUUUCUUGAAUAGUUUCUCCCAGGAAAUACUUCAAGGGUCCUUAUUACAUCUGCAGAUUCAAGAAUCAGGGUUGCUGAUGGCCUAAAUCUAGUUCACAAGUACAAAGGUAUCAAAAUUGAGUCUCGGAACUUUUCUAAGAUUAGUAAGCUUAUCAUAUUAUAGACCUUUUUUUAAGUCAUAGUUUUGUACUGCUACAGUGUUUUCUCUGCUUCUAAGUAGUGAUUUAUGAGAUGAAAUUCAAGUUGUACUAAUAAGUACCCAGUUAUCUGGUUCUUUGCAUGUCAACAACCUAAUUUCUGGUUGCUCCUCUUAACCUUUUUCUCGAAUAGUGCAGGGGAGCUAUGUGUCAUUUUAUUAAGAAGAUUUUUGAGCUUUAUUAGAAUCCCGGUGUCUGUAGUUUGAUAUGCUUCCUAUAGAUCCACAGCAAUCAAAUCAUGUAGCGGUCAUCUGUUUAUCAAUAACAUAUUUCCCUGUUCCGUUGAUUGAAUCAUGUAGCGUUUUCGCAUUUCUCCUGUCAUCUGCUCGCAACAAAGUGACAAAACUUGUCAGUCUCCACUUUGUUGAGGUGAUAGGUCCUCGUGUUCACUUAACAUGAUAACACAGUUGUAUCUGCUCAUUGAUGGGGGUCCAAUAUGCAUAUAUUUUUUCCCUGAAGCAAUGAUGCUUAAUUUUCUAGUAGUUUCCAGUACAAUGUCUCUUGACUCUUUGUUCUGUUCUCUUUCAGGUUUUCGAAAUACUAGCAGCCAAAUCGCAGCCUGUUUAGCUGCUAAUGGGAGGUAUGUGAUCUCUGCAAGUGAGGAUUCCCAUGUGUACAUAUGGAGAAAUGACGAUAACCUUGAACAAGGCAGAAGUAAGGGGAAUGUUACUGUCACCAAUUCCUACGAAUAUUUCCACUGCCAGGAUGUGACAGCCGCUGUUGCUUUGCCAUCUGCUGGCUCGGCAAUGGUAUCCAGAACAAACUCCAGGAAACAUGAUGAACAGGACUGUGUAUCUGAGCAUCCUCUGUUGCAUGCUGUCCCUGAAUUGCAAGAUUCCUGUGAUUUCCAAGGCCAAAGUGGCAAUAUCCUAAGCACCAGUUCAAACCACAGUGGUGAUAGAGCAACUUGGCCUGAAGAGCUCAUGACGGCAACAAAGCAGAGCCCUCGGUCCAGUGCCAGUCUUCCCAGUGGUGCUGGUCAAGCUCCGAGUCGGUCUGCCUGGGGAAUGGUAAUUGUCACAGCAGGCCGUGGAGGUCAGAUCAGAACAUUUCAGAAUUUUGGGUUUCCUGCUCGAGUAUAGUAGCUAUGAGGCUGCUGCCUGGACUUGACAUCUGCUCUGCAGCAAGCCGGGUGAUUUUUGUGUAUAGAUAGGUGAAAAAUUGGGUGAUUUGCACAGCAGUCUGGGAUUGUAUUUUGUUGCUCCUAGGUGCAGCUGCUUGUGGACUUCGACUAACAUACGACCUGGCACUCGAGGCACGGCGAAUUCGUUUGCCCGGAAUUGUACAUGAGAAUGGGCCCGGGAAGGACGACGGGCGUCAGCCAGUUGGAGCGAGAUCUUUGGGAUCUUUUGCCACCAUCUUUUCAUCUGUUUUCUCCAUUGAGUCCAGUUUAGCUUUUCUCUUGAUGUUUACCCCUUUAUUAUAUAUUCUUGUAAGAAGAAAUCUCAGUUCUACAGAAAUAGAAAAGCAAAAAAGAGUUGCAUAGAGUGAUGAAAUUCGUUGUACUGGUAUAGCAGGCUAUGUUAAUGGUACAUGAAUAUAGGAGUAAUAGAGGUUCUAGGAAGAGAUGCAAAAUUUUUGAGUUCUGAAGCUUUUGGACCUUGCUUCUGGACAUGGUUGGCCCGGUGCAUUUCUGGUGGGAGUAUAUCUGGUGUCCAACUGUCGGUUAUCCAACAAAUUUGUUAUCCCCUUUCUGCUUUCGAUCAUUGCUACAUGCUCUUCUCCCGUUGUAUCGUGUGGUGUCUGUGCGUUGUAUGGAGUCCAUUCUUCUUGUGGUUGCUGGGGAAAACUACCCCAUUUCUUUGGACUCGAGCUGUUCAAAUGUUUCGGCGGCGAGCUCCGAUCUUUCUCGCGGUGGAGGCGCGGCCACAGCGGCAAAAGCAAUCUCCAGAUGAGUUGAAAUCCGGCCUCCCACGACUCCGGUCUGCCAGAUAUUUGGGGAUCUGAUCGAGAUGCCUAUCGAAGCUGACGCGAAGACUCAUGGUCGUCUCGUAGCAGCAUCAGGAACAGCGUUUCGGUGAUUCGCUAGAUCGUUUGAUGUGAUGUCAAACAAACAGGCAAAAUCAACUGGAAUUGGCUAGACGAAGGUAAUCAGUGUGAUUUCGUUCAUGCUUUGCUUUUAGUUGGAAGGUUGCGCGAGGCAUAUGUAUCGUGCAACUUCUUUAAAGAAAAGAUAGAAAAAAGGAGGACCGUGCCAUUCAGUGCCGAUGCUGACGCCUCUGAACUGUAUCUUUAGGACCACACAAAUAAAUUUGUCGGCCUCAUCACCGAUCCAACCAUCCAAGGGUCCACGAGUGCGAACAUUUGGUGAGGUGGGCUCUUCUCUUUCGGUAAGGUCAGACGGUUUGGUCAAACACCUUAUAAGAAAAAAGAAUAUAUGAAGGGGGAAAAGAGAGAAAGAGUACAUCAAAAGAAAUCACCAUUAGAAGUAUAACUAGACAUUGAAAGGGUUCUAGUGUGCAAGUACAGCCACUAUUUUUGUAUAAUAUCAAUAAAUCUAUAAUAUCGCUAAUUAUGAAAAAUGUUUUCAUGACAUAUAAGAUAAUAUGUUUUAAAAGAAAUGAUCAAAACUAGAAAUUUUAACUCAUAUUUUUUAGGACGUCAUAAAUUUGGGAACAAACUAAAGAAUUGCUCCCCGGAAGGCACUUCAUAAAAUGAAAGGUAUGCUAAGUCCGCUUCAAUCACCAAAGAAUCUAAUUUAGCAUAGAAAAUCACGCAUAAAACUUUUUGAGCAACACUAAACAUCACUGAAUUGGAGCAUAAUUGGCAAAAGGAGUGUAUGAUCCUCUUGAGAAACAUAAAUGCCAAUUACAUAAGCUUGAGUAUACGGUUUUGCAACUUUACCUUGCCUUUUUCCCCAUGCAUCAAUCCUACCGCGACCUUUGGCUUCAUCCUACACCGCGUAGGCACGUGCACUAUAGUUAAGGUUGCCCCUUUUUUUAUUCUACCACCAUUCCGCCUCAUAGUUACAAGAAUAUGACACUUCAUUCAUAAUUUUGACUAUUAUCGUUUUGUCCAUUACAGGCAACACUGUCUUAGGGGUUUUCAAAGGAAAACAAGAGAGACCCAUGUUGUGCCAACUGCAUCUUAUUCAUUGGGUUAUACCAUUAUUUAUACUUAGCUUGAUGAAGAACGUUUGCUACCAAAGCUUAAUACUCUUUCCGUCCCAAAUUACUAUUUGUUUUAUUUUUUCUAGAUACAUAGUUUUUCCAUGCACAUAGAUAUAUGCUAUGUCUAUGUACCAAUGAAACCAAAACGAAUAUUAAUUUAGGAUGGCUGGAAUACUUAUUUUUAUUCUCAUAUAACUAAUCACCCUUCUAGAAACAAAAAAACUAUUGAUGGUAGCAAUGAUCUUGCUCGUCACCAAUGGGCUAUCUUACGAGUUGAGUCGUUUCACGAGUUUUCUUAGCCAAAAGUUCGAGCUAGGUGACAAUAGUAGUCCUUUUUUUUUUGAGACCCAGGUGACAAUAAUAGUUGGUAUACUGAUAAUGGAGUUGGGCCUAAACUCAAGCAAUGGUUGAAAAGGCCUUUGCCACUCGUUAGCACAGUAUGAGUUUUACCAUCACUUGACUUUGCUAAUAUGAAUUAAAUGGCAUUUUAUGAUUGGAAACAUGAUUAUUAAUGGUUAAUUGGAGACAACAAUUCUUCUGUUAAAUGCACAAAUAGUGUUUAAGUUGUGAAUGCCAAUUUUUUUUUUUAUCAACAGCUCCAUCUACAAAAUCGAUUUGUAGUAGCUGGAGGCGGCGCCUAAUUGCCUACUGGAGUAUAAACCAAGUUUCCUCAAGAGCUAGAAAGAAGGGUGUAUCGGUAAGCAACGUUCCAAUUUGGAAACGUACUGGGCCUACUGGCGUCGGUUAUCCAAAAAUAACGGGCAAAAGGAGUCCACGAAUUAUACUCGUCAUCGCCUCCUCCCCACCUCCCUGUAAAUAAAGCGUCAGGUCUCCCUCCUAACCUCGCACCAGGCCACCACCAGUGAAUCAGUGGUGCUCUGAUCAGACGCCGCCUAGGGUUUCUCCGAGCCGCCACCCCGUGCCCCCGCCCCCUUCCCUUCUCCUCCCCGAGCGUGCCCGCCGUCGCCAUUGCCGCGGCUUCGCACGAGCUGCGCGAAACCCAUCCUCAACCCACCCCGUGGCACCAAAUCCGUCCGUAAUCUGCGAAGAACUCGAAUGCGAUCCGAGGAAGCGCCAUAAACGCAGCACCACGCACGCAUCUAUCCAUCGCUGAAUUCCUCCUGCUGGUUCUGGAGACUUGAUAAGAACAGAUCCGCCGGCGCGCGGAUCCGUCAACCUGUUCGCGGCUGCGGACAGUGCGCGUGCGGUGCGUGGACGUGCGCAACAGACUCUGUUGAACCGAGGAUUUGGAUCUCUGGAACCACUCCGAUUUGGUUUUGGCCAGUGCGAUCUGAUUCCGGUGCGUUGAACAUGAUCAAGUCCGUGGUUUAUUACGGGAACAUCCCCGUUGGGGAGGCGGAGCUGUGGCCCAAGGGCGAGACGGACCUGGCGUGGGCGCGGGAGAUCCGGGUGGACCGCCUGUCGCCGCCCAGCGAGCGGUGCCCGCCGCUCGCCGUGCUGCACGCCGUCGCGGCCGGCGCCCGUUGCCUCGUGAUGGAGUCCAGGCCCACAUCCACGGCUGACGAGCCCCCACCGCCGCUCGUCGCCAUGCACACCGCUUGCCUCAGCGGCAACAAGGUAUACAUGUGAAUCAUUCUGACACCGAAACAAGGAAACAGCAAAGAGAAAUGAACAAAUUGUACCUUUACGUGGACAACCUUAGCCACACAAUAAGUCUUAAAUAGCGGUAGAGAAACUAGUGAAUACAGUAUUCCUGGAAUAUUUACUGCAUUAAUGAUUAUUGUAAUUUAGCAUGAACAAUGUACUGUGGACUGGUAUUUUUUGACAAAGACGUGAAUUAAUUAACAAUACUAACGGUAUCUUAUAUGAGAAUUCACUUUCUUAUAUAAUGUUUUGUGGACCAUGGCCUUGGUUUUUAACUUGACCUCAAGUAAUAGAACCAAUGCAAGUAUAGAACCUGGCCUGACUUUGCUCAAUGAAUGAGGUUUCAGGAACAGAGUUCCAUAUUCAGAAAUGGAGCAAAUAUCAAAGUAUAUCUUGAGAUCUUGAAUGCGACAUAUUGGUCAUUUGGUUGCUGAGACAUGCUGGAGGUUAUGAAGAAUUUGCUGUUAUUCAGCAAUUCUCGGCUUUGUAAACAUUACUCGCUAUCAGAAGUUCACUGAAGCAGUUGGCUGUUGGUUCUGAUAUCUGAAGUCCACGUAUGCUCACAGAGCUAUUUGAGGAAUGAGCGAUUAUCUGCUGGCAAGUUUGUUGCUGGAUUUCACCGGACCCAAAUUCAUUAAAGAGGACAUGCGUAUUAAGAAAUAUUAUUUUGGUCCCUGUGAUUCCUCUAAAUAGUCAAAUUUAUUAGUAUUGACACCAUUGUGAAAUUUCUGUUCUUUUUUAACAUUUUUAAUGUAGAUGGUGUUCCGCUAAUCCAAACUACAAAAAAUUAGGACAAAAUAUACUCUUUGCAUUUUCUUUCUACCUAUUGUUUUUUCUGUACUAGGUUUACUAUGCACAUGUUACUUUGAUAUGCAUUGCUCCUUUAUGGAAACUUUAUAUAUGCUAUAAGUGCGUUGUGAAUUUCCAUGCUUUCGCUGUGUGCAUAGUAUUCUGUUUGCUUACAUUAUUCCCUAAGCGGAAAAUAUUUAUUCUGUGUCUGAUCUUGUUCCUUUUAAUGCAUAUUGUUUGCAGACAGCGGUUUUUCCACUUGGAGCGGAAGAGAUACACUUAGUGGCGAUGACUUCUAAGAGAAACUUGCCAAAUCACGCGUGUUUUUGGGGCUAUAAAGUACCAUUGGGCUUAUACAAUUCUUGCUUGACCAUGUUGAAUCUUCGAUGCCUUGGCAUUGUGUUUGACCUUGAUGAAACAUUAGUUGUUGCCAAUACCUCUCGGUCUUUUGAAGACAAGAUAGAUGCAGUUCAGAGAAAAUUGAGUAAUGAGACUGAUCCUCAGCGCAUUAGCGGUAUGUUGGCAGAGAUCAAGAGGUACCAAGAUGACAAGUCUAUACUAAAACAGUAUAUAGAAAGUGAUCAGGUUAUUGAUGGUGGCGAAGUGUAUAAAGCACAAUCUGAGGUCAUCCCACCCUUAGCUGACAAUCAUCAACAACCUAUGACACGCCCGAUUAUAAGGUUACAAGAGAAACACAUUAUCUUGACACGUAUAAAUCCAUCGGUACGUGACUCACAUCAACUUUCUUCUAAAACUGAUAAAAAAACUUCGUUCUAAACGUGAUGUUCAGAUGCUUCCACUUUUUUGUUAUUAUUAAUCACCAUUCUUUUGGUAAGCGUGGAAAUGUACUGCUUUAUUGACUUUAUUUUGCACAAUUUUCUAAACUGAAUUGUACCAUGAUAUUUUAAUUUACUAUAUUUUAAGACAUCUCAUCACCUGAUUUUACUUGGCAUAAUUCUUUUCACGGAGAAAAAAAAUACAGACCUACUCCCUCCGUUCCAAAAUGUAGGUCAUUUUGGCUUUUCCACAUACAUAGAUUUUGCUAUGCACCUACAUAUAGGGUUAUGUCUAGAUACAUAGUAAAAUCUAUGUAUCUAGAAAAACCAAAACAACCUACAUUUUGAAACGGAGGGAGUAUUUACUUGUCCAUUAGACAGUUGCUUUAUGUUCUUGAAUGCUUUAUCAGCAUAAUAUGAGGCUUUACCAUACUGUUAGGGCCAAGUUACAUGGGCUAGGGGUUGCAGCCAACCAAAAAGUUCAACCUUUCUUUCUUUUUUCUUGCUGAGCUGAGCUUUAUUUUGAUAGUAGGAACACCUGUGCCUAUCAGGCUUUGAUUCAAUCACAUUUGCAUGCCAGUAGGCUGCCUGGUUUAUUUUUCCUUCCCUUCUGUUUUCUAGAUAAGAGAUACUAGUGUUCUGGUACGGUUAAGACCAGCAUGGGACGAUCUUCGGAACUACUUAAUUGCAAGAGGUCGCAAACGUUUUGAGGUGUAUGUGUGCACAAUGGCUGAGAGGGACUAUGCUUUGGAAAUGUGGAGGUUGCUUGAUCCAGAUUCAAAAUUGAUAAACUCUGUUCAACUUCUUGACAGACUUGUCUGUGUGAAAUCUGGUAUGUUUAAUUUCUUCUGAAAACACAAGUAUCAGGAGCAUAAUGUCACUGCUAAAAUCUAAGUUAGUCGAUAGUAUCUCUUGUGAUCUUUCCAGCCUUUUGAUGUAUGCUACAUUUACUCAUCUAGGAUCAAGAAAAUCAUUGUUAAAUGUAUUCCAUGAUGGAUCUUGUCACCCUCGAAUGGCCCUUGUUAUUGAUGACCGUUUAAAAGUUUGGAAUGAGAAGGAUCAGCAUAGAGUUCAUGUUGUUCCUGCAUUUGCUCCAUAUUACGCUCCCCAGGCAGAGGUAAUGGUCAAUUCUUAGCAACCGACAUAAGACUAUCUUAUUUUAUGGUUACUGAUGGUUCCUUGUCACCUCUUCAAUUUUCAGGCAAACUUCCCUAUUCCAGUUCUUUGCGUUGCCCGAAAUGUUGCUUGCAAUGUUAGGGGUGGUUUCUUCAAGUAAGGACAUCUUUGUCUAUAUGAUAUUCUUUGUAAUUAGUUGUCAUGACAUUGUCCUAGCUAAAUUGAAUACACUCUGCGGCCAUUCAUACUUGUUUUCCUGUUACUUGCACCAAUUAACAAGCUUGAAUCACUUGCCGAAGCAUAAGUUUUGUGAUUUAUUGUAUUGACAGAGAGUUUGACGAGGGCAUCCUACCCCAGAUUAGUGAGGUUCGUUAUGAGGAUGAAAUGGAUGGCAUUCCCUCUGCUCCCGAUGUUAGCAAUUACUUAAUUUCAGAGGUAAACUUCAUAAAGGAAAAUGCUUCAGAUUGACUACCUAGUACCUAUUUUCUACCAAAAAACAUUAAUUUUCUCUUUGCUAGGACGAGAAUUCUGCAAUUAUAAAUAUAAACAAAGAUCCACAUGCCAUUGAUGGUAUGGCAGAUGCAGAGGUUGAGAAAAGGAUGAAGGUUUGCACUUUUACUGCCUUGUUCUGGAUGCUUGGCUAUAAUGCAUAAAUUUUGAAGUUAAUGGAGAUGCAGGAAGUAUGGUGCUAUUAUGUGAAAUUAAAUUGAAUACAGUACGAGAUGAAGUAUGGUGCAGAAUAUGUUGUGGAGUAUGCUUAGUGUUCAUUUUAGACAUUUGUUCAUAGAGUUGAAUCAUCCAUUUUCAAAUAUCAAAGAUGUAACUGUUUAAUACUUAUGUGCAUUUUCUUCUUCAUUUAUAUUAUGUGGUGCCUGAAAAGUGGAUUGCAAAUACAAACUUCUAAUCCAUUCAAAGACACAGUUUUUACGAGGGUAAAAUGCAUUAUUUGAAACUCAACAGUGGUACAUUUCUUUAGCAAGAUACAUUGAAAAGUCUACUAUAAAAUUUUGAGAGAUGCAAUUGCAGCAGAUUUUUUUUGGGAAGUUUAAUCUAUAGUAUCCAACCAAUUUCUCAAAAAUAAAAACCCAUUCUGUAUGGUAUUAUUCUAUUUGUAUCAGCUUAAUCCACCUAACAAUCAACUGGUAAUGCUAAAUAACUUCAUACAGUAUUUCUUAGCAACUGCUACUGGUUUUAGCAUUUUUAGAUCACAUCUCACCUUGUUUGUAUCUAAAAAUUUUUCAGGAAGCCUCUUCCUGCUUUCAAGCUACGAAUCCAAUAACAACUGACAUCGAUGUGAUGUCAGUAGCUGCUAAACAGCACUUUGUUACACCUACAUCCUCAUCUACCCCAAUAGCAGCACCACCGGGCAUUAUUAUGCCUUUGAAUAAUGAACACCUUCCUCAGCCUCCUUCAUUCAGCUGGCCAGUUACUCUAUCUGGUCUUGUGGAUCCUUCGCAAGGUUCUCCAGCUAGAGAAGAGGGUGAGGUUCCUGAGUCUGAGUUGGAUCCUGACACUCGGAGAAGGCUUCUCAUAUUACAACAUGGUCAAGACACAAGAGAAGCUGCACAGCCGUUUCCUGACAGACCUCCUGCACAAGUCUCAGUUCCGCCAGUGCAAUCUCAUGGAAAUUGGCUUUCCUUAGAGGAUGAGAUGAACCCAAGGAACCUGAACAAGGCUUCAACAGAAUUUCAUUUAGAAUCUGACUCUGUAAAUUAUGAUAAUAAGCAACCACAGCAUCCAUCAUACUUCCCUGACGGGGACAAUCCUAUAUCUGCAGAUAGACAUAGCUAUAAGAACCAGAGAUAUCCUCCUCGGGUUAGUGAACAUUUGUUUUUUAUCAGAAUUUUUAAAUGAUCUUUGUUAAUGAGGUGUCUGCGGGUGAUAUGGUGACGCGUGCUUUAUUUACGCAGCCACUUCACAAUGAAGAUCAUCGAAUGCUUCAUAACCAUGCACCUGCAACCUAUAGAUCCUUUUCUGGUAUGUUUUUCUCUACCCUUGAUGGUUCUGAUGUGUUGAGCAUAUUGUACUGUGCAUGACCUCCUUUUGUGCUUGCUUAUCAUAUCUUAAGAUCUAUAGGGUAUGCUAACCGACUCGGCUCUCAUCUCAUACUGUCACUUUAGAGUUAUCUAUGUUUCCACUUUUCUCAAUGUAAGCUUUGUACUUGUAUUUUCUAUUCACCGUUAUGUAAGCAGCAUGCAAUUUGUUAGUUCGCUCACAUUUUUUGUUUUAUUUUCUAAACAAGAUGAAAAGAGAUUAUGUCUUUUUACUGGAACUUUAAGGUUGACCUCUUUUGAAUUAGUUUAGCUGCUGCUUAUAUUUGCUUAUCCUAUUGUGAGCGUGGUCUACUUAUCAAUCAUGGUUUCACUGGAAUCCCUAUUGUAGCUAGCUAAGUUAUGUAACUCCUUUCUUGGAAUGUUGUGGGUGCGUGCUUAGUUUAGAGUAUUCUGAACUUGAUUUGCAAUGUGAAGGGGAGGACAUAGCGACUCGGCAUGCUCCUUCAAGACAAAGAAGUAGACAAAUGGAAUCAGGAAGAUACUUCAUACAACAUGGAGGAAUAUUGGGUGUGUUAGAGGAGAUCGCAGUGAAAUGUGGAUUUAAGGUAUUGUUAAUGAUGAAAAUCAUAUAGCUAUUUUGUUCUUAAUCUGAUAGCUUAACAUGCCUUGUAUAUUUAUUCACCUAGGUGGAGUACCGAUCAACUUUAUGUGAUACAACAGAUUUGCAAUUCUCCAUUGAGGUAUACAAGUUAUGCUAAUUUUACUUUAGAUCCCAAUAUUACUUAUAAUUUAUGGAAUCAUAUGUACUGGGGAUGUUAAAAUAUUGGGAGUUAUGAAACUUGAUAUGGGCUUCAGGAAGUAAUCUUGGAAGCGGACGGUGCCUUGUGCAUGAUCCUUGCUGAUCUAUAGCUCAAAGCAUGCAUCACUUUUUCUUUAUCAAUUAUUUAUUGAGGCUGAUUGGAACAGUGUUUCAAAGGUGUGGCCUAGGCAUCCGGGCGGAUCCAGCUCGCCUUGCCGCCUAGGCUAUAAGGCGUACACAGCUUGCCUUAGGUUGCCUUGUCAACUUUAAAACACUGGAUUGGAAAUCACUCUAUUAUGCUUGUCUCGUAUUUUCUAUUCUUACCUUCGAUUAUACCUUUCAGGUUUGGAUUUUUGGAGAAAAAAUAGGUGAAGGAUUUGGAAAAACAAGGAAGGAAGCACAGUGUCAAGCUGCUGAUACCUCCUUAAGAAAUCUGGCAGGUGAGUAGACAGACUACCUAUUUUGUUUAUUCCCAUUUGAAGUUGCUAGUGUGCAACAAAACUAUAGGGGUUUGAUUAUGGAUAGUAACAUUUAAUUUGGGGUAUAUUUGAUUUGUUGUGGGCAGUUAUAUUUUCGGUGGUUGACUUCUGAGGUCUGAUCAAAGUGUCAAAAUUGUGGAAUAGUUUAUUAUUCUGGUUUUUGAAUCAUGUUUAACUAAAUGUUGCUGAAAUAUUUAUCUUUGGAUUUUUCUGUCGACAAUUUUCCUAUUUGCAAUAUUUUUGAUGGCAUGAUCUUAGUAUGCGGAAAUCCUUCUUUUUUUCUUCUUAAAUUAUGUACGGAAUGCCUCCAAGAAAGGGUGGAAAACACAGAAUCCAACAAUCUUCUCAUAAAGCAUUACAUAAGAAUCCAACAAUCUUCUCAUUAUCUCUUCCUUUUGUGUAAAACAUGCAUAUAUUUGACCUCAACUUCAUUUGCAGACAAAUUUUUAUCAUGGGACCCAGAUAAGAUGACUGUUGCGAAGGAGAAUGGUUUUAAUAGCAAUCCAAACUCACACAGAUAUCCAGGAAGUAAUAGAGACGAUAUGUUACCAGCUGCAAGCACUUCAGACGAGUCUAGAUAUACGAAUGACAGAAUCGAUAACUUAAGAAAACCUGGUGGUUCUGUUGCUGCUCUCAAGGAGCUUGUAAGUUGCUUCCUUAAUUACCAGCUUUUGGACAAUUAUUAUGCUCUUUUGACUAAAGUAUGUUUUGGUACAUUCAGUGUAAGGUUGAAGGGUAUAAUUUAGCAUUCCAAGAUCAGCCAUCUAUAGAUGGUUCAGCAGGUAAAGAAGUUUGUGCUCAGGUCAGUACUUCAUCUGGAUGAAUGUUCAUGUAACAUGCCUGGUACACCGUAUGAUCUUGAUACUGUAAGAUCAGUUAAAGCAAGUAAACUUGCUUCUGUUACCCUUGUAUACAGUACAUGAUUUGUUGUAUGUUGUCAUUGGUCAAGAGUUUUUCUUCCUUUAGAUUCAAUUUGCUCCGAUGGCUUUCGUGCUCGUAGCUCAUUCUUCUUAUAUUCUGAAAUAAUGCUUGGCUUUUCAGGUAGAAAUAGGUGGGCAAAUCCUAGGGAAAGGAGUUGGAGUAACAUGGGAGGAAGCUAAGCUGCAGGUUGUAAGCAGAUGGAUGAACAGUUCAAUCUUUUCCUUCUUUCUUCUUGGGAUAUUGAAAUGAAAAAAUAAGCCCGAGUCUUACACUUGUAUUCAACGAAGGAGGGUUUUUCUGUCUAUUAGGCAACUAAUUUUCUUGUUUCAGCCAAAAGUUUAUUUGCACACUAAACAACCUUUGCUACUAGUCUGUUUGGAAUCAAAGAAACCACUGAAAUAUUGCUUUCUACUAGACAUUAAAGGAGAAACUAAAAGUACUGUCCUAUAUUUUGUAAUGUGAUAAACGACAGAAAUUGCAUAAGCAUUUUUUCUUGUACAAAAGGAAGCCUUUUAGAAAAAAAAAAUUGUGCAGUUCAUUUACACCCUUCAUUGCCGAACUGUUCAUUGACAUCUCUUUUUAUAGGCUGCUGAUGAGGCUUACGGAACAUUGAAAUCCAUGCUCGGUCAACUUGCUCAACGACAGUCUGCAUCUCCAAGGUAAUGGUUUGGUUUCUGUAUGAAUAUUUUCCAUGUUUUUCGUGGUUGUUGAAGUCCGCGGACGUUUAGCUUUCUAGCAAAGACCAAUUUCUUGGCAGUCAUUAGGGUGGAAAUUGGUUCUCGUACAAAUGUCCCAAGUCUUAGAAAGCUUGCUCUAUAAUAUUCUCUCUUUGGACAGGUCAUUGGUGCCCAAUUUUAAUAAGCGCUUCAAGCCAGAUUUCUCGCAGAGGAUACAAAGGAUUCCUUCAGGCAGAUAUUCUAGAGACGACAGUCGCUUUCCUUGACAGUAGUCUGAAGUAUGCACUUAAUCUCCUGGGAAGAAUCAGGAAAUCAUGCCAGCACGUUUCCCCUCAAGCAUUCCGUAAUUGCAAGUGCAAGCUAGAUGGUUACGAGGGCAAGAGUUUAUUGUACGCGAUGACGCCUAGGCAUCGCAUUUUCAGUUUCGUGUACAGGUUUCUUCUCACCAUCAUCUUCAAGCUGCCAUUAUCCGCGAUUGCAACUGUUGUUGUAACCUGAUCUGAAGUGAGCUCUUGGAGAUGUGUUCUGACCUGUAUCAAAUUCCCAUUUCCUUAUGCCGGAACUGAGAGUGGAUCUCAGAGUGUACAUUCCUGAUGCUGUAGCCGUAGAUUAUCAUUUGUGCACACCUAGAUCAGAUUAGGCUCCAGUGGUUAUUGAUGCUCGCUGCUCGGUAGUUGAGCUCAUCCGAGUUGGCUGCCAAUUUUCUUCUGGCGGCGGCAGCUUUUGUGUUCAUAAGUCUUGCGCCAUGUAUUUUUAGAAUCAUGGCGCGAGAUUUAUGAACACAGAAUUCGUGGCACCAUGUUAACCUCAUUCUUUUAUUUUUGUAAAAAACAUUUCAGAAUUCGUGAUGUAAUCUGAUUUAACAAUUUUGAAGUGUGUUUGAUCGAGUUUUGUACAACUCGUUUCCCAGUCUGCCUCUCGACAGUUACUUGCAAAUUGCAAUUGAGAUGCCUUUUCUUCUAAUUCUUCUGCAUUUACACAGUUGUAGUACUCCACAUGCUAAUAAUACGGUUCGUUUCUGGAUGUGCCUGACGGUAGUAUUUGUAUACAUGCUAAAGGCUAAAGCGAGGCCUCUUGCCAUCUAAUAAAAUUGCCCCUACGCGAAAUUUCAAAUUUCAGAACCCACGGAUAUUCUGGGCCCACGUAGCAGUGUCGAAUUUCAGGACCCACAGAUAUUCUGGGGCCACGUGGCAGUGAGGGGUCGGCUGCCCACGUGGCUCCAGGGAGCGAGAUUGUAGACGAGCGCCGCCAGCUCAGACGAUAUCAGAUGAUCUGCAGAGCUUGGGCUCUGCUCUGCUUCGGUGUUUCAUGGUGGUGGCCGUCGCGGAGGACAUCGGUGGAGUGGGAGGCGAGCAACCCCAGGACGCGGCCGUGCUCCGGCGAGCCAAGAAGCAAGCGCCGGGGAGCACGCCAGCCAGGCGGUGCGUGCAGCGCGUCGACGCCCGACGGCGGGUGCGAAACAGCCGCAUGGGCUCUGUGGCUUGCGGCGGCAAGGAGUUCGCGCCGCGCAGGCGCGUCGUCGAAGCUGGCGACCGCGUCCUGGCGGGCCCGGAGGCUCUCGUCGCCGUGCCCACCUGUCGCGGCGGAGCGGGACAGCAAGUCGCCCAUCGAUGCACGCCAGCCCGCGGGCGCGUCUCUCCCUGCGCUCGAAGACAACUUCGCCGCCGCGGCCGUGCUUGGUGCUCGAUCGGCGUGGCGACUCAGCGCCGCUGCUGAACGCCGGCCUUGCAGGCAAAGCGGCGAACACCUAGCGCGCGGCCUCCGGCGAGACGCCUGACGAGGCAGCAAACGAGCGGAGCGGAGACGAUGGUGGCGUUGUAGGUGAGACGUGCGUACUUCGCAAGAACGAUGAGCGGCGCGGGGUUGCGAGCGGCGGAGCCGGCCGUGCGCCGUGCGGUGGUCCAAACGCGGCGGGCGGUCGCUGUGGAAAACGAGAACAGAGAACGGCCCGCCGCGGGAGCAUCUCCAGAUGAACGAACUAGUGCCCAGGGCCGCGAGCGUGAUCCUGACGGAGGCAACCGCCGAGCGCCGGAGGAGCGGAGGCCGGUGGGCGCGCGUGACAUCGCUGCCGGCCGGCCGGGAAUAUUUGCAGAACGCCCCCGGUUCGGAUCGAUCGCGAUCAAUAAUCGCAUCCCAAAUACCCCUAAUUUGGAUUGCGAUGAAUAGUUGCGAUCCGAAUAUUUACAUAUUACCCCCUAAAUUUACAAAUAACCCCCUAAAUUGGAUUGCGAUCAAUAGUCGCGAUCCAAUCAUUUUCAUUUAGACCCCUAAGUAUUUUCAGAUAACCCCCUGGUCGUGCUCCGCCCGUCCGCCGCCGCCCUCGACGCCGUAAUCGCGAACCCCCAGCUCGGCCACUAGUCCCCGGCUCAAGCCCUAGCACCAUCCCCCACCAAUCUCUCCACCUGAAGAAAGAAUGGAGGGCGGCGCGCGGCCCGACGCCGCACCCGGGCCGCGCGUUGCGAGCCGCCGGGCGGGCAUCGGGGCAUGGCGGCAACACCGGAGCGGCGGGGGACCCGGUCUUCACGCUCUACACCGGGGCGCUCGGCACCGCGCUCCUGCUCUUCAGGGCCUACUUGAUUGGUCACCGGAGACCGCGCCGACCUCGCCACCUCGCCGAGAUCGUGGCCGCUUGCGACGCGGCGUCUGCACCUGCGGGCGAGGAGAGUGAGUCAGUGGCCGUGUGCUCGGUUGUUCACCGCCGCUUCAUCUGGUUGAUUUGAUUGGAGUUGAUUAGGGUCUCCUGCAGGUUCGUGACGUUCAUAUGCGGGCGGCGGGCUGGGGUCUGCGCGCUCGGUGCGGCGGUGGCGAAGCACGCCGGAGACGAGGUCAUCGUCGCGCGCUACCUGAGCUCGUUUAAGAAGGUAACUGGAUGACGUUGCCUGUCAGGCAGCUGCUGUGAGUUGCGAUAAUGGAUUUUCUAGAUCAAUUGCCGUUAGCUAGCUGUUCCUCUUGUUCGAUCUUAGCGAACUUGCUCGUUUUGACUCUGAGGAAGCUACAGUUGUAGGUUAACCUCUGAUGAAAAUUGGUACGGCAUAAUGAACGUUAGUGAUUUAUUGUGUAGUUAAACCGUGUUGAACUGUAGAUUGUGAUCUCAUUUGAUGUGCCAGAUUUUCCUUGCUAUCCUUUGCCCUUCGAAACUGUGACUUAUUCAUAUAGAACAAUGACCCACCUUCAAUUUUCUAGUUUUUAUGUAUGAGAUCAUAAUUGUCCUUCACUCACUUGAAAUACCUAUAGAAACACUGCUACAGUGCUUCUUAGUUUUGGCCCUGUGUAUAUGCUGAAAGUGUCAAAGAUUUACUGUAGGACAGGUAUUUUAUUGCCACAAAAAGGCAGCAUUUCCUACUUCUGUACGUUUUCUCUAAACCCAUGGUCUCAUCAUGCCAAUUCUUUGUUCUAAUUUCUAACUACUUCACUGCACCCCAGUUUGGUCCACUUGACCGCUGACAUAUUAUGUUGCCAAUUUAUCCAAUUUUCUUCCAUGGUUGCUACUCUGAAGAAAAAGCAGAGAUCUGGUAUUAUGAAAGAGAUAUCAAUGAUAACAUCUAGUCCCUCCGUUCCAAAUUGUAGGUCGUUUUGAUGUUUCUAAAUUUAUAGAUAUUAUUAUACAGCUAGAGUCGUCAUUUUGACUUUUCUAGAUUCACAGAUAUUAUUAAUUAUACACAGCUAGACAUAUCUAGAUUCGUAGAUAUUAUUAUAAAAACCUAUAAUUUGGAACGGAGGGACUAGCUAAAAUACAAUUCUAUACAAUUCGAUGCGCUGUUUUCCGAAAGUAUUUGAGAUGGAGCCAUCCCGGCCAAUUGCCGCAUUUUCUUUCCCCGUCUUUACACUGUCGGACCACUGCCUUGUUUGCUGUGUAUUUAACAUUUUAUCUGUGACGUGUUUUACACUUUUUACUGCACGGAAAAUAUCAUCCAUUUAUAACAUAUCCCCGGACCACAUGGAACUCGAGCAUACCGGAAUCGAGGCACAGGAGACAUCUCUUCGUGCACCCUGGGAUGCCAUGGCUACCACCUGCAUAUGGCGUAGGUGUCGCUCAAAUCGAUCAGCUAUGCUGUUCUCGUCCUGCUGCGUAACAGCGUAAGCUGACCGUAAUACCGGAUGCCAAGGAUCAUGAAUCGCGCGCCAUCGCCCAUUGCUGCCCAUUGCUCUCGUCUCCUAAUUGUUUAUUACUACGCCAAGAAAUGGUCGCGGUUCACGAGAUCCAAAUCCAAGUUGUGGUCUUGAACAUGUGCACACGUUAGCGGACGUAGCCUUACGCUUUGAACGUGCAUGGUACUCAAAAAUAAGCUUUUAAGGUCCAUUAAACUAUACUAACGAGGUAACUGAUAUUCCCACCGUUUUAAAUUAUAAGUUAUUUUGGUAAAGUAGACAUGAUGCAUAACCUAGAAAAAUUAAAAUGAUUUACAAUUUGGAACGGAGGAAGUAUAUUAUACGAUCUUCGCCUUCCAUCCUCAUUAAUGGAGGAUUUAAUGAUAAUGUAUGAUAUAUUUCGAAGUGAUGCACAGCUGGAGCAAUCCUUUCUUUUACAUGGAAAGGAAGGAUAUAGGCACACUGCACAUAUAUACUAACAUAUUGAUAAGUAAACGCUCUAUCCUAAUGCCAUCAGUGGCUCUAAACAAACUCUAAGACUAGCAAGUUGCGAGUCUGCAAGGUGCACUUAAUUUUAACCUGCCAGCAGGAGCAGGAGUUCAUGCGAAUGGCGCCGCUUGCCUUCCCCUGCUACAAUGCGGAGACCAGAUCGAGAUAGCUCCUCACGUAGACAAAGCCAAGGUCACGUACGUGCUAACGUGCACAUGGCUGUAGCGGCGCAGGUGCAGCAAGCCAAGAGCUCCAUGGCCACUCCUCCCGCGUCUCCGACGACGACGAUGCCGGCGGCGCGGAAGCCGCUGCACCUGCUCCUCCUCUCCCUCUCGCUCCCCGUCCUCCUCCUCCUGCUCUCCCUCGUCUUCCUCCUCUCGCACACCACCUUUAGCCUCCUCAUCUGCCCUCUCCUGCCGCAGCCGCCUUCACGGCGCAAUGCGACGAGCACCAGUAGUAGUAGUAGUGGUGACAGCCUCGGUGUCUCCAUGUACAAGACCUUGCAAGCGUUCCAUGACUCGACGCCCCCGUCAAGGAGCAAUGUGACGACCACCAGUAGUAGUAGCGCCAGCCUUGGUCUCUCCAUGGACAAGACCGUGCAAGCCUUCCACCAUGACUUGGGGGCGGCGCCACCGCCACCGCCGCCGUUGCCGGCUGCUCCUGCUUCUGCUGUUAAGACCACCAGCAGCAGCAAGAAGGCGUCCGCGAAGAGGAACAAGAGCCUCCUCAAACUCCUGCUCAGGAGCACGCCGCAGACGCGGCGGUUCGCGGCGCGCGCGGGCGAGCUCUUCGCGUCCCCUUGCACGGACCGCUUCUUCAUGACGUGGCUCUCCCCGCUGGUGCAGUUCGGCCGCCGCGAGCUCCUCGUCCUCGAGAGCCUCUUCCGCUGGCACCGCGGCGCCUGCCUCCUGGUCGCCUCCGACACCAUGGACUCCGCGGGCGGCAGGGACAGGCUGAGGCCGUUCCUCGAGCGCGGCCUCCGCGUCGCCGCCGCCUCGCCGGACUUCGCCUACCUCCUGCGCGGCACCCCCGCCGAGGCGUGGCUCGCCGCGGUGCAGCGCGGCGGCGUCAGCCCCGGGAGCGUCCCGCUCGGGCAGAACCUCUCCAACCUCCUCCGCCUCGCGCUGCUCUACCGGUACGGCGGCACCUACCUCGACGCCGACGUCGUCGUCCUCAGGCACUUCUCCGGCCUCCGCAACGCCAUCGGAGCGCAGGCCGUCGACGAGGCCACGGGCGGCUGGAGGCGACUGAACAACGCCGUGAUGGUGUUCGACAGGGCGCACCCACUGCUGCACGAGUUCAUCGCCGAGUUCGCCGCCGCGUUCGACGGGAGCAAGUGGGGGCACAACGGGCCAUACCUGGUGUCCCGGGUGGCGGCGAGGCUGCGCCACCGGAGCCCCGGGCUCAACCUGACGGUGCUGCCGCCGCGGGCAUUCUACCCCGUGCACUGGAGCAAGAUCGGCGGUCUGUUCGUUGCGCCCAAGGAUAGGAGAGGCGAGAGGUGGGUGAAGGCCAAGGUGGAGAACAUCAAAGGCGAGAGCUUCGGCAUCCACCUAUGGAACAGGGAGAGCAGGGGGCUCGAAGUGGAAGAGGGGAGUGUCAUUGGCAGGUUGAUUUCAGACAGCUGCCUGUUCUGCAAUUCUUCCAUGCUUGUAAAGCAAGAAUGGCAAUAGCUGCGGGAGAUCCUGCACAUUUUCAGCUGCAUGCAGAUAGAUGAGUUGAGAGGUUGGUAUUUUGUGAGAUGAUGUACAUCUUACUUGCAGACAGUGAAUACUAUAUAGUACAGAGGUUUUGAACUUGUAAGUAUGAGGAAACUAUCCUAAUUGACAAGAAGUUUCAGAGAAAUGCCGUCUAGUUUAAUUGUAGGUGUUCUGAUUGAACUAUCCCAAGGGGGACAGUGGAAAUUUUGGAUCAUCAAGUAGCUACUUUGACAGGGAAAGCAGAAUUGUCAGGAAAUGGUACGGUAAACCUGAAGAUCUGACAAGAGUACAAGUACAUUUAUCCAAUAUUGAUGUUUUUUUUCAAAAAAUAAAAUAAAACCCCGGAACCACACCGAUGUUUACUCGUACACUCACUCUGAAGAUGUAUAGUACAUGUCAUGGUUUUGAAUGGGUUGGAGUAUCGAAUACAACGCAUACACUUCUGACUUCUGCAAAUAUCAACUCACACUCUAUUGUAGUGUUAAAAGAAUGGGAUCUGUAGAAAGAUUUUUUAGCAAGUAUAUUUUUUUGUUGAAGAUACACCAGUUGUAACUUAUAAACAUCAUACAUGUCGAUCAUCUCCCAUUUAGGACAUAAAAAUAUGAUGGAACUUUCAGACUAACAGCAUAAUCAAUCUACUGCCACCUUUGCCUAUUAAAGUACCAAUGCCCUUCUGUAUCCUCAAAAUCGGUUGUAGUCCACUGCAGCCUGAUCAUUUUUUAAACUGAUAGUCGAAUCCAGCAGAGCCGGAUCAGGUUGGCUUGUCAUUGAGACAUGAAGCUUCAGACUUGCUAAUAAGGAUAUCAACCAAGAGGUACAGACUUCUUAUCACUCGGUAUUAAAUGCUGUGUAUCCUCAAGCUCAAUUUCACCUCCUCUCCAUUCGUCCCCACUUUCAAACAUCAUUUCAAUCUGCUCCAGUGUUUUCCCUUUUGUCUCUGGCACACAAAAGUACACAAACAGUACAGAGAUACUUGAUAUUGCAGCGAAGACGAAGAACAUUCCUGCCACAGAUAUAGCACGGGCCAUAGAAAGGAAUGACAUGGAAACCAAACCACUGCUCACUCUACCGCCUACUUGACCAAGUGCUGAUCCUUGAGCUCGUAAUCUUAAAGGAAAUACCUCUGAUGACAAGACCCAACAUAUUGGUCCCAUGCCAAUUGAAAAGAAUGCAACAUUCCCACAAACUGCAAAAAUUGCUAGAUCGAUCCCAACACGUGGAGACAUAAGCCCCAUGGCAUGCUUUUGCAAUGUAAGUGCCACCCCCAAGAGAAACAAGCAUGCAGUCAUGCCAAUGGUGCUGACAUAAAGAAGUGGCUUCCUUCCAACUUUAUCAAUGAGGAAAAUUGCAACCAAGAUGAACACUGUCUUGGUGAAACCCACAGCAACAGUCGCAGCAAGAAGCUCCUGAUCAGACUUGAUCCCAGCAUCCUUGAAAAUUGUUGGGCUGUAAUAGACAGUAGCAUCAAUCCCAGUAAUUUGUUGGAACAAUUGAAUACCACAGCCAGCAUACAGCAUCCGACGAACGGCGGGAGAAGGGUUCAGAAGCUCUCUCCACACUUCCUUCUCCUCAGAUUUCAUCGAUUUCAUAAGACCUGCAGCUUCCUCGAUCUCAGACAGCCGUUCUUCAACUUCAGCUUCAGACUCACUUAUCUGUAGCAGCACUGCUCUUGCUUCUGAAACUCUCUUCUCCAUCAUCAACCACCUAGGGGACUCUGGGAUCACGAAAAGUGCAAAACCAAUGAAGACAGAUGGAAGGAUACCGACGCCGAGCAUAACCCUCCAAUUGAUGUGCUCAGAAAGGCCUGAAAAGGCAUAAUUGGAAACAUAGCCUAGGAGGAUCCCAAAGUUGAUGCAUAUCUCAGGAAGGGAUGUGAGAGUCCCACGGGCACCAGCUGGGGAGAUUUCGGCAAUGUACACUCCAGAUACCAUGGCACCAAAGCCAAUGCCCACUCCAGCUAGUAGCCUCCCAAUCAUAAGCACAGUGAAUGAUGGAGCAAAUGUCAUGAUGACUGCGCCUAUCUGGAACACAAUUGCACCAAGGCCCAUUGUCCAUUUCCUGCCAAUUGCAUCAGAUGUUCGUCCACCUGAUAGGCUUCCCAAGAGUGAGACCACGCUCAGACAGCCUACUAGGAUUUCUUGCUGAAACUCGGUUAUGUGGAGAUCUUUCUGUAUGUAGAUGAUGCAGCCACUCAUGACACCAACAUCUGCAGAUAAAACAGGAAACUUGGAUUACAAAAAUGUUACUUGUUCCUGCGGCCAAUUUUACAGGAAGAAGAAUACAUUUCUGAAUUCUGAGAAGGCCAGUAGCCAUGAUAGGCCUCUGUUCCAACCGCUGAUUUGCAUAAUCAGCACAGGGAGGCACCAAAAUCCUACUUGUAGAACAUAGAGGAAAAGAUAAACUGAAGGACCUCAACUCAGGUCAUGUGAAAGUUGCCAAAAAUCUCCAAAAGUUAGCUUACACGAAUGUAAUCAGGAUAUUCUCGUGGAAGGCAUGAAAAGCGUUUCCAUUAGGACAAAUAACCAACUGCUAUCCCUGUCGGAAUCAUGCUACCUUUCUAUUAACGGGAGGCGGGAUUUUGUUUGCAAAUGGAAAAAGUGCAACAUUUUUGUCCCUAAGAUCAGAUCCCUAGAGCACGGCGUCACUCACCGUAGCCGAGGAGGAUGGCGUUGAGCGAGGCGAAGACCGCGCAGGUGUACACGAACCGCUCCCUUCUCCUCCUCUCGCUCUCGGGCACCGGCGGCCUCCUCCGGACGUCCAGCUCCCGCUCCUGCUCCUCGCUCCGAUCAAGAACCGCGUACUUGUUCCUGCCGCCAUUCGCCGCCGCGCUGGCAUCCGCCAUCGCCUCCCUCCGUGGCCACGGUUACCCGGUGGAGGGUCCUCGCCGCGGAUUGGUGCUCGAUUCGGAGAUCAUCAGCAGCCGGCGCCCCGAGCCCCCAAAUCCAAUGGAGCCCGAGGAAGGUGGGAGAUGUCGAUGCGGUGGUGUUCUUGCUCCGUUUCUCUACCCCGUUUUACCUGUUUGUUUAGUAGGUGACGAUGGUUUCCAUUUCUUAUCGAAGAAAUCCUCAAGACUACAAAUACUUACCCAAAAAUCCUUUCCUGUAAAAUGUCCAACACUAGCAGGGCUCAAACUACAAUUUCGAGGUGUUCUGAGGUUAUCCUUGGCAUUUCGGUGAUUUUGUGCGGGUCAAGUACUCGUUUUUUACAUGGAAAAAUGUCGGAAGCAGGACUUGGACGAGACGCCGUGUUCUGAAUUCUGACUUUCUCCCUCCUUUCCCGGCAGGGGUGAGACUAUUCCAUUACGACUAGGUUACAAGUCAGGUUAGCUUCAUGGUGGUGGAAAAUGAGAUGGUUUAACGGCCUAAAAUCUGCCGGGUAUGGCAUGGCAAGAAUGCAAGAUUGCCAGGUGAAAAGCUGGUGUGACACACCGAAUAAAGAUUGUAUAGUGCUAGCUUAGUGUUUGUGUAUUUUGUCCUCGAUAGAAGUUGCAGAACGUAAUCACUUUGGCUGGCUUGUUCUGAGGGUGUCGCUUUCAUGCGAGUUUAAGCAAAGCCAUGGUGGUUUGGAUUAAUCAAUCCUCGAGUGCGACCGGAAAAUAUCAGAAAGUUCCCCGGUCCACAUCAUGAUGGUAGAUGUCCCCAUUCCAUUGCCUUCAGAAUUCUCGUCAGAAACUUCGCCUCGCCUGAAUUUGCCUAACACUGACGGCACCACAGUUUGUUGACGAAUAGUUGUUGUUAGCAUAGCAAAAGGUUAGCAGCUGGAGGUUAAGACAGGAGAGUAGUGGCAAACUAGCGACGCUCUUGGCGUGGAACAAGUCAAACAACCAGCCAUCUGUCCGGAGUUUAUCGUUAAUGCGCGCCUAGUAUGCUUGAACUCCUGCGACCAGACGGCAGGAUGCCAAAGUUGUCAUCUGUCAGUUGUCACCAAGUCACCAAAUUGGACCCUCAUUUUGGCCAACUUUAGGUAUCAAAAUAAACUAAGGCCAAAUUUUGUCAACAAACUAAAAUGGUGGCAAAAAUGUUCUAACGUGCCAAAUUUUAGUUUGGCUACUACCUUGGGCACAUUUAGGCACAAAUCAAACAGUACUUACAGGCUUGAUGAAUUCACGGAUUACCGCUACAGACUAACAGACCACACCAACCGGACGGCAUCUUCUCAACGGAUGAUUUGCAGGUUGCAGCAAGUGUGCUAUGCACAUAAGGAUCCACAAAAAACUACAUGCCGUCCCUCCCAUUAGUCCCAGAAGAGGGAAAAGGAAACAAACGCUUGCUACUCGUAGCCCAUGCAAACUGCAAAGAGGAGGGAAAGCACGAAGAGGAAGUUGGACGACGAGGCAUGGACUGACCGUAGCCGAGGAGGAUGCCGUUGAGCGACGCGAAGAGCGCGCAGCUGAAGGCGUACCGCUGGCCCCGGCGGCGGCGCUGGCUCUGCGCCUCGGCACGGUGCAGCCACUCCGCCUCGUCCAGUUCCUCCCCCUCUUCCCCGCCGACGAGCUCCAUCCUCCGGUACUCCUGCUUCGUCGCCGCCGUCGCCGGCCUCAUCUUCACUGACUCCAUUCGCCGGCUGCGUGCGAGAGACACACAGAGAGGCAGAGGAGUCAAGAAGCUGCCGCCUGCAACUACUGUGUUCGUGAGACCUGCAUGUGUGUGAUCUCCCUCUUCCUCAGAUCUGAUACCAGGGCUCCAAAUGCACGCCUGGCUCUAGCGUUUGCUUGCCCCGCUUCAUCGCGAAAAAAGAAUGGUUACUCAAGGACCUCUUGAGCUUAUUUUAGAGUCGCCUCCACGUUCAUGGCAGGCCUUCGUCUUUUCCUUAUUCUAUGCUGCAAGUGGCACGGGUACAGCUUAGACUUUGCCAACAGAUGUGCCGGUCUCAAGGUUGUUUUGGACUAGAGAAAUUCAGCCUGUUUCAUUCAGCUUGUCUAGGACAGUUUAGAUUAAUUGCUAGUGGCACAAAAGUAUCGGAGACGGCCAUGACCUUCAACAAAAGUACAGGAUGGCAUUCUAGAGUUUACAAGCUCCGAGAGACCCAGUGCCUUAAACCUCAAUUGUUUCAGCAGCCUUGGAUGAAUCUCGAGACCUAGAGAUUUGUUUGCCAUAAUGCAUGUAUGAUAUGAUAUGAUAUGGGAGUGCUUAGAGAGAAACAAUAGGGACCAACAAACCGAUAUGACAGCGCAAAUAUAUUGAUCAAGUGGUUGCUAUCCACUAGAUGAAUUCAGCAAGUGUACAAUCCAGUUCGGGGGGUCAAUGAUCACCUUACUGUACACUGAAGGCAUUGAAGAAGAAAAUGGCAGCUACAAGUUUUUUUGGUUUCAGAUUUCCUUGUCCUUGUGCUGCUAUGCUCUGUGCUGAGGAUGCUCUGCAUUGAUUGGCCGAAAUUUGAGGAUCUUUUGAGUGCUGGCAAGAUGAUUUACUUCCUUCAACGAACCUUCCUUGCUGCUGCUAGCUGGUUUGUCCAUGUUUUCUUCGGAAGGUGUGGUCUCAUCACUCGGAGGUUUUGGUUCAGCUUCUGACAAUAGAAGAGGAAAAACAGUGAAUGGAUCUACUGAAGAACUGCAUUAGGUCAAACAGUGGAGUUUCUCAGACUCUGUGGAAAUGAGGUUCCCAAAGAACUGCAUGAGUUGACAUUAUUUACUGCAUGACCGACAAAGUCAGUACAUACACGUGAAAAGUAUAUUCACUUGUUUGAUGAUACCCACACGAGGGGGUGUAUUAAGUGCAAACCAUGACAUAAAAUAUCUGAAAUCUUCAUGAAACAACAGCAGCCUACCCACAUGGUAUCAGAUUCUUUCUGCAAAAUUUAACAACCCGCGACGAAAUAUUUGCCAAACACUAGAGGAGUUUCAAUGUAACUUACCACUUUCAGAGAAUAGAUAACAUGUGCCAACAGUUUCUUCAUAUUCUCCAAUCUGUAAAACAAUGCAUUGGCAUUAGCACUAGAACACGCAAUAGGCAGAUUAGACAUUGAAAGUCAAUGGUACAAGUUGGGGAUUUUCAAGUUUUUUUUUUGUAAAGAAGAAAACCAUUAGCACACAGAAAGGGACACCAAUGCAGCCUAACGAAGUAAGUUGCCAUCACCAGCGACAAAAUCAGCUAAUCAGUACAAGAUGCAUUUGGUACUAAAGGAACUAUAACUAAAUUAUGGGUGUCAAAUACAUUUUGCUUCCAUCUUGUCCUGCUAAAGCUUUCAAUGGCAUAAGGUACAGCUACGAGAUUAUUCUUGACAACAAUUGAACAAGUAAUUGAUUUUGAUCUGUAAGAGUGGCAAAGAAAAAACAAACAAACUGGAGGUAUGCAACGACUUGAUCUAAAGUUCAAAACUUAAUAAAUUAGAUUUUAUGUUUAUGAACAUGCAAAAAUACUGACAAUCACCCUAUGCAGCUAGUGCACAAUGGAUCUACAGCACCUGCUACGUCCACAACCCAAAGGCGUGAUACGGGCUACAUAGUACAGAAAACAAAAUCAGAACAGACUUACCAUCUUCAGAUCAUCACCUACUACUAAGGUAGGCGUCAUCGUAUCCAAACCCUGAAAAUCAUGAUUCCCACAACUUAGUAAUCUAACGUAAAGGAAACAACUAGAAACUCAAGAGGUAGUUAUGAGCCAAGAUAUCGAAAAAGUGGAAGAACAUGGUACAGAACAAGUUAAUUGGGCAGAGUUGUAGAUCCAGAGAAGGAGCAACUUACAGAGAGUACAAAUGGAGCAUCUGGUGAUAUGUCUGAAUAAAGACAAUCGCCCAACUCUAGCAAUACAUACUCCACUUCCUCCUCCUCCUCCUCUUCCCCAAUUUUCUUAUCUUUGUCAAGUUCUUCUGACAUCUCCAAGUGGACUUGGACGACCAAUAAGACUCUUCAGUCCUAUUCAGAAUGCAGGACUAAUAUCAGUACCAGCAAGCAUUGUAGCCAGUCUAUCGUUCUAAUAUCAGUAUCAGCAGCCCAGUAUUAAUCUUCAAUAUUCUCAUAUCAUAUGCAAUUUUCCGAAAUAUCAUUUGUGUUCCAAUGCCAGUUCCUGAAAUAGAGCGUACUUAUGUCCUAAUUUAUGACAAAUCAAAACUAUGGCUAAUUUGCAAUGAAACAAUUCCUAGACUGCAAUCAAGCAAUGAACUCGGCAGACAGCAGCGCACCAGAUCAUAGAAGCUUCACAAUCUUGAGCAUCACAUAAUUUUGAAUUUAAGAAAAAACCGAAGCAAAUCAAAUAUACCUAGCAAGGGCCUCAGAAGAUGGCAGCACACUGGUGUCACGAUUGGCGUAUGGCGAGCAGCAGCACAACAAGGUGAAGACCUGCUGUAGACCGACAGGAAGGAUGAUGAUCGUCCGUGGCCGGUGGGCCUUCCUCGUAGCGCCGGAGGCGACCUGCGGGAGGGAGCAGCCGACAGUGGACUGUGAUCGGCGGUCGGCAGCGGGGAGCAGGGAUCGAGGAUGCCUCUAGCUUUCAGAAAUAGAGGAGAGAACUGCCGUUGGCCCGUUGCAGCUGUGCUUGUGUGGGCUUCGGCCGGCAGCCGCUAUGCGCGCGUGCACCAGCGAAGGCGGUGUAGCUAGGGGCCCGAGGCCGCGUGCGGCCACCAGGAGGUUGCGACUAGCGAGGGCGGCGCAGCGGCUGCUGCCUGCUGGCUUGUCGAGCGCCGCCGCACACUGGGACUGCUGGCCUGUGGGGACCGCGGCUUGGGAAGGUGGGCUGCGGGUUGGGCCGUUUCUUUGACUAGGCCGCUGAGCUACCUGGGUGGGCUGCGAGAUGGACCUGUAUGCAUGCUCCACAAUACUCAUCAUAUAGCCCUGCUAACUGGGCUGGCAUCCAAACCAAAACCACACCUAUCUAUUCUAGCAUGCAAAGAAAAUGCAACCCACCCCACUCCAGUCUUCCACCCGCAGAAAUCAAACCCCACCAAUCCAAUCAUCCUCCCACAGCAAAUAAUAUAACAAACCACUGUCCAAACUGCAGCUACAACCCAUUAAGAACCCAUUAAGAAAUCGUUUCCACCACAGCUUCAUCCAAGAUUGCACAGGCAGCCAGGCGAACAGGAGCACACAACUGCCACAAAAUAUGAUGUUCUGGCCAAGGAACUGAAACAAUGCUAGAAUUAGAAGUACAGAAUUGUUUCAGACUCCUGUUUCAGACAGAGAUUCCUCUAAGAAGAUUAAAAUCCAACAAUGCUAGAAUUAGAAGUACAGAACUGUCACAAAAUAUGAUGUUCUGGCCAAGGAACUGAAACGAUGAAAUAUAGAUGGCUCCUGUCAAAAUUUAUCAACAACGACUCCUGUUUCAGACCAAAUCAAAGACAGAGGAGACCAAAUCCGUCAGGCAGAAGGAACUCUGCUCACAAUAAUUGGUCCAUCAAGAUUCCUCUAAGAAGAUUAAAAUCUAUGCAGCACGGAUACGGAUACGCGUAUCGGUAUCGGAAGGAUACGGAUACGCGGAUACGGCAAUUUCUUAAACAACCUGAUACGCGGAUACAUUUUAACUAUUUUUUUAAUAAAUAAAUAACAAUGCAUAUUAAAUUGCAAAAUAGAUGUUCAAAUUCAACAUAGAGACAUUUAAGGUCUAUUGCACUGAGAAUAACAUGAUAGCAGGUUCUAAUUUAGGAGAGGAUGGGAGCCUGGGACUGCAAUCAAUCAAUAUAAACUCAUAUCCAGAUUCUGGAGAUUGGCCAAUUAUCAUCACGUUACCUCCUACUUGCAAUCUAUAUGCUACUAUUCUCCAAGCAAUUGUAUUUGAACCAGUUAAGUAUUGAAAAGAAAGGAUAAUCAACAACUGUGCAAUAGCCAACAUUAUAAAGAUCACACUGCCCCUGAACUUAAUCCACCAUCCAUGCUUGCAUGGGCCCUUAUUCUGUAGACUAUGGAUUAUACUUCCAAAUUGCCUGGAUACACUACACAGAAAAUGUAAAUCUCUAUGCACUUUACGGAUGCUAUGCUACCAUUACUGGGAGGAACUCACGGUUCACGGGAGGCCUGCACUACCACUAUCAGAGGAAGUCACGCACCUGAACAGGGGCUGGGGCUCCUUACGCCGGAGGCCGACGGGAGUAAUCACGGGCGGACGGAGGCCGACGGGAGGCAGCCUGCGGCCGGCGGGAGGCGGACGGAGGCUGGCAGGAGGCGGCCUCACGGACGGCGGCCAGCGGACGGCGGCCGACGAGAGGCGGAGGCGCUGCGUCAGCCGUCAGGUCGAGCGGGAGGAUGCGGCGAUGCGCUGCGUGGGGCGGCUGCGCGUGGGAGAGCCGACGCCCGACGGGUCACGGGAGUAGGGCAGGAGGUGGGAUGUGCUGUGAUGUUGGGCCGGCUGGGCCGAAUCCAGGCGCGGAAACGUUUCCGAUCCGAAGUUUUCGGCCCAUUUAAUCGGGGAUACGUGGAUACGCCACGUCCGGGUGGAGUAUCCGUGUUUCGUAGAUUAAAAUCCUCUAAGACUGCUGUUUCAGACAGAGAUUCCUCUAAAAAGAUUAAAAUCCAACAAUGCUAGAAAACUGUCCAUAUUCUACGAGGAUCCUAUGGAAAGAAAUAAGGAAACAAGAUAUUCAGUUAUAACAAUGCAUACUAGGAUGAGAUACUCUAGCAAACCACAAUAGAAUAAAUUCUGCAGCUAUUUCCAGGUAGUUGGGUUAGUUCUGACUACACUGAUUAAAGAAAGUUCAAGGAAAACAUACAGUAAGAUCUUCUGCUUAAUACCAAUUAGUAGGAAAUAUGGCAAUAAAGCAUAUCCCUGGAGAAGUUUUGGCAUUCAUCAAACCUAAGUCCCAGAUAGCAGUCAGUAGCUGUUCUUUUAAGGUUCCAGGGUAGAAGGAUGUUCACAAUGACACUCAAACGUUUGGUUCCAAUGGCUAAACUUUAGCCCCGUCACAUCGAAUGUUUAAAUACUAAUUAGGAGUAUUAAACAUAGACUAUUUACAAAACCCAUUGCACGGAUGGAGGCUAAACGGCGAGACGAAUCUAUUAAGCCUAAUUAAUCCAUCAGGCUUAAUAGAUUUAGCCUCCACAUGUGCAAUUAGUUUUAUAAUUAACUCAUAUUUAGUCCUCCUAAUUAGUCUCCGAAUAUUGGAUGUGACACAGCCUAAACUUUAGCUCGAGGAACCAAACGCCCCCGUAGUUCACUCAGACUGAAAAUAAACCAGUAGCAUUGUACGGUAUAUCAAGCUUCCCACCAACUUUUCAAGCAUGUGUUUUCAUCAAAGUAGUUCACAAUCAACCAUGAUCUAGGACAAAAAUAUUGUCAUAAGCUGAUCAAUUAACCUAAAAUCAGCAAUAGUUUGCUUGUGGAGAGGCAUGUUAUGAAUCUCACCCUAAAGUCAAGAAACCUGCAAUUUUAAUCCAAUCACAUUACAAGAAAUAAGCAGGUUAUUGACGGCUUGAAAGUACAGAUAGAGAAGGAAACCACUGAGAGCACGAAUUCUGCAAAAGGUUAUACUGAUAUGGGGAAGGUACAUCCACUUCCUGCUAUCGAACAAAAAUCCAUGAGACAUACUGAGCCACCAAUCCAGAGCACAAAAUAAGCAAGUUAUCCAGCAAGCUUAAUAAAAUAAACAGUGAACCGAUUUGCAAAAAAUCGAACCAUUAAUGCCACAAGAAAUUGAGCAAGCAGGAUAUAACCAAGAAACACUUUUCAUGAUCUCUUGUCAACCACGAAACCAUUGCCACAAGAAAUAGGGAAGCGGGUGGGGGAUUUACCUUGGAGCCACGGAUCCCGACCGGCCGUCUAGUGGUGGUGGUCGCUGGAGGAACGAUGGACGCGGUUGUAGGCGGCCUCGCCUAUGAGGUAGAUCCCGAAGGCCGGAUUCUUGAACAUCUCGGCCGCCGCUUCAUGGAGAGCUCGUCCCUCCGCCGGCCAUGGAGGAGUCUGGAUCGGGAGGGAGGCCAGGUGUGGUGGCGUUGGCUGCAGCCUGCGGGUGAGAUGGUGGUGUUGCGGCGGUGCAGGCGAGGCGGAGGUGGGUCGGGCGCGUGGCGGUGGGGGCAGGGAAAGGGAGGCGAGGUGAGAGGAUGCGAUGGGAGGUGGGUCGGGCGCGUGGUGACUCAGGUGACUGCUCGGUGCUCGCUAGCUACUCGCAGACUCGCUACCGGCCUGUGUGACGACCACGACGCACGGUCCAUCCAUGGGUACAACCCAUUAAAACUCUAAGGGGUGUUUGGAUACGAGGUGUUAAACUUUAACAGUGUUACAUCGGAUGCUCGGUGCUAAUUAGGAGAACUAAACAUGAGCUAAUUAUAAAACUAAUUGCAGAACCAUGUGCUAAUUCGCGAGAUGAAUCUAUUAAACCUAAUUAAUCCAUCAUAGCAAAUGGUUACUGUAGCACCACAUUGUCAAAUCAUGGACUAAUUAGGCUUAAUAGAUUCAUCUCGCGAAUUAGACUCCAUCUGUGCAAUUAGUUUUAUAAUUAGUCUAUGUUUAAUACUCCUAAUUAGCAUCCAAACAUUCGAUGUGACGGGUGUUAAACUUUAACACCUUGUUGCCAAACAAACUCUAACUAUCCCUCACCACACCACAUCAAACUGCCAGGGAGGUGAAGUCCAAACUUAGUGAAUUUGUUAGUAGCGUUAGCCCAUUAGCACCUAGGCUAAGUAAGCCCAAAGUAAAAUCCAAACUGUUAAAGUUAUUUUAGGCUAAGUAAGUCCAAAGUAAAAUCCAAACUGUUAAAGUUAUUUUAGCCCAAACUAGUUAUUUCAGCCCAAACUAUUUGCAGGGCUAUCAUCGUACCGAUACUCAAUACAUGCGUGUAUAGAAUUAAGAUUCUAGUGGGGAAAAAGGAGCAGGGUACUGGCCUACUGGGUGCGCCUUGAAUUCUGUGUGAACCUUAGGUAAACUGUCCUGUAAAAGAAAUUCGUGACGAGUCAAAACGCCCUGAGUCCUCACUUUUCUGUCUCCGGAUAGAAAUGCUGAGGCUUUUGAGUGUUCCUAAAUAAGAGUUAGGGCUCGUUCGGUUACUCUGGAAUGAGUUCCCGAAACGAUUCCUGAUUGAAAUGAUUUACUAAUUUGUAUAAUCUUUAUAGAUAUUUCUAAGUCCAAUCCUAACUGACCGAACGAACCCUUAGGGGUAGAAAAAACAAGAGCAGUGGCCUUGCAGUUUUCACCAUAUAUAUGCACGAAAACCUAAUUUACCUUGGUCCUUGCUAUUGACCACCAAGAAACAGCUCGAUUGCCGGAUAUCGUUGCUAGGGGGAUGUGGAGCCAGCUCGGCUCGCUAAAUUAAUGAGCUGGCUCGGCUCGUUAGCAAAACGAGCAGAAAUACCAGCUCGGCUCGGCUCGCUAUGUGCUCGAGCCAGCUCGUUUGAGCUCGCGAGAUGACAGUCAAAUUCAGGAAACAAAUAACUCCGUUCACACAAGUUCGGACUUCAAGUAUGUGGGUGUAACUCAGGCAACCGAAGUUCGAGAAUUUAAGGAUUAUGUAGAAUAAAUAGGAAGAAAUUAUAUUUCCACAAGUUAAGACCUCGCAACCAAAUUUGAGGUAGAUGGAGGAUUGAAGCAAACUAGCAAUGACCCGUCAAAUUCACAGAGAUGUUAAGAACUCACAAAACACAACCACACAACUGAACGAACCGAGCAAGCAAUUGGGAAGAAAUAUAUAAAAAAACAAAGCAUACAUAUGGGAUUCAUAUCCAAAAUCCAGCGCCUAGCAAUUUCUUACACAAAUAUGACAGCGAUGGCCUCUUUGCCUCGCGAAUCCACCGAAGGAGAGGCCCCUGGAGAAGCCGUAGCCGUGGAGGGCGGAAGUGGCCAGGUGGAGCCGCCGACGAACGGAGGGAGUGGAGCGGCGCGGGUGUGGCGGCGGUGCGGAGAGACCGAGACGGCGAGACAGGGGAGGGGAGUCAAGUGAACUGGCGAUGGGGAUGGAGACGGCAGCCUUACGGUUGGUUUAUUGGGCCAUUGGGCUGCCGUGCGUAGCUUACUCCGCGCUGAUAAUUUUUUGGCUCGUUUAGCUCGUGAGCGGCUCAUGAGUCAGCUGGAACUCACUCGUUAUACUAAUAACGAGCUAAAUUGUCAGCUCAGCUUGGUAGGAAAAUAUAGAGCCAAUUUGCCCAGCCAAGUAGGGUAAGCCCAUUAAUUUUGGCACUUAUUUGGUUGGCACGCAAUGAAGUGAUAUCCUAAAGAUUCUGCUCAGGUUUUGGCAAAAAAAGAAUUUUAUCGUACUCACGUUUUGGCGUGCCCUAGAUUUGGCAUGGCAAAUUUUCAAACUAGACCAAUCAAGCUCAUAAUGAGCUGAGCUGGUGCCGAGCCGAGCGAGCUAACGAGUCGCGAGGUUUUUGUCUAGCCCUAAUCGUUGCUGUCUCUCGAGGCAAGAGGAAAAAACGAACGCCCAUAUGUCCCCGAGAGAAGUCAAGGUGCUCCGGUGCUCCCACAAAAAAAAAAUACCAAAAUAGUACGUAAAAAAAUAACAAAAAAAAUAUGUAUGCAUAGAUGAUGCAAGGAUCCAUGUGCAUGUAAUUUGUUGUUGAACAAAUUUUUGUGCAAUUAGAAAAAAAAAAAGAGAGAGACAGCCUAUGAAUAGUGCGGGUUGUACUGUUUCUUUGUUACCCGCAACCCGUUAUUGUUUCGAAGCUGAUUUCAUUUUUGUUCUCCUCGCACAAGCAUCAUUGUAACUUAAUUUCUGUAUGAUGAUAGAUGCGUGCUUGUUCCUUCCAUUCAUAUUUAGUACGUGAAUUCGUGGGAGUAUAGGAAGUGUUCUCGUAUGUCCCAAGCAUCACCGGAAAGCGCAUGAAGAAGCUCCUCCACUCCCGUCUAUUUGUCCCGGCCGCGCUGUGCUUUUUCUUUGGUACGGUCUCCAACUACGCUUUGACCAUCGACCGCCGUGCGGCCAUGAUCGCCGCUGGCAUGCCGCUUGCCGCCGCGCCCCCGGCACUCCGGCGUCCGGCCAUUUCUCGAGAUGCGCCAGAUCCUUAUGUUUUGUUUACGCGAUGCCCGAGAUGAAACGAGGAAACGCUGCAACAGCAACAGGGGGCACAGGAUCAGAGUUCAGGUCUCUCUAGGAUCGCAGCCUCGCCCCUGUAGCUGUAGCUGGAACCCGGAAGGCGGAAGCCUAGAAAAAGCACUCAUGACUCAUCGUUUACUGCCACUUUCCACAAUCCAGGGUCAGAAACUCAGAACACACGGUGCGCACAGGUACCACGGACGACGGGUGGUACACCGUAUAGACGUAGACGUGCCUGUGACAGGCCGCCGCGAUGCAGGAAGGCUUUCCACGUGGAGGUUCAUCUUGAGCUGGACGAGGAAAACACAGAAUCUGUUGGGGGGCAUGCCUGUACCCUUUGGCUCCGCAAAGUCGCUUCGAUCCUAAGGGCAGUCCCAAUGGAAGAAAUCAACCUAGUUUUCAUAAUCUAGGAUAUUGUAUCAAGAAAUCAUCCUUCACAAUGCAACUUUUUAUCUAGAGUCUAAAUAAAAAUCCAACCAAUCAUUCUCCCUUCUAGUACCAGAUCCUCUGUGCAUCAUAUAAAGGAGCUCGAGUGAUGGGUAGCAGCGGUGCAAGCGCAAAGGAUCCUGCAGUAAUUAAGAAGAAACUACUUGGGUCUCCCCAAUGCAGAAUCGCUGGUUUCUUGGCUCAUUGGUGCGCGUGAGGACUUGGUUUCCUCUCUAAGAAAUGGUUUCUCUCUCUCCAUAAUAAAUCUACUGCCACAUCAGCAAAUUGCUUAGUUGGCAUGACAAUUAAGAGGGAUAGAAACUAUCAUCAAUGUUCCAUUGGGACUGCCCUAAGGGCCCGUUUGUAGCGUGGCAGAUUGUCUGAAUGUAGAAUUUGGAGUGGCUGAUUCUAUGAAGUCCAGAAUCUGCUAAAGGUUUGAUUCCACCAACUUCUACACAUGGAAAUUACUAUUUCACCGCUCGUCUGAUAUUGAGCAACAUGUUAGCUAUGAAAUGGUGGCAAGACCAAAAAAGUCAUGUAUGCAAGAAAAGUCAUAAAAUCAAAUUCUGGAAUCUACGGAUCCAAACAACUCCAUCCAGAUUUUGAAAAUCCAUCCAAAAUUCAGAUGUUUAGAAUUCAUAAUCGGAUCCAAACGGUGCUUAACAAAGCUACAGCUCGUAUAUUGACAGCACAAGAUUACUCUAAAAAAAUUGUUGGCAGCACCAGUGAUUGAGUGCUCUGCUGCUAUAACAACAGGCGAGCGAGUGUGCAAUCGAACGAUACUACUGCCUUGUGCCUUGUGAGAACACGCAAUAAUGAUGCAUUGCACUUGCGCCCACGGCGUGGUUAACACCGACGAGUGAUUUCUUCGCCGGCGUUGGCGUUCAGAAUUCAGAUUCCAGACAGAUGGCUCGGGAGUUCCAUCGAGUUCAUGACUCGAUCCCCUCGCUCCAGGCUCUCCGGAACAGUGGGACUCGAAACAACAGCAAAGGCUGCCAAACCUAACGACCAGCCCACACCGAGCCACCGGGAUCCCACUCCCGGGUCGCCACUCGCCAGUCGCCACCACGUGACCGGGCAUCUGGGACUGGGCGCAGUCUUUCCGUUGGAGCUGGUAGGUGCGCAUUGCCUCCGGUGCCCGUGGGCUUCCUAGAGCUUUUGUCCCUGUGCAACGGCAACGGUCAAGCGAGCCGGGGCGGGGGGUGGGCGCAAACGUCAACGGUCUUCCCAGGCCCGAGGCCCGCCCCGCCGCGGCCGCACAUGGGGGAUGGGGCGAGAGGGCCAGGCGCGCGGCAGAAGUGGGAGAGAGGAGGAACGCCAUUUGGCCAUGCUUGCAAAUUGCAGCUUAGUUUAACUGCUUUACCAUGCACAAAAAGAAAACUAAACCAACAUCCUCCUACCUGCACAAUCUAGUCGCGGUCCUAAAUCGUCCUGCUGCGAUAACACAAGUGUUCGUUCCCUUUUGCUUCAACAGUUAACCACCUCGCUGUUACGGCCAACAGUCAGGGACUGAGGGACAGAGCAGCAAGAAGGGCUCCACUUCCACUACCCAGCAACAUUCAACACACUGCACAAUGCUUGUUACUGAUUUCUUUCACCUACGUGCUACAGCUUCUCCCUUAUAAAUCAGACACCAUUCACCAUUCCGGUCUUGCUGUCCGGUACACUACACCACUCCUGCACUCCUCAAUCCUCAAUUCCUCAUUGCCCUGCCGCCCAUGCCCGUGUUGCCAUUUGUACAGACUACAGAGCAGAUAGCUUAUCUCUAGCGAGGCCAGCCCUGCCCAGCCAGCCGAGCACCUCUGGGGUCUGAGCUCUGACUGAGCAUUGGGGCUGGGGAUUUCUCGAAGCCAUAAAAGAGCGAGCCCCCAGAAAAGAAGCCUACCAAGUACCUCCAGCCCUCCGAGGCUCCGAGCAGCCGCAGUACCACUACCACUACUCCACCAGUCCAGCAAGCAAGGGAAGGGCGCAGCCGCGCAGGUGGGAAGAAGGGGGGCGAGGAACCAAUCCGACCCCCUCCAUGGCUCCCUCGCGCUCCCUCGCCCUCUUCCUGCUCUGCAUUCUGGCGCCGGCGCCUCCCGUCUCCGCCGCAUUGCUGUUCGGCGGCGGGAAGUCGUCGGCCGCGGCGGGGAAGGCGGCGGACCUGGACAUGGAGUGGCGGCCGGCCACCGCGACGUGGUACGGCGACGCCGAGGGCGACGGCAGCGACGGUAAGCGCUCUCUUCUCGGCUCCACACCAGCACAUUGCACCGGUCUUCCCUAGCCAUUUAUUACUGGGAGCACACAGACACACAGUGGUAGCAUACCAUUACCAAUUUACCAUACGAGCAAAAUACUCAGAACCUGUGCUUCGGAGAGUGCUACCAGUAUACAGCAACACCGCUUGUCUUUCUUACUGCCCCGUUUGGAUACCCGGCUAAAGUUCAGCACCUGUCACGUCGGAUGUUUGAUGCUAAUUAGAAGUAUUAAACAUAAGUUAAUUAUAAAACUAAUUGCACAGAUGGAGUCUAAUUUGCGAGACGAUUCUAUUAAACCUAAUUAGUCCAUGAUUUGAUAAUGCGGUGCUACAGUAACCAUUUGCUAAUGAUGAAUUAAUUAGGUUUAAUAGAUUCAUCUUGCGAAUUAGUAUAGGGAUUUGCAAUUAAUUUUAUAAUUUGCUUAUAUUUAGUCCUCCUAAUUAUCAUCCGAUGUGGCACUGCUAAAGUUUAGCACAUGGUAUCCAAACAUUCGUUCGCCGAGUAGAUUGUUCAGCACUGGCCGUCAGGUUAGCAUCAGCCGGCAGAAUUUUCUUUACCGCAGGUAGAAGAAAAAUGUUUUCCUUUGGGGUAGUAAAAGAAGACGAACAAUUCCUCCUGUUGCCACUUUUUUUUUUGGCGGGGGACCUCUGCGGAUCCCAUGAAUCCCGGAGCGAAAUUCGGUGGGCCCCGUCCGGGUCCCGGCACACUUGUCAAGCGGCCAGGCGCUCCGUCGCUUUACGAUUCGCGCCAGCAUCCGGCGACCUUGCAGCAGGUCCAUUCCAUGCCGUUACCGGUGCCGUUGCUGAAAUCCUUGCGACAUGAACACUCCCUGCCACGGUCAGUCUCCACCGACACUGCUGGUAACCUUUGAUUCUACCAUAAGUAGAAGUUAAUCCGGCAACAGUUAAUACCCUGAGCUCGCUGUUACUGCUAGCAUUUACACCGUCCUGGGCAGUGGGCACUGUACUGGCGGUACGUGGUUCACGGUAGAUGACCUUCAGUUUUGUCGUCCUGUAUGUUGACCCGUCUCGCAACGGAACAGUUGGCACACCCGUGAGCCGCGACUUGUCCAUCACAGGGCUCUGUUCACGGGAACUUGCAGUCUUACACCCCGAUGCUCUGCCCCCCGGCUGUUCCCUCCGUAACACGGAGUAUUUUUCUGCCACUGACAUCGUGAUUAGCUUAACAAACAAUUGCCAGUAGUGGCUUUAACGGCAUCCGUUUGGUUUCCUUCCAGGCGGCGCGUGCGGGUACGGGACGCUGGUGGACGUGGUGCCGAUGAAGGCGCGGGUGGGGUCGGUGAGCCCCGUGCUGUUCAAGGACGGCGAGGGCUGCGGCGCCUGCUACAAGGUCAAGUGCCUGGACCGGGGCAUCUGCUCGCGCCGGGCGGUGACGGUGAUCGUCACCGACGAGUGCCCCGGCGGGCUCUGCGCCUUCGGCCACACGCACUUCGACCUCAGCGGCGCCGCCUUCAGCAGGAUGGCCGUCGCCGGCGCCGGCGGCCGCCUUCGCGACCGGGGCCAGCUGAACGUCGUCUACAGGAGGUGAGCAAUCCGUCCCCGGCCCUGUUGUUACAGCAGUCUGCUCCCUGAAUACUGGUGUCAGUUCAGAAUCAACUGCUCUGCAUUGCAUAGCACUGAUAGCAGCGGACAGGUAGAAACACAACUUGUCUCGUAAACCGUGAUGCCAUCCUGAAAAAUGGUUGCUUGGCGUCUGAAAGCAUCGCUGGACUGGACGCUGGCGCUGUGAAUUUCCUCUGUAGGAGUAGUACCAUGAGCCCGAUGAGGCGCAGUGAGUUUAAUUGUCCAGGGUUAAAAUGGGAGGGAAUGCAGCCCAGCUGUCUGUCAGUCUCCGCUCUGCGGCUGAGUAGUUAAACAUGCCUGAGCCUGACGUAACUCAGUCAGUGUGUCAUUAGUCUCACGAAUUAGUCUCCUAAUUAGUUUUAUAAUUAGACUAUAUUUAAUACUCCUAAUUAGUGUCUAAACAUCCAAUUUUGUAAUUAGAUUAUGUUUAAUACUCCUAAUUAGUAUCUAAACAUCCGAUGAUGUGACAGGACUAAAGUUUAGCCUCCGUGAGCCAAACACCCCCUUAAUCGCUUUGAACAUCUCCUGAUCACUCUCUUCGGAGAGAGAAAAGGACAAGUGAUCAAUCCAGUUACGAGAUUCCCUGUUUCGUUUUUCUGUCACAAACUGACCGGUGCAGCGUCGUUUGUUUGUCCGUGCAUAUACUGAUAAUCUGAUACACACCAGGACGGCCUGCAAGUACGGCGGGAAGAACAUAGCAUUCCGUGUGAACGAGGGCUCGACCAACUUCUGGCUCUCGCUGCUCGUCGAGUUCGAGGACGGCGAAGGCGACAUUGGAUCCAUGCAGAUAAAGCAGGUAUAUAACCCAGCAGAAUUCCUUCCAUUGCAUUUGCCUCCUACAGAUUCAGAGUUUCAGAGUUCUUCAGACCUCACCCUAGCACUAGCACGCUUCUUGGCCUCUUCUCUUUCUUGCACGGCCCUAUUUCCCUUACCUAGCGACUGCACGCAAACAAAGCGAUUGGGAAAGGAGGGGCUAUCUCUUUGUCCUUAACAACCUUUCGUGUUAGGUCCAUGCCUCAAGAUGCACCGGACCAAGACAGGGCCCCCACAGCCGCAUUGCCAUACCGAGCAUGUUGGAGACACGCGUGGUGUAGCGUUGCUUUGCUUUUAGUACUCUAGCUAGCAUUGCCACUGUUGUUUGGGUUCUUUCUACCCUGUCCAUGUAGAUCAACCUGAAGAAGUGAGGCCAAAAGUCCUGGCAGUUAAAAUCUCCACCCAUUGUUUACCCAAUCUAAGGUUACAUUUACACACCAAAAAGGCAGCUCCUUAUCUCGAACAGGGAAAACCACAGGCAAGAAGGCGUGCUAGUGCUUCUACUUUCUCGCGCUGUCUACCACACAAACCCUAGUCAAAGCUUUGCAUAAAGACACACACAUCUACACGAUCUUCUUUGCCGAAUGAUUCCCGUUCUGAAUGUGUUGGAAAAGCGGCACGUGAGCCCUGGCCGAUGUUGUUGCUGCAUCGACGACGAAUCACUCGCCUUUCCUCCUGUAAGUUGUAACCCACUGGUGUGCUUGGCCCCAUGAUGCUGUUUCUUCACCCCUGUCCCUCCUAAGUAAGACGGCCACGAAGACUAAGGGGGUGUUUGGAUACACCCCACCAAAACUUAGCACCUGUUACAUCGGAUGUUUGGAUGCUAAUUAGGAAUAUUAAACAUAGGCUAAUUACGAAACUAAUUGCACAGAUGGAGUCUAAUUCGCGAGACAAAUCUAUUAAGCCUAAUUAGUCCAUGAUUUGAUAAUAUAGUGCUACAGUAACCAUUUGCUAAUGAUGGAUUAAUUAGACUUAAUAGAUUUGUCUCGCGAAUUAGCACAAGGUUCUGCAAUUAGUUUUAUAAUUAGCUUAUAUUUAGUCCUCUAAUUAGCAUCAAACAUCCGAUAUGACACUGCUAAAGUUUAGACCAUCCAAACACCCCAUAAAGAACCCAUGGCACUUGCACUGAUUGGUCUCUUUCACGCUUGCCGUCCUUUUGUGUUGCGCUAGUGAGUGCUUUCACAGUGGUCGUUAAGUGAAGCCUGACAGCCAUCCUGCGCACGCUCGUGGCCUUGUGGGCUGGGGAAUCCAAAGAUGCCAAGGGAUCCCAUGCCAACCAUGCUGUUGCUUUUUUGUUGCCUUGUAAAGCUUAGAUGCUGCCUGCUUUGCCUAGUGGGUUUACAUUUACAGUAACAACUCGAGCUGAACAAUGCAGAGAUACUAUCAUACCUACUACAGCUGCUGACUGCUCUCUUACAUUCACCCUGCCAAUUUGCCAUGGUUUCUUGCAGGCCAACUCGGUGGAGUGGCUGGACAUGAAGCACGUGUGGGGGGCCACGUGGUGCCUGGUGCGGGGCCCGCUCGUGGGGCCCUUCUCCGUGAGGCUGGCCACGCUGUCCGCCAAGAAGACGCUCACGGCCCGGGACGUCAUCCCCAGGAACUGGACGCCCAAGGCCACCUACACCUCGCGCCUCAACUUCGAGCCGUCCCUCUAGAAGAAAGGGGAGGAGGCCGCCGCCGGAGUGGGCGCGGCGCCCGUGGGCCCACGUUUUAUCGGCCCCGGACGGACACUGCCAUGUGGGCCCGCAAAGGCAUGUGGCCCACUUGGCAGGCAGCCAGGCAGGAAUCCUGUCCUAUUGGAUGGAUCGCAGCUGUUUUUCUGUAUGCAGGCAGCUUAGCCUGAUCGUAGUAUAGCUAGUGUAUGCUGAUGCAUAUGCAUCGGAAGUGUGUGAUGCUAGUAGUUUUUUGUUGUGAUUUGUGAGCAGAGUUCAGGAGCUUGCCCAGGUACCAAGCAGCCGCCGUCUCCAAAGGAGAGAGAGCGUUCGCUGCUUGCCCUGCUUGCUCGGGUCCUGGAAGGCCAGGAAUCGGAUGUGGAAGCUGGCCGGACCGUGGAUCACUCGUGGUCAUAGUGGGUCGUGGCGUCUUGUUCGCUCGUGUGUGCUUGUUCCGGCGUCGAUGUGCUUCUGUUUUGUGUUCGCCCUGAUUGAAAUGCAGAGUUCGUGACAAUGUCAGAAUCUUAUCUGUCCGCUAUGAGGAAUUUUGUGUGGCGCUUCAGAAUGACCCUGCGCUUUCCAUGUGGAUGUCAGAAUGUAUGCGUGUCCUCUUGCUACCAUGUCAGUCAAAGACAGUUAAUAGCGGAUGUGAUUGUUCGUUCAGGGUUGUACAUACUUUUCAGGGAGAGAAUGCGUGAAAACUCCAAAGGGACGUGCACGCGGAAUGUUGGUUGUCACACGGUAUGCCUAGAUCAAUUACACAUGCGACGAAUUCAGUAAUAUCAAAGAUAGUGCCAUAAUCGUAAGGGAGAGUAUGUAAAUUAUUACAUGACCCCGAUAGUCUUUUUAAACCGAAUAGAAAAAGAGUAUUUAUUGUUGCAACGGAUCUUCAACGAAAACAGCGACUCCACGGGCAGCUGACUGGGAAACACGUAAGCUUAGAACUCAAGAACCUCUUUAAAGUUGACCGGUUCUGAGCAGCGGUUUUAGGAAGGGUGAGUACACUUAUGGUUGGUACUCAAUAAGCGUGAGGAAUGUCUAGUGUAAGGUCAUUUAAGGAUAGGCUAUAGUUUAAUAGCAACUCAGCAUUUUAAUUGGUUGGUCAAGUUUUAUUAGCAUUUACUAAGUAUAAGCGUUAAACAUGAACAUAAAUAAAGAUAACUGAAAUAAAUAACAACAAUUUAACUUGACUUCCGAUAAUUUAAUGAUGUGAGGGUCCAAACCGCUCUUACCGUGAGUACAGCUGAUCGAUCAAUUUUACACUCUGCAGAGGUUGCACAUCUUUAUCCACAAAUCGUGUAAAAGUUCAAAAGAAUUUUAGAUCCAACCAUGCUGUGUGGGCCAGGCACAAUACCACACUUCCGAGGUGUGAUUGCAUAGGGACACUACGAGGCUUUUACAAAGAUUCCCUAGUAAGGAUAGCUUGCUAAGGUUUCAUCAUCAGCGCAAUGCAUAAACCUCUCUCCAACUGCGAAGCUACGAUAGAGCAGAUCAAUUAGAGGGCUGGGUUAUACACCAACUGUUGUCUCCUACUCUUCCCCCUUUCAGGUAAAGCUACCACGAACUAGAGUUUCUAUUUAAUUAGUUAAAACCAGAGCCAUAUAGUUCUUGUGGUUCUACUGUUUUCCUGGGUGGUCGCUCCAUGUUCCAAUUAAGCAUGGUGAUCCUGUAUUAAUGAAAGGUAUAGCAUAAAUAAAAUAAGUUUAAUCAUUGAGUUCAUUAAUACCACCAUAACCAAGUUGAGCAACUAAGUAAGAACUACCCAACAUUAAAAUAACCUAGGUUGAUCAAGGUACAGGGAAUAAAACUAGGCACACCUUAGAUAGGACUCAUCAUGUUUAGGAACUUGACGUGCACAACAUAUGUGUAUUGAACAUGAAAGUAAAAGUUUCAUAGGAUCAAGUUGUGAUCAAGGGCACGACUUGCCUUCUUGGACUUGCUCCGAUUGCUCGUAGUCUUCAAAGUCUUGACCUUUGAAUCUCUUGAACCACGGUCCUUCUAUACGCAUCACACGAGCACAUACAAGCAAAUAAUAGAAUAAAAUAAGAAAACAGUAACCAAACAGUAGCAACAGAGAAAAACAAGAUCAUAAAAUUAAUCUAUGCAUUAAGAAGAACUCGUAGACGCAAGAAAUGCUAAAAAUGGAUCUAAAACGUUAAAGAUAUGAACUAAACAAGGUGUAAGGGUGUAUCUGCAAGAAAACUAGACAUCCAGAGGCUAAACUUGAAGAAAUCGAGGACUAAAACAUAAAUACGCAUAUAAACCGAAGGUUUAACAUGCAAAAGAGCAAGGCUAGGAUGGCGAGCACUAUUUUGCAAAAACUUAGGGGUUAAAAUAGAAGAAAAGGGAUCUAAAUCUAAUUACUUUUGAACUGCGCUGAGCCGCGGGUGCAAAAACCAUGAAAGUCAGGGACUCUUUAGCAAAACACACGGCGCGAUGUGGGGGUUGACUGGUAUGGAUUGGGUCAGAUCUGAUCCGGUCCGUCAGAUCUAGAUCUAGUAGCUGCAGUCGUCAGGACUAAACCCGGUGGCUCGCUGUAAUGACCGACCCCUAAUCUUUCCCAGUUAAGUUGAUCUCAGCCCUUAACCUCAGUCAGUUGCUCUGUUGACCGCACCUAAGUGCUCAGUCUUCCGCCAGUUCCGACCCCUGAGAUCCGACCCCUACCGUUCGUUCCUUUUUCCCGACCCUGGCGAGUUCAGCCCUCCGUCGGAUCCUGCUGAUCCUCCUCACCCGUCCGAUCUUUUUCCCCGGUGGACCCGUGAGAUCUUUUCCAGAUCCCCCGCACCAGCCGCACUCGAGUUGCAUGGCCGCCUCAGAGUUUUCCUGCCGCGUGGCUCGUCUUCUCCGACGCCAUCGCCCGGUUUUGUCUCUGGCGAGGAACAGAGUUGGGUCCCGCGCCCUUUUCCCCAAUGGCAGCGGAAGCCCUCUGCAGACCCUCGUCUCCCGCGCCCAUCAUCGCGAUACUGGAUCCCGGCCCCGGAGACCGAUGUCGCCCGUCUUUUCCGUCCUUUCCAGCAACAGUUGCGCCGCCCGGUCGUCGCUACACGACGAUUCCCCAACCGCCAACCCCGACCGCGGCCGCGACAGUCCCUUUCCCCGCUUGGUCAGAAGCCGCCCGACAAUCUGUUGUUCCGCGCUCUCCCCCGCACCGCGUCCGCUUGUUCUCCCACCUGUGCGCCCUUGAUUCUAGCGCCGUUUAACCGGUCGCUUCUGUCACUUCUUCCGCACGGCGACACCCGCUCUCCGCCAAAUCCCAACCACCGGUCUACCCGCGCCUACGCCGCCCUGACGAAGUAGCGCAAUGAUCGCUGGCGUCACCCCCGGAGUUCUGCAGCACCGCCGGGUUUGCUCAAUCGCCGCCACGGCAGAGCACUCCAUUGCUUUUCCCCGGCCUUCGCGCCGCUCCCCUUCUCUCUCUCCGCGACGUUCCCGUUCCUCUGCUCCAGCAGCUAUAAAAGGAAUGCCCCCAUCCCCGGAGUUCCCUCCGCCUUUGUUGCCCUUAGUUUCCUCUAGCUCCCUGCUCAAGCUUCUCGUGCCACCCACCCAGUUCUUGAGAAGUUCUUCUCCCAGUUCCUUCUCAGUUCAACCAAGUCACCAGCAGCGUGCUCCUUGUGCUGCGUAGAGCUCUCUUGUGAUCCGCAAGAAGCAGCGCCGCCGCCGGAGUAUCGCCAAUCUUAGUCCCUGAUCGAAGCUUUAGUUCCGCGCCCAAGUCUGCCUCUUCCCGACCCCAAGCUUUCCUUUCAGGAAGAAGGUGAGUGCCGACCCUAAGUCCGCCUCGACCGACCCCUCCUAUCCGCCCGACCCCAGUUCCGUCUCGUCCGACCCUGCCUGUUCGCCGACCCUUGUCCGCCUCACCCGAGGGUCUGGCUGUGAUCUUUUCUUCAACUUGAGGGUGUAAGUGUAAAACGUGGGAACCCUUCAGCGCCUUCGUCUGAGGAUCCCAGUUAUCACAUCCUCUAGUUCAAGGAUCAGACCACUAGCUUCCUUCCUGCCCUUACAUCAUGAUCACCAUCAGCUCUCUCAAACAGCCUUAACCUCCUGCUCCUUGUCGCGAGUUUCUGAGCUCAGGAGAGCCAGUGUUGCCGUCGACUUAAACGUUUAAGCUAACCCCUGCAUUGCAUUCGUGUAGAGUUGCAUCUCGCUGACGGCUUCUACGAGCUGCACCCGGUGCCCGAAGAAGAAGCUGUAGCCGAGUUCCUGCCCGCUGAAGUCGAAGCCGCCCCCGAAGUCGAGCAGUUUCCGCCCUCUUUGUUUGCAGGCAAGCCCCGGAUGCAUGAAAAUCCUACGUGUUUUUGCCAAACUUGCACAUGCCUUCCGAAUAGCAUGUUUGUGCAUUUACGUUAGGAGUUGUGUGAAACCCUAGAUACAUGACUGAGUAACCCUUGAUAUGAGCACUAGCUGUUGGACCGAGUAGCUGCAUUGCUUAAAUAGGAAACGGUAAAAGCCGAGUGAUCUCCUGUCACUCGCGAGUUGUAGAAGUUGCAUGUUUACUCUCCUGUUACAACUAUAAGGACGAUGGACGGGGCAGGGUUGGUAACACUUUGGUGGUCGGAUGGACGCCCCGUCUGUCUAUGAAAACUUGCUAAGGCCCGACAGUGGUGGUGUUCGUGAUCAAGUGUUUGAAAGUACUAGCCUCAUACUUAGUAUGGGAUGAGGAAGCCUAGUACCUGAUUGAACCUAGACGUGAGCGGUCGCCCCAUUGUUCUUGGAACGGAGUUUCCCCUGCUGGUUGUCGCACGUGGUGGCAAAGCGUGAUCACAGAACAACAGAGACCGGGUCUGUGGAACCUUGCACCAAAGGAAAUGGGCCCGACACGGGUUAGGGGAUCGAUGGGGAAGGCCGACACAGGAAGCGACCUCCGGGUGCGCGGAUGUCGUGGGGCUAGGUUCACCAUGCAUGGUUAAAGAACUCGAAUCGAUUCGUCUGCCUCUCACAGUUUGAGAUUACUUGAUCGCUAUGUCACCUUGAGUAAAUAAGGAAUCUGAUGAUGGCAAUGUUGUUGUUUUUAUCUACACACUUGUUUGGCUCGAUGUUUGGUUAGAAUAGGUUGCACAACCUAGACUGGUAAGUAAAUCUAGAACCGGAGCUAAAACUUGAAAAUAGGUUACUUAGUGCUUUUGGCAAAACAAACCCCUCAGCCAAGAAGCCUUGCAUGUCUAGUUGGAAGAGUAGUUGACUCCUCCCCGGUUAAGUCUUGUUGAGCUUAGUAGCUCAGCCUUGUUGUGGCUCCUGUUUUUCAGGUGAAGUUGCAGCUCCCGACCCCUCCCUUGUUGGCGCUUGGCGCCCCAGCUUCCGCCAGGCUGGACAGUUGAGUGGGACCUCUCCUCGGACGGCGAGGAGAGGACUCAGUGAUGUUCAGGCUGGCCUCGCCCGGACGUCCGACCCCGACGAAGUCUUCCGCUAGCUUUCUCUGUUGAUCUUUGUUUGUAAACCCUAAUGUUGGAUUUUGUAGUGAAACCAAAAUGAGUAAAACUUGUCUAAAAUCCGUGGACUCGUUGUAUUCUCUGUAACCGCUCACCUUCGUGUGGGUUUGCUGAACUCGAUCCUGUUUAAGUGGUUAAAUCGGAUGAAGUCCGACGGCGCUUCGUGUUAGCUCAAGUUAAUCAGGAGUGUCGCAUGUUAGGCGGCUAAACUCUGAUUAAUCAAGCUAAUCCGAGGUGGUUCCGCCACACUCGCAGGCGGCGGAGCGGCGGUGCGCGAUGGCGGUAAACCUCAUUGGAACUUGCUCGAAAUCGAGCGUCCAGCCUCGGUUUGCAAUGGGAACUGGUCUAGGAGGAAGCGGAGCGCACGUCGAACCGAUCUACAGUGUUGUCGUGGUGGAUUGUGCGGCAGCAGCGACGUGCGGUGCGGCAGUGAGGAUGGGGACUCCGGCGAGCUCGUUUGCACGAAGGGAGAUACGGGGAGGCACGAGGACUUCAUGGCAGCCUCCUCACCUCCUUGCGGUUCUUCGGGUGAAGACCAUGGCGAUGGAAGAGCGACGGCGGCGGCAAGCGUGUGCGGUGCUCGGGCUCGGGUAGAGGCGGCGCUGGAGAGCUCGAGGGCGCGGCUUAGGGUUUGGUGAGGCCAAAGGGUGACAGCGGCUACUUAUAUAGCCCGGGGAGGUGGACCUAGGCGUGCGGGCCCAAGGUGCGGGGCGGCUCGAACUCGGGUCGGAGUCCGGCAUGGAGACGGCGGGAGAUAGGGGAUCAUGAGCGGGCCCCGGGUGUCAGCGGUGGAAGCGGAGGAGCGCGGGCGCAGUGCGGGAGCGGGCCGACACGAGAGCUAGGUUGAGGCGCUGGGCUGCUGCGCUGCUGGGCCGAAAGAGAAAGAAGCGGGCUGAAAGAAAGAAACAGGGUGAAAGGAAGAGAAGGGAGGGAAGGAAAAGAAAGAGCUUUCCUAUUGUUUGAAAAGAUUCAAUCAAAUGAAUUCAAACACAAAUUUAAUUUCAAGCAACCAAAAAUAAUGUACUAGCAUGAAUGAACUCCUAUAAUUUAUUAAUUUAUUUUGAAAAAAAUUAAAUGUCUAAGAAAAUUUAAAUGCAAGACAUAUGCAACUAAAUUCUAACAAAUUUUAUUAAAUUGCAAAAGUUGAAAAUUAGGGUGUUACAUUGGUAGGGCUCCUUUGGCAGGCGAGCUGCUGAGCGAGCAACCGGUAAGGUCAGGAACUCAGGGCUUCUUUGGCAGGGCUCCUCGCGAGGGGCUCCUCGUGCGGAGUCGGAGCCGGAGCCGCGGAGCCACUUUUUUGGGCUCCUCCAUGCAGGCCUAAAACGGCUCCGGCUCCUCCCAAAUGUGCCAAAAAAUGACUCCGCGGUCAAUGCCGUUUGGUGCGGCUCCGGCUCCUCCGUACUUCGGUAAGCGCACGGAGUCGGAGCCGGAGCUCUGCCAAACUGUCCCUCAGUACGGCUGUAUACCGGUGCAUCUCUGCUUUCCAAGGGCGAUUCUCUGCUCAAUCUCAUCAUUUUGUUUAAACGUUGCUGCUGCUUCGGAGAUGCUUAUCAAUUCGGCCCACAAGGCCCAUAGAUGGUACGAUUUUGUUUUGUUCCUGGGCCUCAGAUAACCCAAUUGUUACCACCUCUGUUUUCAGGCCCAAACCACCACCCAUGACAUGUUAUUGCUUCAAUGACAUGUUGACCCCACCAUAAUGCCAGCUCAACAUCAACCGCGACCCGCGUCACGUUCUCUUGCAGCCAGGGGCACGUUCAUGCUCGUCGUCACCCCCGGGAUUCCCUGAAAUAGACAAAUCUCUCCCACCCCCUCCGCCGCUGCACGCCUCCCACCCAUAGACGGGACGGGAGAUACUUCCAUCAGCAAAGAUAGCACACAGGAUUCGCGCCGCCCGUGGGAAAAGGAGGCGACGAAUCCAAUCCACCCACCCGCAUUCGGCCGCCACCCCGUGCCAUUGCCGCUGCUGCGCCCGCGAACCGCCGCCAUUCGCGGGGCCAGAGGGAGAGAGGGAGGGGAGGGAGCAAUGGGCGCGGGGAUGGAGGCGGACGAAGGGGUGAUGGCAACGGACUUCUUCUGGUCGUACACGGACGAGCCGCACGCGUCGCGCCGCCGGGAGAUCCUGGCCAAGUACCCGCAGAUCAAGGAGCUCUUCGGCCCGGAUCCGUGGGCCUUCCUCAAGGUGCCGUGAUCUGCCUCUUUUCUUCGCUCUGCUCUACGCGUCUGCUCUCUCUUUCCUGUGUGCUUUUGUGCUUGCAAUGGGGAAUUGGGGAUUGAGCUUGCCGGAAAGUACAAUUCAUGCUGUUUUCUCUUCCUACGAUGCUGGGCGUUUGCGAUGAUGUGCAAGUUGGGUAGCUUUAAAGCCGAGAUCUCUAAUUGCCGUACCCGAAUUCCGGAUCAGUAUACGGUUUUAUACUGUUUUUGGUGGAUUACUUUGGCAUUGUUUAGCUUCUAGUGCUUACGUUGCUGGAGUUAUUCUCAGGAAUCUCCGCAUGACAAAGCGACUGCAGUUAUACUUGUUUGGAGUUUCCCAUUUUCUUUUAUUAAUUGCUUGUUUCGGAACAGUUAACUACUUAGCUUGUUGCCCUUGUCUUCAACCUGCAAAUGUGAUGCGCUUGGAAACUGUUAAGCUUGGGAUUUAUGGUGCAAAACGGAUAAACUAGUAAUUAAGCAAUACAUUUAAAGCAGAAGCUUCUUCCAUUGAGUUGUCUUAUACAGCCAUAACGAGCCUAAUAGAAUUUAUUUAGGCGCCAACCUUUCUUGUUGGCCCUGGAUCAGUUCCACACUUCGAACAGUAACUUUCAUGCCUGAAAUGGUAGUUGCUUCUUCCGAUUGGCUACCGGGCCCUUCCUUUCAAGUUUCAAGGCAUGGAAUAAACCUAUGCUGUUAUUUCAAGAUUAUGAUAUUAGAGAACCGACUAACAAAUGAUAAAGAUCCAUUCUGUCAAACUCCUCCUUUUUACUCUAACCUCUGAUUAUCUAUAGUUCUACACUUUCACUCCAAUUGCCUCUUCCUUUUUACUUAUUUGAAUGUGGGCGCUGAAAGGAAAUUGAGUAAGUAUCAUAUUUUUGGAAAGCCCUAACUACUUUUUCCUUGAGGGAUAAGCCCCCAACUACUUUGCCCAUCGAUAUAUCUAGCUGCUAAGCCUGCUUCACCUUCUGUUUUGCAUGACCAAUUUGGGAUGUUACUUCUAGUAAAUCAACCCUAAGAUGCAAACAUAUCUUUGGUGCUGUCUCAUGGUGACACUUUGGCAACAACCAUAGGAAACAUUUGAGAAAAGUAGAAUUCUUUUCUUUUUUCUGUACAUACGGUCAUUUGCAAGAAAUACAAAUCCACUCACACACAUCUUUGCUAAUACUUGAACAUGAGAAAAUUCUCAGAUGAUCUAUAUCUAUAGAUUUCAGUAAAAUCUGAAUUUGUAACCACACAGACACAAACUCACUAAGUUACUAUAUCCUUCACUGUUGCUCUGCAGCUGUUUGGUUUUCCACGUUCUGUCUCCUUGCUAGUAAGAAAUUUCGGAUUCACAUGCAAAAGUAGUGUCCAUAUAUCCCUUUCACCAACAGCUGUUGCGCUGGCCAUUGAACUUUGGCGAGGGCAGCUAGCAACUUCAAACAGCCACAAUCUCAUGACCCUUGUUUUGAAAAAUCAGGGGACUUGCCAUCCUGUCCAUAAGCUGUAUUUUGUUGUGCCGGAAGUUCGUGUGUACCUGUAUGACACAGUAUGGUCCUAACUGUCAAUGGCAUUCGAUUUACUAUAAGAUAUUACUGCAACAAGUAGCCCUUUUUUCAUUGAGUUUUACAUGUAAUGUUUUCUGAUGGCAAUAUCAACUUUAUCUGCAGAUUGCUGUGGUCGUUUCACUUCAGCUGUGGACUGCCACAUUCCUCCGAGAUGCCAGCUGGUUGAAGCUUCUGACAGUCGCCUACUUCUUCGGCUCCUUUCUAAACCACAACCUGUUCCUUGCAAUCCAUGAACUGAGCCACAACCUCGCCUUCACAACCCCAUCCCUGAAUCGCUGGCUAGGCAUCUUUGCAAACCUCCCCAUCGGAGUCCCCAUGUCCAUAACAUUCCAAAAGUACCACCUGGAGCACCACCGGUUCCAAGGCGUGGAUGGCAUCGACAUGGACGUCCCCAGCCAAGCCGAGGCGCACGCUGUGAGGAACGCCGUCAGCAAAUCCGUUUGGGUGGUGCUCCAGCUCUUCUUCUACGCGCUGAGGCCGCUCUUCCUGAAGCCGAAGCCCCCAGGGCUGUGGGAGUUCACCAACCUCGCCAUCCAGGUCGCGCUCGACGCCGGCCUGGUCUACCUCUACGGCUGGAAGUCGCUGGCGUACCUGAUCCUCUCGACGUUCGUCGGCGGCGGCAUGCACCCCAUGGCGGGCCACUUCAUCUCGGAGCACUACGUCUUCAGCCCCGACCAGGAGACCUACUCGUACUACGGGCCCCUGAACCUGAUGACAUGGCACGUGGGGUACCACAACGAGCACCACGACUUCCCGAGGAUCCCCGGCACCAGGCUGCACAAGGUGAAGGAGAUCGCGCCCGAGUACUACGACAGCCUCAGGUCGUACAGGUCGUGGAGCCAGGUGAUCUACAUGUACAUCAUGGACCAGACGGUGGGGCCGUUCAGCCGGAUGAAGAGGAAGGCGCCCAAGAAAGACUCGUAGUUGUUUGGCCUCCUGCACCCUGUGGGUGGAGUUUUUGCCAUGUAUGAACUCUAGCAGAGAUGUGUUUCUGUUUGUGUAAAACCUGUCGAUUCGUUGGAACUGUGCUACGACAAGUUUUGCAACUAAUUUUCACGCUCCCCACGUAGUAUCAAACAAAUCUCAAAUCUGAUUGCUUUUCGAUUGUGUGUCACUUGAUGCAUGUUGAAAUUAGAUGAUCCGUCGCGUGUUCCUUUCCCUCUCGCCCUCCCAAUGAUCGUGGCCGCUCUGGGAGGCUUCGGAGCGCGAGACGCCGAAGCCUGCCCGUGGCGUACAACGGCGGCGUCGCCUCGUGACCACGCCCGAUCCAUCAGCGAGGGAUCUCCGGGCGCCGAGCGCAGAAACCGGUCGAGCCACGAGGGCGACGACGAAUCAAUCAAGUCGUUGCGCCGGCCAACGAGGCCACGACGCCGAGCGCCCCCUGGCACAGAACAAUUGCCAGCGGAGUAGCGGACGACACGCGAGCGAACAAACCAACCCUCUCCGGGCGCGCUCGGUGAUCUGCUCCCCGCCACCUUCUUCUGGUGGUGGCGGCGGCUGCGGGCCGUGACCGGCGGCGCGGUUUCGUGCGGAACCAGCAAGCCCAGAAGCACGCAGUAACGACACACGAGUCCACCCCAGCGACAAGGAAACUCGAUGGUUCUCGAUAGCUCCCUCCUUUUGCCAGUGUGUUCUUUGCAGAAUGGAUUCGUUACCAAGACUGGAACCUAACCGCACGGACCACCAGAUCCGCCGAAAGUCUCACAGAACCGGCCGGUGUACGCGCUUCCUUCAGUCUCACCAAAAGAAGCAUCGGCAGCGAACGUCUGGCUUUUUCGUCGCACAACAAGAACCUUUUCUAUCUCCUACUACUAACAGAACAUGGAAACGACACAAUCGGCACAGAUUGACAAAUGGGCCCAUAAACUCCCUGCAUGAAUCGGACCCACAUGUCAGUCGGGUUCAGUUUAGCACCUCAUCAGAAGCGAUUGACGAGGAGAUACUUUGGUUCAAAACUUCAACCGCCGCUCACGACCGUCCCUUGAACGCCGACGCGGCGGAACAACUCAUUUUCAAAGCUUUACAGAUCAGCUCCGAGGUCGCGUCCACACCACACCACACCGCGCCGCGGCUACUUUUUUUUUUAUAUAUAUCCCUCCUCCCCUCCAGACGCACGACAAAGUCGGCAACCGCCGCCGCCUCACAUUUUUUCUUCCUUCCUCCAACCACGAGAGCACCGGCGGCAGCGGAUUCCUCCCGACCGAGAAGAGGAAGAAGAAGAUGGGCGGGUUCGAUCUGCAGGUGAAGGAGCGGACCAAGGAGCUGAAGCACCUCAAGGCCGCGGCGAUGAGGGGCAUCAAGGCGGCCGGCGAGUCGUGCAAGAAGGCGUGGAGCAAAGUCAGGAGCAGCAUCAGGCGCUAGGGCGUCGAGUUCGCGAGGCCAUCCCCAUGGAUGAACUCUAGUGUGGUUUUUCUGAGUUUUGAAUGUGGUUUUGGUCUUGUUGGAUCUAUUUAUUUGAGCGACUUGAUGUGAAAAUAGUCUGUGGCUCUGUGCGUAACUGCGUAUGGCUCGUAUUUAUCUUUUGUUCGCCCCUUGUGUGUGAUUUUCUUCAUGCUCUUCUUGCGGUGGCGAACUUUGCAGAUAGCGAUAGAUCUAUUGCCGCCGAUGGAUUCUCUGUUCAUCUCGCACUGAGAAGUAUGCGUAUGCGGAGAAUUUCAACGUCUUCAAACAAGCCAUAGCCACCGUAGGUGUCGAUGAUCCGCAACACCUGAUCAUCAUGGAACCUUCCUUCUCCCACCACCACUAUCGAGGCU
This 400380-nucleotide long non-coding RNA is filed under the name Setaria italica (foxtail millet). Its description in RNAcentral is "long non-coding RNA (SITA_LNC005333)". The stretch from base 206464 to 206536 matches the Rfam family "tRNA". Lineage: Eukaryota; Viridiplantae; Streptophyta; Magnoliopsida; Poales; Poaceae. The record is from RNAcentral.